Molecule: long non-coding RNA, 487587 nt
Filed under: Triticum aestivum (bread wheat)
Lineage: Eukaryota; Viridiplantae; Streptophyta; Magnoliopsida; Poales; Poaceae
Description: long non-coding RNA (TAES_LNC009704)
Rfam family: MIR1120/MIR1122 microRNA precursor family (bases 98410-98495)
Source: RNAcentral
AGCAACAAACAUUUCCACCACAACAACCAUAUCCGCAGCCGCAACCAUUUCCAGGACAACAACCAUAUCCGCAGCCGCAACUAUUUCCACAGCCGCAACCUUUUCCGCCACAACUUCCAUAUCCGCAGCCGCAACCAUUUCCCCCACAACAACCAUAUCCACAACCGCAAACACAUCAUCUGCAACCACAACAACCAAUUUCGCAGCAACAAGUACAACAACAACAACAACAACAACAACAACAACAACAACAACAACAACAACAACAACAACAACAACAACAACUACUACUACAACAACAAAUCCUUCAACAAAUUCUGCAACAACAACAACUGAUUCCAUGCAGGGAUGUCAUCGUCUUGCAACAACACAACAUAGCGCAUGAAAGCUCACAAGUAUUGCAGCAAAGUAGUUACCAAGUGUUGCAACAAUUAUGUUGUCAGCAGCUGCGGCUGAUCCCCGAGCAGUCGCGGUGCCAAGCCAUCCACAAUGUCGUUCAUGCUAUUAUUCUACAUCAACAACAACAACAACAACAACAACAACAACAACAAGGACAACAUCAACCGUCGAGCCAGGUCUCCUACCAGCAGCCUCAGCAACAAUAUCCAUCAGGCCAGGGCUCCUUCCAGCCAUCUCAGCAAAAUCCACAGGCCCAGGGCUUUGUCCAACCUCAACAUCUGCCCCAACUCGAGGAAAUAAGUAACCUAGCGCUGCAGACGCUACCAGCAAUGUGCAAUGUCUACAUCCCUCCAUAUUGCUCGACCACCAUUGCGCCAUUUGGCAUCUUCGGUACUAACUGAGAAGAGAAGAACUCUAGUACUAGAUAUAUGAAACACCGUGUUCUUAGUCCAUGGUUUGGUCGUUGUACCGUUGAAAAUAUAAGGUGACAUGCACUAUCAUGUAAGAACCCGAACUAUACUAGUUCAAACAUGGGAAUAAAAGACAAACACAUGUCUUGUCUGCAUAUGAUUGUUUAUUUGAGUUCCAUUCCUAUGCCCAUUCACAAGUUCACCCGUAAUUAUAUAUAUUACACAUUAAGUAGAUAUUUAUGUUGCAUUAAUAUGAAGAUAACAAAAUGAGUCUGAAACUUGAAUUAAAUUGAAGUAUUUUCUUGGACUUUCAAAUUGUGUAUUAUUAAAGUAGUAAGGAUUAUCCACAUCCUUGGCUUGCCCUUCAUCAAUUAUUCCCAGAGAAGCUUUCAGUUCAUAAAUCAAUUACAUUGAUUUUUGUGAAUGGUACAUCUCCUCAUCACGAGUAUCAUUACGGCUACUCCAAAUCGCUCACAUAACCGAAGCAUUAAUAGCGCCCUUCUUGCAUCCGGAAAUAUGGAUCGAAGAUAUCACUUGACCAUGUUUCCAGGUGCAACCUUGGGAUUUUUAUGUCAAAAUAUUCUCAAGCAAAAUCCAAGAAUAAACUUGCAUGCUCACGUGUGAUGAGGGCAGAUGAAGUAACAUUUCCUCCCCAUGGCCACACAUAGGGCACACACAUAACCCCAUCACAUGCCUUUUUAGUUAUGCAUAUGAAAGGUAGGAUGUUUUUAAUUACUCUCUACCAAAAUACUCUUAACUUGGCUUGUACCCUAAUAUUUCGUUGCCUUUUCAAUUGUUCUUCCCCAUUAGACAAAGUAGACAGUCCAUCUACCACACCGUACCUUGUGUCCAUCAUUGCUCUGUACAACAAUUGAACAGAACAAAUGUCAUUUCUUUACGAUACCCACGACCAAAUGUCCUUUGCUGGAUUGUUUGGUCGUGGCAUAUUAAGGAUGGCCACCUCAUCUCAUGGGGUAAACACCUAAUGAAUGAAAGGAUUGUUCUAGUCGCCCGUGUUUUUCAUCGAUAAGAUCAUCUACAAGUUGGACCGAAGUUUCUCACAUGCAUCAUAGUGGUUUCAUUAGCGGCGUGCCCUGCACCCAUUUAUCACGUCGUAUCUCUGUAGUAUGUGCAUUCCCAAUUUGUCACAGCAUACCCUCCUUCAAACCUUCUUUCCCUUUCAGAUUAGCACGCCAAGUUAGCUAUGCACUAUGCGGGAACCAGCAUUUGAAAAAAAAGAAUCUCAUUUCAUGGUAUCUUCCAUGAAGGACCCUCGUACAUUAGCUAUCUAGGUAGAAAUAGCCAUGUAUGUUUGGCAAACUUUGCAUAAGUGAAUAGAUCAAGGUCGUGGAACCCCAAGCCUCCAAUUACACACGGCCUCUCUACCAAUAAGAUCUCCAAAGACAUCAAGGAUACAGACAGCCAAAAAAGAAAAUAAAAAGAAAAAAAAUAAAAAAUACCCUGCCAUGGUGAUCAAUCACAAGCAUCAGCAGCACUCUAACCACCACCAAAGACAAUGCCCAGAUUACAAAAAAAAAUUAUCCAAAAACAAUGCCCCCAAGAAGGAAACAAUACACAAGCGUUGUCGUUGCCCGAUCGAAGAUCGUGGGUUUUCACCCUGGAAAAUUUUUGAGUUCACCCAAAAACAAUGCCUUCAACAAGGCCAUUGCCAAGUACAACAAAUAUGGUCGAGACCUUGGGUUUUCACCCUAGGAAUUGAGACUCGAUGCUCGAGGAGUACCAGCAAAAAUGCAGUCCACUAGUGUUGCCGCCCCCACUUGGCAAGGCCACUGUUGCAAGUCACCAAACACCUGGCAUAUAGUUGUCAUCGCAUCCAAUACACCCUUCGGCCGAAGCUUCAAGACCUUGAUCCGUCUCCAGCGUAUCUAUAAUUUUUGAUUGUUCCAUGCUAUUAUAUUAUCUGUUUUGGAUGUUUUAUAUGAUUAUUAUGGUAUUUUAUAUGAUUUUUGGGACUAACCUAUUAAACUAGAGCCCAGUGUCAGUUCCUGUUUUUUCCUUGUUUUAGAGUUUCGUAGAAAAGGAGUACCAAACGGAGUCCAAACGGAAUUAAACUUUUGCGAUGAUUUUUCUUAGACCAGAAGACAUCUAGAGGACUUGGAGUGCAUGUUAGGAAAGCCACGAGGCUGCCACAACGACAGAGGUGCGCCCCCACCCUUGUGGGCCCCUCGUGACUCUACCGACAUAUUUCUUCCGCCUAUAUAUUCUCAAAUAUUCCAAAACAUACUAGGAGAGCCACAAAAACACUUUUCCACCGCCGCAACCUUCUGUACCCGUGAGAUCCAAUGUAGGGGCCUUUCCCGGCAUCCUGUCGGCGGGGGAUUCGAUCACUUAGGGCUUCUACAUCAACACCAUUGCCUCUCCGAUGAAGCGUGAGUAGUUUACCACAGACCUAUGGGUCCAUAGCUAGUAUCUAGAUGGCUUCUUCUCUCUCUUUGAUUCUCAAUACCAUGUUCUCCUCGAUGUUCUUGGAGAUCUAUUCGAUGUAAUACUCUUUUUGCGGUGUGUUUGCCAAGAUCCAAUGAAUUGUGGAUUUAUGAUCAGGUUAUCUAUGAGUAUUAUUUGAAUCUCCUAUGAAUUCUUAUAUGCAUGAUUUGAUAUCUUUGCAAGUCUCUUCGAACUAUCGAUUUGGUUUGGCCAACUAGAUUGGUUUUUCUUGCAAUGGGAGAAGUGCUUAACUUUGGGUUCAAUCUUGCGGUGCUCGAUCCCAGUGACAGAAGGGGAUGAUACGUCCCCAACGUAUCUAUAAUUUUUGAUUGUUCCAUGCUAUUAUAUUAUCAACCUUGGAUGUUUUAUAUGCAUUUAUAUGCUAUUUUAUAUGAUUUUUGGGACUAACCUAUUAACCCAGAGCCCAGUGCUAGUGCCAGUUUCUGUUUUUUCCUUGUUUUAGGGUUUCGAAGAAAAGGAAUAUCAAAUGGAGUCCAAACGGAAUGAAACCUUCAGAAAAUUUAUUUUUGGAAAGAAAGUAAUACGGGAGACUUGGAGUGCACGUCCGGGGAUCAACGAGGAAGCCACGAGGCAGGGGGCGCGCCCACCCCUCUUGGGCGCGCCCUCCACCCUCGUGGGCCCCUCGUGGCUCCCCAAAUGUAUUUCUUCCGCCUAUAUAUAUCCAUAUACCCCAAAACGACCGGGGAGCACAAUAGAUCGGGAGUUUCUCCGCCAGAAGCCUCCGUAGCCACCGAAAGCUAAUCUAGACCCGUUCCGGCACCCUGCCGGAGGGGGAAUCCCUCUCCGGUGGCCAUCUUCAUCAUCCCGGUGCUCUCGAUGACGAGGAGGGAGUAGUUCUCCCUCGGGGCUAAGGGUAUGUACCAGUAGCUAUGUGUUUGAUCUCUCUCUCUCUCUCUCUCUCUCUCUCUCGUGUUCUUGAGGUGAUACGAUCUUGAUGUAUCGCGAGCUUUGCUAUUAGAGUUGGAUCUUAUGUUGCUUCUCCCCCUCUACUCUCUUGUAAUGGAUUGAGUUUCCCCUUCGAAGUUAUCUUAUCGGAUUGAGUCUUUAAAAAUUUGAGAACACUUGAUGUAUGUCUUGCCGCGUGUAUCUGUGGUGACAAUGGGAUAUCACGUGAUUCACUUGAUGUAUGUUUUCGUGAUCAACUUGCGGGUUCCGCCCAUGAACCUAUGCAUAGGGGUUGGCACACGUUUUCGUCGUGAUUCUUUGGUAGAAACUUUGGUGCACUCUUUGAGGUUCUAUGUGUUGGUUGAAUAGAUGAACUUGAGAUUGUGUGAUCCAUAUCAUAUAAUCAUACCCACGGAUACUUCAGGUGACAAUGGAGUAUCUAGGUGACAUUAGGGUUUUGGUUGAUUUGUGUCUUAAGGUGUUAUUCUAGUACGAACUCUAGGGCUGUUUGUGACACUUAUAGGAAUAGCCCAACGGAUUGAUUGGAAAGAAUAACUUUGAGGUGGUUUCGUACCCUACCAUAAUCUCUUCGUUCGUUCUCUGCUAUUAGUGACUUUGGAGUGACUCUUUGUUGCAUGUUGAGGGAUAAUUAUGUGAUCCAAAUAUGUUAUUAUUGUCGAGAGAACUUGCACUAGUGAAAGUAUGAACCCUAGGCCUUGUUUCGACGCAUUGCAAUACCGUUUACGCUCACUUUUAUCAUUAGUUACCUUGCUGUUUUUAUAUUUUCAAAUUACAAAAACCUUUAUCUACCAUCCAUAUACCACUUGUAUCACCAUCUCUUCACCUAUACAAUUUACCAUUGUAUUGGGUGUGUUGGGGACACAAGAGACUCUUUGUUAUUUGGUUGCAGGGUUGCUUGAGAGAGACCAUCUUCAUCCUACGCCUCCUACGGAUUGAUAAACCUUAGGUCAUCCACUUGAGGGAAAUUUGCUACUGUCCUACAAACCUCUGUACUUGGAGGCCCAACAACGUCUACAAGAAGAAGGUUGUGUAGUAGACAUCAAGCUCUUUUCUGGCGCAGUUGCCGGGAAGGUGAGUGCUUGAAGUUAUAUCUUUAGAUCUUGCAAUCGAAUCUUUUUGUUUCUUGUUUUAGCACUAGUUUAGUUUAUAAAAGAAAACUACAAAAAAACGGAAUUGAGUUUACCUCACACGCUUCAUCUUUUUAAUAUCUUUCGUGAGUAUGAUGGAAAGAAAAAUUGUGCCAAAGUGUUAGAAGAAGAAUGCAUUAAACUGUUUGGCAUUAAAUAUUUGAAUGAUGAGCAUUAUUGCAAUGUUGUUAGUAUGAAUUCCUUGAAUAUCCAUAGUACUAAUGAUGAUUGCACUAGUUAUGAUGAAAAUGUCUCAUGUAAACAUGUCAAUUUUUGUGGAGUGCAUUGGGUUUGCAAGUACACACCAAUUAGGGAAGAUAGAUUUUGCAAGAGGCAUAAGUACUUAGAAACUAAAUUGUUGCAAGAAAGGCUAGAUGAAUGUGCUGAAAAUUUAAAUUUUCUUGGCCAUACUUGUGAGCUUUGCAAUGAACAUGGUUAUUUAACCAUCCGAUGCAAAUUGUUUCAUGAUCUAAUCGUUUCCAAAAAUUGUGAUGACUUGAUUUCCCUUGCACAUCAUAAUGAACUUAGUUUGCUUAUGGGUUAUGAGGAAAUGAAAUGUAUAACUAACUAUCUUCCAGUAUUUUCCCAUGAUAAACUUCUUGGAUUUGACCUAGAGGAAAUUUAUAUGUAUUGUGCGGUGAAUUGCAUUGAAAACCCCUAUAUUGUCAAUUACAUAAAGAAAAGAAAACAAAUAGAGGAUGAACAGAAUACUAAUGAAAGGGAAGAGACCUCCCAAUAUCCUCCUAUUAUUUCUUAUGAUGAACCAGGUAACGAGGAGGAGCCUCCUAUUCAACCAAUCUCAUUAAUAAGGAGCUCCAAAAAGAGGAUUGAACCCACACACGAUGUAGUGAAGAAGAAGAAAAGAAAGAGGAAGAGAGGUAAAAAGAUAUCUCUCCCAAAUAAUGCUGCUCCUAUUACUAUUGUGCCUCAUGAAAAUAUAAUUGUGGAAAAUAAUGAUACUUCUUAUGAUCUUGAAAAUCCUUUUGUCACUUGCUUGGAAGAAUAUGAUAAUUGCUAUACUAUUGGUGCUAUCCAUACUAUUAAUGAUGAGAGUGAUUAUGCUUAUGAUAUGAAAAGGCCCAAGCUUUGGGAUGCUAUGUUUGAUGAAGAUGAUGUUUUUGAGAAUAUAUUUGCUACAAUUAAUGUUUGUCCCAAGCUUGGGGAUGCUAUGUUUAAUCAAGAUGAUAUUUUUAGUCUCCCAAGUUUUGAUAUGCAAAUUUAUAAUGAUGAUAGCAUGCCUCCUACUUAUGAUGAUUAUUGUGAUGAUACUUAUGCUAUAAAAAGUAAUGAUUAUAUUUAUAAAACUUGUCAUGAUUAUGGUUACCCCUUUUCUGAACAUUACUCUUUUAAUGUGGAAACAAUUUAUAGUAUUCGAGUUUCUUAUGAUACUCCCACUAUUCCGAAUGAGAAGAAUUUUGCUUGUGUAGAGAGUAAUAAAAUUUCUAUGCUUGUAGAUCAUGAAAAGAAUGCUUUAGGUGCUGGUUAUAUUUUUGAAUUCAUUCAUGAUGCUACUGAAAAUUAUUAUGAGGGAGGAACAUAUGCUUGUAGGAAUUGCAAUAAUAUCAAGUUUCCUCUCUAUGUGCUUAAAGUUUUGAAGUUAUGCUUGUUUUGCCCUCCUAUGCUAGUUGAUUAUUGUUCCCAUAAGUUGUUUGCUCACAAAAUUCCUACACAUAGGAAGUGGGUUAGACUUACAUGUUCUAGUCAUAUGCUUCAUGAUGCUCUCUUUAUGUUUCAAUUCUUAUCUUUUAUGUGAGCAUCAUUGAAAUCGUCAUGCCUAGCUAGGGGCGUUAAACGAUAGCGCUUGUUGAGAGGAAACCCAACUUUAUUUUUGUUCCUUGAUUUUUGCUCCUGUCUAGCAAUAAAUAAUUUAUCUAGCAUCUGUUAUGAUUGAGUUUUUAUGUUAGAACCGUUGGGAAGACUUGGGGAAAGUCUUGGCGAUCAUGCUGUAAAAAAACAGAAACUUUAGCGCUCACGAGAAUUGCUGACAUUUUUUAUUGGAGAGUGCUAUUUGGUUAAUUAUUUUUGCAGAUGAUUAAUAGAUAAAUUCCUCACGUCCAGCAAUUUAUUUUAGAAUUUUUGAGGCUCCAGAAGUUUGCGUUAGUUACAGAUUACUACAGACUGUUCUGUUUUUGACAGAUUCUGUUUUUCGUGUGUUGUUUGCUUAUUUUGAUGAAUCUAUGGCUAGUAAAAUAGUUUAUAAACCAUAGAGAAGUUUUAAUACAGUAGGUUUAACACCAAUAUAAAUAAAUAAUGAGUUCAUUACAGUACCUUUAAGUGGUGUUUUAUUUUCUUUCGCUAACGGAGCUCACGAGUUUUCCAUUUUAAGUUUUGUGUUGUGAAGUUUUCAAGUUUUGGGUAAAGAUUUGAUGGAUUAUGGAAUAAGGAGUGGCAAGAGAAUAAGCUUGGGGAUGCCGAAGGCACCCCAAGGUAAUAUUCAAGGACAACCAAAAGCCUAAGCUUGGGGAUGCCCCGGAAGGCAUCCCCUCUUUCGUCUUCGUUCAUCGGUAACUUUACUUGGAGCUAUAUUUUUAUUCACCACAUGUUACGUGUUUUGCUUGGAGCGUCAUUUUAUUUCAUUUUUUUGCUUGCUGUUUGAAUAAAGUAUCAAGAUAUGAAAUUAUUAAGUGGGAGAGUCUUCACAUAGUUGCAUAAGUAUUCGACUACUCAUUGAUCUUCACUUACAUCUUUCAGAGUAGUUUGUCAUUUUCUCUAGUGCUUCACUUAUAUCUUUUGAGAGCACGGUGGUGGUUUUAUUUUGUAGAAAUAGAUGAACUCUCGUGCUUCACUAAUAUUAUUUUGAGAGUCCUCAGAACAGCAUGGUAAUUUGCUUUGGUUAUGAAUUUAGUCCUAAUAAGAUGGGCAUCCAAGAGGGAUAUAAUAAAAACUUUCAUAUAAGUGCAUUGAAUACUAAGAGAAGUUUGAUACUUGAUGAUUGUUUUGAGAUAUGGAGAUAGUGAUAUUAAAGUUGUGCUAUUUGACACUACUAGGAAAAGGCCUACUAAUGGCGCACCAGUUUUGCCUACUAAUGGCGCAUCACUGGUGCGCCAUUACUAGCACGCCAUUAGUAAUUUUUAGUAAUGGCGCACCACUGGUGCGCCAUUAGUAUCGGCCACGGUGCGCCAUUCGUAUAGGCCACUGGUGCGCCAUUAGUAUAGGCCACGGUGCGCCAUUAGUAUUUUUGGAUUUUGAAGGCGGGAAAAUAGUAGUGGCGCACCGUCUAACCCCCACCGUGCGCCAUUACUAUUUUUGAAUUUUGAAUUUGGAUCUGGAUCGUGAUUUUUUUGCCCAUUUUUUGCUCGUUUUUUUGCUCGUUUUUUGGCACAAUAUUAUUUCAAAUUUUGUUCUUGUUUUUGGAUCUUGUACGUUCUUUUGCCGUGUUCUUUUGCCGGAGAGGAGUUCGCCGGAGAGGAGGAGGAGGAGGUCACCGGAGAGGCGCUCGCCUACAUCGCCGGAGAGGAGGAGGAGGUCGCCGGAGAGGAGUUCACCGAAGCAUCGGAGAGGAGGAAGGAGAAACCAUGAGGGAAUGGGAGGAGAGGAGGGAGGAGAAACCAUGAGGGGAGGGGAGGAGAGGAGGGAGNNNNNNNNNNNNNNNNNNNNNNNNNNNNNNNNNNNNNNNNNNNNNNNNNNNNNNNNNNNNNNNNNNNNNNNNNNNNNNNNNNNNNNNNNNNNNNNNNNNNNNNNNNNNNNNNNNNNNNNNNNNNNNNNNNNNNNNNNNNNNNNNNNNNNNNNNNNNNNNNNNNNNNNNNNNNNNNNNNNNNNNNNNNNNNNNNNNNNNNNNNNNNNNNNNNNNNNNNNNNNNNNNNNNNNNNNNNNNNNNNNNNNNNNNNNNNNNNNNNNNNNNNGGAGAGGAGAAGGAGGUCGCCGGAGAGGAGGAGAUGGAGUGGAGGAGAGGAGGAGAUGGAGUGGAGGAGAGGAGAGGAGGAGAUGGAAUGGAGGAGAGGUGGAGUGGAGGAGGUGCGCCCAGCCAUGUAUACGACAUAGUAAUGGCGCACCGUGGGCAGGUGCGCCAUUACUAACUUUUUUUAUUUUUUGAUUUAUUUUGAAUUUUGAAGGCGGGAAGAUACUAAUGGCGCACCGUGGGCAGGUGCGCCAUUAGUAACUUUUUUUUUAUUUUUGACUAAUUUUGAAUUUUGAAGGCGGGAAGAUACUAAUGGCGCACCGUGGGCAGGUGCGCCAUUAGUAACUUUUUUUGACUAAUUUUGAAUUUUGAAGGUGGGAAGAUACUAAUGGCGCACCACGGGGUGGUGCGCCAUUAGUAACUUUUUUUUAUUUUGUUGACUUAUUUUGAAUUUUGAAGGCGGGAAGAUACUAAUGGCGCACCAUGGGCAGGUGCGCCAUUAGUAAGUUUGAAUUAUUUUUAAUUUUUUUGCCUCUCCAGAUCUUAAAAGCCCCAUAUAUUUUUUUCUGUUAGGUUUUUGAGGAUUUUAAAAAUGUUUAACGGAUUCCCCGGUUAAAUUUGGAUGUAACUUUUCGAGUAGAUGAUUUUUCAUAUAAAAAACUUUUUCAUCCGAGUUAGUAUGCAAAAGUUAUGCCCAUUUUUACAAAUUNNNNNNNNNNNNNNNNNNNNNNNNNNNNNNNNNNNNNNNNNNNNNNNNNNNNNNNNNNNNNNNNNNNNNNNNNNNNNNNNNNNNNNNNNNNNNNNNNNNNNNNNNNNNNNNNNNNNNNNNNNNNNNNNNNNNNNNNNNNNNNNNNNNNNNNNNNNNNNNNNNNNNNNNNNNNNNNNNNNNNNNNNNNNNNNNNNNNNNNNNNNNNNNNNNNNNNNNNNNNNNNNNNNNNNNNNNNNNNNNNNNNNNNNNNNNNNNNNNNNNNNNNNNNNNNNNNNNNNNNNNNNNNNNNNNNNNNNNNNNNNNNNNNNNNNNNNNNNNNNNNNNNNNNNNNNNNNNNNNNNNNNNNNNNNNNNNNNNNNNNNNNNNNNNNNNNNNNNNNNNNNNNNNNNNNNNNNNNNNNNNNNNNNNNNNNNNNNNNNNNNNNNNNNNNNNNNNNNNNNNNNNNNNNNNNNNNNNNNNNNNNNNNNNNNNNNNNNNNNNNNNNNNNNNNNNNNNNNNNNNNNNNNNNNNNNNNNNNNNNNNNNNNNNNNNNNNNNNNNNNNNNNNNNNNNNNNNNNNNNNNNNNNNNNNNNNNNNNNNNNNNNNNNNNNNNNNNNNNNNNNNNNNNNNNNNNNNNNNNNNNNNNNNNNNNNNNNNNNNNNNNNNNNNNNNNNNNNNNNNNNNNNNNNNNNNNNNNAAUUUUUUUACUAAUGGCGCACCGUGGAUGUGGUGCGCCAUUACUAGUUCAACUAGUAAUGGCGCACCACCCCCACGGUGCGCCAUUAGUAGUUUUGAAAAAAAUUAAAUUUUUUUACCAAUGGCGCACCGUGGAUGUGGUGCGCCAUUAGUAUUUGGACACUAAUGGCGUACCAACACAUGGUGCGCCAUUAGUAUAUAGUAAUGGCGCACCACAUGUCUGGUGCGCCAUUAGUGUCAAUUCCAUCUAUAGCCCUUUUCCUAGUAGUGUGAGUAGUUGUGAAUUUGAGAAAUACUUGUGUUGAAGUUUGCAAGUCCCGUAGCAUGCACGUAUGGUAAACGUUAUGUAACAAAUUUGAAACAUGAGGUGUUCUUUGAUUGUCCUCCUUAUGAAUGGCGGUCGGGGACGAGCGAUGGUCUUUUCCUACCAAUCUAUCCCCCUAGGAGCAUGCGUGUAGUGCUUGGUUUUUGAUGACUUGUAGAUUUUUGCAAUAAGUAUAUGAGUUCUUUAUGACUAAUAUUGAGUCCAUGGAUUAUAUGCAUUCUCACCCUUCCAUCAUUGCUAGCCUCUUCGGUACCGUGCAUUGCCCUUUCUCACAUUGAGAGUUGGUGCAAACUUCGCUGGUGCAUCCAAACCCCGUGAUAUGAUACACUCUUUCACACAUAAACCUCCUUAUAUCUUCCUCAAAACAGCCACCAUACCUACCUAUUAUGGCAUUUCCGUAGCCAUUCUGAGAUAUAUUGCCAUGCAACUUUCCACCAUUCUGUUUGUCAUGACACAUUCAUCAUUGUCAUAUUGCUUAGCAUGAUCAUGUAGUUGACAUAGUAUUUGUGGCAAAGCCACCGUUCAUAAUUAUUUCAUACAUGUCACUCUUGGUUCAUUGCAUAUCCCGGUACACCGCCGGAGGCAUUCAUAUAGAGUCAUAUCUUGUUCUAGUAUCGAGUUGUAAAUAAAUAGAAGUGUGAUGAUCAUCAUUAAUAGAGCAUUGUCCCAAAAAAAGGAAGAGAACGACCAAAUAAAAAAGGGAAGCCCCCCACCCAAAAAAGAAAAGAAAGGCCAGAUAAAAAAUAAAAAAAAUAAAAAAAAUAAAAGGGACAAUGCUACUAUCCUUUUUCCACACUUGUGCUUCAAAGUAGCACCAUGAUCUUUAUGAUAGAGAGUCUCUUGUUUUGUCACUUUCAUAUACUAGUGGGAAUUUUUUAUUAUAGAACUUGGCUUGUAUAUUCCAACAAUGGGCCUCCUCAAGUGCCCUAGGUCUUUGUGAGCAAGCAAGUUGGAUGCACACCCACUUAGUUUCUUUUGUUGAGCUUUCAUACAUUUAUGGCUCUAGUGCAUCCGUUGCAUGGCAAUCCCUAAUCCUUGCAUUGACAUCAAUUGAUGGGCAUCUCCCUAGCCCAUUGAUUAGCCGCGUCGAUGUGAGACUUUCGCCUUUUGGUCUUCUCCACAUAACCCCCUCAUUAUAUUCUAUUCCACCCAUAGUGCUAUAUCCAUGGCUCACGCUCAUGUAUUGCGUGAAAGUUGAAAAAAGUUUGAGAUUACUAAAGUAUGAAACAAUUACUUGGCUUGUCAUCGGGGUUGUGCACAAUGAGAGCAUUCUUGUGUGACGAAAAUGGAGCAUGGCCAAACUAUAUGAUUUUGUAGGGAUGAACUUUCUUUGGCCAUGUUAUUUUGAGAAGACAUGAUUGCUUAGUUAGUAUACUUGAAGUAUUAUUAUUUUUAUGUCACUAUUAAACUUUUGUCUUGAAUCUUAUGGAUCUGAAUAUUCUUGCCACAAUAAAGAGAACUACAUGGAUAAAUAUGUUAGGUGGCAUUCUACAUCAAAAAUUCUGUUUUUAUCUUUUAGCUACUCCAGGACGAGCAGGAAUUAAGCUUGGGGAUGCUGAUACGCCUCCAACGUAUCUAUAAUUUUUAUUGUUCCAUGCUAUUAUAUUAUCAACCUUGGAUGUUUUAUAUGCAUCUUUAUGCUAUUUUAUAUCAUUUUUGGGACUAACCUAUUAACCUAGAGCCCAGUGCCAGUUUCUGUUUUUUCCUUGUUCUAGGGUUUCGAAGAAAAGGAAUAUCAAAUGGAGUCCAAACGGAAUGAAACCUUCGGAAAAGUUGUUUUUGGAAAGAAAGCAAUACAGGAGACUUGGAGUGCACGUCAGCGGAUCAACGAGGAAGCCACGAGGCAGGGGGCGCGCCCACCCCCUGGGCGCGCCCUCCACCCUCGUAGGCCCCUCGUGGCUCCCCUAAUGUAUUUCUUCCGCCUGUAUGUACCAAUAUACCCUAAAACGAUCGGGGAGCACAAUAGAUUGGGAGUUCCGCCGCCAGAAGCCUCUGUAGCCACUAAAAGUGAAUCUAGACCCGUUCCGGCACCCUGCCGGAGGGUGAAUCCCUCUCCGGUGGCCAUCUUCAUCAUCCCGGUGCUCUCCAUGACGAGGAGGGAGUAGUUCUCCCUUGGGGCUGAGGGUAUGUACCAGUAGCUAUGUGUUUAAUCUCUCUCUCUCUCUCUCUCGUGUUCUUGAGGUGAUACGAUCUUGAUGUAUCGCGAGCUUUGCUAUUAUAGUUGUAUCUUAUGUUUCUUCUCCUCCUCUACUCUCUUGUAAUGGAUUGAGUUUCCCCUUCGAAGUUAUCUUAUCGGAUUGAGUCUUUAAAGAUUUGAGAACACUUGAUGUAUGUCUUGCCGCGUGUAUCUGUGGUGACAAUGGGAUAUCACGUGAUUCACUUGAUGUAUGUUUUCGUGAUCAACUUGCGGGUUCCGCCCAUGAACCUAUGCAUAGGGGUUGGCACACGUUUUCGUCGUGAUUCUUUGGUAGAAACUUUGGUGCACUCUUUGAGGUUCUAUGUGUUGGUUGAAUAGAUGAACUUGAGAUUGUGUGAUGCAUAUCGUAUAAUCAUACCCACAGAUACUUGAGGUGACAAUGGUUUGCUCACAAAAUCCCUAUGCAUAGGAAGUGGGUUAGACUUAAAUGUUCUAGUCAUAUGCUUCAUGAUGCUCUCUUUAUGUUUCAGUUCUUAUCUUUUAUGUGAGCAUCAUUGAAAUCAUCAUGCCUAGCUAGGGGCGUUAAACGAUAGCGCUUGUUGGGAGGAAACCCAACUUUAUUCUUGUUCCUUGCUUUUUGCUCCUGUUUAGCAAUAAAUAACUUAUCUAGCCUCUGUUAUGAUUGAGUUUUUAUGUUUUAAUUAGUGUUUGUGCCAAGUAGAACCGUUGGGAAGACUUGGGGAAAGUCUUUGCGAUCAUACUGUAAAAAACAGAAACUUCAGCGCUCACGAGAAUUGAUGGGCAUCUCCUUAACCCAUUGAUUAGCCGCGUCGAUGUGAGACUUUCUCCUUUUUGUCUUCUCCACAUAACCCCCUCAUUAUAUUCUAUUCCACCCAUAGUGCUAUAUCCAUGGCUCACGCUCAUGUAUUGCGUGAAAGUUGAAAAAAGUUUGAGAUUACUAAAGUAUGAAACAAUUGUUUGGCUUGUCAUCGGGGUUGUGCAUGAUGAGAGCAUUCUUGUGUGACGAAAAUGGAGCAUGACCAAACUAUAUGAUUUUGUAGGGAUGAACUUUCUUUGGCCAUGUUAUUUUGAGAAGACAUGAUUGCUUAGUUAGUAUGCUUGAAGUAUUAUUAUUUUUAUGUCAAUAUUAAACUUUUUUCUUGAAUCUUAUGUAUUUGAAUAUUCUUGCCGGAAUAAAGAGAACUACAUGGAUAAAUAUGUUAGGUAGCAUUCCACAUCAAAAAUUCGGUUUCAUUAGCGGCGUGCCCUGCACCCAUUUAUCACGUCGUAUCUCUGUAGUAUGCGCAUUCCCAAUUUGUCACGGCAUACCCUCCUUCAAACCUUCUUGCCCUUUCAGAUUAGCACGCCAAGCUAGCUAUGCACUAUGCGGGAACCUGCAUUUGAAAAAAAAGAAUCUCAUUUCAUGGUAUCUUCCAUGAAGGACCCUCGUACAUGAGCUAUCUAGAUAGAAAUAGCCAUGUAUGUUUAGCAAACUUUGCAUAAGUGAAUAGAUCAAGGUCGUGGAACCCCAAGCCUCCAAUUACACACGGCCUCUCUACCAAUAAGAUCUCCAAAGACAUCAAGGAUACAGACAGCCAAAAAAGAAAAUAAAAAGGAAAAAAAUAAAAAAUACCCCACCAUGGUGAUCAAUCACAAGCAUCAGCAGCACUCUAACCACCACCUAAGACAACGCCCAGAUUACAAAAAAAAUUCUCCAAAAGCAAUGCCCCCAAGAAGGAAACAAUACACAAGCGUUGUCGUUGCCCGAUCGAAGAUCGUGGGUUUUCACACUGGAAAAUUUUUGAGUUCACCCAAAAACAAUGCCUUCAACAAGGCCAUUGCCAAGUACAACAAAUAUGGCUGAGACCUUGGGUUUUCACCCUAGGAAUUGAGAGUCGAUGCUCGAGGAGUACCACCAAAAAUGCAGUCCACUAGUGUUGCCGCCCCCACUUGGCGAGGCCGCUGUUGCAAGUCACCAAACACCUGGCAUAUAGUUGUCAUCGCAUCCAAUACACCCUUCGGCCGAAGCUUCAAGACCUUGAUCCGUCUCCAACGUAUCUAUAAUUUUUGAUUGUUCCAUGCUAUUAUAUUAUCUGUUUUGGAUGUUUUAUAUGAGUAGGGCGUUUUGGUGCCCAGGCUCAUCUGCACCCGGUUAGAAAAAAUUCAUAAAAAAUUUAAACAAAUUCAAAAAAUUCCAAAUAAAAUUUGUAUGGUAGACAAUUUGAUGCGUGAGGCCCGCCUCAAAUUUCAAGUCAUUUGGAUAUAUGAGAAGCUCUCAGCAAAAAAGACAAAUCGGACUAAAACAGUACAUGAACAGUAAACAUUUUUACAGACCCUCAAUUUGUCUUUUUUGCUGAGAGCUGCUCAUAUGUUCAAAUGACUUGAAAUUUGGAGCGUGCCUCACGCAUCAAAAUUUCUAUCACACAAAUUUUAUUUGGAAUUUUUCGAAUUUUUCUAGUAUUUGUUUUGAUUUUUUUCGUCGGCACAGGUGCAGAUGAGCUCAGGUGCAGAAAUGGAUUUUCGGUUUUAUUUGCACUAUUAUGCUAUUUUAUAUGAUUUUUGCGACUAACCUAUUAAACUAGAGCCCAGUGCCAGUUCCUGUUUUUUCCUUGUUUUAGAGUUUCACAGAAAAGGAAUACCAAACGGAGUCCAAACGGAAUGAAACUUUUGCGAUGAUGUUUCUUAGACCAGAAGACAUCUAGAGGACUUGGAGUGCACGUUAGGAAAGCCAUGAGGUGGCCACAAUGACGGAGGGCACGCCCCCACCCUUGUGGGCUCCUCGUGACUCUACCGACCUAUUUCGUCCGCAUAUAUAUUCUCAAAUAUUCCAAAACCUACUAGGAGAGCCACAAAAAAACUUUUCCACCGUCGCAACCUUCUGUACCCAUGAGUUCCCAUCUAGGGGCCUUUUCCGGCAUCCCGUCGGAGGGGGAUUCGAUCACGGAGGGCUUCUACAUCAACACCAUUGCCUCUCCGAUGAAGCGUGAGUAGUUUACCACAGACCUAUGAGUCCAUAGCUAGUAUCUAAACGGCUUCUUCUCUCUCUUUGAUUCUCAAUACCAUGUUCUCUUCGAUGUUCUUGGAGAUCUAUUCGUUGUAAUACUCUUUUUGCGGUGUGUUUGCCGAGAUCCGGUGAAUUGUGGAUAUAUGAUCAGGUUAUCUAUGAAUAUUAUUUGAAUCUCCUAUGAAUUCUUAUAUGCAUGAUUUGAUAUAUUUGCAAGUCUCUUCGAACUAUCGAUUUGGUUUGGCCAACUAGAUUGGUUUUUCUUGCAAUGGGAGAAGUGCUUAACUUUGGGUUCAAUCUUGCGGUGCUCGAUCCCAGUGACAGAAGGGGAUGAUACGUCUCCAACGUAUCUAUAAUUUUUGAUUGUUCCAUGCUAUUAUAUUAUCAACCUUGGAUGUUUUAUAUGCAUUUAUAUGCUAUUUUAUAUGAUUUUUGGGACUAACCUAUUAACCUAGAGCCCAGUGCCAGUGCCAGUUUCUGUUUUUUCCUUGUUUUAGGGUUUCAAAGAAAAGGAAUAUCAAACAGAGUCCAAACGGAAUGAAACCUUCGGAAAAGUUAUUUUUGGAAAGAAAGCAAUACGAGAGACUUGGAGUGCACGUCAGGGGAUCAACGAGGAAGCCACGAGGCAGGGGCACGCCCUCCACCCUCGUGGCUCCCCUAAUGUAUUUCUUCCGCCUAUAUAUAUCCAUAUACCCUAAAAUGAUCGGGGAGCACAAUAGAUCGGGAGUUCCGCCACCAGAAGCCUCCGUAGCCACCGAAAGCCAAUCUAGACCCGUUCCGGCACCCUGCCGGAGGAGGAAUCCCUCUUCGGUGUCCAUCUUCAUCAUCCCGGUGCUCUCCAUGACGAGGAGGGAGUAGUUCUCCCUCAGGGCUGAGGGUAUGUACCAGUAGCUAUGUGUUUGAUCUCUCUCUCUCUCUCUCUCUCUCUCUCUCGUGUUCUUGAGGUGAUACGAUCUUGAUGUAUCGCGAGCUUUGCUAUUAGAGUUGGAUCUUAUGUUUCUUCUCCCCCUCUACUCUCUUGUAAUGGAUUGAGUUUCCCCUUCGAAGUUAUCUUAUCGGAUUGAGUCUUUAAAGAUUUGAGAACACAUGAUGUAUGUCUUGCCGUGCGUAUCUGUGGUGACAAUGGGAUAUCACGUGAUUCAUUUGAUGUAUGUUUUGGUGAUCAAGUUGCGGGUUCCACCCAUGAACCUAUGCAUAGGGGUUGGCACACAUUUUCGUCAUGAUUCUCCGGCAGAAACUUUGGGGCACUCUUUGAGGUUCUAUGUGUUGGUUGAAUAGAUGAAUCUGAGAUUGUGUGAUGCAUAUCGGAUAAUCAUACCCACGGAUACUUGAGGUGACAAUGGAGUAUCUAGGUGACAUUAGGGUUUUGGUUGAUUUGUGUCUUAAGGUGUUAUUCUAGUACGAACUCUAGGGCUGUUUGUGACACUUAUAGGAAUAGCCCAAUGGAUUGAUUGGAAAGAAUAACUUGGAGGUGGUUUCGUACCCUACCAUAAUCUCUUCGUUCGUUCUCCGCUAUUAGUGACUUUGGAGUGAUUCUUUGUUGCAUGUUGAGGGAUAGUUAUGUGAUCCAAUUAUGUUAUUAUUGUUGAGAGAACUUGCACUAGUGAAAGUAUGAACCCUAGGUCUUGUUUCAACGCAUUGCAAUACCGUUUACGCUCACUUUUAUCAUUAGUUACCUUGCUGUUUUUAUAUUUUCAGAUUACAAAAACCUUUAUCUACCAUCCAUAUACCACUUGUAUCACCAUCUCUUCGCCGAACUAGUGCACCGAUACAAUUUACCAUUGUAUUGGGUGUGUUGGGGACACAAGAGACUCUUUGUUAUUUGGUUGCAGGGUUGGUUGAGAGAGACCAUCUUCAUCCUACGCCUCCUACAGAUUGAUAAACCUUGGGUCAUCCACUUGAGGAAAAUUUGCUACUGUCCUACAAACCUUUGCACUUGGAGGCCCAACAACGUCUACAAGAAGAAGGUUGUGUAGUAGACAUCAGGGGAACCGACACAUAUUGUAGUGUUUCCAUCGAGGAUAACAAGAUGGGGUUUUCGUCAUAUUGCUUGAGUUUAUCCCGCUACAUCAAGUCAUCUUACUUAAUGCGUUAUCCUGUUCUUAUGAACUUAGUACUCUAGGUGCAGGCAGGAGUCAGUGGACGUGUGGAGUAAUAGUAGUAGAUGCAAGCAGGAGUCCGUCUACUUGAUACAAACAUGAUGCUUAUGUUCAUGAUCAUUGCCUUAGAUAUCGUCAUAAGUUUGCACUUUUCUAUCAAUUGCUCAGCAGUAAUUUGUUCACCCACCGUAAGAUUUUCUAUCUUGAGAGAAGCCUCUAGUGAAACCUAUGGCCCCGGGGUCUACUUUCCAUCAUAUAAGUUUCUGAUCUACAAUUGUGUUGGUUGAAUAGAUGAAUCUGAGAUUGUGUGAUGCAUAUCGUAUAAUCAUACCCACGGAUACUUGAGGUGACAAUGGAGUACCUAGGUGACAUUAGUGUUUUGGUUGAUUUGUGUCUUAAGGUGUUAUUCUAGUACGAACUCUAGGGCUGUUUGUGACACUUAUAGGAAUAGCCCAACGGAUUGAUUGGAAAGAAUAACUUUGAGGUGGUUUCGUACCCUACCAUAAUCUCUUCGUUCGUUCUCCGCUAUUAAUGACUUUGGAGUGACUCUUUGUUGCAUGUUGAGGGAUAGUUAUGUGAUCCAAUUAUGUUAUUAUUGUUGAGAGAACUUGCACUAGUGAAAGUAUGAACCCUAGGCCUUGUUUCAACGCAUUACAAUACCGUUUACGCUCAGUUUUAUCAUUAGUUACCUUGCUGUUUUUAUAUUUUCAGAUUACAAAAACCUUUAUCUACCAUCCAUAUACCACUUGUAUCACCAUCUCUUCGCUGAACUAGUGCACCUAUACAAUUUACCAUUGUAUUGGGUGUGUUGGGGACACAAGAGACUCUUUGUUAUUUGGUUGCAGGGUUGCUUGAGAGAGACCAUCUUCAUCCUACACCUCCUACGGAUUGAUAAACCUUAGGUCAUCCACUUGAGGGAAAUUUGCUACUGUCCUACAAACCUCUGCACUUGGAGGCCCAACAACGUCUACAAGAAGAAGGUUGUGUAGUAGACAUCAGGGGAACCGACACAUAUUGUAUUGUUUCCAUCGAGGAUAACAAGAUGGGGUUUUCGUCAUAUUGCUUGAGUUUACCCCGCUACAUCAAGUCAUCUUACUUAAUGCGUUAUCCUGUUCUUAUGAACUUAAUACUCUAGAUGUAGGCAGGAGUCGGUGGACGUGUGGAGUAAUAGUAGUAGAUGCAAGCAGGAGUCAGUCUAGUUGAUACAAACGUGAUGCUUAUGUUCAUGAUCAUUGCCUUAGAUAUCGUCAUAACUUUGCGCUUUUAUAUCAAUUGCUCAACAGUAAUUUGUACACCCACUGUAAGAUUUUCUAUCUUGAGAGAAGCCUCUAGUGAAACUAUGGCCCCGGGGUCUACUUUCCAUCAUAUAAGUUUCCGAUCUACAAUUUUAGUUUCCUAUCACUUCCUUUGCAAUCUUUUACUUUCCAUUCCAUAAACCAAAAAUACCAAAAAUAUUACUUUACCGAUUAUCCAUCUCUAUCAGAUCUCACCUUGCAAAUAACCAUGAAGGAUUGACAACCCCUUUGUCGCAUUAGGUGUAAGUUGCUAUUUGUUUGAGCAUGUAUUCAGUGACUUGUGCAUUGUCUCCUACUGGAUUGAUACCUUGGUUCUCAAAACUGAGGGAAAUACUUACUCUACUUUGCUGCAUCACCCUUUCCACUUCAAGGGAAAAACCAACGCAAGCUCAAGAGGAAGUAGGAAGAAUUUCUGGCACCGUUGCCGGGGACAUCUACGCCAAGUCAAGACAUACCAAGUACCCAUCAUAAACUCUCAUCUCUUGCAUUAUAUUAUUUGCCAUUCGCCUCUCGUUUUCCUCUCCCCCACUUCUAAAAUGAUUUGCCUUUUCUUCGCCCUCUUCCAUUCAUCUUCUUCGCUUGCUUUUUGUGUGCUCAUGUGUUGGAUUGCUUGCUUUGUCACGAUGUCUCAAGAGAAUACCAAAUUGUGUGACUUUUCCAAUACCAACAACAAUGAUUUUAUUAGUACCCCGAUUGCUCCCGCUACUAAUGCGGAAUCUUGUGAAAUUAAUGCUGCUUUGCUGAGUCUUGUUAUGAAAGAUCAAUUUUCCGGCCUUCCCAAUGAAGAUGCCGCAUCCCAUCUAAACAAUUUCGUUGAUUUGUGUGAUAUGAAAAAGAAAAAAGAUAUGGAUAAUGAUAUUGUUAAAUUGAAGCUAUUUCCGUUGUCACUUCGAGAUCGUGCUAAAACUAGGUUUUCAUCUUUGCCUAAAAAUAGCGAGUGUCAUUUUUUAAUGCGAGUGAUUAGUUUUUAAAGAAUGAUUGGCAUUCUUUCUUAAUUGCUCAUCUACUAAUCGUUUGGCGUGUUUUCUUAUCUUGUCAAAAUCAUAUCCCCUGGCUGUAAAUAUCAAAGAAUAAUUUCAUUUGUUGGGCUUGGACUGUACUGUCCGAGAGUCAGAGUAUAAAUACCAUACGAUUUCAAGAGCAAUAGCAACGGGGCAACCAUUAGUCCAUACUCUACACCAUAUGGCUAGAAAUUUUAUAUUAUAUAUAACAAAGUUGUGACAAAUUGGAAAUGGAAAGCAAUAAAAUGAAUAUGUUGCUAUAGGUUAUUAUUAUUACACAUGCACGUGUACCUUGAUCCUUGCUUGGACAUAGGGUCCGAGGAAGUUACAUUGCUUUGACUACUGAUAUUGUUUGUGUUAAAGUGUGCCACAAUGGCAUAAAUAUUGUCGUUGCAUAAUGGGAAACCACGUCAUAUUUAUCGAUGAUAUGUGGAAAUAGGGAUAAGCUACUUUAUGAAGAUAUAUAAGGAUGUAUGGGUUACGUUGGUGGAAAAUGUUGUUAUGAACACAAAUGCAGUUGCAUUUAUCAUGCAUUCGCGGUGAAGUGCGCUAUUGUGGCAUAUAUCUUCCUUUUUGCCACAGAAGCAUGGUAGAAUUAUAAAGAGAGUAUGUUUCUAUAGACAUUUCAAAAAAGAGAUUUGUGUAUACUCUCAUUAUACUGUAAUCACCAUAGAUUAUUCAGAUUAGAAGUUGUUGUCUCUACCACAUAUUUAGAUUUUCUAUACAUACUAAUAUCUAUAUCGCAUAGAAAAUCAUGUAUUUAUAUGAGAUCUUUGUGGUGCAUGAUAAAGCAAGAUUCCUUUUGUUAUUGCAGCAAUUUAUAAGUAUUUAAAUAUAUACUAAUAGCUAGUUUCUUCUGUGUUAUAAGGACAAAAUAAGACAUGCAUAGACAUGCAAAUACGUAUUAGAAAUCUGCUACUCCAAAUGUAUCAUGUUAAUCCAUGUAAGCCACGAAUCGCGUGCAUAUCAGGCAAAGCAGUUUUUUUUGUAAAAACAAUACAUAAUACUAAUCGAUGGUAUAGACGAUUCAAUACAUAUGCAUCAAGACACCGCUACCUUGCACAUAGUGAUAUAGGAUGGAAUUGAAUCUGAUCCGCUCCUUUCCAACUUAAUCGAGUAAUGUGUACUUCUCAUAAAUAGGCAUGUAUAUAGUAAUUGUUCUUUUGACCAAACGCUUGGUAUAUUAAUGAUCACAUUAUACAUUUAUGUAACAUUUCUUACUUGCGAAAUCUUUUACAAAUUGGAAUAUGGGAAUUUUAUUAAUACCUAGAAGAAAUACUACUAUUUAGAACAUAUAAUAACUGGUACUAUACUUUUUCUUAAUAUUGGUACUAUACUUAAUUGGACCAAAAGUUGCACAUAUUUUUGAUUAGUUCAUUUUUUUCUACAGAUUUAUCGGCGCCAUUAUUUCUCUAUGGUUGACAUGUAUAUGAACUACUGUCUGUAUAUAUUGAUCUGCAUUUAGACAAAUAUCAGGGACAAACACACAUACUGUUUAGCAUGUGUAGUUGUAAAGGUAGAAUACUGAUUUGUAGUAUUAAGAAAAUAUAUUUAUAAGAUCUUACUACAAUGUAUAUGGAUUGAGAAUCAGAGAAAUAACCAAGUGUUGUGCAAGGAUCAUUCUGACUAUCCAGUGGCAGAAUAAAAAUAGGAUGCUAAGCGCGGGGAGAAUACUUAUGUCCUAUAAACCUGCAAAUAAGAAGCAUGCAUUCACCAUAUAUUAGAAUUCCAAAUUUUAUAGUUCCUUUGCAUGUUGGAAAUAAGCUUUGCCCCUUGUGAUAUGGAUUAUCACGUAGAAUGGAAAGAGGAGAAAAAAAUUAUGGCUUAGCAGAAUCAAUGAGGAAAAGCACUACAUGUGAAGUAUCAAAACGUUGUGAUAGCACGAACCCCACCAGAUUUGAACUCGUGCUCUUAGUAUGACAUGAAAAGAGGGGCUACUCUCCAAUCGAAGUGAAAAUAGUAGAACUUUGAACUUAUAUAUAUAUACGCUUAAAAAUUCUAAAAGCAAAUGGUCAAAAACUCAGAAUAGCUUGAGCGGGCACUACUUGCUAACUCAAGCACAUGGCAACACAGUAUUAAGUCAAGAUUUUGCAACCGAGAGGGAAAGUCAAAUAAAUAAAUAAAUAAAUAAGGAUUCUCAUCAAACCUGUGAAUCCAAGCUAGUAUCUAACUAUUGUAUUGCUCAUAGUUUUGCAUACACCAUGGAACGUACGAUACAUAGCAUGUUGAAAAAUUAUAACCAAUUAAAUAGAAGAUAAAGGCAUAGUGCUAGGAGAUCAUCUCUCAGAGCAAUCAUCGCUGACAUAAACCUUCGGUUAAAUCACAUGUCUAAUUAGAACCUAGAGGUCUUUUACUUUUCCUUUAUAUGGAACCUUUAUUUUGACCUUUGGGGACUAUAGCCGCCUCAAAUAUGCAACUUUUUUUCGAAAUUUUAGUAUAGUGUAGUUGGAGCUUUUCCUGGUGUUCCAUAAAAAUAGCAAAGGGCAUAUUUCCUUUAGCCUACUUAUAUAUAAAAAAACGGCGUUCCUUAAUUAUUAUUCAAACUGAAAACACAUGCUAUCUUUAAAAGCAAAGAUGUACCUUAUGUGAGAAUCAUGCAUGUGUUAUUUCUAAUUAGUUAGGCAAUAAAAUAAUAGCAUCGUAUCAUUAGAUAAAUUAUUUUUCAACUGAAUCAGACAUGUGGGGUUUGACAAAAUUGAAAGUAUAUGCGAAGAUGUUAAGGAGAAAAUGUCAAUAUAAAAAAACUGUUUCUAUAGGCAGAUGUGAAUUACGUACAAAAAUAGGUCUGUUCGCUUUACAAAAGUUCUGGUGAAACCAAACUCCUGAGUUACUACAUGUAGAGCUCAAAAAUACCAGAUAUAGAGUAUAAAAUGAGAAUGGAAUACUAAGUGCAUCUUACAGAAAUUAUAAGAUCUUUUUAAUAGCUUCCUCAAUAUUACAUAGCAUACACAACAAUGAGGCAUCAAAUGAAUCAGUAUUCUAAAUAUGUAAAGAAGAAUAAGAAACACAAAGUAGCUGCUGCUCGAGCAACUACUACAUGCAAAUACAAUGCUUGAGAAUUUUCAAGCGUUCUGUUCGCUUUUUACCCUGAUUCAGCAUGGAUUAAAAAACCACAGUACUUAAUUCCGUGUAUCCUAAAUUCAAGCGUCAUGUUCGACGAAUUUCACCAUAGAUUUACAUGCCUGUGGACUUGUAGAACCAACAGCGCACUCUACAACAUCCGACAGAUAAAUCGAUCUGCUUUCCGUUCGCUGUAGGUUGUUCAUUGGGAAGCAGCACGAUCCACUUUAGACCACCAUCAGUAGACCUGAUCCUACGCUGCAUCGCAUUGUUAUAUUGCAGUCAGCUCGGAACUUAUGUCAAGGAGAAUAGUUAGACGAUGGAUUUGAUAUUUGGCCUUUUUGAGAUCUGAAACGUGUGUGUACUUCGUAGCUGUCAGCAGGUGGAAGGCCGUCCUGACAAAGAGGCAUAUUGCAUCCUAAAUUCAAGCACCAUGUUCGAAAAAAAAUCAGUAUGGGUUUACUUGCCUGUGGACUUGUAGAACCAACAUCAAACCCGACAAAAUCGGACAGAUAAAUCGAUCUGCUUUCCGUUCGUAGUAGGUUCUCCAAUGGGCAGCAGCACGAUCCACUUUAGACCACCUGAUCCUACGCUGCAUCUUGCAGUCAGCUCCGAACUUAACCCAGAAGAAUAGUUAGACGAUGGAUUUGAUAGUUGGCCUUUUUUUAGAUCAGAAUUGUAGGUGCAGGGUGGCUCGGCGAUCCUGACAAAGAUGAGAUUGAUCGGGGUCGCUAAUAAUCCCUUGUAGCACCUGCCGGGAUCCUUUGUGGUUCGCCGAGUGCACUUGAUGGCGAUGGGAUCAAGGGAAGAGAAGAAUUGAAGGAGGUGGGGUCGAGGGACAUGUUUUUCCUAUUUUAGGGGGAGAUAUCUUUCCUUUCUGUUUUUGCGUGAUUGUUUUCGUUUUUCAAUCGGCCGAAGAUUUUAUUGACAGAUCUAUUUUCUUUUUCUUUUCAUCACGGGAUUUUACAUGAAAGGAGGCUAUCUUUUUUUAGCAUGGAAGGAAGAUAUCUUUUUUAAAGGAACCGAUGGAUGCUUUGUUUGUUUGUUAAGCCAAUCUUGACGGUGUCGCGUUCCUUUAUUUUUUACGGGGCCAUAUAUGCUACCAUUGAUUGCAAUUAGUUUUUUUCUCUUGGAGAUGGAUUAUUUGUUUGUUGAACGUGUCUGCCUUAAUUAUGGAUGGACCAUCUGUGUAACGCAUGUUUACUUUUUAUCUUGGACGUUAAUUCUAUAAUCUAUCGGUGUAAUUAAUUUUGAUGAUGUGGAUUAAUGAGAAGGCCUUAAAAGGUGCCUCCAAUUAGUAAAUAUAUAAGAUAUAAGAUAUUGAUUCAUGGAAUAAGUUUAAGGAUGAAUUUAUUUCCAAGUAUUUUCCUCCCGCUAAGAUCAUCUCUCUUAGGAACGACAUUAUGAAUUUUAACCAACUUGAUCAUGAACAUGUUGCACAAUCUCCGUAGAGGAUGAAAUUGAUGAUAUGAAAUUGCCCUACACAUGGUUUGAAUAUGUGGAUGAUUAUACAAUUUUUUAUGCCGGAUUGAAUUUUGCUUCUAGAAAUCUUUUAGAUUCGGCCGUGGGAGGUACUUUUAUGGAAAUUACUUUAGGAGAAGCUACUAAACUCCUAGAUAAUAUUACGGUUAAUUAUUCUCAAUGGUAUACUGAAAGAUCUUCCACUAGUAAAAAAGUGCAUGCGAUUGAUGAGUUUAAUGUUUUGAGUGGAAAGAUGGAUGACCUUAUGAAAUUAUAUGCUAGCAAGAGUGCUUCUGUUGAUCCUAAUGAUAUGCCUUUGUCUACUUUGAUUGAGAAUAAUAAUGAAUCUAUGUAUGUGAAUUUUGUUGGUAGGAACAAUUUUGGUAAUAACGCUUAUGGAGGUAAUUUUAAUCCUAGACUGCUUCCUAAUAAUUCCCCUAAUAAUUAUGGCAAUUCCUACAACAAUUCUUCACUGGUAGAAAAAGGGCCUGUAGUCCCGGUUCGUAAGGGCCUUUAGUCCCGGUUCCUGAACCGGGACUAAAGUGUCGGUACUAAUACCUCCCACCUUUAGUCCCGGUUCAAUCCAGAACCGGGACUAAAGCCCAUCCACGUGGGCAGUGUGCAGAGCCCAGUCAGGAGACCCUUUGGUCCCGGUUGGUGGCACCAACCGGGACCAAUAGGCAUCCACGCGUCAGCAUUUCUGUGNNNNNNNNNNNNNNNNNNNNNNNNNNNNNNNNNNNNNNNNNNNNNNNNNNNNNNNNNNNNNNNNNNNNNNNNNNNNNNNNNNNNNNNNNNNNNNNNNNNNNNNNNNNNNNNNNNNNNNNNNNNNNNNNNNNNNNNNNNNNNNNNNNNNNNNNNCCGGUUCAAUCCAGAACCGGGACUAAAGCCCAUCCACGUGGGCAGUGCGCAGAGCCCAGUCAGGAGACCCUUUGGUCCCGGUUGGUGGCACCAACCGGGACCAAUAGGCAUCCACGCGUCAGCAUUUCUGUGGCUAGGGUUUUUAUUUUUAUUUUUUGAAAGGGGGGGGGGGUUGGGGGUUUUGGGGGGUUAAUUUAGGUGUUUCAUAUAUUGUGUUAGCUAGCUAUAAUUAAUAUAGAGAAGUGUCCUCUCUUAUGUCCGUGCUUGGUCGACGCUACGUACUAUACAUACGUAUAGAGAGGACUAGACACGCUGGCUAGCUAGUAAAGCAAACGAAGGAAACAGAAGAUCGUCAUGAACAUAUAUGCAUACAGAGAGAAGUGAUAUCGACCACCUCUCCUUCUCCGAGAGAUUGGUCGAACAACAAGUUCUCGUAUAUCUAUCUGACAGUACCGGCUACAUAUAUACAGUAAUUAUCUCUUACAAAUAUAAUCAUACGGACUCAGGUUUAACAUAGAAUUCUCCGUCUUCAGGGAUCACGUGGUCAAAAAAGAAUGCCGCCAAUUCCUCUUGAAUUGCUCGCAUGCGAGCUGGUGCUAGGAGUUCAUCCCGCUUCCGAAACAUCUAAUUUGAAGAAGGGGGUCAAUACAUAUAUAUAUAUAUAUGAAUGAAUGAAACUCAACACAAAUGAUGGUAAUAAAAUAAAAUUGUGAAUAUUGUUAUUUACGUACUUCAUAUUGUUCGUUAGAGUACCCGCCCCGCUCACACGUCGUGUGACGGAUGGACUCGCAGAUGUAGUAUCCACAGAAAUCAUUCCCUUGUUCCUGCCACAACCACUUUACAAGAAAUAGAGGUCAAUCAAACUGAUAAGCAAGAAUGCUAAAUGGUAUUGAUGAAACUAGCGCUUGAAUCACUAGGAGAUGCGCGGAACAUGCUACUAUAGUACUUACUUUCGGGUGUCUAAAUUCUAGCUCCUUCGGCAGUCCCGGAACUUUUUUGGUGAAUUUUCUCCAAACCAUGCCGGACAAAGAAAACAAUUACUUGAUAUCAGGAAAUGAACAAAGUUGCUGAUAUGGUGGAUAAUGAUCGAUUUAACUUACUUCUUGAGGAUUUCAGUCAUGUCUGCAUAGUCCUGCGGAUCUUUUCGUUUUGAGUCUAAGAAGGUUACUAGUCCCUGCUCAAGCUUAAUCUCUAGGAGAAUAUAGUGGAAACUGCACACGCAUGCAUAACUUAUGAAUUACAUUACUAUAACCUUGAGUAAUAUAUAAGGGAAACCGAAUACGCACAAGACAGUAGCACUCACUUGAAGUUGUAAGGAAAGAGUAUUAUAUCUUUGUUUUGAUUUAUUACGAACGAUUGUAGAAAGUUGGCCUCGGUAGCUGUGACAUGAAGUUUAACCUGAAUUGCAUCUAUGAGAUAUGUGUUAAUGAACCCAAUAUCACCGACUUGUCUUUUCUUCAAUUCGACGAUCUUCAAUCUGCAUAAUAUAGUGAGGAUGAUUAUAAAUACAUGCAAUGAAAGAGCUAAGCUAUAUAGAGAAACUUAAUGACAGAAGUAGUACUACUUACAGACAGUAGCAGGCGACCGUUGUUUUAUCGAGGGCCAAUUGAUUGAAAAACUGAUAGAACUCCUCAAAUGGAACAGGCAACAGAUCAAUUCCAACGAGGUCAUGCUCCUUUUUAACUCUCACAUACAAAGUACUCCUCCCCCAGAGUCUCUGCAGAUUUUCAAGUACCAAUCAUGCAAUCUUCGCAUCAUCGUUGAUAGAGAUCUUUCAUCUUUGACGAGAGGCUUCCCGUACUCGUAUCUUUGCAUCUGCAUGUCCAUGGGUUCAUAAUGUACUUCGUCGGGUAGGUAAUCUGCAAGAUUAUUAUAACCGGGCACCAUCCUCGGAUCAUUAGCGACUUUGUGGCUAGGCACCUUGAGCGAGGGGCAUGAUUGCUUCGCUUGUUUGCCGAGCUGGGCAAUUUGUUUCCCAGCUCGUCGUUUUUUCAGCCUUUCAUCACUGACAGUAGUUCCCGACCGCUCCGCUUCGGCAAAUUCCUUUCCAAUAAUGCGGUCAUAGUUUCCUUUCGGCGGAUCAGACUUUGGUGGUUUUGUCAGGGCAGCCAGAGUGCGCUUCACUUUCACCCCAUCUACCUUCUCCUCUGGAGGUGGAUGUUUCUUUGCUUUCACCCCUUCAAAGAAUUUCCUCACUUCUUCUCACGCGAUCUCGGCGUUCUCCUCCUGGGUCCUCUCGUAUGGUAACUUCUCUGGAGUCUUCAGAGAAGGACCGAAUCUGUAUGUCCUCCCGCCUCUGGUUGUACUGCUAGACGCCGACCGAGCAAACGAAGCGGUUGUCUUCUUUACUUGCUUAAGAGGCGGAGGAGAAGGACUACGACCCGCCGGAGCAGCUGGAGCGGCGGCAGGUCUCUUCUGCCCUUGCUGACGAGGCGGAGAAGGAGGAGGUUGGCUGCUCGGGCGCGUCGGCGCAGGCGGAGACGGAGGCGGAGUGCCGCCACGCGCCGGAGAAGGAGCCGGCCGAGGGCCCUGAUCCUCACUCGCCGGAGGAGGAGGUGGUGGAGGAGGCGGAGUGCCCUGACUCGCCGGAGGAGGAGGAGGAGGCGGAGGCGUCCAGUUCGGAAGGUUGAUGAGGUCCUUCCGCCAUAGGCAUGGAGUCUUCAGAGCAGACCCCAGCCGAGUCUCCCCUUCACCGGUAGGGUGGUCAAGCUGGAGGUCCUCAAAUCCCUCCGUUAUCUCAUCCACCAUCACCCUAGCAUAUCCUUCUGGAAUCGGCAUGCAGUGAAAAGUUGCGCCGGGUUCAGUAGGAUAAACAGAGCCAACAGCCGCCUUGACCUUCAAAUUCAUCCAUUGCGUCAUAAGGUGGCAAUUUUGAGACUCCGUUAUAGCAUCCACAGGAUAGCUGGCAGGAGCCGUCAAGGCAUGCUGCAGCUGAAGCUGCUCGGUGGAAGCCACGCUGCUUCUGCGCUGAGAUGGCGGGGUAGCUUCGGGGGAGGCUUCGGCAGUACGUUUGUUGCGAUUUGCUUCUCGUUCCUCUAUCGCUUGUACCCUUGCGUGCAGCGCCUGCAGUUCGGUCUGCUGCACUUUUUUCCUCCUCUCAUGGGAUUUGUAACCGCCUGCGUCCGGAAACCCAACCUUCCACGGAACGGAGCCUGGCGUGCCUCGUGUCCGUCCAGGGUGCUCAGGAUUCCCGAGGGCCAUUGUGAGCUCGUUGUGCUCUCUGUCUGGAAAGAACGUCCCUUCCUGCGCUGCGUCGAUAUAGUGCUUAAGCUUACUGACUGGUAUGUCCAUUUGUUCGUUCGUCCAAAUGCAGUUCCCUAUUUCAGGGUCCAAGGUUCCGCCACCCCCGAAGAACCAAGUCCGGCAACGGUCUGGCCAGUUAUUUGUCUCUGGUCCGAUCCCUUUAUGAACCAGAUCAUUCUCAACCAUGGACCACUUAGGCCGGGCUACGAGGUAGCCACCUGACCCCGUGCGAUGGUGAAGCUUCUUCUUCGCGGCAUUCUGCUUGUUUGUCGCCGACAUCUUCUUACUCUUUUCCGAUGUCUUGUAGGCCACAAAUGCGGGCCAGUGAUCUCUGAUCUUCUCAUAUCUUCCCUUGAAUUCUGGUGUCUCUUUUUUAUCGACAAACCUAUUCAGCUCUUUCUUCCACCUCCUGAAUAGAUCUGCCAUCCUCUUCAGAGAAAAAGACUUGAUUAAUUUCUCUUUAAUUGGGUUCUCUGGAUUAUCCUCUGGCGGUAGGGUGAAAUUUGACUUCAGCUCAGUCCAAAGAUCAUUUUUCUGCAUAUCAUUGACAUAAGACACCUCAGGGUCUUCUGUAGCCGGCUUAAACCAUUGCUGGAUGCUUAUCGGGAUCUUGUCCCUAACCAGAACCCCGCACUGAGCAACAAAUGCCCUCUUUGUCCGGAGGGGUUCAAUAGGUUGGCCGUCGGGCGCGAUUGCUGUGAUCUCAAGCUUUUCAUCCGAGCUCAACUUUUUCUUCGGGCCUCGUCUCUUUACCGAAGUUGUGCUCGAUCCGGAGGGCUAGAAAAAAGAACAAAGACUUAAUUAAUAUGUGUACAUACCAAAACAAUGAAUGCAUCAAUCAGCUAGUCAGCAUAGGCUUAACUAAUAUAUAUACCUGGCCGGACUCGGUUCGGUCACCGGAGCCGUCAUCACGGUCUCCUUCUUGCACCGGCAUUGGGUCACCGGCGCCGUCCUCAUGUUCUUCUUCUUGCACCGGCAUUAGGUCACCGUAGCCAGCUUGUUCACCCUCUCCUUCCGGACCAUCGAUGAUAUCGUUGAGAUAGUACGAGACGGCAUCACUUCCUUGUGCGAUUAUCUCCCUCAACAACGCUUCUUUUGUUGCUUCGUCUAGGGCGGUGUCCAUAGUUUCUACAAAUAUUUACAACAUGGCAAUUAUUAUUCAAACAUGACAGAUGGAUAUAUUAGUGCCAAACGUAGAACUACCUACCUAAUCAUAGUAAGCUAUCGGGAGGGGGUAUAUAUCGACAACGACGACACUACAUCUAUAUAUGUCCCUCGAUGACCCUCGUUCCUGAUAAAAAAAGAGGAAGAAGAAGAAAAAAAAGAGGAGAAGAAAGAAUAGAGGAGAAGAACUCCUCUAUUCUUUCUUCUCCUCUUUUUUCUUCUUCUUCCUCUUCUUUUUUUAUCCUCUUCUUCCUCUCAUGUUCGAGAGGAUCGCCUUGGGGUCGGGAGGUUGCCUAGUGUCAAAGGAUUCAACAAAACCAUGUCUUCAUCAUUAGGCGAAAGUAACAUGUGCAUGAUGGUAGGAAGCUCUUCAAAGUUGUUCUGGAACGGAGUCCCAGAUAGGAUAAUUCGCUUUUUGGUACAAAGUUCAGCAAGAGCCUUCCGAAUAUCGCUAUUUGGAAGGCCUUUGCUGAAUUCGUACCAAAAGGCGGAUUAUUCUAUCCGGGACUCCAUUCCAGAACAACUUUGCAGAACUUCAUACCAACAUGCCCUGGUUACUUCCGGCUAAUGAUGAAGGCAUGGAUUUCUUCAAUACUUUGACACUAGGAAACCUCUCUCGACCCCUCGGCGAUUCUUGACCCCUCGAACCCUCAACGACCCUGAAACCCUCGACGCUUGACCCCUUAACGACCCUCGACCCUCUACCCUAGUUCCCGACCCUCGACCAAUAGAGGAGAAGAAGAAAGGAAUAGCUAGAGGAGAAGAUCGAAGAAAAAAAAGAAGAAACAAAAGAGGAGAAGAAGAAAGGAAUAGUGGAGAAGAAGAGAAAAUAGAAUAUAUAUUCUAUUUUCUCUUCUUCUCCACUAUUCCUUUCUUCUUCUCCUCUUCUUUUUCUUCUGUUUUCUUCUUCUUAUUUAUUUCUCCUCUUCUUUUCGGUAGAGGAAACCCUAAAUAGCUAGCAAGUAUCGUGGGUGUGAGAUACAUGUGGCCUUCGGUGUCGGACACUACAUCCACGUCCCACAAGUGACGUGGGCGUCGAAACCCGCGCCACUUGUGGGAUGUGGAUGUAGUGUCCGACACCGACGGUACAUGUAUCUCACACCGACGAUACUUUCUAUUUAGGGUUUCUCCUCUACCACUCGGCGGCCCUCUCGACGACCCUCGUUCCCGAUAAUAUAAAGAGGAAGAAGAAGAAGAAAAAAGAAGAGAAGAAAGAAUAGAGGAGACGAACCCUCGAACCCUCGAACCCUAGACGACCCUCUUCUUCCUCUCAUGUUCGAGAGGAUCGCCGAGGGGUCGGGAGGUUGCCUAGUGUCAAAGGAAACCCUAAAUAGCUAGCAAGUGUCAUGGGUGUGAGAUACAUGUGGCCUUCGGUGUCGGACACUACAUCCACGUCCCACAAGUGACGUGGGCGUCGAAGCCCGCGCCACUUGUGGGAUGUGGAUGUAAUGUCCGACACCGACGGUACAUGUAUCUCACACCGACGAUACUUUCUAUUUAGGGUUUCUCCUCUACCACUCGGCGGCCCUCUCGACGACCCUCGUUCCCGAUAAAAUAAAGAGGAAGAAGAAGAAGAAAAAAGAAGAGAAGAAAGAAUAGAGGAGAAGUCUCCUCUAUUCUUUCCUCGCCUCUCUCAUGAAUGUCCGGCGUUCUCGACCCCCCCCCCUCCCCACGUGUCGAAGAAAAAAAAGAAGAAAAAAAAGAGGAGAAGAAGAAAGGAAUAGAGGAGAAAAGAGAAAAAUAGAAUAUUCNNNNNNNNNNNNNNNNNNNNNNNNNNNNNNNNNNNNNNNNNNNNNNNNNNNNNNNNNNNNNNNNNNNNNNNNNNNNNNNNNNNNNNNNNNNNNNNNNNNNNNNNNNNNNNNNNNNNNNNNNNNNNNNNNNNNNNNNNNNNNNNNNNNNNNNNNNNNNNNNNNNNNNNNNNNNNNNNNNNNNNNNNNNNNNNNNNNNNNNNNNNNNNNNNNNNNNNNNNNNNNNNNNNNNNNNNNNNNNNNNNNNNNNNNNNNNNNNNNNNNNNNNNNNNNNNNNNNNNNNNNNNNNNNNNNNNNNNNNNNNNNNNNNNNNNNNNNNNNNNNNNNNNNNNNNNNNNNNNNNNNNNNNNNNNNNNNNNNNNNNNNNNNNNNNNNNNNNNNNNNNNNNNNNNNNNNNNNNNNNNNNNNNNNNNNNNNNNNNNNNNNNNNNNNNNNNNNNNNNNNNNNNNNNNNNNNNNNNNNNNNNNNNNNNNNNNNNNNNNNNNNNNNNNNNNNNNNNNNNNNNNNNNNNNNNNNNNNNNNNNNNNNNNNNNNNNNNNNNNNNNNNNNNNNNNNNNNNNNNNNNNNNNNNNNNNNNNNNNNNNNNNNNNNNNNNNNNNNNNNNNNNNNNNNNNNNNNNNNNNNNNNNNNNNNNNNNNNNNNNNNNNNNNNNNNNNNNNNNNNNNNNNNNNNNNNNNNNNNNNNNNNNNNNNNNNNNNNNGGGACUAAAGGGGGGCAAUGGUCACGGUUGGUGCCACGAACCGUGACCAAUGCCACCUUUAGUCCCGGUUGGUGCCACCAACCGGGACCAAUGCCCUUGUGCGCCCCGCGCCCAGAAGUUUAGUCCCACAUCGCUAGCUGAAGGGCGCCGAUACUGGUUUAUAAGCGCUGCUCUGCCUCCCCUUUCGAGCUCCUCUCAAAUGCAGGCUUUCGGGCCUAAACUGCUACUGCCUGUGGGCCUAUUGGGCCUCUGCGGGCCUGAAUCCUGGCCCAUGUAGGGUUUCUAGUCGUAUUCAGGCCGUGGAGGCCCAGUAGGAGGCAUUUUUUUUGGUUUUUUCUUUUUUGUUUCUAUAUUUUUUUGGUUUUUUAUUUUUUUUAUUUCUACUUACAACUAAAUACUUACAGUUUUUUAGUGAUUUCUUUUUGCUUUUAGGUCACAAAAAUUAUAAACUUUCUAUUAGUGCCAUUAGUUUUAAAUUUUAAAUAGUUUAAAUUUGAAUUUUUAAAAAUUUGUGUGAAUCACUAGUUUAUGAAUAACUUUACUAUAAAGUUAGAAUUUGUUUUCUAUUUAUUUUUUAUUUCUACUUACAACUAAAUACUUACAGUUUUUUAGUGAUUUGUUUUUGCUUUUAGGUCACAAAAAUUAUAAACUUUCUGUUAGUGCCUUUAGUUUUAAAUUUUAAAUAGUUUAAAUUUGAAUUUUUAAAAAUUUGUGUGAAUCACUAGUUUAUGAAUUUUUUUCUUCUUUGCUAUUUAUUUUUGAUUUAUACUUACAAUUAAAUACUUAUAGUUUGCUUUUAGGUCACACAAAUUAUAUUCUUUUUGCUAUUGAAGAAUAUUAUAGUUUUAUUUUAGUUGAUCAUAACAUAAUAUUUUAAUUGAUUGUUUUUAUUUUCAUAAAAGUUUUGUAGUUCAUUCUGUUUGCUAUUAAUUCAUUCUUUGAGCUAAAUGACUCUGAAAUUGGAAAGCAUUUCAAAAUGAACUCUGAAAAGGUUGAAAGUUGGCAUGGUAUCAUCAUUUCACCCACAUAGCAUGUUCCAAAAAGUAGAGAGGGUUACGACAAAAACUUGAUGCACUUCGUGUACAAAAUGGACAAUCACUUUCGAAGUAUCAAAGUUUCAAACCAUAAGACAUGAAAGCAUUUCGAAUGAACUCUGAAAAAGUUGAAAGUUGGGAUGCAUGGUAUCAUAAUUUCACCCACAUAGCAUUUUCUUAUUGCGGGAGAAAGUCUUCACUUUUUCUUCGCUUGUGUCAUUUGCUUAUUGCGCCGUAACCAUGGAUAAUCUUCAUUGUUUUUAAGGAUGCUUGGGUCAGCCUUGACAUUGAAGGGAGGAAUUUCAUGAAACUUUUCAUAAUCUUCAGACAUGUCUGUCUUGCCGUCCACUCCCAGGAUGUCCCUUUUUCCUGAAAGAACUAUGUGGCGCUUUGGCUCAUCGUAUGAUGUAUUCGCUUCCUUAUCUUUUCUUUUUCUCGGUUUAGUAGACAUGUCCUUCACAUAGAUAACCUGUGCCACAUCAUUGGCUAGGACGAACGGUUCGUCAGUGUACCCAAGAUUUUUCAGAUCCACUGUUGUCAUUCCGUACUGUGGGUCUACUUGUACCCCACCGCCAAACAGAAUGACCCAUUUGCACUUAAACAAAGGGACCUUAAAAUCAGGUCCGUAGUCAAGUUCCCAUAUGUCCACUAUGUAACCAUAAUAUGUGUCCUUUCCUCUCUCGGUUGCUGCAUCAAAGCGGACACCGCUGUUUUGGUUGGUGCUCUUUUGAUCUUGGGCGAUCGUGUAAAAUGUAUUCCCAUUUAUCUCGUAUCCUUUGUAAGUCAAUACAGUCAAAGAUGGUCCCCUGGACAACAAGUACAACUCAUCACAAACAGUGUUGUCACCUCUGAGACGUGUUUCCAACCAACUCCUGAAAGUCCUGAUGUGUUCACAUGUAAUCCAGUCGUCGCAUUGCUCCGGGUGUUUGGAGCGCAGACUGUUCUUGUGUUCAUCGACAUACGGGGUCCCCAAGGUAGAGUUCUGUAGAACUGUGUAGUGUGCUUGAGACCAAGAAUAUCCGUCCCUGCAUAUUAUUGAGUCUCUUCCAAGAGUGCCUUUUCCAGUCAGUCUCCCCUCAUACCGCGAUUUAGGGAGACCUAUCUUGUUAAGGCCAGGAAUGAAGUCAACACAAAACCCGAUAACAUCCUCUGUUUGAUGGCCCAUGGAGAUGCUUCCUUCUGGCCUAGCGCGGUUACGGACAUAUUUCUUUAGGACUCCCAUGAACCUCUCAAAGGGGAACAUAUUGUGUAGAAAUACGGGCCCCAGGAUGACAAUCUCGUCGACUAGAUGAACUAGGACGUGCGUCAUGAUAUUGAAGAAGGAUUGUGGGAACACCAGCUCGAAACUGACAAGACAUUGCGCCACAUCACUCCUUAGCCUUGGUACCAUUUCUGGAUCGAUCACCUUCUAAGAGAUUGCAUUGAGGAAUGCACAUAGCUUCACAAUGGCUAAUCGGACGUUUUCCGGUAAAAGCCCCCUCAAUGCAACCAGAAGCAGUUGCGUCAUAAUCACGUGGCAGUCAUGAGACUUUAGGUUCUGAAACUUUUUCUCUGGCAUAUUUAUUAUUCCCUUUAUAUUCGAUGAGAAGCCAGUCAUGACCUUCAUACUAAGCAGGCAUUCAAAGAAGAUUUCUUUCUCUUCUUUCGUAAGAGUGUAGCUGGCAGGACCUUUAUACUGCUUCGGAGGCAUGUCAUCUUUUUUGUGCAAACGUUGCAGGUCCUCCCAUGCCUCCGGCGUAUCUUUUGUCUUCCCAUACACGCCCAAGAAGCCUAGCAGGUUCACGCAAAGGUUCUUCGUCACGUGCAUCACGUUGAUUGAGGAGCGGACCUCUAGGUCUUUCCAGUAGGGUAGGUCCCAAAAUAUAGAUUUCUUCUUCCACAUGGGUGUGUGUCCCUCAGCGUCAUUCGGAACAGCUAGUCCACCGGGACCCUUUCCAAAGAUGACGUAGGGUAAAUCAUUGACCAUAGCAAGCACGUGAUCACCGGUGCGCAUGGCGGGCUUCUUUCGGUGAUCUGCCUCGCCUUUGAAAUGCUUGCCUUUCUUUCGACAUUGAUGGUUGGUCGGAAGAAAUCGACGAUGGCCCAGGUGCACAUUCUUCCUGCAUUUGUCCAGGUAUAUACUUUCAGUGUCAUCUAAACAGUGCGUGCAUGCGUGGUAUCCUUUGUUUGUCUGUCCUGAAAGGUUACUGAGAGCGGGCCAAUCGUUGAUGGUCACGAACAGCAACGCCUUAAGGUUAAAUUCCUCCUGUCUGUGCUCAUCCCACGUACGUACACCAUUUUCAUUCCACAGCUGUAAAAGUUCUUCAACUAAUGGACUUAGGUACACAUCAAUUUCGUUGCCGGGUUGCUUAGGGCCUUGGAUGAGAACUGGCAUCAUAAUGAACUUCCGCUUCAUGCACAUCCAAGGAGGAAGGUUAUACAUACAUAGAGUCGCGGGCCAGGUGCUGUGAUUACUGCUCUGCUCCCCGAAAGGAUUAAUGCCAUCCGCGCUUAAAGCAAACCAUACAUUCCUAGGGUCCUUUGCAAACUCAUCCCAGUACUUUCUCUCGAUUUUUCUCCACUGCGACCCGUCAGCGGGUGCUCUCAACUUCCCAUCUUUCUUUCGUUUCUCACUGUGCCAUCGCAUCAACUUGGCAUGCUCUUCGUUUCUGAACAGACGUUUCAACCGUGGUAUUAUAGGAGCAUACCACAUCACCUUUGCAGGGACCCUCUUCCUGAGGGGCUCGCCGUCAACAUCACCGGGGUCAUCUCGUCUGAUCUUAUACCGCAACGCACCGCAUACCGGGCAUGCGUUCAGAUCCUUGUAUGCACCGCGGUAGAGGAUGCAGUCAUUAGGGCAUGCAUGUAUCUUCUCCACCUCCAAUCCUAGAGGGCAUACGACCUUCUUUGCUGCGUAUGUACUGUCGGGCAAUUCGUUAUCCUUUGGAAGCUUCUUCUUCAAUAUUUUCAGUAGCUUCUCAAAUCCUUUGUCAGCCACAGCAUUCUCUGCCUUCCACUGCAGCAAUUCUAGUACGGUACUGAGCUUUGUGUUGCCAUCUUCGCAAUUGGGGUAUAACCCUUUUUUGUGAUCCUCUAACAUGCGAUCGAACUUCAGCUUCUCCUUUUGACUAAUGCAUUGCGUCCUUGCAUCGACAAUGACCCGGCGGAGAUCAUCAUCAUCGGGCACAUCGUCUGGUUCCUCUUGAUCUUCAGCAGCUUCACCUGUGGCAGCAUCAUUGGGCACAUCAUCAUCUGGUUCCUCUUGAUCUUCACCAGCUCCCCCCGUUGCAGCAUCACCGUAUUCAGGGGGCACAUAGUUGUCAUCGUACUCUUCUUCUUCGCCGUCUUCCAUCAUAACCCCUAUUUCUCCGUGCCUCGUCCAAACAUUAUAGUGUGGCAUGAAACCCUUGUAAAGCAGGUGGGAGUGAAGGAUUUUCCGGUUAGAGUAAGACCUCGUAUUCCCACAUUCAGUGCAUGGACAACACAUAAAACCAUUCUGCUUGUUUUCCUCAGCCGCAUCGAGAAACUCAUGCACACCCUUAAUGUACUCGCGGGUGUGUCUGUCACCGUACAUCCAUUGCCGGUUCAUCUGCGUGCAUUAUAUAUAAUUAAGUGUCCAAAUUAAUAGAAGUUCAUCAUCACAUUAAAACCAAAGUGCAUACAUAGUUCUCAUCUAACAACAUAUAGCUCUCCAGAGCAUCUAAUUAAUUAAACCAUACAUUGAAACUAUGUAAAACAUUUCAAUGCGAAAACAAAUGCGAUCAUAAUCGCAACCAAGGUAACAAUUGAUCCAACGGCAUAAUGAUACCAAGCCUCGGUAUGAAUGGCAUAUUUUCUAAUCUUUCUAAUCUUCAAGCGCAUUGCAUCCAUCUUGAUCUUGUGAUCAUCGACGACAUCCGCAACAUGCAACUCCAAUAUCAUCUUCUCCUCCUCAAUUUUUUUUAUUUUUUCCUUCAACAAAUUGUUUUCUUCUUCAACUAAAUUUAACCUCUCGACAAUAGGGUCGGUUGGCAUUUCCGAUUCACAUACAUCCUAGAUAAAUAAAAUCUAUGUCACGUUGGUCAGCAUAAUUUUCAUAAACAAUAAAUGAACCAAUAGUUAUAAAGAUAAUAUACAUACCACAUCCGAAUCAUAGACAGGACGAGGGCCGACGGGGGCGGAUACCAAAACCAUCGCACUAUAUAAGAUGCAAUAAUAAAUGUAAGAAAAUGAUACAAGUAUCUAUCUAAACAUACAAGUAAGAAUAUUUUUCCUUUCAGAAAGAAGAUAAGAACAAGAGGCUCACCACGGUGGUGUCGGUGAUGAGAUCGGCGCGGGUGAUCGACGGCAGUGAAGACGGGGACGGGGCGUGACGGACCGCUAAAUCUAGACAAAUCUCGAGGAAAAUGGAGCUUGGAGGUCGAGCUUCGAGAGGAGAAAGCUUAAGUAGUGUGGCUCGGGCAUUCCAUCGAACACCUCAUGUGCAUAGGAGGUGAGCUAGAGCACCACAAAGCCCUCUCCCCCUCGGCCAGAGAAAACAGAGCACUGGGGUGCUCUGCUCACGAGCGAGGGGUAUAUAUAGGCACCUCAUUGGUCCCGGUUGGUGGCAUGAGCCGGGACUAAAGGGAAGCCUUUGGUCCCGGUUCGGGCCACCAACCGGGACCAAUGAUGGUGGGCCAGGAGGGAGGCCCAUUGGUCCCGGUUCGUCCCACCAACCGGGACCAAAAGGUCCAUACGAACCAGGACCAAUGGCCCACGUGGCCCGGCCGGCCCCCUGGGCUCACGAACCGGGACCAAUUCCCACAUUGGUCCCGGUUCAAGACUGAACCGGGACUAAUGGGCUGAGGCGGCCUGGACCAUAGCCCCUUUUUCUACUAGUGCUUAUGGAAAUUAUAAUAAGAUGCCCUCUAAUUUUGAGAAUAGUGUUAAAUAAUUUAUGAGUUCGCAAAAGAAUUUCAAUGCUUUGAUUGAAGAAAAAUUGCUUAAGAUUGGUGAUUUGGCUAGGAACGUGGAUAGAACUACCCUUGAUGUCGAUUCUUUGAAACUUAGAUCUAUUUCACAUAAGCAUGAUAUCAAUGAGUCUCUCAAGGCUAUGAGAAUUCCCAUUGAUGAGUGCAAGGAAAGAACCGCUAAGAUGCGUGCUAAAAAAGAUUGGUUUAUAAAAGCGUGUUCUUCUAGCUAGUUUCCGUGAAAAUAAUGAUGAAGAUCUUAAAGUGAUUGAUGUGACUCCUAUUGAAUUUUUGUUUUCCAAUAUAAAUCUUGAGAAAGAUGGGACUGGAUAUGAGUCAACUUUAGUUAGAAGGCGUCCCAAUGAUUCGGAGUUUUUAGAUAUUAAUGCAAAAAUUGAUAAAAGUGGGAUUGGAGAGGUUAAAACUUUAGGUAGUAAUGAACCCACUCUUUUGGAUUUCAAGGAAUUUAAUUAUAAUAAUUUCUCUUUAAUAGAUUGUAUUUCCUUGUUGCAAUCCAUGUUGAAUUUUCCUCAUGCUUAUAAUCAAAACAAAGCUUUUACUAAACAUAUCAUUGAUGCUAUGAUGCAAUCCUUUGAAGAAAAGCUUGAAUUGGAAGUUUCUAUUCCUACACUAGUAGACAAAGGGUCAAACAUGAAGCACAUUAGUGCCGGUUUGAAUUUGAGCCGGCACUAAUGUGUGCAUUAGUGCCGGUUCCAACGGCUAGCCGGCCGCUCUCAUUAGUACCGGUUCAUGGCGAACCUUUAGCACCGGUUCGUGCCACGAACCGGUACUAAAGUGAGUGGUGGCAGGAUGUUGUCACUCCGGGGCCCCUCCAGCACCUUUAGUACCGGGUCGUAUCACGAACCGGUCCUAAAGGCCGUCCUACAUAGACCCUUCGUCCACCCGAGCUCGCUCUGUUCUUCCCCUUUCCCCUCUCCUCUUUGUACUUUUCCCUCUUCCUCUCAAUCUCAUCACACAUUUUGCCCAAAAUUUGUCAAGAUUUGAAGGCCCCCAUCCAUUCAAAUGAUCACAAAGGUUAGCAACUUUUUCCUUUCAUCUCUCAUUGCUAGAUUAGCUCGUGCAAUGCUUUAUAUAGUGAUUGAUUUUUGAGUUUAGUAAUUUGGGAGGAAUUAUAUAUAUGUGCUAGUAUUUGAUUUAUAUGCAAUUUUAGGUCAAAAAUAACACUUAGUUUGCAUAUGUAGGUGUGGUUUACGUAGUACCUUCUAAAUCUCCGUCGUAACCACCGUCGAUCGCUCGCAACGUCCCGUCACCAGCACCACCUUUUGGUGAGCCUCUUGUUCAUGAAGUUUUAUAUAAAAAAUUGAUGUUUGUGUGAUUUGGAUAUAUAGUUACUCGUAUAAUUAUCUUACCCAUACGUUGUUUGUUAUACAUAGUGCCAUGGUUUUGAUAUCCGUCCCCGUUGGCCCUCGUCCGGGUUAUGAUUCGGAUGUGGUAUAUUCUAUUUUAAAACUAUUCAUUGCAUUUCGUGUUUAUGACAAAUUAUGCCCAUCAAGUUGACAUAGAUAUUUGUAUGUAGGAGGUAGUUGAAACGGAAAUUCCAACCGACCCUAUUGUCGAGAGGUUAAAUUUAGUUGAAAGAGAAAACGAGGAUUUGAAGGAAAAAUUGAAAAGAAUUGAGGGGGAGAAGAUGGAAUUGGAGUUGCAUGUUGCCGAUGUCGUCGAUGAUCACAAGAUUAAGAUGGAGAAAAUGCGCUUGAAGAUUAGAAAGAUUAGAAAAUAUGCCAUUCAUAGUGAGGCUUGGUAGCAUUAUGCUGUUGGAUCAAUUGUUACCUUAGUUGCGAUCUUGAUCGCAUUUGUUGUUGCAUUUAAAUUCUUUAGCUAGGGACUUAUUUGUUUGUUGCAUUUAAGUGUUGUAUGAUCUUUAUGUAUGAACCUUAUGUAUUGUAUUAAUUUGAUGUUUUCGGUGUUGUGUAUUGAAGAUGAGCCGGCAAUGGAUGUACGAUGACUGAUGCUCUCCCAAGUUCAUUAAUGGCGUGCGUACUUUUCUGCUUGCGGCUGAGGCAAACAAGCGAGCGGAUGGUUGUAUGCCUUGUCCAUGUGCUGGCUGUAAGAAUGGUCACAGUUACUCUACGUCAAGAACCAUUCACGUCCACCUGUUUGAGUCUGGUUUCAUGCCCCACUAUAAUGUUUGGACCAAGCAUGGAGAAAGAGGGGUUAUGAUGGAAGACAAUGAAGAAGAAGAGGACGACGAAAGCUAUCCUGGCCAUGGGUUCCCUGAAUACGGUGAUACAACAAUGAGGGAAGAAGCUGAGCCGGUAAUGCGGGAAGAAGCUGAGCCGGCAAUGCGGGAAGAAGCUGAACAAGAGGCACGGAUGAGCCCGUUGAUGAUCUAGGUCGGGCCAUUGCCGAUGCAAAGAGAAACCGCGCUAGUGAUUUGGAGAAGAAGAAGUUGCAGCGCAUGUUAGAGGAUCACAAAAAUUGUUGUACCCGAAUUGCGUAGGUGACAAGAAAAAGCUAGGCACCACACUGGAAUUGCUGCAAUGGAAGGCAAAGAAUGGUGUAUCUGACAUGGGAUUUGGAAAGUUGCUGGUAAUGAUAAAGGAUAUGCUUCCAAAGGACAACAAAUUGCUCGAGAGUACGUACGAAGCAAAGAAGAUUGUCUGCCCUCUAGGGUUAGAGGUGCAGAUGAUACAUGCAUGCCCUAAUGAUUGCAUCCCCUACCACGGUGAGUAUGAGGAUUUGAAAGCUUGCCCGGUAUGAGGUGCAUUGCGCUAUAAGAUCAGCCACGAUGACCAUGGUGAUGUCGAGGGCGAGCGCCCCAGGAAGAAGAUACCUGCCAAGGUGAUGUGGUAUGCUCCUAUAAUACCAUGGCUGAAACGUUUGUUCCAAAACAAUGAGCAUGCCAAGGCGAUGUGAUGGCACAGAGAAGACCGUAAGAAAGACGGAAAGUUGAGAGUACCCGCUGACGGGUCGCAGUGGAGAAAAAUCGAAAGAAAGUACGGGAAGGAGUUUGCAGAUGACGCAAGGAACGUAUGGUUUGGUCUAAGCGCAGAUGGCAUUAAUCCUUUUGGGGAGCAGAGCAGCAACCAUAGCACCUGGCCUGUGACUCUAUGUUUGUAUAACCUUCCUCCUUGGUUGUGCAUGAAGCGGAAGUUCAUUAUGAUGCCAGUGCUCAUCCAAGGCCCUAAGUGUCAGGACCCCGAUUCCAAGUCACAUCGUUCUAGCCGGUAACACCUCAUAUCACUUUGCGGCCUCAUGCACGGUAUCCCACAGGUGUCGCCUUACCAUGGCCCGGGACCGUUUGCGCCUUUUGGCUCACGUAUAUGAUAGUGUCGCUAGCAUCCAUAUGACAGAGAACCCGGGCCGACAUGGCUAGUCGUGAACCCAAAGCGGCACAGACCUAUGGAGACAGGCAUACAUGAAUCACAUCAAGCAUGUCAGUCAUCAGUGAGUGAAUCCGGGCUGUAGCACUGGGCUAACAGGACUCCGGGGAACCCGGGCUGUAGCAGGCUAGGCAGGACUCCGGAUGUCACCGCGUGACAUUUCCCCGAAGGGACAGACAUAGGAACGACGUGAAACACAUGCCGGCCAGUCAAGUGUCCUGAGCAGUAGUGCUGGGCUAGCAGGACUCCGGUGAACCGGGCUGUAGCGGACUACUAUGGCUCGAGGAACACUAGACUACGUUUCCCCAUAAGAAAGGCUGCCAAGGAUAAACAACUAGAUUGUCGGAUCCCACUCAUACCAAGCAUUUCAAUCAUACACACAAUAUGCCCGAUAUGAGUACAUACAACAUGGCAUCACAAGAAAACUCUACAACUCAAAUACUUUAUUUAAAGGCUCCAGAGAGCCAUACAUAACAUGUUCAUACAGAUAGGGGUCACAUGACCCGACACUCAAGUCAUACAAUCAUACAAGCACAAGCGGAAGCAACUAGUCUGAGUACAGACACUAGAAAGAAAGAAGGCUUCUCGAAGCCUGUCUAUCUACAUAGGUCUCUCCAUGGCCAGGAUCACCACCUGGGUGGCUAGUCACUCGUCGACGUCAAGGUCUACGUAGAACCCAUCGGAGGGGCGGUGUUGUCAUCUGAAAACCGUAAUUAAGCAAACAUGAGUACAAAGGUACUCAGCAAGUCUUACAACAUAACCUACUAUAAAUGCUCAUUCUCAAGAAGGUGGUGGGGUUAUUGCAGCAAGCCAGCUUUGACUCUUGGCUAAGCUAUCCUACGGAACUCCACUAGUAAAAUAGUUUUCGCACACGAGUCCACUACUCACCAACAUAAUACUCCACCGGGGAUCCUCUCUCGUCAUCCUACGAGAGGGCCAUCCUCGGUACUCACACUUAUCUUGAGUCUUUUAGUAAUAACCAUUAACUUGUCUAUGAACUGUAUAGGCAACCAGGUAGUCCUUUACCGCGGACGCGGCUAUUCGAAUAGUUUUAUACCCUGCAGGGGUGUACUUCCUCAUACACGCUUUCACCACUUACCGCCGUUUACACGACAUGUACUCGGCAACCUUCAAGCCUUGGCCCAACGAGGGUGUCGGCCACGGCCUACCUAAACACUCAAAUCUCUAGUCCAGGUGCAUCGCCUAUCCAAGUUCCAUCCGCAGGGAGUCCGGCCGAGGUUUCCACAUACGGCCCCGAACGAUGUGAACAGGGUUCCCGAGACACCAAACAGGUGACUCGGUACACCGUGCCACGGUGUAUCUACCGCAACAUAGCCCACCCCUAGGGUCAGUGCUACGCACGGCCGCCAACACAUAACCUACAAACACCAGAAACUAUUUGCAACUCCUGGACAGAGUACUAGGGUAUUUAAGAAGCCGAGAGGGUCAAUUAAGGAUCCCAAUGCAUGGUAGUAGCUGAAUCUUAAAAUCACACAUACAGAUCUCAGUUCUUAGGGACGGCCUCAAUAAAACAACCCACCAUGUACUCCUACAUGGCCUCUCAUCGAUACCUUUACCAAAUCAUGUUCAUCACAUCCCUCACAUUACCGAUAUAACCAUUUCACUCUAGCCCAUCACCCAGAUGGACCAGACCUGACACAACUCUAAGCAUAGCAGGCAUAGCAAGGUAGGAAACACAUACCUGGCUCAAUCAACUCCUACACAUGCUAGUGGGUUUCAUCUAGUUACUGUGGCAAUGACAGGUCAUGCAGAGGAAAAGGGUUCAACUACCGUAGCACACAACAAUUUGAAUCGCGUUGUCUUAAUGCAGUAAACAAGAGCAGAAGCGAGAACAUGGGUUUGUAUCAGAAUGAUCAAUGGUUGUUUGCCUGUUGUAGUGGUAGUAGGGUACUGCCCUUCAGACGGAUACUCGGGGUUAUCCUCGGAGGCAGAACCUACCACGAAAGAUACACCGAACAUAAUCAACACAUGACAAUAUGCAACGGUAUGAUGCAUGCUAUGACAUGGCAAAAUGAAUGUGUCUUGGCCUAAUGCAAGCUGAAACAGGAUGGAAUGAACUCAUUUGAAUCAAAGAUUCAAAUGUUAGCUCAUUUAACAUGGCCUUAUUAGUGCAUUAUCUUAUUCUGCUUAAAUAGCAAGGUUAACUUGUUUUGUCAUGCAUGAAACCAUUACAGAUGGACAGAUUGAAUUUUUUUGAUCAUUUUUCAUAUAUAAAUCUUUGCAUUUGGAGCUAUGGUUGAUUUUCUAAGAUUUUUAGAAGUUUUGGCUAUUUACUGGAAUUUCCUAUUAAAGAAUAAAUCCAGUAAUUGAAUUAAUGCGUCAGCAUGACAUAGGUGUGAUGUCAGCGGGUCAACUGGGUUGGCCAGGUCAAACCUGACUGGCGGGCCCUGUCUGUCAGUGACUCAGCUAAUUAACAGAGUUAAAUUAACUCUAAUUAACUAAAAGUGGGGCCUGGGCCCACAUGUCAGUGACUGAACUAAUUAAAUUUAGUUAAAACAAAUCCUAAACUAAUCAGCAGGCCGGCCCCACCUGUCAUAGACUAACCUGGGCCCACACGGGGGUCAAACAGGGUAAACUCGCCGGCGUCUAGCCGCCGGCGAGGCCAGACGCGGCGGAGCAGUGCGGGAUUUGCACUCUGGCGACCAAAUGGGCGGCGGAGACUAUCUACGUGAUGCGGGGAGGAAGCCGCCUUUGGAAAUAUGCCCUAGAGGCAAUAAUAAAUUGAUUAUUACUAUAUUUCCUUGUUCAUGAUAAUCGUUUAUUAUCCAUGCUAGAAUUGUAUUGAUAGGAAACUCAGAUACAUGUGUGGAUACAUAGACAACACCAUGUCCCUAGUAAGCCUCUAGUUGACUAGCUCGUUGAUCAAUAGAUGGUUACAGUUUCCUGACCAUGGACAUUGGAUGUCAUUGAUAACGGGAUCACAUCAUUAGGAGAAUGAUGUGAUGGACAAGAACCAAUCCUAAGCCUAGCACAAGAUCAUGUAGUUCGUAUGCUAAAGCUUUUCUAAUGUCAAGUAUCAUUUCCUUAGACCAUGAGAUUGUGCAACUCCCGGAUACCGUGGGAGUGCUUUGAGUGUGCGAAACGUCACAACGUAACUGGGUGGCUAUAAAGGUACACUACAGGUAUCUCCAAAAGUGUCUAUUGGGUUGGCACGAAUCGAGACUGGGAUUUGUCACUCCGUGUAAACGGAGAGGUAUCUCUGGGCCCACUCGGUAGGACAUCAUCAUAAUGUGCACAAUGUGACCAAGGAGUUGAUCACGGGAUGAUGUGUUACGGAACGAGUAAAGAGACUUGCCGGUAACAAGAUUGAACAAGGUAUCGGCAUACCGACGAUCGAAUCUCGGGCAAGUAUCGUACCGAUGGACAAAGGGAAUUGCAUACGGGGUUGAUUAAGUCCUUGACAUCGUGGUUCAUCCGAUGAGAUCAUCGUGGAACAUGUGGGAGCCAACAUGGGUAUCCAGAUCCCGCUGUUGGUUAUUGAUCGGAGAGUCAUCUCGGUCAUGUCUGCAUGUCUCCUGAACCCGUAGGGUCUACACACUUAAGGUUCGAUGACGCUAGGGUUAUAAAGGAAGUUUGUAUGUGGUUACCGAAUGUUGUUCGGAGUCCCGGAUGAGAUCCCGAACGUCAUGAAGAGUUCCGGAAUGGUCCGGAGGUAAAGAUUUAUAUAUGGGAAGUCCUGUUUUGGUCACCGGAAAAGUUUCGGGUUUUAUCGGUAACGUACCGGGACCACCGGGAGGGUCCCGGGGGUCCACCAAGUGGGGCCACAAGCCCCGGAGGGCUGCAUGGGCCAAGUGUGGGAGGGGACCAGCCCCAGGUGGGCUGGUGCGGCCCCCCACCAAGGCCCAAGGCGCAAGGAAGAGGGGAAGGGGGCAAACCCUAGGGCAGAUGGGCCCUAAGGCCCACCCUGGUGCGCCUCCCCCUCUCCCCUCCCCUUGGCCGCCCCUAGAUGGGAUCUAGGGGGCUGCCGCCACCCCUAGGGAGGGAACCCUAGGUGGGGGCGCAACCCAUCCCCUCCCCCUAUAUAUAGUUGAGGUUUGGGCUGCCCAAUACACAUGAGUUCCUCUCUUUCUUGGCACAGCCCUAUCCCUCUCUUUCUCCUCAUAUCUCGCAGUGCUUGGUGAAGCCCUGCUGGAUCACCAUGCUCCGCCAUCACUACCACGCCGUUGUGCUGCUGUUGGAUGGAGUCUUCCUCAACCUCUCCCUCUCUCCUUGCUGGAUCAAGGCAUGGGAGACAUCGUCGGGCUGUACGUGUGUUGAACGCGGAGGUGCCGUCCGUUCGGCACUAGGAUCUCCGGUGAUUUGGAUCACAACGAGUACGACUCCUUCAACCCCGUUCUCUUGAACGCUUCCACUUAGCGAUCUACAAGGGUAUGUAGAUGCACUCUCCUUCCCCUCGUUGCUGGUUUCUCCAUAGAUAGAUCUUGGUGACACGUAGGAAACUUUUGAAUUUCUGCUACGUUCCCCAAUAGUGGCAUCAUGAGCUAGGUCUAUUGCGUAGAUUCUAUGCACGAGUAGAACACAAAGUAGUUGUGGGCGUUGAUUUUGUUCAAUAUGCUUACCGUUACUAGUCCAAUCUUGUUUCGACGGUAUUGUGGGAUGAAGCGGCCCGGACCGACCUUACACGUACUCUUACGUGAGACAGGUUCCACCGACUGACAUGCACUAGUUGCAUAAGGUGACUAGCGGGUGCCAGUCUCUCCCACUUUAGUCAGAACGGAUUCGAUGAAAAGGGUCGUUAUGAAGGGUAAAUAGCAAUUGGCAUAUCACGUUGUAUUUUUGCGUAGGUAAGAAACGUUCUUGCUAGAAACCCAUAGCAGCCACGUAAAACAUGCAAACAACAAUUAGAGGACGUCUAACUUGUUUUUGCAGGGUAUGCUAUGUGAUGUGAUAUGGCCAAGAAGAAUGUGAUGAAUGAUAUGUGAUGUAUGAGAUUGACCAUGUUCUUGUAAUAGGAAUCAUGACUUGCAUGUCGAUGAGUAUGACAACCGGCAGGAGCCAUAGGAGUUGUCUUUAUUUAUUGUAUGACCUACGUGUCAUUGAACAACGCCAUGUAAUUACUUUACUUUAUUGCUAACUGGUAGCCAUAGUGGUAGAAGUAAUAAGUUGGCGAGACAACUUCAUGGAGACACAAUGAUGGAGAUCAUGGUGUCAUGCCGGUGACGAUGAUGAUCAUGGAGCCCCGAAGAUGGAGAUCAAAAGGAGCAAUAUGAUAUUGGCCAUAUCAUGUCACUAUUUGAUUGCAUGUGAUGUUUAUAAUGUUUAUACAUCUUAUUUGCUUAGAAUGACGGUAGUAAAUAAGAUGAUCCCUCAUUAAAAUUUCAAGAAAGUGUUCCCCCUAACUGUGCACCGUUGCGAAAGUUCGUCCUUUUGAAGCACCACGUGAUGAUCGGGUGUGAUAGAUUCUUACGUUCGAAUACAACGGGUGUUGACGAGCCUAGCAUGUACAGACAUGGCCUCGGAACACAUGCAAAACACUUAGGUUGACUUGACGAGCCUAGCAUGUACAGACAUGGCCUCGGAACACAAGAGACCGAAAGGUCGAGCAUGAGUCGUAUGGUAGAUACGAUCAACAUGAAGAUGUUCACCGAUGUUGACUAGUCCGUCUCACGUGAUGAUCGGACACGGCCUAGUUGACUCGGAUCAUGUAAUCACUUAGAUGACUAGAGGGAUGUCUAUCUGAGUGGGAGUUCAUAAGAUGAACUUAAUUAUCCUGAACAUAGUCAAAAGGACUUUGCAAAUUAUGUCGUAGCUCACGCUAUAGUUCUACUGUUUAGAUAUGUUCCUAGAGAAAAUUUAGUUGAAAGUUGAUAGUAGCAAUUAUGCGGACUAGGUCCGUAAACUGAGGAUUGUCCUCAUUGCUUCAUAGAAGGUUUAUGUCCUUAAUGCACCGCUCAGUGUGCUGAACCUCGAACGUCGUCUGUGGAUGUUGCGAACAUCUGACAUACACAUUUUGAUAACUACGUGAUAGUUCAGUUAAACGGUUUAGAGUUGAGGCACCGAAGACGUUUUGAAACGUCACGAAACAUAUGAGAUGUUUCGAGGGCUGAAAUUGGGAUUUCAGGAUCGUGCCCACAUCAAGAGGUAUAAGACCUCCGACGAUUUUUCUUAGCCUGCAAACUAAGGGAGAAAAGCUCAACUGUUGAGCUUGUGCUCAGAUUGUCUGAGUACAACAAUCAUUUGAAUCGAGUGGGAGUUGAUCUUCCAGAUGAGAUAGUGAUGUUUCUCCGAAGUCAUUACCACCAAGCUGCUAGAGCUUCGUGAUGAACUAUAAUAUAUCAGGGACAUAUAUGAUGAUCCUUGAGAUAUUCGCGAUGUUUGACACCACAAAAGUAGAAAUCAAGAAGGAGCAUCAAUUGUUGAUGGUUGGUGAAACCACUAGUUUCAAGAAGGGCAAGGGCAAGAAGGGAUACUUCAUGAAAUGGCAAUUCAGCUGCUGCUCUAGUGAAGAAACCCAAGGUUGAACCCAAACCCGAGACUAAGUGCUUCUGUAAUAAGGGAAACAACCACUGGAGCAGAAUUACCCUAGAUACUUGGUAGAUGAGAAGGCUGGCAAAGUCGAUAGAAGUAUAUUGGAUAUACAUUGUGUUAAUGUGUACUUUACUAGUACUCCUAGUAGCACCAUGGUAUUAGAUACCGGUUCGGAUGCUAAAUGUUAGUAAACUCGAAAUAAAAGGCUGCAGAGUAAACGGAGACUAGCCAAAGGUGAGCUGGCAAAAUGUGUUGGAAGUUUUUCCAAGCUUGAUGUCAUCAAGCAUCGCACGCUCCCUCUACCAUCGAGAUCGGUGUUUGCGUUGAGCAUAGACAUGAUUGGAUUAUGUCUAUCGCAAUACGGUUAUUCAUUUAAGGAGAAUAAUGGUUACUCUGUUUAUUUGAAUAAUACCUUCAAUGGUCUUGCACCUAAAAUGAAUGGUUUAUUGAAUCUCGAUCGUAGUGAUACACAUGUUCAUGCCAGAAGAUAUAAGAUAGUAAUGAUAGUACCACCUACUUGUGGCACUGCCAUGUAAGUCAUAUCGGUAUAAAACGCAUGAAGAAGCUCCAUGUUGAUGGAUCUUUGGGCUCACUCGUUUUUGAAAAGUUUGAGACAUGCGAACCAUGUCUAUUGGUGUAUAUGCAUGAAGAAACUCCAUGCAAAUGGACCGUUUGGACUCACUCGAUUUUGAAUCACUUGAGACAUGCAAAUCAUACCACAUGGGCAAGAUGACUGAAAGCCUCGUUUUCAGUAAAAUGGAACUAGAAAGAAACUUGUUGGAAGUAAUACAUUUUGAUGUGUGCAGUCCAAUGAGUGCUGAGGCAUGUAGUGGAUUUCAUUAUGUUCUUACUUCACAGAUGAUUUGAGUAGAUACUGAGUAUAUUUACUUGAUGAAACAUAAGUCUGAAUUAUUGAAAGGUUCAAGUAAUUUCAGAGUGAAGUUGAACAUCGUCGUGACAAGAGGAUAAAAUGUCUAUGAUAUGAUCGUAGAGAUGAAUAUCUGAAUUACGAGUUUGGCACAAAAUUAAGACAUUAUGGAAAUUGUUUCACAACUAAUACAGUCUGGAACACCACAGUGUGAUGGUGUGUCCGAAUAUCAUAACUGCACCCUAUUGGAUAUGAUGCAUACCAUGAUGUCUCUUAUCAAAUUACCACGAUAGUUUAUGGGUUAGGCAUUAGAGACAACCACAUUCACUUUAAAUAGGGCACCACGUAAUUCCGAUGAGAUGACACCGUAUGAACUAUGGUUUAGAGAAACCUAAGCUGUCAUUUCUUAAAAGUUUGGGGCUGCGACGCUUAUGUGAAAAAGUUUUAGGCUGAUAAGCUCGAACCCAAAGCGGAUAAAUGCAUCUUCAUAGGACACCCAAAAUAGUUGGGUAUACCUCCUGUCUCAGAUCCGAAAGCAAUAAGGGAUUGUUUCUAGAAUCGAGUCCUUUCUCGAGGAAAGGUUUCUCUCGAAAGAAUUGAGUGUGAUGAUGGUGGAGAUUUGAUGAGGUUAUUGAACUGUCUCUUCAACUAGUGUGUGGCAGGGCACAGGGAGUUGUUCCUGUGGCACCUACACCAAUUGAAGUGGAAGCUUAUGAUAGUGAUCAUGAAACUUCAGAUCAAGUCACUACCAAACCUCGUGGGAUGACAAGGAUGCGUACUACUUCAGAGUGGUACGUAAUCCUAUCUUGGAAGUCAUGUUGCUAGACAACAAUGAACCUACAAGCUAUGGAGAAGCAAUGGUGGGCCUGGAUUCCAAAAUGGCUCGAAGCCAUAUAAUCCGAGAGAGGAUCCAUCUAUGAAAACAAAGUGUAGACUUUGGAAGAACUACUUGAUGGUCGUAAGGCUGUUAGGUACAUAGGGAUUUUAAAAGGAAGACGGACAAUGAUAGUAAGUAUCACCAUUAAGAAAGCUUGACUUGUCGUUAAGAUGUUUUCCGACAAGUUCAAGGAGUUGACUACGAUGAGACUUUCUCACUCGUAGCGAUGCUAAGAGUCUGUUGGAAUUAUAUUAGCGAUUACUGCAUUAUUUAUGAAAUCUUGCAGAUAGGAUAUCAAAACAUUGUUUCCUCGAUGUUUUUUUGAGGAAAGGUUGUAUGUGAUACAACCAGAAGGUUUUGUCAAUCCUGAAAGAUGCUAACAAGUAUGCAAAGCUCCAGCAAUCCUUCUAAGGACUGGAGUAAGCAUCUCGGAGUUGGAAUGUAUGCUUUGAUGAGAUGAUCAAAGUUUUGGGUGUAUACAAAGUUUAUGAGAAACUUGUAUUUCCAAAGAAGUGAGUGGGAGCACUAUAGAAUUUCUGAUGAGUAUAUGUUGUUAACAUAUUGUUGAUCGGAAAUGAUGUAGAAUUUCUGGAAAGCAUGCAGAGUUAUUUGAAAAGUGUUUUUCAAUGGAAAGCCUGGAUUAAGCUACUUGAACAUUGAGCAUGAAGAUCUAUAAGGAUAGAUCAAAACGCUUAAUGGUAAUUUCAAAUGAGCACAUACCUUGACAUGAUCUUGAAGGUGUUCAAGAUGGAUCAGUCAAAGAAGGAGUUCUUGCCUGAGUUGUAAGGUAUGAAGUUAAGACUUAAAGCUCGACCACGGAAGAAGAAAGAGGAAGGACGAAGGUCGUCCCCUAUGCUUUUGUCAUAGGCUCUCUACAGUAUGCUAUGUUGUGUGCCGCACUUGAAGUGUGCCUUGCCAUGAGUCAGUCAAGGGGUACAAGAGUGAUCCAAGAAUGGAUCACAAGACAACGGUCAAAGUUAUCCUUAGUAACUAGUGGACUAAGGAAUUUUCUCGAUUAUGGAGGUGGUAAAAGAGUUCGUCGUAAAGGGUUACGCCGAUGCAAACUUUGACACUAAUCUAGAUUAUUCUGAGUAGUAGACUGGAUUCGUAUAGUAGAACAGUUAUUUGGAAUAGCUCCAAAUAGAACGUGGUAGCUGCAUCUAGGAGAUGACAUAGAGAUUUGUAAAGCACACACGGAUCUGAAAGAUUCAGACCCGUUGACUAUAACAUCUCUCACAAGCAUAACAUGAUCAAACCCAGAACUCAUCGAGUGUUAAUCACAUGGUAAUGUGAACUAGAUUAUUGACUCUAGUAAACUCUUUGGGUGUUAGUCACAUGGGGAUGUGACCUUGAGUGUUUAUCACAUAUCGAUGUGAACUGGAUUAUUGACUCUAGUGCAAGUGGGAGACUGUUGGAAAUAUGCCCUAGAGGAAAUAAUAAAUUUAUUAUUAUUAUAUUUCCUUGUUCAUGAUAAUCGUUUAUUAUCCAUGCUAGAAUUGUAUUGAUAGGAAACUCAGAUACAUGUGUGGAUACAUAGACAACACCAUGUCCCUAGUAAGCCUCUAGUUGACUAGCUCGUUGAUCAAUAGAUGGUUACAGUUUCCUAACCAUGGACAUUGGAUGUCAUUGAUAACGGGAUCACAUCAUUAGGAGAAUGAUGUGAUGGACAAGACCCAAUCCUAAGCCUAGCACAAGAUCAUGUAGUUCGUAUGCUAAAGCUUUUCUAAUGUCAAGUAUCAUUUCCUUAGACCAUGAGAUUGUGCAACUCUCGGAUACCGUAGGAGUGCUUUGGGUGUGCCAAAUGUCACAACGUAACUGGGUGGCUAUGAAGGUACACUACAAGUAUCUCCAAAAGUGUCUGUUGGGUUGGCACGAAUCGAGACUGGGAUUUGUCACUCCGUGUAAACGGAGAGGUAUCUCUGGGCCCACUCGAUAGGACAUCAUCAUAAUGUGCACAAUGUGACCAAGGAGUUGAUCACGGGAUGAUGUGUUACGGAACGAGUAAAGAGACUUGCCGGUAACGAGAUUGAACAAGGUAUCGGCAUACCGACGAUCGAAUCUCGGGCAAGUAUCGUACCGAUGGACAAAGGGAAUUGCAUACGGGAUUAAUUAAGUCCUUGACAUCGUGGUUCAUCCGAUGAGAUCAUCGUGGAACAUGUGGGAGCCAACAUGGGUAUCCAGAUCCCGCUGUUGGUUAUUGACCGGAGAGUCAUCUCGGUCAUGUUUGCAUGUCUCCCGAACCCGUAGGGUCUACACACUUAAGGUUCGAUGACGCUAGGGUUAUAAAGGAAGUUUGUAUGUGGUUACCGAAUGUUGUUCGGAGUCCCGGAUGAGAUCCCGGACGUCAUGAGGAGUUCCGGAAUGGUCCGGAGGUAAAGAUUUAUAUAUAGGAAGUCCUGUUUUGGUCACCGGAAAAGUUUCGGGUUUUAUUGGUAACGUACCGGGACCACCGACAGGGUCCCGGGGGUCCACCAAGUGGGGCCACAAGCCCCGGAGGGCUGCAUGGGCCAAGUGUGGGAGGGGACCAGCCCCAGGUGGGCUGGUGCGCCCCCCCACCAAGGCCCAAGGCGCAAGGAAGAGGGGAAGGGGGCAAACCCUAGGGCAGAUGGGCCCUAAGGCCCACCCUAGUGCGCCUCCCCCUCUCCCCUCCCCUUGGCCGCCCCUAGAUGGGAUCUAGGGGGCUGCCGCCACCCCUAGGGAGGGAACCCUAGGUGGGGGCGCAGCCCCUCCCCUCCCCCUAUAUAUAGUUGAGGUUUGGGCUGCCCAAUACACAUGAGUUCCUCUCUUUCUUGGCGCAGCCCUAUCCCUCUCUUUCUCCUCAUAUCUCGUAGUGCUUGGCGAAGCCCUGCUGGAUCACCAUGCUCCUCCAUCACCACCACGCCAUUGUGCUACUGCUGGAUGGAGUCUUCCUCAACCUCUCCCUCUCUCCUUGCUGGAUCAAGGCAUGGGAGACGUCAUCGGGCUGUACGUGUGUUGAACGCGGAGGUGCCGUCCGUUCGGCACUAGGAUCUCCGGUGAUUUGGAUCACGAUGAGUACGACUCCUUCAACCCCGCACUACUAGGAAAAGGCCUACUAAUGGCGCACCAGUUUUGCCUACUAAUGGCGCAUCACUGGUGCGCCAUUACUAGCACGCCAUUAGUAAUUUUUACUAAUGGCGCACCACUGGUGCGCCAUUAGUAUCUGGUAUACUAAUGGCGCACCACUGGUGCGCCAUUAGUAUAGGCCACAGGUGCACCAUUAGUAUACCAGAUACUAAUGGCGCACCGCGUGGUGCGCCAUUAGUAUACCAUUCGGUGCUCCACUGGUAUUCCCUCCAGGUGCGCCACUAAUAACCUUAUAGGUGCGCCACUAGUAAUAAAGGAAGGUGCGCCACUAAUAAGGGCUUAAAUGCGCCACUACUAAUGUAUUUGGAAAACAAAAAAAAAUCUAAAUUUACAGAAAAAAACCUAUAAGGAAAAAUAAUUUAAAAACAAAAAAUGAAAUAGAAUCAUAAUUUUUAUUAUAGUAAGAAUAUUACAAUGUCUUUACAAGUUUCCAAUAAAAGGGAAAUUGCAAGGAAAUAAAAAAAAUCCUAAAGCUAAUCUUCUAGUAAUCUUCUCUUCUUUUUCUUCACUUUAUCCCUGCAAAAUGUAACAAAAUAAACACAAACACAAACAAACUAUUUAUAACAUGUCAAUACUGUCAUUUUUUCAGACCAAGUAACUAACAACUUCAGUGAGACAGGCACAGUGCAGUGUGAAUUUCAAUUGGCUAAAUCAUAUAUAGAAAUCAGUAUCUUCUCUAUGAACCUGAAACUGAGAUGACUGGACUAAUUUUGCACAUUUGAUUUAUGAAUUUAUUCUUCUUCGACAACCAACUAAACUUCGGAUCACCUACUAAGCAUCUGUACAUACUACAUAGGCUGAUUAAUCCAACAGCCACAAUGCAAAUAUUGACUAUUUCCAUUCAACUUCUUCACUUACUCAUUAUUAUCUAAUGAAACCAUUCGUAACUAAUGAAGCAGAUUGGCUAAAGUUAUUAUCAAGUCCUAAGUCCUAAUUGAAGCAGAUCUGCUAGGGUUCUUCUCGCUAGCCCCUCAUGGCCAACCGUUUCGGAACAGGCAGGCAGAGCUGCUUGGCCGGUGGCUAGGGAGUCGCUGGUGAUGUUGGGCAUCUCACACGAGCACCUGGCUAUUUGAGGAAACCGAAAUAGUAGCAUAAACAAGAUUGAUUCCGAGGAAAUGAUAGAACCUAUUCUAUCAAAGUGCUACUCCCCCCGUUCCAUAAUUCCAGUCGUGGUUUUUUAACUAAAACCAUGAAGAGAACUAUGGAAUGGAGGGAGUAGAAAACAAUAGCAUGCUUAAAAUUCUACCAUACACAGCAGCAACAGACAUUACACAAGCAUUUAUUUAUUUAUUGCAUUUGGCACAAGUUAAAAAUUCUCACAAGCAGAGGCGGUCCUAUCAGACAAAAAGAACAUGGACCGCUCAUUACAAAGCACUUCUACUGCAGUAUCAUGGAGUAGGAAAAGGGGCUUAAGCAGCAAAGAAGUAUAAUAAGAGAAAAAAACACUAUGGCGGCUGGAACUAGAAGAGCACCAUCACAGGUUCGAAACAUCACCAUGGAGUCGAUGGCCGGCAUAGCCCAUGGCAGGGCUGGAUGGGCAGCAUAAUAACACAAUAAAAGUUUGAUGUAUACUUAUUCGUUUGAAAAGAUGCAAGCUUAUUUACACCCUAGGACUGUUGAUUAGGGUCUGGAUGGUAUUUUUGUUCCUUGCGUAAGUAAGAGAAGGACUAGCAUCCAUAGUAGAAAGAAGGGUAAACAUACAUAAAGGAAAGUUUUUAUAGCGUCACGACCGAAAGAGGCUACGUGCGGCUGGGUGAAAUGGACAAGGUUUCAUGUAUGCAAUAUAUUAUAGAAAAAUAAGUGUUGACAGAAAAUGAAAGAUUUCCUGUCAAACAAACAGAGCUUCAUUUUGUAACAUUUCUGACCCACAUGAUAAUUGUACAACAUAGUAGAGGAGACCACUGUACAUACAUGUGUUGAAUGAAGCAGACUAAGAAAUAUUGGGUGGGUAUAAAGAAUACAAUAGUACGGUAGCUGAUGUAAACAAGUGCAGAGUUGCAUCCACAGAAUAGGUAACAAAUUAAAUAGCCCUGGUGCCAACAGUAGAGUUCGUGUAUCCAAUCCAUCCUUUGUUUAACACAGCAGCUCCAACUCUUGUGUAACAAAUUAAGUUUGGCAUGGGCACACAUAAAGCACUGACAUUUUCAUGGCUCGAUGGCCGUGGGCUAAGGGAGCAGAGGAGGAGGUGCGGCUCACCUCACAUGGCGGCGGAACCGAGGGAUGAAGGUGCGGCGCACCGGAGCAGGCAGAGGUGCCUUGUGUUGGCCAAACACGUGGCCAGCAGCAGAGAAGCGCUUCUCUUGCUCGACGGAUGUUGGGUGUGUGUGAGGCGUGCUCCUGCCUGCCUGCCUGCGUGAGGAACGGGAGGACCAUUAGAGAAGAGAAGGGAAGGGAAGAAGAGCAGGUAGAGGAUGGCAAGGGGAGAGGAGGGAAUCAAAAUCAAAGAUGAGAAGAUGACCUUGAGGAGGAGCAGGGGAAGAGCGGAGCAGCAGAAACAGAGGCCUUCCUCUCCCGGUGGUGAGGACCGAGGCGACCUCCGUCACGGCCUAGCCAGGUCGACGACUCUGGCGACCGUGGCUGCCAGAUCCGGUGUCACCAUGGCCGGCCUCCUCCUGUGGUGCCUGCUAGGUCGCCAUGGCCGCGGGCUCCUUGUCCGUGGCGGCUGGAUCUGGGGCCUUGGGGUGGCGGGGAGCUCCUCCUCCUGCAGCUCGGCGGCCUCCACACCCCGGAGCAACGCCGUCGCCGGAGGACGUGGUCACCUGCUCUCCUCUGGAUCCGGUGAGGAGGGUUGGGGAAGGAGCUCACCACGGCUCCAUGCCCUGGAUCUGGUGUGAGGGAGGGGGAAGGGAGCUCGCCGUGGUCAGGAGGGAGAGGAAGAGGCGGGCGGCCGGGGCUUCCCGAUCUAAAUCAAAGUCGAGGGAGGUGGGUGGGUGUGUCAGGAGGAAGGUGAGGGGGAGAGAACGUGACAAGAUGGAGGGGAUAAGGGGUGAUAGCAAUGGCGCACUGGUAGGGGUGCGCCAUACGUAUAGAUAGCAAUGGCGCAUCUCUUACUGGUGCGCCAUUACUAGUUUAAACUAGUAAUGGUGCACGGUGGAACAGUGCGCUAUUAGUAGUUUUGCAAAAAAAAGUAAUAAAAAUAUAAUAAAAAAACAACAUUAGUGGCGCACUUUUCGACAGGUGCGCCAUUACUAGUUACAACUAGUAAUGGCGCACUGUGUCUGGAUGCGCCAUUAGUAUGUUUGGACAGGCGCACUAGUUCAAAAAAAAUUGAUACUAAUGGCGCACCCUGGGCCAGGUGCGCCAUUAGUAGUUUCAACUCUAAUGGCGUAUCAGAAGGUGGUGCGCCAUUAGUAUAUACCCUUGUAGAGGACUUAGGACUUGAUAAUAACUUUAGCCAAUCUGCUUCAUUAGUUACGAAUGGUUUCAUUAGAUAAUAAUGAGUAAGUGAAGAAGUUGAAUGGAAAUAGUCAAUAUUUGCAUUGUGGCUGUUGGAUUAAUCAGCCUAUGUAGUAUGUACAGAUGCUUAGAAGGUGAUCCGAAGUUGGAGAGGUCGGGGAUGAGCUGAUGCGGCGGGGGUGGUGAAGGGGAUCUCUGGUGGCCGGAGUUGAGGACGAGCUCGGUGCAGCGUCUCCGAGGCGAGCAAGCGCUCGGGCGCGGCCUACUCGAUGUAGUCGAUGGCGGCGGAGCUCGUGGACACGAUGGCGCGGCGCGAGGACGACGGAAGGCACGGCUACGACGACGGUGCGGCGACAGAAGUGUCGGCCAUGGUGGGGAACGGCGAAGGGAUAGAGACAGGGGGGAAAUGGCGUGUCCAGGGGCUUCGGGGUGCGACGUGGAGGCGUCCAGGCGUCUAGGGGCGCGGGCGGCAAGCAGGUGACGCCGUGGUGAGCUCGGGCACGCCGGAGUCACCUCCCUGCCUGCGUGGCGGGGAAGAAGCAGCUGGCUGGCGCGAGCCAGCACAGUGCUGGGCCGCCUGGUGGGCCGGCGGGUGAGAUAGCUGGGCCGCGCCAGGUAAGCUUCUCUCUCUCUCUCUCUUUCUUAUUUGUUUUCUUUUUCUAUUUUUCUGCAACUGUUGGGCUUUAUUAAAAAUACCUAGACAUCUUUAAAAAUCCUGAAAAUAAUCAGGGGCUCUGUUUAGAUUAUUCCCAACAGCCCACACUUAUUUCUAGAAUUAUUUGAGCAUUUAAAUUAUUUUAUAGCAUUUAAAUGCCCAAAUUCAAAUACUUAUGAUUUAAUUCAAGAAAAUCCAGAAUGUCCUAGAAAAGAGUGCACCAUUUUUGCCAGGGGUUUUAGCCCAAUCCAGAAAUGAUGAACAUUUUGUGAAAGGCAUUUUGGGUUCAUUGAAAAUAAUUUUAGUAAACCCUAGUUGUUUCCAGGGGGUGCUGGGGGUUCUGUCAUCCCCAUUUCAAAUUUAAAAGGAAUUUAAACAUGAUGCACACUCUAAUGCUUGAACUAGCUAGGGUGUGACACUAAGCAACCCGGCAACGACAUAGAUGUGUACCUAAGGCCAUUAGUUGAAGAACUCUUACAACUGUGGAAUGGAACAGGUGUACGUGCGUGGGAUGAGCACAUGGGGAAAGAAUUUGACCUAAAGGCGUUGUUGUUCGUGACCAUCAAUGAUUGGCCUGCUCUCACUAACCUUUUAGGACAGACAAACAAGGGAUACCGCGCAUGCACGCACUGUUUGGACGAUGCCGACAGUAUAUAUUUGGCUAAAUGUAAGAAGAAUGUGUACCUGGGACAUCAUCGAUUUCUUCCGAGCAGGCAUCCCGUAAGAAAGAAAGGCAAGCAUUUCAAAGGUGAGGCGGAUCACCGGACGAAGCCUCGCCACCGUACUGGUGCUGAUGUACAUGAUAUGGUCAACGAUUUGAAGGUGGUCUUUGGAAAGGGUCCUGGUGGACAACCUAUUCCGAAUGACGCUGACGGACGCGCACCCAUGUGGAAGAAGAAAUCUAUAUUUUGGGACCUGCCCUAUUGGAAAGACCUAGAGGUCCGCUCCGCAAUCGACGUGAUGCACGUGACGAAAAUCUUUGUGUGACCCUGCUUGGCUUCUUGGGCGUGUAUGGGAAGACAAAAGAUACACCUGAGGCACGGGAGGACCAACAAUGUAUGCACGGAAAAGAUGGCAUACAUCAGGGUCAUGCAAGCUACGCUCUUACCAAAGAAGAGAAGGAAAUCUUCUUUGAAUGCCUGCUCAGUAUUAAGGUACCGUCUGGCUUCUCGUCUAAUAUAAAGGGAAUAAUAAACAUGGCAGACAAAAGUUCCAGAACCUAAAGUCUCAUGACUGCCACGUGAUUAUGGCGCAACUGCUUCCGGUUGCAUUGAGGGGGCUUCUACCAGAAAACGUUCGAUUAGCCAUUGUGAAGCUAUGUGCAUUUCUCAAUGCAAUCUCUCAGAAGGUAAUCGAUCCAGAAAUAAUACCAAGGUUAGAGAAUUAUUUGGUGCAAUGUCUUGUCAGUUUCGAGUUGGUGUUCCCACCAUCCUUCUUCAACAUCAUGACGCACGUCCUAGUUCACCUAUGCGAAGAGAUUAACGUUUUGGGUCAUGUAUUUCUACACAAUAUGUUCCCCUUUGAGAGGUUCAUGGGAGUCUUAAAGAAAUAUGUUCAUAACCGUGCUAGGCCAGAAGGAAGCAUCUCCAAGGCCAUGAAAAUGAGGAGGUCAUUGAGUUUUGUAUUGACUUUAUUCCUGACCUUAAGCCGAUUGGUGUUCCUGAAUCGCGGCAUAAGGGCAGACUGGAUGGAAAAGGCACGCUAGGAGGGGAACAAAUAAUAUGUAUGUACGGACAUUCUCUCACUGAAGCACACUACACAGUUCUACAGAAUUCCGCCUUGGUGGCUCCAUAUAUGGAUGAACACAAGAAUUUGCUACGCUCCAAACACCCGGAGCGGUCUGAUGACUGGAUUACACGUGAACAAACCAGAAGUUUCGCCAGCUGGUUGCAGACACGUACCAUGCAUGACACCUCUAUUGAAGAUGACCUGUACUUGCUGUCCCAGUUACCAUCUUCGAAUAUAAUGACUUUCAAAGGGUACCAGAUAAAUGGUAAUACAUUUUACACGAUCGCCCAAGAUAAGAAGAGCACCAACCAAAACAGUGGUGUCUACUUUGAUGCAGAAACCAAGACGGGAAAGGAAACAUAUUAUGGUUAUAUACCGGACAUAUGGGAACUUGACUAUCGACGUGGUUUAAAGGUCCCUUUGUUUCGGUGCAAAUGGGUCAAUAUGACACGAGGCGGGGUAACGGAAGACCCGCAGUACGGAAUGACAACAGUGGAUCUCAACAAUCUUGCGUAUGCAGACGAACCAUUCGUCCUAGCCAAUGAUGUGGCACAGGUUUUCUAUGUGAAGGACAUGUCUACCAAGCCAAGAAAAAGAAAAGAUAAGGAAGCGAAUGCAUCGUACGAUGAGCCAAAGCGGCACAUAGUUCUUUCUAGGAAGAGAAACAUCGUGGGAGUGGAUGACAAGACAGACAUGUCAGAAGAUUAUGAAAAGUUUGAUGAAAUUGCUCCAUUCACAGUGAAUAUUGACCCGAGCAUCCCGUUAAAUGAUGAAGAUUUUCCAUGGUUACGGCGCAAAGGGACGCACGCGAAGAAAAAGUUUCACACCCAAAGAUCUGGGAUGUGAUCGGCUUCACUAUCAUCACUUUCUUCUGUGUUUCACACCCAGGAGGGAAUCUCUGUAAUAGUUAGGGUAGUUAUGUGUUUUGGCAUUUGAAACGCGAAGAAAUUUUAUGUGCAAACAAAUUCUUUCAUGCCUUUACUGAUUUUUAAAGUUAAGUUAUUCACAAACUAGUGAUUCACACUAAUUUCAAAUAAUUCAAAAUUUAAACUAUUCAAAUUUGAAAACUACAGGCACUAACAGAAAGUUUGUAAUUUUUUGUACCUAAAGCAAAAAUUGAAGGAAAUAUGCCCUAGAGGCAAUAAUAAAGUUAUUAUUUAUUUCCUUAUAUCAUGAUAAAUGUUUAUUAUUCAUGCUAGAAUUGUAUUAACCGGAAACAUAAUACAUGUGUGAAUACAUAGACAAACAGAGUGUCACUAGUAUGCCUCUACUUGACUAGCUCGUUAAUCAAAGAUGGUUAUGUUUCCUAACCAUGGACAAAGAGUUGUUAUUUGAUUAACGGGAUCACAUCAUUAGGUGAAUGAUCUGAUUGACAUGACCCAUUCCAUUAGCUUAGCACCCGAUCGUUUAGUAUGUUGCUAUUGCUUUCUUCAUGACUUAUACAUGUUCCUAUGACUAUGAGAUUAUGCAACUCCCGUUUGCCGGAGGAACACUUUGUGUGCUACCAAACGUCACAACAUAACUGGGUGAUUAUAAAGGUGCUCUACAGGUGUCUCCAAAGGUACAUGUUGGGUUGGCGUAUUUCGAGAUUAGGAUUUGUCACUCCGAUCGUCGGAGAGGUAUCUCUGGGCCCUCUAAUGCACAUCACUUAAGCCUUGCAAGCAUUGCAGCUAAUGAGUUAGUUGCGGGAUGAUGUAUUACGGAACGAGUAAAGAGACUUGCCGGUAAUGAGAUUGAACUAGGUAUUGGAUACCGACGAUCGAAUCUCGGGCAAGUAACAUACCGAUGACAAAGGGAACAACGUAUGUUGUUAUGCGGUCUGACCGAUAAAAGAUCUUCGUAGAAUAUGUAGGAACCAAUAUGGGCAUCAAGGUCCCGCUAUUGGUUAUUGACCGGAGACGUGUCUCGGUCAUGUCUACAUUGUUCUCGAACCCGUAGGGUCCGCACGCUUAAGGUUUCGAUGACAGUUAUAUUAUGAGUUUAUGAGUUUUGAUGUACCAAAGGAGUUCGGAGUCCCGGCUGAGAUUGGGGACAUGACGAGGAGUCUCGAAAUGGUCGAGACGUAAAAAUCGAUAUAUUGGACGACUAUAUUCGGACAUCGGAAAGGUUCCGAGUGAUUCGAGUAUUUUUCGGAGUACCGGAGAGUUACGGGAAUUCGCCGGGAGAAGUAUUGGGCCUUAUUGGGCCAUACGGGAAAGAGAGAGGGGCUGCCUAGGGUAGGCCGCGCGCCCCCCAAGGCCUAGUCCGAAUUGGACUAGGGGGAGGGGCUGCGCCCCUUCCUUGUUUCCUACUCCUACUACAUGGAAGGACUCCUACUUGGACUAGGAAAGGGGGAAUCCUACUCCCGGUGAGAGUAGGACUUCUCUAGGCGCGCCAUAGAGAGGGCCGGCCCUCCCCUCCUGCACUCCUUGAUAUACGGGGGCAGGGGGCACCCCAUAGACACACAAGUUGAUCCACGUGAUCAUAUUCUUAGCCGUGUGCGGUGCCCCCUUCCACUAUAGUCCUCGAUAAUAUUGUAGCAGUGCUUAGGCGAAGCCCUGCGACAGUAGUACAUCAAGAUCGUCACCACGCCGUCGUGCUGACGGAACUCUUGCCCGACACUUUGCUGGAUCGGAGUCCGGGGAUCGUCAUCGAGCUGAACGUGUGCUAGAACUCGGAGGUGCCGUAGUUUCAGUGCUUGAUCGUCGGGCCGUGAAGACGUACGACUACAUCAACCGCGUUGUCAUAACGCUUUUGCUAUCGGUCUACAAGGGUACGUAGAUCACACUCUCCCCUCUCGUUGCUAUGCAUCACCAUGAUCUUGCGUGUGCGUAGGAAAUUUUUUGAAAUUACUACGUUCCCCAACAGUGGCAUCCGAGCCUAGGUUUUAUGCGUUGAUGUAAUAUGCACGAGUAGAACACAAGUGAGUUGUGGGCGAUAUAAGUCAUACUGCUUACCAGCAUGUCACAGUUUGGUUCGGCGGUAUUGUUGGAUGAAGCGGCCCGGACCGACAUUACGCGUACGCUUAUGCGAGACUGGUUCUACCGACGUGCUUUGCACACAGGUGGCUGGCGGGUGUCAGUUUCUCCAACUUUAGUUGAACCGAGUGUGGCUACGCCCGGUCCUUGCGAAGGUUAAAACAACACCAACUUGACAAACUAUCGUUGUGGUUUUUGAUGCGUAGGUAAGAACGGUUCUUGCUAAGCCCGUAGCAGCCACGUAAAACUUGCAACAACAAAGUAGAGGAUGUCUAACUUGUUUUUGCAGGGCAUGUUGUGAUGUGAUCUGGUCAAGACAUGAUGCUAAAUUUUAUUGUAUGAGAUGAUCAUCUUUUGUAACCGAGUUAUCGGCAACUGGCAGGAGCCAUAUAGUUAUCGCUUUAUUGUAUGCAAUGCAAUCGCACUGUAAUGCUUUACUUUAUCACUAAGAGGUAGCGAUAGUCGUGGAAGCAUAAAAGUGGCGAGACGACAACGAUGCUGCGAUGGAGAUCAAGGUGUCACGCCGGUGACGAUGGUGAUCAUGACGGUGCUUCGGAGAUGGAGAUCACAGGCACAAGAUGAUGAUGGCCAUAUCAUAUCACUUAUAUUGAUUGCAUGUGAUGUUUAUCUUCUAUGCAUCUUAUCUUGCUUUGAUUGACGGUAGCAUUAUAAGAUGAUCUCUCACUGAAUUAUCCAGAAGUGUUCUCCCUGAGUAUGCACCGUUGCGAAAGUUCUUCGUGCCGAGACACCACAUGAUGAUCGGGUGUGAUAGGCUCUACGUUCAAAUACAACAGGUGCAAAACAGUUGCACACGCGGAAUACUCAGGUUAUACUUGACGAGCCAAGCAUAUGCAGAUAUGGCCUCGGAACACGGAGACCGAAAGGUCGAGCGUGAAUCAUAUAGUAGAUAUGAUCAACAUAGUGAUGUUCACCAAUGAAACUACAUCUCACGUGAUGAUCGGACAUGGUUUAGUUGAUUGGGAUCAUGUGAUCGCUUAGAGGAUUAGAGGGAUGUCUAUCUAAGUGGGAGUUCUUAAGUAAUAUGAUUAAUUGAACUUAAAUUUAUCAUGAACUUAGUCCUUAUAGUAUUUUGCAAAUUAUGUUGUAGAUUAAUAGCUCGUGUUGUUGCUUCCUUGUGUUUUUUAUAUGUUCCUAGAGAAAAUUGUGUUGAAAGAUGUUAGUAGCAAUGAUGCGGAUUGGAUCCGUCAUCUGAGGUUUAUCCUCAUUGCUGCACAGAGGAAUUAUGUCCUUGAUGCACCGCUAGGUGACAGACCUAUUGCAGGAUCAGAUACUAACGUUAUGAACGUUUGGCUAGCUAAAUAUGAUGACUACUUGAUAGUUUAGUGCACCAUGCUUAACGGCUUAGAAUCGGGACUUCAAAGACGUUUUGAACGUCAUGGACCAUAUGAGAUGUUCCAGGAGUUGAAGUUAAUAUUUCAAGCAAAUACCCGAGUUGAGAGAUAUGAAGUCUCCAACAAGUUCUAUAGCUAAAAGAUGGAGGAGAAUCGCUCAACUAGUGAGCAUGUGCCCAAAUUGUCUGAGUACUACAAUCACUUGAAUCAAGUGGGAGUUAAUCUUCUAGAUAAGAUAGUGAUUGACAGAAUUCUCUAGUCACCAUCACCAAGUUAGUAGAACUUCGUGAUGAACUAUGAUAUGCAAGGGAUAACGGAAACGAUUCCCAUGCUCUUCGUAAUGCGGAAAUUGAUGAAGGUAGAAAUCGAGAAAAACAUCAAGUGUUGAUGGUAGACAAGACCACUACUUUCAAGAAAAAGGAAGAGGGAAGAAGGGGAACUUCAAGAAAAACAGCAAGCAAGUUGCUGCUCAUGUGAAGAAGCCCAAGUCUGGUCCUAAGCCUAUGACUAAGUGCUUCUACUGCAAAGGGACUAGUCACUGGAAGCGGAACUACCCCAAGUGAUUGGCGGAUAAGAAGGAUGGCAAAGUGAACAUAAGUAUAUUUGAUAUACAUGUUAUUGAUGUGUACUUUACUAGUGUUUAUAGCAACCCCUCAGUAUUUGAUGCUAGUUCAGUUGCUAAGAGUAGUAACUCGAAACGGGAGUUGCAGAAUGAACAGAGACUAGUUAAGGGUGAAGUGACGAUGUGUUUUGGAAGUGGUUCCAAGAUUGAUAUGAUCAUCAUCGCACACUCCCUAUACUUUCGGGAUUAGUGUUGAACCUAAAUAAGUGUUAUUUGGUGUUUGCGUUGAGCAUGAAUAUGAUUUGAUCAUGUUUAUUGUAAUACGGUUAUUCAUUUAAGUAAAAGAAUAAAUUGUUGUUCUGUUUACAUGAAUAAAACCUUAUUUGGUUACACACCCAAUGAAAAUAGUUCAUUGGAUGUCGAUCGUAGUGAUACACAUAUUCAUAAUAUUGAAACCAAAAGAUGCGAAGUUAAUAAUGAUAGUGCAACUUAUUUGUGGCACUGCCAUUUAGGUCAUAUUGGUGUAAAGCUCAUGAAGAAACUCCAUGCUGAUGGGAUUUUGGAAUCACUUGGUGCUUGCGAACCAUGCCUUAUGGAUAAAAUGACUAAAGACUCCGUUCUCCGGAACAAUGGAGCGAGCAACUGACUUAUUGGAAAUAAUACAUACUGAUGUAUGCGAUCUGAUGAGUGUUGAAGCUCGCGGCGGGUAUCGUUAUUUUCUGACCUUCACAUAUGAUUUGAGCAGAUAUGGUAUAUCUGCUUGAUGAAACAUAAGUCUGAAACAUUUGAAAAGUUCAAAGAAUUUCAGAGUGAAAUGGAAAAUCAUCGUAACAAGAAAAAUAAGGUUUCUACGAUCUGAUCGCGGAGACAAAUAUUUGAGUUACGAGUUUGGUCUUCAAUUAAAACUAUGUGGAAUAGUUUCACAAAUUCAUGCCACCUGGAACACCACAGCAUAAUAGUGUGUUCGAACAUCAUAACCGUACUUUAUUGGAUAUAGUGCAAUCUAUGAUGUUUCUUACCGAUUUACCACUAUAGUUUUGGGGUUAUGCAUUAGAGACAGCUGCAUUCACGUUAAAAGGGCACCAUCUAAAUCUGUUGAGACGACACCGUAUGAACUGUGGUUUGGCAAGAAACCAAAGUUGUCGUUUCUCAAAGUUUGGGGUUGCAAUGCUUAUGUGAAAAAGUUUCAUCCUGAUAAGCUCAAACCCAAAUCGGAAAAGUGUGUCUUCAUAGGAUACCCAAAAAGUUACUGUUGGGUACACCUUCUAUCACAGAUCCGAAGGCAAGACUUUUGUUGCUAAAUUCAGAAACUUUCUGGAGAAGGAGUUUCUCUCGAAAGAAGUGAGUGGGAGGAAAGUAGAACUUGAUGAGGUAACUGUACCUACUCCCUUAUUGGAAAGUAGUACAUCACAGAAAACUGUUUCUGCGACACCUACCCCAAUUAGUGAGGAAGCUAAUGAUACUGAUCAUGAAACUUCAGGACAAGAUACUAUUGAACCUCAUAGAUCAACCAGAGUGAGAUCCGCGCCAUAGUGGUACGGUAAUCCUAUUCUGGAAAUCAUGCUGCUAGAUCAUGAUGAACCUACGAACUAUGAGGAAGCGAUGAUGAGCCCAGAUUCCGAUAAAUGGCUUGAGGCCAUGAAAUCUGAGAUAGGAUCCAUGUAUGAGAACAAAGUGUGGACUUUGGUGGACUUGCCCGAGGAUCGGCAAGCCAUUGAUAAUAAAUGGAUCUUCAAGAGGAAGACGGACACGGAUAGUAGUGUUACUAUCUACAAAGCUAGAAUUUUCGCAAAAGGUUUUCGACAAGUUCAAGGUGUUGACUACGAUGAGAUUUUCUCACUCGUAUCUAUGCUUAAGUCUGUCCGAAUCAUGUUAGCAAUUGCCGCAUUUUAUGAAAUCUGGCAAAUGGAUAAACAAAACUGCAUUCCUUAAUGGAUUUAUUAAAGAAGAGUUGUAUAUGAUGCAACCAGAAGGUUUUGUCAAUCCUAAAGGUACUAACAAAAUAUGCAAGCUCCAACGAUCCAUCUAUGGACUGGUGCAAACAUCUCGGAGUUGGAAUACACGCUUUGAUAAGUUGAUCAAAGCAUAUAGUUUUAUACAGACUUGUGGUGAAGCCUGUAUUUACAAGAAAGUGAGUGGGAGCACUACAACAUUUCUGAUAAGUAUAUGUGAAAGACAUAUUAUUGAUCGGAGAUAAUGUAGUAUUAUUCUGCAAAUCAUAAAGGAAUAUUUGAAAGGAGUUUUUCAAAGAAAGACCUCGGUGAAGCUGCUUACAUAUUGAGCAUCAAUAUCUAUAGAGAUAGAUCAAGACGCUUGAUAAGUUUUUCAAUGAGGAUAUACCUUGACAAGAUUUUGAAGUAGUUCAAAAUGGAAUAGUCAAAGAAGGAGUCCUUGCCUGUGUUACAUAGGUGUGAAGUUGAGUAAGACUCAAAACCCGACCACGGCAGAAGAUAGAGAGAGAAUGAAAGUCAUUCCCUAUGCCUCAGCCAUAGGUUCUAUAAAGUAUGCCAUGCUGUGUACCAGACCUAUUGUAUACCCUGCCCUGAGUUUGGCAAGGGAGUACAAUAGUGAUCUAGGAGUAGAUCACUGGACAUUGUUCAAAAUUAUCCUUAGUGGAAUAAGGAUAUGUUUCUCGAUUAUGGAGGUGACAAAAGGUUCGUCGUAAAGGGUUACGUCGAUGCAAGUUUUGACACUGAUCCAGAUGACUCUAAGUCUCAAUCUGGAUACAUAUUGAAAGUGUGAGCAAUUAGCUAGAGUAGCUCCAUGCAGAGCAUUGUUGACAUAGAAAUUUGCAAAAUACUUACAGAUCUGAAUGUGGCAGACCCGUUGACUAAACUUCUCUCACAAGAAAAACAUGAUCACACCUCAGUACUCUUUGGGUGUUAAUCACAUAGCGAUGUGAACUAGAUUAUUGACUCUAGUAAACCCUUUGGGUGUUGGUCACAAGUUGAUGUGAACUAUGGGUGUUAAUCACAUGGUGAUGUGAACUAUUGAUGUUAAAUCACAUGGCGAUGUGAACUAGAUUAUUGACUCUAGUGCAAGUGGGAAACUAAAGGAAAUAUGCCCUAGAGGCAAUAAUAAAGUUAUUAUUUAUUUCCUUAUACCAUGAUAAAUGUUUAUUAUUCAUGCUAGAAUUGUAUUAACCGGAAACAUUAUACCUGUGUGAAUACAUAGACAAACAGAGUGUCACUAGUAUGCCUCUACUUGACUAGCUCGUUAAUCAAAGAUGGUUAUGUUUCCUAACCAUGGACAAAGAGUUGUUAUUUGAUUAACGGGAUCACAUCAUUAGGUGAAUGAUCUGAUUGACAUGACCCAUUCCAUUAGCUUAGCACCAGAUCGUUUAGUAUGUUGCUAUUGCUUUCUUCAUGACUUAUACAUGUUCCUAUGACUAUGAGAUUAUGCAACUCCCGUUUGCCGGAGGAACACUUUGUGUGCUACCAAACGUCACAACGUAACUGGGUGAUUAUAAAGGAGCUCUACAGGUGUCUCCAAAGGUACAUGUUGGGUUGGCGUAUUUCGAGAUUAGGAUUUGUCACUUCGAUCAUCGGAGAGGUAUCUCUGGGCCCUCUCGGUAAUGCACAUCACUUAAGCCUUGCAAGCAUUGCAGCUAAUGAGUUAGUUGCGGGAUGAUGUAUUACGGAACGAGUAAAGAGACUUGCCGGUAACGAGAUUGAACUAGGUAUUGGAUACCGACGAUCGAAUCUCGGGCAAGUAACAUACCGAUGACAAAGGGAACAACGUAUGUUGUUAUGCGGUCUGACCGAUAAAAGAUCUUUGUAGAAUAUGUAGGAACCAAUAUGGGCAUCCAGGUCCCGCUAUUGGUUAUUGACCGGAGACGUGUCUCGGUCAUGUCUACAUUGUUCUCGAACCCGUAGGGUCUGCACGCUUAAGGUUUCGAUGACAGUUAUAUUAUGAGUUUAUGAGUUUUAAUGUACCGAAGGAGUUCAGAGUCCCGGAUGAGAUCGGGGACAUGACGAGGAGUCUCAAAAUGGCCGAGACAUAAAAAUCGAUAUAUUGGACGACUAUAUUCGGACAUCGGAAAGGUUCCGAGUGAUUCGAGUAUUUUUCGGAGUACCGGAGAGUUACGGGAAUUCGCCGAGAGAAGUAUUGGGCCUUAUUGGGCCAUACGGGAAAGAGAGAGGGGCUGCCUAGGGCAGGCCGCGCGCCCCCAAGGCUUAGUCCGAAUUGGACUAGGGGGAGGGGCUGCGCCCCUUCCUUGUUUCCUACUCCUACUACAUGGAAGGACUCCUACUUGGACUAGGAAAGGGGGAAUCCUACUCCCGGUGAGAGUAGGACUUCUCUAGGCGCGCCAUAGAGAGGGCCGGCCCUCCCCUCCUGCACUCCUUGAUAUACGGGGGCAGGGGGCACCCCAUAGACACACAAGUUGAUCCACGUGAUUAUAUUCUUAGCCGUGUGCGGUGCCCCCUUCCACCAUAGUCCUCGAUAAUAUUGUAGUAGUGCUUAGGCGAAGCCCUGCGACAGUAGUACAUCAAGAUCGUCACCACGCCGUCGUGCUGACGGAACUCUUCCCCGACACUUUGCUGGAUCGGAGUCCGGGGAUCGUCAUCGAGCUGAACGUGUGCUAGAACUCGGAGGUGCCGUAGUUUCGGUACUUGAUCGAUCGGGCCGUGAAGACGUACGACUACAUCAACCGCGUUGUCAUAACGCUUCCGCUAUCAGUCUACAAGGAUACGUACAUCACACUCUCCUCUCUCGUUGCUAUGCAUCAUCAUGAUCUUGCGUGUGCGUAGGAAAUUUUUUGAAAUUACUAUGUUCCCCAACAAAAAUAUUCACAAAGAAACUCUAAAUACACAAAAAAAACAACUCAAAAAUAAAUAAAGCAAAAAAAAUAAAAAAAGCCCGCCUACUGGGCCAGAGCGGCCUGCAUACGACUAGAAACUCAACCUGUUGUUGGGCCAGGAUGCAGGCCCGCAAAGGUCGAGUAGGCCCACAGGGCAGCACAGAACAUGUAGGCCCAGUAGGCCUGCUUUGGAGAGGAGCUCGAGACAGCUACCGCACGGGGGGUUAUAAACCAGUGCAGACGCCCUUCGGCUAGCGAGGUGGGACUAAACUUGCUGCACCGCACCUGCGCCAAUGCACCCCCUUUAGUACCGGGUGGUGGCACCAACCGGUACUAAAGGCGGGGGUGCCUUUAGUACCGGUUGGAGCCACCACCCGGUACUAAAGGGGGUGCGCUUCCCGCCGCUUGGACUGGCCAAAACAGGCCUUUAGUACCGGUUGGUGGCUCCAACCGGUACUAAAGGUCCAUCCUAUAUAUCCAAACACUUCAAAAAUUUCAGUUUUUCAUCUGCUUCUUCUCCUCUGCCCCGUCGCCCGCCGCCCCCGUCUCCAUAUCCCUCGUCGCCGCCCCCGUCGCCGCCCCGUCCCCGUCGUCGNNNNNNNNNNNNNNNNNNNNNNNNNNNNNNNNNNNNNNNNNNNNNNNNNNNNNNNNNNNNNNNNNNNNNNNNNNNNNNNNNNNNNNNNNNNNNNNNNNNNNNNNNNNNNNNNNNNNNNNNNNNNNNNNNNNNNNNNNNNNNNNNNNNNNNNNNNNNNNNNNNNNNNNNNNNNNNNNNNNNNNNNNNNNNNNNNNNNNNNNNNNNNNNNNNNNNNNNNNNNNNNNNNNNNNNNNNNNNNNNNNNNNNNNNNNNNNNNNNNNNNNNNNNNNNNNNNNNNNNNNNNNNNNNNNNNNNNNNNNNNNNNNNNNNNNNNNNNNNNNNNNNNNNNNNNNNNNNNNNNNNNNNNNNNNNNNNNNNNNNNNNNNNNNNNCUCGCCGAUGAGCACACACGCACAUACAUUUUUUUAGUUUUUUAGUUAUAGAAAUAGUUAUAAAAAUGUUAGAAAAUUUUCUUUUCUUAGUUAUAGAAAUAGUUACUUAUAUAUCAUUAUUAGAAAUGUUAGAAUUGUUAGAAAUUUUUUCUGUUUUUUAGUUAUAGAAAUAGUUAUAAAAAAGUUAGAAUUGUUAGAAAUUUUUCUGUUUUUUAGUUAUAGAAAUAGUUAUAAAAAAGUUAGAAAUUUUUCUUUUUUUAGUUAUAGAAAUAUUAGAAAUGUUAUACAAAUGUUAGUUAUACAGAUAGAAAUGUUAUAAUUUUUUUUGUUUUUUAGUUAUAGAAAUAUUAGAAAUGUUAUAGAAAUGUUAGUUAUAUAGCAUUGUUAGAAAUGUUAUAGGAAUGUUAGUUAUAUAGAAAUGUUAGAACUUUGAGUUAUCAAAAUCCAAUUAUUAAAAAAAUGUUACUUUUUGCGGGCAUAUAGCUAGUACUUGUUCUCGACGAUGCCCGGCCCGCAUCCUCGCCGUCGACCCGUCCGCGACGACGUCCGGCUGACCCAUGUCCGAGACUGGGCUCCGCCGGGCUGGCACUGGGGGGGCGCGCCGCUUGAUGAGGAACAUGGCCCCGGGUCCCGUCGUCGACCCUGAUCUAGUUUGGAGGCGUUCGCGUCGGCCAGUUUCGGUGCGGAGGGAGCCGGCCCCGCCGGAGGUGGUACGUCGCCGUGUUAGGGAGGAGGACGAGCACGUCCAUCGCUACAUGGUUGCGUUAGAGGGCGGCAGGUUCUCCAAUACCUGGCAGUUUCUUCAGGGAUCUCACUUCAGCUAUGAUCCUGUGAGGGUUCCUUCUCUUUGGGUGUCCACCGCCCGCGCCGCAGGAACUGCGAGUGUCCUAGAUUCUUCUGUAGUCAGUGAUGUAUUCGAUAUAUAAUAUUCGAGACGAUGUAUUCGAGAUUAUAUAUUAUUCGAGACGAUGUAUUCGAGAUUAUAUCUAUUAUUCGAGACGAUGUAUUCGAGAUUAUAUCUAUUAUUCAAGACGAUGUAUUCGAGAUUAUAUCUAUUAUUUGAGACGAUGUAUUCGAGAUUAUAUCUAUUAUUCGAGACGACGUAUUCGAGAUUAUAUUUGAUGAUGCUUAUAUGUACUAUGAUUGAUUCAGUUUUUCCUUAUUAAUUGAUUGCAUCCAUGCAUUGUAAUUUGAAUAUAUUUCUUUUGGAUUAGUUAAACAAAACCUAUGGCGGACAAUACCGGUAGAGAGGGAGAAGAGGCCCUGUUCAAUAUCAUAUGCAAUCCUCGCGGGCCAGAUGAUGAUCAGAAUGAAGAAGAUUAUGACGGCUCCGAAUAUGUAAACAACACCGGGGAGGGUGAUAUGAUAUUCGAUCGCGACGACUGAAUUGAUGAAGUCAUGAACUAUGAACAUGACAAAGAAAAUGUUGAUCUUGAAACAACAAAGACCGGCGAGGUAUAUAUAUUUAUAUAAGCAGGCAUCUGGUGAUCAUCACAUGUUUUAAAUGACUCGAAGAUAUAUUAACGAAUCGAUCUUUCUUCUUUCAGCUAUCUGGAUCGAGCAAAUCUUCAGGCAACAGGAUGAAAUGAGGCCCAAACAAAAAGUUGAAGGAGGGCGUAAAGUACAAUAUCGAGGCAAUCAGACCUAAUGGCGAACCAUUAGCGCCUAAGAAGAUUGCGGACAAGUUCGUUCGUCAGUGCGGAGUUCUUGUGAAGGACCUACUCCCGAUCUCCCUUCAAGAAUGGAGAGAGCCAGCAAACCAACGUCCAGAUCUUACUUUUGUCGAUGACAGACAAAAAGGUCUGCUUUGGGAUACUCUCAUGGAACAUUUCACCCUACCAGAUCAUUUCACAGAAGCAGAUGUGCAGAAAGUAAAGGACGCUGCUCUUAGGAAGAUGGCGGUUGCAUUCAAGAACCAUAAGAAUCAUGAAUGGGACAAGUACAUCAAGGGAGGAAGGAAGACUCCAGUAUUCGAGGGAACACUAGAGAAGCAAAGUGCUCAUUGGGACGAUUGCGUGAAAUUCAAGGAUUCGGAAUUAGCUAAGGAGCGGUCGAGAAUAAACAAGAAGAAUGUCGAAAAAAGGAUAAGUUCCAUAAGCUGGGGCCAGGUGGCUACGCGAUGGCAAUGCCUAAGUGGGAUAAGUUUGAGAAAGAGAUGGAGGAUGCAAGUGUCACUCCGGUUACUAGGAGCUGGCCCCCCAGGUGCAGGACUUGGUUCUAUGCGCAUGGGGGGAGUUGGACCCGAAGACAGGCAAAGUUUCGACGAAGGCAUGUCUGAACGGAGCCAACGAUGCGCUAAUUGUUGCAAUAGAAGAGGCUCGAACGGGGGUAUUCCAGCCCAACAGAGAGAACGACGAGCUUACGCGUGCCCUGGGAAAUCCUGAACACCCGGGAAUAACACGAGGCAAGGGCGCUAUUCCGUGGUAUGAGUGGUUUUCGGACUGGAACCGACUACAGAAACCGUGUGAGAAGGAAGAUUGCGGAGGAGAAGAAGAGGAAGAUGGAGGAGGAGCAGAGGAAGUUGGACUAUGAACGCCUUCAAGGCCUAGAAUCAAAGCACGCAGACUUGGCAGUCAAAUUCCAGCGGCAGCAGGAGCAGAUCGACUCACUUAGCCAGCAAAGGGGGUCUCAGCAGCUGCAGCGGCAAGCGGAUGAUCCAGCAUUGGAUAGCACCGCCCUAUCCAUGCCGAGAAGCAGCGUGGGUUCCGCCCCGGGCGACGCAAUGCUGGAUAGAUACCCCGUGGAUGACGUCACGGAGAACACUAACUGCGAGCUACACUUCAAAAUGAAGAACAUAUCCAUGAAGGUGGCGGAUGCCGUUGCUUUUACAAAUCCCCCCGAGGCAACCUUCCAUUGCAACCCGAUUCCAGCAGGCUAUGCUCGUGUCUUGGUUGAUGAGGUGGUGGACCCAUAUUCGGGGCUACAUCUUGACAUUCCUGGAGGUGAUGACGAGCACACAUUGGGAGAGGCCAUACAUCGUGUCAUCCUAUGGAGAAAGGAUUGCAUCGUCUUUCGAAGGCCACCGGCACCGCGUCACCCGACUCCUCGUCGAAGUCCGCCACCGAGUCAGCAAACUCCUGCUCCUCCAAGUCCACCAAUGUGUGAGGCCAUUACUCCUCCUCCAAGUCUGGCAAAGUGUCAGGCCACUCCUCCUCCAAGUCCGACACAGCGUCAGACGUCCACUCCUCCUCCAUGUCCGGCACAACUUCAGGCCACUCCUCCUCCAAGUCCGGCACAGCUUCAGGCCACUCCUCCUCAUCCAACUCAGCCCCGUCAGCCUUCUCCGCCGCCUCAGCAAUCGCAGAAGAGACACCCCGCAGCUAUGGUGCAUAGCGGUACGAGUCGAGGUAGUACAGGAAGUACAGGCGGAGGCAAGCUAUAUAAAUAUGGUCCAAGCCUCACUACUCCUCUUCCUCAGAGGGCUUAUGACAUGACCGAGGAGCAAACCAAUGCCAUAGAGCAGGCAGAAGUGGACGCCCAUUUUGGACCGAAACCGCCACCGCCGCCAAGGGAGAAACUGCCUGUGGAAAAGAUUGACCACUUCAUUCGUAUGGCCCAACCACCAGCUCCCAAGCCCGAUGACACAGACUAUGAGCGCCACAUCAGGAAGUUAAAUCGAGCACGUCUACAGAAGGAGGCGAGCUCGAGCUCGAGCAAACAACAAGCAGCUGUCAAAAAAUGCAGGAAAACCGUUCCCCAGCAGGGAGAACAGGCGACGCAAUCGAUCCCCUCGCUUGUUGUGCCAACAACACGUGAUAGUACGCGCGCCCAAUAUUAUUGUGGCCAAACAGUUUAUGUUCCCGAGGUGGGCAAUGUGGUAAUAACCGAGGAGCAUAUAAUGCAGGCUAAAAUUCUCAACAUCACUGUUGGACAACUCCUCAAGAUCGAGCCCAUGCCUGUGCUUACAGAGGAGGAAAUAAAAUGGAAAUAUGUCCGGGGCGAACCUUUGGUCAAGCCAGACGAGGUCAAGAAGCUCCUAACGCGAAUGUAUGAAUUGCAUCAAUGGUACAUGGACAUUACCAAGAGUUCCAAUCGAGAGUCCCUCAUGGUGGAAGUCAAGAAGGAUCAUUACUACCAUCAGAAAGCUGUGGCCGUUGAGUAUAAUGAACUGUUUGAGUUAUACAAUCAAGAUGCACUCGACAAAUCUAUCGUCAGUUGCUAUUGUCUGUAAGUGAUUUCUUUCUGUAAUUUAAGUCUCAAGCUAGCUGUAGUGAUCCUUUUGAUCAAUCAUUACCUGUAAUUAUCCUCACUAUAUUCUUUUCUGUGGUAUUAUGCAUGAUGAAGAUGUAUGUAAUGAAAAAAAGUGGACGCUACGGCAUUGGGUUCAUUGACCCAAACACCGUUAAUGAAUACACAUGGAAAAUAGAUCCAUAUCAUGAAAAGCAUGUAGAGGACAGCAUGCUAGAGUUCUUGAAGCGCCUCAAAUACAAUGAAGAUAUACUACUUCCUUACAACUUCCAGUGAGUCACACUGUCUUGUACUAUACAAAUUCUCUGUUUUUGCCUACUAGCUAGCUACAUGUUUUUGCUUAUGUAUGCCCGCUUAAUUAAGACAUGCAAACGUGUGUGCAUGCAGAUUUCACUGGAUCUUGUGUAUCAUUAAAGUUGACGCUGGAACAAUUGAAAUACUGGACUCACUACUCAAAGCAAAUAGUGACUAUAACAUCUUGUUUGGGAUAGUCAACAGGUAAUUUCAAUCAUUAUUAACUAUAUAUCUCGACCUAUUUAGUUCGUCAUUUCAUGAUAUGAACUAUUUAAUAACCCAUUUAUUCAUUUUCUUUGUCAGCGGGCAGGGCUUGGGCAAGGUUCAUCAGCGUCACUCCAGGCGAAUGGAAACAAAAGCUGAAAUGGUUUCGACCCAAGGUAAGUAAUUAAGUAGUACUAGCUAGCUAGCUAGCUGCCAUCUCUUUAAUUAUCAUGCUUGCUUAAUUAUUAUCUGAUCAACUUCCAUUCUCGUAAAGGCCCUGAAGGAGGCGCAGGGGACUGAUCUGUGUGCAUACUGCGUUUGCGAGAACAUUCACAUGAUGGCAUCCGAAAGGAGCAGAUCUCAAAGACAGGAAUGGCACUAGUAGAAAAAGGGUCCAAUCGUGAAGCACAUUAGUGCCGGUUUGAAUUUGAGCUGGCACUAAUGUGUGCAUUAGUGCCGGUUCCAACGGCUAGCCGGCCGCUCUCAUUAGUACCGGUCCGUGGUGAACCUUUAGCACCGGUUCGUGCCAUGAACCGGUACUAAAGUGAGUGGUGGCAGGAUGUUGUCAGUCCGGGGCCCCUCCAGCACCUUUAGUACCGGGUCGUUUCAUGAACCGGUACUAAAGGUCGUCCUACAUAGACCCUUCGUCCACCCGAGCUCGCUUUGUUCUUCCCCUUUCCCCUCUCCUCUCUGUUCUUUUCCCUCUUCCUCUCAAGCUCAUCACACAUUUUGCCCAAAAUUUGUCAAGAUUUGAAGGCCCCCAUCCAUUCAAAUGAUCACAAAGGUUAACAACUUUUUCCUUUCAUCUCUCAUUGCUAGAUUAGCUUGUGCAAUGCUUUAUAUAGUGAUUGAUUUUUGAGUUUAGUAAUUUGGGAGGAAUUAUAUAGAUGUGCUAGUAUUUGAUUUAUAUGCAAUUUGAGGUCAAAAAUAACACUUAGUUUGCAUAUGUAGGUGUGGUUUACGUAGUACCUUCUAAAUCUCCGUCGUAACCACCGUCGAUCGCUCGCAACGUCCCGUCGCCAGCACCACCUUGUGGUGAGCCUCUUGUUCUUGAACUUUUAUAUAAAAAAUUGAUGUUUGUGUGAUUUGGAUAUAUAGUUACUCGUAUAAUUAUCUUACCCAUACGUUGUUUGUUAUACAUAGUGCCAUGGUUUUGAUAUCCGUCCCCGUUGGCCCUCGUCCGGGUUAUGAUUCGGAUGUGGUAUAUUCUCUUUUAAAACUAUUCAUUGCAUUUCGUGUUUAUGACAAAUUAUGCCCAUCAAGUUGACAUAGAUAUUUGUAUGUAGGAGGUAGUUGAACCGGAAAUUCCAACCGACCCUAUUGUCGAGAGGUUAAAUUUAGUUGAAAGAGAAAACGAGGAUUUGAAGGAAAAAUUGAAAAGAAUUGAGGGGGAGAAGAUGGAAUUGGAGUUGCAUGUUGCCGAUGUCGUCGAUAAUCACAAGAUUAAGAUGGAGAAAAUGCGCUUGAAGAUUAGAAAGAUUAGAAAAUAUGCUAUUCAUAGUGAGGCUUGGUAUCAUUAUGCUGUUGGAUCAAUUGUUACCUUAGUUGCGAUCUUGAUCGCAUUUGUUGUUGCAUUUAAAUUCUUUAGCUAGAGAGUUAUUUGUUUGUUGCAUUUAAGUGUUGUAUGAUCUUUAUGUAUGAACUUUAUGUAUUGUAUUAAUUUGACGUUUUCGGUGCUGUCUAUUGAAGAUGAGCCGGCAAUGGAUGUACGAUGACCGAUGCUCUCCCGAAUUCAUUAAUGGUGUGCGUACUUUUCUGCUUGCGGCUGAGGCAAACAAGCGAGCGGAUGGUUUUAUGCCUUGUCCAUGUGCUGGCUGUAAGAAUGGUCACAAUUACUCUACGUCAAGAACCAUUCACGUCCACCUGUUUGAGUCCGGUUUCAUGCCCCACUAUAAUGUUUGGACCAAGCAUGGAGAAAGAGGGGUUAUGAUGGAAGACAAUGAAGAAGAAGAGGACGACGACAGCUAUCCUGGCCAUGGGUUCCCUGAAUACGAUGAUACAACAAUGAGGGAAGAAGCUGAGCCGGUAAUGCGGGAAGAAGCUAAAGAAGAGGCAUCGGAUGAGCCCGUUGAUGAUCUAGGUCAGGCCAUUGCCGAUGCAAAGAGAAACUGCGCAAGUGAUUUGGAGAAGAAGAAGUUGCAGCGCAUGUUAGAGGAUCACAAAAAAUUGUUGUACCCGAAUUGCGUAGGUGACAAGAAAAAGCUGGGCACCACACUGGAAUUGCUGCAAUGGAAGGCAGAGAAUGGUGUAUCUGACAAGGGAUUUGGAAAGUUGCUGGUAAUGAUAAAGGAUAUGCUUCCACAGGACAACGAAUUGCCCGAGAGUACGUACGAAGCAAAGAAGGUUGUCUGCCCUCUAGGGUUAGAGGUGCAGAAGAUACAUGCAUGCCCUAAUGGUUGCAUCCUCUACCGCGAUGAGUACGAGGAUUUGAACGCUUGCCUGGUAUGCGGUGCAUUGCGCUAUAAGAUCAGCCGCGAUGACCCUGGUGAUGUUGAGGGCGAGCGCCCCAGGAAGAAGAUUCCUGCCAAGGUGAUGUGGUAUGCUCCUAUAAUACCCCGGUUGAAACGUUUGUUCCAAAACAAAGAGCAUGCCAAUGCGAUGCGAUGGCACAGAGAAGACCGUAAGAAAGACGGAAAGUUGAGAGUACCCGCUGAUGGGUCGCAGUGGAGAAAAAUCGAAAGAAAGUACGGAAAGGAGUUUGUAGAUGACGCAAGGAACGUAUGGUUUGGUCUAAGCGCAGAUGGCAUUAAUCCUUUUGGGGAGCAGAGCAGCAACCAUAGAACCUGGCAUGUGACUCUAUGUUUGUAUAAUCUUCCUCAUUGGUUGUGCAUGAAGCGGAAGUUCAUUAUGAUGACAGUGCUCAUCCAAGGCCCUAAGCAACCCGGCAACGACAUUGAUGUGUACCUAAGGCCAUUAGUUGAAGAACUCUUACAACUGUGGAAUGGAACAGGUGUACGUGCGUGGGAUGAGCACAUGGGGAAGAAUUUGACCUAAAGGCGUUGCUGUUCGUGACCAUCAAUGAAUGGCUGUUCUCAGUAACCUUUCAGGACAGACAAACAAGGGAUACCGCGCAUGAACGCACUGUUUGGAUGAUACGGACAGUAUAUAUUUGGCUAAUUGUAAGAAGAAUGUGUACCUGGGACAUCGUCGAUUUCUUCCGAGCAGGCAUCCCGUAAGAAAGAAAGGCAAGCAUUUCAAAGGUGAGGCGGAUCACCGGACGAAGCCUCGCCACUGUACUGGUGUUGAUGUACAUGAUAUGGUCAAGGAUUUGAAGGUGGUCUUUGGAAAGGGUCCUGGUGGACAACCUGUUCCGAAUGACGCUGACGGACGCGCACCCAUGUGGAAGAAGAAAUCUAUAUUUUGGGACCUGCCCUAUUGGAAAGACCUAGAGGUCUGCUCCGCAAUCGACGUGAUGCAUGUGACGAAGAAUCUUUGUGUGACCCUGCUUGGCUUCUUGGGCGUGUAUGGGAAGACAAAAGAUACACCUGAGGCACGGGAGGACCAGCAAUGUAUGCACGGAAAAGACGGCAUACAUUAGGGUCAUGCAAGCUAUGCUCUUACAAAAGAAGAGAAGGAAAUCUUCUUUGAAUGCAUGCUCAGUAUUAAGGUACCGUCUGGCUUCUCGACGAAUAUAAAGGGAAUAAUAAACAUGGCAGAGAAAAAGUUCCAGAACCUAAAGUCUCAUGACUGCCACAUGAUUAUGACGCAACUUCUUCCGGUUGCAUUGAGGGUGCUUCUACCAGAAAAUGUUCGAUUAGCCAUUGUGAAGCUAUGUGCAUUUCUCAAUGUAAUCCCUCAGAAGGUAAUCGAUCCAGAAAUCAUACCAAGGUUAGAGAAUGAUUUGGUGCAAUGGCUUGUCAGUUUCGAGUUGGUGUUCCCACCAUCCUUCUUCAACAUCAUGACGCACGUCCUAGUUCACUUAUGCGAAGAGAUUAACGUUUUUGGUCCUGUAUUUCUACACAAUAUGUUCCCCUUUGAGAGGUUCAUGGGAGUCUUAAAGAAAUAUGUUCAUAACCAUGCUAGGCCAGAAGGAAGCAUCUCCAAGGGCCAUGAAAAUGAGGAGGUCAUUGAGUUUUGUAUUGACUUUAUUCCUGACCUUAAGCCGAUUGGUGUUCCUAAAUCGCGGCAUAAGGGCAGACUGGAUGGAAAAGGCAUGCUAGGAGGGGAACAAAUAAUAUGUAUGGACGAACAUUCUCUCACUGAAGCACACUACACAGUUUUACAGAAUUCCGCCUUGGUGGCUCCGUAUAUGUAUGAACACAAGAAUUUGCUACGCUCCAAACACCCGAGCGGUCUGAUGACUGGAUUACACGUGAACUAACUAGGAGUUUCGCCAGCUGGUUGCAGACACGUACCAUGCAUGACACCUCUAUUGAAGAUGACAUGUACUUGCUGUCCCAGUUACCAUCUUCGAAUAUAAUGACUUUCAAAGGGGACGAGAUAAAUGGUAAUACAUUUUACACGAUCGCCCAAGAUAAGAAGAGCACCAACCAAAACAGUGGUGUCUGCUUUGAUGCAGAAACCAAGACGGGAAAGGAAACAUAUUAUGGUUAUAUACAGGACAUAUGGGAACUUGACUAUCGACGUGGUUUGAAGGUCCCUUUGUUUCGGUGCAAAUGGGUCAAUAUGACACGAGGCGGGGUAACGGAAGACCCGCAGUACGGAAUGACAACAGUGGAUCUCAACAAUCUUGCGUAUGCAGACGAACCAUUCGUCCUAGACAAUGAUGUGGCACAGGUUUUCUAUGUGAAAGACAUGUCUACCAAGCCAAGAAAAAGAAAAGAUAAGGAAGCGAAUGCAUUGUACGAUGAGCCAAAGCGGCACAUAGUUCUUUCUGGGAAGAGAAACAUCGUGGGAGUGGAUGACAAGACAGACAUGUCAGAAGAUUAUGAAAAGUUUGAUGAAAUUGCUCCAUUCACGGUGAAUAUUGACCCGAGCAUCCCGUUAAAUGAUGAAGAUUUUCCAUGGUUACGGCGCAAAGGGACACACGCGAAGAAAAAGUUUCACACCCAAAGAUCUGGGAUGUGAUCGGCUUCACUAUCAUCACUUUGUUCUGUGUUUCACACCCAGGAGGGAAUCUCUCUAAUAGUUAGGGUAGUUAUGUGUUUUGGCAUUUGAAAUGCGCAGAAAUUUUAUGUGCAAACAAAUUCUUUCAUGCCUUUACUGAUUUUUAAAGUUAAGUUAUUCACAAACUAGUGAUUCACACUAAUUUCAAAUAAUUCAAAAUUUAAACUAUUAAAAUUUGAAAACUACGGGCACUAAAGAAAGUUUGUAAUUUUUUGUACCUAAAGAAAAAUAUUCACAAAGAAACUCUAAAUACACAAAAAAACAACUCAAAAAUAAAUAAAGCAAAAAAAAUAAAAAUAAAGCCCGCCUACUGGUCCAGAGCGGCCUGCAUACGACUAGAAACCCAACAUGUUGUUGGGCCAGGAUGCAGGCCCGCAAAGGCACAGUAGGCCCACAGGGCAGCACAAAACAUGUAGGCCCAGUAGGCCUGCUUUGGAGAGGAGCUCGAGAGAGCUACCGCACGGGGGGAUAUAAACCAGUGCGGACGCCCCUCGGCUAGCGAGGUGGGACUAAACUUGCCACACCGCACAUGCGCCAGCGCACCCCCUUUAGUACCGGGUGGUGGCACCAACCGGUACUAAAGGGGGGCCUUUAGUACCGGUUGGAGCCACCACCCGGUACUAAAGGGGGUGCGCUUCCCGCCGCUUGGCCUGGCCAAAACAAGCCUUUAGUACCGGUUGGUGGCUCCAACCGGUACUAAAGGUCCAUCCUAUAUAACUAAACACUUCAAAAAUUUCAGUUUCUCAUCUGCUUCUUCUCCUCUGCCCCGUCGCCCGUCGCCCCCGUCUCCAUAUCCCUCGUCGANNNNNNNNNNNNNNNNNNNNNNNNNNNNNNNNNNNNNNNNNNNNNNNNNNNNNNNNNNNNNNNNNNNNNNNNNNNNNNNNNNNNNNNNNNUUUUUCUGUUUUUCAGAAAUAGUUAGAAAUGUUAGAAUUGUUAAAAUAGUUAGAAAUGUUAGAAUUGUUAGAAUUGUUAGAAAUGUUAGAAUUGUAAGAAAUUUUUCUGUUUUUUAGUUAUAGAAAUAGUUAUAAAAAAGUUAGAAUUGUUAGAAAUUUUUCUGUCUUUUAGUUAUAGAAAUAGUUAUAAAAAUGUUAGUUAUAUAUAUAGUAAUGUUAUAAUUUUUUCUGUUUUUUAUUUAUAGAAAUAUUAGAAAUGUUAUAGAAAUGUUAGUUAUAUAUAGCAUUGUUAGAAAUGUUAUAGAAAUGUUAGUUAUAUAGAAAUGUUAGAAAUUUUAGUUAUCAAAAUCCAAUCAUUAAAAAAAUGUUACUUUUUGCGGGCAUAUAGCUAGUAUUUGUUCUCGACGAUGCCCGACCCGCAUCCUCGNNNNNNNNNNNNNNNNNNNNNNNNNNNNNNNNNNNNNNNNNNNNNNNNNNNNNNNNNNNNNNNNNNNNNNNNNNNNNNNNNNNNNNNNNNNNNNNNNNNNNNNNNNNNNNNNNNNNNNNNNNNNNNNNNNNNNNNNNNNNNNNNNNNNNNNNNNNNNNNNNNNNNNNNNNNNNNNNNNNNNNNNNNNNNNNNNNNNNNNNNNNNNNNNNNNNNNNNNNNNNNNNNNNNNNNNNNNNNNNNNNNNNNNNNNNNNNNNNNNNNNNNNNNNNNNNNNNNNNNNNNNNNNNNNNNNNNNNNNNNNNNNNNNNNNNNNNNNNNNNNNNNNUAUAUUAGAAAUGUUAUAGAAAUGUUAGUUAUAUAGCAUUGUUAGAAAUGUUAUAGGAAUGUUAGUUAUAUAGAAAUGAUAGAAAUUUUAGUUAUCAAAAUCCAAUCAUUAAAAAAAUGUUACUUUUUGCGGGCAUAUAGCUAGUAUUUGUUCUCGACGAUGCCCGGCCCGCAUCCUCGCCGUCGACCCGUCCGCGACGACGUCCGACUGACCCAUGUCCGGGACUGGGCUCCACCGGGCUGGCACUGGGAGGUGCUGCCUAGAGGGACGCACCGCUUGAUGAGGAACCCGGCCCCGGGUCACGUCGUCGACCCUGAUCUCGUUUGGUGGCGUUCGCGUGGGCCAGUUUCGGUGUGGAGGGAGCCGGCCCCGCCGGAGGUGGUACGUCGCCGUGUCAGGGAGGAGGACGAGCACGUCCAUUGCUACAUGGUUGCGUUAGAGGGCGGCAGGUUCUCCAAUACCUGGCAGUUUCUUCAGGGAUCUCACUUCAGCUAUGAUCCUGUGAGGGUUCCUUCUCUUUGGGUGUCCACCGCCCGCGUCGCAGGAACUGCGAGUGUCCUAGAUUCUUCGGUAGUCAGUGAUGUAUUCGAUAUAUAAUAUUCGAGACGAUGUAUUCGGAUUAUAUAUUAUUCGAGAUGAUGUAUUCGAGAUUAUAUCUAUUAUUCGAGACAAUGUAUUCGAGAUUAUAUCUAUUAUUCAAGACGAUGUAUUCGAGAUUAUAUCUAUUAUUCGAGACGAUGUAUUCGAGAUUAUAUCUAUUAUUCAAGACGACGUAUUUGAGAUUAUAUUCGAUGAUGCUUAUUAUGUACUAUGAUUGAUUCAGUUUUUCCUUAUUAAUUGAUUGCAUCCAUGCAUUGUAAUUUGAAUAUAUUUCUUUUGGAUUAGUUAAACAAAACCUAUGGCGGACAAUACCGGCAGAGAGGGAGAAGAGGCCCUGUUCAAUAUCAUACGCAAUCCUCGCGGGCCAGAUGAUGAUCAGAAUGAAGAAGAUUAUGACGGCUCCGAAUAUGUAAACAACACCGGGGAGGGUGAUAUGAUAUUCGAUCGCGACGACCGAAUUGAUGAAGUCAUGAACUAUGAACAUGACGAAGAAAAUGUUGAUCUUGAAACAACAAAGACCGGUGAGGUAUAUAUAUUUAUAUAAGCAGGCAUCUGGUGAUCAUCACAUGUUUUAAAUGACUUGAAGAUAUAUUAACGAAACGAUCUUUCUUCUUUCAGCCAUCCAGAUCGAGCAAAUCUUCAGGCAACAGGAUGAAACGAGGCCCAAACAAAAAGUUGAAGGAGGGCAUAAAGUACAAUAUCGAGGCAAUCAGACCUAAUGGCGAACCAUUAGCGCCUAAGAAGAUUGCGGACAAGUUCGUUCGUCAGUGCGGAGUUCUUGUGAAGGACCUACUCCCGAUCUCCCUUCAAGAAUGGAGAGAGCCAGCAAAGCCACGUCCAGGUCUUACUUUUGCCGACGACAGACAAAAAGGUCUGCUUUGGGAUACUCUCAUGGAACAUUUCACCCUACCAGAUCAUUUCACAGAAGCAGAUGUGCAGAAAGUCAAGGACGCUGCUCUUAGGAAGAUGGCGGUUGCAUUCAAGAACCACAAGAAUCAUGAAUGGGACAAGUACGUCAAGGAAGGAAGGAAGACUCCUGUAUUCGAGGGAACACUAGAGAAGCGAAUUGCUCAUUGGGACGAUUUCGUGAAAUUCAAGGAUUCGGAAUUAGCUAAGGAACGGUCGAGAAUAAACAAGAAGAAUGUCGAAAAAAGGAUAAGUUCCAUAAGCUGGGGCCAGGUGGCUAAGCGGUGGCAAUGCCUAAGUGGGAUAAGUUUGAGAAAGAGAUGGAUGAUGCAGGUAUCAUUCCGGUUACUAGGAGCUGGCCCACCAGGUGCAGGACUUGGUUCUAUGCGCAUGGGGGGAGUUGGACCCGAAGACAGGCAAAGUUUUGACGAAGGCAUGUCUGAACGGAGCCGACGAUGCGCUAAUUGUUGCAAUAGAAGAGGCUCGAAUGGGGGUAUUCUAGCCCAACAGAGAGAACGACAAGCUUACGUGUGCCCUAGGAAAUCCUGAACACCUGGGAAGAACACGAGGCAAGGGCGCUAUUCCGUGGUAUGAGGGGUUUUCGGACUGGAACGCCGACUACAGAACCCGUGCGAGAAGGAAGCUUGCGGAGGAGAAGAAGAGGAAGAUGGAGGGGGAGCAGAGGAAGCUGGACUAUGAACGCCUUCAAGGCCUAGAAUCAAAGCACGCGGACUUGGCAGUCAAAUUCUAGCGGCAGCAGGAGCAGAUCGACUCACUUAGCCAGCAAAGGGGGUCUCAGCAGCUGCAGCGGCAAGCGGAUGAUCCCGCAUUGGAUAGCACCACCCCAUCCAUGCCGAGAAGCAGCGUGGGUUCCGCCCCGGGCGACGCAAUGCUGGAUAGAUACCCCAUGGAUGACGUCACGGAGAACACUAACUGUGAGCUACACUUCAAAAUGAAGAACAUAUCCAUGAAGGUGGCGGACGCCGUUGCUUUUACAAAUCCCCCCGAGGCAACCUUCCAUUGCAACCCGAUUCCAGCAGGCUAUGCUCGUGUCUUGGUUGAUGAGGUGGUGGACCCAUAUUCGGGGCUACAUCUUGACAUUCCUGGAGGUGACGACGAGCACACAUUGGGAGAGGCCAUACAUCGUGUCAUCCUAUAGAGAAAGGAUUGCAUCGUCUUUCGAAGGCCACCGGCACCGCGUCACCCGACUCCUCGUCGAAGUCCGCCACCGAGUCAGCAGACUCCCGCUCCUCCAAGUCCACCAAUGCGUGAGGCCACUCCUCCUCCUCCAAGUCCGGCAAAGUGUCAGGCCACUCCUCCUCCAAGUCCGACACAGCGUCAGACGUCCACUCCUCCUCCAAGUCCGGCACAAGUUCAGGCCACUCCUCCUCCAAGUCCGGCACAGCUUCAGGCCACUCCUCCUCGUCCAACUCAGCCCCGUCAGUCGUCUCCGCCGCCUCAGCAAUCGCAGAAGAGACACCCCGCAGCUAUGGUGCGUAGCGGUACGAGUCGAGGUAGUACAGGAAGUACAGGCGGAGGCAAGCGAUAUAAAUAUGGUCCAAGCCUCACUACUCCUCUUCCUCAGAGGGCUUACGAUAGGACCGAGGAGCAAACCAAUGACAUAGUGCGGGCAGAAGUGGACGCCCAUUUUGGACCGAAACCGCCACCGCCGCCAAGGGAGAAAGUGCCUGCGGAAAAGAUUGACCACUUCAUUCGUAUGGCUCAACCACCAGCUCCCAAGCCUGUUGACACAGACUAUGAGCGCCACAUCAGGAAGUUAAAUCGAGCACGUCUACAGAAGGAGGCGAGCUCGAGCAAACAAUAAGCAGCUGCCAAAAAUGCAGGAAAACCGUUCCCCAGCUGGGAGAACAGGCGGCGCAAUCGAUCCCCUCGCUUGUUGUGCCAACAACACGUGACAAUACGCGCGCCCAAUAUUAUUGUGGGCAAACUGUUUACGUUCCCGAGGUGGGCAAUGUGGUAAUAACCGAGGAGCAUAUAAUGCAGGCUGAAAUUCUCAACAUCACUGUUGGACAACUCCUCAAGAUCGAGCCCAUGCCUGUGCUUACAGAGGAGGAAAUAAAACGGAAAUAUGUCCGGGGCGAACCUUUGGUCAAGCCAGACGAGGUCAAGAAGCUCCCAACGAGAAUGUAUGAAUUGCAUCAAUGGUACAUGGACAUUACCAAGAGUUCCAAUCUAGAGUCCCUCAUGGUGGAAGUCAAGAAGUAUCAUUACUACCAUCAGAAAGCUGUGGCCGUUGAGUAUAAUGAACUGUUUCAGUUAUACAAUCAAGACGCACUCGACAAAUCUAUCGUUAGUUGCUAUUGUUUGUAAGUGAUUUCUUUCUGUAAUUUGAGUCUCAAGCUAGCUGUAGUGAUCCUUUUGAUCAAUCAUUACCUGUAAUUAUCCUCACUAUAUUCUUUUCUGUGGUAUUAUGCGGGAUGAAGAUGUAUGAAAUGAAAAAAGGUGGACGCUAUGGCAUUGGGUUCAUUGACCCAAACACCGUUAAUGAAUGCACAUGGAAAAUAGAUCCAUAUCAUGAAAAUCAUGUAGAGGACAGCAUGCUAGAGUUCUUGAAGCGCCUCAAAUACAAUGAAGAUAUACUACUUCCUUACAACUUCCAGUGAGUCACACUGUCUUGUACUAUACAAAUUCUCUAUUUUUGCCUACUAGCUAGCUACAUGUUUUUGCUUACGUAUGCCCAUUUAAUUAAGACAUGCAAAUGUGUGUGCAUGUAGAUUUCACUAGAUCUUGUGUAUCAUUAAAGUUGACGCCGGAACAGUUGAAAUACUGGACUCACUACUCAAAGCAAAUAAUGACUAUAACAUCUUGUUUGGGAUAGUCAACAGGUAAUUUCAAUCAUUAUUAACUAUAUAUCUCGGCCUAUUUAGUUCGUCAUUUCAUGAUAUGAACUAUUUAAUAACCCCUUUAUUCAUUUUCUUUGUUGGCGGGUAGGGCUUGGGCAAGGUUCAUCAGCGUCUCUCCAGGCGAAUGGAAACAAAAGCUGAAAUGGUUUCGACCCAAGGUAAGUAAUUAAGUAGUACUAGCUAGCUAGCUAGCUGCCAUCUCUUUAAUUAUCAUGCUUGAUUAAUUAUUAUCUGACCAAAUUCCAUUCUCGUAAAGGCCCUGAAGCAGGCGUAGGGGACUGAUAUGUGUGCAUACUGCGUUUGCGAGAACAUUUGCAUGAUGGCGUCCGAAAGGAGCAGAUCUCAAAGACAGGAAUGGCACUAGUAGAAAAAGGGUCAAACGUGAAGCACAUUAGUGCCGGUUUGAAUUUGAGCCGGCACUAAUGUGUGCAUUAGUGCCGGUUCCAACGGCUAGCCGGCCGCUCUCAUUAGUACCGGUUCGUGGAGAACCUUUAGCACCGGUUCGUGCCACGAACCGGUACUAAAGUGAGUGGUGGCAGGAUGUUGUCAGUCCGGGGCCCCUCCAGCACCUUUAGUACCGGGUCGUAUCACGAACCGGUCCUAAAGGUCGUCCUACAUAGACCCUUCGUCCACCCGAGCUCGCUCUGUUCUUCCCCUUUCCCCUCUCCUCUUUGUACUUUUCCCUCUUCCUCUCAAUCUCAUCACACAUUUUGCCCAAAAUUUGUUAAGAUUUGAAGGCCCCCAUCCAUUCAAAUGAUCACAAAGGUUAGCAACUUUUUCCUUUCAUCUCUCAUUGCUAGAUUAGCUCGUGCAAUGCUUUAUAUAGUGAUUGAUUUUUGAGUUUAGUAAUUUGGGAGGAAUUAUAUAUAUGUGCUACUAUUUGAUUUAUAUGCAAUUUGAGGUCAAAAAUAACACUUAGAACCAUUCACGUCCACCUGUUUGAGUCCGGUUUCAUGCCCCACUAUAAUGUUUGGACCAAGCAUGGAGAAAGAGGGGUUAUUGUGGAAGACAAUGAAGAAGAAGAGGACGACGACAGCUAUCCUGGCCAGGGGUUCCCUGAAUACGAUGAUACAACAAUGAGGGAAGAAGCUGAGCCGGUAAUGCGGAAAGAAGCUGAGCCGGCAAUGCAGGAAGAAGCUGAAGAAGAGGCAUCGGAUGAGCCGUUGAUGAUCUAGGUCGGGCCAUUGCCGAUGCAAAGAGAAACUGCGCUAGUGAUUUGGAGAAGAAGAAGUUGCAGCGCAUGUUAGAGGAUCACAAAAAAAUGUUGUACCCGAAUUGCGUAGGUGACAAGAAAAAGCUGGGCACCACACUGGAAUUGCUGCAAUGGAAGGCAGAGAAUGGUGUAUCUGACAAGGGAUUUGGAAAGUUGCUGGUAAUGAUAAAGGAUAUGCUUCCAAAGGACAACGAAUUGCCCGAGAGUACGUACGAAGCAAAGAAGGCUGUCUGCCCUCUAGGGUUAGAGGUGCAGAAGAUACAUGCAUGCCCUAAUGAUUGCAUCCUCUACCGCGGUGAGUACGAGGAUUUGAACGCUUGCCCGGUAUGCGGUGCAUUGCGCUAUAAGAUCAGCCGCGAUGACCCUGGUGAUGUCGAGGGCGAGCGCCCCAGGAAAAAGAUUCCUGCCAAGGUGAUGUGGUAUGCUCCUAUAAUACCACGGUUGAAACGUUUGUUCCAAAACAAAGAGCAUGCCAAGGCGAUGCGAUGGCACAGAGAAGACCGUAAGAAAGACGGAAAGUUGAGAGUACCCGCUGACGGGUCGUAGUGGAGAAAAAUCGAAAGAAAGUACGGGAAGGAGUUUGCAGAUGACGCAAGGAACGUAUGGUUUGGUCUAAGCGCAGAUGGCAUUAAUCCUUUUGGGGAGCACAGCAGCAACCAUAGCACCUGUCCUAUGACUCUAUGUUUGUAUAACCUUCCUCUUUGGUUGUGCAUGAAGCAGAAGUUCAUUAUGAUGCCAGUGCUCAUCCAAGGCGCUAUGAAAAAAAUUCUUAUUUUUAACAGAAGCGCGAUAAAAUACUGAUUAUUUUUGCAGAAGAUUAAUAAAUAAAUUGUUUAGGUCGUCCUAAAUAUUCAGAAUUUUUGAAGUUAAAGAAGUAUUCAUAAUAUCCAGAUUGCUACAGACUGUUCUGUUUUUGACAAAUUCUGUUUUCUAUGUGUUGUUUGCUUAUUUUGAUGAAUCUAUGGCUCGUAUCGGGGCGGGGGGUAUGAACCAUGGAAGAGUUAAAAUACAGUAGAUAUUACACCAAUAUAAAUAAAAAAUGAGUUCACAACAGUAUCAAAAGUGGUGAUUUAUUUUCUUAUAACGGGGCUUAUGAUAUUUUCUGUCGAGUUUUGUGUUGUGAAGUUUUCAAGUUUUGGGUAAGGAAUUGAUGGACUAUGGAAUAAAGAGUGGCAAGAGCCUAAGCUUGGGGAUGCCCAAGGCACCCCAAGGUAAUAUUCAGGGAUAACCAAGAGCCUAAGCUUCCGGGGCAUCCCCUCUUUCGUCUUCAUUUAUCGGUAACUUUACUUGAGGCUAUAUUUUUAUUCACCACAUGAUAUGUGUUUUGCUUGGAGCAUCGUGUAUGAUUUGAGUCUUUGCUUUUCAGUUUGCCACAAUCAUCCUUGUUGUACACACCUUUUGAGAGAGACACACAUGAAUCAUGAUUUAUUAGAAUACUCUAUAUGCUUCACUUAUAUCUUUUGAGGUAGGCAAUUUUGCUCUAGUGCUUCACUUAUAUCUUUUUAGAGCACAGCGGUGGUUUUAUUUUAUAUAAAUUGAUGAACUCUCAUACUUCACUUAUAUUAUUUUGAGUGUCUCUAAACAGCAUGGUAAUUAGCUUUGGUUAUAAAUUUAGUUCUAAUAUGAUAGGCAUCCAAGAGAGAUAUAAUAAAAACUUUCAUAUAAAGUGCAUUGAAUACUAUGAGAAGUUUGAUUCCUUAUGAUUGUUUUGAGAUAUGAAGAUGGCGAUAUUAGAGUCAUGCUAGUGAAGUAGUUGUGAAUUUGAGAAAUACUUGUGUUAAGGUUUGAGAGUCCCGUAGCAUGCACGUAUGGUGAAUCGUUAUGUAACGAAGUUGGAGCAUGAGAUAUUUUUGAUUGUCUUCCUUAUGAGUGGCAUCUGGGGACGAGCGAUGGUUUUUUCCUACCAAUCUACCCCCUAAGAGCAUGCGCGUAGUACUUUUGAUGACUAGUAGGUUUUUGCAAUAAGUAUGUGAGUUCUUUAUGACUAAUGUUGAGUCCAUGGAUUAUAUGCAGUCUCACCCUUCCGCCAUUGCUAGCCUCUCUUGUACAGCACAACUUUCACCGCUAUCAUAAACCCACCAUAUACCUUCCUCAAAACAGCCACCAUACCUACCUAUUAUGGCAUUUCCAUAGCCAUUCCGAGAUAUAUUGCCAUGCAACUUUCCACCGUUCUGCUUAUUAUGAAAUGCAUCAUCAUUGUCAUAUUGCUUUGCAUGAUCAUGUAGUUGACAUUGUAUUUGUCGCAAAGCCACCGUUCAUUAGUUUUUUAUACAUGUCGCUCUUAAUUCAUUGCACAUCCCGGUACACCGUCGGGGGCAUUCAUAUAGAGUCAUAUCUUGUUCUAGUAUCGAAUUGUAAUUUUUGAGUUGUAAGUAAAUAGAAGUAUGAUGAUCUUCCUUUUUAGAACAUUGUCCCAUGUGAGGAAAUAAAAUAAAAAAGAGGAAAAGAAAAAAAGAGCAAAAAAAGAAAAAAAGAGAAGAAGAAAAAAAAAGGAGGGAAAGAAAGAAAAAACGAGAGAAAAAGAGAGAAGGGGCAAUGUUAUUGUCCUUUUCCAUACUUGUGCUUCAAAGUAGGACCUUGAUCUUCAUGAUAGAGAGUCUCCUAUGUUCUUACUUUCAUAUACUAGUGGGAAUUUUUCAUUAUAGAACUUGGCUUGUAUAUUCCAACGAUGGGAUUCCUCAAAAUGCCCUAGGUCUUCAUGAGCAAGCAAGUUGGAUGCACACUCACUUAGUUUUCUUUUCGAACUUUCAUAAACUUAUAGCUCUAGUGCAUCUGUUGCAUGGCAAUUCCUACUCACUCACAUUGAUAUCUAUUAAUGGGCCUCUCCAUAGCCCGUUAAUACCCCUAGUUGAUGUGAGACUAUCUCCCUCUUUUUGUCUUCUCCACAACCACCGUCUAUUCCACCUAUAGUGCUAUGUCCAUGGCUCAUGCUCAUGUAUUGCGUGAAAGUUGAAAAGGUUUGAGAACAUCAAAAGUAUGAAACAAUUGCUUGGCUUGUCAUCUGGGUUGUGCAUGAUUUGAAUAUUUGUGUGAUAAAGAUGGAGCAUAGCCAGACUAUAUGAUUUUGUUAGGAUGAGAUUUCUUUGGCCAUGUUAUUUUGAGAAGACAUAAUUAUCUUGUUAGUAUGCUUGAAGUAUUAUUGGUUUAUGUCAAUAUUAAACUUUUGUUUUGAAUCAUACGGAUCUGAACAUUCAUGCCACAAUAGAGAAAAUUACAUGGAUAAAUAUGUUAGGUAGCAUUCCACAUCAAAAAUUAUGUUUCUAUCAUUUACCUACUCGAGGACGAGCAGGAAUUUUCCGGAGUACCGGGGGCUACCGGAACCCCCCGGGAGUUAAUGAGCCUUCAUGGGCCCUAGUGGAGAGAGGAGGCGGCAGCCAGGUGGUGGCGCACGCCCCCCCAAGCCUGAACCGAAUUGGACUAGGGUUGGGGGGCCGGCCCCCCUUUCCUUCUCUCCUUCUCCUCCUUCCCUCCUUCUCCUAGUGGGAAUAGGAAGGGGGGCGAAUCCUACUUGGACUGGGAGUCCAAGUAGGACUCCUCCCAUGGCGCAUCCCCCCUUGGGCCGGCCACCUCUCCCUUCCCCUUUGUAUACGUGGGAGGGGGGCACCCCAAAGGCACACCAAGCCUUCUCUUAGCCGUGUGCGGUGCCCCCCUCCACAGUUUCACACCUCGGUCAUAUCGUCGUAGUGCUUAGGCGAAGCUCUGGGCCGGUAGCUUCAUCAUCACCGUCGACACGCCGUCGUGCUGACGAAACUCUCCCUCAUCCUCAAUUGGAUAAAGAGAUCGAGGGACGUCAUCGAGCUGAACCGCUAGGGGUACGAAGGAGGAGGAGACCGGAUGCGUUAAGCUAGUUGGUAAGAGUUCUUGUCAUUAUUGAUAGUGGCCCUAGAGAAAGAGAUUACGCUGAUUGUUCUAACUUCAUUCAUAUUUGAUUCCGCAACUGAGACCUUUUCCCACAUCUGUGCCAGGAGGGCAAGUGGUCAAAGCAGAAAGGGUUCUCGCUUCUCCUUCUGGAAGGGUGUGCUGAACACGGAGGUCCCGUAUGUUCGGUGCUUGGAUCGGUUGGAUCGCGAAAACGUUCGACUACAUCAACCACGUUACUAAACGCUUCCGCUUUCGGUCUACGAGGGUACGUAGACAAACUCUCCGCUCUCGUUGCUAUGCAUCUCCUAGAUAGAUCUUGCGUGAUCAUAGGUAAAAAUUUUGAAAUACUGCGUUCCCCAACAUGCUUGCGUUUAUUUCACUACAUCAUGUCAUCUUACUUAAUGCGUUACUCUGUUCUUAUGAACUUAAUACUCUAGAUGCAGGCAAGAGUCGGUCGAUGUGUGGAGUAAUAGUAGUAGAUGCAGGCAGGAGUCGGUCUACUUGAUACGGACGUGAUGCCUAUGUUCAUGAUCAGUGCCUUAGAUAUCGUCAUAACUUUGCGCUUUUCUAUCAAUUGUUAGGCAGUAAUUUGUUCACCCACCGUAAUAUUUUCUAUCUUGAGAGAAGCCUCUAGUGAAACCUAUGACCUCUAGGUCUACUUUCCAUCAUAUAAGUUUCCAAUCUACAAUUUUAGUUUCCUAUUUACUUCCUUUGCAACCUUUUACUUUCCGUUUCAUAAACCAAAAAUAUCAAAAAUAUUACUUUACCGAUUAUCCAUCUCUAUCAUAUCUCACUUUGCAAAUAAUCCCAAAGGGAUUGACAACCCGUUUAGCGCCUUGGGUGCAAGUAGGUGUUUGUUUGUGCAGGUACUCAAUGACUUGUGUGUCGUCUCCUACUGAAUUGAUACCUUAGUUCUCAAAACUGAGGGAAAUACUUACUCUACUUUGCUUCAUCACCAUUUCCUCUUCAAGGGAAAAACCAACGCAAGCUCAAAAGGUAGCAGACCUCCAGUCGUAGCCGCCAUGAUUUUCUUCACGUCUAUCAAUGCCUUGAGAAUUUUGACUUGGACAUGUCCUAUGGCAUGAAUAAGAAAUCGAAGCUUCGCGCCGCGUCCUCUUGAGGCCGUGUUGGCUGAUAAUAUUAGUGCGCAUGACCAGAGCCUUUCUGAUCAAGAUAUCCAAGGACGACAUACACCAAUUCAUAUAGAUCUCCGCUCGGAAAGACCGAAACUCAUCAACGGCCAGAUCCAAGUUGUCGACAUCUGACAGAAAGACGACUUGGCGGAAGAAAAGCAUCAGGGCCAAACCACCAUUAUUAGUCCAAAGCUAAUAGCCUCCACGCCGCCCUCCUCUCGAUCCAGACAGGAAGAAAAAGAUCAACGACGUCGCAUCAUGCCACUCGCAUUCGUGGAGGCUUGAACAUGGCAAGACGCCAACCAUGGCUAGAGACGGGGACCAGCCACUCUGGCCAGAUCCGGCGACUCCUAGUCCCACCGCUCCCGCUACGGCGGCACCGCAUGUAGCCUACAAGCCCAUCCACGAUGAUGUCUGAUUAGAAGGAUAUAUGGAUAUACAGAUGAAAAGGCCCUUGUUAUCCCUCCAACAAUAUAUAUAAAGCUUAUUGGGACAUGAGAAAGCUUGCACAAGGCUAUGGAAAUGUAUUGCCAGACAGAGAUAUACGAUUUUCGUUCGGCAUCCAAACCGCUUGUGUCACGCUUAAUCGAUGGUCACUCUAAUUUUUCCGGCGGGCCUUCCCUGUGGUACUGCAGCCUUACAUGUGUAUUAGUGGUUAGGGCGUCAUCCGUGGCGCCGCUUAAGAGGAAGUUGUUUGCACGCUUUUAUUUUUUUUAAAUCAUGUACUCCUCAUCUCUAUCUAAAAAAAUAUUUAUAGAAAAUCCUCAUCUCCAUCUAGAAAAAGAAGUAAAAAAGAAAAAAAAAAUCACCAACGCAACCUUACAGCGAGCGCCACUUAGCGUAGUCCUCCAUUUAAAAAAAUAUGAAGUCAUCACCUUCAUAUAAAAAGAAAAAAACAUUUUAAAAACGUUUUCAUCUCCAUCUAAAAAUAAUAUCCCAAAAGCUUUUUCACUACGGCCAACCAGCUUGUACCAUGUGCCAUAACUGAUUGGCCGCUCUUCAUGCAUAGCUUAAUGGGUUUAAUGAGUUUCAUAUAGCUAUUCAUUAAGAAGAAAACCAAAAUUACUUGGAGUUAAUAACUAAUACGUUUCCUUUAACUAACACGUGCACGGCGAGGAUUUACGUGCAUGAUGUUUUUUCCUCUCCCCACGUCGUAUUGGGCCGGCCCAUUCGUGCACAUCUCUAUUUCUAAUGCAGCAGUUGGUAGUCUCAUUUUCAGGGUUUUUUUGUCCCACCUUUCAUGGUUUUUUUAUACCUCCUUCCACCUUCGCUGGUUUUUUUCAUAAAUUUUUUGUCCCCUCCCCCUAUUUCAUCGGUUUAUUUUCGCGUCACCCUCUCACACAAUGAAAGAAAUCUGAACAGAUUAGAACUUUCCAUGCUGGCGCAAGUUAUUUAGUAAUGUAGAAUCAAUCACGAACAAUCGCUAAAGAUCAAAUCCAAGUUAAUUAACCUUACCUUAAAUCACUCAAUCACAUUAAUUAGAAAACAAAUAAUUGAUUUUCAGAAAAAUUGCUCAAUCACAUUAACCUUACCUUAACUCACGGAUGGUAAUCAAUCUUCAAACAAAGGAAACAAUACAUCAAGGGAGCAGUAAAUAAACUCCCUUUCUUAUGACAUGUAUAUGAUCUUUCCUUCCCUCUCCGUUGUCGAGCGUUCUUGAUUCUCAAGGCCGAUUCUUGGGCUGCGUCACUGGGUCGCGACGGUGCCGAAGGACGAGGAUGGCGAGGCCGGGUGUCGCGGCACCGCGUUGGCCGUGGCUGAUGAAGGGGGUGAAGAAGGGCGGCUUCCCUGGCCGUGGCCCUGGGAGUUGGUGCGGUGGAAACGUCACUUGAAGGACCCGACGUGGGUGGCCGACGCGCAGACGCACUUGGAAGCGGGCCCAUGGCCCGCGCCGGACGGCGCCGACGCCGACCUGGACCACCUCCUCCGUGUAUCCUUGGAGCUAUGGCUGGCCAAUUUAUAUGAAAUUAAUUCCCUCAGUUGUGGUGGCAAAUAUAAUACACAUAAUCCAUAUUGUUAUGCACUAGUGUGUGUGUGUGUGAAAUAGAUGGAUUAUGGUCCCGUACCAAUAAGAUGGAUAUAUGUGUGUGUUAGAGAGAGAGAGAGAGAGAGAGACAGAGAGGGAGAGGGGGAGAGAGAGUGAGGAAAAGGGAGGGAGAGUGUGUGUAUGAGGAUUUGAUGGUAAAAAAAGUCGCCAAUGUCAUUUGAUAUGUAUGAAAAUAUUAAUAUUAAACUUUUAAAGUUAAUGUGGCCCCGUUAAAAUACACAAGCGUUCUUAUAGUAUAGUUAGAGAAAGACAUGAGGAAAAGGAAGAACCGGGAUCGAUUCCUAGUCUUCUCAAGGUGGCCGCGUGGGUUUGUCUCAAAAAAAAAAGGUGACAGCGUGGGUGCUACUACCGGUCCGCCCAAGUCCGGUUCGUGAUAAGUUGUAGGUGCGCGUCGUACUUGAGGCGAUUGAGGCCUGUUUUAUUUGAGUUUUUCCUCUCUUUUUUCUUCUUCAUUUUUUUCAUUCUUUUUUGCACUCCGUUUCUUUGUUUUGUCAUUCUUUUUUUCUUUUGUUUAUUUUCUUUUUUUCCGGUUUUCUUUGUUCUAUUGGUUAUUAUUGUACAUUUUUUGUAUACGUCUACAACAUUUUUUUCUAAUACACAUCUAACAUUUUUCAAAUACAAACCAACCAUUUUUGUAAUACAUUGUCAAGAUUUUUUUGUACACAUUUUUAAAUGCUUGUUUGUCAUUUUUCAAAUACAAGAUUAACAUUUUUUCAAUACAUGGUCAACAAUUGUUUUUGCCAUUUUUACAAAAAAAUUAAAUGCUUGAUUAACAUUUUCUUAAUGCAUGGUCAUUUAUUUUUCUAUACACAUUUAACAUUGUCCAAAUGCUUAAUUAACAUUUUCAAACCCUUGUUCAACAUCUCUUUUAAAAUGCUUGAUUCACAUUUCUGUAUACAUGAUCAAACAUUUUUAUCAUUUUUAAUACAUGGUCGACGGUAUUACCCAUACACAUUUAACAAUUUCCCAAUUCUUGAUUAACAUUGUUUAAGUACUCGUUCAACAUUUUCUCAAAUGCAUAACGUUGACAUUGUUGAAAAGUGGCAUCACAAGUUCCAGGGAGUAGAAAAGAGAUUAAUCAACGAAACCGCGCGAACUUUGUGGUGCUAUUGUGUUAUAUCAACUACUCCUUUCGUUCCGAAUUACUUGUCACAAGUAUGUAUGUAUAUCUAGAUAUAUUUUAAUUUUAGAUACAUCCAUUUAUGCGACGAGUAAUUUGGAACGGAGGGAGUAUGUGUCUGUUAUGUCACCAAAUUCAGUAUAUAUAGAACAUGGAAAUACAGUAAUAGUGAGCUCACUCGGUGGGAGCCCGUCACGGCCAUGGGAAUAGGAUCCUCCUCGUACUGCUCCUCUCCUGCCCUGCCCUGAGGAGCAGUAUCGUCCGUCGUCGCCGAGCGGCGCAGCAGCCGGUGGCCGAGGGGAGACCGAGAUUUAUUCUCCGGAGGCGCCGAAUCCGGCUCGUAAGUCGAAAUCCCUCUCUGUCCCGCCUCUCGGAUCCUCCCACCGAUCUCCUACUUCCCUGCCGCCAAUGCCCGCCUUUUCUUUGGACUCCGAGCGAGGAAUCGGAGGGAAAGCUGUGUACUUCCUGUGGCUUCAUACCCCGGUAAUGGCGGCCCUGCUUGCCGUUGCCGCUUGGUCCACUCUCUGCGUGCCCGUCUGCAAGGUGUUCGAUGGAUUGUGCGCAGGGUGUCGGCCCGGCUGGCCUCGUUUCACUUCUUCCAGGUUUCAGUCCGUUUACCGCCGGUUGCUGAAAAUGUGCACGAGAAGCAUAAGAAUGCUGGGAUAUGCGCUCUUUGUUUACCGUUUACUGUCAUUUGUUUGGUUGCAGGAAGCACCCGGCCUUAAGCAUAGUACUACAUAUAAAGUUGUAUGUUCUGUUCCGUUUGUUUGUUUGCUGUCUGAUGAUUGAGACAAGUGCAUAAUCUAAAGUUUGGCACCUGCACUUGCACCUGCUCCUGCACAUUUAUGUGUUGGAAACUGGAAUCUGUUCAGUGUAGUAUGGCCAUGCCACAUGUUUUGGCUUUAGCCUAAGGACCAAUUGCUUCUUGACUUUCUUGGAUGCUUGCUGGCCCAACCUUGGAUCUGUAUCUUUCUAAUAGUCUUCUAAAUCAGAAACAUAACGAUUUUUUGUGCUGCUUACUAGAUUCGGUGUGUUUACUUAGCGUGUUUAGUCGAAUCAUCUGUCAUUGUUCUCUCAAGUUACUUUUCCUUGCGAUAUUCAACCCAGCGGUUUAAAAUUCCUGCAAUUGCUUCAUUCAGAUUGAUUUUUCGCUUCUUUGUUGCUGAUUUCCUUUCAACGUUUGGGCUGAGGCUCCAAAUGUUGGUACUCUUUUAACCGGAGUAUGUUACUUUGGAGAAUAGAAGAAUUAUGCAUUGGUAUCAUGAUAACAUAUGCCUAAUGGUUUUUCUUACAGGAGGGCGUUUCCAACACAUAAAUAGUUUGCUAGCAUGCAGACAGUGUCCAGUAGCCUUUGCGCCAUUUGAGGCAUAAUGGACAUAGCUUUUAUCAUGUUGUUGGUUCUUUCUCUGCUCCUGUUCCCUAAUGGCAUCUGCAAGAGUUUAGCUACAGGACCUCCUGUUGUGAAUAUUGGGUCUAUUCUUCAGUUUGACUCCACCACCGGGGGUGUUGCGGCAGUUGCCAUCCAUACAGCCGUGGAAGAUAUCAACUCUGAUCCAACAGUUCUAAAUGGAACUACACUAAAGGUUCAAAUCAAGGAUACAAAUUGCUUUGAUGGUUUCCUUGGCAUGGUUCAAGGUAGGCUAGCUUUAAUGCCACUCAUUCAUUUCACAACCUUCAAAUAGUUAUUACUUCUGUUGUGGAGUUGUGGCAAUGAUGCCGUGUUCCUUGUAUCAGCUUUGCAGUUCAUGGAGACUGAUGUUAUUGCACUCAUUGGCCCUCAGUGCUCCACAAUUUCUCAUAUCAUUUCAUAUGUAGCAAAUGAGCUUCGAGUCCCUUUGAUGUCCUUUGCUUCUGAUGCAACUCUUUCAUCAAUACAGUUCCCGUUCUUUGUCAGGACGGGUCCCAGUGAUCUCUAUCAAAUGGCGGCUGUGGCAGAAGUUGUUGACUACAACCACUGGAAGAUAGUGACUGCCAUAUACAUUGAUAAUGUUUAUGGUAGAAAUGGCAUUGCUGCUUUGGAUGAUGCACUCACUUUAAAGCGCUGCAAAAUAUCCUACAAGGUUGGGUUUCCUUCCAACGCUAAAAGGAGUGACCUCAUAAAUUUGUUGGUUAGUGUCAGUUCUAUGGAGUCUCGUGUUAUCAUUCUCCAUACUGGAACUGAACCUGGACUCAAGCUUUUCUCUAUGGCACACCAACUGAACAUGAUGGGCAACGGCUAUGUGUGGAUUGCAACUGACUGGCUGUCUGCAUAUCUUGAUGCUAAUUCAUCAGUUCCUGUUGAGACUAUAUCUGGCCUGCAAGGUGUUCUUACUUUACGGCCACAUAUUCCCAACUCAAAGAUGAAGAGUAAUUUGGUCUCCAAAUGGAGCACGCAAAGUAAAAAGUACAACUACAGUGAUGUUUGUAUAAAUACUUAUGGUUUUUAUGUUUAUGAUAGUGUCUGGGCAGUAGCUCAUGCUCUGGAUGCCUUCUUUGAUGAUGGUGGUAGGAUUUCCUUUUCAAAUGACUUGCAUGAUGGAACUGGAGGAACUCUUCACCUUGAAGCAAUGAGCAUUUUUGACAUGGGAAAUAAAUUACUGGAGAAGAUUAGAAAGGUAAACUUCAGUGGGUUAUCUGGGCAAGUGCAAUUCGAUGCUGUAGGCAACCUCCUUCACCCUGCGUAUGACAUCAUAAAUGUCAUCGGAAAUGGCAUGCGGACCAUUGGUUUUUGGUCAAACUAUUCUGGCUUGUUGUCGACUGUCUCUCCAGAGGCUCUAGAUUCAAAGCCUCCUAAUACUUCUCUAGCCAAUCAGCAUCUCUAUGAUGUUAUUUGGCCUGGGGAGACUGCACAGAGGCCUCGAGGAUGGGUUUUUCCUUCUAAUGCCAAGCAGUUGAAAAUUGGUGUUCCCAACAGAUUUAGCUUCAAAGAGAUCGUCACGGUAGACAAUGCUACUGGGUCAAUGAAGGGUUAUUGCAUCGAUGUCUUUACUCAGGCAUUGGCUUUGCUUCCUUAUCCUGUUAGUUACAAGUUUGUACCUUUUGGGAAUGGUACUGAAAAUCCUAAUUAUGACAAACUCGUACAGAUGAUUGAAUCAAAUGUAAGUACGGAAUGCCUCUUUUUUCUUCCUCGAACCAUUUCAUCAUAUACCAUGCUGACCAGGGGCAUCUUAUCCUGCAGGAGUUUGAUGCAGCUAUAGGGGAUAUUGCAAUUACAAUGAGGCGGACAGUAACUUUUGAUUUCACCCAGCCAUUCAUUGAAACAGGCUUGGUUAUCUUGGCUCCGGUUAAAGAGCAUAUAACAUCGUCCUGGGCAUUCUUGCAGCCAUUUAGUUUGGAGAUGUGGUGUGUUACAGGGCUAUUCUUUCUUAUUGUGGGUGUGGUUAUUUGGAUUCUUGAACAUCGGAUCAAUGACGAUUUCCGUGGUUCAGUAUGUCAACAAAUAAUAACUAUUUUCUGGUAAGGAGCUGACCUGCACCUUUUGUACCGUCUUCUUGUAUAUCAUUCCUGUUUUCGAAGUGUUGAUGUUUUAACAAGUCUUGUGCAAUAUGUUGCAUACAGCGAGUACCUUAGAGCAGUGGCCAGUUAACAUACCUAAAUGAAGCAUCUAGUGAUUACCAAUGAACUACUCCCUCCGCCCCAUAAUAUAAGGGCGUUUUUGACACUACACUAGUGUCAAAACGCUCUUAUAUUAUGGGACGGAGGGAGUAUUAUCUUAAUAAUCUUGUGAGACAUAUAUACAUGCACAGCAUAUAUAUUCGCUUAAUGAUAUUUAUGAUGCAUUGCUCUAUUUUUCCUGUUUUCACAUACUUCUCUUCUCCACAUGUAUUUGCCAAAUGCUCUUAUAAUGGCGUGAUUCCUUGCUGUGAUUAUAAUUUCAAUUUUUAUUGCCUGCAGGUUCAGCUUUUCGACUUUGUUCUUCGCACACAGUAAGUAAACCAACCUUCUCUCUUAUGUGUUUUUUUUUUUGGCUAUAACAUUUUGUUCUGAGGCAUGAGGCAUGACUCGUGAUUUCAUAUGUAUCUGCGCGCAGGAGAAAAUACUAUGAGCACCUUAGGGCGUGGUGUCCUGAUCAUAUGGCUGUUUGUUGUUUUGAUAAUUGUAUCCAGCUAUACCGCGAGUCUUACUUCCAUCCUGACCGUGCAACAACUCGAUACUUCUAUAAAAGGAAUCGAGGACCUGAAAAAUAGCAAUGAUCCUAUUGGUUUCCAAGUUGGUUCUUUUGCACAAGACUACAUGGUCAAGGAGCUCAACAUCUCACGGUCAAGGCUAAGAGCUCUUGGUUCACCACAAGAAUACGCUGAAGCCCUCAAGAUAGGCCCUAAGGAAGGAGGUGUUAUGGCCAUUGUCGACGAGCGCCCCUAUGUUGAACUGUUUUUGUCAUCCUACUGCAAGAUUGCGGUAGCUGGCACAGAUUUCACCAGCAGAGGAUGGGGCUUUGUAAGUACAGUUCAACCAUAUUCUUUUAUAUAAAUUAGAAUAUAAGAACAAAAAUUGCUGUUAAUGUCCUGGAAUAGAGGUUUUAACUUUGAAUAGUUGUGUCUAGUCUUUAGUUUAUGCAACUUUUAUUGCACUUACCUGCGGCUACUUUGUUUCACAAAUCGAAAUGUAGCACCUUACAAAUUCAUUCUGCCAGGCAUUUCCAAGGGACUCCCCUUUGCAAGUAGACCUCUCCACCGCAAUCCUGUCUCUGUCAGAGAAUGGGGAGCUGCAGCGGAUCCAUGCCAAAUGGCUCAAUACAGGGGAGUGCACAACUGACAACAGUGAGCUUGUCGACUCGAACCAGCUCCGCCUUGAGAGCUUCCUUGGUCUGUUCCUAAUCUGUGGUGUGGCAUGUGUUCUCGCGCUGCUACUCUACUUUGGUAUCAUGCUAUGCAAAUAUCUGAGGCAUGAACCGUGGAAGAGCCUCAGAAGAUUCAUCUCGUUCGUCCAUGGGAAGGAGCCGCCGAAGAACAAGGAGAGGCGGUCCAUGAGCCUGCCUGGAAGCUCAACGCCAACAACGCCGAUGAGCAGCCAUAGUUCCCUUGACAUGGAAAGGCCGGCCAGGCCAGUCAGAAACGGUAGCAUUAUUGACAUGGAAAGCUAAUUCAUGUGUAGAAAGCUAGUUAACAAUGCGGUCGACUAACCUAGGUUCUGGUAGUCGGACAGCAGGGCUGUAUAGGAGGAUUCGAAAUACUUCUUAAGUACUCCCUCCGAUUCAACUUAAUUAACUUUGACUUGGUACAACCUUAGUACAAAGUUGUACUAAGUCGGCGCAAUUAAUUUUGAUCUGAGGGAGUACUAAAGUUUAUGAAAUAACAGAAGGAAGGAUUAAUAAGAAAUAGAAAUAUUGAAAUGCUCCUCCUGUCCUACAUAUAUUGUUUUUACCUUUGCAUGUGUUUGAUAGGGCGUAGUAGUAGUGUGUGGGUACUUCAGUUAGAAGGUAUGCAGUGGACCAGUCUAUCGACCGUGUGGCAAUGCCUGUAGUUUGUAGCACUAAACUUUGAUGCCCAUUCAUAAACUAAUUUAGAUGGAGCCGCACAAAAAUUGUGUUUUUUUUUUUGCUCACACACUCUGUUUUGUCUCAGUUUUAGUCCAGCGCAACUUUGAAGCUUAUCCAGGGCAACUUUGAAGCUUAUCCAGGGCAACUUUAACUAUUUACAGGAGAAAUUGUUAAAGACCUUAUUAAGUGAAGAAGAAUAGACGUCUCCAGUUUUUGUUUCUCCAACUCUAUGCCUACACUGUAAAUUAUUUAUGAAUUAGCUCCAGUUGAUGCAACUGUACUCUUUCUGGUAGGUCUGAGAUGGACUGAGCAUCCUAAGCUAGCUACUUGUCUCCCUUAGGUUUUACAGCAAGACAAAUGCACUGGACUACAAAGAGGAAAAUUCUUGCAGGUUCGUAAUGAAUCUGUUUUGGUUCUGGCAUUCACACCAAUCAUAAAGCAGUGUUUGUUAGUAGCGGAGUGGUAGGCAGACGCAAAUCAAACCAUCAUUUUUCUUCUAAAUACACUUGUAAAAGCAUCGAUGCAUCUCCGUCGCUUAAUUUUAUUUGUCAUUCUGUUCAGUACCUGGUUUGGUUUAGGAAGAGCUCUUUUUCCUAUGCAAAAUGUAUAACGUGUAUGUUUCUAAUUCCGAUUGCAGGCAUAUUCAUCGCGCUUGUGUUUUGACGUGUUGCGGGCAACCAAGAGUCGUUCAACAGUGUGUUGCUGGGGUACGCCACCGGUCUGACAGUAAAAGGUAGCGCUGAUGAACUGGUUUCAAGCCGAGCUGAUCAGUUCUGCUGUUACUAAUAUAUCAUGGCAUCUUGCGGCUCUCGGUCGAUGUUCUGUCAUCUAUGAGGAGAGAGUUUCCAUUUAAUCUAGUUGCUAAUGCUUUGUAUACAAAAUUAUAGAUGCCUACACAAUACAAAAUCAAAAGUUAUUUUCUUAGUCAAACUGGAAAAUUCAUAGAUUUGCAGGAACAUCUGUACAUAAAGCCUUUUCCAUCAAAGUAUGUACAUACAUUGUCUAUUUUAACAUAAGAAUGUAGGACUCGUUCAAAACUAUUUGACUAUUCAUACAAAAAAAAUAGAAUUUCUUAAAAUAAGGGAGCACAUCUUCUCUGGUUUGAUCACUGAAGUCAUCAAUUGAGCAGUCCAGGUUCACCUAGUUAUCUAUUUCAAAACUUAGGGAGAACAAUUUGGGUGAUACUUUUUCAAAGUACAAGGCACAUAUUUAUAGUUCAUUGAAAUGCACCUAUAUUUUGACCUCAUUAAUAUCUCAUCCUUCAUAAUAAAGUAUGGCCAAACAAACAGAGAAACCGCUAGUUUCUUUCAUGUUCCCCAGACAAUAACACCAUAGCUAUUACUGUCAUUCCCCUUCUCUCUUAAUACCUUCCAUCCUUUCCAUUAUAAUUAAUGAAACUGAAACAUAUCAUUCUCUUGGUUGUAUUUUUUUCCUAAAAUGUUUAAGGUGUAUGUGUCAUUGAGUGAAUAUAUUAUGUUGCAAAGUUUCACGAAAUUUAGUAUGCAACCAGUAUGCAAGAGAAAUAAAGAUUAAAGUAAAUUUAGUUAUUUUUAUUAGCCAUUAUUGUUUUUAGAGAAAACAAUAGGCAAGUCACUUUUUCAUGAAAGCUGGAGACAAAUAGUGUAUUCUAACAUAAAAAUGGUCAAUUUUCCUCACACACACACACACACACAUACACAUAAACUUAGAAUUUUUGGAAAUAAUGGGAGCAAUGGCCAUGUGAAAAUAUGAGGUUUAUAUCUUGUGGAUUUCCUUUCAGUGUACAAGGCCUGCAUGUAGAAUGGAUAUUUUUUUUUCUAUAUUUGCUUCCCUAAUUUAAAUCUUAUCCUUCAUCAUCAAUUAUGACUAAACAUAAAUAGUAACUGCUAGUUUCUCUUAUGCUUAUGAGGAGAUAAGACCAUGGAUAUUUUAGUCAUUCCACUUUGCUAUUGAUUGUUUCUGUUCUUUUGCGCUAAAUAGUAGUCAAACAUGUUAUUCAUGUAUUUCGUAAGGAUAAGGUCAAGCCUCAUGAUAAGGAUAGGGUCGCGCUAUUCGUCACCCUGGGUGAGGCAUUGUUAUUUUUCACCCACUUCUAUUUUAUCAUCAAUGCACCGUAAAUUUACGUUUCAUAAGUUUUGUCUUAUUUCCGACGCAAAAAGGGACCGUAAGAAAAUAUAUAAUCGCCAUAAAAAAUAUUUUAUGUUAUAUAAAAUUACAAACAUAAAAACAUAGUCUAAAAUACACACAAACUGCAAAUUUUCUUGUCUUAUAACCUAUAUUUUUAUUUUUUUAUGUCAAAUUUUACGUAGUGAAUCAAUAGAAAUAUAACUAUUUGAAUUCGAAAUGUAAUUUAAUUAUGAAAUGAUCGUAAGAUUACCUCGGGUGAAGAAUAACUUAUUCUGCACCCUGAUUGAUGAAUAAUAAAUUUAAUUAUAUUAUAUACAUAUAGGAUAACACUAUUCUAAUCCUAGAAUUAGAAUAGCUAUUUGGAUCACAGCCAGCCCGACCACAUCUUAGUGAGAUCGCGCGAGCAAAAGAAAAAACCCAAAACGCCCCGCCCCGUUUAUCCCCUUGUCGCUCCACCACCACCCCCCGACCUCUGGCCGCCGCCCACCCUGCUCCGGCGCGCCUCCCACCCUCGCCUCCUUCCGAGCGCUCCGCCGGCCCCGCCUUCUUCCAGGCGCGCCGCCGGCCCCGCCUCCUCCUGGCGUGCUGCCACCCCCACCUCUUGCAGCGCGAGGUCGCCGCCACCGCCUACUUCCCGGCGUGCCGCCAGCCCCGCCCCCUUCGGCGCGAGGCCGCCGCCCCCACCUCCUCCUGGCGCGCCGUCGUCCCCUGUACCUGACGCGCCCCCCGGUGCCGCCGGCCCGCAACCCGCCGCCCAGCACCUUCCCGUCGCGCGCCUCCCAACACCGAGGCGCCGCCGCCCACAGGUUCUGUAGAUGCUGACCUGCCACUGCACCGCCGCUGCAACCUGCUGCUCACUCUUCCUCGCACAUGUGUCAGCAACACAAAAGUGGGUCGCUGCAGUCCACCUCCUGCUACAGCAGCAGGACGACUCCUUCAGGACGCAUCUCACACUCAUGGAGGCGGUGCUAUCUCUGGCGAGCUCCUCCAUCCCCGAGCGCGAUGCUUCCACUACUGCGUCCUCCUCACGUUCCCUUCCCCAUCCUUGUGUAUGCUUAUUUCGAUGUGGAAAACUCCAUCAACUAGUUCGCAUCACGUAUCAGGGCACGGCCAUAACAUGCUAGCAAUAUUAUGCUUUGGCUGCUAGUAAUGUGUUUGUGCUAAUGUCUAGUAGGAACUCUAGUUGUACUGAUAAAAGAGAACCAAACCAUCAUAUAAGGGAAAAGUCGCAUCUCUCUAUCUUUGAUCUCUCUAUGAUACAGAUAUGGACGUAUAUGGAAUUAGUAAAAUUCCUCUUUUAUAUUGCUUGUUCAUUAAUCAUUCAUGCAUCGUGUCCUAAAAGAAAUAUAGUGUGCUCUGUUUGAAAAAGCAUGUGGUCAGCACAUGUUUGUUAUUAUAUGGAUCUAAAGGUUUAACAAACAAACACAUUCAGAUUUCUCUUUAUUCGUAUAAAGGUUGGAGUGAGGUAGCGCUUAUUUCCUAUAUAGCUGCUCAUUUUGGAUGCAGUUUGAACAAUCAGGCUAGGGAGCGGUGAGCGUGGGUAGGCUGGCCAAACCUUCCCUCCACUGGGUCAACCGGCAGCGUCGCCCACCACCGUACUGUCCUACGGCAACGGCCCCAACCUGGGCAGGCGUGCUUUCUGCGACAUGCUCCUGCUCAUGGAUGUCUUGGUGAGGUAAAAACUUCUGUUAACUUAACUUAGCUACCUCAACUGAUUGAACUGCAGGGGUUGUGUGCAGUCUGAUGUGGUUCUAGUGUUUGAUUAAUGCAAUUUGGAAGAACUUGCGUCUCUAAAAUUCAAACUCUGCAUUUUGGUGUAUUUUUAUUUAGAAGUUCAGGUCAUCAUAAGUUGCUUCGGUUUAGCUAGUUACUGUUGUGAAAAAGUUCAGCUCGUCAUAUUUGAACAUCGGAAGAAGAGCUGCUAUAGUCUCCUGCUAUAUGCUUGUUAUAUUCCUAAAUAGUACAGGCUCAACCAAAGCAAGUAGUUAUAGUCUCCUGCUAUAUGCUUAAAUAGUACAUUUUUUCUGUAUUCUUGUUCGGAAGUUCAGGUCAUUCAAAGAGACCAAAUAGUACAGGCUCAACCAAAUAGUGAAAAGUCUACUAGAGUCGAAAAAAUAUAAUGAUACAAAAAUGCAACUCUGCACUUUCCUCAAAAUGGUCAUCAUAUUCUUAAGAAGAUUGGGAUUGCACUAUUUGUUUGAGCUAGUACUACCAGACUGAACAAAUUGCAGAGUUGGAUUUUAGAGCCUGGACAUUUUCAGACAUUUUCAAAAGUGGUCAAUUGAACCUGAACCAAAAAGAUUGACCUGAAAUUCGUUUGGGCUAGUUACUACCAGACUGAAAAAAUUGUAAUAGGUGGAUAAGUGGUAUUGUACUAUUUUCUAUUGUGUGGUAAUGCUCGUACCCCAUGGCCAUGGAAGGUUCAGAUGUUGUGCUCUUCUUUUCUAGCUGAUUCAUGUUCUAUUUGGUAGCUUUAAUGAUAUUCUAUACACUGAUGGCGAGAGUUCAACCAUGGCUAUACGCCAAGUUCUACUAUGGCUAUAUGUCGGCCAUCGUGAAGUCCUACUAUAGCUAUAUGCCAAGUUUAAUUAUGGCUGUAUGCUUGUGCUUCCAGGCUACUAUUGAACGUGUCUUGGCCUUCAUUUUUACGGGUUAUAGUCUCCUGCUAUAUGCUUGCUUUUGCUAUCAGCAUGUUCAUGCAAGUGCCUCUGAAUAAUCUGAAAUUUAAACUUGUACCUAAAACUGAACUUCUACCUCUUUGCUACAGGUGCGGUCGUCGGAGUCCUUUAAGUGCUUGCACUAGUGCUUCUAACUUGUCCAUGAAGGCACUGCAUGGUGUGCCACCUCCCGUCUGCCGCCGCAGCUGCCAUGUGUCCUUGCGACCUCUGCGGCCAGUCACCAACGCCCUAUGAGUGCGCCCUAAGUGUGGCAUGGGGAACAUGCUAAUGUGUGUGUUUCUGCACUGGUGUGUGCGUGCAUGCUCACGUUUAUGCGUGACUGAGUGUGCUGCUUGUGUGCUGUGAUGUAUGUUGUAUAGAUUUUUAUGAAGUUCAUGUUGUGAACCCAACUUAAUUAGAACACAAAAGUUUAGAUCGCAGCUGCUUUGAAUUAUGUAGUGUUUCUAAAUAGCUUCUUGUCUGAAGUUCAGUCGUACAUGUGGGUGCAAGAAAGUUAGUGUCGGAGCCAGAAAAACUGACUUUGAGCAACUGUUGGGUAUUUAUAUAAAAACAUUGUGUGUAGCAAUUCGUUGUGUUUAUUGAAAAAUGAAAAGACAGAAGUUCACCAUGCAAAACUUUCACAGUCCAAUUGGUAUUAAGAAGGCAGAAAUAUAAAACAACAGUGAAGUUCACUAAAAAUGCAACUUUUCACAUUGCGAAGAAACAAUAAUUAACUUCUCAGUGUACAAUUUAGUUUUUGUUUCUCUUUUCCAAAAAAUAAGAAUAGAAGUAAUAUGUGGAAGCUAUUUGUGUUUAUGUCUCAAAUUAGAAUAAUUAUAAGAAUUGCCUCUAUAUGUGCUAUGUGUUACACACCUUUCCGAAUCAAAAGAGAUUAGAUUCAUCCAUGAGUAAGGUAGGUACAAUUAUUUUUAAACAGUUCAAUUGCUCGAUAGAUGUAUGUCCAGAAAAAUAAAAGAUAGUUCAACACAAUAUAAACCCAUGAGAUUGCAAAAAAUCUUUGGAUUAAGUGGAUGAGAACCAAUAAGUUCAUAUAUGAAACCUUGGGGAGUUCAAAAAAAGUUAAAAAGGUUCGAUGUUUGUUGCGAAGCUAGGAUUUUCUUCAUUACUAAUGAAUAAAUCAAGAAGUUCAAAUUAAAAAAGGAUGAGCGGUUCGAUGUUUAUUACGAACCUAGAAUUUUUUCCGUUACUAAAAGAAAUAAUACCAACAAGUUCAAAUUAAAAAAAUCGAGUAGUUUGAUAUUUCUUUGAAAACUCAAAUUUUUCCGGUUAGUAAAUAAUAAAACCAAUAAGUUCAAUUCAAAAUAACGAAGAAGUUCAACUUUUAAAAGCAAAGCAAUUUGAUAUUCAUUUAAAAACUCAAUUUUUUCGGUUACUAAAGAAUAAGACCAACAAGUUCAAUUCAAAGUAACGAAGAAGUUCGAUGUUUCUAACAAAACUCCAAUUUUCACAUUUCUAAAAACUCCAAUUUUAGGUGAGCCCAAUUUUUGUGUGGAUGUGUUGUGCAUGUGCUUGUGCGUAGUACAUUUAAUAGAACAAAAACACUAUUAUGGGUGCCCUCUAAAUGUUUGUCCUAUUGCUUAUGAGAAUUGACCCGAAUUUUCCUAUUGUUUUUGCACAUGUUGGAUUCAAGGGAAAAUGUGUAUAAAACAGGUGUGAUUUCAGAAGUUCAGGUGUAACGAACAUCGAAGUCCAAACCAAAAGAAUGUAAACAAAAAAAUCAUGGAAUUCAAAAGAAUAAAUACUAUCGAGUUUCAUGAAAGAAAAUAGCAUGCGAAGUUCAUGUUUCAGAAAGUUUGAAGUUCACGUGUACCACAUACAGAAGAAAAAUGAUCAAAUGAAAAAAGGGACCGCCUAGGCCAUUUCACCGAAAAGCAAAAAAUGCAUAAAAUGUCACGACAAAAUUCUAUAAGAAGUUCCAAUUUAAAAGCCGAAGUAGGUCAACGUUAAAGAAAAUGAAGUUUUUAAUAUCUAAAAGAAAAUUUUGGAAGCUCAACAAAUUUGUGCAAGGAGUUAAAAAAAUUAGUUGAAAAAUAUUUAUAACGGAUUUUCCCCGUGUAUAAAAAAAUCAGAGAAGUUCAAAUUAAAAAGAGGAGCAUUUCAAAAGAUUGUAUAAAAACUGAUUUACUCAAAAUAGAUAAAGGUGAAGUUCAAAUUGAAAUAACGGAGAUGUUCGGAGUUUAUUAAAACCUAGAAUUUACCUGUUCGAAAAAUAAAAAACACAACACCAUUUUUUUGCACUUUUAGAGACAACUCAUAAACGAAAAAAUGGUUGCUGGAAGUUCAAGUGCUCGGUGAGGAAAAGUUCAAAAAAUUCUUGUAAGAGAGGUUCACCGUGUAUUUAGAUGUCCAAAAUACAUAAAAAAUAUGUUGUUUUUUGUGUUUUAAAAUAAUUCUCUCAAACCAGAGAGAAGUUCAAAGUGAUAAUAGCCGGAAGUUCACGUACUACAUGGUGUGUAUUUCAUAUAAGAAAAAUAGAAUAAAGUGAAACAGAGUAAAGUUCAAACGGACAUGCCCUAGAAGUUCAACUACUUCACGUAGUGCAAAAAAAUAUCACAUCAAAAAUAGAGUGAGGACAGACAUGCCUGAGAAGUUCAACUACUUCACACAGUGUGUUUCCAUUCGCAAUGAAGGCAGAAAUCAUGAUCUCGUCAUUUCUCUAAUUUACUUCAAAACGAUAGGAAUAUCAUUUGUGUAAGUUCAAGUCCUCGGUCGGAGAAAGUUAAAAAAAUAUUGUGAGAGAGGUUUGUACAAAAAGAAUAUCAUUUGUGUAACACUGACGAAAUGGAUGAGAAAAUUACAAACAAAAAACGUCACAGAAGUUCAACGUGAAAACAACAGGAAGUUCGACUACUAUAGUGAAUGAAUUUGAGAUGAAAAACUUUUAAAAUCAUCGCGAGUAUGAAAAAACGAUCAACACGGGAAAGUUAUGUGCUUACAGCAGCUUUCCACCGGUAUAUCACUUUCUCAAUUCCGGUGAGUGGAUGGAGAGUUACGAGCAGUGGAUGGAGACCUACGAGCAAAAAAAUCACGUGAAAAACAGAGUGAAGUUCAGGUACACGCGCCGAGAAGUUCAGGUUCUUCACGCGGUGCAUUUUCGAAGAAUCUGUUUGACGAUAAAGGCAGAACGCAUGAUCUCGCCAUUUUCGAAAUUACUUGAAAAUGGCUAGGAAUCAGAGAAAACCAUCAACAUGAAAAAGUUUUGCAAUUUCCGUAGCUUUUCAGCGGUAUAUUAUUUGCCCCAUUCCGAUAAAGUUUGUAGAAAUUACGGCGAAAAUACGUUUUUCGCCAUUUUCGAAACUGACUUAAAACUGUAAAGAAUUGGGAGAAACAAUACAUACCAAAAAGUUUCACAUUUGUUCAAGAUUUCCAAAGCCAUAACAUUUGCUGCAUUCGGACAGACGGUUAAAAAAUUAGAUCAAAAAUACGAACUCGGUAGGACUAGGACCAUUUUCUAAAUUACUCUUAAACCAUUCAAAAUUAGAAAAAAACUUUCAAGAUGAAAAAGUAGCGCAUUUUCAUAAGCUUUACAAUGCCGUAUCAUAUGCCUCUAUUGGAUUAGCCGUUUAGAAAUGACAUCGAAAAUACGAACUCAGCUGUUCGAUUUACGAAAUUUUACGUUUUUUCAAAUUACUCUUUAACUAUAGGGAAUUAAAGAAAACUUUCAACAUGUGGAAGGAGCGGUUUUGCAGCAGCUUUCCAACGCCAUAUUAUAUGCCUCAUUAAGAUAAACGGUUUAGAAAUGCGGUCGAAAAUACGAUUCACGUUUUUUGUGCGAAGAAAAAACGGUUUUCAAAACUGCUCUUAAACCGCUUAUAUUUUGCCAAAAAUUUAAGUUGGAUAAUGAUACUGAUGUUCAAAACUUUCCAACGGUAUAUAGCAAGCCUCAUUUGGGCAAUGUUGGCGGAAGUUCAACCUAGUUCAUAGGGAAGUUCAGCGUACUACUAGCGGGGCAGGUCAGGUUGUGAUCAGAAUAUUAUUCUGAUCCCGUGAUUAGAAUAGUGUUUAUAUAUAUAUAUAUAUAUAUAUAUAUAUAUAUAUAUUAUAUUUGCCACAUUAACUUUAAGAGUUCAAUAUUAAUAUUUUCAUACAUAUCAAGUGAUAUUGGCGACCUUUUUUACCAUCAAAUCCUCGCGCACACACGCUAGUGCAUAACAAUAUGAAUUAUAUGUAUUAUAUUUGCCACCACAGCUGUGGGUAUUAAUUUCAUGUAAAUCGGUCAAUCACAGCUCCCAGAAUAUGCGAAGGAGGUGGCCUGAAUCGGCGUCGACGCCGUCCAGUGCGGGCCACGGGCCCGCUUCACUAGUAGAAAAAGGGCCUAUUGUCCCGGUUCGUAAGGGCCUUUUGUCCCGGUUCCUGAACCGGGACUAAAGGAUCGGUACUAAUUCCCUGUCCCUUUAGUCCUAGUUCAAUCCAGAACCGGGACAAAUGGGCCUCCACGUGGCCUGUGCGCGGAGCCCAGGCAGGAGGGCCUUUGGUCCUGGUUGGUGGCACCAACCGGGACCAAUAGGCAUCCACGCAUCAGCAUUUCUGUGGCUGGGGUUUNNNNNNNNNNNNNNNNNNNNNNNNNNNNNNNNNNNNNNNNNNNNNNNNNNNNNNNNNNNNNNNNNNNNNNNNNNNNNNNNNNNNNNNNNNNNNNNNNNNNNNNNNNNNNNNNNNNNNNNNNNNNNNNNNNNNNNNNNNNNNNNNNNNNNNNNNNNNNNNNNNNNNNNNNNNNNNNNNNNNNNNNNNNNNNNNNNNNNNNNNNNNNNNNNNNNNNNNNNNNNNNNNNNNNNNNNNNNNNNNNNNNNNNNNNNNNNNNNNNNNNNNNNNNUAGGUGUUUCAUAUAUUGUGUUAGCUAGCUAUAAUUAAUAGAGAGAAGUGUCCUCUCUUAUGUCCAUGCUUGGUCGGCGCUACGUACUAUACAUACGUAUAGAGAGGACUAGACAGGCUAGCUAGCUAGUUAGAAAACGAAGGAAACAGAAGAUCGUCAUGAACAUAUAUGCAUAGAGAGAGAAGUGAUAUCGACCACCUCUCCUUCUCCGAGAGAUUGGUCGAACAACAAGUUCUCGUAUAUCUAUCCGACACUACCGGCUACAUAUAUACAAUAAUUAUCUCUUACAAAUAUAAUCUCCUAACAUACGGACUCAUGGUCCACAUAGUAUUCUCCGUCUUCAGCGAUCACGUGGUCAAGAAAGAAUGCCGACAAUUCCUUUUGAAUUGCUCGCAUGCGAGCUGGUGCUAGGAGUUCAUCUCGCUUCCGAAACAUCUAAUUUGAAGAAGGGGCCGGGGUCAAUACAUAUAUAUAUGAAUGAAUGAAACUAAACACAAAUGAUGGUAAUAAAAUAAAAUUGUGAAUGUUGUUAUUUGCGCACUUCAUAUUGUUCAUCAGAGUAGCCCCGCUCACAGGCCGUGUGGUAGAUGGACUCGCAAACGUAGUAUCCACAGAAAUCAUUCCCUUGUAACUGCCACAACCCCUUUACAAGAAAUAGAGGUCAAUCAAACUGAUAAGCAAGAAUGCCAAAUGGUAUUGAUGAAACUAGCGCUUGAAUCAAUAGGAGAUGCGCGGAACAUGCUACUAUAGUACUUACUUUGGGGUGUCUAAAUUGCAGCUUCUCCGGGAGUCCCGGAGCUUUUUUGGUGAAUUUUUUCCAAACCCUGCCAGACAAAGAAAACAGUUACUUGAUAUAUCAGGAAAUGAACAAAGUUGCUGAUAUGGUGGAUAAUGAUCGAUUUAACUUACUUCUCGAGCAUUUGAGUCAUGUCCGCAUAGUCCUGGGGAUCUUUUCGUCUUGAGUCUAAGACGGUUACUAGUCCCUGCUCAAGCUUAAUCUCUAGGAGAAUAUAGUGGAAACUGCACACGCAUGCAUAACUCAUCAAUUACAUUACUAUAACCUUGACUAAUAUAUAAGGGAAACCGAAUAUGCACAAGACAGUAACACUCACUUGAAGUUGUAAGGAAAAAGUAUUAUAUCUUUGUUUUCAUUUAUUACCAACGAUCGUAGCAAGUUGGCCUCGGUAUCCGCGACAUGAAAUUUAACCUCAGUUGCAUCUAUGAUAUUUGUGUUAAUGAACCCAAUAUCACCGAUUUGUCUUUUCUUCAAUUCGACGAUCUUCAAUCUGCAUAAUAUAGUGAGGAUAAUUAUAAAUACAUGCAAUGAAAGAGCUGAGCUAUAUAGAGAGACUUAAUGACAGAAGUAGUACUACUUACAGACAGUAGCAGGUGACCGUUGCUUUAUCGAGGGCCAAUUGAUUGAAAAACUGAAAGAACUCCUCAAAUGGAACAGGUAACAAACACUAGUAGAAAAAGGGUCAAACGUGAAGCACAUUAGUGCCGGUUUGUAAAAAGACCGGCACUAAUGUGAUCAAUAGUGCCGGUUCGAAUGGCUAUGCAUUAGUGCCGGUUCGUAAUGAACCUUUAGUACCGGUUCAUGCCACGAACCGGUACUAAAGGGGUGGUGGCAGGCUGGCGUCAGGCCAGGCCCCACGAGCCCCUUUAGUGACGGUUUGUGACACAAACCGGUACUAAAGGUCUAACCUAUAGUACCGGUUUGUGUCACCAACCGGCACUACAAAGUCUUAACCUAUAGUCCCGGUUGAAGACACAAACCGACACUAUAGGGCAAUUUUCAAACUCUACCCCCCCCCCCGUGUAUCGCCAUUUCAGUUUUGAAAAAAUCAAAAGAAAAUGAUAAAAACUUCAAAAAAUAAAAUCCUUCGAGAGGUAGUUAUAUUACUACAUCUACUAGUUAGGAAAAUUUGAAAACUUAAAUUUGGACAUGUUUUGCAAAAAGUGUAGGGAAAAUGUAAAACGGCUAUAACUUUUGCAUAUGAUGUCGGAAAAAACGUAUAAUAUAUCAAAAAAUUCAGCACGAAAAUCCUCAAAUUCCAAAAGGAAAAAAAGAUAUGGUCAAAUUUAAGUUUUUUUUAAAAAAAAUUGGUUAAAUCUGGUCAAACUACUUAUUCAAGAAGUGUUAAUGUUACUACAUAAUUAUUCAAGAAUAUUAGUGUUACUAAAUAAUUAUUUCAAUUUUUUGAAUUUUGGUCAAAUCUGGUCAAACUAUGGUCAAACUGUGGUCAAACUAUGGUCAAACUUAUUCAAGAAAUAUUAGCGUUACUAAAUAAUUACUGUUUUUUUAGAAUAAUAGUUUCAAACUCAAACGGUGAAAUGUGUGACUUCAUGCUCAAGCUAAACUCCUGAGGGUUAAUAGGAUUAACAUCUUACUAUCAUCACGAAAACAACAAGUGCAGACAUGGAAACGAAGGAGAAUAGAACCCGAAAGUUAAGCGUGCUCGGGCUGGAGUAGUGAGAGGGAUGGGUGACCGGUCGAGAAGUUAGAUGAUUUGGAAUGAGUGAUCCACACUUGAGCAGUUAAGAGAGGUGAUUAGAGACUAAAUCAUCAAAUAAUUUAGAAAAAUUAAAAAAAUCAAAUUAAUUUUCAAAAAAAAUAUUCAAAAAAAAAACCAUUAGUACCGGUUGGUAACACCAACCGGUACUAAAGGUCCCCCAUACCAGGGCGUGAACUCACGCCACGUGGUGGCACUUUAGCGCCGGUUCGUGCCGAACCGGUACUAAAGGGGGGGGGGGCUUUAGUGCCGGUUCCAUAACCGGCACUAAAGGCACUUACAAACCGGUUUUAAAGCUCCGUUUUCUACUAGUGAAAUCAAUUCCAACGAGGUCAUGCUCCUUUUUAACUCUCACAUACAAAGUACUCCUCCCCUAGACUCUCUGCAGAUUUUCAAGUACCAAUCAUGCAAUCUUUGCAUCAUCGUUGAUAGAGAUCUUUCAUCUUUGACGAGAGGCUUCCCGUACUCGUAUCUUUGUAUCUGCACCUCCAUGAAAUCAUAAUGUACAUCGUCGGGCAGGUAAUCUCCAAGAUUGCUAUAACCGGGCACCAUCCUCGGAUCAUUAGCGACGAUGUCGCUAGGUACCUUGAGCGGGGGGGGGGGGGCACGAUUGCUUCCCUUGUUCGCCAAGCUGGGAAAUUUGUUUCCCAACUCGUCGUUCUUUCAGCCUUUGAUCACUGACAGUACUUCCCGACCGCUCCGCUUCGGCAAAUUCCUUUCCAAUAAUGCGCUCAUAGUUUCCUUUCGGUGGAGACUUGGGUGGUUUUGUUAGGGCAGCCAGAGUGCGCUUCGCUUUCACCGGAUCUACCUUCUCCUCCAGAGGUGGAUGUUUCUUUGCUUUCACCCCUUCAAAGAAGUUCCUGACUUCUUCUCGCACGAUCUCGGCGUUCUCCUCCGGGGUCCUCUCGUAUGGUAACUUCUCUGGAGUCUUUAGAGAAGGACCGAAUCUGUAUGUCCUCCCGCCUCUGGCUGUACUGCUAGACGCCGGCAGAGCAGACGGAGCGGUUGUCUUCUUUACUUGCUUACGAGGCAGAGGAGAAGGACUACGACGCACCAGAGCAGCCGGAGCGGCCGCAGGUCUCUUCCGCCCUUGCUGACGAGGCGGAGAAGGAGGAGGCUGGCUGCUCGGGCGCGCCGGCGCAGGCGGAGAAGGAGGCGGAGUGCCGCCACGCGCCGGAGAAGGAGCCGGCCGAGUGCCCUGAUAGUCACUCGCCAGAGGAGGAGGCGGUGGAGGGGGCGGAGUGCCCUGACUCGCCGAAGGAGGAGGAGGAGGCGGAGGCAUCCAAUUCGGAAGGUUCAUGACCUCCUUCCGCCAUAGGCAUGGAGUCUUCAGAGCAGAACCCAGCCGAGUCUCCCCUUCACCGGUAGGGUGGUCAAGCUGGAGGUCCUCAAAUCCCUCCGUUAUUUCAUCCACCAUCACCCUAGCAUAUCAUUCUGUAAUCGGCCGGCAGUGAAAAGUUGCGCUGGGUUCAGUAGGAAAAACAGAGCCAAUAGCCGCCUUGACCUUCAUAUUAACCCAUUGCGUCAUAAGGUGGCAAUUAUGAGACUCCGUGAUAGCAUCCACGGGAUAGCUGGCAGGAGCCGUCAAGACAUGCUCCUGCUGAAGCAGCUCGGUGGAAGCCAUGCUGCUUCUCCGCUGAGAUGGCGGGGUAGCUUCGGCAGUUCGUUUUGUGCGAUUUGCUUCUCGUUCCUCUAUUGCUUGUACCCUAGCGUGCAGCGCCUGCAGUUGGGUCUGCUCCACUUUCUUCCUCCUCUCGUGGCAUUUGUAACCGCCUGCGUCCGGAAACCCAGCCUUACACGGAAUGGAGCCUGGCGUGCCUCAUGUCCGUCCAGGGUGUUCAGGAUUCCCGAGGGCCAUUGUGAGCUCGUCGUUCUCUCUGUCUGGAACAAACAUACCUUGCUGCGCUGCUUCGAUAUAGUGCUUAAGCCUCUUGACUGGUAUUUCCAUUUGCUCGUCCGUCCAAAUGCACUUUCCUGAUACAGGGUCCAAGGUUUCACCAGCCCCGAAGAACCAAGUCCGGUAACGGUCUGUCCAGUUAAUUGUCUCUGGUUCGAUCCCUUUAUCAACCAGAUCAUUCUCAAUCUUGGCCCACUUAGGCCGAGCUGCCAGGUAGCCACCUGACCCCGUGCGAUGGUGAUGCUUCUUCUUCACAGCAUUUUGCUUGUUUGUCGACGACAUCUUCUUACUCUUUUCCGAUGUCUUGUGGGCCACAAAUGCGGGUCAGUGAUCUCUGAUCUUCUCAUAUCUGCCCUUGAAUUCCGGUGUCUCUUUAUUUUCGACAAACUUAUUCAGCUCUUUCUUCCACCUCCUGAAUAGUUCUGCCAUCCUCUUAAGAGCAAAAGACUUGAUUAAUUGCUCUUUAACUGGCUUCUCCGGAUCAUCCUCUGGCUGUAGGGUGAAAUUUGACUUCAGCUCAGUCCAAAGAUCAUUUUUCUGCAUAUCAUUGACAUAAGACACCUCAGGGUCUUCUGUAGCCGGCUUUAACCAUUGCUGCAUGCUGAUCGGGAUCUUGUCCCUAACCAAAACCCCGCACUGAGCAACAAAUGCGCUCUUUGUCCGGAUAGGUUCAUUCGGUUGGCCCUCGGGCGCGAUUGCUAUGAUCUCAAACUUUUCAUCCGAGCUCAACUUUUUCUUCGGGCCUCGUCUCUUUACCGAAGUUGUGCUCGAUCCGGAGGGCUAGAAAAAAGAACAAAGACUUAAUUAAUAUGUGUACAUACCAAAACAAUGAAUGCAUCAAUUAGCUAGUCAGCAGAAGCUUAACUAAUACUAGAUCAUUGAUGGUGCGUGUUGUUGCGCCCAUCUAUUUUGGAUCUUGGUUGUUAAGGAUAUAACAUUGCUAGUAUACAUUUCUUGCAUUGUUUUAAAAUAUUAUGCUUUCUAUAGCAUGUACUUCUCUUUAUUUUCAAAAUAAUGGUAUGUAAAUCAUCUUCAUUGGGGCAACAUUACAACUUCCAUAUCAACAUAAGCUUAGAUAUAAAUAGGGCAGUGCCAUAAGCCAACCUAUCCAUAUCCACGUUAUAAUAAUGGAUGGCUAUGUACAUUUUUGUUCAAGCAUAGUACAAGCUUGUUGCAGUUGCAUAGGAACAUAGACUUAAACAUAAUAUAAACUUGAAAUGUAUAAUGAUGGAAGAAGGCGGCAUGACAGUAUAUUAUACUUGGAAAACAAAUUGUACGAUGGAGUAGAGCGAACUGGAGAAGAUGUAGACCUCAAAUAGGCACCAGAAACACUGCACCAAAAUUUCUAUGAUUAUGGAUACAUCCAACAUGGCGGACGGUCAGAGGGCAUGAGAAGUAUAAUCAUAUACUAUCUAAGAAAAUCAAGACUCUUGAUUAUUACAUCAAAAGCAAGGCACAGAACAAGCUUACAUAUCGUAUUGUUCGUGCUAACACAAAUAAUAAUAUCUUCUAACACACGAAUGUAAUUUGGCCAAAAGAUAAUUUCUUCAUACGAAUUCCAACGUCACUACAUUUUUUUUCAUUGGGGCUUAAAAAUUGUUUGACCGUUUUACAUGAGAUAGAAAGAACUGACUGAACCGAGCAACAAAAGGCAACAAAAACACAAAUCAGUUUCCUCUCAUUCUCUGCCUACAUCAUAUUUUUUUUCCUGUAAAUAUAUCUUGUGAUUCAUCAUUGUUUCAGACCGUAAGGGCCGGAAGCUCUACCUAAGGCGGCUGCCAUACAAGGAUACACACAGCUUCGCCUUAAACACCCUCCUUGUGGCGAUGCUUAGAAAGGGAAUAACCUCAUGUAUUACCUUGCUCGGAAUAGCCAUGUUUUCAAAUCCCAACUAAUCCACCUUAAUCCUAACAUCAAAUGAACACAACAUUAACUUGAGAUCAGACGCUAUGGAGUCAGAGUGAUUGCAUGACUCGAGGCACAAGGCAACAGGCUGGGGUGAAGGCGUGGCAGCUGCAUGCCACCACGAAACACCGGCGAGCAGAGAACCGGAAGAUACAUAAUCGUUUAUGUCUUAUGAGUUAAUUUCUCCACUCAUUGCACGCUACAAAACAUUAGCGAGUAUACAUAGGAUGUCCCUUUCUGAACAACUACAUAAUAUAUAAAUUCCAAUUGCAUUAGGGAUUUCAUCUAGAGUAUAUUCCCUGAAUUAUUUGAAAUGAAGUAAUGGUUUUUCUAAUCCUACUUUGACCUGGAGCAUCACUCUGAAACAUCAGGGAACACACACAUCUUCAGAAGUAGCAGCAGUAGCUAAUGUGAAAAGUUCACUGGAAUGCUAGGAUACUAAAAAAGCUAGUACAUCCCAAUAGCCAAAGAACAUAACAAAAUUUGGCAUCAUGUGUCAAGUAGCUCACAGUGGGCAUAAAUUUGUACAUUAUAUGUCCCUUUAUUAACUCACUUGUCUCUGAUUUUUAACUAUUAGGAAAUAAUAGUGGUCAUCAAAAUUAGAAUAUAUUGUAAUGCUCUAGAAUAGGAUCUAAUUGUUGGGAGUUGUUACCUGAGGGAAUCCUUGCGGGGAGCUGAGCAUAGGAACCAAUGCUGUUCCGCACUGUCCACGUGACUGACCACCGUGCUGCCUCCAUGAGCCGAUGUGGAACUUCUACCAACAAGUGAUUUGUACAUGACUGCUCAAGCAAACUAAACCACUAAAUCCAAAGGGGAUUCGUUCCAGAAAGGUGCAACACCUUGAGAAAUCUACGUGUAGAAUUGAAGAGGGGAGAGUAUCAGGAGGUAAACCUAGAGAACCUGCAUAGUUUGUGAGUACAAAGAACAGUAUGAGUAAAAUAAAUUUCAAAAAUUGGAUUAGAUGAAGAAUCAGGUGAAGAGGAGAUAAAGGAAAGAACCAUCACCCAUUGCUGCACGAGAGUGGUUUUCAGAAGUAAGGGGAGUAGGGAAGGAGCAACAGCACUUUGGAUCGUAUAUUCGUAUAUGCGCGCGAGUGAAUUGAAGUAAAAAGCAUGAAUCAUCAGACCUGCAAUAAUCUUCAGUUUAGCCGGUUCAUCAAUUGCCAUUAAUCGAUCCUGAUUAAAACCUCAACGAAUCGAUGGCUAGUGAAUUUCAAUCGACAGCGGCUGUUCGCGGCCCUGACCAUCUCCCUAUUGCGUCACCGACCAGGACGCCGUUCGGUCGCUCGGCGAGGAGCGCCGUGUCAGUCGGACCUGAAGCACAGUGGCCAUGAGACACCAUCGGUCGCGUCGAUCCGACCCCAACACGGCCGCCAUCACUACUGCCCAGAUUCUGCUGCCAGCCGACAGCAGCAACCGUGCGAAACUGCGAACCAAAGGAUCUGGCGACGACGCGCCUGAGAACUCUAGAUAUGGCUUGAAAACCAGAAAUAUGCUUCACGGAUGUAGAGCGUGUUUGGUUGAGUUCCAGGAGCAAAAUUGCCUGGCCUGAGACCUUCCUGGGUUGUGCCUGCUUGUUGUUUGGAUAGUAGCCUCAAAUCACAGGCAUGUUCCUGGCCUGGAGUUGACAUGCACCUGAUUAGCCUGGGUAGAUCACAGGCAGCUUGAUUAGCCUGGAUGAGGCCAACGGAACCAGACGCCUGGCCUCCAGGCAGAUGCGUUUUGCGUCAAUUAGCAAGUUGUAUACUGUACUUUUUGUCAACUCAGCCGUCCCAUCUAAUUAUUUAAUAUUUAAGUACGUGUCCCAGGCCAGGUUUGCAACCAAACAUCACAUGCACACAGCAGCCUGGCCAGGCAAAAAUCCUCCUUCUCCCAGGCUACUAUCAGGCAUCAACUUUUGCUAGGCAUCACACCCAGGACAUGAACCAAACAUGCCCGUAGUGCGUCACUGACCUGGGGAUGAGCUCGUCGCCGGCUCGAGAAAAAGUCGCUCCCUGCUGCGCUUUUGGGGAAGAUAGGAAAUGUAGAAGAAUGAGCCAAUCUAGUGAAUCCCGUGGAACUUAAUGGAACCUGCACUCAUUUGGGAGCACAAAGAACAACAUCAAUUGAAAAAAAUUCAUGCAGAAUUUGGGGGAGAGUAGAGGUACCAACGAGGGAACACUUGUAAAAGGCCAGUAGCGGAGACUAAUUAUCGUCCUGUCAACCAUGGCAGCCUGCAAGUAAAAGGAGGAGAAUGAGGAAGGAGAAGCUCCACGAUGGAGAUUAAAUGGACGCAAUUGAAUGGAUGUUGUAACUGAGCCCAGUUAUUGGCCACCGGUGAGUGCGCCUCAUCGAUUGCAAAUUUGCCAUUAUAAUGGUCCGCUGCAACUAUGAAUUGAGUCCCGAAUCGCGGGCAACUGGAGGCAACCGACAGGGGACGAUCCGUUGCCCCGGAUACCUCCUGCUGGCGUCGCCCAGCGAGGCAACCCGGCCGGUCGCGUAGGUCGAGGCACAUCCGGUCGGUCCAAUCGACCUCGCAUCGGCACUGUUUUUUUUUCUCGCAUCAGGACUGGAUGAACGCUCAUCGGUCGCUCGUGUGUAACCCUAGUCGAUGGAACCGCACAAGUGGACCUUCUUCAGCGAAGCCCGUGGGCUGGAAUGGGCUGGCCGACGGCCCAGUUAACCACAGGGCUACGUUUUGGCCUGCGGAGCAGAAGCCCCAGGACAGCCGGCCCAGUUUUUAUCAGAUGUGGGACAGAUUGCUUUAAACAGGAGAUCCGACGACCAAAAACGUCUAGAUCGUGCAAACGGAUGGUCAGAAACGCGAAGCGCUGAGAGAGCUCGCUUUAGGUGCAGUUGUAUUGUACUUAAUAUAUACCUGGCCGGACUCGGUUCGGUCACCAGAGACGUCAUCACGGUCUCCUUCUUGCACCGGCAUUGUGUCACCGGAGCCGUCCUCACGGUCUCCUUCUUGCACCGGCAUUAGGUCACCGGAGCCAUCAUAAUCAUAGCCAGCUGCUUCCAUACCAUCGGUGUCGUUGAGAAACAACGAGCAGACGGCAUCCCUUCCUCGUGCGAUUAUGUCCCCCAACAACUCUUCUUGUACUUCGUCUCGGGCGGUGUCCAUAGUUUCUACAAAUAUUUAUAACAUGGCAAUUAUUAUUCAAACAUGACAGAUGGAUAUAUUAGUGGCAAACGUAGAACUAAUAUUAAUUAGUGGCCUCGACGCUACUUCUCUAGGGUUUGGGGUGGCCUCGACGCUGCUUCUCCAGGGUUUGAAGUGGCCUCGACAACGCUUCAAGGAUAAAAAAAGAAGAGGAAGAAGAAAAAAAGGGGAGAAGAAAGAAUAGAUCCUCUUUUUUUUUCUUCUUCUUCCUCUUUUUUUUUAUCGGGAACGAGGGUCGUCGACGCCCACGUCACUUGUGGGACGUGGAUGUAGUGUCCGACACCGAUGGCCACAUGUAUCUCACACCCACGAUACUUACUAUUUAGGGUUUCCUCUACCGCUCGGCGACCCUGACCCUCGACGACCCUCGUUUCNNNNNNNNNNNNNNNNNNNNNNNNNNNNNNNNNNNNNNNNNNNNNNNNNNNNNNNNNNNNNNNNNNNNNNNNNNNNNNNNNNNNNNNNNNNNNNNNNNNNNNNNNNNNNNNNNNNNNNNNNNNNNNNNNNNNNNNNNNNNNNNNNNNNNNNNNNNNNNNNNNNNNNNNNNNNNNNNNNNNNNNNNNNNNNNNNNNNNNNNNNNNNNNNNNNNNNNNNNNNNNNNNNNNNNNNNNNNNNNNNNNNNNNNNNNNNNNNNNNNNNNNNNNNNNNNNNNNNNNNNNNNNNNNNNNNNNNNNNNNNNNNNNNNNNNNNNNNNNNNNNNNNNNNNNNNNNNNNNNNNNNNNNNNNNNNNNNNNNNNNNNNNNNNNNNNNNNNNNNNNNNNNNNNNNNNNNNNNNNNNNNNNNNNNNNNNNNNNNNNNNNNNNNNNNNNNNNNNNNNNNNNNNNNNNNNNNNNNNNNNNNNNNNNNNNNNNNNNNNNNNNNNNNNNNNNNNNNNNNNNNNNNNNNNNNNNNNNNNNNNNNNNNNNNNNNNNNNNNNNNNNNNNNNNNNNNNNNNNNNNNNNNNNNNNNNNNNNNNNNNNNNNNNNNNNNNNNNNNNNNNNNNNNNNNNNNNNNNNNNNNNNNNNNNNNNNNNNNNNNNNNNNNNNNNNNNNNNNNNNNNNNNNNNNNNNNNNNNNNNNNNNNNNNNNNNNNNNNNNNNNNNNNNNNNNNNNNNNNNNNNNNNNNNNNNNNNNNNNNNNNNNNNNNNNNNNNNNNNNNNNNNNNNNNNNNNNNNNNNNNNNNNNNNNNNNNNNNNNNNNNNNNNNNNNNNNNNNNNNNNNNNNNNNNNNNNNNNNNNNNNNNNNNNNNNNNNNNNNNNNNNNNNNNNNNNNNNNNNNNNNNNNNNNNNNNNNNNNNNNNNNNNNNNNNNNNNNNNNNNNNNNNNNNNNNNNNNNNNNNNNNNNNNNNNNNNNNNNNNNNNNNNNNNNNNNNNNNNNNNNNNNNNNNNNNNNNNNNNNNNNNNNNNNNNNNNNNNNNNNNNNNNNNNNNNNNNNNNNNNNNNNNNNNNNNNNNNNNNNNNNNNNNNNNNNNNNNNNNNNNNNNNNNNNNNNNNNNNNNNNNNNNNNNNNNNNNNNNNNNNNNNNNNNNNNNNNNNNNNNNNNNNNNNNNNNNNNNNNNNNNNNNNNNNNNNNNNNNNNNNNNNNNNNNNNNNNNNNNNNNNNNNNNNNNNNNNNNNNNNNNNNNNNNNNNNNNNNNNNNNNNNNNNNNNNNNNNNNNNNNNNNNNNNNNNCGGGACUAAAGGGGGGCAUUGGUCACGGUUUGUGCCACGAACCGUGACCAAUGCCCCCUUUAGUCCCGGUUGGUGCCAUCAACCGGGACCAAAGGCCUGCGCCUGCCAAAGCCGUGGUGCGGUAGGAUGUUUAGUCCCACCUCGCUAGCUGAGGAGCGGCCGCACCUGUUUAUAAGCGCUGCACCUGUUUGGGCCUAAUCUCACAACGCUAUGCCUGCUGGGCCUUCUGCGGGCCUGAAUCCUGGCCCAUGGAUGGGCUUCUAGUCGUAUUCAGGCCGUGGUGGCCCAGUAGGUGGCAUUUUUUAUUACUAUUUGAUUUUUCAUUUCUACUUAGAACUAAAUACUUGUAGUUUUUUAGUGAUUUUUUUCUUUUAGGUCACAAAAAUUAUAAACUUUCUAUUAUUGCCAUUAGUUUUAAAAUUUGAAUAGUUUAAUUUUGAAUUUUUUAAAAUUUGUGUGAAUCACUAGUUUAUGAAUAACUUUACCGUAAAAAUUGAUUUUUGAGUCAUUUUUUUCCUGCUAUUUAAUAUUACUGUGUUUUAUCAUUAUACUCAAUUUGGUAAUUUUAGUUAGUCAUAACAAAUAUUAUAGGCAUUUUUUUCUUUUUUGCUAUUUUUUUUCAUUUCUACUUAGAACAAAAUACUUAUAGUUCUUUAGUGAUUUCUUUUUUCUUUUAGGUCACAAAAAUUAUAAACUUUCUGGUAGUUCCAUUAGUUUUCANNNNNNNNNNNNNNNNNNNNNNNNNNNNNNNNNNNNNNNNNNNNNNNNNNNNNNNNNNNNNNNNNNNNNNNNNNNNNNNNNNNNNNNNNNNNNNNNNNNNNNNNNNNNNNNNNNNNNNNNNNNNNNNNNNNNNNNNNNNNNNNNNNNNNNNNNNNNNNNNNNNNNNNNNNNNNNNNNNNNNNNNNNNNNNNNNNNNNNNNNNNNNNNNNNNNNNNNNNNNNNNNNNNNNNNNNNNNNNNNNNNUUAAUUCUUUUUGCUUUUCGUUUUAGAAAAAUUAUAAACUUUCUGUUAGUGCCAUUAGUUUUCAAAUUUGAAAACACUUUUUUAGUUUUUUUGCUUUCUUUGUUGCUUUAUUUAUUUUAUUUUGUUUCUACUUACAAAAAAAUACUUAUUGUUGCUAUUUUUUUUCAGUUUUUGUUUUGUUUUCUUUAUUAUUUAUUUUCUUUUGUUUUUUGCUUUAAUUUUUAAUUCUUUUUGCUUUUAGGUCAGCAAAAUUAUAAACUUUCUGUUAGUGCCACUAGUUUUAGAAAAAUUAUAAACUUUCUGUUAGUGCCAUUAGUUUUCAAAUUUGAAUAGUUAAAAUUUGAAUUCUUUAAAAUUUGUAUGAACCACAAGUUUGUGAUUAACUUUACUAAAAAAAUGAACAUAGAUGCACCUAUAGAGAAAAUUCGACCUAAAUUCAUAGUUUUCAAAUGAACUCUCAAAAAGUUGGCAUAGCAUACUCGUGUGUUACAAAGUUGGCAUGGUAUCAUCAUAAUAGUUGCUUGAGAAAGUCUUCACUUUUUCUUCGCUUGUGUCAUUUGCUUAUUGCGCCGUAACCAUGGAUAAUCUUCAUCGUUUAUCAGGAUGCUUGGGUCAGCCUUGACAUUGAAGGGAGGAAUUUCAUGAAACUUUUCAUAAUCUUCAGACAUGUCUGUCUUGCCCUCCACUCCCAGGAUAUCCCUUUUUCCUGAAAGAACUAUAUGGCGCUUUGGCUCAUCGUAUGAUGUAUUCGCUUCCUUAUCUUUUCUUUUUCUCGGUUUGGUAGACAUGUCCUUCACAUAGAUAACCUGUGCCACAUCAUUGGCUAGGACGAACGGUUCGUCAGUAUACCCAAGAUUUUUCAGAUCCACUGUUGUCAUUCCGUACUGUGGGUCUACCUGUACCCCGCCGCCUGACAGAUUGACCCAUUUGCACUUAAACAAAGGGACCUUAAAAUCAUGUCCGUAGUCAAGUUCCCAUAUGUCCAUUAUGUAACCAUAAUAUGCAUCCUUUCCGCUCUCGGUUGCUGCAUCAAAGCGGACACCGCUGUUUUGGUUGGUGCUCUUUUGAUCUUGGGCGAUCAUGUAAAAUGUAUUCCCAUUUAUCUCGUAUCCUUUGUAAGUCAAUACAGUCAAAGAUGGUCCCCUGGACAACAAGUGCAACUCAUCACAAACAGUGUUGUCACCUCUGAGACGUGUUUCCAACCAACUGUUGAAAGUCCUGAUGUGUUCACAUGUAAUCUAGUCGUCGCACUGCUCCGGAUGUUUGGAGCGCAGACUGUUUUUGUGUUCAUCGAUAUACGGGGCCACCAUGGUAGAGUUCUGUAGAACUGUGUAGUGUGCUUGAGACCAAGAAUAUCCGUCCCUGCAUAUUAUUGAGUCACUUCCAAGAGUGCCUUUUCCAGUCAGUCUCCCCUCAUACCGCGAUUUAGGGAGACCUAUCUUCUUAAGGCCAGGAAUGAAGUCAACACAAAAUUCGAUAACAUCCUCUGUUUGAUGGCCCAUGGAGAUGCUUCCUUCUGACCUAGCGCGGUUACGGACAUAUUUCUUUAGGACUCCCAUGAACCUCUCAAAGGGGAACAUAUUGUGUAGAAAUACGGGCCCCAGGAUGACAAUCUCGUCGACUAGAUGAACUAGGACGUGCGUCAUGAUAUUGAAGAAGGAUGGUGGGAACACCAGCUCGAAACUGACAAGACAUUGCGCCACAUCACUCCUUAGCCUUGGUACAAUUUCUGGAUCGAUCACCUUCUGAGAGAUUGCAUUGAGGAAUGCACAUAGCUUCACAAUGGCUAAUCGGACGUUUUCUGGUAGAAGCCCCCUCAAUGCAGCCGGAAGCAGUUGCGUCAUAAUCACAUGGCAGUCAUGAGACUUUAGGUUCUGAAACUUUUUCUCUGGCAUAUUUAUUAUUCCCUUUAUAUUCGAUGAGAAGCCAGUCGUGACCUUCAUACUGAGCAGGCAUUCAAAGAAGAUUUCUUUCUCUUCUUUCGUAAGAGCAUAGCUGGCAGGACCUUUAUACUGCUUCGGAGGCAUGCCGUCUUUUUCAUGCAAAUGUUGCAGGUCCUCCCAUGCCUCGGAUGUAUCUUUUGUCUUCCCAUACAAGAAGCCUACCAGGUUCACACAAAGGUUCUUCAUCACGUGCAUCACGUCGAUUGAAGAGCAGACCUCUAGGUCUUUCCAGUAGGGUAGGUCCCAAAAUAUAGAUUUCUUCUUCCACAUGGGUGCGUGUCCCUCAGCGUCAUUCGGAACAGCUAGUCCGCCGGGACACUUUCCAAAGAUUACAUGUAAAUCAUUGACCAUAGCAAGUACGUGAUCACCGGUACGCAUGGCGGGCUUCUUCUGGUGAUCUGCCUCGCCUUUGAAAUGCUUGCCUUUCUUUCGACAUUGAUGGUUGGUCGGAAGAAAUCAACGAUGGCCCAGGUACACAUUUUUCCUGCAUUUGUCCAGGUAUAUACUUUCAGUGUCAUCUAAACAGUGCGUGCAUGCGUGGUAUCCUUUGUUUGUCUAUCCUGAAAGGUUACUGAGAGCGGGCCAAUCAUUGACGGUCACGAACAGCAAAGCCUUUAGGUUAAAUUCCUCCUGUCUAUGGUCAUCCCACGUACGUACACUGUUUCCAUUCCACAGCUGUAAAAGUUCUUCAACUAAUGGCCUUAGGUACACAUCAAUGUCCUUGCCGGGUUGCUUAGUGUAGGGGAACAUAGUAAUUUCAAAAUUUUCCUACGCACACGCAAGAUCAUGGUGAUGCAUAGCAACGAGAGGGGAGAGUGUUGUCUAUGUACCCUCGUAGACCGAAGCGGAAGCGCUGACACAACGUAGAGGAAGUAGUCGUACGUCUUCCCGAUCCUACCGAUCCAAGCACCGUUACUCCGGCACCUCCGAGUUCUUAGCACACGUACAGCUCGAUGACGCUCCCCAGGCUUCGAUCCAACAAAGCUUCGGGGAUGAGUUCCAUCAGCACAACGGCGUGGUGACGAUGAUGAUGUUCUACCGACGCAGGGCUUCGCCUAAGCACUACAAUGAUAUGACCGAGGUGGAAUAUGGUGGAAGGGGGCACCGCACACGGCUAAGGAACGAUCACGUUGAUCAAUUGUGUGUUCUAGGGUGUCCCCUUGCCUCCGUAUAUAAAGGAUCCAAGGGGGAGGGGUUCGGCCGGCCCUAUGGAGGCGCAGGAGGAGUCCUACUCCUACCGGGAGUAGGACUCCCCCCUUUCCUAGUCCAAGUAGGAUUGGUGGAGAAGAAAGGGAAAGAGGGGGGUGCAGCCCCUCCCUCCUUGUCCAAUUCGGACUAGGGGGAGAGGGGGCGCGCGGCCUGCCCUGGCAGCCCCUUCCUAUUCUCCACUUUAGGCCCAUGAGGCCCAUUAACACCCCGGGGGGUUCCGGUAACCCCCCGGUGCUCCGGUUUUAUCCGAAACUUCAUCGGAACCCUUCCGGUGUCUGAAUAUAGUCAUCCAAUAUAUCAAUCUUUAUGUCUCGACCAUUUCGAGACUCCUCGUCAUGCCCGUGAUCACAUCCGGGACACCGAACUAACUUCGGUACAUCAAAAUGUAUAAACUCAUAAUAACUAUCAUCGUAACGUUAAGCGUGCGGACCCUAUGGUUCGAGAACAAUGUAGACAUGACCGAGACACGUCUCCGGUCAAUAACCAAUAGCGGGACCUGGAUGCCCAUAUUGGCUCCUACAUAUUCUACGAAGAUCUUUAUCGGUCAGACCGCAUAACAACAUACGUUGUUCCCUUUGUCAUCGGUAUGUUACUUGCCCGAGAUUCGAUCGUCGGUAUCCAAUACCUAGUUCAAUCUCGUUACCGGCAAAUCUCUUUACUCGUUCCGUAAUACAUCAUCUCACAACUAACUCAUUAGUUGUAAUGCUUGCAAGGCUUAUGUGAUGUGCAUUACCGAGAGGGCCCAGAGAUACCUCUCCGACAAUCGGAGUGACAAAUCCUAAUCUCGAAAUACGCCAACCCAACAUCUACCUUUGGAGACACCUGUAGAGCACCUUUAUAAUCACCCAGUUACGUUGUGACGUUUGGUAGCACACAAAGUGUUCCUCCGGCAAACGGGAGUUGCAUAAUCUCAUAGUCAUAGGAACAUGUAUAAGUCAUGAAGAAAGCAAUAGCAACAUACUAAACGAUCGGGUGCUAAGCUAAUGGAAUGGGUCAUGUCAAUCAGAUCAUUCAACUAAUGAUGUGAUCUCGUUAAUCAAAUAACAACUCUUUGUUCAUGGUUAGGAAACAUAACCAUCUUUGAUUAACGAGCUAGUCAAGUAGAGGCAUACUAGUGACACUCUGUUUGUCUAUGUAUUCACACAUGUAUUAUGUUUCCGGUUAAUACAAUUCUAGCAUGAAUAAUAAACAUUUAUCAUGAUGUAAGGAAAUAAAUAAUAACUUUAUUAUUGCCUCUAGGGCAUAUUUCCUUCAGUCUCCCACUUGCACUAGAGUCAAUAAUCUAGAUUACACAGUAAUGAUUCUAACACCCAUGGAGCCUUGGUGCUGAUCAUGUUUUGCUCGUGGAAGAGGCUUAGUCAACGGGUCUGCAACAUUCAGAUCCGUAUGUAUCUUGCAAAUCUCUAUGUCUCCCACCUGGACUAGAUCCCGGAUGGAAUUGAAGCGUCUCUUGAUGUGCUUGGUUCUCUUGUGAAAUAUGGAUUCCUUUGCCAAGGCAAUUGCACCAGUAUUGUCACAAAAGAUUUUCAUUAGACCCGAUGCACUAGGUAUGACACCUAGAUCGGAUAUGAACUCCUUCAUCCAGACUCCUUCGUUUGCUACUUCCGAAGCAGCUAUGUACUCCGCUUCACAUGUAGAUCCCGCCACAAUGCUUUGUUCAGAACUGCACCAACUGACAGCUCAACCGUUUAAUGUAAACAUGUAUCCGGUUUGUGAUUUAGAAUCGUCCGGAUCAGUGUCAAAGCUUGCAUCAACGUAACCGUUUACGAUGAGCUCUUUGUCACCUCCAUAUACGAGAAACAUAUCCUUAGUCCUUUUCAGGUACUUCAGGAUGUUCUUGACCGUUGUCCAGUGAUCCACUCCUGGAUUACUUUGGUACCUCCCUGCUAAACUUAUAGCAGGGCACACAUCAGGUCUGGUACACAGCAUUGCAUACAUGAUAGAGCCUAUGGCUGAAGCAUAGGGAACAUCUUUCAUUUUCUCUCUAUCUUCUGAAGUGGUCGGGCAUUGAGUCUGACUCAACUUCACACCUUGUAACACAGGCAAGAACCCUUUCUUUGCUUGAUCCAUUUUGAACUUCUUCAAAAUCUUGUCAAGGUAUGUGCUUUGUGAAAGUCCAAUUAAGCGUCUUGAUCUAUCUCUAUAGAUCUUUAUGCCUAAUAUGUAAGCAGCUUCACCGAGGUCUUUCAUUGAAAAACUCUUAUUCAAGUAUCCCUUUAUGCUAUCCAGAAAUUCUAUAUCAUUUCCAAUCAGUAAUAUGUCAUCCACAUAUAAUAUCAGAAAUGCUAUAGAGCUCCCACUCACUUUCUUGUCAAUACAGGCUUCUCCAAAAGUCUGUACAAAACCAAAUGCUUUGAUCACACUAUCAAAGCGUUUAUUCCAACUCCGAGAGGCUUGCACCAGUCCAUAAAUGGAUCGCUGGAGCUUGCACACUUUGUUAGAUCCUUUCGGAUCGACAAAACCUUCCGGUUGCAUCAUAUACAACUCUUCUUCCAGAAAUCCAUUCAGGAAUGCAGUUUUGACAUCCAUCUGCCAAAUUUCGUAAUCAUAAAAUGCGGCAAUUGCUAACAUGAUUCGAACGGACUUAAGCAUCGCUACGGGUGAGAAGGUCUCAUCAUAGUCAACCCCUUGAACUUGUCCAAAACCUUUUGCGACAAGUCGAGCUUUGUAGACAGUAACAUUACCGUCAGCGUCAGUCUUUUUCUUGAAGAUCCAUUUAUUCUCAAUUGCUUGCCGACCAUCGGGCAAGUUAACCAAAGUCCAUACUUUGUUCUCAUACAUGGAUCCCAUUUCAGAUUUCAUGGCUUCAAGCCAUUUUGCGGAAUCUGGGCUCACCAUCGCUUCUUCAUAGUUAGUAGGUUCAUCAUGAUCUAGCAGCAUGAUUUCUAGAACAGGAUUACCGUACCACUCUGGCGCGGAUCUCACUCUGGUUGAUCUACGAGGUUCAGUAGUAUCUUGUCCUGAAGUUUCAUGAUCAUUAUCAUUAGCUUCCUCACUUAUGGGUGUAGGUGUCGCAGAAACAGUUUUCUGUGAUGUACUUCUUUCCAAUAAGGGGGCAGGUACAGUUACCUCGUCAAGUUCUACUUUCCUCCCACUCACUUCUUUCGAGAGAAACUCCUUCUCUAGAAAGGAUCCAUUCUUAGCAACGAAUGUCUUGCCUUCGGAUCUGUGAUAGAAGGUGUACCCAACAGUCUCCUUUGGGUAACCUAUGAAGACACAUUUCUCCGAUUUGGGUUCAAGCUUAUCAGGUUGAAGCUUUUUCACAUAAGCAUCGCAGCCCCAGACUUUAAGAAACGACAACUUUGGUUUCUUGCCAAACCAUAGUUCAUAAGGCGUCGUCUCAACGGAUUUUGAUGCUGCCCUAUUUAACGUGAAUGCGGCCGUCUCUAAAGCAUAACCCCAAAACGAUAGCGGUAAAUCAGUAAGAGACAUCAUAGAUCGCACCAUAUCUAGUAAAGUACGAUUACGACGUUCGGACACACCAUUACGCUGUGGUGUUCCGGGUGGCGUGAGUUGCGAAACUAUUCCGCAUUGUUUCAAAUGUACACCAAACUCGUAACUCAAAUAUUCUCCUCCAUGAUCAGAUCGUAGAAACUUUAUUUUCUCGUUACGAUGAUUUUCAACUUCACUCUGAAAUUCUUUGAACUUUUCAAAUGUUUCAGACUUGUGUUUCAUUAAGUAGAUAUACCCAUAUCUGCUUAAAUCAUUUGUGAAGUUGAGAAAAUAACGAUAUCCGCCACGAGCCUCAAUAUUCAUCGGACCACAUACAUCGGUAUGUAUGAUUUCCAACAAAUCUGUUGCUCUCUCCAUAGUACCGGAGAACGGUGUUUUAGUCAUCUUGCCCAUGAGGCACGGUUCGCAAGUACCAAGUGAUUCAUAAUCAAGUAGUUCCAAAAGUCCAUCAGUAUGGAGUUUCUUCAUGCGCUUUACACCGAUAUGACCUAAACGGCAGUGCCACAAAUAAGUUGCACUAUCAUUAUCAACUCUGCAUCUUUUGGUUUCAACAUUAUGAAUAUGUGUAUCACUACUAUCGAGAUUCAUCAGAAAUAGACCACUCUUCAAGGGUUCAUGACCAUAAAAGAUAUUACUCAUAUAAAUAGAACAACCAUUAUUCUCUGAUUUAAAUGAAUAACCGUCUCGCAUCAAACAAGAUCCAGAUAUAAUGUUCAUGCUUAACGCUGGCACCAAAUGACAAUUAUUUAGGUCUAAUACUAAUCCCGAAGGUAGAUGUAGAGGUAGCGUGCCGACCGCGAUCACAUCGACUUUGGAACCGUUUCCCACGCGCAUCGUCACCUCGUCCUUUGCCAGUGUUCGCCUAAUCCGUAGUCCCUGUUUCGAGUUGCAAAUAUUAGCAAUAUAACCAGUAUCAAAUACCCAGGUGCUACUGCGAGCUCUAGUAAGGUACACAUCAAUAACAUGUAUAUCACUUAUACCUUUAUUCACCUUGCCAUCCUUCUUAUCCGCCAAAUACUUGGGGCAGUUCCGCUUCCAGUGACCAGUCUGCUUGUAGUAGAAGCACUCAGUUUCAGGCUUAGGUCCAGACUUGGGUUUCUUCUCCUGAGCAGCAACUUGCUUGCCGUUCUUCUUGAAGUUCCCCUUCUUCUUCCCUUUGCCCCUUUUCUUGAAACUAGUGGUCUUGUUGACCAUCAACACUUCAUGCUCCUUCUUGAUUUCUACCUCCGCAGCUUUCAGCAUUGCGAAGAGCUCGAGAAUAGUCUUAUUCAUCCAUUGCAUAUUAUAGUUCAUCACAAAGCUCUUGUAGCUUGGUGGCAGUGAUUGGAGAAUUCUGUCAAUGACGCAAUCAUCUGGAAAAUUAACUCCCAUCUAAAUCAAGUGAUUAUUAUACCCAGACAUUUUGAGUAUAUGCUCACUGACAGAACUAUUCUCCUCCAUCUUGCAGCUAUAGAACUUAUUGGAGACUUCAUAUCUCUCAAUCCGGGCAUUUGCUUGAAAUAUUAGCUUCAACUCCUGGAACAUCUCAUAUGCUCCAUGACGUUCAAAACGUCGUUGAAGUCCCAAUUCUAAGCCGUAAAGCAUGGCACACUGAACUAUCGAGUGGUCAUCAGCUUUGCUCCGCCAGACGUUCAUAACAUCUGGUGUUGCUCCAGCAGCAGGCCUGGCACCCAGCGGUGCUUCCAGGACGUAAUUCUUCUGUGCAGCAAUGAGGAUAAUCCUCAAGUUACGGACCCAGUCCGUGUAAUUGCUACCAUCAUCUUUCAACUUUGCUUUUGUUGGGGAACGUAGUAAUUUCAAAAAUUUCCUACGCACACGCAAGAUCAUGGUGAUGCAUAGCAACGAGGGGGAGAGUCUGAUCUACGUACCCUUGUAGAUCGCAACGGAAGCGUUGACACAACGUAGAGGAAGUAGUCGUACGUCUUCUUCCCGAUCCGACCGAUCCAAGCACUGUUACUCCGGCACCUCCGAGUUCUUAGCACACGUUCAGCUCGAUGACGAUCCUCGGGCUCCGAUCCAGCAAAGCGUCGAGGAAGAGUUCCGUCAGCACGACGGCGUGGUGACGAUCUUGACGUACUACCGACGUAGGGCUUCGCCUAAGCACUACAACGGUAUGAUCGAGGUGGAAUUUGGUGGCAGGGGGCACCGCACACGGCUAAGGAACGAUUUCAAGGAUCAACUUGUGUGUCUAUGGGGAGCCCCCCGCCCCUGUAUAUAAAGGAUGGAGGAGGAGGAGGCCGGCCAAGGCAAAGGUGCGGCCAGGAUAGGGAGUCCUACUAGGACUCCAAGUCCUAGUAGGAGUCCACCAAAAGGGGAGGAAGGGAGAAGGAAUAGGAGGAGAAGGAGAGGUGGCCGGCCCCCUUUUCCCUAGUCCAAUUCGGACCAAAGGGGAGGGGGGGCGCAGCAGCCUUUUCCUCUUCCCACUAAAGCCCAUCAAGGCCCAUUACUUCUCCCGUAACUACCCGGUACUCCGAAAAAUACCCGAAUCACUCGGAACCUUUCCGAUGUCCGAAUAUAGUCGUCCAAUAUAUCGAUCUUUACGUCUCGACCAUUUCGAGACUCCUCGUCAUGUCCCCGAUUUCAUCCGGGACUCCGAACUCCUUCGGUACAUCAAUACUCAUAAACUCAUAAUAUAACUGUCAUCGAAACCUAAAGCGUGCGGACCCUAUGGUUCGAGAACAAUGUAGACAUGACCGAGACACGUCUUCGGUCAAUAACCAAUAGCGGGACCUGGAUGCCCAUAUUGGCUCCUACAUAUUCUACGAAGAUCUUUAUCGGUCAGACCGCAUAACAACAUACGUUGUUCCCUUUGUCAUCGGUAUGUUACUUGCCCGAGAUUCGAUCGUCGGUAUCCAAUACCUAGUUCAAUCUCGUUACCGGCAAGUCUCUUUACUCAUUCUAUAAUACAUCAUCCCACAACUAACUCAUUAGUUGCAAUGCUUGCAAGGCUUAAGUGAUGUGCAUUACCGAGAGGGCCCAGAGAUACCUCUCCGAUAAUCGGAGUGACAAAUCCUAAUCUCGAAAUACGCCAACCCAACAUCUUCCUUUGGAGACACCUGUAAUGCUCCUUUAUAAUCACCCAGUUACGUUGUGACGUUUUGUAGCACCCAAAGUGAUCCUCCGGCAAACGGGAGUUGCAUAAUCUCAUAGUCAUAGGAACAUGUAUAAGUCAUGAAGAAAGCAAUAGCAACAUACUAAACGAUCGGGUGCUAAGCUAAUGGAAUGGGUCAUGUCAAUCAGAUCAUUCAACUAAUGAUGUGACCUCGUUAAUCAAAUAACAACUCUUUUGUCCAUGGUUAGGAAACAUAACCAUCUUUGAUUAACGAGCUAGUCAAGUAGAGGCAUACUAGUGACACUCUGUUUGUCUAUGUAUUCACACAUGUAUUAUGUUUCCGGUUAAUACAAUUCUAGCAUGAAUAAUAAACAUUUAUCAUGAUAUAAGGAAAUAAAUAAUAACUUCAUUAUUGCCUCUAGGGCAUAUUUCCUUCAGUCUCCCACUUGCACUAGAGUCAAUAAUCUAGUUCACAUCGCCAUGUGAUUUAACAGCAAUAGUUCACAUCACCAUGUGAUUAACACCCAUAGUUCACAUCGUCAUGUGACCAACACUCAAAGGGUUUACUAGAGUCAGUAAUCUAGUUCACAUAUCUAUGUGAUUAACACCCAAAGAGUACUAAGGUGUGAUCAUGUUUUGCUUGUGAGAUAAUUUUAGUCAACGGGUCUGUCACAUUCAGAUCUGUAAGUAUUUUGCAAGUUCUAUGUCUACAAUGCUCUACACGGAGCUACUCUAGCUAAUUGCUCCCACUUUCAAUAUGUAUCCAGAUUGAGACUUUAGAUUCAUCUGGAUCAGUGUCAAAAACUUGCAUCGACGUAACCCUUUACGACGAACCUUUUUGUCACGUCCAUAAUCGAGAAACAUAUCCUUAUUUCACUAAGGAUAAUUCUGACCGCUGUCCAGUGAUCUACUCCUAGAUCACUAUUAUACUCCCUUGCCAAAUCAAUGCAGGGUAUACAAUAGAUCUGGUAUACAGCAUGACAUACUUUAUAGAACCUAUGGCCAAGGCAUAGGGAAUGACUUUCAUUCUCUUUCUAUCUUCUGCCGUGGUCGGGCUUUGAGUCUUACUCAACUUCACACCUUGUAAUACAGGCAAGAACUCUUUCUUUGACUGCUCCAUUUUGAGCUACUUCAAAAUCUUGUCAAGGUAUGUACUUAUUGAAAAAACUUAUCAAGCGUCUUGAUCUAUCUCUAUAGAUCUUGAAGCUCAAUAUGUAAGCAGCUUCACCGAAGUCUUUCUUUGAAAAACUCCUUUCAAACACUCCUUUAUGCUUUACAGAAUAAUUCUACAUUAUUUCCGAUCAACAAUAUGUCAAUCACAUAUACUUAUCAGAAAUGCUGUAGUGUCCCACUCACUUUCUUGUAAAUACAGGCUUCACCGCAAGUCUGUAUAAAACUAUAUGCUUUGAUCAACUCAUCAAAGCGUAUAUUCCAACUCCGAGAUGCUUGCACCAGUCCACAGAUGGAUCGCUGGAGCUUGCACAUUUUGUUAGCACCUUUCGGAUUGACAAAACCUUCUGUUGCAUCAUAUACAACUCUUCUUUAAUAAAUCCAUUAAGGAAUGCAGUUUUGUUUAUCCAUUUGCCAGAUUUCAUAAAAUGCGGCAAUUACUAACAUGAUUCGGACAGACUCAAGCAUAGAUACGAGUGAGAAGCUCUCAUCGUAGUCAACACCUUGAACUUGUCGAAAACCUUUUUGCGACAAUUCUAGCUUUGUAGAUAGUAACACUACUAUCAGCGUCCGUCUUCCUCUUGAAGAUCCAUUUAUUCUCAAUUGCUUGCCGAUCAUUGGGCAAGUCAACCAAAGUCCAAACUUUGUUCUCAUACAUGGAUCAUAUCUCAGAUUUCAUGGCCUCAAACCAUUUCGCGGAAUCUGGGCUCAUCAUUGCUUCCUCAUAGUUCGUAGGUUCAUCAUGAUCUAGUAGCAUGACUUCCAGGAUUGGAUUACCGUACCACACUGGUGCGGAUCUCACUCUGGUUGAUCUACGUGGUUCAGUAGUAUCUUGUCCUGAAGUUUCAUGAUCAUCAUCAUUAGCUUCCUCACUAAUUGGUAUAGGUGUCGCAGAAACAGUUUUCUGUGAUGUACUAUUUUCCAAUAAGGGAGCAGGUACAGUUACCUCGUCAAGUUCUACUUUCCUCCCACUCACUUCUUUUGAGAGAAACUCCUUCUCUAGAAAGGAUCCAUUAUAAGCAACGAAUGUCUUGCCUUAGGAUCUGUGAUAGAAGGUGUACCCAACAGUCUCCUUUGGGUAUCCUAUGAAGACAUAUUUCUCCGAUUUGGGUUUGAGCUUAUCAGGAUGAAACUUUUUCUCAUAAGCAUCGCAACCCCAAACUUCAAGAAACGACAACUUUGGUUUCUUGCCUAACCAUAGUUCAUACGGUGUCGUCUCAACGGAUUUAGAUGGUGCCCUAUUUAACGUGAAUGCAGCUUUCUCUAAUGCAUGAUCCCAAAACGAUAUUGGUAAAUCGGUAAGAAACAUCAUAGAUUGUACUAUAUCCAAUAAAGUACGGUUAUGACGUUCGGACACACCAUUAUGCUGUGGUGUUCCAGGUGGCGUGAGUAGUGAAACUAUUUCACAUUGUUUUAACUGAAGACCAAACUCGUAACUCAAAUACUCUUUUCCACGAUCAGAUCGUAGAAACUUUAUUUUCUUGUUACGAUGAUUUUCCACUUCACUCUGAAAUUAUAUGAACUUUUCAAAUGUAUCAGACUUCUAUUUCAUUAAGUAGAUAUACCCAUAUCUGCUCAAAUCAUCUGUGAAGGUUUAGAAAAUAAUGAUACCCGCUGCAAGCCUUAAAUAUUCAUCGGACCACAUACAUUUGUAUGUAUGAUUUCCAACAAAUCUGUUGCUUGCUCCAUUGUUCCGGAGAACGGCGUUUUAGUCAUCUUGCCCAAAAGGCAUGGUUCGCAAGCAUCAAGUGAUUCCGAAAGCCCAUCAGCAUGGAGUUUCUUCAUGUGCUUUAUACCAAUAUGACCUAAACGGCAGUGCCACAAAUAAGUUGCACUAUCAUUAUUAACUUUGCAUCUUUUGGUUUCAAUAUUAUGAAUAUGUGUAUCACUACGAUCGAGAUCCAACGAACUUGUUUCAUUGGGUGUAUGACCAUCGAAGGUUUUAUUCAUGUAAACAGAACAACAAUUAUUCUCUGACUUUAAUGAAUAACCGUAUUGCAAUAAACAUGAUCAAAUCAUAUUCAUGCUCAACCAAAUAACACUUAUUUAAGUUCAACACUAAUCCCGAAAGUAUAGGGGAGUGUGUGAUGAUGAUCAUAUCAAUCUUGGAACUACUUCCAACACACAUCGUCACUUCACCCUUAACUAGUCUUUGUUUAUUCUGCAACUCCUGUUUCGAGUUACUACUCUUAGCAACUGAACCAAUAUCAAAUACUGAGGGGUUGCUAUAAACACUAGUAAAGCACACAUCAAUAACAUGUAUAUCAAAUAUACUUUUGUUCACUUUGCCAUCCUUCUUAUCCGCCAAAUACUUGGGGCAGUUCCGCUUCCAGUGACCAGUCCCUUUGCAGUAGAAGCACUUAGUCUCAGGCUUAGGACCAAACUUCGGCUUCUUCACUUGAGCAGCAACUUGCUUGCCGUUCUUCUUGAAGUUCCCCUUCUUCCCUUUGCCCUUUUCUUGAAACUAGUGAUCCUGUCAACCAUCAACACUUGAUGUUUUUCUUGAUUUCGACCUUCGUUGAUUUCAGCAUCACGAAGAGCUUGGGAGUUGUUUCCGUUAUCCCUUGCAUAUUAUAGUUCAUCACGAAGUUCUACUAACUUGGUGAUGGUGACUAGAGAAUUUUGUCAAUCACUAUCUUAUCUGGAAGAUUAACUCCCACUUGAUUCAAGCGAUUGUAGUACUCAGAUAAUCUGGGCACAUGCUCACUAGUUGAGCGAUUCUCCCCCAUCUUUCAGCUAUAGAACUUGUUGGAGACUUCAUAUCUCUCAACUCGGGUAUUUACUUGAAAUAUUAACUUCAGCUUCUGGAACAUCUCAUAUGGUCCAUGACGCUCAGAACGUCUUUGAAGUCCCGAUUCUAAGCCAUUAAGCAUGGUGCACUAAACUAUCAAGUAGUCAUCAUAUUGGGCUAGCCAAACGUUCAUAACGUCGGCAUCUGCUCCUGCAAUAGGUCUGUCACCUAGCGGUGCAUCAAGGACAUAAUUCCUCUAUGCAGCAAUGAGGAUAAAACUCAGAUCACGGAUCCAAUCCGCAUCAUUGCUACUAACAUCUUUCAACACAAUUUUCUCUAGGGACAUGUCAAAAUAAACACAGGGAAGCAACAACGCGAGCUAUUGAUCUACAACAUAAUUUGCAAAAUACUACCAGGACUAAGUUCAUGAUAAAUUUAAGUUCAAUUAAUCAUAUUACUUAAGAACUCCCACUUAGAUAGAUAUCCCUCUAAUCCUCUAAGUGAUCACGUGAUCCAAAUCAACUAAACCAUAACCGAUCAUCACGUGAGAUGGAGUAGUUUUCAAUGGUGAACAUCGUCAUGUUGAUCAUAUCUACUAUAUGAUUCACGCUCGACCUUUCGGUCUCUGUGUUCCGAGGCCAUAUCUGCAUAUGCUAGGCUCGUCAAGUUUAACCUGAGUAUUCUGCGUGUGCAAAACUGGCUUGCACCCGUUGUAGAUGGACGUAGAGCUUAUCACACCCGAUCAUCACGUGGUGUCUGGGCACGACGAACUUUGGCAACGGUGCAUACUCAGGGAGAACACUUCUUGAUAAUUCAGUGAGAGAUCAUCUUAUAAUGCUACCGUCAAUCAAAGCAAGAUAAGAUGCAUAAAAAGAUAAACAUCAUAUGUAAUCAAAAUAUGUGACAUGAUAUGGCCAUCAUCAUCUUGCUUCUUUGAUCUCCAUCUCCAAAGUACUGUCAUGAUCUAUAUCGUCACCGGCAUGACACCAUGAUCUCCAUCAUCUUGAUCUAUAUCAAUGUGUCGUCGUGUGGUCGUCUCACCAACAAUUGCUCUUGCAACUAUUGCUAUCGCAUAGCGAUAAAGUAAAGCAAUUACUGGACGCUUGCAUCUCAUGAAAUAGAGAGACAACCAUAAGGAUUUUGUCAGUUGCUGAUAACUUCAACAAAACAUGAUCAUCUUAUACAACAACUUAUAACUCAUCACGUUUUGACCAUAUCACAUCACAACAUGCCCUGCAAAAACAAGUUAGACGUCCUCUACUUUGUUGUUGCAAAUUUUACGUGGCUGCUACGGGCUUAGCAAGAACCAAUCUUACCUACGCAUCAAAACCACAACGAUAGUUUGUCAAAUAGACUCCGUUUUAACCUUCGCAAGGACCGGGCGUAGCCACACUCGGUUCAACUAAAGUUGGAGAAACAGUCACCCGCAAGUCACCUAUGUGCAAAGCACGUCGGGGAAACCGGUCUCGCGUAAGCGUACGCGUAAUGUCGGUCCGGGCCGCUUCAUCCAACAAUACCGCGGAACCAAAGUAUGACAUGCUGGUAGGCAGUAUGACUUAUAUCGCCCACAACUCACUUGUGUUCUACUCGUGCAUAUAACAUCAAACCAUAAAACCUAGGCUCGGAUGCCACUGUUGGGGAACGUAGUAAUUUCAAAAAUUUCCUACGCACACGCAAGAUCAUGGUGAUGCAUAGCAACGAGGGGGAGAGUCUGAUCUACGUACCCUUGUAGAUCGCAACGGAAGCGUUGACACAACGUAGAGGAAGUAGUCGUACGUCUUCUUCCUGAUCCGACCGAUCCAAGCACCGUUACUCCGGCACCUCCGAGUUCUUAGCACACGUUCAGCUCGAUGACGAUCCUCGGGCUCCGAUCCAGCAAAGCGUCGAGGAAGAGUUCCGUCAGCAUGACGGCGUGGUGACGAUCUUGAUGUACUACCGAUGUAGGGCUUCGCCUAAGCACUACAACGGUAUGAUCGAGGUGGAAUUUGGUGGCAGGGGGCACCGCACACGGCUAAGGAACGAUCUCAAGGAUCAACUUGUGUGUCUAUGGGGUGCCCCCUGCCCCUGUAUAUAAAGGAUGGAGGAGGAGGAGGCCGGCCAAGGCAAAGGUGCGGCCAGGAUAGGGAGUCCUACUAGGACUCCAAGUCCUAGUAGGAGUCCACCAAAAGGGGAGGAAGGGAGAAGGAAUAGGAGGAGAAGGAGAGGUGGCCGGCCCCCUUUUCCCUAGUCCAAUUCGGACCAAAGGGGAGGGGGGCGCAGCAGCCUUUUCCUCUUCCCACUAAAGCCCAUCAAGGCCCAUUACUUCUCCCGUAACUACCCGGUACUCCGAAAAAUACCCGAAUCACUCCGAACCUUUCCGAUGUCCAAAUAUAGUCGUUCAAUAUAUCGAUCUUUACGUCUCGACCAUUUCAAGACUCCUCGUCAUGUCCCCGAUCUCAUCCGGGACUCCGAACUCCUUCGGUACAUCAAUACUCAUAAACUCAUAAUUUAACUGUCAUGGAAACCUUAAGCGUGCGGACCCUACGGUUCGAGAACAAUGUAGACAUGACCGAGACACGUCUCCGGUCAAUAACCAAUAGCGGGACCUGGAUGCCCAUAUUGGCUCCUACAUAUUCUACGAAGAUCUUUAUCGGUCAGACCGCAUAACAACAUACGUUGUUCCCUUUGUCAUCGGUAUGUUACUUGCCCGAGAUUCGAUCGUUGGUAUCCAAUACCUAGUUCAAUCUCGUUACCGGCAAGUCUCUUUACUCGUUCUAUAAUACAUCAUCCCACAACUAACUCAUUAGUUGCAAUGCUUGCAAGGCUUAAGUGAUGUGCAUUACCGAGAGGGCCCAGAGAUACCUCUCCGACAAUCGGAGUGACAAAUCCUAAUCUCGAAAUACGCCAACCCAACAUCUUCCUUUGGAGACACCUGUAAUGCUCCUUUAUAAUCACCCAGUUACGUUGUGACGUUUGGUAGCACCCAAAGUGUUCCUCCGGCAAACGGGAGUUGCAUAAUCUCAUAGUCAUAGGAACAUGUAUAAGUCAUGAAGAAAGCAAUAGCAACAUACUAAACGAUCGGGUGCUAAGCUAAUGGAAUGGGUCAUGUCAAUCAGAUCAUUCAACUAAUGAUGUGACCUCGUUAAUCAAAUAACAACUCUUUUGUCCAUGGUUAGGAAACAUAACCAUCUUUGAUUAAUGAGCUAGUCAAGUAGAGGCAUACUAGUGACACUUUGUUUGUCUAUGUAUUCACACAUGUAUUAUGUUUCCCGUUAAUACAAUUCUAGCAUGAAUAAUAAACAUUUAUCUUGUGCUUGUGAUCUCCAUCUCCGAAGCACCUUCAUGAUCACCAUCGUCACCGGCGCGACACCUUGAUCUCCAUCGUAGCAUCGUUGUCGUCUCGCCAAUCUUAUGCUUCCACGACUAUCGCUACCGCUUAGUGAUAAAGUAAAGCAUUACAACGCGAUUGCAUUGCAUACAAUAAAGCGACAACCAUAUGGCUCCUGCCAGUUGCCGAUAACUUGGUUACAAAACAUGAUCAUCUCAUACAAUAAAAUUUAGCAUCAUGUCUUGACCAUAUCACAUCACAACAUGCCCUGCAAAAACAAGUUAGACGUCCUCUACUUUGUUGUUGCAUGUUUUACGUGGCUGCUACAGGCUUAAGCAAGAACCAAUCUUACCUAUGCAUCAAAACCACAACGAUAGUUUGUCAAGUUGAUGCCGUUUUAACCUUCGCAAGGACCGGGCGUAGCCACACUCGGUUCAACUAAAGUUGGAGAAACAGUCACCCGCAAGCCACCUUUGUGCAAAGCACGUCGGGAGAACCGGUCUCGCGUAAGCGUACGCGUAAUGUCGGUCUGGGCCGCUUCAUCCAACAAUACCGCCGAACCAAAGUAUGACAUGCUGGUAGGCAGUAUGACUUAUAUCGCCCACAACUCACUUGUGUUCUACUCAUGCAUAUAACAUCAAACCAUAAAACCUAGGCUCUGAUACCACUGUUGGGGAACGUAGCAAUUUCAAAAAAUUUCUACGCACACGCAAGAUCAUGGUGAUGCAUAGCAACAAGAGGGGAGAGUGUUGUCUAGAAGCGUUGACACAACGUAGAGGAAGUAGUCGUACGUCUUCCCGAUCCGACCGAUCCAAGCACCGUUACUCCGGCACCUCCGAGUUCUUAGCACACGUACAACUCGAUGACGCUCCCCGGGCUCCGAUCUAGCAAAGCUUCGGGGAUGAGUUCCGUCAGCACAACGGCGUGGUGACGAUGAUGAUGUUCUACCGACGCAGGGCUUCGCCUAAGCACUACAACGAUAUGACCGAGGUGGAAUAUGGUGGAAGGGGGCACCGCACACGGCUAAGGAACGAUCACGUUGAUCAAUUGUGUGUUCUAGGGUGCCCCCUUGCCUCCGUAUAUAAAGGAUCCAAGGGAGAGGGGUUCGGCCGGCCCUAUGGAGGCGCAGGAGGAGUCCUACUCCUAUCGGGAGUAGGACUCCCCCCCUUUUCCUUGUCCAAGUAGGAUUGGUGGAGAAGAAUGGGAAAGAGGGGGGCGCCGCCCCUCCCUCCUUGUCCAAUUCGGACUAGGGGGAGAGGGGGCGUGCGGCCUGCCCUGGCAGCCCCUUCCUCUUCUCCACUUUAGGCCCAUGAGGCCCAUUAACCCCCCGGGGGGUUCCGGUAACCCCCCGGUGCUCCGAUUUUAUCCGAAACUUCAUCGGAACCCUUCCGGUGUCCGAAUAUAGUCAUCCAAUAUAUCAAUCUUUAUGUCUUGACAAUUUUGAGACUCCUCGUCAUGUCCGUGAUCACAUCCGGGACUCCGAACUAACUUCGGUACAUCAAAAUGUAUAAACUUAUAAUAACUGCCAUCGUAACGUUAAGCGUGCGGACCCUACGGUUCGAGAACAAUGUAGACAUGGCCGAGACACGUCUCCGGUCAAUAACCAAUAGCGGGACCUGGAUGCCCAUAUUGGCUCCUACAUAUUCUACGAAGAUCUUUAUCGGUCAGACCGCAUAACAACAUACGUUGUUCCCUUUGUCAUCGGUAUGUUACUUGCCCGAGAUUCGAUCGUCCGUAUCCAAUACCUAGUUCAAUCUCGUUACCAGCAAGUCUCUUUACUCGUUCCGUAAUACAUCAUCUCGCAACUAACUCAUUAGUUGUAAUGCUUGCAAGGCUUAUGUGAUGUGCAUUACCGAGAGGGCCCAGAGAUACCUCUCCGACAAUCGGAGUGACAAAUCCUAAUCUCGAAAUACGCCAACCCAACAUCUACCUUUGGAUACAUCUUUAGAGCACCUUUAUAAUCACCCAGUUAUGUUGUGACGUUUGGUAGCACACAAAGUGUUCCUCCGGCAAACGGGAGUUGCAUAAUCUCAUAGUCAUAGGAACAUGUAUAAGUCAUGAAGAAAGCAAUAGCAACAUACUAAACGAUCGGGUGCUAAGCUAAUGGAAUGGGUCAUGUCAAUCAGAUCAUUCAACUAAUGAUGUGAUCUCGUUAAUCAAAUAACAACUCUUUGUUCAUGGUUAGGAAACAUAACCAUCUUUGAUUAACGAGCUAGUCAAGUAGAGGCAUACUAGUGACACUUUGUUUGUCUAUGCAUUCACACAUGUAUUAUGUUUCCGGUUAAUACUAUUAUAGCAUGAAUAAUAAACAUUUAUCAUGACAUAAGGAAAUAAAUAAUAACUUUGUUAUUGCCUCUAGGGCAUAUUUCCUUCACUUAGGGCCUUGGAUGAGAACUGGCAUCAUAAUGAACUUCCGCUUCAUGCACAUCCAAGGAGGAAGGUUAUACAUACAUAGAGUCACGGGCCAGGUGCUGUGAUUGCUGCUCUGCUCCCCUAUAGGAUUAAUGCCAUCCAUGCUUAAAGCAAACCAUACAUUCCAUGGGUCGUUUGCAAACUCAUCCCAGUACUUUCUCUCGAUUUUUCUCCACUGCGACCCGUCAGCGGGUGCUCUCAAUUUUCCGUCUUUCUUCCGGUCCUCACUGUGCCAUCGCAUCAACUUGGCAUGCUCUUCGUUUUUGAAUAGACGUUUCAACCGUGGUAUUAUAGGAGCAUACCACAUCACCUUCGCAGGAACCCUCUUCUUGGGGGGCUCACCGUCAACGUCACCAGGGUCAUCUCGUCUGAUCUUAUACCGCAAUGCACCGCAUACCGGGCAUGCAUUCAGAUCCUUGUAUGCACCGCGGUAGAGGAUGCAGUCAUUAGGGCAUGCAUGUAUCUUCUCCACCUCCAAUCCUAGAGGGCAUACGACUUUCUUUGCUGCGUAUGUACUGUCGGGCAAUUCGUUAUCCUUUGGAAGAUUCUUCUUCAAUAUUUUCAGUAGCUUCUCAAAUCCUUUGUCAGCCACAGCAUUCUCUGCCUUCCACUGCAGCAAUUCCAGUACGGUACCGAGCUUUGUGUUGCCAUCUUCGCAAUUGGGCUACAACCCUUUUUUGUGAUCCUCUAACAUGCGAUCGAACUUCAGCUUCUCCUUUUGACUUUCGCAUUGCGUCCUUGCAUCGACAAUGACCCGGCGGAGAUCAUCAUCAUCGGGCAGAUCGUCUGGUUCCUCUUGAUCUUCAGCAGCUUCACCCGUUGCAGCAUCAUUGGGCACAUCGUCUGUUUCCUCUUGAUCUUCACCAGCUCCCUCCAUUGCAGCAUAACCGUAUUCAGGGGGCACAUAGUUGUCAUCGUACUCUUCUUCUUUGCCAUCUUCCAUCAUAACACCUAUUUCUCCGUGCCUCGUCCAAACAUUAUAGUGUGGCAUGAAACCCUUGUAAAGAAGGAGGGGGUGAAGGAUUUUCCGGUUAGAGUAAUACCUCGUAUUCCCACAUUCAGUGCAUGGACAACACAUAAAACCAUUCUGCUUCUUUGCCUCAGCCGCACCGAGAAACUCAUGCACGCCCUUAAUGUACCCGGAGGUGUGUCUGUCACCGUACAUCCAUUGCCAGUUCAUCUACGUGCAUUAUAUAUAAUUAAGUGUCCAAAUUAAUAGAAGUUCAUCAUCACAUUAAAACCAAAGUACAUACAUAGUUCUCAUCUAACAACAUAUAGCUCUCCAGAGCAUCUAAUUAAUUAAACCAUACAUUGAAACUAUGUAAAACAUUUCAAUGCGAAAACAAAUGCGAUCAUAAUUGCAACCAAGGUAACAAUUGAUCCAACGGCAUAAUGAUACCAAGCCUCGGUAUGAACGACAUAUUUUCUAAUCUUUCUAAUCUUCAAGCGCAUUGCAUCCAUCUUGAUCCUGUGAUCAUAGACGACAUCCGCAACAUGCAACUCCAAUAUCAUCUUCUCCUCCUCAAUUUUUUUAUUUUUUCCUCCAACAAAUAGUUUUCUUCUUCAACUAAAUUUAGCCUCUCGGCAAUAGGGUCGGUUGGCAUUUCCGAUUCACAUACAUCCUACAUAAAUAAAAUCUAUGUCACGUUGAUCGGCAUAAUUUUCAUAAACAAUAAAUGAACCAAUAGUUAUAAAGAUAAUAUAUAUACCACAUUCGAAUCAUAGACAGGACGAGGGCGACGGGGGCGGAUACCAAAACCAUCGCACUAUAUAAGAUGCAAUAAUAAAAGUAAGAAAAUAAUACAAGUAUCUAUGUAAACAUACAAGUAAGAAUAUUUUUCCUUUCAGAAAGAAGAUAAGAACAAGAGGCUCACCAUGGUGGUGCCGGCAAGGCCCACCUUGGUCCAUGCGGGGAUGCACAAAAUAAGCUAUGUGCGGCCCAUGCGGGGAAUUUUGGUUACGCAUGGCCCAUACAUAUGGUGAUCCAGCCGUACGUGACCAAAUAGGAUGGACGGACAAACGAAAACGGACAAAAAUUAGGGACCAACCAAUUAGUACCACCUCGCGUAUAUGUUUUAUAUUUAAACUGAAAGCGUAAAUUUUCAUGAAAAGAAAUGUACUGUGACGGUGAACCCGACAAAGUCAAUCCGUGCUUUAUUAUUAGGGAAAGAUAUACUAAUUGGAGGCACCUUUGGAGCGUCUACGUUAAUCCACGUCAUUAAGAUUAAUAUAGCCGUUUGAUAUUAAAUUUAAUGGUUAAGAUAUGCUAGAAGACUAUGCCUUAUUAUAGAAGAAAACAACAUGUACGUAGGGAUGAAAUCCACGCAUACAAAAAAAAACUCAUGUAAAGAAAAAUCAAUUCUCACCACAUAGAUGAAACUCAUUAAACUUGCACAUGCAAAAAAAGUCCUAAGCUCCCACGUCCAUGAAAGAUUAGACAUGCACAUAAAAAAAGAGUCCUAAAUGCCCACGCCCAGGUUCCAAGAAAAAGUACGUGCCUACUCCUUGCAAAAAGAGGACGCGUGGCAAAACUAAAAAAUAUGAAUAUAAUCAUCUCAAUCUCUUUCUAAUAAUAAAAUAUGAAUUGAUUUUGUCAGGUUCGUCGUCACAAUACACUUUUUCCUGUAAAUUUACGCUUUCACUUUGAAUUUAAAACAUAUAGGUGAGGUGGUACUAAAAAACUGUUCAUUGGUCGCGUACGUCAAUUAGUAUAAGUCGCUUUUUUUAGUCCCUCCGGCUCGCUAGACUGGGCCGUGUUGAUCAUUCCCGUGAUGACUGAACUGGGCCUGGUCAAAAAGAAAAAAAACGAUGCAAAAAAUAAUUCCCCAUGAGCUUCGAACCAAGACGAAGGCCCUCAGUCACAAAGGAGAACGCCAACUAGAUUGCUCUAUUUUGUUCUGCCAAAUUGUGUCCCUGUAGAUAUAAUAGUCCCACAUCGCUUCUUUGCACUGUAUCUUAUCGAUUUUUAUACAUCGGCGGACUUGUCCUAGCAGAAGUUAAUUGGAAGAGGAAGCAAGGAAUAAAGAACGAACGCAGGAGGAAUUUGGCCAGAAGAAACAAGGUCGGGGAGCGUGAGGUUUAUGGUGAAUAUUCAGAGAACGGCAGCUGCAUUGUUCGAAUUUAGUCUAUCUUUGGACAUGUCUUUUCCGGGGAUUCGACACCAUGUUUUGUGCGCGAAUGGUUUUAUUAGGGUUUUUGACUGUUCCAAGUUAGAAGAGGCCAGAGUUUUCUCUGGUUCUUCAGUGGCCUGAAGCAACCAUGCUUACGCUUUUUUUUUUCAACCAUUCAUUGCCCAUUUUCAUUAAUUUCUUAAAGAAAAUACAUCAACCGUCCUUGCAGAAAGAACGAGGCAGCUUCACAGCUGGAAAUCAAGAGUGCGGUGUCCAGUUUUACGGGGAAAAGAAUUCUAUGAGACCAGGUCUCACGCGAGACCCAUCCUAAUGAAUGCCACGUGCUAUCCAUCAGAACGGGUCUCACCUGCUAACCGUGAGACUUGGUCUCAUAUAUUUUUUUUCCGUUUUACGGGGAAGCAUCAUCAGAAAUCUAGCAAAUCAUUCGCAUUAUUCUCUCACAUACAGUACAGAUCCUUCGGAUCGCCACAUCACAGCUGGACUUCAUUGCUUUGGGUGUCUAAUUAAGGGCUUGUUCGGUUAAUCCUCUCGCGAAGAGGAUUGGAGGGGAUUGGCAAGGAUUGGUUCGUAUUUUGACUUCUAAGAGGUUUAAGUCCUCCUCAAACCCCUUCAAUCCAUUCGGAUUCACACGCAACCAAACAAGGCCUAAACGGGAUCCGCAUCUGAACUAUUAAGCAGCAAAUGAUAGUGUGCGUGAAACAGGUAGGCAAUGUCAAUGAGGACAAACUGUGAUGAUAUCGUUUGAAAACUCAGCUGUCGUCCGUAGUGUUUGGCAUGUGACAGAUAGAUCCUGUUGAUUGUCUAACGAAAGCCAACGGUGAUGUCAAACUAGACUAUUUUAACAUAGUCGGUAAGACAAAAAUGGGAAACAUAUGUAUAUAUGACUACCGAGAACACGACAUCCAUUGUAUCUCGAUUAAGCAUCUUCAAAUAUUAUUCCUGUCGUGAUAUUGACAACAUUAUUAGUUUGUACUUGAAUGAAUAGUCAAGGAACUUUUGAGUGUUCCAAGUUAAACAUCCAAAUUUGUGUCGCAUUUCAGUAUGGGAGGCGCGUAUGACUCUCAAGUUUUUCCGAAUUUGAGUAAUACGGGUCAACUAUUUGCAAAAAUAAAAUAAAAACAUGUUAUCUAGCAUAUGUUUUUACCGUGUUAACACAUUCACAAUUAUUCCAUUUUGAAAAAAGGUACCUAGGUGGUAAAUGAACUACAAACCUUGCUCGACAUAUAUCGAGAAAUAUGUAUUGACAUACACAACAGAGAAAAUAAAUCAAAAUACAUUGCGCAGAACAUUGACAAUAAAUUAGUUGGUGAAAUUAGACAAUUUAGUUGGUGAACUUAGAAAAUUGUUACAUAAGGCUCCAACUUAAUUUCUCAGCAGUUGGAUCAGUUUUUUUUUUUGAGGACCAUGGAAAUACUGAAACCAUGGUUGAUACAAACUCCCCUCUCACACCUAAACUUUGAGCUAGAUAUUUCCUUUUAGUGAGUUUAGCUACUAAUUUUAAAGGGGUUCGCUAAAUCUCAGUCAAUUGAGAUUUAAUGUAGUCUCAAUCACCUUUCCAAGCCGUUGAAUACAUGCACACUAAGAUUAUGUGCUAGGAAACUUUUCUUUGUUAUUGUGAGGUGGAACGGAAAGAGAUGUGUGUGUGCCUUUCUGGACUAUUCGAAGUGUGCGUGUUUUUCCGAGGAAAGAGCCUACAAUCUACACGAGAAGCUUGUGUUUGGGCCAAGUCCAAACAUAAUAUAAUUUGUCAAACCAAACAACCAACAUUUUCUAAAACCGAAAUCAACAUAGCAAAAACAUGUUUGCUUUCGAAUAUUAAUAAAUAACUGUAUAUAAAUAAUCCCACUUCAAUGCACCACUCCUCUCACACCCGGUGAUAGUGUGAUGUUCGUUGAGGCAACAUCGAAGGACAUGAAUGUAGUUUCAUUAAUCUUUUUCCGAAUUGUGUACACCAAAAAUUGUAUCAUCAUUAACGACGGUGGCAAAAAUGAAAAGUGGCAACAUGAACGAGUCACUGAAAACAUGCGAAGACUUUCUCCUUCCGGUGCAAUGCACGACACAUUAAAUGAUGCAUACAAAGGUUAAAGGGAACCUUCUUUUGAGAAACAAAGACAAACACAGACUCACAAACACGUACAUACAUGAACACCUAGAGAGACUGAGCUGACAAGUCUUGAGAUUGAUGAACACACCACAAGUGUCUCGCUUCGACGCGAACGUCACCAUGCACUGAAAAAAUAUUUCACCUUUGUGAAACAUGAAAUUAAGCGUCAAAGUUAGGUUUUAAUUCUUGCUCUAUUGGGUAUCACCGCCCUGCAAACCAUCCAAUCAGAGAUUGGUUCUCAGGGUUAAAGCGAAACUAACCAAUACAUUUAUUUGAUAUGAAAAAAUGAACCCUUCCAAACCAAGCAAACAACUAUCUCUAAGAAAUCCAACAUAGCAACAAUGCUUUGUAUUCAAAUGUUUUGGAAAUUCUAAAAAAAAACUUUUGGAUUAGUUUUUAAACUCUCGGUUAGUAUAGAACAUUCCAAUGUUUGUAUGUUGCACUAAAAAUAAAUGCACCACUCUUUCACCCGGUGGUAGUGCUAAGCUAAAGGAGUGCCAUCAAAGGACACCACUAUGACUAUCUUAACUCUACUCCAUGAUGCGGACACCAAUAAUCAUUUUUAUUUACCAACACGAAGGCGUUUUUUUAAGAUAGUGAGUGUUUCUAAAUGUUCUUGGUUUCAAAAAAUAUAUUCAUGUUUUAAAUAUGUUUAAACUUUUGAAGAAAUGCUGAAAAUUCCUAAAAAAUGGUUCCAAUUAAAAACCAGCUAUAAUUGUUCAAAAAAUCAUUAAAAAAAAUCAUGAAAUCGCUUGUUUAUAUAAUGUUCGACUUCAAAAAAUAUUCCAAUUCUAGUAAGAAAUUAAAAAAUAGUCGAUUUCUUAAAAAAUAAAGAAAUAUUUGUGUUGUCUUUCAAAAAGCAAAAUAUAUACCGAUUCACAUACUAUUCCAUGCACAACUAUUCUUCCAACAGAUGUGGGAAGUUAGGUUGGUUCUUCAUGUACACACUUCAAGCUCCGAACAAAAAUUAGAGUUUAACAUUAUUACUCUGGUUUAUCAGCCUUUGAUACAAGAAAUGGCACAUGAAGCGCACUUUUAUUUGCCCGUUGCAACGCACGGGCAUUUGUACUAGUAAAUAUCAAUUGAAGGAAUAUCAUUCUGCAAAGGCAGAUUCUUGAAUAGGAUUGUUUCACAACUGCAUCCAUCAAUUUUAAAGUUUACUAUCUAAUAUGAUGCUAGAUAGAUAAAGCCUCAAUUAAGUAUAACAUUGUGUUUGUUGGUUAAGUUAGGAGCACUUACUAAUGUACUAAAAGAGAAAUAUAUAUUAUAUAUGGUUUGAGUACCAUUGUAGUAGUGGUGCAUAUACAUACGCGCACCACCUACUAUAUAUCGAAAUAAUUCAUACUCGCUUUCUCCCUUAUAUAUAUAGUAGGUGGUGUCAAAUUCUUGCUAAUUUGACAUGAAGGCUUCAUUCAGACCAGUGAUGAUACUUUGCGCAACAUAAAUGGGAAAGUAGAGGCACUCUUCCAUAUAAUGAAGUUUAUAAUAUAUGUGUUUAUAUUGUACUAUAAUUGUUUGAAUAACUUACCAUAUGUUCAGAUGUAUGAUAUCUGUAAUUUAAGCGCUUGAAUUUUACAUAUAAAUAUAAUUUUAUUAAUAAAUAUGUACCCAUAUAAUAGCUAGGCCGUGUAGUUGCACGGGUAGAUGACUAGUGAUUACAAUCUUGUUUGUGAGCAAGUCAAGAUUAUCUAGUUUACACGUAACAACUUGUAGAACAUUACAAAAAUUAUGCUUGCUAAUAACUUCUAGAACACUACAACACUUGACAUGUAAAAGGAAUUUGAUGAGUCAUGGCCUACUAAAGCAAGUUACAUUACUACUCUUAUCUAUCUUAACAGACCACACAAGAUUACAAACUAAGUACCGUGACAGCCAUGCUUAUCUAAUUUAUGCGUAACAAUUUGCGGAAAAUUACAAAUUUAGUUUUAGAAAAAUAGGCAAUCUAGAUUAGUGUUUGAGCUGUAAUGUGAAUAAGAUGAGUCGUGCGUCUUGUCACACCUUUUUGGUGGUGGAAUGAUAGUGCAACAACAAGGAACUUUAAUGACCAGUCCAAGAAUACACUUGUAAGUAGUGCCACCAAACAGAACAUACCAAAUUAUGAUUUUGAGAAGAAUCCAAGCACUUUCCACACAAGCAAAUGCCAAUUGUGAAAGAGAUCAUUCCAUGGCAGCUAUAAAUAGCCCCAUAGCAUGACGCUCAUCCUUCCUCAUCCAUCAUUCUCAUAAGUAGAGUGCAUCAUUUAAGCCAAGCAAGCUGUGGUCAAUACAAAUCCACCAUGAAGACCUUUCUCAUCCUUUCCCUCCUUGCUAUCGUGGCAACCACCGCCACAACUGCAUUUAGAAUUCUAGUGCCACAAUUGCAGCCACAAAAUCCAUCUUAGCAACAACCACAAGAGCAAGUUCCAUUGGUACAACAACAGCAAUUUCUAGGGCAGCAACAACCAUUUCCACCACAACAACCAUAUCCACAGCCGCAACCAUUUCCAUCACAACAACCAUAUCUGCAGCUGCAACCAUUUCCGCAGCCGCAACCACCAUAUUCGCAGCCGCAACCAUUUCGACCACAAUAACCAUAUCUCCACAACCGCAACCACAGUAUUCGCAACCACAAUAACCAAUUUCGCAGCAGCAACAACAACAACAACAACAACAACAACAACAAAUCCUUCAACAAAUUUUGCAACAACAACUGAUUCCAUGCAUGGAUGUUGUAUUGCAGCAACACAACAUAGCGCAUGGAAGAUCACAAGUUUUGCAACAAAGUAGUUACCAGCUGUUGCAAGAAUUGUGUUUUCAGCACCUAUGACAGAUCCCUGAGCAGUCGCAGUGCCAAGCCAUCCACAAUGUUGUCCAUGCUAUUAUUCUGCAUCAACAACAAAAACAACAACAACAACAACAACAAAAACAACAACCAUCGAGCCAGGUCUCCUUCCAACAGCCCCAGCAACAAUAUCCAUCAGGCCAGGGCUCCUUCCGGCCAUCUCUGCAAAAUCCACAGGCCCAGGGCUCGGUCCAGCCUCAACAGCUGCCCAGUUCGAGGAAAUAAGGAACCUAGCGCUACAGACGCUACCUGCAAUGUGCAAUCUCUACAUCCCUCCAUAUUGCACCAUCGCGCCAUUUGGCAUCUUCGGUACUAACUGAGAAGAAAAUAACUCUAGUACUAGAUAUAUGAAACACCGUUUUCUUAGUCCAUGGUUUGGUCAUUGUAGCGGUGAAAAAAUAAAGUGACAUGCACUACCAUGUAAGAACUCGAACUAUACUAGUUCAAACUUGGGAAUAAAAGACAAACACAGGUCUUGUCUACAUAUUUAUGUUGCAUUUAUCUAAAGAUAACAAAAUGAGUCUAAAAUUUGAAUUAAAUUGAAGUAUUUUCUUGGACUUUCAAAUUGAGUAUUAUUAACGUAGUAAGGACUAUCCUCAUCCUUGGCCUGCCCCUAAUCAAUUAUUUCCAGAGAAGCAUUCAAUUCAUCAAUCAAUUACAUUGAUUUUUGUGGCUGGUACUUCUCCUCAACAUCAGUAUAUUCACCGUGGCUACUCCAAAUCGGCAAGAAUGAGGUACCGGUGCUCUGGAGCAGUGCCAACUAAUUGCUUCUCAUGUGAAGGGGUGCGGGCGCGGGAGAGGUAUUUCUGGUGGGCCAAGGGAGUAAGAAGCCACCGUGGGAGUGGUACAGACGCCCGUAAAGCCCCAUAGUUUCUUUUUGGUUUACAGGAAAAUGCACAUCCAUACCGGCCUGGGGAGUAUAGGACCGUAUUGGAUGGAAAACCAUGUCCGGAUGGUUGCGAGCGGUUUGAGGGUUAGCUUUUGUAACGCCCGGUUAGUUAUGCUAUAGCAAUUCCCUGCUAAUGAUGUCACGUCACCAAGAUUACUGUUGUUAUCCUCACAAUGAUUCAAUGCCAUUCUAAUUCAAAUUUAAAAUAAAGGCAAGCAUCAAAAGUUUUCAAACAUUAAAACUAAAAUCUUUGAGAGGUAACAAAUAAUGCAUAAGUAAUUAUGGUGGAGAAACCACACUUUAAUAAAAUGUUUAAAUACUCUAAAAUGAAAAAAACAGUGGCUUAAACUAUUAUUUAAAUGCUUUUAAAAUAGUAAAAAUGUUCUAACUAAAUUAAUUGGGUACCAACCUUUUGGUGGCAGUGGUAUAUUUAGUAGAACUAAUUUAGAUGCUAGUUAUAUGAUUUAGAAAAUUAGGGUCAAUUGAAAAAUAGGAUAAAACAGAGAAGGAAAGACAAAACAAAUAAAAGCAAAAGGGGGCAACCCCUCACUGGCCUUGGCCUAGCUGGCCACUGGGCUAGCUAGGUCGGCCCCGCCGCCUCCCUUAACCCCCUGUCGGUGUCGAAACCGGUGGAUGGUACCAUGAGUAGAUCUACCACGAGAUCGGAGAGGCUAAACCCUAGAGGCUAGCCUAUGAUAUGAUUGUAUGUGUCCUACGGACUAAAACCCUCCGGUUUAUAUAGACACCGGAGAGGGUUAGGGUUACACAAGGUCGGUUACAAAGGAGGAGAUAUCCAUAUCCGUAUUGCCUAGCUUGCCUGCCACGCCAAGUAGAGUCCCAUCCGGACACGGGACGAAGUCUUCAAUCUUGUAUCUUCAUAGUGCAACAGUCCGAAAAAGGAUAUAGUCCGGCUGUCCGGAGACCCCCUAAUCCAGGACUCCCUCAGUAGCCCCUGAACCAGGCUUCAAUGACGAUGAGUCUGGCGCGCAGUAUUGUCUUCGACAUUGCAAGGCGGGUUCCUCCUCCGAAUGCAUCACAGAAGAAUUUGAAUACGAGGAUAGUGUCCGACCCUGCAACAUAAGUUCCACAUAAUUCCAUACAGAGAAUAAUAUUUUCGCAAAUCUAAUUUGCUUACUUGUUUUGACAGUACGACAUUAUGUCAUGGCCCGGUGAUUAUUCGAACCGUUUCCUUUAACUAGCCCCGCACAUAACGCGAGGCAGUUUUUCGACAUGUCUUGUCAAAGCAGAGAUCGUGUCCCCUUAUUACUGGAUUCUCAUCAAUACGGGCGUGGGUAACCCAACCGCGCCAUCGAUUGCGGCACUUGGGGGAUGAGCUAUUUUUACCUGGCAAGUGGGGACGCUUAGUUUCGUCCGCCCAUAUAAAGGGAUAAGGAUUCACCUUUCUAUCCAUGCCUUCUUCCUCCUUUGCUCAUCCGUUUUUGCACACUCGAGCUCUAGCGCCCAAGUUCGCACUUCCCACCUCAACCUUCUCCAACCAUGUCCCGAGCGGGAGGCAGGUGGAUGGUAUCCUCCGUCACGGAUGGAGACAUCAAGAAGCUGAGGAGCGCCGGAUACCUGCCUGACGACAUCGCGCACCGGCUCCCAGAUGAGGGGCAGCUCACCCCCACCCCCAGGCCCCAUGAGAGGGUAGUGUUCCUCACCCAUUUCCUCCGCGGACUGGGAUUCCCUCUCCACCCAUUUGUCCCGGGGCUCAUGUUCUAUUACGACCUGGAUUUCCAUGAUCUGGCCCCGAACUUCAUCCUCAACAUCUCGGCGUUUAUCGUUGUGUGCGUGGCCUUCCUCCGCAUCAAGCCCCACUUCGGCUUAUGGUUGAAGACCUUUAAUGUCAAGCCGAAGGUUGUGGGCGACCGCCAGGCGGAGUGCGGAGGCGCCAUGGUGGGCAAGAUGCCCAACGUAACAUGGCUCGAGGGCUCUUUUGUGGAAACCAUAAAGGGGUGGCAAUCGGGUGGUUCUACAUCACCGAGCCGCGUGACCCUGCAUGGGCAGCGGCCCCCCGAGUUCUGAUCUGGCAUCCCCACGCGGCUCACCUCCUGGAAAGAGAAGGGCCUGUCCUGGGGUAGUUUGGAAGAGCUGACCAGACUCCAAACAUGUAUUCAAAACAUGGUGAACAAGAAGCUCAAACUCGUCAACGUGGUCCAGGUCAUGCUCCACCGCCGGAUCCUCCCGUGCCAAUAACGGGAGUUCAACUUGUGGGAGUACAACCCAGCGCAGCACCGAACUCUGAACAGGCUUUUCGACACAACUCACGAAGAUGCCUCGAGGGUGCUGUUCAAAAUCACCAAGGUCCCCCUCCCAUUACUGAGGAUCACGGAUUCAGCGUGAAGCGCCAAGCCAGUGCGGCAGGCUGCUUUACCUUUCACAGGCUACUUAUUUUUUAUAGAUUGACUCCAUGCGGGAUCUAAACUCCCGUACCUUUGACAGGACUGGCAGGAGAUGGCCGGACAGAUCGACUGUCCGGCUCCUAUGCCCGAAGGCCCAGCAGACGCUCUUCUAGCGAAGAUGCUGACUUCGGCUCCUUAUACGGUGCCGGAGAAGACCAAGAAGGACAAGGGAACCCGAAAGAGUUCCCGACGCCAGGCGUCGUCGGACUCACCGUCCGAUGACUCUGCGGCGCACUCCUCCCCCGAAGACGAGGAAGAGGAAGAAGACGCUCCCUCUCUGGCUGGGGGAGAUAAGAAAAGGAAGGCCGCCCCAACUGGGGGGGCGGAAGGGUCCAAGAAGGGAAGGAAUCUCCUUCCGGAUAGUUGCACCGCUGCCGACGAAGGCGAAGACGAGGGGUUGCCCAGGGCCAAGCCCCUGGGGAGAUCGUAAGUAUUCAGAUACCAGAGUAACUCAUAGCAUUCCUUUGUCGCACUGCUUUCCCUAACGUCAAACAUAAUUAUGCAGGUCGCCAUGAGCCAGUAUCGAUGUGUGACGCCCGGAUAAUCAUGCUACAGUAAUCCCACGCUAAUCAUGCCACGUCACCUCGGUUACUGUUGCUAAUCUAUCGUUAGGUCAAAGCUGGUCCAAAAUUCAAAUUCAAAGUUUGGUAAAUAAUAACAGUUUUCAAAAAUUAAAACAAAAAUGUUCGGUGAUUGCCGAAUAAUGCAUAGGUAAUUAUGGUGGAGAAACCACACUUUUAUAAAAUGUUUAAAUAAUCUAAAAUGAAUAAAACAGUAGAAAAACCAAAUCUAAAUGCUUUUAUAAAUAAAUAAAACACUAAACUAAAUUGUUUUGGGAUAAAGCCUUUUGUGGCAGUGGGUUUCGUGGUAUUACAAUUUUAGAGUUCAUUUUAAUACUAAGUAAGAAGUAUAAUUAAGAGAAACUAAAAUAAAGAACAGAAAAAAAAGAAUAAAUAAAAGGAAAAGAAAACACAAAACAGAAAAGAAAACUACCAAAAAAAUAUGGUAAAAGGAGACCCCCCCCACUGGACCCCUUGGCCCAACUGGGCCAUGGCCCAGCCGGCCACCCCCNNNNNNNNNNNNNNNNNNNNNNNNNNNNNNNNNNNNNNNNNNNNNNNNNNNNNNNNNNNNNNNNNNNNNNNNNNNNNNNNNNNNNNNNNNNNNNNNNNNNNNNNNNNNNNNNNNNNNNNNNNNNNNNNNNNNNNNNNNNNNNNNNNNNNNNNNNNNNNNNNNNNNNNNNNNNNNNNNNNNNNNNNNNNNNNNNNNNNNNNNNNNNNNNNNNNNNNNNNNNNNNNNNNNNNNNNNNNNNNNNNNNNNNNNNNNNNNNNNNNNNNNNNNNNNNNNNNNNNNNNNNNNNNNNNNNNNNNNNNNNNNNNNNNNNNNNNNNNNNNNNNNNNNNNNNNNNNNNNNNNNNNNNNNNNNNNNNNNNNNNNNNNNNNNNNNNNNNNNNNNNNNNNNNNNNNNNNNNNNNNNNNNNNNNNNNNNNNNNNNNNNNNNNNNNNNNNNNNNNNNNNNNNNNNNNNNNNNNNNNNNNNNNNNNNNNNNNNNNNNNNNNNNNNNNNNNNNNNNNNNNNNNNNNNNNNNNNNNNNNNNNNNNNNNNNNNNNNNNNNNNNNNNNNNNNNNNNNNNNNNNNNNNNNNNNNNNNNNNNNNNNNNNNNNNNNNNNNNNNNNNNNNNNNNNNNNNNNNNNNNNNNNNNNNNNNNNNNNNNNNNNNNNNNNNNNNNNNNNNNNNNNNNNNNNNNNNNNNNNNNNNNNNNNNNNNNNNNNNNNNNNNNNNNNNNNNNNNNNNNNNNNNNNNNNNNNNNNNNNNNNNNNNNNNNNNNNNNNNNNNNNNNNNNNNNNNNNNNNNNNNNNNNNNNNNNNNNNNNNNNNNNNNNNNNNNNNNNNNNNNNNNNNNNNNNNNNNNNNNNNNNNNNNNNNNNNNNNNNNNNNNNNNNNNNNNNNNNNNNNNNNNNNNNNNNNNNNNNNNNNNNNNNNNNNNNNNNNNNNNNNNNNNNNNNNNNNNNNNNNNNNNNNNNNNNNNNNNNNNNNNNNNNNNNNNNNGCCCCUCGGCGCCCGCUCGGCCCUCUCCUGGGUCGGGCGCCCGUAACGCCCAGCGCCCGUAACCCGCUAUGGCCCCCUGGGCAGUUGACAGAUGGGGCCCACGCCCCUGUCUUGUUAGAAAAAAAAACGAAAAGAAAAUGUAAUUAAAAAAAUGAAAAUAAGUAAUUAGUUAUUUAAUUAAUUAUGUAACUAAUUAAUUAAUUAAAUAAGUAAUUACUUAACUUAAUUAACUCCGUUUAGUACUUAAUUAACUUGAUUAGUUAAUUAAAAUUGUUAAUUAGUUGUUAGACUAUGACGAAUGGGACCCACACGUCAGUUUGACCCAGUCAACGCCCUGUUGACUGCUGACGUCAUGCUGACGUCAGCGUACACUAUUCUGGAUAAUGUUAAUUUAAUUAAUAAUUAAUAAAUUAGAAAAUGAUUUAAAAAUUUAAAAAUUAAUAUAAAUUAAACCGUAGCUCAGAUGAAAAAACUUUGUACAUGAAAGUUGCUCAGAACGACGAGACAAAUCUGGAUACACGGCCUGUUUGUUCGUCACGCAUCCCUAGCAUAGCAAACUCGCAACUUUCCCCUCCGGCUCCUCUGCCCGAAAACGCAAAACACCGGGGAUACUUUCCCGGAUGUCAUCCCCCUUCACCGGUAUCACCUAUUACCGCGUUAGGGCACCUCUAACGCCGUUACUUGUCAUGUCAUGCAUCACUAUGCAUAUGCUUGCUUAAAUAUUUAUUAUUUCUUCCCCCUCUUCUCUCGAUAGACACCGAGACCGACGCCGCUGCUACCCAGUACGACUACGCUGUUGACGACCCUCUUUCUUGCCAGAGCAACCAGGCAAGCGCCCCCCUUGAUCACCAGAUAUCGCCUACUCUCUUCUAUACUGCUUGCAUUAGAGUAGUGUAGCAUGUUACUGCUUUCCGUUAUUCCUAUCCUGAUGCAUAGCCUGUCCUUGCUACUACUGUUGUUACCAUUACCUGCUAUCCUACUGCUUAGUAUAGGAUGCUAGUGUUCCAUCAGUGGCCCUACACUCUUGUCCGUCUGCCAUGCUAUACUACUGGGCCGUGAUCACUUCGGGAGGUGAUCAUGGGCAUAUGCUAUAUACUUUACACAGUUACUUUACCUGUGGUACUGUUCGGAGAUGGGGGCUGAAGGGGCAGGUGGUUCCACCCAGGUAGUGGUGGGCCUGGGUUCCCGACGGCCCCCGACUGUUACUUUGUGGCGGAGCGACAGGGCAGGUUCAGACCACCUAGGAGAGAGGUGGGCCUGGCCCUGGUCGGCGUCCGCGGAUACUUAACACACUUAACGAGAUCUGGGUAUUUGAUCUGAGUCUGGCCAUUUGGUCUAUACGCACUAACCAUCUACGCGGGAGUAGUUAUGGGUAUCCCGACGUCGUGGUAUCAGCCGAAGCCUUCGUGACAUCAGCGACUAAGUGGCGCGUGCCGGAUUGGACCGUAAGCCUGCUCUUGUAUUAAGGGGGCUAGUUCUGCUUCCGGCCGCGUUCGCAACGUGCAGGUGUGCAAAGGGCGAUGGGCCCAGACCCCUGCGCCAUAGGAUUUAGACCAGCGUGCUGACCUCUCUGUUGGGCCUAGGUAGGGCUGCGACGUGUUGAUCUUCCGAGGCCGGGCAUGACCCAGAAAAGUGUGUCCGGCCAAAUGGGAUCGAGCGUGUUGGGGUAUGUGGUGCACCCCUGCAGGGAAGUUUAUCUAUUCGAAUAGCCGUGUCCCUCGGUAAAAGGACGACCCGGAGUUGUACUUUGACCUUAUGAUAACUAGAACCGGAUACUUAAUAAAACACACCCUUCCAAGUGCCAGAUACAACCGGUGAUCGCUCUCUCACAGGGCGACGAGGGGAGGAUCAUCGGUUAGGAUUAUGCUAUGCGAUGCUACUUGGAGGACUUCAGUCUACUCUCUUCUACAUGCUGCAAGACGGAGGUUACCAGAAGCGUAGUCUUCGAAAGGACUAGCUAUCCCCCUCUUAUUCCGGCAUUCUGCAGUUCAGUCCACAUAUGAUAGCCUUAUUCCAAUUGAUACCAAUGCAUACAUAUGUAGUGUAGCUCCUUGCUUGCGAGUACUUUGGAUGAGUACUCACGGUUGCUUUCUCCCUCUUUCCCCCCUAUCCCUUCUACCUGGUUGUCGCGACCAGAUGUUGGAGCUCAGGAGCCAGACGCCACCGUUGACGACGACUCCUACUACACCGGUGGUGCCUACUACUACGUGCUGUCCGCUGACGACGACCAGGAGUAGUUUAGGAGGAUCCCAGGCAAGAGGCCUGCGCCUCUUUCGAUCUAUAGCUCAGUUUGUGCUAGCCUUCUUAAGGCAAACUUGUUUAACUUAUGUCUGUACUCAGAUAUUGUUGCUUCCGCUGACUCGUCUAUGAUCGAGCUCUUGUAUUCGAGCCCUCGAGGUCCCUGGCUUGUAAUAUGAUGCUUGUAUGACUUAUUUUAUUUGUAGAGUUGUGUUGUGAUAUCUUUCUGUGAGUCCCUGAUCUUGAUCGUACACGUUUGCGUGUAUGAUUAGUGUACGGUCAAAUCGGGGGCGUCACACGAUGUAUCAUCGGACGGUUCCCUAGGCUCGUCGGACAUGGAUAGCGAUCCAGUCCCGACCCCCACCUCCCCUCAUCCUGCUGACGACGCCGAGGUGCUGUCUCAAGAGGCAUCGGGUCGAGGGGAGACAGUCCUGGAGGCACCUCAAGGCGACCUUCCGGACUCCGGGAGCCGAGGGGACGGGGCCCCUAAGAGCUUCGAGUUCGGCCCUCAGCCGAACACCGCGCUGGAACCUCCAGUGGUUCCGGGCUCGGUCAGGCGGCCUCCUUCUAAGAGGGGCAAGACACCUGUGCCGGUGACCUCUGUCUAUCCAGAGGCGCCGGACAAUCUGCUGGAAGCGCUUCGCAGCGCUUCCAUCGACGAGGAGCACCGCACUAUCAUGAGUGCGGCGAUCCAGAAAGUUUAGUCCGCCAAGAGCGGAUUGACUGAAGCCUGUGCCAGCCUUCUAACAGGCUUUGAGGUAAGUGUUUUAAAAUAUAGGAAAAAUACUACUGCAUAUAUAGUAGCCCCUGAUGCUUUGUUCGGUGUUCAGAAAGAAAAGCCGAACAGAGGAUCAAAUAAUAUCGCAGGACUCUAAUAUAAGUAUGUCAAUAUGCGUAUGCAAGCCUCACUGCUGGCAUCCGCCACACUGACUGCGGAGGUCGCCCUACUGAAGCAGGACCUCGAGAGGUCUAGGAGAGAGCUCGGCCUUGUCAAGAGGCAGCUCGAGGAGAACAAGGGUAAGUAAUACCUUGUCUUUAGAUAUGUAUAUAUAAAAGAAGAAGCGAUUGCAAAAUGACAGGAUCAUCGUACAUUCGCCAGGGGCCACGACCAAGGUGGCAACCCUCAAGCAAGCGCUAACCAAGGCCGAAGAUAACGCGGCCAAGGAGCGCACCGAGUGAGAGAAGCACGAGGCUCGGGUGGGCGAGGUGCAGCAAGAGCUCUAGGCUAUCAUGGUGAAGCACGAGGCAUUGGAGCUUGACUAAAAGACGCGAGAGUCUGAGCUUUCCGCGGCCCUCGAGAGCGCAAAAAGUGCCAAGGCCGAAGCCCAAAGGGGUCUCCAGGCGGGUAUGGCUUUCUAUAUGCAAAGCAAGCAUGUAAAAGUAAAUUACCGAUUACUUACUCGAAUCCGGAGCUCUCCAGGAGCAUUCGCAGAUUUUCCACGCAGCGUGUCCGAUGCCGCACAAUUUUACCAGGCCGAGGAUGGAAGCUCAAUGGAGAAGCUGUUCUGGUAUCAGUAUGCUGAGGCCGGACACCCGGUGCCAAUGAGCGACCAGCUGAAGCAGGUGGUCGAGCUACAUAAGGCGGCCGAUCAGGCCAUGAAGGGCUUUAUAGUCCGGCUGUGGCCUGGCGACGCCCUUCCGAACAGCUUCCUCGGCCUGGUGAGGCGGCUUGUGGAUGCCUGCCCGCGGCUGGAGGUCGUCAAGCGAUCUGUCUACAUUGAGGGUGCACGCCGGGCUUUCGCCCGUGUGAAAUUGCAGUGGGUCAAGCUAGACGCCGUGAAGCUGAUCAAGGAGGGGCCGCCGGAGGGCAAGGAGCACCGCCACCCCGAGAUGUACUACGAGGGUGUUCUGCUGGGUGCCCGUCUCAUAGCGGACGAGUGUUCAAAAGAUGUAAUAUUUGAGUGAGACUUGCUCGUUUUAUCCUGUAUUUAUGAAAACUUGUUUCAUAUGCACUAUGCAACGCUUGUUUGAAUUUAGAAUAUUACCUUCUGUUUGGCCGUUUAUCAAUCUGAGAGAUGGCUAGUCCUCAGCUUCUGCCCCCAUGCCACGAGUGCUGGGGUCUUCGGGAUAAACCUGAGCACUCUUGUUCCCAUAUUUGGGUCCUUGGAGGGAGGUGCUCAGCACAACGAACAAGGAAACCCGACUAAUAAUGCUUUAUCACUCUCACUUAGCGAUAGAAUUCUAUAAUUUUAAAUUUCGGCGAAGCCCCUGGUAUUCGGAAGGCCGAAUUCGGGGCGCGAUACACGCCUUUAAGCCGGACAGGGCCGGCCCCUCGCCCUAAGCGGCAUAAGUCUUUGGGGACUCGAUAACCUCGCCGAACAGCGAUCAGUCUCUCCCCUUAUCAUGACAGUCAGUUUUAGCUUUCUCUACUUAGGUGCCGAACCCAGCAAAACCGGGGCACAAUCGCAGUAGUUCUCCUAGCGCUACCUUAGCCGAUAGAGUGGAACGUAAGGUACCAAAACAUAGGAGCCGGGCAAACCCAACAUUUGACCAAAGACAUGAUUCGGAGCUGAUGCAUAUAAUGCUAUAAGUUUGGGGUGCCGCACUUGUGAAAGUGUUCGGACUUUUCACACCGUAUUGUGGGGUACGUAAGCCCCUGGUGUAUUGGCCGUACCAAAGUGUACGGUUGCAAGGCAUCAUUAAUGAACAUAUAUAUAUAUAUAUAUAUAUAUAUAUAACAAGAGUGCAAUAAUAGUCGUAAUGUCAUGCAUUGUUUAUUCAAAAAAUUACGUUAAAGUAGGGUGAUACAGAUAGUGUGAUAAGCAAAGAGUAGGACUAUGUCCCUUCCCAAGGCAAGCUAAGGAAUGAUAUUAAAUUGAAUAUUUCGCUCGUUACAGUAAUCCACCUAGGAAUUCCGUGGUGUGACGUAGCUAUCUGCCUCCUUGGUUGCUGCAUCGUGUGUUCGGCAAUAGUGCUGCCGGACAGUGUUUCCAGAGGUUAAUGUCCUGAAAAAAAGAGAAAAAUAACCAAACGGGAAGCCCCUAGUGCGGUUUAAGCCGCGUCUUGGGGCGUGCUGCAGUUGUGCCACCCUCCCCACCUGUGCCCAUGGUAUUUUUAAUGCGUAAUUAUGUACGCGUGGCAUGAGUUUCGUCGUUGGGCUGGGAUUGGGGUGGCCGCCUUAUUGCUACGCGAGCUCAGAUCGCGCAAGGCGGUCUAUUUGCCGAUUGCUCCGAGCGCGCUUGAAGGUGUCCGGGCUUUGAAGCGCCGGACUGGUUGAUUGCCUUGAGAGGCUGCUUUGCGCUUCUGCUGCGAGGGCCGCGGUGUGCUCCUCUGUUCGGAGAGAGCACUCUGUGUUUCCAUUGACUGUAAUAACUCCGCGAGGUCCUGACAUCUUGAGCUUGAGGUAUGCAUAGUGCGGUACCGCAUUGAAUCUAGCAAAUGCGGUUCGCUCGAGCAGCGCGUGGUAACCACUGCGGAAUGGGACUAUAUCGAAGAUUAGCUCUUCGCUUCGGAAGUUAUCCGGGGAUCCGAAGACCACUUCCAGUGUAAUUGAGCCUGUGCAAUGGGCCUCUACACCUGGAAUGAGGCCUUUAAAGGUCGUUUUUGUGGGUUUGAUCCUUGAGGGGUCUAUACCCAUUUUGCGCACUAUAUCCUGAUAAAGUAGGUUCAGGCUGCUGCCGCCAUCCAUAAGGACUCGAGUGAGGUGAAAUCCGUCAAUGAUUGGGUCUAGGACUAGUGCGGAAAAUCUACCAUGAUGGAUACUAGUGGGGUGGUCCCUUCGAUCGAAGGUGAUCGGAUAGGAGGACCAAGGGUUGAACUUUGGGGUGACUGGCUCGAACGCAUAUACGUCCAUGAGCGCACGCUUCCGCUCCCUCUUAGGGAUGUGGGUUGCGUAUAUCAUGUUCACCGUCUGCAGUUGCGGGGGAAACCUCUUCUGUCCUUCGAUGUGCGGCUGCCGGGGCUCCUCCUCGUCAUCGCUAUGCGGCCCCUUGUCCUUCUUUUCGGCAAUUAACUUGCGGGCCUGCUUGAACACCCAACAAUCCCUGUUGGUGUGAUUGGCUGGCUUGUCUAGGGUGCCGUGUAUUUGACACGAGCGAUCGAGUAUACGUUCCAAGCUGGAUGGACCUGGCGUACUUUGUUUGAAUGGCUUUUUCCGCUGACCGGGUUUAGAGCCUUUGAAUCCGGCAUUGACUGCCGUAUCCUCGGUAUUUUCGCUGUUAAUGCGGCGGUUAUGUUUGUUGUGACAUGACCUGCUAUUGCCAUCCUUGGUAUCGGAGGUACCAUGGUUCUUUGAUAUGUUAUUACUACGGGCCAGCCAGCUGUCUUCUCCCGCACAAAAGCGGGUCAUGAGCGUCGUGAGAGCUGCCAUAGAUUUCGGCUUUUCCUGACCAAGGUGCCAGGCUAGCCACUCGUCUCGGAUGUUGUGUCUGAAAGCCGCUAAGGCCUCUGCAUCCGGACAGUCGACGAUUUGAUUUUUCUUUGUGAGGAACCAAGUCCAGAAUUGCCUAGCCGACUCUUCUGGCUGCUGAAUUAUGUGGCUCAAGUCAUCGGCGUCUAGUGGUCGCACAUAAGUGCCCUGAAAGUUGUUGAGGAAUGCGGCUUCCAGAUCUUCCCAACAGCUAAUGGAGUCCGCUGGCAAGCUGUUAAGCCAAUGCCGCGCUGGUCCUUUGAGCUUUAGUGGAAGAUAUUUGAUGGCGUGUAAGUCAUCACCGUGGGCCAUGUGGAUGUGGAGGAGGAAAUCCUCGAUCGAUACUGCAGGAUCUGUUGUGCCGUCGUAUGAUUCAAUAUUUACAGGUUUGAAACCUUCUGGGAAUUGAUGAUCCAUUACUUCGUCUCUGAAGCAUAAGGGGUGUGCGGCGCCUCUGUAGUGGGCUAUAUCGCGACGCAGCUCGAAUGGGUCUUGCCCGCUGUGUUCGGCCCGGCCGGAUUUGCUUUUACUGUAUCCGGCGUGACAUUUAUCGUCUCGCAGAGUUGUGCGCCCUCGUGAUCCGUAGAUCGAUCUUGCAUGCUUUGCUUUGUCCUCCAAUAUAUCUCGCAGGUCUGGCGUAUCUCCCCAUGCCUUUUUAUUUGAAUGGCGUCGGGGUGGAGGCUGAGUUUUUGGCUGGACUGCCUCUCUAUCGCGGCCACGAGGUGGCCGAUCCGGGCAGUAACCUGCACUUUGGGUAAUUCUUGGAGGGGUGCUUGAGUUUAUAUUCCUCGGCCGCGAGGACUUCAGUCCAUCUGUUAGUUAAGAGAUCUUGAUCAGCUUGAAGCUGCUGCUGCUUUUUCUUUAGGCUAUUUUCCGUGGCCAUAAGCCGGUGCUUGAAGCGCUCUUGUUCGAUGGGAUCCUCUGGUACAUCGAAUUCAUCAUCGCCGAGGCUUGCCUCGUCUUCGGAGGCGGGCGUGUAAUUGUCAUCCUCCUCCUCUCCGUCUGCCGCUCUUUCAGGAGGGUUGGCUCCUCCAUCCUCCUGCUCUAAAUCUUGCUGGAGGGGAUUAUUGUUGUCUUCGGCACUAUCCGGAGUGUUAUUAUCUCCUGUGCCGGUAUCACCACUUUUGCUUUGGCGGGACUUAGAGCGGCGCCGCUGACAUCGGCGCUUGGGUUGCUUCUUGGAGAGGUCAUCCUCCGUUAUCUCGUCGCCAUUGCCUUCUUUGGGUGUAUCCACCAUGUAUAUGUCGUAUGAUGAUGUGGCUUUCGAGUGCCCUAUGGGCGCUGGUUCAUGUUCAUCUCCUACAUCGUCGUCCAUACCAUCGAUGUCUUCGGAGUCGAAGUCGAGCAUGUCGGUUAAAUUAUCGACAGUGGCUACGAAGUGGGUGGUGGGUGGGCAUCGAAUUUCUUCGUCGUCCGCCUCCCAAUCCUGUUGGCCAUAGUCCGGCCAGGGCUCUCCUGACAAAGAGAGAGACUUUAGUGAAUUCAGAAUGUCACCGAAGGACGAGUGCUGCAAGAUAUCAGCGGCGGCGAAUUCCAUGAUCGGCGCCCAGUCGGAUUCAAUUGGCAGGGGCGCGGACGGUUCGGAGUCCGGAAAAGAGUCCGGCACCUUGGAGUCACGGGCUUUGCAGAGGAUUAGGCUGGUGUUCAACUCGAUCACCGUUGAGACUGCAGCCCCUGAGGCGGUGUCUAGCCACCCGUCCUCGACUGGCGCAGUUGGCUCCGAGCUAAGGGUCAGAGCUGAUGCGGGCGCGGCCUCUGGGGUACUGUCCGGUGGUAGAGCUAGGUCAUACCCAUCGUGACAGUGCAGCGCGCCCGGCUGUGGCUUGAAUCCGUCGAAGAUCAAGUCUCCGAGGAUGUCGGCCGUGUAGUUCAAACUUCCAAAUCUGACCUGAUGGCCAGGGGUGUAGCUUUCAAUCUGCUCCAGAUGGCCAAGCGAAUUAGCCCGUAGUGCAAAGCCGCCGAACACUGGACCGCAUCGUUGUUCAUGAUCGGAGGAGCCAUCGGGCCUAAAGGUGACGACACCGAGGAAAUCUCAAUGGAAGCACCAAUGUCGGUGUCAAAUCCGGCGGAUCUCGGGUAGGGGGUCCCGAACUGUGCGUCUAGGCCGGAUGGUAACAGGAGGCAGGGGACACAAUGUUUUACCCAGGUUCGGGCCCUCUUGAUGGACGUAAAACCCUAUGUCCUUCUUGAUUAAUAUUGAUGAUAUGUGUAGUACAAGAGUAGAUCUACCACGAGAUCAGAGAGGCUAAACCCUAGAAGCUAGCCUAUGGUAUGAUUGUAUACGUCCUACGGACUAAAACCCUCCAGUUUAUAUAAACACCGGAGAGGGUUAGAGUUACACAAGGUCGGUUGCAAAGGAGGAGAUAUCCAUAUCCGUAUUGCCUAGCUUGCCUUCCACGCCAAGUAGAGUCCCAUCCGGACACGGGACGGAGUCUUCAAUCUUGUAUCUUUAUAGUCCAACAGUCCGGCUGUCCGGAGACCCCCUAAUCCAGGACUCCCUCACCCCCACUCCCUAUCGAACCCUAGCCCAAUCGCCCCACCUCCCCCACACCCCCUCGCCAGCCUCCCCACCUCUUGAUCCCAUCUGGAUCGGGGAGGGGAUCACCCCCAUCGACCCCGUCGCCGUCGCCGGAUCGCCCGUCAGCGUCGCCAGGCCUCCUCCCCGCCGCCCGUCUCCGGCUCGCCUCCCCUCUCGCUCCUCUUUCCCGACCCGAUCAGGAUCGUGAACGAGCAAUGAGCGCGACGCCCCCCCUUCAUCGGCGCCAUCACCGUGCGCCACCACCACCGCCUGAAGACCUCGCCGUCGCUGACCUUGUGUCGUCUCCUGGUAUCCCUUCCCGACUCGCGUCCUCAAGCCAGGCCGACCCCCUUCUCGGCAAUGCUGUGAGACGCCCCCCGUUUCCCUCCUCUUUCCACCGUGUUCACCGCGCCGCCUGACGAAGCUACGUACCUAGGGUAGGGGCAUGGACCUGUCCUAAGAGCCCUACCCAAGGACAUCCCUGGAAGAAGUCACCUUUCAAUCGACUUGAAGGUACCCACUCGACGGGUUUAAGACACUCGACCAAGAAGCUACCACUCGACAUGAAGCCAAUCACUCGACUGCCAGGAGAUCUAAAGUCAUUCCACGGGCAAACGGUCGGCUAUUAAGUAGUCUUUAUGGUCAUUAUAGCACUUUAUUACCAGCAUUACCAGUAACGCCCCGCCUUAAUGUACAUUGAACCCUUGGUAACGUAGGCUGGCCGGGGUCCUGGCGCGCUCUAUAUAAGUCACCCCCUCCUCCGAGACAAGGGUUCGCACCUCUAUUGUUCACAUGCCUAUAAUCCAAUCGACCGCCUCCGGGCACUGAGACGUAGGGCUGUUACUUCCUCCGCGAAGGGCCUGAACUCGUACACCUUGGUGUGUUUACAACUUCCCAAUAGCUGAGAUCUAGCCUCUCCAUACACACCCCCCUACAUCACUGUCAGAGUUAGAACCACAAUAGUUGGCGCCCACCGCGGGGCCAGAAUCUUAGCGCUUACUUGGAGAAGUUGCGAUUCUUCUGAUCCCUUUGAUCAUGGUUUCAUGCGGAGUUUUGGUGGAGGGGCGCGAGAUCCGUCUCGGCGCGCUCACAUUCAUCGCCGACGACUCCGCUUGGUUUCAGGAGGCUCCACUCGACAUCGACGUGCUCCCCGUCCGUGGUGCGACGCACUUCCGCGCAUGCGUUCGUGGCGUCCUCCUGCGGCAGCCGUCGACCCAGUAUCGGUCGGCCCUCGUGUCGUCUCCCCGCUCUGUCUCCCUCCGACGCAAGCGCUUUGGUAGGUCGAGACUUUAGAGGUGGGUGAGGCAUGCCGUGGCUCGCCAGUCGGCCGCCCCACAAGUCGCGGCAAUCGAGCCCGACAAAUCCCUCUGCAGCCUGUUCGACUGGCUCCGCGGAGACUUCAUCCGAGUGUGACAGCAGAGACCCAGCGGCUGAGGUUCUGGCGGUCGAUGGGACACACUGUCCUCCCGGUUUCCCUCGCGCUAAUGGAGGCGCGGGUGGGGGCGACCCGUCGCAUCCCCACGAUGAGUAUCUCCCCGAAUGUCUCACGGCAUCGCAGCGAGAGGAACUUCACCGCCGGAACAUAGACGCACUCCACACUCCUAUCGUCGGAGAAACCCCCGAGGCCCGGGCCUUGGAGGACGCGCGCUUGGCUAACUUGGCUGAGCGCACUCGACUGGAGAAUCUCCAGCUAAUACUCGAUGAGCAAGCGCGCCAGUGAGCUCCCGAGUCCAGUCGACGUCAGCUCUUUCCGCCGAUGCAGGUAUAUUGAACCCUAGUUCAGAAUUUGGCCGCCGCGGCCCGUAUAGCAGAGUCAAUUCAGCCCUCCCAGUCAGAGGCUGGCAGGGGCUUGUUGCAGAUCAGAGCAUUGCUCCGGGCGGCGGGGAACCAGAAUUCCGCUGUUUCUCAGUCGCAGAAUAGGAUCCACAGUCGAUCCGUUGCAACAGAUACAGUCCAGUCGGCUCACAGCCCGAGAUCGCCCCCGAGGCGUGAGGGACAUGGAGACCGGCACGAUCAGUACAGAAGAAAUGAGCAGUAUGAUCACCGAUUCGAUCGUGAGGAUCGACGUCGAGUGCCAACCCCUCCCCCGAGGAGUGGGUCAUAUGCGCCUCGAUAGCGAGAUGACAGGCGCCCUCAUAGUGUUGGGCAGAGGAUUCCAGUCGACCCCAGGGACCCAGGCUUUGAUGCGAGAUCCAUCCUUGAUCAAGGUCUGGUUGACAGGAACGGGGCUCACCGAGAAUGCCAGGACAGAGAUGCGCCUGCCAGCAGCAGAGUGCGUGUUUCAGGGACAGAGUGUUUCAGUCGAGCCAUCAGAGCCACAGUGAUUCCUCCCAACUUCAGGUUGGCGACUGGAGUCAGCUAGUUCACCGGUGAGUCUAAGCCUGACACUUGGCUCGAAGAUUACCGAGUGGCUGUACAGAUUGGCAGUGGCAAUGAUGAGGUGGACAUGAAGCAUUUGCCUCUCAUGUUAGAGGGCUCAGCCAGAGCAUGGCUAAAUCAGUUAGUGCCCAGCAGCAUUUACACUUGGGAGGACCUCUCCCGAGUGUUUGUCACAACCUUUGAGGGAACAUGCAAGCGACCUGCAGGCCUUACAGAGUUGCGGUCUUGCACGCAGAAACCGAAUGAAACGCUGAGGGAUUACAUCCAGAGGUGGAUCACAUUGCAUCACACAGUUGAGAAUGUUCCAGAUCAUCAAGCAGUUUGUGCCUUCAAAGAAGGCGUUAAGUACAGAGAAUUGAAUCUGAAGUUCGGUCGAACUGGAGAGAUGUCUCUGAAUCGGAUGAUGGAGAUUGCCACCAAAUACGCUAAUGGUGAAGACGAAGAUCGCCUCCGGAGUGGCAAGCGCAAGGCAGUCGCCCAAGAAACCGGAGGAAACUCCAGUCAGAAACAGAAGCGGAAGGCUGAGCCAGCCGCCCCUGGGGAGGCCCUGGCCGUAACCCAGGGAAAUUUCAAGGGAAAACCCAAGGGCCCCUGGAAGCCCAAGAAAGUCAAGGAUCAAGAUGGAAAUGAUGUUUUGGAUCUGCCAUGUCACUCCACACCAAGAAAGAUGAAGAGGGUAAUUUUAUUUACCCAAAGCAUACCACUCGACAGUGCCAGCUCCUGAUCCAGCAGUUUCAGGGCAAGCAACCCAAAGAUAAGGAAAAAGAGCCAGACAGAGUUGAGGACAAGGAUGAUAGUGACGAUGGAUACCCCCAAGUCAAUUCCACCCUGAUGAUUUUUGCUGAUGUCGAAAGCAAAAGUCGACUGAAAGUCAUUAAUCGUGAAGUGAAUAUGGUUGCUCCGGCAACACCUAGUUAUCUGAAGUGGUCUCAGGCUGCCAUAACAUUCGACCAGUCUGAUCACCCUACGCACAUUGCCACCCCUGGGAGGCAAGCUUUGGUGGUCGACCCAGUUGUCGAAGGCACUCGACUGACCAAAGUCCUGAUGGAUGGUGGCAGUGGCCUGAACAUACUGUAUGCUAAAACAUUGAAAGGGAUGGGCAUUCCGAUGUCCGGGCUCAGUACCAGCAACAUGAGCUUCCACGGAGUCAUUCCCGGGAAGUAAGCCGAAUCACUCGGCCAGAUUGCUCUUGAUGUGGUUUUCGGUGAUUCAAAGACUUACCGCAAGGAAAAGUUGACAUUCGAGGUUGUGGACUUCCAAAGUGCUUAUCAUGCCAUUUUGGGCAGACCAGCUUAUGCACGCUUCAUGGCCUGACCAUGUUAUGUGUAUCUCAAAUUGAAGAUGCCUGGUCCUAAAGGUGUGAUCACUGUUACAGGCAAUCGGAAGAAGGCAGAAGAGUGUUUUCAGAAAGGCUCAAAGAUUGCUGACGCUCAGAUGGCAGUGGUUGAGCUGCAAGAGUAUCAGAAGACUGCAGAUCCGAGUGAGUUGCUACGAGCUAAGAAGCCCACUUCGGAGUCAGCUUUUCAGUAGUCUGGUGAAAUGAAGGCAGUUCACAUUCACCCGACCAACCCCGAGGCUGCCCCGACUCACAUCUCAAAGACGCUCGACUCCAAAUAGGAAGAAGUGCUCAUCCAGUUCCUCCGUGAGAACUGGGACAUCUUCGCAUGGAAGCCUUCUGACAUGCCUGGAAUAACCAGGGGGCUGGCUGAGCACCGUCUACGAGUCGACCCAAAGUUCAAGCCUAUGAAAGAACAUCUUCGACGGUCCGCCGUCCAAAAGAGGAAAGCUAUUGGCGAGGAGGUGGCUCGGCUCUUAGCAGCAGAGUUCAUCCGAGAGAUGUACCACUCUGAGUGGCUCGCCAAUGUUGUCAUGGUCCCCAAGAAGGACAAGUCGCUUCGCAUAUGCAUCGACUUUAAACAUAUCAAUCGGGCCUGCCCGAAAGAUCAUUUUCCUCUCCCUCGCAUCGACCAAAUAGUCGACUUGACCGCGGGGUGUGAGCGAUUGUCUUUUCUAGACGGCUAUUCCGGGUACCAUCAGAUCCGUCUGUAUGGACCCGAUGAGAUCAAAACAGCUUUCAUCACUCCAUUCGGGUGCUUCCGUUAUGUCACCAUGCCCUUCGGCCUCAAGAACGCUGGAGCCACGUUCAUGAGGAUGAUUCAGAAGUGUUUGCUCACUCAAAUCAGUCGGAACGUGGAAGCAUACAUGGAUGAUAUUGUGGUCAAGUCGCGGAAAGGUUCCGACCUGCUGACUGACCUUGCUGCAACCUUUGCCAACCUUAGGAGGUAUGAUAUCAAGCUUAAUCCAUCAAACUGCACAUUCGGAGUUCCGGGUGGAAAGUUACUCGGUUUUCUCGUUUCCGAAUGAGGAAUCAACGCCAAUCCCGAGAAAGUUGGCACCAUACUCCGGAUGAAGCGCCCUGUGCGUGUGCACGAUGUCCAGAAGCUUAUGGGUUGCUUGGCCGCUCUAAGUCGAUUCAUUUCUCGUCUCAGUGAAAAGGCAUUGCCUCUUUACCGACUGAUGAAGAAGUCUGACAAGUUCGAGUGGACUCCAGAAGCUGAUGCAGCGUUUGCAGACCUCAAAGCUCUGCUCUCCACCCAGCCGGUGCUUGCUGCCCCAAUCAGUAAAGAGCCUUUGCUGCUUUACAUUGCAGCCACAGGACAAGUUGUCAGUACAGUACUUAUGGUCGAGCGGGAAGAUGAAGGAUAGGCCUUCAGAGUUCAACGCCCAGUAUAUUAUGUGUCUGAAGUUUUGACACCUUCAAAACAAAGAUAUCCUCAUUAUCAGAAGCUUGUAUACGGGAUUUAUAUGACCACGAAGAAGGUUGCACAUUACUUCUCUGACCACUCCAUUACAGUCGUCAGCGACGCCCCACUGUCAGAGAUUCUGCAUAACAGAGAUGCAACUGGUCGAGUGGCGAAGUGGGCGAUUGAACUCCUUCCCCUAGAUAUCAAGUUUGAAGCAAAUAAGGCUAUCAAGUCCCAAGCAAUUGCAGAUUUCAUCACCGAGUGGAUCGAACAGCAGCUUCCGACUCAAGUUCACCCGGAGCACUGGACCAUGUUCUUCGAUGGAUCUAAGAUGCUGAAUGGUUCCGGUGCUGGGGUAGUAUUGGUCUCCCCCCGAGGAGAUAAGCUCAGAUAUGUUCUCCAGAUUCACUUUGAUUCCUCCAAUAAUGAAGCAGAAUAUGAAGCACUUUUGUAUGGGUUGCGCAUGGCCAUUUCACUUGGCGUCCGUCGCCUCAUGGUCUAUGGCGACUCAGAUUUGGUGGUUAAUCAGGCGAUGAAGGAGUGAGACGUCAGAAGUCCGGCAAUGACUGGUUAUUGCAAUGUAGUGAGAAAGCUAGAAAAGAAAUUCGAGGGGUUAGAGCUUCAUCACAUCCCCCGACUGAAAAAUCAGGUAGCUGACGAUUUGGCAAAGAUAGGCCCCAAGAGAGAAGCCAUUCCCAGCAACGUGUUCCUGGAACACAUUCAUUCGCCAUCAGUCCAAGAAGAUCCUUUUACAGAAGAAGCCCCGCAGCCGAAAAGUGCCACAGAUCCGACUGAAGUCGAAGUCCCUGCUGUGGUCGACCUAAUCAUGGAAGUCUUCGCAAUCACUCCCGACUGGACGAUACCGUACAUCGCGUAUAUCCUAAGGAAAGAACUCCCGGAGGACGAGGAAGAGGCUCGACAGAUCGUCCGCCGAUCCAAAGCCUUCACAGUCACAAGGGGACAGUUGUAUAGAGAAAGCGCGACUGGGAUCGGUCAGAAGUGCAUAACACUAGAAGAGGUUCAGAUAAUCCUUGACGACAUCCACUCGCGGACCUGUGGUCACCAUGCGUCUUCUCGGACCAUUGUGGCUAAAGCAUACCGAGCGGGAUUUUACUGGCCAAGAGCAAAUGAGAUGGCAAAAGAGAUAGUCGACCAGUGUGGAGGGUGCUAGUUCUACUCCAACAUGUCACACAAGCCUGCGUCAGCCCUGAAGACCAUUCCACUCGUCUGGCCCUUUGCUGUCUGGGGACUGGACAUGGUUGGUCCACUAAGAACAGGCAGGAGCGGUUUCACUCAUGUGCUUGUGGUAGUCGACAAGUUUACCAAAUGGAUUGAGGCUAAGCGCAUCAAGAAUCUUGAUGCUUGCACUACUAUCAGUUUCGUCAGAGGGCUAACAUUCAGAUAUGGAGUCCCGCAUAGCAUCAUCACUGACAAUGGGUCAAACUUUGAUUCGGACAAGUUCAGAGCUUUUUGCGCCUCUCAAGGCACACGAGUCGACUACGCAUCGGUCGCCCAUCCCCAGUCGAAUGGACAAGCAGAGAGAGCAAAUGGUUUGAUUCUCAAAGGACUAAAGCCUCGACUGAUGCGCGAUCUCAAGCACGCGGCAGGUGCUUAGGUCGACGAGCUUCCGUCAGUUCUGUGGGGAUUGAGGACCACCCCGAACCGGUCGACUGGAGGAACUCCAUUCUUUCUGGUUUAUGGAGCCGAGGCAGUUCUGCCGAGUGAUCUUCUUCACAACGCACCCCGAGUCGAACUUUAUACCGAAGAUGAAGCAGAACAAGCCCGGCAAGACGCAGUCGACCUACUAGAAGAAGAGAGGGAGAUGGCCAUGAUCAGAUCGACCAUUUAUCAGCAAGACUUGCGUCGAUUCCACGCUAGGAAUGUGAAGAGUCGAGCCUUCCAAGAAGGAGAUUUGGUCCUCCUAGUGGAUCAACAGAAACCACACAAGCUUGCUCCUACUUGGGAAGGCCCCUUCAUCGUCACCAGAGUCCUCCACAAUGGAGCGUAUCACCUCUACAAUGUUGAUCGCCAGAUCGAUGAGCCGCGAGCUUGGAAUGCGGAACUGCUCCGCCCCUUUUACACUUGAGUUCUCCCUUGGACGAGAUGUAAUAAGAAAAAAUUUCUGCAGUUCAUUUUUAUCAAAGGCAAGAGUGUUCCAAUAAUUGCUGUCACUUUUGUUUGCAUACGAAAUCCCCCAGUGGGUGACUUAGCUGCGAAUCCGUUUCGCCUAAGUUUGAAAAAUCCUACCGAGUGGAGAGCCAGAUUCCCACUCGGGGGCUUAGCUCCAGCCCAGUGCUUGCCUAAGUGUUCAAAAAUCCUACCAAGUGAGAGCAAUCCUCCCACUUGGGGGCUUAGCUGCAGUCCAGUACUCGCCUAAGUUCUCCCACUUAGAGACUUAGCUGCAGUCAGGCACUCGCCUAAGUUUGAAAAAAUCCUACCGAGUGGAGAGCAAUCCUCCCACUCGAGGGCUUAGCUGCAGUCCAGUACUCGCCUAAGUUCUCCCACUUAGAGACUUAGCUACAGUCAGGCACUCGCCUAAGUUUGAAAAAAUCCUACCGAGUGGAGAGCAACCCUCCGACUCGGGGGCUUAGCUGCAGUCCAGUACUCACCAAAGUUCUCCCACUUAGAGACUUAGCUANNNNNNNNNNNNNNNNNNNNNNNNNNNNNNNNNNNNNNNNNNNNNNNNNNNNNNNNNNNNNNNNNNNNNNNNNNNNNNNNNNNNNNNNNNNNNNNNNNNNNNNNNNNNNNNNNNNNNNNNNNNNNNNNNNNNNNNNNNNNNNNNNNNNNNNNNNNNNNNNNNNNNNNNNNNNNNNNNNNNNNNNNNNNNNNNNNNNNNNNNNNNNNNNNNNNNCUCUCCUUCCGAGCUACGCCACAAGUACAACAUGCGCUCUGCAAGGAGGACGAGGUGCAGGUCGACUGCUACCCUCUCCUUCCGAGCUACGCCACCAAUUCAAAAUCCUACUGAGUGGAGAGCAAACCUCCCACUCGGGGGCUUAGCUGCAGCCCAGUGCUCGCCUAAGUAUUUGAAAUCCUACCGAGUGGAGAGCAAACCUCCCACUCAGGGGCUUAGCUGCAGCNNNNNNNNNNNNNNNNNNNNNNNNNNNNNNNNNNNNNNNNNNNNNNNNNNNNNNNNNNNNNNNNNNNNNNNNNNNNNNNNAAAUCCUACCGAGUGGAGAGCAAACCUCCCACUCGGGGGCUUAGCUACAGCCCAGUGCUCGCCUAAGUAUUUAAAAAUCCUACCGAGUGGAGAGGAAACCUCCCACUCGGGGGCUUAGCUGCAGCCCAGUGCUCGCCUAUGUGUUUAGAAAUCCUACCGAGUGGAGAGCAAACCUCCCACUCGGGGGCUUAGCUGCAGCCCAGUGCUCGCCUAAGUGUUUAGAAAUCCUACCGAGUGGAGAGCAAACCUCCCACUCGGGGGCUUAGCUGCAGCCCAGUGCUCGCCUAAGUGUUUAGAAAUCCUACCGAGUGGAGAGCAAACCUCCCACUCGGGGGCUUAGCUGCAGCCCAGUGGUCGCCUAAGUGUUUAAAAAUCCUACCGAGUGGAGAGCCAGACUCCCACUCGGGGGCUUAGCUGCAGCCUAGCGCUCGCCUAAGUGUUUAAAAAUCCUACCGAGUGAGAGCAAACCCCUCACUCGGAGGGCUUAGCUGCAGCCCGGUGCUCACCUAAGUACAGGACACAACCCAAUCCGCAAGAAGUUACGCCACAAAUACAAGGUUAUUCCGAGUGAAGAUCAAGUUGCACUCGACAGAUCAAACCAUGAAGAUAUCCAACGAGAAAUCAAGUUCGGAUAAAGCCUAAAGGUCCCAGACCUCAGAUCAAAGUACUCGAGCCCUCGGCUCGGCAGAGUUUAACGGUUACAAAUCCACUCAGCAUUCCGAGGCAAAUUUAAAGUGAAGCACGACGAACUCGUCCAAGUCGAUCCCGUCUGCAAUACGAGUGGCAGCAGCGAUGAAAGUCUCCAUGAAGUCUUGAAAGCUGUGCUUCCUGGUAUUGGCAACUUGGAUGGCGGCCGGCUUUUCUUCUCGCGCCUCCUUGCAAUGGACGCGGACCAGAGACAGAGCGACAUCAGCACCACAUCUAGCAGAAGAUUUCUUCCAUUCCGCCACUCAACCCGGGACUUCAUUCUGUCGAGCCAUCAGAGACUCGAGGUCGUUCUGAAGCAUCAUCCCAGGCCAGAGUGAUGUGUCAAUCCGCGACAUCGCAACCUUCAGUCGAGCAAGAUAGUCAACAACACUGGUAACACGAGACUCCAGUCGGAGCACGUUCAUAGCAGCUUCAUCCUUCACGAGAGAAUUGGCGGGGUCCAAGCCUGGCUCCACUCGACUGGUUUCCUCUUCGAAGUUCUGGCAGAAUUCUGCAAACACGAUUCAAGAGUCAGACAUUGGCUCUACACAGGCUUGGCAACUGCAAGACAGUCGGGGCAGAGUAAUUACCUUCGAGCAUGACGAACAGCUUCUUGGUGAGUCCACCGAGAUAAGCCUCCAGAUCAUUUACCUUCCCCGCCAGCUUACCCGCCUGGUCGUGUAGAACCAUCUUUUCAUUCUUCAGUCGGCUGACCUCUUGAUUAGCUGUCUCGAGAGCAGUUUUCAGCCUCGAGUUCUCCUGUUCAAGAGUUCCGACCGAAGCCAUUUUCUCUUCUCCAAGCUUCGUUCUGCUCAAGGCCUCCUUCUGUGAUUCUGCAAGAUCUUGAUCCUUCUUCUUCAGAGCUUCUUCCAGUUUAUCUGCGGCACGUCGAGUGAAAUCAACAUCAAGAAUGGACAAGCAAGAAAAAUCACUCGUCAAGAAUGGAGAACCUCACCAGCCAUACCUUUUGCUUCUUCUUGCGCCUUCCUCAAAUUCUCUUGAGCAAGCUUCAAGUUAAGGUUGAGCUGGAUCUGCUUAUUCUCCAACUCAGUAUAGCGAGCUACAAGUUCACAGGAUUUCUGCAAAAAGAAAAAUCAGUGGACAGACGUCCAAGAUAAGUUGCUUCCCAAUAACUAAAAGACAACGAUGGCGUUUCUAAGACUAUAGCCGAAUCUAAAACAUUCGACAGUAGUCUCGGGGACUACACCCAGUGGGUGCACUCUGCGUGCCCCCAUUGUAAAAAAAGUCGACUGCCCGCAGUCGACCGGAUACAGUUCCAUUCGACAUGGCCUGACCAGACCGAAUGAAGAAAUACAGCUACAACAACACAAUAUAAAGACUACAGUCGACUGCCAGCAGUCCACCAUAGUCUCGGGGACUACACCCAGUGGGUGCACUUAGCGUUCCCCCACUCGUCCAAGAAUUGGCAGACACACCCAGUGGGUGUACAGAUAUAAAGAUCUUCAAAAAAAAAGAUUCUUCAAACAGCAUAUCGUAACAGACCAAGUGUUGAGUCGACUGACCUGGACGUUACUCUGAAGAGCCGAACUCGCGUCAUAAGCCGCUUGGCUGGCCUCCCAAGCCGCUUUCACUUGUUCCAUCAUAAUCCCCGCCUGGCGUAUGGCCUCUUUUGCAGCAGCUGCUUGGUCCUCAGGGACGGGGUACGUGGCAAAAAGCGAAGGCGGAUCCGCAGUCGACGUCAAGGGCCGCACCCUCGUCAGAGGAAUGGCGAAAGUCACAGAAGCCCGAGUGGUUUCACCACCGUCUCGGGCUACGGCCUCAGGCGCCGGAGUGGAUUGUGGGGUCUCGCCAGCCGACGCUCCCCUGUUCCUUCUCACUCUCAGCGGCACGUCAUCGUCGUCAUCCGGAAGGUUGAUAACAUGAUAAGGAGCUACAAGAAAAAAUUCAAUCGACCAGAGUUGCAAUAAGUGUCCAGUCGACUGAAGGCAGAACAUCAGUAAUCAUACCAGGGUGGAGGUAACAGCAUCCUCCAUCUCUUGGUCGUCGUCCUUGGCAGAGACCUCCGAAGUAGGAGCACUGCAAAUCUCGAAAGUCAGUCAGUUGGCUCAAUGAAUCGACCAAGGAUCUGUCCACGGUCGACAAAGGAAAACAAGUUUUGUUAUUACCCAGAAAUGGUGGGGACAGCCAUCUUCAUCUUGGGCAGAGCCUUGGGCGGCUUGGACGGCGUCGCGCGUGGGUGCUUGGGAGCCUUUCCAGUCAGCGUAGGAGAAGAGGUUCGAGGGCGUUUCGACAACUGCCCAACAGGAGCAGUCGCCUACCACGUUCCCGCGCUGGAUCAUGUGUGAGCUUGGAUCGCCUCUCCCGGUGGGGGGGGGGGGGGGGUCAACCUCCUCCUCCUCCUCUUCGCUGGAGUUGACGUCGUCGUCUCCCUCUCCUUCGCCAUCGGACUCCCACUCGCCUUGAUCGUCUCCACUCUCACAUCCGCUCGCCUCCCCUUCCUCAGUUGGCUCCUGUGCCCCGUUGGGUGUCGAGUACAUCUCAGUAGUCGCCUGGAAAACAACAGACAAGACAAAAGUUAGUCGACCAAUUCAAAGAAGACCAAUGAAGAAAACAAGAUUUCAAUCGGGAGCGUAAAGUCAGACCUGGUCCACUUCGUAUUGUUGUCGAGUGGAGAAACCCUCCUGGCGCCUCGGGGGUUGUCUUUGUUUCCUGUGAUGCUCGUCAGCCACCCCUCCAACAUCUCAUCAGUGACCUCCUCCGGGUGGAUCCGAGUGGUGUCUUCGAGGCCCGAGUACAGCCACAUCGGGUGGCCGCGAGCCUGGAGCGGUUGGAUGCGCCUCCGAAGAAAGACCUCCAGCAAGUCCAUGCCAGUCACGCCAUCACGGACGAGCUGAACCACUCGACCAACCAGCACUUUGAAUUGGGUCUUUUCUUCUGGCGUCACUUUCAGAGAAGCAGGUUUUUGAGCUCGGUCGAGAGAGAAAUGGGGAAGCCCGGUCGACUGUCCUGGGGUCACCUGGUCUUUGCAGUAAAACCAGGUCGCCUGCCAACCACGGACCGACUCUGGGAAAAUGAUAGAUGGAAAACAACUCUUUCCCCUCGUCUGGAUCGCGAGGCCCCCGCACAGCUGGAUCACUUGCGUCCUUUCCUCACUCGACUUGGCCUUCUUGACCGAUUGGGAGCGGCAAGUAAAGAUGUGCUUAAAGAGCCCCCAAUGGGGGCGGCAACCCAGGAAACCCUCACACAAGGAAAUGAAGGUAGCAAGGUACACGAUAGAGUUGGGAGUGAAGUGGUGGAGCUGCGCUCCGAAGAAAUUUAGAAAACUCCGGAAAAAAGGAUGAGGAGGCAGAGAAAACCCUCGAUCGAUGUGGGUGGUGAGAAGGACACACUCACCAUCACGGGGUUGAGGCUCGACUUCUCCCCCCUGGAGACGCGCAGCCUCGUAAGGAAUGACUCCCCCCUCAACCAUAUCGUCGAGGUCUUCCUGCCGAAUCACCGACGGCAUCCAAUCGCCCUGGAUCCAGCCUCUGGGCAGAGCAGUCCUUGAGGAAGAUCCGCCCCAAGCGGACUUCUUCCCUUUCCCCUGCACCGACGCCUUCUUCGCGCGCUCCAGAGCAGACGUCUUGCCCUUCACCAUCGUCGCCGGCGAAUCUCAAACGGGUCUGCGGCGCUAGGGUGAGAGCGGAGGUGGCGGAGGACUUCGCGAAGGGAGAAAGAAGAGAAAGAAGAGAAAGGAGAGAGCACUGUUCGGGAACCCGAGCAGGCGGCUUAUAAGAGGCCGCUCCUGAGUGGCUGACUGGUAGGCCCAGGCUAUCCCGUCAAAUCCCGCAGUAGACGCGCGCGCAGCUCGUGGCGGAAAAGGUGGCACGGGAAUCGAGGAGCUUCUGCCUUAUCACAUCCGAUUACUGCGGCCGCGCCCGUCCCGCUCGCUCCCCGAUGUUCAAAUCCCGCGAAAUCCGCGGGCUGCGGAACAACUCAUCAAAUAGAAGAUCCCUCUCGUGCCGGCACUCGGUAUUUCACAAGUAAGGAAAUUCACUCGACGGGAGACCAAGAAUGGAUCAAGGCGACCGAAAGAAGUUGACAACGUCAUCCUUGGCGAUAGAUCUAGUACAAGACGUCCAUAUGACGCUAAAAACCAGUCGGAAGGACCCCCAACUCCUUCCCCACUCGAACCUCGAUCCAUUCGGGGGCUAAUGACGAAGCUACGUACCUAGGGUAGGGGGAUGGACCUGUCCUAAGAGCCCUACCCAAGGACAUCCCUGGAAGAAGUCACCUUUCAAUCGACUUGAAGGUACCCACUCGACGGGUUUAAGACACUCGACCAAGAAGCUACCACUCGACACGAAGCCAAUCACUCGACUGCCAGGAGAUCUAAAGUCAUUCCACGGGCAAACGGUCGGCUAUUAAGUAGUCUUUAUGGUCAUUAUAGCACUUUAUUACCAGCGUUACCAGUAACGCCCCGCCUUAAUGUACAUUGAACCCUUGGUAACGUAGGCUGGCCGGGGUCCUGGCGCGCUCUAUAUAAGCCACCCCCUCCUCCGAGACAAGGGUUCGCACCUCUGUUAUUCACACGCCUAUAAUCCAAUCGACCGCCUCCGGGCACCGAGACGUAGGGCUGUUACUUCCUCCGCGAAGGGCCUGAACUCGUACACCUUGUUGUGUUUACAACUUCCCAAUAGCUGAGAUCUAGCCUCUCCAUACACACCCCCAACAUCACUGUCAGAGUUAGAACCACGACACCGCCUGCCGUGCCCCUCGCCGCACGCCCACCACCGCGCCAGCCCCCACUCUGUGGACGACCCUAGCCGCGCCCGCGCCGUGAUCCCCUUUUCCGCCCUACCUUCCCGCACUCGCCGCGGUCCCGAUGCUCCCCCGCGCCCUCUUUCAGGGGCGCCGACUGCCCCUGUCCCAUUACUCGCCGCCGCGCCUCGCCACCGCUCUACUGCUACGUUACUACUGCGCUGCGGCCGCCGCCUCUUCCCGCUGCUCCGCUAGCGCCGAAGCUCCCGGCUGGCUCUGCCACUGGUCACGUUUAACUACCGGUCUAAAUGGCCUAACCUCCCGGCAAAUGAACCCCCAGUAACCCACUGACACCGGGAGCCACAUCCCCUAAUUAACCAUUAAUAAAUUAAAACUCUUAAAUUAACAUUAGUGUAUGACAUGUGCGUCCCCUGUUAAUUAAUAAUUUACAUUAGUGUAUGACAUGUGCGUACCCUGUUAAAUAAACUGAUUUAAUUAAAAUCUAUUAACUUCGAGUCUAUGACAUAUCACUACUUGGGAAAAUCCUAGCAGUAGCGUGGGUAUUUUUCCUAUCAGUUGCGCCGGAUACCGCUCUACUGAUAAGGCACUACAGCUAACAUGUAGCAGUAAUGCGUGUCAUCCAACGCUACUGCUGUACAUGGCUAGCAGUAGCGAGCUUUAGUGCAAAGCGCUGCUGCUAAUAUCUGCAGCGCUUUUCAGCAUGAAGUGAUACUGGUAAGGGACCUCUACUACUAACUUUAUUCCCCUCGCUACUGCUAGUUUUAUUAGUUUCUGUUUUUUUCUGCAUAUUUCUUUUGUAUUUGAACAGGCUUUAUACAAUAAUAUUUAGCGUAUCAUACACAUACAAAUGUAAUCAUAGCAUAUACAUACAAAUAGUCUCGUCAAAUCAUGUCAUCAUCAUAAUCAUCAUCCAUCACAAAGUGGUCUCUCGUCAUCAUCUCUAAAAUAGCGAUACAAGUCUCGAUUACUUGCAACUACAUUGUCAUCCGUCUAAACAAUGAUAUACGCGAGAAGAGCUAUCACUAUGAGUGAGAGCGGAACUAUGCAGUACAUGAGUUUGUAUCCCUCUCUCGCAUUAGCGUGAACCUAAACUAACUACUAGUUGUCGCUCGGAAACCAGAAACCGGUACACCUGGGCCUGACACUCCGUCCACUCAUCUUAUACUCCUGGCGUAGCACUUCUGUGCCAUCGAUGAUCUAUGCACCUGCAUCGUCACAUGAGUCGAUGAUAUGCAACAUAUAUAGUUGAGCAAUAGAAACAGACAGACUUGGCAAAAAUAGAAGCAACAUAUCAUAAGCAUAAAUAACAAAGUUCAUCAUACCCAAAAUGCCCUAACUAGAGUGAUCUUCGCUAGUCGAGGAGGACGGUUUAAUUACAUCACAAAUAAUGUUUCAUCUUGCAUAACUCAAAGUGCCAUCAUACAGAAAGUAUGAACUAAACGGACACAUUGUCAUAUGUCGACAAUCACUCCAACAUGUCGUGCCAUCGAUCCAAGUCAAGGAGAUAGUCCCCGAGCUUAGUGAAAGGCUUCAGGUUGAGACGCUGAGCGGCAACGCGUGUUCGGACGUCUUCCCUCGACAUUUUUCCUUCUUCAUAGAACAUCCCUGUUUUUUCGAUGACCUCCCUCAUGAUGAUUUGGGCAAGUUCGCACUGGAAGUGAUAGAACUCAUCUUGAAGUCGAUGAUCCUCGAUAUCUCCUAAGUUCUUUGCCCAUUGCAGAAUAUGGGCAUCGCCGAAUCUAGGUGUCAUGCAAAGGUUCUGGUGAUCCCGUAUGUACUCCAUCAUGUGGUGUAGGACAUAGAAUCCAUCAUUAAGAGAAUCACUCAGUUGCUGGAUACAGCAGAAGCCGGUCUUAUGGCCGAAGGCGGGCCUGCCGUCCCUUUUCUUCUUGUCCUUGACCUCUCCACCCCGUGCACCGUAGUAAAACAUAGCACCGUCGAGAACAUACUUGAUGUGGGUGUAAUCCUUUUUUUUAAUGUUCUUCGAUGAGUCCAAGUAAAGAGCGUGGGAGUAUCGGGGGUAGAGGAUGAUGAGGAUGGUGCACCCGCCGCUGCGCAAAAUAAGUACACCUCAAAUUAAUUAGCCUCCACCGUGCAAAUGAAUGAUUGAAAUCGUAGGAAGGAUAUCCGCGUGGAUGACUUACAGGGGAUGAUAAGGCACAAGAAUCACCUCCUUGUCCUUAUUGGCACGCAUGAAAUUGACGAUGUAUUCCUCGCGUAUUCACGGUGCUUUGCGUGGACUCACAAGAAGACCUCGUGCAUGAAGUACCGAUCAGUGACACAGAUAUGAGGUAUUUGCUCAACCCCGAUGAGGUAGUUCAUGUGCAAGGCAUAAAGGUGGACGAAUGUAAAAUCCAGCUUCUUUAAGUGAAACAUGUCGAAGAUGUAAUCCAAUCGAAGGAAGAACUUGUUCGAGGGGAAUGUGUCGAUGUACGACAAUUGCAGCGACACGUUAACCACGGAGAGUGGGUAUGCUGGAUUUUUUGAGGCAAUGAGGCCUUUCUCUAUCAGCAACACAUCAUCAUGAAGUCUCCUUAUAUCGCCAAAUCAGGCCCCUAGCGCUGCUUUAGGUAGGAUUGGUUAACCGGGGAUACGCCAUAUUGCCGCACCGAGGAUAUCUAUACGGUCUUGAACCCGAGCCUGCUGAGGUGGCUGGAUCAUAGAAGCACCUUUGUUUCCUUUCCUCGGUGUCUUCCUUGGCUUCUUUGCUACCGGAAAGUCGUCUAUAAUAUGUUCAGCCUCUGGAGGCGGCAAUUCAGGCACCAACUCAUGCGCUCAAACCCUGAGUAGGCGCCAGUAUUGAGGUAUUGUUGAAUGUCAUCGUCGUCCUCAUCUAUGGCGAUGUCACUAGCGACAAAUCGAGCCUCUUCCUCACCCCGUCCGCUAUCACCCAGCACGACAGCCGACGCUAAUUGGGUAGGUGGGGUGUUGAUGUUCGUACCUAACUGCGUGCUCGUGUGUGUGCUCCCGGCCGCCUCCAGACAAAGCAGACUCUUUGACCACAACAGGACCCACCCAUUGCAACCACCAAGCCGCUGCGGGGUCUCGUCGUCAUCCCCUAGUAUCGGAGGAGCCAAAUUCUCGUGGCCCGGUUUGACACUGGCCACGAAAACUUUGAAGACAUACGGGGGGAUUGGUCGGCCAUGGAACAAUGGUUCCUUCGGCUUCAUUACCGUCACCUUCCCCACGUCCACCUUUUGGUCGCCGAUGUUGUACAAUAUGGUGCACGGGGUUACAUCGGCCUGCAAAGACACCGUGAGAUUAUACAUUUAUGGAAGAGGGCCGGUGUGACAGAUACCGUGAGGGCGUCGAGCUCAGCCAAAGACGAAGGACAGCUGAGCACGGCCGGUGUGGGAGCCGGUGUGGGAGCCGGUGCAGGUGCAGGUGCUGGUGCAUCGCUAGUCGUGCUACUCCCGAAGAAGUCAACAAUGGGAAAGUCCGCUGCAUUUUUUCUGGAUUUUGCAUGCUCCAAUUGAAAACGGCUGGAACCAAGACAAUAGACAUAUCUGCAACCACCUGUUUUGCGGCAGCUACCGUUAUCGUGACAGUCUCAGAUGAUUUCUUCUCUACUGCAAUCUCAACCUUCUUGUCGAUGUUUUCUUCAGUUAACCUCCAUCUUUCCUUUCUCUCCUCCGUGGUCUCACGGUAGCACUUCUUCCACGUGGCCCCGUCUCCGACACCGUGAACGCGUCCAUACGACGACCGAGUCUCCACUGGGAGUCCUUUCAAUAUGUUCAAUGCCCGGUUGAAUGGAGUGUCCCACUUGGGCCUCGCCAACGCCUCAGACGGCGAGUCUCUUUCGGUCGCAAUCUUGUGCUGCUCUCUCUACAAAAGGAACAAGGAUCAUUUACAAAUAUGACUAAACGUGCAGUCGAAUUGAUCAGAAACUAAAAUUACCAGCAGUCUCAUGAACUCCGUCGUGAUCGGGUCCGUCUUGAAAACCUUCUUGACCGAGUGCCAAUGGUGCCGUGCCCUGAGGACGUCAUGCUCCUACAGGACGGUGAAGUCCGCCAAGGGGUCUAGGAUGCCAGACUUUCGCGUUUCGUGUCCUCCUUGGCCCAUAUGGACCUCUUCCUGCUGUAACCACGGCUUCCGAGGUGGCGGUGCCCCAUGUUCCUUUGUUGAAACCCCUUCAUGUACUUUGACUUUGUUUUGGCAGUUUCAGCCUCGCAAGCCGCCUUGAAUAUUUCAAAGUGCUCUCCCGUGAUUGUCGGAUUAUCCUUUACAAUCUCGGAGUAGGGUUGAUACGUCUCCAAUGUAUCUAUUAUUUUUGAUUGCUCCAUGCUAUAUUAUCUACUGUUUUGGACAUUAUUGGGCUUUAUUAUCUACUUUUAUAUUAUAAUUUGGACUAACCUAUUAACCGGAGGCCCGAGCCCAGAAUUGCUGUUUUUUUGCCUGUCUUAGGGUUUCAAAGAAAAGGAAUAUCAAACGGAGUCCAAACGGAAUGAAACCUUCGGGAACGUGAUUUUCUCAACGAACAAGACCCAGGAGACUUUGACCCUACAUCAAGACACAAGGCGAAUCAUGUACGUAGCCACUAGUGAAACAUAUUAUCUUUAUUAUAUCUAUCAGAUCUCACUCUCGUAAGUGGCCGUGUUGGGAUUGACAACCCCUAUUCAUGUUGGUUGAGAGGAUUGAUUUGUUUUGUGCAAGUACAAAGGACUCGCGCGUAGCCUCCUAUUGGAUUAAUAGCUUGGUUCUCAAAAAGUGAGGGAAAUACUUACGCUACUUUGUUGCAUCAUCCCUUCCUCUUCGGGGAAAACCAACGCAGUGCUCAAGAGGUAGCAAGAAGGAUUUGCUGNNNNNNNNNNNNNNNNNNNNNNNNNNNNNNNNNNNNNNNNNNNNNNNNNNNNNNNNNNNNNNNNNNNNNNNNNNNNNNNNNNNNNNNNNNNNNNNNNNNNNNNNNNNNNNNNNNNNNNNNNNNNNNNNNNNNNNNNNNNNNNNNNNNNNNNNNNNNNNNNNNNNNNNNNNNNNNNNNNNNNNNNNNNNNNNNNNNNNNNNNNNNNNNNNNNNNNNNNNNNNNNNNNNNNNNNNNNNNNNNNNNNNNNNNNNNNNNNNNCCUCCACCCUCGUGGGCCCCCUGUUGCUCCACCGACGUACUCCUUCCUCCUAUAUAUACCUACGUACCCCCAAACGAUCAUAUACGGAGCCAAAACCCUAAUUCCACCGCCACAACUUUCUGUAUCCACGAGAUCCCAUCUUGGGGCCUGUUCCGGAGCUCCGCCGGAGGGGGCAUCAAUCACGGAGGGCUUCUACAUCAACACCAUAACCUCUCCGAUGAAGUGUGAGUAGUUCACCUCAAACCUACGGUUCCAUAGUUAUUAGCUAGAUGGCUUCUUCUCUCUUUUUGGAUCUAAAUACAAUGUUCUCCCCCUCUCUUGUGGAGAAUUAUUCGAUGUAAUCUUAUUUUUGCGGUGUGUUUAUUGAGACCGAUGAAUUGUGGGUUUAUGAUCAAGUCUCUCUAUGAAUAAUAUUUCAAUCUUCUCUGAAUUAUUUUAUGUAUGAUUGGUUAUCUUUGCAAGUCUCCUCGAAUUAUCAGUUUGGUUUGGCCCACUAGAUUGAUCUUUCUUGCAAUGGGAGAAGUGCUUAGCUUUGGGUUCAAUCUUGCGGUGUCCUUUCCCAGUGACAGUAGGGGCAGCAAGGCACGUAUUGUAUUGUUGCCAUCAUGGACAACAAAAUGGGGUUUUCAUCAUAUUGCAUCAGUCUAGCCCUCUACAUCAUGUUAUCUUGCUUAAGGCGUUAAUUUGUUUUUAACUUAAUACUCUAGAUGCAUGCUGGAUAGCGGUCGAUGAGUGGAGUAAUAGUAGUAGAUGCAGGCAAGAGCGGUCUACUUGUCUCGGACAUGAUGCCUAUAUACAUGAUGAUACCUAGAUAUUCUCAUAACUAUGCUCAAUUCUGUCAAUUGCUGAACAGUAAUUUGUUCACCCACCGUAGAAUACUUAUGCUCUCGAGGGAAGCCACUAGUGAAACCUAUGGCCCCGGGUCUAUCUUUAUCAUAUUAAUCUUCUACUACUUAGUUAUUUCCUUUGCUUUUUACUUUUCCUUUAUUUUACUUUGCAUCUUUAUCACCAAAAUACCAAUAAAAUUAUCUUUAUCAUAUCUAUCAAAUCUCACUCUGGUAAGUGGCCGUGUAGGGAUUGACAACCCCUAUUCGUGUUGGUUGCGAGGAUUUAUUUGUUUUGUGCAGGUACGAGGGACUCGCGCGUAGCCUCCUACUGGAUUGAUACCUUGGUUCUCAAAACCUGAGGGAAAUACUUACGCUACUUUGCUGCAUCAUCCCUUCCUGUUCGGGGAAAACCAACGCAGUGCUCAAGAGGUAGCAAGGGUUCCUUUUUGUCGACGAUCCGAUGUUUCAACCUUGUUUUCCAGGCGGCCAACGCGUCGCUAAACUUGGGCAUGGCGUGUUUGUUUAUCUUCUUCAUUGCCACGUCCUUAUCUGGAUCAUUAUUAUCCUUUUCAUUGCAGUCAGGGAACAAGAAUAUCUGGUGCAGCUUCUUUAGGAGGGAGGGCCUCAUAUUAUCUAUCUUCUGUAGUUUCCCAUCGUUGAUCGUGGCAGUUGUCCGUACGAUGCAACCUAUUUGAUUGCCGUAGCACGAUCGCGCUUCCUCGGGCGCUAUUGUCUCAAAAAUACCGUUGUCCAUCUCCGUGACCACCAGUCUAGUACUCAUGAGCUGGUUUGGGUGCCGUGGCCUCUUUGCUUUCGGUUCUAGACCAGCUCCGCUAGUCUCGGCGCCGGUCUCAGUCUCAUCACCGGUCUGCAUGUCGGUAUCAGUCCCCGAUGCGACAGCACAGUCGCUGCAACAUGGGUAAGGGAGACCACAUCAGUGCUGGGGUGGUCUGAAAAUUGGGACACACUUUCGCGCAUUGCGGGCCGCCUCUCAGACAGCUACUGGGGAGGCGGCGGAGUACCUGGGUGCGCGACGAAUCCCCGGGAACUCGGUGACCAACUUCCUUCCCAUGUAGCGCAUGGAGACGAUGGCGACCCCGCCGAAGAGCAGCUUAGUUGCGAGCUGCACAGCCUCGUCCACCUCCUAAGUUGGGACCUCCGCGCGAGCGUUGCGGGGCCGCCGCUCGGAUGGCUUCUGGAAGGCGCUUGUACAUGGGCACAGGGUGAAUCCCGGCAAGAGCUGGCCAUUGGUGCGCGCAAGUAGACGACGACGUCGCCGACGAAGAGCAGCCCGGCCAGCUCGCCUCACUCUCCUUUGAUUAGAAUUGAAAGAUUGGGAAGAAGCAGACUUGAGCCUGCAGGGAAAGGAUAAGGUGACGAUGCAGUCUCCACUCGUUCGGGGCGACACGCGUACUGAAUGUAUGAGAAACGCGACGUGGCAGGGACCCCAAGAUACUCCCUCCAUUUAUUUUUAGUCUGCAUAUAAAGUUUGGUCAAAGUCAAGAUUUGUAAAUUUUAACUAACUUUAUAAUAAAAAAAAUCAACAUUCACAAUAUGAAAUAAUUAUUACCAGAUGCGUCAUGAAAUGUAUUUCCAUACUAUAUAGGUUUGGUAAUGUAGAUGUUCAUAUUCUUUUAUAUAAAUGGGAAGUAGAGGCACUCUUCCAUAUAAUGAAGUUUAUAAUAUAUGUGCUUAUAUUAUACUAUAAUUGUUUGAAUAACUUAGCAUAUGUUCAGAUGUAUGAUAUCUGUAAUUUAAGCGCUUGAAUUUUACAUAUAAAUAUUUAUUAAUAAAUAUGUACCCCUAUAAUAGCUAGGCCGUGCAGUUGCACGGGUAGAUGACUAGUGAUUACAAUCUUGUUUGUGUGCAAGUCAAGCUUAUCUAGUUUACACGUAACAACUUGUAGAACAUUACAAAAUUUAUGCUUGCUAAUAACUUCUAGAACACUACAACACUUGACAUGUAAAAGGAAUUUGACGAGUCAUGGCCUACUAAAGAAAGUUACAUUACUAGUCUUAUAUCUAUCUUAAUAGACCACACAAGACUACAAAUUAAGUACCGUGACAGCCAUGAUUAUCUAGUUUAUGCGUAACAAUUUGCAGAAAAUUACAAACUUAGUUUUAGAAAAAUAGGCAAUCCAGAUUAGUGUUUGAGCUGUAAAGUGAAUAAGAUGAGUCAUGCGUGUUAUCACACCUUUUUGGUGGUGGAAUGAUAGUGCAAAACAAGGAACUUUAAUGAACAGUCCAAUAAUACACUUGUAAGUAGUGCCACCAAACAGAACAUACCAAAUGAUGAUUUUGAGAAGCAUCCAAGCACUUUCCACACAAACAAAUGCCAAUUGUGAAAGAGAUCAUUCCAUGGCAGCUAUAAAUAGCCCCGUAGCAUGACGAUCAUCCUUCCUCAUCCAUCAUUCUCAUAAGUAGAGCGCAUCAUUUAAGCCAAGCAAGCUGUGGUCAAUACAAAUCCACCAUGAAGACAUUUCUCAUCCUUGCCCUCCUUGCUAUCGUGGCGACCACCGCCACAACUGCAGUUAGAGUUCCAGUGCCACAAUUGCAGCCACAAAAUCCAUCUCAGCAACAGUCACAAGAGCAAGUUCCAUUGGUACAACAACAACAAUUUCUAGGGCAGCAACAACCAUUUCCACCACAACAACCAUAUCCACAGCCGCAACCAUUUCCAUCACAACAACCAUAUCUGCAGCUGCAACCAUUUCCGCAGCCGCAACUACCAUAUUCGCAGCCACAACCAUUUCGACCACAACAACCAUAUCCACAACCGCAACCACAAUAUUCGCAACCACAACAUCCAAUUUCACAGCAGCAGCAGCAGCAACAACAACAACAACAACAAGAACAACAAAUACUUCAACAAAUUUUGCAACAACAACUGAUUCCAUGCAUGGAUGUUGUAUUGCAGCAACACAACAUAGCGCAUGGAAGAUCACAAGUUUUGCAACAAAGUACUUACCAGCUGUUGCAAGAAUUGUGUUGUCAGCACCUAUGGCAGAUCCCUGAGCAGUCGCAGUGCCAGGCCAUCCACAAUGUUGUUCAUGCUAUUAUUCUGCGUCAACAACAAAAACAACAACAACAACCAUCGAGCCAGGUCUCCUUCCAACAGCCUCAGCAACAAUAUCCAUUAGGCCAGGGCUCCUUCCGGCCAUCUCAGCAAAACCCACAGGCCCAGGGCUCUGUCCAGCCUCAACAACUGCCCCAGUUCGAGGAAAUAAGGAACCUAGCGCUACAGACGCUACCUGCAAUGUGCAAUGUCUACAUCCCUCCAUAUUGCACCAUCGCGCCAUUUGGCAUCUUUGGUACUAACUAAGAAGAAAAUAACUCUAGUACUAGAUAUAUGAAACACCGUUUUCUCAGUCCAUGGUUUGGUCGUUGUAGCGGUGAAAAAAUAAAGUGACAUGCACUAUCAUGUAAGAACCCAAACUAUACUAGUUCAAACUUGGGAAUAAAAGACAAACACAGGUCUUGUCUACAUAUUUAUGCUGCAUCUAUUUAUAUAUUAAAAGUAAUAUAAGGUGAACCAGGAGCAAGGUAAAUAUGGUAGAAAAUUGCACGUUAAUUAGAAAUUACUAGCCCUCGAUCUGGUAAAUCUUAACAAAUAUAAUUAUCUUGACCGUUAGAUUUAUGUAACAUAUAUAAUGCUCUAGGCCUCCAACGACUGUACGUGACACAUCUGAACGCAGAUAUGUUAAAGAAAAUAUAUUUGGUAAAUGGUGGGCCUCUUUAAAAAGAGAACUUACGUACAUACACCAACUAAGAAAAACACAUACAUGUAAACGGGAAAAGGAUGAGAUUUUCUCACAUACGUGUGUUGAUGCUUAAAAGUGGCAUGAUCAUAAAGCAGCAUGCCAGGGUGAAAACCUUGCCGGGGUAAAAUCUUGCCGGUGUGAAAGCUUGCCGGUGUGAAGGCUUGCCGGUGUGGAAAGCUUGCCGGCACAGAAAGAUCGCCGGUGCUUGCCGGUGUGAAAUCUUGCCGGGGGAGAAACCUUGUCAGGGAGGAACCCUUGCCGGAGUACAAACCUUGCCGUAGUGAAACCUUGCCGGUGUGAAAGCUUGCCGGGUAGAAACAUUGCCGGUGUGGAAAGCUUACUCGGAUGGAAAACUUGCCGGGUUGGAGGCUGUGAUAGUCAAUCGAACGAGAAGUUGAAGAUGGGCUCAAAAGGUUAUUCAGAUGAUCUCGGAUGGAAAAAUGAUCUACAGGGGUUGUCUUCGUCUCGUCGAAACGAUCGAUUUUGAUAUAAAAAUCAUUCAAAUCCGAGUUCGUAUGCAAAAUUUAGAGCAAUCGGAGUGCAGCCCUGUCACGAGGCGAGAUGUGGCGCGCCCCACCAAACACAUGUCUGACGGGUAGCGCGAGGAAAUAGCCUGUGUUGCGAGACCGAUCUGACCCUCAAGAUGAUCUCUGAUCCAAAAACCUUCAACAUGAAAGUUGUUCGUCUCAUCGAAACGGUCAAGAUUGCUUUUGGGCUUGUUUUCAUCCGGGAUCGUUUACCACCGCAAAAAAGACCCGCAAGGUGCAGCCAGUUUAAACCGAACAGUUUUGGAAAGUUUGGAUAAACCAGUCCGAAUUUGACUAGGGUUUUGGACGUGAAUUGAUGUAAUUUUCUUGUAAGGAAAGCCUAGAUAAAUUCUUUGCUUGUACGGGAAGUCCAGCUGCCUCUUAUAUAUGUUGGGGGUGACGGGCGAUUGAAACAACACACAAUCGAACAAACACAUCUACUACUUUUUCGUGUUCAUCUACUUUUUAUCUCUCCCUUGUAUCUUUCUUCUCGUUCUUCGCUAGUUCUUCUUGCUGGAGGCUGCGGAUCCACGAGGCUCUAGGGGCGAGCGAAUCGACCUAGGGCAGCCCUGACGGGGUCCCUCCCGGGUGCGCGGGGUUUCGGGUCUGCAAAAGCGCCCGCCGACUGUCUUGCGUAUCACGCUAUCGGUCGGGUCUCCUUCGACGUGAGCUGCGGUGCAUCACCCCCGGCAUCGAGGGUACACGUGACGUGUUCGUGUGCGAACACACUUUUUCGCGACUCCACUGGGGACGAAGCUUUGAAUAGUCUCCAGCCUGUUCUUGCUACGAGGAGAGCGUCAUCAAGCGACUGCAUUCUACAACGGUAACAUGUAUCAUCAAUCUCCUUGCGUAGAUGCAAAUAGCCAUUAUGUUGAUGUUGCUAGAUCUUUCAAUGGACAUGUGAUGUCGGCCAGCCCUAAUGAGGAAAGGCCGACUAGUUAUUCCAUUGGAGAAACUUGGAAUUUACAGAAUCGUGACAUGCAACUUAUGAAUCUGAACUUUCGUGCAUCGGCAACAACUUUCAAUAUGCCGGUGAACAACACGAUUUGUUCGAGUGAUCAAUAUAGGACACCUCAUGUAAAAGUUUUAUCCAUCGGCAGCCGACUCGCAAUAUGCUGGUUCAUCCCCAAACAUGCCGAUGAAUGGGGGAAUCAGCCAUGCUUCUGUUAGCUAUUUGGCCGGUUAUCCUCAAACAUCAUAUACUACACCUCAUCCGAUUAAUUGUUCAGUGGCAUAUGAAACUAAAAAUAUUAAUAACACGGCUCACGUUCACGGUCAUGGACGAGUGAAUGGGGAUACUAUAGGAGCAUAUGUGUGUGACGCCCCCAAUUUAAUCGUACACUAAUCAUACACGCAAACAUGUACGAUCAAGAUCAGGGACUCACGGGAAGAUAUCACAACACAACUCUACAAAUAAAAUAAGUCAUGCAAGCAUCAUAUUACAAGCCAGGGGCCUCGAAGGCUCGAAUACAAGAGCUCGAUCAUAGACGAGUCAGCGGAAGCAACAAUAUCUGAGUACAGACAUAAGUUAAACAAGUUUGCCUUAAGAAGGCUAGCACAAACUGGGAUACAGAUUGAAAGAGGCACAGGCCUCCUGCCUGGGAACCUCCUAACUACUCCUGGUCGUCGUUCUGAGGGCAGCACGUAGUAGUAGGCACCUCCAGCGUAGUAGGAGUCGUCGUCGACGAUGGCGUCUGGAUCCUGGGCUCCAGCAUCUGGUUGCGACAACCAGGUAGAAGGGAUAGAGGGAAAAGAAGGAGAAAGCAACCGUGAGUACUCAUCCAAAGUACUCGCAAGCAAGGAGCUACACUACAUAUGUAUGCGUUGGUAUCAACUGGAAUAAGGCUAUUAUAUGUGGACUGAACUGCAGAAAGCCGGAAUACGAGGGAGAUAGCUAGUCCUUUCGAAGACUACGCUUUUGGUAACCUCCAUCUUGCAGCAUGUAGAAGAGAGUAGACGGAAGUCCUCCAAGUAGCAUCGCAUAGCAUAAACCUAACCGAUGAUCCUCCCCUCGUCGCCCUGUGCGAGAGCGAUCACCGGUUGUAUCUGGCUCUUGGAAGGGUGUGUUUUAUUAAGUAUCCGGUUCUAGUUGUCAUAAGGUCAAGGUACAACUCCGGGUCGUCCUUUUAUCGAGGGACACGGCUAUUCGAAUAGAUAAACUUCCCUGCAGGGGUGCACCACAUAACCCAACACGCUCGAUCCCAUUUGGCCGGACACACUUUUCUGGGUCAUGCCCGGCCUCGGAAGAUCAACACGUCGUAGCCCUACCUAGGCACAACAGAGAGGUCAGCACGCCGGUCUAAAUCCUAUGGCGCAGGGGUCUGGGCCCAUCGCCCUUUGCACACCUGCACGUUGCGAACGCGGCCGGAAGCAGACCUAGCCUAGUGGCGUUCCAGUCCAAUCCGGCGCGCGCCACUCAGUCACUGAUGUCACGAAGGCUUCGGCUGAUACCACGACGUCGAGUGGCCAUAACUGUCCCCGCAUAGAUGGUUAGUGCGUAUAAGCCAGAUGGCCAGACUCAGAUCAAAUACCCAGAUCUCGUUAAGCGUGUUAUGUAUCCGCGAACACCGACCAGGGCCAGGACCACCUCUCUCCUACGUGGUCUGAACCUGCCCUGUCGCUCCGCCACAAAGUAACAGUCGGGGGCCGUCGGGAACCCAGGCCCACCUCUACCGGGAUGGAGCCACCUACCCCUUCAGCCCCAACUACGAACAGUACCACAGGUAAUGUAACAGUGUAAAGUAUAUAGUAAAUGCCCGUGAUCACCUCCCGAAGUGAUCACGGCCCAGUAGUAUAGCAUGGCAGACGGACAAGAGAGUAGGGCCACUGAUGGAACACUAGCAUCCUAUACUAAGCAGUAGGAUAGCAGGUAAUGGUAACAAUAGUAGUAGCAAGGACAGGCUAUGCAUCAGGAUAGGAAUAACGGAAAGCAGUAACAUGCUACACUACUUUAAUGCAAGCAGUAUAGAGAAGAGUAGGCGAUAUCUGGUGAUCAAAGGGGGGGCUUGCCUGGUUGCUAUGGCAAGAGAGAGCGGUCGUCAACACCGUAGUCGUACUGUGUAGCAGCGCCGUCAGUCUCGGUGUCUAGCGAGAGAAGAGGGGGAGGAAACAAUAAAUAUAAUGCAAACAAAUGCAUGAUGAUGCAUGACACGACAAAGCGUGAUGCUAGGUGUGCCCUAACGCGGUACGAGGUGGUACCGGUGAAGGGGGGAAACAUCCGGGAAAGUAUUCCCGGUGUUUCGCGUUUUCGGACAGAGGAGUCAGAGGGGGAAAGUUGCGUGUUCGGUAUGCUAGGGAGGCGUGGUGGACGAACGGGUUGUCUAUCCGAGUUCGUCUCGUCGUUCUGAGCAACUUUCAUGUUGAAAAUAAUUUAAUCCGAGUUACGUAUUAAAAGAUAUGGUUUUCUAAAGAUUUUACUAAUUUCUGGAAUUUAAUUAAUUAUUUAAUUUAAUUUGAAAUUUGGAUUUAUGACAUCAGCAUGAUGUCAUGCUGACAUCAGCAGUCAACAUGGGUUGACUAGGUCAACUGAUGCGUGGGUCCAGUGGGACCCACCUGUCAUACUAUAUUAGGUUAAUUAGGGUUUAGUUAAUUGAUUAGGCUAAUCUAAUCAGGAUUACUUUGUUUAAUUAAUUCUUUAAUUAAUUAAUUAUCAUUUUAACUAAUUUUAAUUAUUAUUUAUUAAUUCAUUCAUUUUUUUAAAUUAUUAUUUUUAUUUCGUUCUCGUUUCAGGGGGGCGUGGGGCCCCGCACACAGGGCCACCGCGAGGCUGUUGCCAGCGGGCGCUGGGGCGAUGGGUGCGGGCGCACCCGAGCGGGCACUCGCCCGCAGGGCGGGAUGAGCCGCCGGCGGGCAGCGACAGGCGCGUGCCAACCGGGCGGUGGCCGCGGCUGAUAGGGCGCAGGAAGGGGAGAGGCGAGAACGCGACGCACGGGGAAGCAGCAUCAGGGGCGAGGAGCACCACGGGACGAAGCGCAGCGGGCGCCGGUCNNNNNNNNNNNNNNNNNNNNNNNNNNNNNNNNNNNNNNNNNNNNNNNNNNNNNNNNNNNNNNNNNNNNNNNNNNNNNNNNNNNNNNNNNNNNNNNNNNNNNNNNNNNNNNNNNNNNNNNNNNNNNNNNNNNNNNNNNNNNNNNNNNNNNNNNNNNNNNNNNNNNNNNNNNNNNNNNNNNNNNNNNNNNNNNNNNNNNNNNNNNNNNNNNNNNNNNNNNNNNNNNNNNNNNNNNNNNNNNNNNNNNNNNNNNNNNNNNNNNNNNNNNNNNNNNNNNNNNNNNNNNNNNNNNNNNNNNNNNNNNNNNNNNNNNNNNNNNNNNNNNNNNNNNNNNNNNNNNNNNNNNNNNNNNNNNNNNNNNNNNNNNNNNNNNNNNNNNNNNNNNNNNNNNNNNNNNNNNNNNNNNNNNNNNNNNNNNNNNNNNNNNNNNNNNNNNNNNNNNNNNNNNNNNNNNNNNNNNNNNNNNNNNNNNNNNNNNNNNNNNNNNNNNNNNNNNNNNNNNNNNNNNNNNNNNNNNNNNNNNNNNNNNNNNNNNNNNNNNNNNNNNNNNNNNNNNNNNNNNNNNNNNNNNNNNNNNNNNNNNNNNNNNNNNNNNNNNNNNNNNNNNNNNNNNNNNNNNNNNNNNGGCCUGGGGUUUGUCCUAGCUAGCAGCUGGGCCGAGUGGCCCAGUGGGGGGGGGGUUGUUUUAUUCCUUUCCCUUUUAUACCUUUUCACACUUUUCUUCUUUUGUUUUAUUUUAGUUACACAUUAAUUUUAAUUUUUGACAAAUAUAUCUAUAGCCCCUAAAAUAAUGUUUCAGAACAAUCCACUACUAUAGAAAGUUUUACCCUGAUAAAAUAGUCUAGUAUUUUAUAAAAUACCAAACUCGUUUAAAUAGUUGUUUAGCUACUAUUUAAAUCAUUUUAGUGCUUUAAAUCUUUUUACUAAAAUGUGGUUCCUCCACCAUUUGGACUUAGGAUUUAUUUGUCCCAUUUUGAACAUUUUAGUCUUAACGUUUGAAGAAUUUACCGUUUGACUCGAUUUUGAAUUUGAAUUUGAAUCGGUGUCGAACUAACACGAGAUUAGCAACAGUAACCAUCGUGACGUGGCAUCAUUAACAGAGGUUUACUGUAUAUCAAAUACCCGGGCGUCACAAUUCUCCUCCACUACAAGAAAUCUCGUCCCGAGAUUUAAGAGGGGAGUAUGGGGGAAAGAUCUGGUUACGAAAUUCUAACGAGUCUUCUCGGUCUUGCUUGCUCUUGUCGAAAUGGUCGAUCCAUUAUGUUGAUGUUUUCAUUUCUCUGCUUCAGGUCAUCAUGGUGAAGUCGUCCUUUUCUUCGGGAACUCCAACGUGCUUACGAAUAGGUAAGGGGCAGCUUGGCUACGACAGAAUGCUUAUGAGGGAAACAAUCUGGUGAUAACCCAUGAAUGAACAUAAGAUUAUCUCUCGAGUUGAACAUAUAAAAUACAUCAAGAGUAAGGUACGAAGGUACCAUGAGAAGUUUCAAACGGAUAGGCAAUCGUUCGAUGUCUGAAACAACACGCGAAAGGGGUCCAGAGCAACGAGAUUGAGUAUUGCGUCUGUUACCAGAAUAGAUCACUAGGACGGUGGUCUGUGAAUUACAUACAAGGUCACGCACGAGGAAUAACUUUAGGAACAGGGGGUGUACAGGAGAGUCAGGUUCGAUCCUGUGGAACUGUGGGUUAUGGGCCCACCAUGUGGGUUAAAGUAGGAAGGGCAGUGACGUCUUGCAAGAUCAUGUAAGCAAGGCAUGUCAGAGGAUAGCCUGUCAGCUAUGUCGACGACAACAUCGAUACCAAGGGCGAGGGACGAAGAGAACCAUUUUCCUGCUCGUUGAACGAGGCGGACCAAUAAGAAAAGUUCUCGUCCAUCAGUGGUUACCAGAAUGUCAUCAACAAAGGUAAUAGGGUCUUUCUGACAGAGUGGUACAACGAGGUGACUGCUUAUAUAAUAUAGAUUACAAGAAGGUUUAAACAGAACAAUGGAAAGGAAAAUGUGUGUAAACACACAUUUCAAGGGUAUAUCCUUCCCAAGGACAAGCAAAGCAAGAUAUCCAUGAAAGGAUAUAAUGUAGAAAACUCUUUAGGUAAGGUGAGAGAAAUUUCAUGACAUUACCCAUACAAUGGUGUUUGGAUAAAUGAGCGAGAAACAUUUAGCAUUGGGCUUCAAAUGUUCUUUGUGGAAAAUUGGAGUACCACAGACAUGCUUCGAGAUAGCGUUGGCGUGGUAUUCAAGCAAAGGUCAGACUUAGGAUGCACAAAGGAUUCAUCAGGAACAACUUAUAGAAUAAGUCUUACCAUUUCUCAAGGAAGAAUAGAUAACCUUGCUAAAAAGAAAAACUAUAACAUUAGGUCCUCCGACCAGGUGGGCUAGGCAUGCUAUCACCUUACUGGGUUAUAUUGAUAACAAUGUUAUAACUCUUGGAAAUAUGUCUCAACCAUCAUAUCUGACCGAGAUUCAGAUCCGAUUGGUGUCAGGAUACAUCAGACAUCAGGAUGCCUGAGAAGAGAAGGUGCAACACAAUUUAACGAGAUGACACUGCGAGAAUCUCAGAAAUGAUCUAUGGAAGCGAGUUCCGAAGCAAGAGUUCAUCAUUAAACCAAGGAGAGGAUGAGGGGUGGCUGAUGAACUAACGGCAAUUCAUCGAGAUUUCCAAAAGAUGGAUUUCCACAAUCAUGUGAACAAAGAGUUAACAUUUGUCAGAUCAAACAAUAUAAUGAGGUGUGCUCGAGGAAAACAUACUCAAUUAAACAUUGGUGGAAAGCUGCACCCAAAAUAUGGGCUUAGGUAGCCUGAUCAAUGUUGGAACGGUGAUUCGAUAACCAAUAUUCUAAGAAUGAAAGGUCGACCAUUAACUUCAAAGCAAUAUGGUUGCUAGAAGUACAGAAUCCAAGCAACAACGUUCACCUGUUGGUAUCCCGGUUAGAAUCAACACGGGAACCAAGAAAGAAUGAUGAUGGUGAGGAGUAUCGCUAUACCAAGAAUUCUCAAGAGGUGGAGCAAUCCUCACAACAUACAUGUCAUCAAGGACAUUGAUACUUCAAGGUAGAAUAUCAUAAAAGCUAGAUAGCAAGUUGCAUCCAUAACAUGGACAAGUUUGUGUUGGGGGAAGGCAAGAAAGUGAUCGAUGAUAACACAAAUCAUCGAGGGCAAGGAUGGUACUUUUCAUUAUGAAUUCGAUUGAUAUCCUGCAAGAGCUCAAGAUGUGGGUGCUGAUGACGACACAUUUGUCGAGAGAUUUCAUGAAGAUGUAGUCUAUCGGCGAUGACAUCAAGUCAAAGGAAUUAUGAAGCAAAAGGUUAUCGGAACCAUGGGUACGACACAAACUCAAAAUCAAGCUUGUUGUUCAAGGUGAAAGAUAUGACGAGAAAGAUCAACGUAAGCUUAGCUCAUCGUUGAAAGUUGUGUUCCGGGAAGAAGGACCAGGUAGCACAGUUAAAAUUUAGCACGGUAAUGAUAUAGCCAACCGGGCUAGGAAUGACUUGAAGGAUUAUUAAACUCAUAAGCAGUAAAAAUUACUUAUAGUUAUUGAAUCGAAGUACAGACUCGAUUCACUGUCGGUGUCCUUGAGUGUCUAACAACUCAGAACCCGGGGAAAAUUUUGGAACCAGUGAGAAAUAAUACUUGAAGAAUAACUCAUAAGAAGUUAUGCAGUUCCAUGAUAAUCUCGAGAUACCAGGGGGUAAUACUCGACGACAGAUCAAAGUAGAGGUUGGACUAGGGAUUGCUCUGUAGAAGACAAGUGCUCAAACUUGCACGAGAAAUGGAAUCAAGGAGAAACAUGGUCGAAACCUCGUCCACAGGUACAAGAUGAACUUAUAACAAGUGGACAAUUAUUUUAAGAGAAGCUUCCAUGAUAAGGUAUACAUCGUGUCCAUGGGCAUGAACACAGGGUUCAAGGUCGACUCCCACUUAUUCAACACAUAACCUUUCAUGCACCUCUCGUAUUUCAAAAAUGACAUUAGUUCUUGAAAGUUUUUACCUGGUGCAAUACCAGAUACAUAUUACCCGUGAAAUCUUUCGGGUUCACACGGAUUAGGCAAGGCGUAGGUUCAACCCAUCAGGGCAUCUUAGGAACAUAUACCACAAACUUCGGAGUAAAUAAUACAAGCUUGAAAGUAGAGCAUGGUUGACAAAAGGGGAGGAUACAAUUUACCACAGGCAUUAUGUAUCGGAGAAAGAACUCACAAGGUGAUUAAUUUUGAAGGACACUGUCGGAUAAUAAUCCAACAGUGGAAUUGGCGAUCCACAAUGGAGCUGAUGUGAGUAUCGAUACCCAAUCAGAGGAAGAAAGAAUGCAAAUGCAUCGGUUUAUAGAACAUCUGAAUAAUUCAACGUUUAAAUAGCAAAGGAAUUAUGAUUUUCAAAUCAAGGGAUCGGGAGCAAAUGCUCUGAUUAGGGAUGGGUAAGUAGAAUAGCCUUAGGGGUACAUGCGACGACAUUUGGAUUUGUUGAGAACCAGCUCAUGUUUAAAAUGACGUCUGAGCCGGAAUGAUAAUUUAAAAGGAUCAACUGAUGAUUGCGUGCAUUCGCACUCAUGUUGAGUCAAUAGGAUCAAAAAGACGAUGCCUAAGGAUACUAACGAAUAUUUCCAGACAUAUGGAAAGCAUCCAUAAUGCAAGCAGGCAAGUAUUGCAGAGCAAUAAGCUACUAAGGAUUUUUGGAGGAUCGAAUAGUAUUUUGAAGACCAUUGUGAAACACAUGAACAACUGGGGAUGAGUGGAUACUCGACAAGUGCGAGGAUUUAAUUGAAGGGGUAUUCAUGUGGCAAGGAACUGCUAGGCAGUAGGCACAAAGUAUUCUCGGAACAAUAGAGAGAAUUUUGGGGCAUCUUGUAAUAACAAGAUCAAUGAGGAAUGAUUAUAUGAAUAGCACAUGUAGGUGGUUAUCCAUAGAGGUCUAUCGAUAGAAGGGAAUUGCAAAAGCAACAGGCACAAGGUCUCGACAGAAUAUCGGAGAGUAUCUUCGAAAUCUUCUAGUGUAGUCGGCGAUCAUCUGGAUUGAAAGGGCUCUCCGGGAGAAAGUAUUUUCGAGAACCUAAGUUAGAUUUUUAGUAAAUUCAUUAAACCCGAAUAGGAGGGAGUUCAGAGUCCCAGAGCAUAGACGAGGAAUAAAAGAUCCUAAUACCACCCAAUGGCGACGUGGGCCCAUAGGCCACACAGCCAUGUUAGUAAAGGUUUUGCAAUGACUAGACUCAACUUCGGCCAAGGAGGUGGAAAGGGGAUUCCUACAGGCAGUCGGCUCUGAUACCAACUUGUGACACCCCCGAUUUAAUCGUACACUAAUCAUACACGCAAACGUGUACGAUCAAGAUCAGGGACUCACGGGAAGAUAUCACAACACAACUCUACAAAUAAAAUAAGUCAUACAAGCAUCAUAUUACAAGCCAGGCGCCUCGAAGGCUCGAAUACAAGAGCUCGAUCAUAGACGAGUCAGCGGAAGCAACAAUAUCUGAGUACAGACAUAAGUUAAACAAGUUUGCCUUAAGAAGGCUAGCACAAACUGGGAUACAGAUCGAAAGAGGCGCAUGCCUCCUGCCUGGGAUCCUCCUAACUACUCCUGGUCGUCGUUCUGAGGGCAGCACAUAGUAGUAGGCACCUCCAGUGUAGUAGGAGUCGUCGUCGACGAUGGCGUCUGGAUCCUGGGCUCCAGCAUCUGGUUGCGACAACCAGGUAGAAGGGAUAGAGGGAAAAGAAGGAGAAAGCAACCGUCAGUACUCAUCCAAAGUACUCGCAAGCAAGGAGCUACACUACAUAUGUAUGCGUUGGUAUCAACUGGAAUAAGGCUAUUAUAUGUGGAUUGAACUGCAGAAAGCCGGAAUACGAGGGGGAUAGCUAGUCCUUUCGAAGACUACGCUUCCGGUAACCUCCAGCUUGCAGCAUGUAGAAGAGAGUAGACGGAAGUCCUCCAAGUAGCAUCGCAUAGCAUAAACCUAACCGAUGAUCCUCCCCUCGUCGCCCUAUGAGAGAGCGAUCACCGGUUUUAUCUGGCUCUUGGAAGGGUGUGUUUUAUUACGGUUCUAGUUGUCAUAAGGUCAAGGUACAACUCCGGGUCGUCCUUUUACCGAGGGACACGGCUAUUCGAAUAGAUAAACUUCCCUGCAGGGGUGCACCACAUAACCCAACACGCUCGAUCCCAUUUGGCCGAACACACUUUUCUAGGUCAUGCCCGUCCUCGGAAGAUCAACACGUCGCAGCCCUACCUAGGCACAACAGAGAGGUCAGCACGCCGGUCUAAAUCCUAUGGCGCAGGGGUCUGGCCCCAUCGCCCUUUGCACACCUGCAUGUUGCGGACGCGGCCGGAAGCAGACCUAGCCUAGUGGCGUUCUAGUCCAAUCCGGCGCGCGCCACUCAGUCGCUGACGUCACGAAGGCUUCGGCUGAUACCACGACGUUGAGUGCCCAUAACUGUCCCCACGUAGAUGGUUAGUGCGUAUAAGCCAGAUGGCCAGACUCAGAUCAAAUACCCAGAUCUCGUUAAGCGUGUUAAGUAUCUGCGAACGCCGACCAGGGCCAGGCCCACCUCUCUCCUAGGUGGUCUGAACCUGCCCGGUCGCUUCGCCACAAAGUAACAGUCGGGGGCCGUCGGGAACCCAGGCCCACCUCUACCGGGAUGGAGCCACCUGCCCCUUUAGCCCCCAACUCCGAACAGUACCAUAGGUAAUGUAACAGUGUAAAGUAUAUAGUAAAUGCCCGUGAUCACCUCCCGAAGUGAUCACGGCCCAGUAGUAUAGCAUGGCAGACGGACAAGAGUGUAGGGCCACUAAUGGAACACUAGCAUCCUAUACUAAGCAGUAGGAUAGCAGGUAAUGGUAAUAAUAUUAGUAGCAAGGACAGGCUAUGCAUCAGGAUAGGAAUAACGGAAAGCAGUAACAUGCUACACUACUCUAAUGCAAGCAGUAUAGAGAAGAGUAGGCGAUAUCUGGUGAUCAAAGGGGGGGCUUGCCUGGUUGCUCUGGCAAGAGAGAGGGGUCGUCAACACCGUAGUCGUACUGUGUAGCAGCAACGUCGGUCUCGGUGUCUAGCGAGAGAAGAGGGGGAGGAAACAAUAAAUAUAAUGCAAACAAAUGCAUGACGAUGCAUGACACGACAAAGCGUGAUGCUAGGUGUGCCCUAACGUGGUACGAGGUGGUACCGGUGAAGGGGGGAAACAUCCGAGAAAGUAUUCCCGGUGUUUCACAUUUACGGACAGAGGAGUCAGAGGGGGAAAGUUGCGUGUUCGGUAUGCUAGGGAGGCGUGGUGGACGAACGAGUUGCGUAUCCGGGUUCGUCUCGUCGUUCUGAGCAACUUUCAUGUUGAAAAUAAUUUAAUCCGAGUUACGUAUUAAAAGAUAUGGUUUUCUAAAGAUUUUACUAAUUUCUGGAAUUUAAUUAAUUAUUUAAUUUAAUUUGAAAUAUGGAUUUAUGACAUCAGCAUGAUGUCAUGCUGACAUCAGCAGUCAACAUGGGUUGACUGGGUCAACUGACGCGUGGGUCCAGUGGGACCCAUGAAGGAAAUAUGCCCUAGAGGCAAUAAUAAAGUUAUUAUUUAUUUCCUUAUAUCAUGAUAAGAGUUUAUUAUUCAUGCUAGAAUUGUAUUAACCGGAAACAUAAUACAUGUGUGAAUACAUAGACCAACAGAGUGUCACUAGUAUGCCUCUACUUGACUAGCUCGUUAAUCAAAGAUGGUUAUGUUUCCUAACCAUGAACAAAGAGUUGUUAUUUGUUUAACGAGGUCACAUCAUUAGUAGAAUGAUCUGAUUGACAUGACCCAAUCCAUUAGCUUAGCACCCGAUCGUUUAGUAAGUUGCUAUUGCUUUCUUCAUGACUUAUACAUGUUCCUAUAACUAUGAGAUUAUGCAACUCCCGUUUACCGGAGGAACACUUUGGGUACUACCAAACGUCACAACGUAACUGGGUGAUUAUAAAGGAGUAUUACAGGUGUCUCCAAUGGUAGAUGUUGGGUUGGCGUAUUUCGAGAUUAGGGUUUGUCACUCCGAUUGACGGAGAGGUAUCUCUGGGCCCUCUCGGUAAUACACAUCACAUAAGCCUUGCAAGCACUGCAACUAAUAAGUUAGUUGUGAGAUGAUGUAUUACGGAACGAGUAAAGAGACUUGCCGGUAACGAGAUUGAACUAGGUAUUGGAUACCGACGAUCGAAUCUCGGGCAAGUAACAUACCGAUGACAAAGGGAACAACGUAUGUUGUUAUGCGGUCUGACCGAUAAAGAUCUUUGUAGAAUAUGUAGGAGCCAAUAUGGGCAUCCAGGUCCCGCUAUUGGUUAUUGACCGGAAGCGUGUCUCGGUCAUGUCUACAUUGUUCUCGAACCGUAGGGUCCGCACGCUUAACGUUACGAUGACAGUUAUUAUGAGUUUAUGCAUUUUGAUGUACCGAAGGUUGUUCGGAGUCCCGGAUGAGAUCACGGACAUGACGAGGAGUCUCGAAAUGGUCGAGACGUAAAGAUUGAUAUAUUGGAAGCCUAUGUUUGGGCACCGGAAGCGUUCCGGGUGAAAUCGGGAUUUUACCGGAAUACCGGGAGGGUUACCGGAACCCCCCGGGAGACUAAUGGGCCUAUUGGGCCUUAGUGGAAAAGAGAAAAGGGAAGCCCACUAGCUGGCCAGCGCCCCCCUAGAGUCCUAUUAGGAAUAGGACAAGGGGCCGGCCCCCCUUCUCUCUCUUUUUCCCCGGGAGUCCUAAUAGGAUUAGGAUUAGGGGGAGGAGUCCUACUCCCGGUGGGAGUAGGACUCCCCUGCGCCUCCUCUCUCCUAGCCGGCCGAACCCCCUGCCCCUGGCCUUUUAUAUACGGGGGCAGGGGGCACCCCAAGACACACAACUUGAUCCUUGAGAUCGUUCCUUAGCCGUGUGCGGUGCCCCCUGCCACCAAAUUCCACCUCGAUCGUACCGUUGUAGUGCUUAGGCGAAGCCCUGCGUCAGUAGUACAUCAAGAUCGUCAACACGCCAUCGUGCUGACGGAACUCUUCCUCGACGCUUUGCUGGAUCGGAGCCCGAGGAACGUCAUCGAGCUGAACGUGUGCUAAGAACUCGGAGGUACCGGAGUAACGGUGCUUGGAUCGGUCGGAUCGGGAAGAAGACGUACGACUACUUCCUCUACGUUGUGUGAUCGCUUCCGCAGUCGGUCUGCGUUGGUACGUAGACAACACUCUCCUCUCUCGUUGCUGUGCAUCACCAUGAUCUUGCGUGUGCGUAGGAAAAUUUUUGAAAUUACUGCGUUACCGAACAGUGGCAUCUGAGCCUGGUUUUAUGGUUUGAUGUUAUAUGCACGAGUAGAACACAAGUGAGUUGUGGGCGAUACAAGUCAGACUGCCUACCAGCAUGUCAUACUUUGGUUCGGCGGUAUUGUUGGUUGAGACGAUCCGGACCAACCUUACGCGUACUCUUACGCGAGACCGGUUCCCUCGACGUGCUUUGCACAUAGAUGGCUUGCGGAAGACUGUCUCUCCAACUUUAGUUGAACCAAGUGUGACUACGCCCGGUCCUUGAGAAGGUUAAAACAGAGUCUAUUUGACGAACUAUCGUUGUGGUUUUGAUGCGUAGGUGAGAUGAGUUCUUACUUAAGCCCGUAGCAGCCACGUAAAACUUGCAACAACAAAGUAGAGGACGUCUAACUUGUUUUUGCAGUGUAUGUUGUGAUGUGAUAUGGUCAAGGCAUGAUGCUGAUUUUAUUGUAUGAGAUGAUCAUGUUUUGUAACUAAGUUAUCGGCAACUGGCAGGAGCCAUAUGGUUGUCGCUUUAUUGUAUGCAAUGCAAUCGCGAUGUAAUGCUUUACUAGAUUACUAAACGGUAGUAAUAGUCGUGGAAGCAUAAGAUUGGCAAGACGACAACGAUGCUACGAUGGAGAUCAAAGUGUCGCGCCGGUGACGAUGGUGAUCAUGACGGUGCUUCGGAGAUGGAGAUCACAAGCACAAGAUGAUGAUGGCCAUAUCAUAUCACUUAUAUUGAUUGCAUGUGAUGUUUAUCCUUUUAUGCAUCUUAUCUUGCUUUGAUUGACGGUAGCAUUAUAAGAUGAUCUCUCACUAAAUUAUCAAGAAGUGUUCUCCCUGAGUAUGCACCGUUGCCAAAGUUCGUCGUGCCCAGACACCACGUGAUGAUCGGGUGUGAUAAGCUCUACGUCCAUCUACAACGGGUGCAAGCCAGUUUUGCACACGCAGAAUACUCAGGUUAUACUUGACGAGCCUAGCAUAUGCAGAUAUGGCCUCGGAACACAGAGACCGAAAGGUCGAGCGUGAAUCAUAUAGUAGAUAUGAUCAACAUAACGAUGUUCACCAUUGAAAACUACUCCAUCUCACGUGAUGAUCGGUUAUGGUUUAGUUGCUUUGGAUCACGUGAUCACUUAGAAGAUUAGAGGGAUGUCUAGCUAAGUGGGAGUUCCUAAGUAAUUUGAUUAACUGAACUUAAACUUAUCAUGAACUUAGUACCUGAUAGUAUCUUGCUUGUUUAUGUUGCUUGUAGAUAGAUGGCUCGUGCUAUUGUUCCGUUGAAUUUUAAUGCGUUCCUUGAGAAAGCAAAGUUGAAAGAUGAUGGUAGCAAUUACACGGACUGGGUCUGUAACCUGAGGAUUAUCCUCAUUGCUGCACAGAAGAAUUACGUCCUGGAAGCACCGCUGGGUGACAGGCCUGCUGCUGGAGCAACGCCAGAUGUUAUGAACGUCUGGCAGAGCAAAGCUGAUGACUACUCGAUAGUUCAGUGUGCCAUGCUUUACGGCUUAGAAUCGGGACUUCAACGACGUUUUGAACGUCAUGGAGCAUAUGAGAUGUUCCAGGAGUUGAAGUUAAUAUUUCAAGCAAAUGCCCGAAUUGAGAGAUAUGAAGUCUCCAAUAAGUUCUAUAGCUGUAAGAUGGAGGAGAACAGUUCUGUCAGUGAGCAUAUACUCAAAAUGUCUGGGUAUAAUAAUCACUUGAUUCAGAUGGGAGUUAAUCUUCCAGAUGAUUGCAUCAUUGACAGAAUUCUCCAAUCACUACCACCAAGCUACAAGAGCUUCGUGAUGAACUAUAAUAUGCAAGGGAUGAACAAGACUAUUCCCGAGCUCUUCGCAAUGCUGAAAGCUGCGGAGGUAGAAAUCAAAAAGGAGCAUCAAGUGUUGAUGGUUAGCAAGACCACUAGUUUCAAGAAAAAGGGUAAAGGGAAGAAGAAGGGAAACUUCAAGAAGAACAGCAAGCAAGUUGCUGCUCAAGAGAAGAAACCCAAGUCUGGACCUAAGCCUGAAGCUGAGUGCUUCUACUGCAAGCAGACUGGUCACUGGAAGCGGAACUGCCCCAAGUAUUUGGCGGAUAAGAAGGAUGGCAAAGUGAGCAAAGGUAUAUGUGAUAUACAUGUUAUUGAUGUGUACCUUACUAGAGCUCGCAGUAGCACCUGGGUAUUUGAUACUGGUUCUGUUGCUAAUAUUUGCAACUCGAAACAGGGACUACGGAAUAAGCGGACACUAGCAAAGGACGAGGUGACGAUGCGCGUGGGAAACGGUUCCAAAGUCGAUGUGAUCGCGGUCGGCACGCUGCCUCUACAUCUACCUUCGGGAUUAAUAUUAGACCUAAAUAAUUGUUAUUUGGUGCCAGCGUUGAGCAUGAACAUUAUAUCUGGAUCUUGUUUAAUGCGAGACGGUUAUUCAUUUAAAUCAGAGAAUAAUGGUUGUUCUAUUUAUAUGAAUAAUAUCUUUUAUGGUCAUGCACCUUUGAAGAGUGGUCUAUUCUUGUUGAAUCUCGAAGAUAGUGAUACACAUAUUCAUAAUGUAGAAGCCAAAAGAUGCAAAGUUAAUAAUGAUAGUGCAACUUAUUUGUGGCACUGCCGUUUAGGUCAUAUCGGUGUAAAGCGCAUGAAGAAACUCCAUACUGAUGGGCUUUUGGAAUCACUUGAUUAUGAAUCACUUGGUACUUGCGAACCGUGCCUCAUAGGCAAGAUGACUAAAACACCGUUCUCCGGUACUAUGGAGAGAGCAACAGAUUUGUUGGAAAUCAUACAUACCGAUGUAUGUGGUCCGAUGAAUAUUGAGGCUCGCGGCGGAUAUCGUUAUUUUUCACCUUCACAGAUGAUUUAAGCAGAUAUGGGUAUAUCUACUUAAUGAAACACAAGUCUGAAACAUUUGAAAAGUUCAAGGAAUUUCAGAGUGAAGUUGAAAAUCAUCGUAACAAGAAAAUAAAAUUUCUACGAUCUGAUCGUGGAGGAGAAUAUUUGAGUUACGAGUUUGGUGUACAUUUGAAAAAUUGUGGAAUAGUUUCGCAACUCACGCCACCCGGAACACCACAGCGUAAUGGUGUGUCCGAACGUCGUAAUCGUACUUUACUAGAUAUGGUGCGAUCAAUGAUGUCUCUUACUGAUUUACCGCUAUCGUUUUGGGGUUAUGCUUUAGAGACGGCCGCAUUCACGUUAAAUAGGGCACCAUCAAAAUCCGUUGAGACGACGCCUUAUGAACUAUGGUUUGGCAAGAAACCAAAGUUGUCGUUUCUCAAAGUUUGGGGCUGCGAUGCUUAUGUGAAAAAGCUUCAACCUGAUAAGCUCGAACCCAAAGCGGAGAAAUGUGUCUUCAUAGGAUACCCAAAGGAAACUGUUGGGUAUACCUUCUAUCACAGAUCCGAAGGCAAGACAUUCGUUGCUAAGAAUGGAUCAUUUCUAGAGAAGGAGUUUCUCUCGAAAGAAGUGAGUGGGAGGAAAGUAGAACUUGACGAGGUAACUAUACCUGCUCCCUUAUUGGAAAGUAGUACAUCACAGAAAACUGUUUCUGCGACACCUAUACCAAUCAGUGAGAAAGCUAAUGAUGAUGAUCAUGAAGCUUCAGAACAAGAUACUACUGAACCACGUAGAUCAACCAGAGUGAGAUCCGCACCAGAGUGGUACGGUAAUCCACUUCUGGAAGUCAUGAUGCUAGAUCAUGAUGAACCUACGAACUAUGAAGAAGCGAUGGUGAGCCCAGAUUCCGCAAAGUGGCUUGAGGCCAUGAAAUCUGAGAUGGGAUCCAUGUAUGAGAACAAAGUAUGGACUUUGGUUGACUUGCCCGAUGAUCGGCAAGCAAUUGAGAAUAAAUGGAUCUUCAAGAAAAAGACUGACGCUGACGGUAAUGUUACUGUCUAUAAAGCUCGACUUGUCGCAAAAGGUUUUCGACAAGUUCAAGGGGUUGACUACGAUGAGACUUUCUCACCCGUAGCGAUGCUUAAAUCCGUCAGAAUUAUGUUAGCAAUUGCCGCAUUUUAUAAUUAUGAAAUAUGGCAGAUGGAUGUCAAAGCUGCAUUCCUGAAUGGAUUUCUGGAAGAAGAGUUGUAUAUGGUACAACCAGAAGGUUUUGUCGAUCCAAAAGGAGCUAACAAAGUAUGCAAACUCCAGCGAUCCAUUUAUGGACUGGUGCAAGCAUCUCGGAGUUGGAAUAAACGCUUUGAUAGUGUGAUCAAAGCAUUUGGCUUUAUACAGACUUUUGGAGAAGCCUGUAUUUACAAGAAAGUGAGUGGGAGCUCUGUAGCAUUUCUGAUAUUAUAUGUGGAUGACAUAUUGCUGAUUGGAAAUGAUAUAGAAUUUUUGGAUAGCAUAAAGGGAUACUUGAAUAAAAGUUUUUCGAUGAAAGACCUUGGGGAAGCUGCUUACAUAUUAGGCAUAAAGAUCUAUAGAGAUAGAUCAAAACGCUUAAUUGGACUUUCACAGAGCACAUACCUUGACAAGAUUUUGAAGAAAUUCAAAAUGGAUCAAGCAAAGAAAGGGUUCUUGCCUGUGUUACAAGGUGUGAAGUUGAGUAAGACUCAAUGCCCGACCACUGCAGAAGAUAGAGAGAAAAUGAAAGAUGUUACCUAUGCUUCAGCCAUAGGCUCUAUCAUGUAUGCAAUGCUGUGUACCAGACCUGAUGUGUGCCUUGCUAUAAGUUUAGCAGGGAGGUACCAAAGUAAUCCUGGAAUGGAUCACUGGACAGCGGUCAAGAACAUCCUAAAAUACCUGAAAAGGACUAAGGAUAUGUUUCUCGUAUAUGGAGGUGACAAAGAGCUCACCGUAAGAGGUUACGUUGAUGCAAGCUUUGACACUGAUCCGGACGAUUCUAAAUCGCAAACCGGAUACGUGUUUACUUUAAACGGUGGAGCUGUCAGUUGGUGCAGUUCUAAACAAAGCGUCGUAGCGGGAUCUACAUGUGAAGCGGAGUACAUAGCCGCUUCGGAAGCAGCGAACGAAGGAGUCUGGAUGAAGGAGUUCAUAUCCGAUCUAGGUGUCAUACCUAGUGCAUCGGGUCCAAUGAAAAUCUUCUGUGACAAUACUGGUGCAAUUGCCUUGGCAAAGGAAUCCAGAUUUCACAAGAGGACCAAACACAUCAAGAGACGCUUCAACUCCAUCCGGGAUUUAGUCCAGGUGGGAGACAUAGAGAUUUGCAAGAUACAUACGGAUCUGAAUGUUCCAGACCCGUUGACUAAGCCUCUUCCACGAGCAAAACAUGAUCAGCACCAAGGCUCCAUGGGUGUUAGAAUCAUUACUGUAUAAUCUAGAUUAUUGACUCUAGUGCAAGUGGGAGACUGAAGGAAAUAUGCCCUAGAGGCAAUAAUAAAGUUAUUAUUUAUUUCCUUAUAUCAUGAUAAGAGUUUAUUAUUCAUGCUAGAAUUGUAUUAACCGGAAACAUAAUACAUGUGUGAAUACAUAGACCAACAGAGUGUCACUAGUAUGCCUCUACUUGACUAGCUCGUUAAUCAAAGAUGGUUAUGUUUCCUAACCAUGAACAAAGAUUUGUUAUUUGUUUAACGAGGUCACAUCAUUAGUAGAAUGAUCUGAUUGACAUGACCCAAUCCAUUAGCUUAGCACCCGAUCGUUUAGUAAGUUGCUAUUGCUUUCUUCAUGACUUAUACAUGUUCCUAUAACUAUGAGAUUAUGCAACUCCCGUUUACCGGAGGAACACUUUGGGUACUACCAAACGUCACAACGUAACUGGGUGAUUAUAAAGGAGUAUUACAGGUGUCUCCAAUGGUAGAUGUUGGGUUGGCGUAUUUCGAGAUUAGGGUUUGUCACUCCGAUUGACGGAGAGGUAUCUCUGGGCCCUCUCGGUAAUACACAUCACAUAAGCCUUGCAAGCACUGCAACUAAUAAGUUAGUUGUGAGAUGAUGUAUUACGGAACGAGUAAAGAGACUUGCCGGUAACGAGAUUGAACUAGGUAUUGGAUACCGACGAUCGAAUCUCGGGCAAGUAACAUACCGAUGACAAAGGGAACAACGUAUGUUGUUAUGCGGUCUGACCGAUAAAGAUCUUCGUAGAAUAUGUAGGAGCCAAUAUGGGCAUCCAGGUCCCGCUAUUGGUUAUUGACCGGAAGCGUGUCUCGGUCAUGUCUACAUUGUUCUCGAACCGUAGGGUCCGCACGCUUAACGUUACGAUGACAGUUAUUAUGAGUUUAUGCAUUUUGAUGUACCGAAGGUUGUUCGGUGUCCCGGAUGAGAUCACGGACAUGACGAGGAGUCUCGAAAUGGUCGAGACGUAAAGAUUGAUAUAUUGGAAGCCUAUGUUUGGGCACCGGAAGCGUUCCGGGUGAAAUCGGGAUUUUACCGGAAUACCGGGAGGGUUACCGGAACCCCCCGGGAGACUAAUGGGCCUAUUGGGCCUUAGUGGAAAAGAGAAAAGGGAAGCCCACUAGCUGGCCGGCGCCCCCUAGAGUCCUAUUAGGAAUAGGACAAGGGGCCGGCCCCCCUUCUCUCUCUUUUUCCCCGGGAGUCCUAAUAGGAUUAGGAUUAGGGGGAGGAGUCCUACUCCCGGUGGGAGUAGGACUCCCCUGCGCCUCCUCUCUCCUCGCCGGCCGAACCCCCUGCCCCUGGCCUUUAUAUACGGGGGCAGGGGGCACCCCAAGACACACAACUUGAUCCUUGAGAUCGUUCCUUAGCCGUGUGCGGUGCCCCCUGCCACCAAAUUCCACCUCGAUCGUACCGUUGUAGUGCUUAGGCGAAGCCCUGCGUCGGUAGUACAUCAAGAUCGUCAUCACGCCGUCGUGCUGACGGAACUCUUCCUCGACGCUUUGCUGGAUCGGAGCCCGAGGAACGUCAUCGAGCUGAACGUGUGCUAAGAACUCGGAGGUACCGGAGUAACGGUGCUUGGAUCGGUCUGAUCGGGAAGAAGACGUACGACUACUUCCUCUACGUUGUGUGAUCGCUUCCGCAGUCGGUCUGCGUUGGUACGUAGACAACACUCUCCUCUCUCGUUGCUGUGCAUCACCAUGAUCUUGCGUGUGCGUAGGAAAUUUUUUGAAAUUACUGCGUUACCCAACAACCCACCUGUCAUACUCUGUUAGGUUAAUUAGGGUUUAGUUAAUUGAUUAGGCUAAUCUAAUCAGGAUUACUUUGUUUAAGUAAUUCUUCAAUUAAUUAAUUAUCAUUUUAACUAAUUUAAUUAUUAUUUAUUAAUUCAUUCAUUUUUUUAAAUUAUUAUUUUUAUUUCGUUCUCGUUUCAGGGGGGCGUGGGGCCCCGCACACGGGGCCACCGCGGGGCUGUUGCCAGCGGGCGCUGGGGCGCUGGGUGCGGGCGCACCCGAGCGGGCACUCGCCCGCAGGGCGGGACGAGGCUGCCGAGGCAUCGACAGCGGGGCAAGCCNNNNNNNNNNNNNNNNNNNNNNNNNNNNNNNNNNNNNNNNNNNNNNNNNNNNNNNNNNNNNNNNNNNNNNNNNNNNNNNNNNNNNNNNNNNNNNNNNNNNNNNNNNNNNNNNNNNNNNNNNNNNNNNNNNNNNNNNNNNNNNNNNNNNNNNNNNNNNNNNNNNNNNNNNNNNNNNNNNNNNNNNNNNNNNNNNNNNNNNNNNNNNNNNNNNNNNNNNNNNNNNNNNNNNNNNNNNNNNNNNNNNNNNNNNNNNNNNNNNNNNNNNNNNNNNNNNNNNNNNNNNNNNNNNNNNNNNNNNNNNNNNNNNNNNNNNNNNNNNNNNNNNNNNNNNNNNNNNNNNNNNNNNNNNNNNNNNNNNNNNNNNNNNNNNNNNNNNNNNNNNNNNNNNNNNNNNNNNNNNNNNNNNNNNNNNNNNNNNNNNNNNNNNNNNNNNNNNNNNNNNNNNNNNNNNNNNNNNNNNNNNNNNNNNNNNNNNNNNNNNNNNNNNNNNNNNNNNNNNNNNNNNNNNNNNNNNNNNNNNNNNNNNNNNNNNNNNNNNNNNNNNNNNNNNNNNNNNNNNNNNNNNNNNNNNNNNNNNNNNNNNNNNNNNNNNNNNNNNNNNNNNNNNNNNNNNNNNNNNNNNNNNNNNNNNNNNNNNNNNNNNNNNNNNNNNNNNNNNNNNNNNNNNNNNNNNNNNNNNNNNNNNNNNNNNNNNNNNNNNNNNNNNNNNNNNNNNNNNNNNNNNNNNNNNNNNNNNNNNNNNNNNNNNNNNNNNNNNNNNNNNNNNNNNNNNNNNNNNNNNNNNNNNNNNNNNNNNNNNNNNNNNNNNNNNNNNNNNNNNNNNNNNNNNNNNNNNNNNNNNNNNNNNNNNNNNNNNNNNNNNNNNNNNNNNNNNNNNNNNNNNNNNNNNNNNNNNNNNNNNNNNNNNNNNNNNNNNNNNNNNNNNNNNNNNNNNNNNNNNNNNNNNNNNNNNNNNNAGUGGCCCAGUGGGGGGGGGGGUUGUUUUAUUCCUUUCCCUUUUAUACCUUUUCACACUUUUCUUCUUUUGUUUUAUUUUAGUUACACGUUAAUUUUAAUUUUAGACAAAUAUAUCUAUAGCCCCUAAAAUAAUGUUUCAGAACAAUCCACUACUAUAAAAAGUUUUACCCUGAUAAAAUAGUCUAGUAUUUUAUAAAAUACCAAAGUCGUUUAAAUAGUUGUUUAGCUACUAUUUAAAUCAUUUUAGUGCUUUAAAUCAUUUUACUAAAAUGUGGUUCCUCCACCAUUUGGACUUAGGAUUUAUUUGUCCCAUUUUGAACAUUUUAGUCUUGACGUUUGAAGAAUUUACCGUUUGACUCGAUUUUGAAUUUGAAUUUGAAUCGGUGUCGAACUAACACGAGAUUAGCAACAGUAACCAUCAUGACGUGGCAUCAUUAACAGAGGUUUACUGUAUCUCAAAUACCCGGGCGUCACAAUGUGCCUAAUAUUGCAGGAGAUGAGGUGGCUCUGGCUGCAUUAAAAUUUUUAGCCCAAAAUAAGAAGAUUAGUGAUAUUUUCCUUGAGCAACACGACAAGGGAUUGGUUCCUCAUUAUGAGGCAAUAAUAGCUAGGGUUUUGAAAGAAGACCAAGUGUUGCCGAUUGAUCAAAUUGUCGAGAGAAAAUAUUCAACAAUGAUGCAGAUGCCUUCACCUAUCAUUGCAACAUGUUAUACACCCCCUGUACAAGCGCAAAAUUUCGGCAACAUCAAUUCAUUGCCGAAAGAUCCUAAAAGUAUUGGGGGGCAAGCCGAUCCAAGCAGGGUUGAGUUUAAAGAAAAAUAUCUAGCCCAGGUGGACAAGAUCAAGCCAAAGCUCACAGGGAAUAGAGUCAACGAAUUUACUACACCUACCCUUGAGGAAUUACCAGCAGAAUAUCAACAGGCCUACGAAGCACUCAAGAAGAAACGUGGAGAGAGAUAUUUGCAAGAAUACGUCAAGUGCCUUCCUCCAUGUAGCAACCAUGUUGGCCCUUCUACACUAUUGAGGCAAGAUAAAAAAGAAGCUUUGCAAGCAAACCAGCAAAAAAGGAUUCACUCGGCUAAUACGGUGGAUUCGGUUGAAACCGGAUUGAGCAACAGGAUGUUUAAGGCCGAGUGCGUUGCAUCGUGCCAGCCGAGUGCAUCGUUCCAGACGAGUGCAUCACCAGCUAAAGCCGAGUGCAUCAAGCCAACUAUUGCCUCGUGUACGAAAAUAGAAGAUGCAAGCUUGGCUGAGCAAAGGAACGACAAACGCAACAAAUUGGUUGUGCUCGAUUUUUCUGGAUGUAAGGGAGCUUACAUGCUACCUUAUGAGUUUCAUGCUAAAGAUAUUGAUGAGCAUCAAGAACACAGUAAUGGCUGAACACAGUUCAGUUAACGAUGAACAUCAAGACCAAGAAAAUGCGGCCGAGCAAAGUUCAACUGACAAAGAGCGUCCGAGUGAAAUCCACUCGGGCAAUCCGACUGAAAUAUACUCGGGCAAUUCAAGUGAAAUAUACUCGGGCAACCUGAGUGAUGAGGCACCAGAUCCAGAAAAAGAGGAAGAGGCAUUGGAGAAUUAUUCAGAAGUGGAGCAAUGUAUUGUUCCAGUGGUACAACCAUCUUCUCCUUCCAACGUCUUCACAAAGGUACACCUAGCAGAUAGUUUACUCAAUUUUCGAUUUGGUCAAAAUCAUAUUGUUGAUGCACCUAUUAGUAAGAUUCUAAUUAAUUUUGAAAGACCAAUUGAAAUGAGUAAUCUUUUUGUUAGGAAGGAUCUUGUCACUAAUCAUGAUAGUCAACACAUGGUAUCGUUCAUAGAGGUUAAUAGUGACAACUUAUCAAAACCAAAGUUGUUCUUGUCAUGCCAACUGAACUUUGUAUUCAUAUGGACAACUUUGUUUGUUUCAUGCCUAGCUAACAUUUGGACUCCUAUGAGCCGUAUAUUCUGUAAUUAUUUUAGUUGCAGAAACAUAAAGUCAGGUCCAAAGUCCUUCGAAGCCGAUUCAAAUGCAUCAGGAAAAGAAGAUGAAUCUUUCCCAAUUGAUAAAAUUGGCGAGCAAAAAUAUGGUUUUACAACAAUGCAUAUGCCUUCACCUAAUACUACAUCAUAUUAUACAGCCCCUACACAAUUGCAAAGUUUCGGCAACACCCAUGUGCCAUUGCCGAAAGAAUCUAAAAGCAAUGGGGGACAAUCGUAUCCGAAGUGGGCUGAAAAUGAGAAAAAGAUUAAAGCCAAUUUCGCCGCUCGCCGGCAGAAACAAAAAGAAACAGAAUUGGCUCAAGUGAAAGAAGCAUUGCCAAUUGGUAGAAGCAAUGUAAAGAAAGAUGAUUCAGAACAUGAAAGUACUAAGGUUAAAAGAGCCGAAUCAAGGAGUAUAUAUUCUGAAUCCAUCAAAUGCAAAGAGGCAAGCAUUAUUGAGAAAGGGCAUGGCAAGCAUAGCAAAGCGACCAUACUUGAUUUUUCUAAAGUUAAUGGAACCUACUUCCUGCCCUAUGAGUUUUGUGCCAGAGAAAUUGAUGAACUUCAAGGACAAGAAUAAGUAGCCGAACAAAGUUCGGCCGACAAAAAUCUUCAAUGUAAUGAUGCACGAAAUCAACAAAAAGAUGAUGAAGAAGCGUUGGGGAGCCAUCCAAAGGCGGAGCAAGAUAUUGUUCAAGUCACACCACCAUCGUGCUCUCCCAACAUAUUUGAAGAGGUAUGUUUAGCAAGUAAUUUACCUAUUUUCAGAUUUGGUCAGGACUUUAUUGUUGAUGCAUCUAUUAGAAAAAUCCUCAUAAGUAAUUUUGAAAGACCAAUGAAGCAGGGUAAUUUACUUGCUAGCAAUAAAGUUGUUAUUGAGCAUAUCGGUCAACCCAUUACGCCAUUUAUAAAGACCGAUAGUGACUUAUUAUUACAGCCAAAGUUUUCCCCGUUGCUUUAUCUAAAGUUCAUAUCUAUUUGGGUAGCUUUGCUUAUUUCAUACUUGGCUUGCACUUGGUCCCAAUUGAGACAUGUGUGUUCUAACUAUUUUCGUUUUAGAAAUUUAAAGCCAAGAUUAAAUUCUGUUGAGAAAACCGAUGCUAGUAUAAUAUCUUACCCAAAGACAUCGGAGAUAGAUUGCAAAACACAAUGCAUAGCCGAAUGGUGUGAUGCAAAAUCUGAACCAUUCGUUUGCUUCAUUCCGAAGCCGUUCUCACAGCAAGAUCGGCUAGAAAACAAGAAGUAUACCUUCAAUUCAAGCAUGUGUGUUCAAAUAUUUGAUUUGUUGCUGAAAAAUAAUUACAUUACAAUUCUUGAUCACCAUGUUAAGCCAUCAAUCCAAGGACGAAUGUAUUGUAAGUUGCAUGAUUCGUCCAAGCAUAAUUUUGAGGAUUGCAACAUGUUUCGUCAAAUAGUUAAAUCGGCCAUUGAAAAAGGACGAUUGAAGUUUGUUGAAACACCAAGAGAUGACCAGUCUAUUCCGAUUGGUCCCGAUGGCAAAAAGUUUUUGCAUCGACUGCUUCAAGCCGAUCCAUUUAAAGAGAAGGUAAAAACUGCAGGUGAUGGGAUCAAGCUUUCAAGUAAAGAAGUUGUUGAAGAGCAUAAUGAACAUAAUCUUGAGGGUGAGAAUUCCAUCCAAGCUACAAUGGAGACGCCAAGGACUGGGGGGCAGCAAGCAAAUCCAACGAUCGAUGAAAGAAAACCAAAAGAAAACAAAGGCCGAAAUAAGCGCAAGUGUAAAAGAUCAAAAAUCACCUUCGAUGAACUAUUUGAGAAAUAUCAAAAGAAGAGUGAAGAGAAGAAUGCUUAUCGGCCCAAUCAUGCAAAGAAACCAAGAUCACCCCCAAGGCGCAAAUAUGAGGAUCGGUAUUGGCAAUGUGAGAGUUUCAAUGCAACAUAUUCAUAUCCUUAUUUUGGGCCGCCAAUGCCAAUGCCGUGGAUGCCUCCCUAUGCUCAUGUAGAUCCAUAUUCAUCAUGGGACAGGUAUGAUACAAGGGCACAUUCUCCAUCUUAUUUUAGACCAUCUCACCAAUAUUAUGCAGCUCCGAGAAGAUCAACAUUUGAACAGUCACAUGUUAAAGACCGUUUCAAUUAUAAGGAAUCGGUCCGGACACCAUGGAUGAAAAAAGAGGUGGUCAAGCAAGUCUACCGCGUGAAACUAUGAAGGACCGAGCCGAAGGAUUCAACAUCUUUGGUCUACACAUUAUCCAAAUUCUUCAACUAUGUCGUUAACGCCUAUGCCAUGGAAUUCGUCAUCAGGUAUGAUCGGUAACCCUCAAUGGGCUUAUUUUAAUCCAUGGAUGCAAUAUAAUUUCUUACGUCAUGAAAGGGUAUUACCAAGUCACUAUACAUUUGAUUAGCUACAAGUUUGUUGCUGAUCCAAAGGGCCGAAAUACUUGAUUUGUCAUUUCAUUUGUUUAUUUCGGCUAUAUGUGCUUUGAAUGAAGUUUAGAUGGUAAUGGCCGAUGAUAUUUAUCUAUCGUCCUAAGAGUAUGUCAAUGCAUGGCAGGUGUAGUAUUCUAAUAUCGUCCUUAGUUUGAUUGGUGAGCGAGACAAUGUACAUGCUCAUGAAAAUUUAUAUGUAUGCCUAUAUUAUGAUUGAAUGGAGUUGAGACAUCAUGACCGAUGUCAUUGAAUAUAUGCUGCAUAGACCAAUUCAUAGCUGCGGAAUUGGUUGAUGGGCUUAUACUUUGUUUGGAUAUGAUUUGGCUUAUGCAUCUUUGAGAUCUAUAAGAGGCCAAAUCAUAGUUGAUUUUGUUACUGAACAUCGGAUUAGUGUCAUGCAUAAUAUUAAUAUUAGCCUUGUCUCUCUAGUACUAUGGAGAUUAUGUUUUGAUGGUUCAAUUCAUAGCAAUGGCCAAAGUGUUGGUGUUGUUUAUAUAUUUCUUUAUGGUACUAUUUUUUGAAGCCUCGUGCCGCUUAGAAUAUUUUUAUGCACGAUUAAUCAAGGCCGAAUAUGCAUUGUUAUUCGGAUUGACUCUUUUACUUGCUAUAGGUGUUAUACAUAUUGAGGCUUUUGGUGAUUCGUUCUGAGUAGUGCAACAAAUAUCCAAGGAUUAUCAAUGUGUUUUACCGAAUCACUUAUAGUUUAUCUUGGGCUAUGUCUAGAUGAAGAAUUUACCUUGGGUUGCAUUCAAAUUGUUCAUAUAUUUAGACAUGGCAAUUGGAGAGAGUUGGCAUAGCAAGCAUCCGGCUACCAUGUCCAUCAUGUUGUAUUGCAUUUCUCUCAAUAGCCGAUGCUUAGUCUUGUCAACAUAGGUAAGGUCGAACCGAAGUCCAGAACUUCGGCCACUAAUGAAAUUUUUAUGCAGGCCAAAGUAAGGAUUGGAGAAAGUUUAUUGUUGAUUGUCUACAAAAUCCUAGCAAAAGGGUGAACAAUAUGGUUCGGAGGAUGACAUUGAGAUACAUAUCUAUGGAACUUUAUCACCGGAUUGUUAAUGAAGCUGAGAAGGUUUCACCCGAGUUUGCAUCAGAAAGUUCACACAAGACAUGGCCGAUAUAUACUUAUCGUCCUAAGAACAUAUAAAUGGCCGAUGGAGUGUUGACAUCGUCCUUAGAACAAACUUGGUACAAGUAUUUUUCGACACGCUAGGUUUACCGAAAAACAGUGGGGCAUGUGUUGACGCUCAAAAGUGGCACGAUCAUAAAGCAGCAUGCUGGGGCGAAAACCUUGCCGGGGUAAAAUCUUGCCGGUGUGAAAGCUUGCCGGUGUGAAAGCUUGCCGGUGUGAAGGCUUGCCGGCGUGGAAAGCUUGCCGGCACAGAAAGAUCGCCGGUGCUUGCCGGUGUGAAAUCUUGCCGAGGGAGAAACCUUGUCAGGAAGGAACCCUUGCCGGAGUACAAACCUUGCCGGAGUGAAACCUUGCCUGUGUGAAAGCUUGCCGGGUAGAAACAUUGCCGGUGUGGAAAGCUUACUCGGACGGAAAACUUGCCGGGUUGGAGGCUGUGAUAGUCAAUCGAACGAGAAGUUGAAGAUGGGCUCAAAAGGUUAUUCAGAUGAUCUCGGAUGGAAAAAUGAUCUACACGGGUUGUCUUCGUCUCGUCGAAACGAUCGAUUUUGGUAUAAAAAUCAUUCAAAUUCGAGUUUGUAUGCAAAAGUUAGAGCAAUCGGAGUGCAGCCCUGUCACGAGGCGAGAUGUGGCGUGCCCCACCAGACACAUGUCUGACGGGUAGUGCGAGGAAAUAGCCUGUGUUGCGAGACCGAUCUGACCCUCAAGAUGAUCUCUGAUCAAAACACCUUCAACAUGAAAGCUGUUCGUCUCGUCGAAACGGUCAAGAUUGCUUUUGGGCUUGUUUUCAUCCGGGAUCGUUUACCACUGCCAAAAAGACCCGCAAUGUGCAGCCAGUUUAAACCGAACAGUUUUGGAAAGUUCAGAUAAACCAGUCCGAAUUUGACUAGGGUUUUGUACGUGAAUUGAUGUAAUUUUCUUGUAAGGAAAGCCGAGAUAAAUUCUUUGCUUGUACGGGAAGUCCAGCCGCCUCUUAUAUAUGUUGGGGGUGACGGCCGAUUGAAACAACACACAAUCGAACAAACACAUCUACUACCUUUUCAUGUUCAUCUACUUUUUAUCUCUCCCUUGUAUCUUUCUUCUCGUUCUUCGCUAGUUCUUCAUGCUGGAGGGCUGCGGAUCCACGAGGCUUUAGGGCCUAGCUAGCGAAUCGACCUAGGGCAGCCCAUAGCCGCCGCAAUCCCUGACGGGGUCCCUCUCGGGUGCGCGGGGUUUCGGGUCUGCAAAAGCGCCCGCCGACUGUCUUGCGUAUCGCGCUGUCGGUCGGGUCUCCUUCGACGUGAGCUGCGGUGCAUCACCCCUGGCGUCGAGGAUACAUGUGACGUGUUCGUGUGCGAACAACGUGCUCCCUGGCUCCACCCCAUUGAAAAAAUAUACAUCUGGAGGCUGCUUUGUUUCCUCAUCAAAAAAAACUUACGUUAAAAAGAUUGCAUGCAUCCCAGGAAAAAUAAUCAAGAAGUCGGACUCAUCCUUACAAAAACAAGGAACGUGUUAAGUUGACUUCAAAGAAAAAAGGAACAUGUUAAGUUAAAAAAAACAAGAAACCUGUUAAGUUAGAAAAAAACAAGGAACGUGUUGUCCUAGGAAAGAUAUGUGUCAAAUCUUACAAAAAAAAGAAUACACACACGUACGUUCAUGCACUUGGAAAAUAGAAAAAAAAGAACAUCACGUAUGUAUACACUUUGGAAACUCAUUACAUGACCAUGUCUGAUAUACUCCUCUAAUGCUUAACAUUAGUGCCUAAUAAUUUAUAUUUAAAAUUUAAUUUACUGAUCAAAUAUCCCCACUGUUUAAAUUUUAAUUUGGCACAUUGUUUGACUACAGUAUGAACCUAAAUUUCCUCUUAUUAAUAUAUAUCAUGGUAAUAAUCCAAAGGCGACUAAUCUGCGCCGGUGCACCGGCGCAAUCAAUUUGGCCGGACACAGCGCGGCCUUUUGAUUAGAUUGCAUUUAACCAUCAGAUCUGGAAUCGUUUUCUUUCCAAUUAAACGGAUUCAACCAAACAGCAGAGGGGAAAACAAAGCAGCGCCGCCGCCAACACUAGCCAUGGACGAUCGAUGUACCAAAACCUUGAAUAACUGCCGCCGGUCGCCACCCUCGCCGCUGGUGGCCGCCCUCGCCGUCGGUCACCGCCGAUCACCGCCCUCGCUGCCUGCGUUUCUCAUCGGCUUCAUGCAUGCAACAGCAUGCAGUCGUGGUUGCAGGCUUGCAGCUCCGGCUCCGGGGGACAUGGCCGCAUCUCCGGUAACGCCAGCCGCCGACCGCAGCACCUGUCGUUAUGGUCGCGUUGUACCUCGCCGUGUGCCCUCCCGAGGCUCUUGCUGGUUCCAACAAAAAACAAUACGUGUUGUAGCAAAAAAGUUUAUCGCUUCCAGCAAAAAAGCUUACCGCUACAGCCCGCCAUCGUCAUUGUAGCAAAAAUGUUAACCCGAUGUAGCUUUUGUGGUUGCCGACUGCAACAAAAAAUGACGUGGUUGUAGCAAAACACAAAAGAAAAAUGCCGGCCGGCCGCUGUGUAUGGUGGUAACAAACCCUAUAGCCGGUGGUAGCGAAAAACUUCAUAGUUUGCAGCAAAAAAAUGUUGUCGCCCGUCGUCGAGGUUGCAUCGUCUUCAUGAAUUAUGUCGCAAAAAAACAUUGUCGCCGGUAGUAGCAAAUGAAGCCGCCGGUAGUAGCAAAACAAGACACUGGUUCCAGCCAAAAAAUAAAUCAGCGACAGAACCUUUGGUUGGUUACAACAAAAAAACUUGUCGGUUGUAACAUCCCUCGCCGCCGGAUGUAGCAUCUCCCGGGGCUGGUUGCAACACUCCAUAAAAAAAAUGUUGUCUAUGAGCGCAUCCAUGGCGACUGCUGCACCAUCAGCAACGAGGGGAAGAGGAGGCAAUGAAAAUCGUUCGAGUCGUAGCUCCACAGGACGCGGCUGCAGCAUGGGGAGUCCAAAAAUCUGUCACAAGCAACAUGCGCCUCACCAUCCUCCUGCGCAGGAGAGAGAAGAAAAAGGAAUAAGAGGAAGAAGAAAGGAAACGGGAGGAAGAAAAAAGAAACGAUUGGUGGUGGGCUGAGGCAAUUAGUCAAACGAGGGGCACGCGGGGCCGCAGGAUACAGCGCAAUCGAACGAAGCGCGCGCGUCCGGCCGAAGACUCGGCCGGACUGCCGUCUGGAAACGUUUCCCUAAUCCAAAGGCUUUGUCUGAAUGACAAGUCGUCUGGGUUACCGGCUAACUAGAAAAAAGAUAAAUAUGCUAGAGAAUUUCAUAAUAAUUAGAAAUAUCUAGCCUUUAAUUAUGUAAAUCAGAAAAUCACAACCGUUGGAUUUACUUUAAAGGUAAAUUUCUCUAAAUUCCCACCAUUGCCAGUAUGUAGAAACAUGUGCUGCUUCAAUUCUCCCAUAAUCACCAAUCAAUCAACAACACAAAACAUACCUCAGUUAAAAAAACUGAACAAAAAAAAAGAAAAAAGAAGAAAGGACAAGAUACACGCAUGUACACGACAGCCUUGGCUUGAAACACAUCAGUAGAUCAAGUGUCCGCCUCCCUUACACAGAAUAAACUCAUAGGGAAGAAAAUAAUUGUGCAACCUAACCUUAUACGUACUAUUCUAUCCUCACGUCCCAUGAGGUUUACUAGCCUACCGCCGCCGCAUCAUGCCAUCCCCUCCUUUCAGCUCCCAUGCUUUCCAGCACCCUCAUUGCCGCGCCACUACUUGCCUAGGGAUAUUGCUGCUCAGACCGUGGAGCUUAACCUGCUUCUUCUUCAGCAAAUAUGGUACUGCUUUAGGAUCCUUCUCACAUCAGCACGUAUGGGCCUCAUUAUACUGCAGCUCCUGGACCUCCUACAAUUGGUUGGCUAUGGCCAGUUGAUCGAUGUGCCGAAGUCCAGGUCUGUUUGCUGGCACAUAUGCUUUGGAAAUAGGCCACUAUGUUUGUACUUCAAAAUUGUUUCUGUAUUCUUGAGUGGUACAUCCUUUUAAGCGCCAGUUUUUUAUGUCAAUUCAUGCUGACAACACUUAACCUAGCCUUUCAUCUUCACGUACUAAAUACAGGAGCAAGUAAAAACAACAGACCACCUAAUUGCUCUGCAUGUACUACAUAGGAAAAUUUGUCAUGUUCUACGAUCGCACCAUCCCACACUUCUCUCUUGGUAUGGGCGCCAAUUGAGGGAUUGAUAAAACUGAAACGAAGACGUCACGGGGCUGGAAGUACCGCUAGCCUGGUUUGCACUGCAACCUACUCAACGCCAUCAGAAACUAGCAACUGAGGCAGUUGUUGAUCGAUUCUCUCAAAUUGCUCUCAUGUAAGUACUACCCCUUGCAUGUGCGUACAUACCUUUGUUCCAUUCUCAAACAGAUAGAACAUUUAUGAUCGGUGCAUGGCUAUUUUUCAUCACAUGACAUCCAGAUAACAAGCAUGAAAGGACUACAUUGGAGAUCAAAAAAUAUUGGUUCCUGGCUAGAGGACCACUACCUAUGGACUUGUCUCCAUAGAAUUUGUUCCCAAGACGUUAUUUUAAUUAACCUCUUUAGCUUUCUUCCAUUGCAAACGGUGAUGUGCAUCAUGGUAUAUACGUGACCAUCUUGCACAUGUAUACACAAGAGGCUCAGACGGAGGUGCUGGAUUCUGGACGAGGGAAUAUGAAGCAGGAGUGAGCGAAGAGUAAAUAAUGGUGGGAGUACCGAUUGGUGUUAUGAAGAAAAAUGCCAUUCAAAGAUUGAUUAGUGUCAUGGAAGAUUAAUUUCUGAAUGCGAAUAUAUAUGUUACAUUGGUUUGGAUCUUUUUGAGAUAAUUGCACCUAAAUUAGGUUCUUUCUUAUUUCAUAUGUAUACCUUAUUUCAGUAAAAGUUCACAACGAACUUAGUAGGACAAAUAUAAUUUUGUUUGUGCUUUCUGUUGUCCGCCACCAAAGCUCAGUUUGAACUCUCUAGAAAUGGACAAUGAUUUAUGCAUUCUAUAUCUUCUUGAUUGAUUAGUCAUGACAAGGAAAUAAAAUGAUUGACUGAUAUAGCAUAACUUUGGAACGAUCUGUUCGUAGAGGUUACUACAAAUUAGAGUAGUGUCUGUUGGAAUUUUGCUAGUAGGCCUUUGGCCCAAAGCCCAACUAAAAUUCUGAAAUUCUCUUGGCUCAUUCAUGCACACAUGUGAGUGGAGUGAGUGAGACUAAAGUUUAGUCCCUCCCCGAAAGUUGAGAGAGUGUUGCACCUCUUUAUAAGGUGAGCUCUUCUACCACUUGUAUGAGCAUGGGAAGAGGAGACCUACACGCGCGCUCCUCCUCCUCGCUCACCAUGCCUCGUCACGACGCGCCGCGCCGCACCGCGUGGUGGGUUGUGGGAUUGAGCCGAGCCGAGGACGUUGUCUAUAUUUUUGCUGCUCGGGAAAAAUUAAUGAGUCAUUAAUUAAUAAUUAAUGGACGCGUUAAUUACUGAACCGUUUCCGAUUCUUUUGGAUCCUGACGACUCGGACGUGGGGUUUACUCCCACGACCUACCCGACCUGCACUACAUAGCCAGGCAGACGUCUACCUUAGCCGCCGCCCCUUCGUAUGGUUUCUCACCACCGUUACAGAUCAUUGCGCCGCCAAGCAAGUUUUCUCCAUCCCUCGUUUCGGCGUGCACCGGGAGAAGGGACAGCAGGCCUCCGGAACCCCGCCUCUCGUGAUCCUGUACGGAAGAGGGGCGAUCAGGUUUUUGGGGAGCGCAUCGCACGACUGCUGGCAGCGACGACUUCGCGAACGACGACUUCUUCCCCGACCUCGGCAACCUCAUCCUCGAGGACAUGGGCGACAACGUCAACGCCGGCGGUGCUACACCCACUGCACCGUAUGUUAUUCUAUCCUUCUUGUUCGAGAUCGUGGUAGAAUUCAUGUUUCUAGUAUGUGCCCUAGAGGUGAUCUGUUCAUCUACUAUGCUAGUUCGCAUGAUUAGUUUAAUCUCUGCUAUUGCUGUCAUGAUCUAUUUCCUAUUUAUUCGGAUUAAAUCUCGUAGUAAUUUUCUCAUUUUUCCAACAAUCCAAAAACCUAAUUAUAGGCAACUUACUCCGAGUGGUUUUGAUGCGCAUCUGAAAGCCGCCUGCCUUUAAGGGGGCGCAAUAUAAGAGGUGGCGCACGAGAGCAGUCUACUGGUUUCAGAUCAUGGGCUGCUAUGACGCCAUCGAUACCCUCUUUAAAGGCACUCUUCUGAGUGUUCUUGAUGACUCCAUUGUGGAUUCGUAUAUGUCGUUGACAACGGCAAGAAUAUGUGGGCUGCGCUCGAGGCCAAGUUUGGUGCCUCGGAUGCUAGUAGCGAGUUGUACGUCAUGGAGCAAUUCUAUGACUCCAAGAUGACUGAUGAGCGCCCUGUUGUACAGCAGGCUCAUGAGAUACAGUCGCUCGGAAAAGAACUUGAGUACUUCAAGUGUGUGUUGCCGAACAAAUUUUUUGCCGGAGGCAUCAUUGCCAAGCUUCCACCUUCGUGGAACAAUUUUGCUACUUCCCUGAAACACAAGAGACAGGAGUUUUUCGUUGCGGAUCUCAUUGGUACUCUUGAUGUUGAAGAGAAGGCGAGAGCAAAGGAUACACGUGCUCGAGUUGCUGAGGGAGGUUCUAGUGCCCACAUGGUACAGAAGAAGAACUUCCAGCCCGUUCAAAAACAACAAGAACAAAACUCAGGGCAAAGGCAAGUUUGAUACAAAGAACAAGCCAUCACAUUCUACCAACUUCAAGAAGAAUUCUCAUAAGAAGGGGAAGGGACUUUGCCAUGUCUGCGGUGAUCCUAAUCACUGGGCUCUGAAGUGUCCUAACUGCUUUGAGGAGCGCGAACAUGAGAAGAGCGGCAAGUCCGCUAAUGUUGUCAUCGGUGAUACUGAUAUGAAGGAAUCAGGGUACGGUAUUUUUCCUACCAUCCUUUCAGUUUUCCAAACCCCUGAUUGGUUAAUUGACACCGGUGCCAAUGUACAUGUUUGUGCUGAUGCCUCCAUGUUUUCUUCUUACCAGGCCAUUGGGACUUCACCCGUGCUGAUGGGGAACGGGUCACAUGCCAUCGUUCGAGGUGUUGGUACGGUCGAUCUGAAGUUUACUUCGGGGAAGACCGUGCGUCGGAAGAACGUUCAUCAUGUUCCAUCCAUCAAUAAAAAUCUCGUUAGCGGUUCCCGUUUAUGUCGAGAUGGUUUUAAGUUGGUUUUCGAAUACACUAAAGUUGUAAUUUCUAAGUACGGACAAUUUGGUGGAAAAGGCUAUGAGAGCGAAGGCUUGUUUUGCCUGUCUUUGUCAGAUAUUUUCACUAAAGUUAUUAAUAAUGUUUGCCACAACAAUGAGUCUGAUAUUUGGCAUUCACGACUUUGUCACAUUAACUUUGGUUGCAUGACGCGGCUAGCCAAUAUGAAUUUAAUUCCGAAAAUCUCUACUGUCAAAGGCUCUAAGUGCCAAGUAUGUGUGCAAGCUAGCUAAGCAACCUCGCAAGUCCCAUAAGACUGUAGAGGCAAGAGACUUGGCGCCACUAGAGCUUAUACAUUCUGAUAUUUGUGAGAUGAAUGGCGUGUUGACAAAAGGUGGAAAGAGAUACUUCAUGACGUUGAUUGAUGACUCCACUAGAUAUUGUUAUGUGUAUCUUAUGAAAUCAAAAGAUGAGGCUUUGACUUUCUUCAAAAACUAUAAAGCUGAGGCAGAGAACCAACUUGAUCAAAAAAUUAAACGGCUUAGGUCCGAUCAUGGUGGAGUGUAUUUUUCCAAUGAAUUUGAUCUGUUUUGUGCGGAACAUGGUAUAAUCCAUGAGAGGAUGCGUCCCUACUCAGCCUAGUCAAAUGGGGUAGCCAAAAUAAAGAACCGAACUCUAACUGAUAUGGUUAACACCAUGUUAGACACUUCAGGUCUAUCCAAGGAAUGGUGGGGGCAGGCGCUAACGACUGCGUGUCAUGUCCUAAACAGAGUACCCACAAAGCAUAAGACCAUGACUCCAUUUGAGGAAUGUGAAAGGAAAAUGUUGAAACUCUCUUACCUACGUACUUGGGGUUGUUUGGCGAAAGUCAAUAUACCAAUUCCCAAGAAGCGCAAGGUUGGACCAAAAACCGUGGAUUGUGUUCUUCUGGGCUAUGCUUUUCAUAGCAUCGGCUAUAGAUUUUUGAUAAUAAAAUCUGAGGUAUCCGACAUGCAUGUUGGUACGAUUAUGGAGUCGAAUGAUGCAACUUUCUUUGAGGACAUAUUUCCUAUGAAGGAUAUGUCGAGUUCAUCAAAUCAGGAGACACCUACUCCAUCUAGUGAGGAAUUCACUGUAAUUCCUGAACCCACCAUUGCGAUGGAACACGUUGAGAAUCCUGUUGAGGGUGACAAUGGAACUCCUAUGAGGAGUAAGAGACACAGGACUACAAAGUCCUUUGGUGAUGAUUUCAUUGUGUUCCUCGUGGAUGACACACCCAGGACUAUUUCAGAAGCCUGUGCAUCUCUUGAUGCUAACUACUGGAAGGAAGCUGUACGUAGCGAGAUGGAUUCCAUCUUAGGUAACGGAACCUGGGAGAUCACUGACCGUCCUUAUGGGUGCAAACUUGUAGGAUGUAAGUGGGUGUUCAAGAAGAAGCUUAGACCUGAUGGUACGAUUGAAAAGUACAAGGCACGGCUUGUGGCCAAGGGUUAUACCCAGAAAGAAGGUGAAGACUUCUUUGAUACUUACUCACCCGUGGCUAGAAUGACCACAAUUCGGGUGCUACUAUCACUUGCUGCCUCACAUGGUCUUCUCGUUCAUCAAAUGGAUGUUAAGACAGCUUUCCUCAAUGGAGAGAGUUGGAGGAAGAAAUUUACAUGGAUCAGCCAGAUGGUUUUGUAGUACCUAGUUAGGAAGGAAAGGUGUGCAAGUUAUUAAAGUCUUUAUAUGGCCUUAAACAAGCUCCUAAAGAGUGGCAUGAGUAGUUUGAAAGAACAUUAACUGCUGCCGGCUUUGUAGUAAACGAUGAUGACAAGUGCGUGUACUAUCGCUAUGGUGGGGCGAAGGAGUUAUUCUUUCUCUGUAUGUCGACGACAUAUUGAUCUUUGGAGCCAAACUUGAUUUAAUCAAGGAGGUUAAGGAUUUCUUAUCUUGUUGUUUUGAGAUGAAGGAUCUAGGAGUAGCUGAUGUUAUCUUAAACAUCAAGCUGUUGAGAGAUGAGAAUGGUGGGAUCACACUACUUCAGUCUCACUAUGUGGAAAAGGUCUUGAGUCAUUUUGGGUAUAGCGACUGCACACCUUCUCCAACUCCAUAUGAUGCUAGUGUGUUGCAUCGAAAGAAUCGAUGGAUUGCUAGAGAUCAACUGAGGUAUUCUCAUAUUAUUGGCCCGCUUAUGUAUUUGACGAGUGCCACGAGGCCUAACAUCUCAUUUGCUGUUAGCAAGCUGAGUCGGUUUGUGUCAAAACCGGGAGAUGAUCGUUGGCAUGCUCUUGAGAGAGUUAUGCGCUAUUUGAAAGGCACCGCGAGCUAUGGGAUUCACUACACCGGGUAUCCAAGGGUACUGGAGGGUUAUAGUGACUCAAACUGGAAGUCCUGCAAACAGACCAUCUUAACAAGGUCAAGUAUGGAAGCAGAACUCACAGCAUUAGAAACUGCCACUGUGAUAAUCAAACUAUGAUCGUCAAGAUAAACAGUUACGGACAAUAUGAAGUCCUCAAGGCAUGUGAAGAGGAGACUGAAAUCUGUCAGAAAAUUGAGGAACUCUGGAGUUAUUACGUUGGAUUAUAUCGAAACAUCGAAAAAUUUGGCAGAUCCCUUCACAGAGGGUCUAUCACGUAAUGUGAUAGAUAAUGCAUCGAUGGAGAUGGGUCUGAGACCCACCGCAUGAGUUGUCCAUAGUGGUCUAUGUGAUCGGAGAUCCCGUGAAGUAGAAGUGGGAGACAAGUUGUUGAUCAGCUGGGAGGAUAGUAUCCCUAUAUUACCUAUCCCACUCCAUGAAGAUGCAAUACUCUCCUAAUCUGCAUGGCAGGUUGACACUUAUGUUAAUGUGUUCCAAGUGGCUUAUUCGGGUAAGCAGAGAUGUUGUCCUGCAGAACAUCUUCUAAGGAACACACCUAUAUGAAUUUGACUGUUAACGUCGCAGUAUGUGAGAAUUGGGUGUUCUCUAAUAAAUUGAUGAAAAGGCCCUGGAGUAUGACGUAUACGCUCCACCCGCGGGGAAGCCUUGCGGCAGCCCAGUAUCGGUCAAGAAUUUGUGUGAAACUAGUCUCGCAGAAAAUUUGUAGUUCAAGGCGUAGUCCAAACGGAAUAUCAAACGGAGUCCAAACGGAAUGAAACCUUUGGGAACGUGAUUUUCUCAACGAACAAGACCCAGGAGACUUGGACCCUACGUCCAGACACAAAAGAGGAGGCCACGAGGUAGGGGGGCGCGCCCUCCACCCUCGUGGGGCCCCUGUUGCUGAAGGACAUAUGCCCUAGAGGCAAUAAUAAAGUUAUGAUUUAUUUCCUUAUAUCAUGAUAAAUGUUUAUUAUUCAUGCUGGAAUUGUAUUAACCGGAAACAUAAUACAUGUGUGAAUACAUAGACAAACAAAGUGUCACCAGUAUGCCUCUACUUGACUAGAUUGUUAAUCAAAGAUGGUUAUGUUUCCUAACCAUAGACAAAGAGUUGUUAUUUGAUUAACGGGAUCACAUCAUUAGUUGAAUGAUCUGAUUGACAUGACCCAUUCCAUUAGCUUAGCACCCGAUCGUUUAGUAUGUUGCUAUUGCUUUCUUCAUGACUUAUACAUGUUCGUAUGACUAUGAGAUUAUGCAACUCCCGUUUACCGAAGGAACACUUUGUGUGCUACCAAACGUCACAACGUAACUGGGUGAAUAUAAAGGAGUUCUACAGGUGUCUCCAAAGGUACAUGUUGGGUUGGCGUAUUUCGAGAUUAGGAUUUGUCACUCCGUUUGUCGGAGAGGUAUCUCUGGGCCCUCUCGGUAAUGCACAUCACAUAAUCCUUGCAAGCAUUGCAACUAAUGUGUUAGUUGUGAGAUGAUGUAUUACGGAACGAGGAAAGAGACUUGCCGGUAAUGAGAUUGAACUAGGUAUUGGAUACCGACGAUCGAAUCUCGGGCAAGUAACAUACCGAUGACAAUGGGAACAACGUAUGUAGUUAUGCGGUCUGACCGAUAAAGAUCUUCGUAGAAUAUGUAGGAGCCAAUAUGGGCAUCCAGGUCCCGCUAUUGGUUAUUGACCAUAGACGUGUCUCGGUCAAGUCUACAUUGUUCUCGAACCGUAGGGUCUGCACGCUUAAAGUUACGAUGACAAUUUCAUUAUGAGUUUAUGUAUUUUGAUGUACCGAAGGUUGUUCGGAGUCCCGGAUGUGAUCACGGACAUGACGAGGAGUCACGAAAUGGUCGAGACAUAAAGAUCGAUAUAUUGGAAGCCUAUAUUUGGACAUCGGAAUCGUUCCGGGUGAAAUCGGCAUUUUACCAGAGUACCGCGGGGUUACCGGAACCCCCGGGGGGGUUAUUGGGCCUACAUGGGCCUUGAAGAAGAGAGGAGGCAGGAGGUGGCCGCGCGCCCCUCCCCUUCCUAGUCCGAAUAGGACAAGGGAAGGGGGGUGGCGCCCCCCCUUUCCUUCCCCUCUUCCUCCUCUUUCCCCCCUUCUCCUUCUCCAACUAGGAAAGAAGGGAGUCCUACUCCCGGUGGGAGUAGGACUCCCCCUGGCGCGCCCCUCCUUGGCCGGCCGCCCCCUCCCCUUGGUUCCUUCAUAUACGGGGGCAGGGGGCACCCUAGGACACAGAAGUUGAUCUUCGUGAUCGUUCCUUAGUCGUGUGCGGUGCCCCCCUCCACGAUAUUACACCUCGAUCAUAUUGUAGCAGUGCUUAGGCGAAGCCCUGUGACGGUUAAACAUCAAGAUCGUCACCACGCCGUCGUGCUGACCAAACUCCUCCCCGAAGCUUUGCUGGAUCCGAGCCGGGGGUGCGUCAUCGAGCCGUACGUGUCUCAAGAACUCGGAGGUGCCGGAGUAAAGGUGCUUGGAUUGGUUGGACCGGGAAGACGUACGACUACUUCCUCUACGUUGCGUCAACGCUUCCGCUUCGGUCUACAAGGAUACGUAGACAACACUCUCCCCUCUUGUUGCUAUGCAUCACCAUGAACUUGCGUGUGCGUAGGAAAUUUUUUGAAAUUACUACAUUCCCCAACAGUGGCAUCCGAGCCUAGGUUUUAUGGUUUGAUGUUAUACGCACGAGUAGAACACAAGUGAGUUGUGGGCGAUAUAAGUCAUACUGCCUACCAGCAUGUCAUACUUUGGUUCGGCGGUAUUGUUGGAUGAAGUGGCCCGGACCGACAUUACGCGUACGCUUACGCGAGACUGGUUCUACCGCCGUGCUUUGCACAUAGAUGGCUGGCGGGUGUCAGUUUCUCCAACUUUAGUUGAACCGAGUGUGGCUACGCCCGGUCCUUGCGAAGGUUAAAACGGCAUCAACUUGACAAACUAUCUGUCACAGCCCUAGAAUUUGCUUGUAGCUAUUUACCCGAGUGAGCAUGAUGCAUCAUGUCUAAAUUCUGAAAGUUGAAUUGAGGUUAGUAGAAACCCUCAUAAAUCACUUCAAAAAUAAUCAACAUUAAAAUCUUUUCAAAGAAGUCCAAGAAAGUGUUCCUCUUAGUCUCUGAAAAUAUUGGCAAGAGGUAAAACUUAAAACAAUAUUUUUGGAAUCUCAGAGAUAUUUAUUUUGGGCCUUUGAAUUAAUUCAAUAACAAUUUGCAUUGGAUAUAUAUUUUAUAUAUAACUAAUAUAUGUCCAAUAAUUCUAGAACAUUUUAUGUGGUUUGUUAUAUUUUAGUUCUAGCCACAUAAUUAUUUUCAGGAUUUUAUUAAAUGGUUUAGUAUUUUUACUAAACCAAAACAAAACAGAACAAAAUAGAAAAAAACUGAAACAGAAAGCAAACAGAAAAUAGAGAGAGAGAGAGGAGCUACCUGGGCUUACCUGGCGCCCCAACUGGCCCACCUCUGUAGCAGCCCAACUGGCCAAAGCCAGCCCGGCCCAUCAGGGGCAGCACUGUCUUCUUCCUCCUGCCAGGAGGAGAAGCAGCUGCGUGCCCGAUGGCCGGCGAGCCGCGCUGGCUCCUCCCUGCCUGCGUGCCCCCCCUCGACUUCCUGGAUGCCAUGCACUCCCCCUCGCCCCCUGCACCUCUCCUCUCUCCCCCUGGACCCCAUCCCCUCCUCUGCUCCCCUCUCGCGCGCACCACCGAGCGGAGCUCGUCGUCAUCGUCGCCGUACUCGUGGCCACCGGCCACCCCUCGCCCUGCCGCUGCGCCCAAAAGCUCUGCCAUUUCGUCCUCGACCCCCUCACCGAGCCACGCCACCGCGGGAGCCCCACAUCGCGGCUACGAGUCGUCCUCCCCGAGCACGGCCGCCGGACUUCAUCGAUGAAUUCGUCGCCUUCCGGUCGUCCCCGAGCCAGCUGAGCUCCGCUUCGACCUCACCGUGAGAUCCUCUACCAAACCCCUCUCUCCCCGCCGUCUAUUUCCUCCUCUAGCCUCACUAACCACCGUGGCCGAAGCUCGCCGCCGCCGUACCUCAUCGCCGCCACGGCCAUAGCUGCCGCCACCCACGCCCGAGCUUUGCCCCAUGCUCAGCACUCUCCCAGGAGCCGGGCGCGCCCACCCAUUCGACCCGUUGUGCCCCCUAGCGCCAACCCCGACCUCGCCCGAAUUCCGGCCGCCGCAAAAGUUGCCGCCACCGUCGAUUUAGUCAACCCCGGUGCGAGGUGUUGCCACCGAUGGAUGCGCGAGUCUCCCAGCUCGCCGUAGCCACAAACCACGAGCGAAACGAUGCUCUGUAGCUCCGUCCCGAGCAUCUCCGGCGAGCCACGGCCGUGCUUUUGGUCGCCGGCGUCGACCGCUGACGUGGUCGCUUAAUUAAGUCUAAUCACCACUAAUCCCUGCCUAACAGACGCUGACUCACGGGCCCCACCUGUUAAUUAACCACAAGGUUAUACCCUGUUUAAUUUAAGCUAAUGACCGUGGCCCCACGGGUCAGUUUGACCUGGCCACGUCACCGUUGACCUGGUCCCACACGUCAGCCACAGAAACCAGCCCUGGGUCACUGACCAGUGGGCCCCACUAGUCAGGUUUGACCCGGACCAGCCCUGUUGACUUGCUUACGUCACCCUGAUGUCAUGCUGACGCAGUAAUUAAUUUCUGUUUUAUAAUAAUUCAGAAAAUUUCAGAAAAUGUCCAAAACUUCUAAAAAUCAUAGAAAUUAAACUGUAACUCCAAAUAAAAUAAAUUAUAUAUGUAAAAUUAUCAGAAAAAUUCAAGGAAUCUGUUUAUGGCAUUUUCAUGCAUGUUUGAAAAAUGUUUGACCUCUGUUUUGGACAAAACAAUAAAGGGCAUUUAAAUAAUCAUAUAUGGAGUUUGAAUUUGAAUCUUGUAUUCAAACCAACUUCAUUUAAUUGUGUUGUUAGUUGCUUUAGGUCAAUCAAUAGCAUAUUGCCAUGUCAUUAUCAUGCAUCAUAUUGUUGCAUCGCAUUGAUUGUGUCCUUCCUUGUUUGCCGGUAAUUGCCCCCUCUCAGUAGACGUUGUUUCCGACGACGUGAUCGAUGACACCGAUGAAGAGCUAUUCUAUCUUCAGAAGUGCCAGGCAAGCACAACCCCCUUGUUCAUUCCGAUACAAGCCCACUCUCUCGCUCCUGCUCUCUUUUACUGCAUUAGGACAACAAUGAUUCAUUUGUUACUUGUUGCGGUAGUUGAACCCCUUAUCCUCUGCAUGACCUAUCAUUGCCACAGUAAUUAGAUGAAACCCGCUAGCAUGAGUAGGAGUUGUUUGAGCCCUGAUGUGCCUACUCAUUCAUGCUUGUUUGUCAUGCCUGCUACUGCUUAGAGUUGAGUCAGGUCUGAUUCAUCGGGGAUGGAUCGGAGGUGUGUAAACAUGUCCUAUUGUGUGUGAGCUAAGUGUGUGAACACGUUUUGGUAAAGGUAGCGGUGACAGGCCAUGUAGGAGUACAUGGUGGGUUGUCUCAUUGAAACCGUCCACAGGAACUAAGUUCUGUGUUUGUGAUCCAUGAAACAGCUGCUACCACACGUUGGGCCCCGAAAUAUGACCCCGCUCGACUUACUGACCCCUCUCUUCCUCUGUCCAGGAGUUGCAAUUAGUUUCUGGUGUUUAUAGGAUAUGUGUUGGCGGCCGUGUGUAGCGCUGACCCUAGGGGUGGGCUAUGAUGCGGUAGAUACACUGUGGCCCGGUGUACCGGGCGCCCGUUUGGUGUCUCUGGAACCCUGCACACAUCGUUUGGGGCUGUGAGCGAAACUCCGUCCGGAUCUCCUCGCGGAUGGAACCCGAAUAGGCGAUAAACCUGGACUAGAGACUUGUGUGGUUAGUCAGGUCGUGGUCUACACCCACGUCGGCUUUCGCUUGAAGUCUGCCGAGCACAUGUCGUGUGCAGACGCUAAGUGGUGGAAACAUGUGUGACGAAGUACACCCCCGCAGGGUUAUAAAUGAUCUAUUCGAAUAGCCGUGUCCGCGGUAAAGGACUUCUGGGUUGCCUAUAACAGUUCAUAGACAAGUGAAAGUGGAUACUCUAAAAACUCGCAAGAUAAGUGUGAGUGCUACGGAUGGCCUUCUCGUAGGGAGACGAGAGCGGAUCCAUAGUGGUCUAUUGAAUGGUGAAUAUGUGGACUCGUGUGCGCCACCUUAAAAGAGUUGCUUGCCAUCGUAGUUCAGGUUAGCCCCGGAAUCAAAGCUGGCUUGCUGCCGUUAAACUCCACCCCCCUUUGAUGAUACCGAUGCAUAUGUAGUUUAGAUCUGAUGUAAGUAUUGCUGAGUACCUUUGUACUCACGUUUGCUUAAUUUAUGUUUUGCAGAGAGACUUCAGUCUCGCUAGUAGUUCCGCGUGGACUUCGACGUUUAGCUUGAUACCUCAGCUACGAUCUUGUGCCCUCGACAGGAUCUGGUAGAUAGUCAGGCUUCUUAGCCUUUUUCAUUUAUAGAUGUCUGUACUCAGACAUGUUAAGCUUCCGCAUGUGCUUUGCAUUGUAUGCUAUGAUUGUCGGGUCAUGAGACCCAUGCUUGUAAUAUCUAGCUCUUCGGAGCCUAAUGAAUUAAUACUUGAGUCGUAGAGUCUUGUUUUGAUGCCAUGUUGUAUUUACACAUAUCGAGCAUAUUGUGUGUAUGAUUGAAAUGCUUGGUAUGUGUAGGAUCCAACAACCUAGUUGUUUAUCCUUCGCAGCCUUUCUUAUGGGGAAAUGUAGUCUAGUGUUCCUCGAGCCAUAGUAGUCCGCUACAGCCCGGUUCACCGGAGUCCUGCUAGCCCAGCACUACUGUUCAGGACACUUGACUGGCCGGCAUGUGUUUCACUUCAUCCCUAUGUCUGUCCCUUCGGGGAAAUGUCACGCGGUGAUUUCCGGAGUCCUGCCUAGCCUGCUACAGCCCGGGAUCCCCGGAGUCCUGUUAGCCCAGUGCCACAGCCCGGAAUAACUCAUUGAUGACCGACAUGUUCGAUGUGAUUCAUGUAUGCCUGUCUCCAUAGGUCUGUGCCACUUUGGGUUCACGACUAGCCAUGUCGGCCCGGGUUCUUUGUCAUAUGGAUGCUAGCGACACUAUCAUAUACGUGAGCCAAAAGGCGCAAACGGUCCCGGGCCAGGUAAGGUGGCACCCGUGGGAAUACCGUGCGUGAGGCCACAAAGUGAUAUGAUGUGUUACAUGCUAGAUCGGUGUGACCUAGGAUCGGGGUCCUGAUAGCGUUGGUAUCAGAGCCUGACUGCCUGUAGGAUUACCAAGCCAAACUGGUCGAAGUUGAGUCUAGAAAUGCUUUAGUUAUGUAAGGGAAUUGAUUGCGGAAGGGAACGUAAGGCUCUUUUUAUUCCUUAUACCUCAUGCCCUUGUGAUCUGAGUCAUCCUCUUCCUUUCUAUGGGGAUUAAGAACUAGGCUUUCUUAUCUAUCUAUCAGGAUGACGUGUUACUAACCCGUUGACUUAUAGGAUUGAUGGAUUCAUGCUGCAGUUCAGUUCCUACUACUUCCAUAUAUUCAUAACUGGCCGCAGAACCUUGAUAUUAUGAUUCGAGUGGUUAUGCCACCAUUUUUGCAGGAUGUCUCAAAUCUUUUCGAGCAUUUACAGCCGUUAUGCUGUCCGAGUCAUCCCAGGUUUCUAAAUAGUCUGAUGCAUUUGCAAACCUUUUCCCCUGUUCCUGAUGUCCAUUUAGGCCAGGUUAAUCACACUAAUUGUGAGUUGGCGUAUUCUUUUGCCUGGACAUAUAUUUUGGAAUUAUUAUUAUGACCCUAGAUGUCUUAGAGUGCCACCUAGUAAUCGAACCAUGUUUUGCGUUUCUAGUGUGAUGAUUCUGGCCGUUAUUCUUGAAAGCAUCCCGUGAUGCCAUUUAGUUAGUAGGCAUUCUAUUCCUGGGUUUUGAACCCGAGACCCACCCUACCUGCUUCAUGUUGAUAGUGUUUGCUAGUUCCUUAGGACAUUAGUAAACCUUGUGAUAGACCUCGAGGUCCGUGGUAUUUCCUUCUUCCAAUUAUCAUGAACCAUUCAUGGCAGGAGUUCUUUUGAACCAAAAGGUCACGACAGAGUGCUCUUGAUGAGUUCUCCAUUCUAUAUUGUGGCUCUGCCAGUUCUACCUUUCUGCAUGGGUUAUCCGGAAGAAAUAUGUUGAACUCGUUCGACAUACUAACCUAUGCAUCCACAACUCAGAAAGUUAUAUGUUCCUUGAGUUGUUCCUCUUCAGUUGUAUUCCGACCAUCCUCUAUCAGUAGAUAGCCAAGAGUAUGUGUGCAUUUGUGUUCAUCGGUGCCUCUUAUUCUUGUGGUUCGUCGAGCCGUUCUAUUUUAGAAUGACUAGGAGAAACAAACUCCAGUACCUCAUCCAUAUCUAGGGUUGGGUCAAAAUAGUUGUAUUCCGCAGAUCAAAAUGCAACCCAGCUUUUGGUUCUGUUCUACCCUGAAGUAUUACCCACCUUAUGUCAAGAGCGACGUGAGAAUUGCACCUUCUCCUAUGAAUUCUUGACGCAGUGAUACUUCUUGCCAUCAUUGUUCAUUCCUCGGUUCCUGUGUUAUUGUAACCAGAAUGCCGGCACGUGAGUCGUUAUGUGUGAAAUCAAUACUCCUAGCAACUAUGCUGCUUGGUAGUUAAUGGACAAUAUUCUCAUUCUUAGCGUGUUGGUUAUUGAAUUAUCAUUCUAAGACUGAUCGUGCUACCUAGUCCAUAUUUCUGGUGCACACUUCGAUCAAUGGGUUAGGACUGUGCCAAUCCCUCACUCUUUGAUCAUAUCAUCUUGCCCUGAAAAGCAAGGUUGUUCUCGAGCUUAGUAACAUACCGGUGGUUCGUGAUUUUCCGAAUAUCUUCUCAGAAGUGUUACUAGGUUGUCACCUGACCGUUAUGUUGAGUUCAUGAUCAAGAUGGUUUUUCAAUAAACCACUUUUCCCUAAGAAUCUGUGUUGGAUACCCCUGAGCUAGUUGGUUAAGCUUAACAACAACUUGGAGAGUUGGAAGAUGAAAACUUGUCCGACUUAGCUCAUCCCUAAGGGAUAUCCUUGUGUGUGUGGGUGUUGAAGAAAGAUGAUAUAUUCACCAAUUGGUCCUCAUGAUCAGUUGUUGUAUCUAUUAUCUUGUCCAAACCUUGAUUUGAGUGUGGGCUAUCGUCAAAUCAAAUCAGAACCAACGAUGUUCAUAAUGUUGUCUUACUUACGGUUGUCCCUCGAGCAUACACCAUUAUAUAUUUGGUUUGACCAAUACUAUCACAUUGUUCACAUAGUGGUGGAAGUCCAGUGAUAUGGAAAUACCGAUGCGUUGUUGUUGAUCCCAUCAGCAGCCUUUUGUCUCCCCCAUGAGUCAUGUUGAAUGCUACACUAGUAUUGGAAACUUAUAAGCAUUAUCUUUGUGUUUCGUUCAUGAAGCAUAUGUUUGGAUGAAAGAAGUGACUUCCUCUAAUUCAUGUGCACUCGAUGUAAGUUGCCACCAUGAAUUGAGCAAGGUUUGUUUUGUUUCCCUUGGAAUCAUCCCAAAUCAGUCAUGCAUAUGUGCGAAGUAUUCUAUGGUUUGGUAGAUUAAUUACCUCCACUCCAUAUGUGUUCCUAGCACACCAAGCCACUGGUUGAUUUGUUCAAGGAGAAGAAGUUCCUUCUUAAGAAUCAUGACUUAUGUUAGGACUUUGUUAUCCUCGAUAAUGGUUCCCCACCUGAACUCGGUAGUGUUUUAUUAUAAGACUACCAUGUGGUCAUGCUUUUCUGGGACAGCGUGUUCACAUGUGUUUAGCAGAACCAGCUCAUGCUUUGGAGCUUACUACCGUAGUUCAUUCCCCGAGAAUCUCGCAAUGUCGUCUCGUCGAUUUGUGUUGCAAACCUUCAUUUUCCUUUCUAGACUCGAUGAGUCUGGAAUAUCCCGUCACCAACCAGAUCUGAAUCUCAGGCAGAUAUGAUGGUUGGAGCAUUUUCCAAGAACUAUAAUAUUGGUCUCCCGAUAACCGGUAAAGUGGAUGUCGUGGCCAACACAUCCAGCCGGGCGACCUAUUAUUGUAGUAUCUUGAUUGAAGAAAGUUGGCCACCUUCCCAUGAGGAUUUCAUAGGAUUUACUCCAGAAGUUGUUCCUUAUGGAUCUAUUGUAUUCCGAAGUCCGACCACUACUUGGUGGCUAUGCCGAUGCUUAAAGCAUGACCGUGGUUGCCCCCUCUCAGUAGACGUUGUUUCCGACGACGUGAUCGAUGACACCGAUGAAGAGCUAUUCUAUCUUCAGAAGUGCCAGGCAAGCACAACCCCCUUGUUCAUUCCGAUACAAGCCCACUCUCUCGCUCCAGCUCUCUUUUACUGCAUUAGGACAACAACGAUUCAUCUGUUACUUGUUGCGGUAGUUGAACCCCUUAUCCUCUGCAUGACCUGUCAUUGCCACAGUAAUUAGAUGAAACCCACUAGCAUGAGUAGGAGUUGUUUGAGCCCUGAUGUGCCUACUCAUUCAUGCUUGUUUGUCAUGCCUGCUACUGCUUAGAGUUGAGUCAGGUCUGAUUCAUCGGGGAUGGAUCGGAGGUGUGUAAACAUGUCCUAUUGUGUGUGAGCUAAGUGUGUGAACACGUUUUGGUAAAGGUAGCGGUGAGAGGCCAUGUAGGAGUACAUGGUGGGUUGUCUCAUUGAAACCGUCCUCAGGAACUGAGUUCUGUGUUUGUGAUCCAUGAAAUAGCUACUACGACACGUUGGCCCUGAAAUAUGACCCCGCUCGACUUACUGACCCCUCUCGUCCUCUGUCCAGGAGUUGCAAUUAGUUUCUGGUGUUUAUAGGAUAUGUGUUGGCGGCCGUGCGUAGCGCUGACCCUAGGGGUGGGCUAUGAUGCGGUAGAUACACCGUGGCCCGGUGUACCGGGCGCCCGUUUGGUGUCUCGGGAACCCUGCACACAUCGUUUGGGGCUGUGAGCGAAACUCCGGCCGGAUCUCCUCGCGGAUGGAACCCGAAUAGGCAAUAAACCUGGACUAGAGACUUGUGUGGUUAGUCAGGUCGUGGUCUACACCCAUGUCGGCUUUCGCUUGAAGUCUGCCGAGCACAUGUCGUGUGCAGACGCUAAGUGGUGGAAACAUGUGUGACGAAGUACACCCCUACAGGGUUAUAAAUGAUCUAUUCGAAUAGCCGUGUCCGCGGUAAAGGACUUCUGGGUUGCCUAUAACAGUUCAUAGACAAGUGAAAGUGGAUACUCUAAAAACUCGCAAGAUAAGUGUGAGUGCUAUGGAUGGCCUUCUCGUAGGGAGACGAGAGCGGAUCCAUAGUGGUGUAUUGAAUGGUGAAUAUGUGGACUCGUGUGCGCCACCUCAAAAGAGUUGCUUUCAAUCGUAUUUCAGGUUAGCCCCGGAGUCAAAGCUGGCUUGCUGUAGUUAAACUCCACCCCCCCCCUUUGAUGAUACCGAUGCAUAUGUAGUUUAGAUCUGAUGUAAGUCUUGCUGAGUACCUUUGUACUCACGUUUGCUUAAUUUAUGUUUUGUAGAGAGACUUCAGUCUCGCUAGUAGUUCCGCGUGGACCUCGAGGUUUAGCUUGAUACCUCAGCUACGAUCUUGUGCCCUCGACAGGAUCUGGUAGAUAGUCAGGCUUCUUAGCCUUUUUCAUUUAUAGAUGUCUGUACUCAGACAUGUUAAGCUUCCGCAUGUGCUUUGGAUUGUAUGCUAUGAUUGUUGGGUCAUGAGACCCAUGCUUGUAAUAUCUGGCUCUUCAGAGCCUAAUGAAUUAAUACUUGAGUCGUAGAGUCUUGUUGUGAUGCCAUGUUGUAUUUACACAUAUCGACCAUAUUGUGUGUAUGAUUGAAAUGCUUGGUAUGUGUAGGAUCCGACAACCUAGUUGUUUAUCCCUCGCAACCUUUCUUAUGGGGAAAUGUAGUCUAGUGUUCCUUGAGCCAUAGUAGUCCGCUAUAGCCCGGUUCACCGGAGUCCUACUAGCCCAGCACUACUGUUCAGGACACUUGACUGGCCGGCAUGUGUUUCACUUCGUCCCUAUGUCUGUCCCUUCGGGGAAAUGUCACGCGGUGAUUUCCGGUGUCCUGCCUAGCCUCCUACAGCCCGGGAUCCCCGGAGUCCUGUUAGCCCAGUGCCACAGCCCGGAAUCACUCGUUGAUGACCGACAUGUUCGAUGUGAUUCAUGUAUGCCUGUCUCCAUAGGUCUGUGCCGCUUUGGGUUCACGACAAGCCAUGUCGGCCCAGGUUCUUUGUCAUAUGGAUGCUAGCGACACUAUCAUAUACGUGAGCCAAAAGGCGCAAACGGUCCCGGGCCAGUUAAGGUGGCACCCGUGGGAAUACCGCGCGUGAGGCCACAAAGUGAUAUGAUGUGUUACAUGCUAGAUUGGUGUAACCUAGGAUCGGGGUCCUGACACUAUCGUUGUGGUUUUGAUGCGUAGGUAAGAUUGGUUCUUGCUUAAGCCCGUAGCAGCCACGUAAAACUUGCAACAAACAAAGUAGAGGACGUCUAACUUGUUUUUGUAGGGCAUGUUGUGAUGUGAUAUGGUCAAGACAUGAUGCUAAAUUUUAUUGUAUGAGAUGAUCAUGUUUUGUAACUGAGUUAUCGGCAAUUGGCAGGAGCCAUAUGGUUGUCGCUUUAUUGUAUGCAAUGCAAUCGCCCUGUAAUGCUUUACUUUAUCACUAAGCGGCCGGUAGCGAUAGUCGUAGAAGCAUAAGAUUGGCGAGACGACAACGAUGCUACGAUGGAGAUCAAGGUGUCGCGCCGGUGACGAUGGUGAUCAUGACGGUGCUUCAGAGAUGGAGAUCACAAGCACAAGAUGAUGAUGGCCAUAUCAUAUCACUUAUAUUGAUUGCAUGUGAUGUUUAUCUUUUAUGCAUCUUAUCUUGCUUUGAUUGACGAUAGCAUUAUAAGAUGAUCUCUCACUAAAUUAUCAAGAAGUGUUCUCCCUAUGUAUGCACCGUUGCUAAAGUUCGUCGUGCCCAGACACCACGUGAUGAUCGAGUGUGAUAAGCUCUACGUCCAUCUACAACGGGUGCAAGCCAAUUUUGCACACGCAGAAUACUUGGGUUAAACUUGACGAGCCUAGCAUAUGCAGAUAUGGCCUCGGAACACGGAGACUGAAAGGUCGAGCGUGAAUCAUAUAGUAGAUAUGAUCAACAUAAUGAUGUUCACCAUUGAAAACUAAUCCAUUUCACGUGAUGAUCGGUUAUGGUUUAGUUGAUUUGGAUCACGUGAUCACUUAGAGGAUUAGAGGGAUGUCUAUCUAAGUGGGAGUUCUUAAGUAAUAUGAUUAAUUGAACUUCAAUUUAUCAUGAACUUAGUCCCUGAUAGUAUCUUGCUUGUUUAUGUUGAUUGUAGAUAGAUGGCCCGUGCUGUUGUUCCAUUAAAUUUUAAUGCGUUCCUUGAGAAAGCAAAGUUGAAAGAUGAUGGUAGCAAUUACACGGACUUGGUCCAUAACUUGAGGAUUAUCCUCAUUGCUGCACAGAAGAGUUACGUCCUGGAAGCACCGCUGGGUGCCAGGCCUGCUGCUGAUGCAACUGACGACGUUAAGAACGUCUGGCAGAGCAAAGCUGAUGACUACUCGAUAGUUCAAUGUGCCAUGCUUUACGGCUUAGAACCGGGACUUCAACGGCGUUUUGAACAUCAUGGGGCAUAUAAGAUGUUCCAGGUGUUGAAGUUAAUAUUCCAGCAGAAUGCCCGGAUUGAGAGAUAUGAAGUCUCCAAUAAAUUCUAUAGCUGCAAGAUGGAGGAGAAUAGUUCUGUCAGUGAGCAUAUACUCAAGAUGUCUGGGUAUUGUAAUCACUUGAUUCAACUGGGAGUUAAUCUUCCGGAUGAUAGCGUCAUUGACAGAAUUCUCCAAUCACUUCCACCAAGCUACAAGAGCUUCGGGAUGAACUAUAAUAUGCAAGGGAUGGAUAAGACAAUUCCCGAGCUCUUCGCAAUGCUAAAGGUUGCGGAGGUAGAAAUCAAGAAGGAGCAUCAAGUGUUGAUGGUCAACAAGACCACUUGUUUCAAGAAAAAGGGCAAAGGGAAGAAGAAGGGGAACUUCAAGAAGAACAGCAAGCAAGUUGCUGCUCAGGAGAAGAAACCCAAGUCUGGACCUAAGCCUGAAACCGAGUGCUUCUACUACAAGCAGACUGGUCACUUGAAGCGGAACUGCCCCAAGUAUUUGGCGGAUAAGAAGGAUGGCAAAGUGAACAAAGGUAUAUGUGAUAUAGAUGUUAUUGAUGUGUACCUUACUAGAGCUCGCAGUAGCACCUGGGUAUUUGAUACUGGUUCUGUUGCUAAUAUUUGCAACUCGAAACAGGGACUACGGAUUAAGCGAACACUGGCAAAGGACGAGGUGACGAUGCGCAUGGGAAAUGGUUCCAAAGUCGAUGUGAUCGCGGUCGGCAUGCUACCUCUACAUCUACCUUCGGGAUUAGUAUUAGACCUAAAUAAUUGUUAUUUGGUGCCAGUGUUGAGCAUGAACAUUAUAUCUAGAUCUUGUUUAAUGCGAGACGGUUAUUCAUUUAAAUCAGAGAAUAAUGGUUGUUCUAGUUAUAUGAGUAAUAUCUUUUAUGGUCAUGCACCCUUGAAGAGUGGUCUAUUUUUGAUGAAUCUCGAUAGUAGUGAUACACAUAUUCAUAAUGUUGAAGCCAAAAGAUGCAGAGUUGAUAAUGAUUGUGCAACUUAUUUGUGGCACUGCCAUUUAGGUCAUAUCGGUGUAAAGCGCAUGAAGAAACUCCAUACUGAUGGACUUUUGGAACCACUUGAUUAUGAAUCACUUGGUACUUGCGAACCGUGCCUCAUGGGCAAGAUGACUAAAGCACCAUUCUCCGGUACUAUGGAGAGAGCAACAGAUUUGUUGGAAAUCAUACAUACAGAUGUAUGUGGUCCGAUGAAUGUUGAGGCUCGUGGCGGAUAUCAUUAUUUUCUCACCUUCACAGAUGAUUUAAGCAGAUAUGGGUAUAUCUACUUAAUGAAACAUAAGUCUGAAACAUUUGAAAAGUUCAAAGAAUUUCAGAGUGAAGUGGAAAAUCAUCGUAACAAGAAAAUAAAGUUUCUACGAUCUGAUCGUGGAGGAGAAUAUUUGAGUUACGAGUUUGGUGUACAUUUGAAACAAUGCGGAAUAGUUUCGCAACUCACGCCACCCAGAACACCACAACGUAAUGGUGUGUCCGAACGUCGUAAUCUUACUUUACUAGAUAUGGUGCAAUCUAUGAUGUCUCUUACAGAUUUACCGCUAUCGUUUUGGGGUUAUGCUUUAGAGACGGCCACAUUCACGUUAAGUAGGGCACCAUCAAAAUCCGUUGAGACGACAACUUAUGAACUGUGGUUUGGCAAGAAACCAAAGUUGUCAUUUCUUAAAGUUUGGGGCUGCGAUGCUUAUGUGAAAAAGCUUCAACCUGAUAAGCUCGAACGAUAAUCGGAGAAAUGUGUCUUCAUAGGAUACCCAAAGGAAACUGUUGGUUACACCUUCUAUCAUAGAUCCGAAGGCAAGACAUUCGUUGCUAAAAAUGGAUCCUUUCUAGAGAAGGAGUUUCUCUCGAAAGAAGUGAGUGGGAGGAAAGUAGAACUUGAUGAGGUAACUAUACCUGCUCCCUUAUUGGAAAGUAGUUCAUCACAGAAACCGGUUUCUGCGACACCUACACCAAUUAGUGAUGAAUUUAAUGAUGAUGAUCAUGAAAUUUCAGAUCAAGUUACUACUGAGCCUCGUAGAUCAACCAGAGUAAGAUCCGCACCAGAGUGGUACGGUAAUCCUGUUCUAGAAGUCAUGCUACUAGAUCAUGAUGAACCUACGAACUAUGAAGAAGCGAUGGUGAGCCCAGAUUCCGCAAAAUGGCUUGAAGCCAUGAAAUCUGAGAUGGGAUCCAUGUAUGAUAACAAAGUAUGGACUUUGGUUGACUUGCCCGAUGAUCGGCAAGCAAUUGAGAACAAAUGGAUCUUUAAGAAGAAGACUGACGUGACGGUAAUGUUACUGUCUACAAAGCUCGACUUGUCGCAAAAGGUUUUCAACAAGUUGAAGGGAUUGACUACGAUGAGACCUUCUCACCCGUAGCGAUGCUUAAGUCUAUCCGAAUCAUGUUAGCAAUUGCCGCAUUUUAUGAUUAUGAAAUUUGGCAGAUGGAUCUAAAAACUGCAUUCCUGAAUGGAUUUCUGGAAGAAGAGUUGUAUAUGAUGCAACCAGAAGGUUUUAUCGAUCCAAAGGGAACUAACAAAGUGUGCAAGCUCCAGCGAUCCAUUUAUGGACUGGUGCAAGCCUCUCGGAGUUGGAAUAAACUCUUUGAUAGUGUGAUCAAAGCAUUUGGGUUUGUAUAGACUUUUGGAGAAGCCUGUAUUUACAAGAAAGUGAGUGGGAGCUCUAUAGCAUUUCUGAUAUUAUAUGUGGAUGACAUAUUACUAAUCGGAAAUGAUAUAGAAUUUCUGGAUAGCAUAAAGGGAUACUUGAAUAAGAGUUUUUCAAUGAAAGACCUCGGUGAAGCUGCUUACAUAUUGGGCAUUAAGAUCUAUAGAGAUAGAUCAAGACGCUUAAUUGGACUUUCACAAAACACAUACCUUGACAAAGUUUUGAAGAGGUUCAAAAUGGAUCAAGCAAAGAAAGGGUUCUUGCCUGUGUUACAAGGUGUGAAGUUGAGUAAGAAUCAAUGCUCGACCACUUCAGAAGAUAGAGAGAAAAUGAAAGAUGUUCCCUAUGCUUCAGCAGUAGGCUCUAUCAUGUAUGCAAUGCUGUGUACCAGACCUGAUGUGUGCCUUGCUAUAAGUUUAGCAGGGAGGUACCAAAGUAAUCCAGCAGUGGAUCACUGGACGGCGGUCAAGAACAUCCUGAAGUACCUAAAAAGGACUAAGGAUAUGUUUCUCGUAUAUGGAGGUGACAAAGAGCUCAUUGUAAACAGUUACGUUGAUGCAAGCUUUGACACUGAUCCGGACAAUUCUAAAUCGCAAACCAGAUACGUGUUUACAUUAAACGGUGGAGCUGUCAGUUGGUGCAGUUCUAAACAAAGCGUCGUGGCAGGAUCUACAUGUGAAGCGGAGUACAUAGCUGCUUCGGAAGCAGCAAACGAAGGAGUCUGGAUGAAGGAGUUCAUAUCCGAUCUAGGUGUCAUACCUAGUGCAUCGGGUCCAAUGAAAACCUUUUGUGACAAUACUAGUGCAAUUGCCUUGGCAAAGGAAUCCAUAUUUCACAAAAGAACCAAGCACAUCAAGAGACGCUUCAAUUCCAUCCGAGAUCUAGUCCAGGUGGGAGAGAUAGAGAUUUGCAAGAUACAUACGGAUCUGAAUGUAGAAGACCCAUUGACUAAGCCUCUUCCACGAGCAAAACAUGAUCAUCACCAAGGCUCCAUGGGUGUCAGAAUCAUUACUGUGUAAUCUAGAUUAUUGACUCUAGUGCAAGUGGGAGACUGAAGGAAAUAUGCCCUAGAGGCAAUAAUAAAGUUAUUAUUUAUUUCCUUAUAUCAUGAUGAAUGUUUAUUAUUCAUGCUGGAAUUGUAUUAACCGGAAACAUAAUACAUGUGUGAAUACAUAGACAAACAAAGUGUCACUAGUAUGCCUCUACUUGACUAGCUCGUUAAUCAAAGAUGGUUAUGUUUCCUAACCAUAGACAAAGAGUUUUUAUUUGAUUAAUAGGAUCACAUCAUUAGUUGAAUGAUAUGAUUGACAUGACCCAUUCCAUUAGCUUAGCACCCGAUCAUUCUUCAUGACUUAUACAUGUUCCUAUGACUAUGAGAUGAUGCAACUUCCGUUUACUGGAGGAACACUUUGUGUGCUACCAAACGUCACAACGUAACUGGGUGAUUAUAAAGGAGCCCUAUAGGUGUCUCCAAAGGUACAUAUUGGGUUGGCGUAUUUCGAGAUUAGGAUUUGUCACUCCGUUUGUCGGAGAGGUAUCUCUGGGCCCUCUCGGUAAUGCACAUCACAUAAGCCUUGCAAGCAUUGCAACUACUGUGUUACUUGUGAGACGAUGUAUUACGGAACGAGUAAAGAGACUUGCCGGUAAAGAGAUUGAACUAGGUAUUGGAUACCGACGAUCGAAUCUCGGGCAGGUAACAUAUCGAUGACAAAGGGAACAACGUAUGUAGUUAUGCGGUCUCAACGAUAAAGAUCUUCGUAGAAUAUGUAGGAUCCAAUAUGGGCAUCCAGGUCCUGCUAUUGGUUAUUGACCGGAAACGUGUCUCGGUCAUGUCUACAUUGUUCUCGAACCGUAGGGUCCGCACGCUUAAAGUUACGAUGACAGUUUCAUUAUGAGUUUAUGUAUUUUGAUGUACCGAAGGUUGUUCGGAGUCCCGGAUGUGAUCACGGACAUGACGAGGAGUCUCGGAAUGGUCGAGACAUAAAGAUCGAUAUAUUGGAAGCCUAUAUUUGGACAUCGGAAUCGUUUUGGGUGAAAUCGGCAUUAUACCGGAGUACCGGGGGGUUACCGGAACCCCCCGGGGGGUUAUUGGGCCUACAUGGGCCUUGAGGAAGAAGAGAGAAGGAGGUAGGAGGUGGCCGCGCGCCCCUCCCCUUCCUAGUAUGAAUAGGACAAGGGAAGGGGGCGGUGCCCCCCCCUUUCCUUCCCCUCUUCCUCCUCUUUCCUCCCUUCUCCUUCUCCAACUAGGAAAGAAGGGAGUCCUACUCCCGGUGGGAGUAGGACUCCCCCCUGGUGCGCCCCUCCUUGGCCGGCCGCCCCCUCCCCUUGGCUCCUUUAUAUACGGGGGCAGGGGGGCACCCUAGGACACAGAAGUUGACCUUCGUGAUCGUUCCUUAGCCGUGUGCGGUGCCCCCCUCCACGAUAUUACACCUCGAUCAUAUUGUAGUAGUGCUUAGGCGAAGCCCUGCGACGGUUAAACAUCAAGAUCGUCACCACGCCGUCGUGCUGACGAAACUCCUCCCCGAAGCUUUGCUGGAUCGGAGCUCGGGGUGCAUCAUCGAGCUGUACGUGUGUCAAGAACUCGGAGGUGCUGGAGUAACGGUGCUUGGAUUGGUUGGACCGGGAAGACGUACGACUACUUCCUCUACGUUGCGUCAACGCUUCCGCUUCGGUCUACGAGGGUACGUAGACAACACUCUCCCCUCUCGUUGCUAUGCAUCACCAUGAUCUUGCGUGUGCGUAGGAAAUUUUUUGAAAUUACUACAUUCCCCAACAGUUGCUCCACCGACGUACUCCUUCCUCCUAUAUAUACCUGCGUACCCCCAAACGACCAGAUACGGAGCCAAAACCCUAAUUCCACCACCGCAACUUUCUGUAUCCACGAGAUCCCAUCUUGGCGCCUGUUCCGGAGCUCCACCGGAGAGGGCAUCGAUCACGGAGGGCUUCCACAUGAACAGCAUAGCCUCUCCGAUGAAGUGUGAGUAGUUGACCUCAGACCUACAGUCCAUAGUUAUUACCUAGAUGGCUUCUCCUCUCUUUUUGGAUCUCAAUACAAUGUUCUCCCCUCUCUUGUGGAGAACUAUUCGAUGUAAUCUUCUUUUUGCGGUGUGUUUAUUGAGACCGAUGAAUUGUGGGUUGAUGAUCAAGUCUAUCUAUGAAUAAUAUUUGAAUCUUCUCUGAAUUCUUUUAUGUAUGAUUGUUUAUCUUUGCGAGUCUCUUCGAACUAUUAGUUUGGUUUGGCCUACUAGAUUGAUCUUUCUUACAAUGGGAGAAGUGCUUAGCUUUAGGUUCAAUCUUGCGGUGUCCUUUCCCAGUGACAGUAGGGGCAGCAAGGCAUGUAUUGUAUUUUUGCCAUCGAGGACAACAAGAUGGGGUUUUCAUCAUAUUGCAUUAGUUUAUCCCUCUACAUCAUGUCAUCUAGCUUAAGGCGUUACUCUGUUUUUAACUUAAUACUCUAGAAGCAUGCUGGAUAGCGGUCGAUGAGUGGAGUAAUAGUAGUAGAUGCAGGCAGAAGUCGGUCUACUUGUCUCGGACGUGAUGCCUAUAUACAUGAUCAUACCUAGAUAUUCUCAUAAAUAUGCUCAAUUCUGUCAAUUGCUCAACAGUAAUUUGUUCACCCACCAUAGAAUAAUUAUGCUCUCGAGAGAAGCUACUAGUGAAACCUAUGGCCUCGGGAUCUAUGUUUAUCAUAUUAAUCUUCUACUACUUAGUUAUUUCCUUUGCCUUUAUUUUACUUUUCAUUUUUAUCAAAAAAAAUACCAAACAUAUUAUCUUUAUCAUAUCUAUUAGAUCUCACUCUCGUAAGUGGCCGUGUAGGGAUUGACAACCCCUAUUCGUGUUGGUUCCGAGGAUUUAUUUGUUUUGUGCAAGUACGAGGGACUCGCACGUAGCCUCCUACUGGAUUGAUACCUUGGUUCUCAAAAACUGAGGGAAAUACUUAUGCUACUUUGCUGCAUCAUCCCUUCCUCUUCGGGGAAAACCAACGCAGUGCUCAAGAGGUAGCAAGAAGGAUUUCUGGUGCCGUUGCCGGGGAGGUCUACGCAAAAGUCAACAUACCAAGUACCCAUCACAUACCCUUAUCUCCCGCAUUACAUUAUUUGCCAUUUGCCUCUCGUUUUCACCUCCCCCACUUCACCCUUGCCGUUUUAUUCGCCGUCUCUCUCUAUCCUCCCUCUCUUUCUCUAUUUGCCUCUUUUUUCCCGCUUGCUUUCUGUUUGCUUGUGUGUUAGUUGCUUGCUUGUCAUGAUGGCUCAAGAUAAUACUAAAUUAUGUGACUUCACGAUGGCUAAAGCUUGGUUUUCAUCUUUGCCUAAAAAUAGUAAUGAUUCAUGGAAUAAGUGCAAAGAUGCUUUUUUCUCUAAGUAUUUUCCUCCUGCUAAGAUCAUCUCUCUUAGAAACGAUAUUAUGAAUUUUAAGCAACUUGAUCAUGAACAUGUUGCACAAGCUUGGGAGAGAAUGAAACUAAUGGUACAUAAUUGCGCUGCCCAUGGUUUAAAUUUGUGGAUGAUUAUACAAAUAUUUUAUGCCGGAUUGAAUUUUGCUUCAAGAAAUCUUUUAGAUUUGGCCGCGGGAGGCACUUUUAUGGAAAUCACUUUAGGAGAAGCUACUAAACUCAUAGAUAAUAUUAUGGUGAAUUAUGCUCAACGGCAUACUGAAAGAUCUACUAAUAAAAAGGUGCAUGCGAUAGAAGAAAUUAAUGUUUUGAGUGGAAAGAUGGAUGAACUUAUGAAAUUAUUUGCUAAUAAGAGUGUUUCUUCUAAUCCUAAUGAUAUGCCCUUGUCUAGUUUGAUUCAGAAUAAUAACGAAUCUAUGGAUGUGGAUUUUGUUGGUAGGAACAAUUUUGGUAACAACGCGUAUAGAGGAAAUUUCAACCCUAGGCCUUAUCCUAGUAAUCUCUCUAAUAAUUAUGGUAAUUCCGACAACAAUUCUUAUGGAAAUUAUAAUAAGAUGCCCUCUGAUUUUGAAUCUAAUAUUAAAGAAUUUAUUACUUCGCAAAAGAAUUUCAAUGCUUUGAUUGAAGAAAAAUUGCUUAAGAUUGAUGAUUUGGCUAGGAACGUUGAUAGAAUUACUCUUGAUGUUGAUUCUUUGAAACUUAGAUCUAUUCCACCUAAGAAUGAUGUCAAUGAGUCUCUCAAAGCCAUGAGAAUUUCCAUUGAUGAGUGCAAAGAAAGAACCGCUAGGAUGCGUGCUAAGAAAGAUGCCUUUAUAAUAGCGUGUUCUUCUAGUUCCUAUGAAAAUAAUGAUGAAGAUCUAAAAGUUAUUGAUGUGUUCCCUAUUAAAUCUUUGUUUUGCAAUAUGAAUCUUGAUAGUGAUGGGACUGAAUAUGAUCCACCUUUACCUAGAAGGCGUUCCAAGAAUUCAGAAUUUGUUGAUCUUGAUGCUAAAAUUGAUAAAGGAGGGAUUGAAGAAAUUAAAACCCUAGAUGUUGCUAAACCCACUAUUAUGGAUUUCAAGGACUUUAACUAUGAAAAUUGCUCUUUGAUUGAUUGUAUAUCCUUUUUACAAUCCGUGCUAAAUUCUCCUCAUGCUUAUAGUCAAAAUAAAUCGUUUACUAAACAUAUCGUUGAUACCUUGAUGCAAUCUUAUGAAGAAAAACUUGAAUUGGAAGUUUCUUUCCCUAGAAAGCUUUAUGAUGAGUGGGAACCAACUAUUAAAAUUAAAAUUAAAUAUCAUGAAUGCUAUGCUUUAUGUGAUUUGGGUGCUAGUGUUUCCACGAUUCCAAAGACUUUGUGUGAUUUGUUAGGUUUCCAUGAUUUUGAUGAUUGCUCUUUAAACUUGCGCCUUGCGGAUUCCACUAUUAAGAAACCUAUGGGAAGAAUUAAUGAUGUUCUUAUUGAUGCAAAUAGGAAUUAUGUGCUUGUAGAUUUUAUUGUUCUUGACAUAGAUUGCAAUCUUUCAUGUCCUAUUAUUCUUGGUAGACCUUUCCUUAGAACGAUUGGUGCAAUUAUUGAUAUGAAGGAAGGAAAUAUUAGAUUCCAAUUUCCAUUAAGGAAAGGCAUGGAACACUUUACUAGAAAGUCAAUUAAAUUACCUUAUGAAUCUAUUAUGAUAGCCACUUAUGGAUUGUUGGGGAACGUAGUAAUUUCAAAAAAUUUCCUACGCACACGCAAGAUCAUGGUGAUGCAUAGCAACGAGAGGGGAGAGUGUUGUCUAUGUACCCUCGUAGACUGAAGCGGAAGCGUUGACGCAACGUAGAGGAAGUAGUCGUACGUCUUCCUGAUCCGACCGAUCCAAGCACCGUUACUCAGGCACCUCCGAGGUCUUGGCACACGUUCAGCUCGAUGACGAUCCCCAGGCUCCGAUCCAGCAAAGCGUCGGGGAGGAGUUCCGUCAGCACGACUGCGUGGUGACGAUCUUGAUGUUCUACCGUCGCAGGGCUUCGCCUAAGCACCGCUAAAAUAUGACCGAGGUGUAAUAUCAUGGAGAGGGGCACCGCACAAGGCUAAGGAACAAUCACGAAGAUCAACUUGUGUGUCCAUGGGGUGCCCCCUGCCCCCGUAUAUAAAGGAGUGGAGGACGGGAGGGCGACCCUCUCUAUGGCGCGCCCUAGGGGAGUCCUACUCCCAUAGGGAGUAGGAUUCCCCCUUUUCCUAGUCCAACUAGGAGUCCUUCCAUGUAGUAGCACUAGUGCAGAACCGGGCAAUAGCACCGGUUCGUAAGGCCCUUUAGUGCCGGUUAGGUAACCGGCACUAAAAUUUCAGCACUAAAGGCCCCCCCUUUAGUACCGGUUCAGCACGAACCGGUGCUAAAGGGCAACCACAUGGCACGAGCGAGCUCCGGGGGCCGGGAGCCCUUUAGUACCGGUUGGUAACACCAACCGGUACUAAAAUGUUUGGGGGGUUUUUGGUUUUAUGAUUUCUUUUUCAUUAAAUUUUGUGUUUUCCAUUUUAAUUCUUUUUCGUUUGCUGGUAUUUUACGGUACUACACGUUGUACACGUUAUAUAUAUAUAUAUAUAUAAAUAGAAUUUCUAGUAGAACCAAUCAUAUAUAUAUCAUCAAUCAUGUCUCACAAAACACCAUAUUAAUUCACACAUACACACAUGUAUAGCUAUAUACAAUUUCUCCUACAUAUGCAUGUUGCCUUCGGAGCCAGUGGCAUUAGCCUGAUUGGUGCCUUCGGAGCACGAUGACAAUUGGAAGUGGUUCAUGACCUGGUCGAUGGGGGCGGUAGCGGGUAAUAGUAUUCUCCCUUCGGAUUUAUGACCUGGUCGAGCAAAAAUCCUGCUAUUUCCUAUUGAAGUGCUUCUACGCGCUCCGUUUCUAGGAGCUUGUCCCGCACCUCUUUGAACUAUUAAGAAGGAGAUCAAUAUGCAUGUGUAUUAGUUGUGUGACUAGAUAUUGAUAAUGGUGUAAAAAUUGUGAAUAGUGUUCUGACAAGCGUACCCAUUCCUGUCUUUGAGAUCUGCUCCUUCCGGACGCCAUCAUGCGAAUGUUCUCGCAAACGCAGAAUGCACACAGUUCAGUCCCCUGCGCCUGCUUCAGGGCCUUUAUUACGAGAAUGGAAUUUAAUUUGAUCAGAUAAUAAUUAAUCAAGCAUGAUAAUUAAAGAGAUGGCAGCUAGCUAGCUAGCUAGUACUACUUAAUUACUUACCUUGGCUCGAGACCAUUUCAGCUGUGGUUUCCAUUCGCCUUCCGUGUCGCUGAUGAACCUUGCCCAAGCCCUGCCCGCCGACAAAGAAAAUGAAUAAAGGGGUUAUUAAAUAGUUCAUAUCAUGAAAUGAAGAACUAAAUAGGCCGAGAUAUAUAGUUAAUAAUGAUUGAAAUUACCUGUUGACUAUCCCAAACAAGAUGUUAUAGUCACUAUUUCCUUUGAGUAGCGAGUCCAGUAUUUCAACUAUUCCGGCAUCAACUUUAAUGAUACACAAGAUCCAGUGAAAUCUGCAUGCACACACGUUUGCAAGUCUUAAUUAAGCGGGCAUAUGUAAGCAAAAACAUGUAGCUAGCUAGUAGGCAAAAAUAGAGAAUUUGUAGUACAAGAAAGUGUGACUCACUGGCAGUUGUAAGGAAGUAGUAUAUCUUCAUUGUAUUUGAGGAGCUUCAAGAACUCUAGCAUGCUGUCCUCUACCUCUUUUUCAUGAUGCUUGUUUAUUUUCCAUGUGUAUUCAUUAACGGUGUUUGGGUCAAUGAACCCAAUGCCAUAGCGUCCACCUUUUCUCAUUCCAUACAUCUUCAUCCUGCAUAAUACCACAGAAAAGAAUAUAGUAAGGAUAAUUACACGUAAUGAUUGAUCAAAAGGAUCACUACAGCUAGCUUGAGACUUAAAUUACAGAAAGAAAUCACUUACAGACAAUAGCAACUGACGAUAGAUUUGUCGAGUGUGUCUUGAUUGUAUAACUGAAACAGUUCAGAAUACUCAACGGCCACAACUUUCUCAUGGUAGUAAUCAUCCUUCUUGACAUACACCAUGAGGGACUCUCGAUCGGAUCUCUUGGUAAUGUCCAUGUACCAUUGAUGCAAUUCAUACAUUCUCGUUGGGAGCUUCUUGACAUCUUCUGGCUCGACCAAAGGUUGGCCCCGAACAUAUUUCCGUUUUAUUUCCUCCUCUGUAAUCAGAGGCAUGUCCUCGAUCUCGAGGAGUUGUCCAACAGUGAUCUUGAGUUCUUCAGCCUGCAUUAUAUGCUCCUCGGUUAUUACCACAUCGCCCACCUCGGGAAUGUAAACUGUUUGGCCACAAUAAUAUUGGGCGCGCGUACUGUCACGUGUUGUUGGCGGCACAACAAGCGGNNNNNNNNNNNNNNNNNNNNNNNNNNNNNNNNNNNNNNNNNNNNNNNNNNNNNNNNNNNNNNNNNNNNNNNNNNNNNNNNNNNNNNNNNNNNNNNNNNNNNNNNNNNNNNNNNNNNNNNNNNNNNNNNNNNNNNNNNNNNNNNNNNNNNNNNNNNNNNNNNNNNNNNNNNNNNNNNNNNNNNNNNNNNNNNNNNNNNNNNNNNNNNNNNNNNNNNNNNNNNNNNNNNNNNNNNNNNNNNNNNNNNNNNNNNNNNNNNNNNNNNNUUCCCAGCUGGGCAACGGUUUUCCUGCAUUUUUUGACAGCUGCUUGUUGUUUGCUCGAGCUCGAGCUCGCCUCCUUCUGUAGACGUUGUCGAUGUAACUUCCUGAUGUGGCGCUCAUAGUCUGUUUCAACAGGCUUAGGAGCUAGUGGUUGAGCCAUACGAAUGAAGUGGUCAACUACUUCCACAGGCACUUUCUCCCUUGGCGGCGGUGGCGGUUUCGGUCCAAAAUGGGCGUCGACUUCUGCCCGCACUAUGGCAUUGGUUUGCUCCUCAGUCCUGUCGUAAGCCCUCACAGGAAGAGGAGUACUGAGGUUUGGACCAUAUUUAUAUCGCUUGCCUCCACCUGUACUUCCUGUACUAUCACCUCGACUCGUACCGCUACGCACCAUAGCUGCGGGGUGUCUCUUCUGCGAUUGCUGAGGCGGCGGAGACGGCAGACGGGGCUGAGUUAGACGAGGAGGAGUGGCCUGAAGCUGUGCCGGACUUGGAGGAGGAGUGGCCUGAGGUUGUGCCGGACUUGGAGGAGGAGUGGACGUCUGACGCUGUGUCGGACUUGGAGGAGGAGUGGCCUCACACAUUGCCGGACUUGGAGGAGGAGGAGUGGCCUCACGCGUUGAUGGACUUGGAGCGGGAGUCUGCUGACUCGGUGGUGGACUUCGACGAGGAGUCGGGUGACGCGGUGUCGGUGGCCUUCGAAAGAUGAUGCAAUCCUUUCUCCAUAGGAUGACAUGAUGUAUGGCCUCUCCCAAUGUGUGCUCGUCGUCACCUCUAGGAAUGUCAAGUUGUAGCUCCGAAUAUGGGUCCACCACCUCAUCAACCAAGACACGAGCAUAGCCUGCUGGAAUCGGGUUGCAAUGGAAGGUUGCCUCGGGGGAAUUUGAAAAAGCAACGGCGUCCGCCACCUUCAUGGAUAUGUUCUUCAUUUUGAAGUGUACCUCGCAGUUAGUGUUCUCCGUGAUGUCAUCCAUGGGGUAUCUAUCCAGCACUGCGUCGCCCGGGGCGGAACCCACGCUGCUUCUCGGCAUGGAUGGGGUGGUGGUAUCCAAUGCUGGAUCAUCCGCUAGGUGCUGCAGCUGCUGAGACCCCAUUUGCUGGCUAAGUGAGUCGAUCUGCUCCUGCUGCCGCUGGAAUUUAGCUGCCAAUUCCGCUUGACUUGCUUCUAGGCCUUGAAGGCGUUCAUAGUCCCGCUUCCUUUGCUCCUCCUCCAUCUUCCUCUUCUUCUCCUCCGCAAUCUUCUUUCUCGCACGGGUUCUGUAGUCGGCGUUCCAGUCCGAAAACCCCUCAUACCACGGAAUAGCGCCCUUGCCUCGUGGUCUUCCCGGGUGUUCAGGAUUUCCCUGGGCACGCGUAAGCUCGUCCUUCUCUCUGUUGGGCUGAAACACCCCCGAUCGAGCCUCUUCUAUUGCAACAAGUAGCGCAUCGUCGGCUCCAUUCAGACAUGCCUUCGUCAAAACAUUGCCUGUCUUCGGGUCCAACUCCCCCCCAUGCGCAUAGAACCAAGUCCUGCACCUAGGGGGCCAACUCUUAGUAAACGGAGUGGCACCUGCAUCCUCCAUCUCUUUCUCAGACUUAUCCCACUUAGGCAUUGCCACCGUGUAGCCAGCUGGCCCCAGCUUAUGGAACUUAUCCUUUUUUCGGCAUUCUUCUUGUUUAUUCUCGACCGUUCCUUAGCUAAUUCGGAAUCCUUGAAUUUCAUGAAAUCGUCCCAAUGAGAACUUUGAUUCUCUAGUAUCCCCUCGAAUACUGGAGUCUUCCUUCCUCCCUUGACGUACUUCUCCCACGUCGUUCUCUUGUGGUUCUUGAAUGCAACCGCCAUCUUCCUAAAAGCAGCGUCCUUGACUUUCUGCACAUCUGCUUCCGUGAAAUGAUCUGGUAGGGUGAAAUGUUCCAUGAGAGUAUCCCAAAGCAGUUUUUUAUAUUCUCGUCUACAAAAGUAUCAUUUGGACGUGGCUUUGCUGGCUUUCUCCAUUCUUGAAGGGAGAUCGGGAGUUGGUCCUUCACAAGAACUCCACACUAACGAACGAACUUGUCCGCAAUCUUCUUAGGCGCUAAUGGUUCGCCAUUAGGUUUGAAUGCCUCGAUAUUGUACUUUACGCCCUCCUUCAACUUUUUGUUCGGGCCUCGUUUUGUCCUUUUGCCUGAAGAUUUGCUCGAUCCGGAUGGCUGAAAGAAGAAAGAUCGAUUCGUUAAUAUAUCUUCAACUCAUUUAAAACAUGCGAUGAUCACCAGAUUCCUGCUUAUAUAAAUAUAUAUACCUCGCCGGUACAUGUUGUUUCAGGGUCAACAUGUUCUUCGUCGUAGUUCAGGACUUCAUCUUCUCGGUCAUCGCGAUCAAAUAUCAUAUCACCCUCUCCGGUGUUGUUUAGAAAUUCAGAGCCGUCAAAAUCUUCUUCAUUCUGAUCAUCAUCUGGCCCGCGUAUGAUACCGAACAUGGUAUGUUCUCUCUCUCUGUCGGUAUUGUCCGCCAUAGCUUUUAUUUAACUAUGCCAAAAGAAAUAUAAAAUAAUUUAGUAUAAUCUCGAAUAAUAGAUAUAAUCUCGAAUACAUCGUCUCGAAUAAUAGAUAUAAUCUCGAAUACAUCGUCUCGAAUAAUAGAUUUAAUCUCGAAUACAUCGUCUCGAAUAAUAGAUAUAAUCUCGAAUACAUCGUCUCGAAUAAUAGAUUUAAUCUCGAAUACAUCGUCUAGAAUAAUAGAUUUAAUCUCGAAUACAUCGUCUCGAAUAAUAUAUAAUAUUGAAUAGUACAUCAUUGGCUAGGCGGUGGACACCCAAAGAGAAGGAACCCUCACAGGAUCAUAGCUGAAGUGAGAGCCCCGAAGAAACUGCCAGGUUUUGGAGAACCUUCCGCCCUCUAACGCAACCAUGUAGCGAUGGAUGUAAUCGUCCUCCUCCCUGACACGACGACGUACCACCUCCGGCGGGGCCGGCUCCCUCCGCACCGAAACUGGCCCACGCGAACGCCACCAAACGAGAUCAGGGUCGAUCACAGGACCCGGGGCCGGGUUCCUCAUCAAGCGGCGCGCCCCUCCAGGCAGCACCUCCCAGUGCCAGCCCGGCGGAGCCCAGUCCCGGACAUGGGUCAGCUGGACGUCGUCGCGGACGUGUCGACGGUGAGGAUGUGGGCCGGGCAUCGUCGACAACAAAUACUAGCUAUAUGCCCGCAAAAAGUAACAUUUUUUUAAUGAUUGGAAUUUGAUAACUAAAAUUUCUAACAUUUCUAUAUAACACUAAUUAUGCUAUCAUUGCAUAUGUCAAAAUUCUAUAUGCUAUUUCAUACUAAUUAAGCAUCUAACACUAAAAACAGAAAACACAACUUCUAUACAUCCAUUAAAAAAACUGAAAAACAACAUUAUAUAAACAAAUUUCAAUACUAAUUAAACACUAAUUAUAUCCAUCUAACAUGCAUUCAUACAUAUAUGCUAGUGAAAAAAUAAUAAUCUAAAAAAUCUAAACUAAUUAAACAUACAAAAUACGUAUAUACUAAUAUAUACAUGCAUUAAUUCAUACAUAUGUACGUGUGUGUGUGUGUGUGCUCGGGGAGGGGUGGUGCCCAUGGUGGCCGCCGGGGGCGAGGGAGAGGGGUUAGAGGGGGAGAGCUCACAGCAGGGUGACGGCGACGGCCAGGGGCGGCGACGGGCCGGGGUGUGACGCGGGGGCGGCGACGCGGGGACGGUGCGACGGGGACGGGCCUGGGGCGGCGACGGGGACGGGCCCGAUGACGGGGACGGGGGCGGCGACGGCGACAUCGUCGAUUGAUCGGGGUGCGCGGGCGGUGCUUCAAUGGGGAAACAGAGGAAGAAACAAAGGGAGAAUGAAAUUUUCGUAAGUGUUCUAUAUAUAGAAGGCACCUUCAGUACCGGUUGGAGCCACCAACCGGUACUAAAGGCCUGUUUUGGCCAGGCCAAGCCGCGGGAAGCACCCCCCUUUAGUACCGGUUCCUGGCUCCAACCGGUACUAAAGGCCCCCCCUUUAGUACCGGUUGGUGCCACCAACCGGUACUAAAGGGGGGUACGCUGCCAGGCGAGGGGCACAAAACUUUAGUCCCACCUCGCUAGCCGAGGGGCACUCACACCUUCUUAUAAGCCCCGCCGUCGCUGCUGUCUCGAGCUCCACUCUUAAGCACGCCUUCUGGGCCUACCUCUUCUGCGAUGCCCUGUUGGGCCUACUGGGCUAGUGGGCCUGCAUCCUGGCCCAACUUGAAUAUGGGUUUCUAGUCGUAUGCAGGCCGCUGUGGCCCAGUAGGUGGGCUUUUUUUUCUUAUUUUUUUGCUUUAUUUAUUUUUGUGAAUAACUUAACUUUGAAAAUAGAUUUUUCAGUGAUUCUUUUUUCUUAUGUUUAAUAUUAGUGUGUUUUAUCAUUAUAUUCAAUUUGGUAAUGCUUAGGUUAUUUAAAAAAUGAAAUGCCUUUGUAACGGAUGAGUUUUCGUCCGAAACCCUGAUACUUCGAAACAGAUUGUCCAUUUUGUACACGAAGUGCAUCCAGUUUUUGCGGUAACCCUCUCUACUUUUUUGCACAUGCUAUGUGGGUGAAAUUAUGAUACCAUGCCAACUUUCAUCCUUUUCUGAGUUCAUUUGAAAUUCUUUUCAAUUUUAGGGUCAUUUAGGUGAAAAAAAUCAGUAAAUGCAUGAAAGAAUUUGCUUGCACAUAAAAUUUCUUCGCGUUUCAAAUGCCAAAACACAUAACUAGCUACCCUAACUAUUACAGAGAUUCCCUCCUGGGUGUGAAACACAGAAGAAAGUGAUGAUAGUUACGCCGAUCAUAUCCCAGAUCUUUGGGUGUGAAACUUUUUCUUCGCGUGUGUCCCUUUGCGUCGUAGCCAUGGAAAAUCUUCAUCAUUUAACGGGAUGCUCGGGUCAAUAUUCACUGUGAAUGGAGCAAUUUCAUCAAACUUUUCAUAAUCAUCUGACUUGUCUGUUUUGUCAUCCACUCCCAUGAUGUUUCUCUUCCCAGAAAGAACUAUGUGCCGCUUUGGCUCAUCGUACGAUGCAUUCACUUCCUUAUCUUUUCUUUUUCUUGGCUUGUUAGACAUGUCCUUCACACAGAAAACCUAUGCCACAUCAUUGGCUAGGACGAACGGUUCGUCUGCAUACGCAAGAUUGUUGAGAUCCACUGUUGUCAUUCCGUACUGCGGGUCUUCCAUUACCCAGCCUCGUGUCAUAUUAACCCAUUUGCACCGAAACAAAGGGACCUUCAAACCACGUCGAUAGUCAAGUUCCCAUAUGUCCUGUAUAUAACCAUAAUAUGUUUCCUUUCCCGUCUUGGUUUCUGCAUCAAAGCGGACACCACUGUUUUGGUUGGUGCUCUUAUUAUCUUGGGCGAUCGUGUAAAAUGUAUUACCAUUUAUCUCGUACCCUUUGAAAGUCAUUAUAUUCGAAGAUGGUAAUUGGGAUAGCAAGUACAUGUCAUCUUCAAUAGAGGUGUCAUGCAUGGUACGUGGUUGCAACCAGCUGGCGAAACUCCUGGUUUGUUCACGUGUAAUCCAGUCAUCAGACCGCUCCGGGUGUUUGGAGCGUAGCAAAUUCUUGUGUUCAUCCAUAUACGGAGCCACCGAGGCAGAAUUCUGUAGAACUAUGUAGUGUGCUUCAGUGAGAGAAUGUCCAGCCAUAUAUACAUAUUAUUUGUUCCCCUCCUAGCGUGCCUUUUCCAUCCAGUCUGCCCUUAUGCCGCGAUUCAGGAACACCAAUCGGCUUAAGGUCAGGAAUAAAGUCAAUACAAAACUCACUGACCUCCUCAUUUUGACGGCCCUUGGAGAUGCUUCCUUCUGGCCUAGCACGGUUAUGAACAUAUUUCUUUAAGUCUCCCACGAACCUCUCAAAGGGGAACAUAUUGUGUAGAAAUACAGGACCCAAAACGUUAAUCUCUUCGCAUAGGUGAACUAGGACGUGCGUCAUGAUGUUGAAGAAGGAUGGUGGGAACACCAACUCGAAACUGACAAGACAUUGCACCAAAUCAUUCUGUAACCUUGGUAUGAUUUCUGGAUCGAUUACCUUCUGAGAGAUUGCAUUGAGAAAUGCACAUAGCUUCACAAUGGCUAAUCGAACGUUUUCCGGUAGAAGCCCCCUCAAUGCAACCGGAAGUACUUGCGUCAUAAUCACGUGGCAGUCAUGAGACUUUAGGUUCUGGAACUUUUUCUCUGCCAUGUUUAUUAUUCCCUUUAUAUUCGACGAGAAGCCAGAUGGUACCUUAAUAAUGAGUAGGCAUUCAAAGAACAUUUCCUUCUCUUCUUUGGUAAGAGCGUAGCUUGCAUGACCCUGAUGUAUGCCGUCUUUUCCGUGCAUACGUUGCUGGUCCUCCUGUGCCUUAGGUGUAUCUUUUGUCAUCCCAUACACGCCCAAGAAGCCAAGCAGGGUCACACAAAGAUUCUUCGUCACGUGCAUCACGUCGAUUGCGGAGCGGACCUCGAGGUCUUUCCAAUAGUGCAGGUCCCAAAAUAUAGAUUUCUUCUUCCACAUGGGUGCGCGUCCGUCAGCGUCAUUCGGAACAGGUUGUCCACCAGGACCCUUUCUAAAGACCACCUUCAAAUCCUUGACCAUAUCAUGUACAUCAGCACCAGUACGGUGGCGAGGCUUCGUCCGGUGAUCCGCCUCACCUUUGAAAUGCUUGCAUUUCUUUCUUACGGGAUGCCUGCUCGUAAGAAAUCGACGAUGUCCUAGGUACACAUUCUUAUUAGCCAAAUAUAUACUGUCGGUAUCGUCCAAACAGUGCGUGCAUGCGCGGUAUCCCUUGUUUGUCUGUCCUGAAAGGUUACUGAGAGCAGGCCAAUCAUUGAUGGUCACGAACAGCAACGCCUUUAGGUCAAAUUCUUCCCCCAUGUGCUCAUCCCACACACGUACACCUGUUCCAUUCCAUAGUUGUAAGAGUUCUUCAACUAAUGGCCUUAGGUACACAUCAAUGUCGUUGCCGGGUUGCUUAGGGCCUUGGAUGAGCACUGGCAUCAUAAUGAACUUCCGCUUCAUGCACAACCAAGGAGGAAGGUUAUACAAACAUAGAGUCACAGGCCAAGUGCUAUGGUUGCUGCUCUGCUCCCCAAAAGGAUUAAUGCCAUCUGCGCUUAGACCAAACCAUACGCUCCUUGCGUCAUUUGCAAACUCCUUCCCGUACUUUCUUUCGAUUUUUCUCCACUGUGAACCGUCAGCGGUUAGUGUCAACUUUCCAUCUUUCUUACGGUCUUCGCUGUGCCAUCGCAUCGCCUUGGCAUGCUCUUUGUUUUGGAACAAACGUUUCAACCGUGGUAUUAUAGGAGCAUACCACAUCACCUUGGCAGGAAUCUUCUUCCUGGGGCGCCGGCCCUCGACAUCACCAGGGUCAUCGCGGCUGAUCUUAUAGCGCAAUACACCACAUACCGGGCAAGCGUUCAAAUCCUCGUACUCACCACGGUAGAGGAUGCAAUCAUUAGGGCAUGCAUGUAUCUUCUCCACCUCUAACCCUAGAGGGCAGAGAACCUUCUUUGCUUCGUACAUACUCUCGGGCAAUUCGUUGUCCUUUGGAAGGAUAUCCUUUAUCAUUACCAGCAACUUUCCAAAUCCCUUGUCAGAUACACCAUUCUCUGCCUUCCAUUGCAGCAAUUCCAGUGUGGUGCCCAGUUUUUUCUUGUCAGCUACGCAAUUCGGGUACAACAAUUUUUUGUGAUCCCCUAACAUGCACUGCAACUUCUUCUCCAAAUCACUUGCGCAGUUUCUCUUUGCAUCGGCAAUGGCCCGACCUAGAUCAUCAACGGGCUCAUCUGAUGCCUCUUCUUCAGCUUCUUCCCGCAUUGCCGGCUCAGCUUCUUCCCGCAUUACCGGCUCAGCUUCUUCCACCAUUGUUGUAUCAUCGUAUUCAGGGAACCCAUGGCCAGGAUAGCUGUCGUCGUCCUCUUCUUCUUCAUUGUCUUCCAUCAUAACCCCUCUUUAUCCGUGCUUGGUCCAAACAUUAUAAUGGGGCAUGAAACCAGACUUAAACAGGUGGACGUGAAUGGUUCUUGACGUACAGUAAUUGUGACCAUUCUUACAGCGAGCACAUGGACAAGGCAUAAAACCAUCCGCCCCCUUGUUUGCCUCAGCCGCAAGCAGAAAAGUAUGCACGCCCUCAACGAACUGGGGAGAGCAUCGGUCAUCGUACAUCCAUUGCCGGCUCAUCUUCAUUACACAACAACGAAUAGAACAAAUUAAUACAAGUUCAUACAUAAAGUUCAUACAACACUUAAAUGCAACAAACAAAUAACUCUCUAGCUAAAGCAUUUAAAUGCAACAACAAAUACGAUCAAGAUCGCAACUAAGGUAACAAUGGAUCCAACAGCAUAAUGAAACCAAGCCUCACUAUCGAUGGCAUAUUUUCUAAUCUUUCUAAUCUUCAAGCGCAUUUUCUCCAUCUUGAUCUUGUGAUCAUCGACGAUACCGGCAACAUGCAACUCCAAUUCCAUCUUCUCCCCCUCAAUUCUUUUCAAUUUUUCUUUCAAGUACUCGUUUUCUCUUUCAACUAAAUUUAACCUCUCGGCAAUAGGGUAGGUUGGAAUUUCCGGUUGAUGGGCAUAAUUUGUAAUAAACACGAAAUGCAACUAGUUUUAAAAGAGAAUAUACAUACCACAUCCGAAUCAUAACAAGGACUAGGGCCGACGGGGACGGAUAUCAAAACCAUGGCACUAUAUGUAUAACAAACAACGUACAGGUAAGAUAAUUAUACGAGUAACUAUAUAUCCAAAUCACACAAACAUCAAUUUUUAUAUAAAAUUUCAUGAACAAGAGGCUCACCACAAGGUGGUGCCGGCGACGGGACGGUGCGGGCGAUCCACGGUGGCUACGAUGGAGAUUUAGAAGGCACUAAGUAAACCACACCUACAUAUGCAAACUAAAUGUUAUUUUUGACCUCAAAUUGCAUAUAAAUCAAAUACUAGCACAUAUAUAUAUAUCAUCCCAAAUUACUAAACUCACAAAUUAAUCACUAUAUAAAGCAUUGCAAGAGCUAAUCUAGCAACGAGAGAUGAAAGGACAAAGUUGCUAACCUUUGUGAUCAUUUGAAUGGAUGGGGGCCUUCAAAUCUUGACAAAUUUUGGGCAAAAUGUGUGAUGAGCUCGAGAGGAAGAGGGGAAGAACAGAGAGGAGAGGGGAAAGGGGAAGAAUAGAGCGAGCUCGGGUGGACGAAGGGUUUAUGUAGGACGACCUUUAGUACCGGUUUGUGCCAAGAACCGGUACUAAAGGGGCUGGAGGGGCCCCAUACUGACAACAUCCUGCCACCACUCUCAUUAGUACCGGUUCGUGGCACGAACCGGUGCUAAAGGUUCGCCAUGAACCGGUACUAAUGAAAGCAGCCUGGUUAGCCGUUGGAACCGGCACUAAUGUAUACAUUAGUGCCGGCUCAAAUACAAACCGGCACUAAUGUGCUUCAUGUUUGACCCUUUUUCCACUAGUGUAGGAGUAGGAGACAAGGAAGGGGAAGGGAGAAGGGAAAGAAGGAGGGGGCGCGGCCCCUCCCCCUAGUCCAAUUCGGACUAGGCCUUGGGGGGGCGCGCGGCCUGCCCUAGGCAGCCCCUCUCUCUUUCCCGUAUGGCCCAAUAAGGCCCAAUACUUCUCCCGGCGAAUUCCCGUAACUCUCCGGUACUCCGAAAAAUACCCGAACCACUCGAAACCUUUCCGAUGUCCGAAUAUAGUCGUCCAAUAUAUCGAUCUUUACAUCUCGACCAUUUCGAGACUCCUCCUCAUGUCCCCGAUCCCAUCCGGGACUCCGAACUCCUUCGGUACAUCAAAACUCAUAAACUCAAAAUAUAACUGUCAUCGAAACCUUAAGCGUGCGGACCCUACAGUUCGAGAACAAUGUAGACAUGAUCGAGACACAUGUCCGGUCAAUGACUAAUAGCGGGACCUGGAUGCCCAUAAUGGCUCCUACAUAUUCUACGAAGAUCUUUAUCGGUCAGACCGCAUAACAACAUACGUUGUUCCCUUUGUCAUCGGUAUGUUACUUGCCUGAGAUUUGAUCGUCGGUAUCUCAAUACCUAGUUCAAUCUUGUUACCGGCAAGUCUCUUUACUCGUUCCGUAAUACAUCAUCUCGCAACUAACUCAUUAGUUGCAAUGCUUGCAAGGCUUAUGUGAUGUGCAUUACCGAGAGGGCCUAGAGAUACCUCUCCGACAAUCGGAGUGACAAAUCCUAAUCUCGAAAUACGCCAGCCCAACAUGUACCUUUGGAGACACCUGUAGAGCUCCUUUAUAAUCACCCAGUUAUGUUGUGACGUUUGGUAGAACACAAAGUGUUCCUCCGGCAAAUGGGAGUUGCAUAAUCUCAUAGUCAUAUGAACAUGUAUAAGUCAUGAAGAAAGCAAUAGCAACAUACUAAACGAUUGGGUGCUAAGCUAAUGGAAUGGGUCAUGUCAAUCAGAUCAUUCAACUAAUGAUCUGAUCCCGUUAAUCAAAUAACAACUCUUUGUCCAUGGUUAGGAAACAUAACCAUCUUUGAUUAACGAGCUAGUCAAGUAGAGGCAUACUAGUGACACUCUGUUUUCUAUGUAUUCACACAUGUAUUAUGUUUCCGGUUAAUACAAUUCUAGCAUGAAUAAUAAACAUUUAUCAUGAUAUAAGUAAAUAAAUAAUAACUUUAUUAUUGCCUCUAGGGUAUAUUUCCAUCAGUCUCCCACUUGCACUAGAGUCAAUAAUCUAGAUCACAUCGCCAUGUGAUUUAACAUCAAUAGUUCACAUCUUUAUGUUAUUGGUUCACAUCUCCAUGUGACUAACACCCAAAGGGUUUACUAGAUUCAAUAAUCUAGUUCACAUCGCUAUGUGAUUAAGACCCAAAAAGUGAUCAUGUUUUGCUUGUGAGAGAAGUUUAGUCAAUAGGUCUUCCACAUUCAGAUCCGCAUGUAUUUUGCAAAUUUCUAUGUCAACAAUGCUCUGCAUGGAGCUACUCUAGCUAAUUGCUCCCACUUUCAAUAUGUAUCCAGAUUGAGACUUAGAGUCAUCUGGAUCAGUGUCAAAACUUGCAUCGACGUAACCCUUUACGACGAACCUUUUGUCACCUCCGUAAUCGAGAAACAUAUCCUUAUUCUACUAAGGAUAAUUUUGACCGCUGUCAAUAGAUCUACUCCUAGAUCACUAUUGUACUCCCUCUCUUAACACAGUGUAUGGUAUACAAUAGAUCUGGUACACAACAUGGCAUACUUUAUAGAACCUAUGACUGAGGCAUAGGGAAUGACUUUCAUUCUCUUUCUAUCUUCUGCCGUGGUCGGGCUUUGAGUCUUACUCAACUUCACGCCUUGUAACACAAGCAAGAAACUUUUUCUUUGACUGUUCCAUUUUGAACUACUUCAAAAUCUUGUCAAGGUAUGUACUCAUCGAAAAAACUUAUCAAGCGUCUUGAUCUAUCUCUAUAGAUCUUGAUACUCAAUAUGUAAGCAGCUUCACCGAGGUCUUUCUUUGAAAAAACUCCUUUCAAACAUUCCUUUAUGCUUUGCAGAAUAAUUCUACAUUAUCUCCGAUCAACAAUAUGUCUUUCACAUAUACUUAUCAGAAAUGAUGUAGUGCUCCCACUCACUUUCUUGUAAAUACAGGCUUCACUGCAAGUCUGUAUAAAACUAUAUGCUUUGAUCAACUCAUGAAAGCGUAUAUUCCAACUCUGAGAUGCUUGCACCAGUCCAUAGAUGGAUCGCUGGAGCUUGCAUAUUUUGUUAGUACCUUUAGGAUUGACAAAACCUUCUGGUUGCAUCAUAAACAACUCUUCUUUAAUAAAUCCAUUAAGGAAUGCAGUUUUGUUUAUCCAUUUGCCAGAUUUCAUAAAAUGCGGCAAUUGCUAACAUGAUUCGGACAGACUUAAGCGUAGAUACGAGUGAGAAACUCUCAUCGUAGUCAACACCUUGAACUUGUCGAAAACCUUUUUGCGACAAUUCUAGUUUUGUAGAUAGUAACACUACUAUCAGCGUCCGUCUUCCUCUUGAAGAUCCAUUUAAUCUCAAUGGCUUGCCGAACAUCGGGCAAGUCAACCAAAGUCCACACUUUGUUCUCAUACAUGGAUCCUAUCUCAGAUUUCAUGGCCUCAAGCCAUUUAUCGGAAUCUGGGCUCAUCAUCGCUUCCUCAUAGGUCGCAAGUUUGUCAUGGUCAAGUAACAUGACCUCCAGAACAGGAUUACCAUACCACUUUGGUGCGGAUCUCAAUCUGGUUUACCUACGAGGUUUGGUAGUAACUUGAUCUGAAGUUACAUGAUCAUCAUCAUUAGCUUCCUCACUAAUUGGUGUAGGAGUCACAGGAACAAAUUUCUGUGAUGAACUACUUUCCAAUAAAGGAGAAGGUACAAUUACCUUAUCAAGUUUUCUACUUUCCUCCCACUCACUUCUUUCAAGAGAAACUCCUUCUCUGGAAAGGAUCCAUUCUCAGUCAACGAAUAUCUUGCCUUCGGAUCUGUGAUAGAAGGUGUACCCAACAUUUUCUUUAGGGUAUCCUAUGAAGAUGCACUUUUCCGAUUUGGGUUUGAGCUUAUCAGGAUGAAACUUUUUCACAUAAGCAUCACAACCCCAAACUUUAAGAAACGACAACUUUGGUUUCUUGCCAAACCACAGUUCAUAAGGCGUCGUCUCAACGGAUUUUGAUGGUGCCCUAUUCAACGUGAAUGCAGCUGUCUCUAAUGCAUAACCCCAAAACGAUAGUGGUAGAUCGGUAAGAGAUAUCAUAGAUCGCACCAUAUCUAAUAAAGUACGGUUAUGAUGUUCGGACACACCAUUACAUUGUGGUGUUCCAGGUGGCAUGAGUAGUGAAACUAUUUCACAUUGUUUUUAACUGAAGGCCAAACUCAUAACUCAAAUACUCUUCUCUACGAUCAGGUCGUAGAAACUUUAUUUUCUUGUUACGAUGAUUUUUCACUUCACUCUGAAAUUCUUUGAACUUUUCAAAUGUUUCAGACUUAUGUUUCAUCAAGUAGAUAUACUCAUAUCUGCUCAAAUCAUCUGUGAAGAUCAGAAAAUAAUGAUACCUGUCGCGAGCCUCAAUAUUCAUCGGACCACAUACAUUAGUAUGUAUGAUUUCCAACAAAUCUGUUGCUCGCUCCAUUGUUCUGAAGAACAGAGUCUUAGUCAUCUUGCCCAUUAGGCAUGGUUCGCAAGCAUCAACUGAUUCAUAACCAACUGAUUCCAAAAGCCCAUCAGCAUGGAGUUUCUUCAUGCGCUUUACACCAAUAUGACCUAAACGGCAGUGCUACAAAUAAGUUGCACUAUCAUUAUUAACUUUGCAUCUUUUGGUUUCAAUAUUAUGAUUAUGUGUAUCACUACAAUCGAGAUCCAACGAACUAUUUUCAUUGGGUGUGUAACCAUAUAAGGUUUUAUUCAUGUAAACAGAACAACAAUUUAUUCUCUUACUUAAAUGAAUAACCGUAUUACAAUAAACAUGAUCAAAUCAUAUUCAUGCUCAACGCAAACACCAAAUAACACUUAUUUAGGUUCAACACUAAUCCUGAAAUUAUAGGGAGUGUGCGAUGAUGAUCAUAUCAAUCUUGGAACCACUUCCAACAUACAUCAUCACUUCACCCUUAACUAGUCUCUGUUUAUUUUGCAACUCCCGUUUCGAGUUACUAAUCUUUGCAACUGAACUAGUAUCAAAUACUGAGGGGUUGCUAUAAACACUUGUAAAGUACACAUCAAUAACAUGUAUAUCAAAUAUACUUAUGUUCACUUUGCCAUCCUUCUUAUCCGCCAAUCACUUGGGGUAGUUCCGCUUCUAGUGACCAGUGCCUUUGCAGUAGAAGCACUUAGUCUCAGGCUUAGGACCAGACUUGGGCUUCUUCACUUGAGCAGCAACUUGCUUGCUGUUCUUCUUGAAGUUCCCCUUCUUCCCUCUGCCCUUUUCUUGAAACUAGUGGUCUUGUCAACCAUCAACACCUGAUGUUUUUCUUGAUUUCUACCUUCAUUGAUUUCAGCAUCACGAAGAGCUUGGGAGUUGUUUCCGUUAUCCCUUGCAUAUUAUGGUUCAUCACGAAGUUCUACUAACUUGGUGAUGGUGACUAGAGAAUUCUGUCAAUCACUAUCUUAUCUGGAAGAUUAACUCCCACUUGGUUCAAGCAAUUGUAGUACCCAGACAAUCUGAGCACGUGCUCACUAGUUGAGCGAUUCUCCUCCAUCUUUUAGCUAUAGAACUUGUUGGAGACUUCAUAUCUCUCAAGUCGGGUAUUUGCUUGAAAUAUUAACUUCAACUCCUAGAACAUCUCAUAUGGUCCAUGAUGUUCAAAACGUCUUUGAAGUCCUGAUUCUAAGCCAUUAAGCAUGGUGCACUAAACUAUCAAGUAGUCAUCAUAUUGGGCUAGCCAAACGUUCAUAACGUCGGCAUCUGCUCCUGCAAUAGGUCUGUCACCUAGCGGUGCAUCAAGGACAUAAUUCCUCUAUGCAGCAAUGAGGAUAAAACUCAGAUCACGGAUCCAAUCCGCAUCAUUGCUACUAACAUCUUUCAACACAAUUUUCUCUAGGAACAUAUCAAAAUAAACAUAGGGAAGCAACAACGCGAGCUAUUGAUCUACAACAUAAUUUGCAAAAUACUACCAGGACUAAGUUCAUGAUAAAUUUAAGUUCAAUUUAAUCAUAUUACUGGAGAACUCCCACUUAGAUAGACAUCCCUCUAAUCCUCUAAGUGAUCACGUGAUCCAAAUCAACUAAACCAUGUCCGAUCACCACGUGAGAUGGAGUAGUUUCAUUGGUGAACAUCACUAUGUUGAUCAUAUCUACUAUCUGAUUCACGCUCGACCUUUCGGUCUCCGUGUUCCGAGGCCAUAUCUGUAUAUGCUUGCCUCGUCAAGUAUAACCUGAGUAUUCCGCGUGUGCAACUGUUUUACACCCGUUGUAUUUGAACGUAGAGCCUAUCACACCCGAUCAUCACGUGGUGUCUCAGCACGAAGAAGUUUCGCAACGGUGCAUACUCAGGGAGAACACUUCUUGAUAAUUAGUGAGAGAUCAUCUUAAAAUGCUACCGUCAAACUAAGCAAAAAUAAGAUGUAUAAAAGAUAAACAUCAUAUGCAAUCAAAAUAUGUGACAUGAUAUGGCCAUCAUCAUCUUGCUUCUUUGAUCUCCAUCUCCAAAGUACUGUCAUGAUCUAUAUCGUCAUCGGCAUGACACCAUGAUCUCCAUCAUCUUGAUCUAUAUCAAUGUGUCGUCACGUGGUCGUCUCGCCAACAAUUGCUCUUGCAACUAUUGCUAUCGCAUAGCGAUAAAGUAAAGCAAUUAUUGGACGCUUGCAUCUUAUGUAAUAGAGAGACAACCAUAAGGAUUUUGCCAGUUGUUGAUAACUUCAACAAAACAUGAUCAUCUCAUACAACAACUUAUAUCUCAUCACGUCUUGACCAUAUCACAUCACAACAUGCCCUGCAAAAACAAGUUAGACGUCCUCUACUUUGUUGUUGCAAGUUUUACGUGGCUGCUACGGGCUUAAGCAAGAACCAAUCUUACCUACGCAUCAAAACCACAACGAUAGUUUGUCAAGUUGGUGCUGUUUUAACCUUCGCAAGGACCGGGCGUAGCCACACUCGGUUCAACUAAAGUUGGAGAAACUGUCACCCCCAAGCCACCUAUGUGCAAAGCACGUCGGGAGAACCGGUCUCGCGUAAGCAUACGCGUAAUGUCGGUCUGGGCCGCUUCAUCCAACAAUACCGCCGAACCAAAGUAUGACAUGCUGGUAAGCAGUAUGACUUAUAUCGCCCACAACUCACUUGUGUUCUACUCGUGCAUAUAACAUCAACACAUAAAACCUAGGCUCAAAUGCCACUGUUGGGGAACGUAGUAAUUUCAAAAAAUUUCCUACGCACACGCAAGAUCAUGGUGAUGCAUAGCAACGAGAGGGGAGAGUGUUGUCAACGUAGCCUUGUAGACCGAAGCAGAAGCGUUGACGCAACGUAGAGGAAGUAGUCGUACGUCUUCCCGAUCCGACCGAUCCAAGCACCAUUACUCCGGCACCUCCGAGUUCUUGGCACACGUUCAGCUCGGUAACGAUCCCCAGGCUCCGAUCCAGCAAAGCGUCGGCGAGGAGUUCCAUCAGCACGACGGCGUGGUGACGAUCUUGAUGUUCUACCGUCGCAGGGCUUCGCCUAAGCACCGCUACAAUAUGACCGAGGUGUAAUAUCGUGGAGAGGGGCACCGCACACGGCUAAGGAACGAUCACGAAGAUCAACUUGUGUGUCCAUGGGGUGCCCCCUGCCCCCGUAUAUAAAGGAGUGGAGGAGGGGAGGGCUGGCCCUCUCUAUGGCGCGCCCUAGGGGAGUCCUACUCCCAACGGGAGUAGGAUUCCCCCUUUUCCUAGUCCAACUAGGAGUCCUUCCAUGUAGUAGGAGUAGGAGACAAGGAAGGGGAAGGGAGAAGGGAAAGAAGGAGGGGGCGCGGCCCCUCCCCCUAGUCCAAUUCGGACUAGGCCUUGGGGGGCGCACGGCCUGCCCUAGGCAGCCCCUCUCUCUUUCCCGUAUGGCCCAAUAAGGCCCAAUACUUCUCCCGGCGAAUUCCUGUAACUCUCCGGUACUCCGAAAAAUACCCGAACCACUCGGAACCUUUCCGAUGUCCGAAUAUAGUCGUCCAAUAUAUCGAUCUUUACGUCUCGACCACUUCGAGACUCCUCGUCAUGUCCCCGAUCCCAUCCGGGACUCCGAAAUCCUUCGGUACAUCAAAACUCAUAAACUCAUAAUAUAACUGUCAUCGAAACCUUAAGCGUGCGGACACUACGGUUCGAGAACAAUGUAGACAUGACUGAGACACGUCUCCAGUCAAUAACCAAUAGCGGGACCUGGAUGCCCAUAUUGGCUCCUACAUAUUCUACGAAGAUCUUUAUCGGUCAGACCGCAUAACAACAUACGUUGUUCCCUUUGUCAUCGGUAUGUUACUUGCCCGAGAUUUGAUCGUCGGUAUCUCAAUACCUACUUCAAUCUCGUUACCGGCAAGUCUCUUUACUCGUUCCGUAAUACAUCAUCUCGCAACUAACUCAUUAGUUGCAAUGCUUGCAAGGCUUAUGUGAUGUGCAUUUCCGAGAGGGCCCAGAGAUACCUCUCCGACAAUCGGAGUGACAAAUCCUAAUCUCGAAAUACGCAAACCCAACAUGUACCUUUGGAGACACCUGUAGAGCUCCUUUAUAAUCACCCAGUUACGGUGUGACGUUUGGUAGCACACAAGGUGUUCCUCCGGCAAACGGGAGUUGCAUAAUCUCAUAGUCAUAGGAACAUGUAUAAGUCAUGAAGAAAGCAAUAUCAACAUACUAAACGAUCGGGUGCUAAGCUAAUGGAAUGGGUCAUGUGAAUCAGAUCAUUCAACUAAUGAUGUGAUCUCGUUAAUCAAAUAACAACUCUUUGUCCAUGGUUAGGAAACAUAACCAUCUUUGAUUAACGAGCUAGUCAAGUAGAGGCAUACUAGUCACACUCUGUUUGUCUAUGUAUUCACACAUGUAUUAUGUUUCCGGUUAAUACAAUUCUAGCAUGUAUAAUAAACAUUUAUCAUGAUAUAAGGAAAUAAAUAAUAAUUUUAUUAUAGCCUCUAGGGCAUAUUUACUUCAUGGAUUGCCUACCAAAGAUGGCAAUAGCUAGAUCUAUCCUUGCUUGUUAUGCCUAACUAGGGGCGUUAAACGAUAGCGCUUUUUGGGAGGCAACCCAAUUUUGUUUUUAUUCCUUGAUUUUUGCUCCUGUUUAGUAAUAAAUAAUUUAUCUAGCCUCUGUUUUGGUUGUGUUCUUUGUGUUUAAUUAGUGUUUGUGCCAGGUAGAACCGUUAGGAAGACUUGGGGAAAGUCUUGUUACACUUGCUGUAAAAAACAGAAACUUCAGCGCUCACGAGAACUGCUGCCAUUUUUAUUUGGAAAGUGCUAUUUAGUUAAUUAUUUCCGCAGAUGAUUAAUAGAUAAAUUCCUCACGUCCAGCACUUUAUUUUAGAAUUUUUGGGGUUCCAGCUCUUGAGCUAGCUACAGAUUACUACAGACUGUUCUGUAUUUGAAACAUUCUGUUUUUUCGUGUGUUGUUUGCUUAUUUUGAUGAACCUAUGGCUAGUAAAAUAGUUUAUAAACCACAGAGAAGUUGGAAUACAGUAGUUAUAACACCAAUAUAAAUAAAUAAUGAGUUCAUUAAAGUACCUUGAAGUGGUCUUUUUUAUUUUCUUUCGCUAACGGAGCUCACAAGAUUUUCUACUUCAAGUUUGUGUUGUGAAGUUUUCAAGUUUUGGGUAAAAAUUUGAUGGAUUAUGGAACAAGUAGUGACAAGAGCCGAAGCUUGGGGAUGCCCAUGGCACCCCCAAGAUAAUCUAAUUACACCUAAAAGCCAAAGCUUGGGGAUGCCCGGGAAGUCAUCCCCUCUUUCGUCUACUUCUAUGGGUAACUUUACUUGGAGCUAUAUUUUUAUUCGCCACAAGAUAUGUGUUUUGCUUGGAGCGUCUUGUAUUGUUUGACUCUUUAUUUUUUAGUUUACCACAAUCAUCCUUGCUGUACACACCUUUUGAGAGAGCCAUACAUGAUUUGGAAUUUGUUAGAAUACUCUAUGGGCUUCGCUUAUAUCUUUUGAGUUAUAUAGUUUUGCUCUAGUACUUCACUUAUAUCUUUUAGAGCACGGUGGUGGAUUUGUUUUAUAAAAACUAUUGAUCUCUCAUGCUUCACUUAGAUUAUUUUGAGAUGCUUAAUAGCAUGGUAAUUUGCUUAAAAUCCUAAUAUGCUAGGUAUUCAAAGUUAGUAAAAUUUUCUUACGAGUGUUUUUAAUACUAAGAGAAGUUUGAUGCUUGAUGAUUGUUUUGAGAUAUGGAGGUAAUAAUAUCAAAGUCGUGCUAGUUGAGUAGUUGUGAAAUUGAGAAAUACUUGUGUUGAAAUUUGCAUGUCCCGUAGCAUGCACGUAUUGUAAACGUUGUGUAACAAAUUUGAAACAUGAGGUGUUAUUUGAUUGUCUUCCUUAUGAGUGGCGGUCGGGGACGAGCGAUGGUCUUUUCCUACCAAUCUAUUGUUUGGGAACGUACUAAUUUCAAAAAAAAUCCUACGCACACGCAAGACCAUGGUGAUGCAUAGCAACGAGAGGGGAGAGUGUGAUCUACGUACCCUUGUAGAUCAACAGCGGAAGCGUUGAUGCAACAUAGAGGAAGUAGUCGUACGUCUUCCUGAUCCGACCGAUCGAAGCACCAUUACUCCGGCACCUCCGAGUUCUUAGCACACGUACAGCUCGAUGACGAUCCCGGGCUCCGAUCCAGCAAAGGGUCGGGGAGGAGUUCCGUCAGCACGACGGCGUGGUGACGAUCUUGAUGUUCUACCGUCGCAGGGCUUCGCCUAAGCACUGCUACAAUAUGAUGGAGGUGGAAUAUGGUGGCACGGGGCACCGCACACGGCUAAGGAACGAUCUCAAUGAUCAACUUGUGUGUCUAGAGGUGCCCCCUGCCUCCGUAUAUAAAGGAGCCAAGGGGGAGGGGGCCGCCGGCCAGGAGGAGGGCGCAGGAGGAGUCCUACUCCUACCGGGAGUAGGACUCCCCCCCCCCAAUCCUAGUUGGACUAGGAUUCCCCGAGGGGGAAAGAGAGAGAGGGGGGCCGGCCACCUCUCCUAGUCCUAAUAGGACUACGGGAGGGGGGAGGCGCGCGGCCACCUUGGGCUGCCCCUUUCUCCUUUCCACUAAAGCCCAUCAAGGCCCAUAUGGCUCCCGGGGGGUUCCGGUAACCUCCCGGUACUCCGGUAAAAUCCCGAUUUCACCCGGAACACUUCCGAUGUCCAAAUAUAGGCUUCCAAUAUAUCAAUCUUUAUGUCUCGACCAUUUCGAUACUCCUCGUCAUGUCUGUGAUCACAUCCGGGACUCCGAACUAACUUCGGUACAUCAAAAUGCAUAAACUCAUAAUAACUGUCAUCGUAACGUUAAGCGUGUGGACCCUACGGUUCGAGAAUAAUGCAGACAUGACUGAGACACAUCUCCGGUCAAUAACCAAUAGCAGGACCUGGAUGCCUAUAUUGGCUCCUACAUUUUCUACGAAGAUCUUUAUCAGUCACACCGCAUAACAACAUAUGUUGUUCCCUUUGUCAUCGGUAUGUCAUUUGCCCGAGAUUCGAUCGUCAGUAUCCAAUACCUAGUUCAAUCUCGUUACCGGCAAGUCUCUUUACUCGUUCCGUAAUACAUCAUCUCGCAACUAACUCAUUAGUUGCAAUGCUUGCAAGGCUUAAGUGAUGUGCAUUACCGAGAGGGCCCAGAGAUACCUCUCCGACAAUCGGAGUGACAAAUCCUAAUCUCGAAAUACGCCAACCCAACAUCUACCUUUGGAGACACCUGUAGUACUCCUUUAUGAUCACCCAGUUACGUUGUGAUGUUUGGUAGCACCCAAAGUGUUCCUCCGGUAAACGGGAGUUGCAUAAUCUCAUAGUCAUAGGAACAUGUAUAAGUCAUGAAGAAUAGCAACAGCAACAUACUAAACGAUCGGGUGCUAAGCUAAUGAAAUGGGUCAUGUCAAUCAGAUCAUUCAACUAAUGAUGUGACCUCGUUAAUCAAAUAACAACUCUUUGUUCAUGGUUAGGAAACAUAACCAUCUUUGAUUAACGAGCUAGUCAAGUAGAGGCAUACUAGUGACACUCUGUUUGUCUAUGUAUUCACACAUGUAUUAUGUUUCCGGUUAAUACAAUUCUAGCAUGAAUAAUAAACAUUUAUCAUGAUAUAAGGAAAUAAAUAAUAACUUUAUUAUUGCCUCUAGGGCAUAUUUCCUUCAGUCUCCCACUUGCACUAGAGUCAAUAAUCUAGAUUACACAGUAAUGAUUCUAACACCCAUGGAGCCUUGGUGCUGAUCAUGUUUUGCUCGUGGAAGAGGCUUAGUCAACGGGUCUGCAAUAUUCAGAUCCAUAUGUAUCUUGCAAAUCUCUAUGUCUCCCACCUAGACUAGAUCCCGGAUGGAAUUGAAGCGUCUCUUGAUGUGCUUGGUUCUCUUGUGAAAUCUGGAUUCCUUUGCCAAGACAAUUGCACCAGUAUUGUCACAAAAGAUUUUCAUUGGACCCGAUGCACUAGGUAUGACACCUAGAUCGGAUAUGAACUCCUUCAUCCAGACUCCUUCGUUUGCUGCUUCCGAAGCAGCUAUGUAUUCUGCUUCACAUGUAGAUCCCGCUACGACGCUUUGUUUAGAACUGCACCAACUGACAGCUCCACCGUUUAAUGUAAACACGUAUCCGGUUUGCGAUUUAGAAUCGUCCGGAUCAGUGUCAAAGCUUGCAUCAACGUAACCUCUUACGGUGAGCUCUUUGUCACCUCCAUAUACGAGAAACAUAUCCUUAGUCCUUUUCAGGUAUUUCAGGAUGUUCUUGACCGCUGUCCAGUGAUCCACUCCUGGAUUACUUUGGUACCUCCCUGCUAAACUUAUAGCAAGGCACACAUCAGGUCUGGUACACAGCAUUGCAUACAUGAUAGAGCCUAUGGCUGAAGCAUAGGGAACAUCUUUCAUUUUCUCUCGAUCUUCUGCAGUGGUCGGGCAUUGAGUCUGGCUCAACUUCACACCUUGUAACACAGGCAAGAACCCUUUCUUUGCUUGAUCCAUUUUGAACUUCUUCAAAAUCUUGUCAAGGUAUGUGCUUUGUGAAAGUCCAAUUAAGCGUCUUGAUCUAUCUCUAUAGAUCUUUAUGCCUAAUAUGUAAGCAGCUUAACCGAGGUCUUUCAUUGAAAAACUCUUAUUCAAGUAUACCUUUAUGCUAUCCAGAAAUUCUAUAUCAUUUCCAAUCAGCAAUAUGUCAUCCACAUAUAAUAUCAGAAAUGCUACAGAGUUCCCACUCACUUUCUUGUAAAUACAGGCUUCACCGAAAGUCUGUAUAAAACCAAAUGCUUUGAUCACACUAUCAAAGCGUUUAUUCCAACUCCGAGAGGCUUCCACCAGUCCAUAAAUGGAUCGCUGGAGCUUGCACACUUUGUUAGCUCCCUUUGGAUCGACAAAACCUUCCGGUUGCAUCAUAUACAACUCUUCUUCCAGAAAUCCAUUCAAGAAUGCAGUUUUGACAUCCAUCUGCCAAAUUUCAUAAUCAUAAAAUGCGGCAAUUGCUAACAUGAUUCGGACAGACUUAAGCAUCGCUACGGGUGAGAAGGUCUCAUCGUAGUCAACCCCUUCAACUUGUCGAAGACCUUUUGCGAGAAGUCGAGCUUCGUAGACAGUAACAUUACCAUCACCGUCAGUCUUCUUCUUGAAGAUCCAUUUAUUCUCAAUUGCUUGCCGAUCAUCGGGCAAGUCAACCAAAUCCAUACUUUGUUCUCAUACAUGGAUCCCAUCUCAGAUUUCAUGGCUUCAAGCCACUUUGCGGAAUAUGGGCUCACCAUCGCUUCUUCAUAGUUCGUAGGUUCAUCAUGAUCUAGCAGCAUGAUUUCCAGAACAGGAUUACCGUACCACUCUGGUGCAGAUCUCGCUCUGGUUGAUCUACGAGGUUCAGUAGUAUCUUGUCCUGAAGUUUCAUGAUCUUUAUCAUUAGCUUCCUCACUAAUUGGUAUAGGUGUCGCAGAAACAGUUUUUCUGUGAUGUACUACUUUCCAAUAAGGGAGCAGGUAUAGUUACCUCGUCAAGUUCUACUUUCCUCCCACUCACUUCUUUCGAGAGAAACUCCUUCUCUAGAAAUGAUCCAUUCUUAGCAAUGAAUGUCUUACCUUCGGAUUUGUGAUAGAAGGUGUACCCAACAGUCUCCUUUGCGUAUCCUAUGAAGACACAUUUCUCCGAUUUGGGCUCGAGCUUAUGAGGUUGAAGCUUUUUCACAUAAGUAUCGCAGCCCCAAACUUUAAGAAACGACAACUUUGGUUUCUUGCCAAACCACAGUUCAUAAGGCGUCGUCUCAGCAGAUUUUGAUGGUGCCGUAUUUAGCGUGAAUGUGAGCGUCUCUAAAGCAUAACCCCAAAACGAUAGCGGUAAAUCAGUAAGAGACAUCAUAGAUCGCACCAUAUCUAGUAAAGUACGAUUCCGAUGUUCGGACACACCAUUACACUGUGGUGUUCCAGGUGGCGUGAGUUGCGAAACUAUUCCACAAUUUUUCAAAUGUACACCAGACUCGUAACUCAAAUAUUCUCCUCCACGAUCAGAUCGUAGAAACUUUAUUUUCUUGUUAUGAUGAUUUUCAACUUCACUCUGAAAUUCUUUGAACUUUUCAAAUGUUUCAGACUUAUGUUUCAUUAAGUAGAUAUACCCAUAUCUGCUUAAGUCAUCUGUGAAGGUGAGAAAAUAACGAUAUCCACCACGAGCCUCAAUAUUCAUCGGACCACAUACAUCAGUAUGCAUGAUUUCCAACAAAUCUGUUGCUCUCUCCAUAGUACCGGAGAACGGUGUUUUAGACAUCUUGCCCAUGGGGCACGGUUCGCAAGUACCAAGUGAUUCAUAAUCAAGUGGUUCCAAAAGUCCAUCGGUAUGGAGUUUCUUCAUGCGCUUUAUACCGAUAUGACCUAAACGGCAGUGCCACAAAUUAGUUGCACUAUCAUUAUCAACUCUGCAUCUUUUCGCCUCAACAUUAUGAAUAUAUGUGUUACUACUAUCGAGAUUCAUCGAAAAUAGACCACUCCUCAAAGGUGCAUGACCAUAAAAGAUAUUACUCAUAUAAAUAGAACAACCAUUAUUCUCUGAUUUAAAUGAAUAACCGUCUCGCAUCAAACAAGUUCCAGAUAUAAUGUUCAUGCUCAACGCUGGAACCAAAUAACAAUUAUUUAGGUCUAAUAUUAAUCCCGAAGGUAGAUGUAGAGGUAGCGUGCUGACCGCGAUCACAUCGACUUUGGAACCGUUUCCCACGCGCAUCGUCACCUCGUCCUUCGCCAGUGUUCGCUUAAUCCGUAGUCCCUGUUUCGAGUUGCAAAUAUUAGCAACAGAACCAGUAUCACAUACCCAGGUGCUACUGCGAGCUCUAGUAAGGUACACAUCAAUAACAUGUAUAUCACAUAUACCUUUGUUCACCUUGCCAUCCUUCUUAUCCGCCAAUACUUGGGGCAGUUCCGCUUCCAGUGACCAGUCUGCUUGCAGUAGAAGCACUCAGUUUCAGGCUUAGGUCCAGACUUGGGUUUCUUCUCUUGAGCAGCAACUUGCUUGCCGUUCUUCUUGAAGUUCCCCUUCUUCUUCCCUUUGCCCUUUUUCUUGAAACUAGUUGUCUUACUGACCAUCAACACUUGAUGCUCCUUUUUGAUUUCUACCUCCGCAGCUUUCAGCAUUGCGAAGAGCUCGGGAAUAGUCUUGUUCAUCCCUUGCAUAUUAUAGUUCAUCACAAAGCUCUUGUAGCUUGGUGGCAGUGAUUGGAGAAUUCUGUCAAUGACGCAAUCAUCUAGAAGAUUAACUCCCAUCUGAAUCAAGUGAUUAUUAUACCCAGACAUUCUGAGUAUAUGCUCACUGACAGAACUGUUCUCCUCCAUCUUGCAGCUAUAGAACUUAUUGGAGACUUCAUAUCUCUCAAUCCGGGCAUUUUCUUGAAAUAUUAACUUCAACUCCUGGAACAUCUCAUAUGCUCCAUGACGUUCAAAACGUCGUUGAAGUCCCGAUUCUAAGCCGUAAAGCAUGGCACACUGAACUAUCAAGUAGUCAUCAGCUUUGCUCUGCCAGACGUUCAUAACAUCUAGUGUUGCUCCAGCAGCAGGCCUGGCACCUAGCGGUGCUUCCAAGACGUAAUUCUUCUGAGCAACAAUGAGGAUAAUCCUCAAGUUACGGACCCAGUCCGUGUAAUUGCUACCAUCAUCUUUCAACUUUGCUUUCUCAAGGAACGUAUUAAAAUUCAACGAAACAACAACACGAGCCAUCUAUCUACAAUCAACAUAAACAAGCAAGAUACUAUCAGGUACUAAGUUCAUGAUAAGUUUAAGUUCAAUUUAAUCAAAUUACUUAAGAACUCCCACUUAGAUAGACAUCCCUCUAAUCGUCUAAGUGAUCACGUGAUCCAAAUCAACUAAACCAUAACCGAUCAUCACGUGAGAUGGAGUAGUUUUCAAUGGUGAACAUCGUUAUGUUGAUCAUAUCUACUAUAUGAUUCAUGCUCGACCUUUCGUUCUCCGUGUUCCGAGGCCAUAUCUGCAUACGCUAGGCUCGUCAAGUUUAACCUGAGUAUUCUGCGUGUGCAAAAACUGGCUUGCACCCGUUGUAGAUGGACGUAGAGCUUAUCACACCCGAUCAUCACGUGGUGUCUGGGCACGACGAACUUUGGCAGCAGUGCAUACUCAGGGAGAACACUUCUUGAUAAUUUAGUGAGAUAUCAUCUUAUAAUGCUACCGUCAAUCAAAGCAAGAUAAGAUGCAUAAAAAGAUAAACAUCACAUGCAAUCAAUAUAAGUGAUAUGAUAUGGCCAUCAUCAUCUUGUGCUUGUGAUCUUCAUCUCCGAAGCACCGUCAUGAUCACCAUCGUCACCGGUGCGACACCUUGAUCUCCAUCGUAGCAUCGUUGUCGUCUCGCCAAUCUUAUGCUUCCACGACUAUCGCUACCGCUUAGUGAUAAAGUAAAGCAUUACAUCGCGAUUGCAUUGCAUACAAUAAAGCGACAACCAUAUGGCUCCUGCCAGUUGCCGAUAACUCGGUUACAAAACAUGAUCAUCUCAUACAAUAAAAUUUAGCAUCAUGUCUUGACCAUAUCACAUCACAACAUGCCCUGCAAAAACAAGUUAGACGUCCUCUACUUUGUUGUUGCAAGUUUUACGUGGCUGCUACGGGCUUAAGCAAGAACCAAUCUCACCCACGCAUCAAAACCACAACGAUAGUUUGUCAAAUAGACUCCGUUUUAUCCUUCGGAAGGACCGGGCGUAGCCACACUCGGUUCAACUAAAGUUGGAGAAACAGUCGCCCGCAAGGCACCUGUGUGCAAAGCACGUCGGGGGAACCGGUCUCACGUAAGCGUACGCGUAAUGUUGGUCCGGGUCGUCUCGUCCAACAAUACCGCCGAACCAAAGUAUGACAUGCUAGUAGGCAGUAUGACUUGUAUCACCCACAACUCACUUGUGUUCUACUCGUGCAUAUAACAUCAAACCAUAAAACCUAGGCUCGGAUGCCACUGUUUGGGAACGUAGUAAUUUCAAAAAAAUUCCUACGCACACGCAAGAUCAUGGUGAUGCAUAUCAACGAGAGGGGAGAGUGUGAUCUACGUACCCUUGUAGAUCAAUAGCGGAAGCAUUGACGCAAUGUAGAGGAAGUAGUCGUACGUCUUCCUUAUCCGAUCGAUCCAAGCACCAUUACUCCGGCACCUCUGAGUUCUUAGCACACGUACAGCUCGAUGACGAUCCCCGGGCUCCGAUCCAGCAAAGCGUCGGGGGGGAGUUCCGUCAACACGACGGCGUGGUGAUGAUCUUGAUGUUCUACCAUCGCAGGGCUUCGCCUAAGCACUGCUCCAAUAUGAUCGAGGUGGAAUAUGGUGGCAGGGGGCACCGCACACGGCUAAGGAACGAUCUCAAUGAUCAACUUGUGUGUCUAGAGGUGCCCCCUGCCUCCGUAUAUAAAGGAGCCAAGGGGGAGGGGGCCGCCGGCCAGGAGGAGGGCGCAGGAGGAGUCCUACUCCUACCAGGAGUAGGACUCCCCCCCCCCAAUCCUAGUUGGACUAGGAUUCCCCGAGGGGGAAAGAGAGAGGGGGGGCCGGCCACCUCUCCUAGUCCUAAUAGGACUAGGGGAGGGGGGAGGCGCGCGGCCACCUUGGGCUGCCCCUUUCUCCUUUCCACUAAAGCCCAUCAAGGCCCAUAUGGCUCCCGGGGGGUUCCGGUAACCUCCCGGUACUCCGGUAAAAUCCCGAUUUCACCCGGAACACUUCCGAUGUCCAAAUGUAGGCUUCCAAUAUAUCAAUCUUUAUGUCUCGACCAUUUCGAGACUCCUCGUCAUGUCCGUGAUCACAUCCGGGACUCCGAACUAACUUUGGUACAUCAAAAUGCAUAAACUCAUAAUAACUGUCAUCGUAACGUUAAGCGUGUGGACCCUACGGUUCGAGAAUAAUGCAGACAUGACUGAGACACAUCUCCGGUCAAUAACCAAUAGCGGGACCUGGAUGCCCAUAUUGGCUCCUACAUUUUCUCCGAAGAUCUUUAUCGGUCAGACCGCAUAACAAAAUACGUUGUUCCCUUUUCAUCGGUAUGUUACUUGCCCGAGAUUUGAUCGUUGGUAUCUCAAUACCUAGUUCAAUCUCGUUACCGGCAAGUCUCUUUACUCGUUCCGUAAUACAUCAUCUCGCAACUAACUCAUUAGUUGCAAUGCUUGCAAGGCUUAUGUGAUGUGCAUUACCGAGAGGGCCCAGAGAUACCUCUCCGACAAUCGGAGUGACAAAUCCUAAUCUCGAAAUACGCCAACCCAACAUCUACCUUUGGAGACACCUGUAGAGCUCCUUUAUAAUCACCCAGUUACAUUGUGACGUUUGUUAGCACACAAAGUGUUCCUCCGGGAAACGGGAGUUGCAUAAUCACAUAGUCAUAGGAACAUGUAUAAGUCAUGAAGAAAGCAGUAGCAACAUACUAAACGAUCGGGUGCUAAGCUAAUGAAAUGGGUCAUGUCAAUCAGAUCAUUCAACCAAUGAUGUGACCUCGUUAAUCAAAUAACAACACCUUGUUCAUGGUUAGGAAACAUAACCAUCUUUGAUUAACGAGCUAGUCAUGUAGAGGCAUACUAGUGACACUAAGUUUGUCUAUGUAUUCACACAUGUAUUAUGUUUCCGGUUAAUACAAUUCUAGUAUGAAUAAUAAACAUUUAUCAUGAUAUAAGGAAAUAAAUAAUAACUUUAUUAUUGCCUCUAAGGCAUAUUUCCUUCAUCUAUCCCCCUAGGAGCAUGCGCGUAGUACCGAGGUUUUUGAUGACUUGUAGAUUUUUGCAAUGAGUAUGUGAGUUCUUUAUGACUAAUGUUGAGUCCAUGAAUUAUACGCACUCUCACCCUUCCAUCCUUGCUAGCCUCUUCGGUACCGUGCAUUGCCCUUUCCCACAUUGAGUGUUGGAGCAAACUUCGCCAAUGCAUCCAAACCCUGUGAUAUGAUACGCUCUUUCACACAUAAACCUCCUUAUAUCUUCCUCAAAACAGCCACCAUACCUACCUAUUAUGGCAUUUCCAUAGCCAUUCCGACUUAUAUUGCCAUGCAACUUUCCACCAUUCCGUUCAUCAUGACACAUUUAGCAUUGUCAUAUUGCUUAGCAUAAUCAUGUAGUUGACAUAGUAUUUGUGGCAAAGCCACCGUUCAUAAUUCUUUCCUACAUGUCACUAUUGGUCCACUGCAUAUCCGGUACACCGCCGGAGGCAUUUAUAUAGAGUCAUACUUUGUUCUAGUAUCGAGUAGUAAUUAUUGAGUUGUAAAUAAAUAGAAGUGUGAUGAUCAUCAUUAAUAGAGCAUGGUCCCAAAAAGAGAAAAAAGGAAGGGCCAAAAAAAGGCCAAAUAAAAAAAUAUAAAAAAGGGGGGCAAUGCUACUAUCCUUUUUUUCCACACUUGUGAUUCAAAGUAGCACCGUAAUCUUCAUGAUAGAGAGUAUCUUGAUUUGUCACUUUCAUAUACUAGUGGGAAUUUUGCAUUGUAGAACAAUGGGCCUCCUCAAGUGCCCUAGCUCUUCGUGAGCAAGCAAGUUGGAUGCACACCCACUUAGUUUCUUUUGUUGAGCUUUCAUACAUUUAUAGCUCUAGUGCAUCCGUUGCAUGGCAAUCCUUACUCCUUGCAUUAACAUCAAUCGAUGGGCAUCUCCAUAGCCCAUUGAUUAGCCUCAUUGAUGUGAGACUUUCUCCUUUUUGUCUUCUCCACAUAACCCCAGUGAUUAUAUUCUAUUCCACCCAUAGUUUUAUGUCCAUGGCUUGCAAUCAUAUAUUGCGUGAAAGUUUAUAGGUUUGAGAUCACUAAAGUAUGAAACAAUUGCUUGGCUUGUCAUCGGGGUUGUGCAUGAUGAGAGCAUUCUUGUGUGAAGAAAAUGAAGCAUGAUUAAACUAUAUGAUUUUGUAGGGAUGAACUUUCUUUGGCCAUGUUAUUUUGAGAAGACAUAAUUGCUCAGUUAGUAUGCUUGACUCUUUUGGAUCUGAAUAUUCAUACCACAAGUAAGAAGAAUUACAUUAAAAUCAUGCCAAGUAGCACUCCGCAUCAAAAAUUCUGUUUUUAUCAUUUACCUACUCUAGGACGAGCAGGAAUUAAGCUUGGGGAUGCUUGAUACGUCUCCAACGUAACUAUAAUUUUUGAUUGCUCCAUGCUAUAUUAUCUACUGUUUUGGACAAUAUUGGGCUUUAUUAUCCACUUUUAUAUUAUUUUGUAACUAACCUAUUAUCUACUGUUUUGGACAAUAUUGCCUAGAUUUGCUGUUUUUUUGCCUGUUUUAGGGUUUCGAAGAAAAGGAAUAUCAAACGGAGUCCAAACGGAAUGAAACCUUCGGGAACGUGAUUUUCUCAACGAACAAGACCCAGGAGACUUGGACCCUCCGUCAAGACACAAAAGAGGAGGCCACGAGGUAGAGGGCGUGCCUACCCCCCCCCCCCUGCGCGCCCACCACCCUCGUGGGCCCCCUGUUGCUCCACCGACGUACUCCUUCCUCCUAUAUAUACCUACGUACCCCCAAACGAUCAUAUACGGAGCCAAAACCCUAAUUCCACCGCCGCAACUUUCUGUAUCCACGAGAUCCCAUCUUGGGGCCUGUUCCGGAGCUCCGCCAGAGGGGGCAUCGAUCACGGAGUGCUUCUACAUCAACACCAUAACCUCUCCGAUGAAGUGUGAGUAGUUCACCUCAGACCUACUGUUCCAUAGUUAUUAGCUAGAUGGCUUCUUCUCUCUUUUUGGAUCUAAAUACAAUGUUCUCCCCCUCUCUUGUGGAGAAUUAUUCGAUGUAAUCUUCUUUUUGCGGUGUGUUUGUUGAGACCGAUGAAUUGUGGGUUUAUGAUCAAGUCUAUCUAUGAAUAAUAUUUCAAUCUUCUCUGAAUUAUUUUAUGUAUGAUUGGUUAUCUUUGCAAGUCUCUUCGAAUUAUCAGUUUGGUUUGGCCUACUAGAUUGAUCUUUCCUGCAAUGGGAGAAGUGCUUAGCUUUGGGUUCAAUCUUGCGGUGUCCUUUCCCAGUGACAGUAGGGGCAGCAAGGCACGUAUUGUAUUGUUGCCAUCGAGGACAACAAGAUGGGGUUUUCAUCAUAUUGCAUGUGUCUAUCCCUCUACAUCAUGUUAUCUUGCUUAAGGCGUUAAUCUGUUUUUAACAUAAUACUCUAGAUGCAUGCUGGAUAGCUGUCGAUGAGUGGAGUAAUAGUAGUAGAUGUAGGCAGGAGCGGUCUACUUGUCUCGGACGUGAUGCCUAUAUACAUGAUGAUACCUAGAUAUUAUCAUAACUAUGCUCAAUUCUGUCAAUUGCUCAACAGUAAUUUGUUCACCCACCGUAGAAUACUUAUGCUCUCGAGGGAAGCCACUAGUGAAACCUAUGGCCCCGGGUCUAUCUUUAUCAUAUUAAUCUCCUACUACUUAGUUAUUUCCUUUGCUUUUUUACUUUGCCUUUAUUUUACUUUGCAUCUUUAUCACAAAAAUACCAAUAAAAUUAUCUUUAUCAUAUCUAUCAAAUCUCACUCUUGUAAGUGGCCGUGUAGGGAUUGACAACCCCUAUUCGCGUUGGUUGCGAGGAUUUAUUUGUUUUGUGCAGGUACGAGGGACUCGUGCGUAGCCUCCUACUGGAUUGAUACCUUGGUUCUCAAAACCUAAGGGAAAUACUUACGCUACUUUGCUGCAUCAUCCCUUCCUCUUCGGGGAAAACCAACGCAGUGCUCAAGAGGUAGCAAGGGUUCCUUUUUGUCGACGAUCCUAUGUUUCAACCUUGUUUUCCAGGCGGCCAAUGCGUCGCUAAACUUGGGCAUGGCGUGUUUGUUUAUCUUCUUCAUUGCCAGGUCCUUAUCUGGAUCUUUAUUAUCCUUUUCAUUGCGGUUAAUGAACAAGAAUAUCUGGUGCCGCUUCUUUAAAAGGGAGGGCCUCAUAUUAUCUAUCUUCUGUAGUUUCCCAUCGUUGAUCGUGGCAGUUGUCCGUACGAUGCAACCUAUUUGAUUGCCAUAGCACGAUUGCGCUUCCUCGGGCGCUAUUGUCUCAAAAAUACCGUUGUCCAUCUCCGUGACCACCAGUCUAGUACUCGUGAGCUGGUUUCGGCGCCGUGGCCUCUUUGCUUUCGGUUCUAGACCAGCUCCGCUAGUCUCGGCGCCGGUCUCAGUCUCAUCGCCGGUCUGCAUGUCGGUAUCAGUCCCCGAUGCGACAGCACAGUCGCUGCAACAUGGGUAAGGGAGACCACAUCAGUGCUGGGGGGGUCUGAAAAUUGGGACACACUUUCGCGCAUCGCGGGCCGCCUCUCAGACAGCUACUGGGGAGGCGGCGGAGUACCUGGGUGCGCGGUAAAUCCCCGGGAACUCGGUGACCAACUUCCUUCCCGUGUGGUGCAUGGAGACGACGACGACCCCGGCAAAGAGCAGCUUAGCCGUGAGCUGCACAGCCUCGUCCACCUCCUAAGUUGGGUCCUCCGCGCGAGCGUUGCGGGGCCGCCGCUCGGAUGGCUUCUGGAAGGCGCUUGUACAUGGGCAUAGGGUGAAUCCCGGCGAGAGCUAGCCAUUGGCGCGCGCAAGUAGACGACGACGUCCCCGACGAAGAGCAGCCCGGCCAGCUCGCCUCACUCUCCUUUGAUUAGAAUUGAAAGAUUGGGAAGAAGCAGACUUGAGCCUGCAGGGAAAGGAUAAGGUGACGAUGCAGUCUCCACUCGUUCGGGGCGACACGCGAAUUGAAUGUAUGAGAAACGUGACGUGGCAGGGACCCCAAGAUACUCCCUCCAUUUAUUUUUAGUCUGCAUAUAAAGUUUGGUCAAAGUCAAGAUUUGUAAAUUUUAACUAACUUUAUAAUAAAAAAAUAUCAACAUUCACAAUAUGAAAUAAUUAUUACCAGAUGCGUGAAGAAAUGUAUUUCCAUACUAUAUAGUUUUGGUAUUGGAGAUGUUCAUAUUUUUUUAUAUAAAUGGGAAGUAGAGGCACUCUUCCAUAUAAUGAAGUUUAUAAUAUAUGUGCUUAUAUUGUACUAUAAUUGUUUGAAUAACUUAGCAUAUGUUCAGAUGUAUGAUAUCUGUAAUUUAAGCGCUUGAAUUUUACAUAUAAAUAUUUAUUAAUAAAUAUGUACCCCUAUAAUAGCUAGGCCGUGCAGUUGCACGGGUAGAUGACUAGUGAUUACAGUCUUGUUUGUGUGCAAGUCAAGCUUAUCUAGUUUACACGUAACAACUCGUAGAACAUGUUUAUGCUUGCUAAUAACUUCUAGAACACUACAACACUUUACAUGUAAAAGGAAUUUCACGAGUCAUGGCCUACUAAAGCAAGUUACAUUACUAGUCUUAUAUCUAUCUUAACAGACCACACAAGACUACAAACUAAGUACCAUGACAGCCAUGCUUAUCUAGUUUAUGCGUAACAAUUUGCAGAAAAUUACAAACUUAGUUUUAGAAAAAUGGGCAAUCCAGAUUAGUGUUUGAGCUGUAAAGUGAAUAAGAUGAGUCAUGUGUGUUAUCACACCUUUUUGGUGGUGGAAUGAUAGUGCAACAACAAGGAACUUUAAUGAACAGUGCAAGAAUACACUUGUAAGUAGUGCCACCAAACAGAACAUACCAAAUGAUGAUUUUGAGAAGCAUCCAAGCACUUUCCACACAAACAAAUGCCAAUUGUGAAAGAGAUCAUUCCAUGGCAGCUAUAAAUAGCCCCGUAGCAUGACGAUCAUCCUUCCUCAUCCAUCAUUCUCAUAAGUAGAACGCAUCAUUUAAGCCAAGCAAGGUGUGGUCAAUACAAAUCCACCAUGAAGACAUUUCUCAUCCUUGCCCUCCUUGCUAUCGUGGCGACCACCGCCACAACUGCAGUUAGAGUUCCAGUGCCACAAUUGCAGCCACAAAAUCCAUCUCAGCAACAGCCACAAGAGCAAGUUCCAUUGGUACAACAACAACAAUUUCUAGGGCAGCAACAACCAUUUCCACCACAACAACCAUAUCCACAGCCGCAACCAUUUCCAUCACAACAACCAUAUCUGCAGCUGCAACCAUUUCCGCAGCCGCAACUACCAUAUUCGCAGCCACAACCAUUUCGACCACAACAACCAUAUCCACAACCGCAACCACAGUAUUCGCAACUACAACAACCAAUUUCACAGCAGCAGCAGCAGCAGCAACAACAACAACAACAACAACAACAACAACAACAACAACAACAACAACAACAACAACAACAACAACAACAACAACAACAACAAGAACAACAAAUCCUUCAACAAAUUUUGCAACAACAACUAAUUCCAUGCAUGGAUGUUGUAUUACAGCAACACAACAUAGCGCAUGGAAGAUCACAAGUUUUGCAACAAAGUACUUACCAGCUGUUGCAAGAAUUGUGUUGUCAGCACCUAUGGCAGAUCCCUGAGCAGUCGCAGUGCCAGGCCAUCCACAAUGUUGUUCAUGCUAUUAUUCUGCAUCAACAACAAAAACAACAACAACAACAACCAUCGAGCCAGGUCUCCUUCCAACAGCCUCAACAACAAUAUCCAUUAGGCCAGGGCUCCUUCCGGCCAUCUCAGCAAAACCCACAGGCCCAGGGCUCUGUCCAGCCUCAACAACUGCCCCAGUUCGAGGAAAUAAGGAACCUAGCGCUACAGACGCUACCUGCAAUGUGCAAUGUCUACAUCCCUCCAUAUUGCACCAUCGUGCCAUUUGGCAUCUUCGGUACUAACUGAGAAGAAAAUAACUCUAGUACUAGAUAUAUGAAACACCGUUUUCUCAGUCCAUGGUUUGGUCAUUGUAGCGGUGAAAAAAUAAUGUGACAUGCACUAUCAUGUAAGAACCCGAACUAUACUAGUUCAAACUUGGGAAUAAAAGACAAACACAGGUCUUGUCUACAUAUUUAUGUUGCAUUUAUCUAAAGAUAACAAAAUGAGUCUAAAAUUUGAAUUAAAUUGAAGUAUUUUCUUGGACUUUAAUUUGCACAUUAAUUAGAAAUUACUAUCCCUCGAUCUGGUAAAUCUUAACAAAUAGAAUUAUCUUGACCGUUAGAUUUAUGUAACAUAUAUAAUGCUCUGGGCCUCCAACGACUGUACGUGACACAUCUGAACGCACAUAUGUUAAAGAAAAUAUAUUUUGUAAAUGGUGGGCCUCUUUAAAAAGAGAACUUACGUACAUACACCAACUAAGAAAAACACAUACAUGUAAAUGGGAAAAGGAUGAGAUUUUCUCACGUACAUGUGUUGAUGCUUAAAAGUGGCACGAUCAUAAAGCAGCAUGCCGGGGCGAAAACCUUGCCGGGGUAAAAUCUUGCUGGUGUGAAAGCUUGCCGGUGUGAAGGCUUGCCGGCGUGGAAACCUUGCCGGCACAGAAAGAUCGCCGGUGCUUGCCGGUGUGAAAUCUUGCCGGGGGAGAAACCUUGUCAGGGAGGAACCCUUGCCGGAGUACAAACCUUGCCGGAGUGAAACCUUGCCGGUGUGAAAGCUUGCCGGGUAGAAACUUUGCCGGUGUGGAAAGCUUACUCGGAUGGAAAACUUGCCGGGUUGGAGGCUGAGAUAGUCAAUCGAACGAGAAGUUGAAGAUGGGCUCAAAAGGUUAUUCAGAUGAUCUCGGAUGGAAAAAUGAUCUACAGGGUUGUCUUCGUCUCGUCGAAACGAUCGAUUUUGAUAUAAAAAUCAUUCAAAUCCGAGUUCGUAUGCAAAAGUUAGAGCAAUCAGAGUGCAGCCCUGUCACGAGGCGAGAUGUGGCACGCCCACCAGACACAUGUCUGACGGGUAGUGUGAGGAAAUAGCCUGUGUUGCGAGACCGAUCUGACCCUCAAGAUGACCUCUGAUCAAAAAACCUUCAACAUGAAAGUUGUUCGUCUCGUCGAAACGGUCAAGAUUGCUUUUGGGCUUGUUUUCAUCCGGAAUCGUUUACCACCGCAAAAAAGACCCGCAAGGUGCAGCCAGUUUUAACCGAACAGUUUUGGAAAGUUUGGAUAAACCAGUCCGAAUUUGACUAAUGUUUUGGACGUGAAUUGAUGUAAUUUUCUUGUAAGGAAAGCCUAGAUAAAUUCUUGGCUUGUACGGGAAGUCCAGCUGCCUCUUAUAUAUGUUGGGGGUGGCGGCCGAUUGAAACAACACAUAAUCGAACAAACACAUAUACUACUUUUUCGUGUUCAUCUACUUUUUAUCUCUCCCUUGUAUCUUUCUUCUCGUUCUUCGCUAGUUCUUCAUGCUGGAGGGCUGCGGAUCCACGAGGCUCUAGGGGCGAGUGAAUCGACCUAGGGCAGCCCAUAGCCGCCGCAAUCCCUGACGGGGUCCCUCCCGGGUGCGCGGGGUUUCGGGUCUGCAAAAGCGCCCGCCGACUGCCUUGCGUAUCACGCUGUCGGUCGGGUCUCCUUCGACGUGAGCUACGGUGCAUCACCCCCGGCGUCGAGGGUAAACGUGACAUGUUCGUGUGCGAACACACUUUUUGGCGACUCCGCUGGGGACGAAGCUCUGAACAGUCUCCAGCCUGUUCUUGCUACGAGGAGAGCGUCACCAAGCGGCUGCAAUCUACAACGGUAACAUGUAUCGUCAAUCUCCUUGCGUAGAUGCAAAUAGCCAUUAUGUUGAUGUUGCUAGAUCUUUCAACGGACAUGUGAUGUCGGCCAGCCCUAAUGAGGAAAGGCCGACUAGUUAUUCCAUUGGAGAAACUUGGAAUUUACAGAAUCGUGACAUGCAACUUAUGAAUCUGAACUUUCGUGCAUCGGCAACAACUUUCAAUAUGCCGGUGAACAACACGAUUUGUUCGAGUGAUCAAUAUAGGACACCUCAUGUACAGGAGGGUAUCUCAAAGUUUUAUCCAUCGGCAGCCGGCUCGCAAUAUGCGGGUUCAUCCCCAAACAUGCCGAUGAAUGGGGGAAUCGGUCAUGCUUUUGUUAGCUAUUUGGCCGGUUAUCCUCAAACAUCAUAUACUACACCUCAUCAGAUUAAUUGUUCAAUGGCGUAUGAAACUAAAAAUAUUCAUAACUCGGCUCACGUUCACGGUCAUGGCCGAGUGAAUGGAGAUACUAUAGGAGCAUAUGUGCCUAAUAUUGCAGGAGAUGAGGUGGCUCUGGCUGCAUUAAAAAUUUUAGCCCAAAAUAAGAAGAUUAGUGCUAUUUUCCUUGAGCAACACGACAAGGGAUUGGUUCCUGAUUAUGAGGCAAUAAGAGCUAGGGUUUUGAAAGAAGACCAAGUGUUGCCGAUUGAUCAAAUUGUCGAGAGAAAAUAUUCAACAACGAUGCACAUGCCUUCACCUAUCAUUGCAGCAUGUUAUACACCCCCUGUACAAGCGCAAAAUUUCGGCAACAUUAAUUCAUUGCCGAAAGAUCCUAAAAGUAUUGGGGGGCAAGCCGAUCCAAGCAGGGUUGAGUUUAAAGAAAAAUAUCUAGCCCAAGUGGACAAGAUCAAGCCAAAGCUCACAGGGAAUAGAGUCAACGAAUUUACUACACCUACCCUUGAGGAAUUACCAGCAGAAUAUCGACAGGCCUACGAAGCACUCAAGAAGAAACGUGGAGAGGGAUAUUUGCAAGAAUACUUCAAGUGCCUUCCUCCAUGUAGCAACCAUGUUGGCCCUUCUACACUGUUGAGGCAAGAUAAAAAAAGAAGCUUUGCAAGCAAACCAGCAAAAAAGGAUUCACUCGGCUAAUACGGUGGAUUCGGUUGAAACCGGAUUGAGCAACGGGAUGUUUAAGGCCGAGUGCGUUGCAUCGUGCCAGCCGAGUGCAUCGUUCCAGACGAGUGCAUCACCAGCUAAAGCCGAGUGCAUCAAGCCAACUAUUGCCUCGUGUACGAAAAUAGAAGAUGCAAGCUUGGCUGAGCAAAGGAACAACAAACGCAACAAAUUGGUUGUGCUCGAUUUUUCUGGAUCUAAGGGAGCUUACAUGCUACCUUAUGAGUUUCGUGCUAAAGAUAUUGAUGAGCAUCAAGAACACAGUAAUGGCUGAACACAGUUCAGUUAACGAUGAACAUCAAGACCAAGAAAAUGCGGCCGAGCAAAGUUCAACUGACAAAGAGCGUCCGAGUGAAAUCCACUCGGGCAAUCCGACUGAAAUAUACUCGGGCAAUUCGAGUGAAAUAUACUCAGGCAAUCCGAGUGAUGAGGCACCAGAUCCAGAAAAAGAGGAAGAGGCAUUGGAGAAUUAUUCAUAAGUGGAGCAAUGUAUUGUUCCAGUGGUGCAACCAUCUUCUCCUUCCAAUGUCUUCACAAAGGUACACCUAGAAGAUAGUUUACUCAAUUUUCAAUUCGGUCAAAAUGAUAUUGUUGAUGUACCUAUUAGUAAGAUUCUAAUUAAUUUUGAAAGACCAAUUGAAAUGAGUAAUCUUUUUGUUAGGAAGGAUCUUGUCACUAAUCAUGAUAGUCAACACAUGGUAUCGUUCAUAGAGGCUAAUAGUGACAACUUAUCAAAACCAAAGUUGUUCUUGUCAUGCCAACUGAACUUUGUAUUCAUAUGGACAACUUUGUUUGUUUCAUGCCCGGCUAACAUUUGGACUCGUAUGAGCCGUAUAUUCUGUAAUUAUUUUAGUUGCAGAAACAUAAAGCCAGGUCCAAAGUCCUUCGAAGCCAAUUCAAAUGCAUCAGGAAAAGAAGAUGAAUCUUUCCCAAUUGAUAAAAUUGGCGAGCAAAAAUAUGGUUUUACAACAAUGCAUAUGCCUUCACCUAAUACUACAUCAUAUUAUACAGCCCCUACACAAUUGCAAAGUUUCGGCAACACCCAUGUGCCAUUGCCGAAAGAGUCUAAAAGCAAUGGGGGACAAUCGUAUCCGAAGUGGGCUGAAAAUGAGAAAAAGAUUAAAGCCAAUUUCGCCACUCGCCGCCAGAAACAAAAAGAAACAGAAUUGGCUCAAGUGAAAGAAGCAUUGCCAAUUGGUAGAAGCAAUGUAAAGAAAGAUGAUUCAGAACAUGAAAGUACUCCGGUUAAAAGAGCCGAAUCAAGAAGUAUAUAUUCUGAAUCCAUCAAAUGCAAAGAGGCAAGCAUUAUUGAGAAAGGGCAUGGCAAGCAUAGCAAAGCGACCAUACUUGAUUUUUCUAAAGUUAAUGGAACCUACUUCCUGCCCUAUGAGUUUCGUGCCAGAGAAUUUUGAUGAACUUCAAGGACAAGAACAAGUAGCCGAACAAAGUUCGGCCGACAAAAAUCUUCAAUGUAAUGAUGCACGGAAUCAAGAAAAAGAUGAUGAAGAAGCGUUGGGGGGCCAUCCAAAGGCGGAGCAAGAUAUUGUUCAAGUCACACCACCAUCGUGCUCUCCCAACAUAUUUGAAGAGGUAUGUUUAGCAAGUAAUUUACUUAUUUUCAGAUUUGGUCAGGACUUUAUUGUUGAUGCAUCUAUUGGAAAAAUCCUCAUAAGUAAUUUUGAAAGACCAAUGAAGAAGGGUAAUUUACUUGCUAGCAAUAAAGUUGUUAUUGAGCAUAUCGGUCAACCCAUUACGCCAUUUAUAAAGACCGAUAGUGACUUAUUAUUACAGCCAAAGCUUUCCCCGUUGCUUUAUCUAAAGUUCAUAUCUAUUUGGGUAGCUUUGCUUAUUUCAUACUUGGCUUGCACUUGGUCUCAAUUGAGACAUGUGUGUUCUAACUAUUUUCGUUUUAGAAAUUUAAAGCCAAGAUUAAAUUCUGUUGAGAAAACCGAUGCUAGUAUAAUAUCUUACCCAAAGACAUCGGAGAUAGAGUGCAAAACACAAUGCAUAGCCGAAUGGUGUGAUGCAAAAUCUGAACCAUUCGUUUGCUUAAUUCCAAAGCCGUUCUCACAGCAAGAUCGGCUAGAAAACAAGAAGUAUACCUUCAAUUCAAGCAUGUGUGUUCAAAUAUUUGAUUUGUUGCUGAAAAAUAAUUACAUUACAAUUCUUGAUCACCAUGUUAAGCCAUCAAUCCAAGGACGAAUGUAUUGUAAGUUGCAUGAUUCGUCCAAGCAUGAUUUUGAGGAUUGCAACAUGUUUCGUCAAAUAGUUAAAUCGGCCAUUGAAAAAGGACGAUUGAAGUUUGUUGAAACACCAAGAGAUGACCAGUCUAUUCCGAUUGGUCCCGAUGGCAAAAAGUUUUUGCAUCGGCUGCUUCGAGCCGAUCCAUUUAAAGAGAAGGUAAAAACUGCAGGUGAUGGGAUCAAGCUUUCAACUAAAGAAGUUGUUGAAGAGCAUAAUGAACAUAAUCUUGAGGGUGAGAAUUCCAUCGAAGCUACAAUGGAGACGCCAAGGACUGGGGGGCAGCAAGCAAAUCCAACGAUCGAUGAAAGCAAACCAAAAGAAAACAAAGGCCGAAAUAAGCGCAAGUGUAAAAUAUCAAAAAUCACCUUCGCUGAACUAUUGGAGAAAUAUCAAAAGAAGAGUGAAGAGAAGAAUGCUUAUCGGCCCAAUCAUGCAAAGAAACCAAAAUCACCCCCAAGGCGCAAAUAUGAGGAUCCGUAUUGGCAAAGUGAGAGUUUCAAUGCAACAUAUUCAUAUCCUUAUUUUGGGCCGCCAAUGACAAUGCCGUGGAUGCCUCCCUAUACUCAUGUAGAUCCAUGUUCAUCAUGGGACAGGUAUGAUACAAGGGCACAUUCUCCAUCUUAUUUUAGACCAUCUCACCAAUAUUAUGCAGCUCCGAGAAGAUCAACAUUUGAACAGUCACAUGUUAAAGAUCGUUUCAAUUAUAAGGAAUCGGUCCGGACACCAUGGAUGAAAAAAGAGGUGGUCAACCAAGUCUACCGCGUGAAAAGAGAUGGUCGUAAGUGUGCUACUUCAGAUUUGAUCUCAAAUAAUAAAGAGCCAAUUAAAGUGUUGACAUUGUCUACAAAAGGCAAUGAGACGAAGCAACCAAUUAUUGAGAGUCAAAGUGCCAAAUCAGAAGAAAAGAAGUUGAGAGUGCACAAGGUCAAAAAGGAAUUGCCAUUGGUCAGAACAGAAUCAUAGCCGAGAUGCCCACUCGGCUUAUCGUAUUGGCAAAAGAGGGAAUUACACAAACUUAGUGCACAAGAACUUGAAGAAAGGAACAUGGCAUGGGUUCCCAAAGGAAGUGCUCAAAAUAAGAAUUAUGUGCAUGCCUCCAUUACAAGAAGUGCGGCAAAAGUGAAGAAGGAAAAGAGUAAAAACUAUGAAGGACCAAGCCGAAGGAUUCAACAUCUUUGGUCUACACAUUAUCCAUAUUCUUCAACUAUGCCAUUAACGCCUAUGCCAUGGAAUUCGUCAUCAGGUAUGAUUGGUAACCCUCAAUGGGCUUAUUUUAAUCCAUGGAUGCAAUAUAAUUUCUUACGUCAUGAAAGGGUAUUACCAAGUCACUAUACAUUUGAUUAGCUACAAGUUUGUUGCUGAUCCAGAGGGCCGAAAUACUUGAUUUGUCAUUUCAUUUGUUUAUUUCGGCUAUAUGUGCUUUGAAUGAAGUUUACAUGGUAAUGGCCGAUGAUAUUUAUCUAUCGUCCUAAGAGUAUGUCAAUUCAUGCCCGGUGUAGUAUUCUAAUAUCAUCCUUAGUUUGAUGGAGAGCGAGACAAGGUACAUGCUCAUGAAAAUUUAUAUGUAUGCCUAUAUUAUGAUUGAAUGGAGUUGAGACAUCAUGACCGAUGUCAUUGAAUAUAUGCUGCAUAGACCAAUUCAUAGCUGCAGAAUUGGUUGGUGGGCUUAUACUUUGUUUGGAUAUGAUUUGGCUUAUGCAUCUUUGAGAUCUAUAAGAGGCCAAAUCAUAGUUGAUUUUGUUACUGAACAUCGGAUUAGUGUCAUGCAUAAUAUUAAUAUUAUCCUUGUCUCUCUAGUACUAUGGAGAUUAUGUUUUGAUGGUUCAAUUCAUAGCAAUGGCCAAAGUGUUGGUGUUGUUUAUAUAUUUCUUUAUGGUACUAUUUUUUGAAGCCUCGUGCCGCUUAGAAUAUUUUUAUGCACGAUUAAUCAAGGCCGAAUAUGCAUUGUUAUUCGGAUUGACUCUUUUACUUGCUGUAGGUGUUAUACAGAUUGAGGCUUUUGGUGAUUCGUUAUGAGUAGUGCAACAAAUAUCCAAGGAUUAUCAAUGUGUUUUGACGAAUCACUUAUAGUUUAUCUUGGGUUUGUCUAGAUGAAGAAUUUACCUUGGGUUGCAUUAAAUUUUUUCAUAUAUUUAGACAUGACAAUUGGAGAGAGUUGGCAUAGCAAGCAUCCGGCUACCAUGUCCAUCAUGUUGUAUUGCGUUUCUCUCAAUAGCCGAUGCUUAGUCUUGUCAACAUAGGUAAGGCCGAACCGAAGUCUAGAACUUCGGACACUAAUGAAAUUUUUAUGCAGGCGAAAGUAAGGAUUGGAGAAAGUUUAUUGUUGAUUGUCUACAAAAUCCUAGCAAAAGGGUGAACAAUAUGGUUCGGAGUAUGACAUUGAGAUACAUAUCUAUGGAACUUUAUCACCGGAUUGUUAAUGAAGCUGAGAAGGUUUCACCCAAGUUUGCAUCAGAAAGUUCACACAAGACAUGGCCGAUAUAUACUUAUCGUCCUAAGAACAUAUAAAUGGCCGAUGGAGUGUUGACAUCGUCCUUAGAACAAACUUGGUACAAGUAUUUUUCGGCAUGCUAGCUUUACCGAAAAACGGGAGGGCAUGUGUUGACGCUCAAAAGUGGCACGAUCAUAAAGCAGCAUGCCGGGGCGAAAACCUUGCCGGGGUAAAAUCUUGCCGGUGUGAAAGCUUGCCGGUGUGAAGGCUUACCGGCGUGGAAAGCUUGCCGGCACAGAAAGAUCGCCGGUGCUUGCCGGUGUGAAAUCUUGCCGAGGGAGAAAUCUUGUCAGGGAGGAACCCUUGCCGGAGUACAAACCUUGCCAGAGUGAAACCUUGCCGGUGUGAAAGCUUGCCGGGUAGAAACAUUGCCGGUGUGGAAACCUUACUCGGAUGGAAAACUUGCCGGGUUGGAGGCUGUGAUAGUCAAUCGAACGAGAAGUUGAAGAUGGGCUCAAAAGGUUAUUUAGAUGAUCUCGGAUGGAAAAAUGAUCUACACGGGUUGUCUUCAUCUCGUCCAAACGAUCGAUUUUGAUAUAAAAAUCGUUCAAAUUUGAGUUUGUAUGCAAAAGUUAGAGCAAUCGGAGUGCAGCCCUGUCACGAGGCGAGAUGUGGCGCCCCCCACCAGACACAUAUCUGACGGGUAGCGCGAGGAAAUAGCCUGUGUUGCGAGACCGAUCUGACCCUCAAGAUGAUCUCUGAUCAAAAAACCUUCAACAUGAAAGUUUUUCGUCUCGUCGAAACAGUCAAGAUUGCUUUUGGGCUUGUUUUCAUCCGGGAUCGUUUACCACCGCAAAAAAGACCCGCAAUGUGCAGCCAGUUUAAACCGAACAGUUUUGGAAAGUUCGGAUAAACCAGUCGGAAUUUGACUAGGGUUUUGGACGUGAAUUGAUGUAAUUUUCUUGUAAGGAAAGCCUAGAUAAAUUCUUUGCUUGUACGGGGAGUCCAGCCGCCUCUUAUAUAUGUUGGGGGUGACGGCCGAUUGAAACAACACACAAUCGAACAAACACAUCUACUACUUUUUCGUGUUCAUCUACUUUUUAUCUCUCCCUUGUAUCUUUCUUCUCGUUUUUCGCAAGUUCUUCAUGCUGGAGGGCUGCGGAUCCACGAGGCUCUAGGGCCGAGCGAAUCGACCUAGGGCAGCCCAUAGCCGCCGCAAUCCCUAACGGGGUCCCUCUCAGGUGCGCGGGAUUUCGGGUCUACAAAAGCGCCCGCCGACUGUCUUGCGUAUCGCGCUGUCGGUCGGGUCUCCUUCGACGUGAGCUGCGGUGCAUCACCCCCGGCGUCAAGGUUACAUGUGACGUGUUCGUGUGCGAACAACGUGCUCCCUGGCUCCACCCCGUUGAAAAAAUAUACAUUUGGAGGCCACUUUGUUUCCUCAUCAAAAAAAACUUACGUUAAAAAGAUUGCAUGCAUCCCAGGGAAAGUAAUCAAGAAGAAGUCGGACUCUUCCUUACAAAAACAAGGAACGUGUUAAGUUAACUUCAAAGAAAAAGGAACAUGUUAAGUUAAAAAAAAGAAGAAACAUGUUAAGUUAGAAAAAAACAAGGAACGUGUUGUCCUAGGAAAGAUAUGUGUCAAAUCUUACAAAAAAAAGAAUACACACACGUACGUUCAUGCACUUGGAAAAUAGAAAAAAAAGGAACAUCACGUAUGUAUACACUUCGGAAACUCAUUACAUGACCAUGUCUGAUAUACUCAUCUAAUGCUUAAUAUUAGUGCCUAAUAAUUUAUAUUUAAAAUUUAAUUUACUGAUCAAAUAUCCCCAAUGUUUAAAUUUUAAUUUGGCACAUUGUUUGGCUAUAGUAUGAACCUAAAUUUCCUCUUAUUAUUAUAUAUCAUGAUAAUAAUCCAAAGGCGACUAAUCUGCGCUGGUGCACCGGGGCAAUCAAUUCGGCCGGACACAGCGCGGCCUUUUGAUUAGAUUGCAUUUAACCGUCUGAUCUGGAAUUGUUUUCUUUCCAAUUAAACGGAUUCAACCAAACAGCAGAGGGGAAAACAAAGCAGCGCCGCCGCCAACACUAGCCAUGGACGAUCGAUGUAGCAAAACCUUGAAGAACCGCCGCCGGUCGCCACCCUCGCCGCUGGUGGCCGCCCUCGCCAUCGGUCACCGCCGGUCGCCGCCCUCGCCGCCUGCGUUUCUCAUCGGCUUCAUGCAUGCAACAACAUGCACUCGUGGUUGCAGGCUUGCAGCUCCGGCUCCGGGGGACAUGGCCGCAUCUCCGGUAACGCCGGCCGCCAACCAUAGCACCUGUCAUUGUGGUCGCGUUGUACCUCACCGUGUGCCCUCCCAAGGCUCUUGCUGGUUCCAACAAAAAACGAUACCUGUUGUAGCAAAAAAGUUUAUCGCUUCCAGCAAAAAAGCUUUCCGCUACAGCCCGCCAUUGUCAUUGUAGCAAAAAUGUUAACCCGAUGUAGCUUUUGUGGUUGCCGACUGCAACAAAAAAUGACAUGGUUGAAGCAAAACACAAAAGAAAAACGCCGGCCGGCCGCUGUGUAUGGUGGUAACAAACCCUAUAGCCGGUGGUAGCGAAAAACUUCAUAGUUUGCAGCAAAAAAAUGUUGUCGCCCGUCGUCGAGGUUGCAUCAUCUUCAUGAAUUAUGUCGCAAAAAAACAUUGUCGCCGGUAGUAGCAAAUGAAGCCGCCCGGUAGUAGCAAAACAAGACACUGGUUCCAGCCAAAAAAAAUCAGCGACAGAACCUUUGGUUGGUUCCAACAAAAAAACUUGUCGGUUGUAACAUCCCUCGCCGCCGGAUGUAGCAUCUCCCGGGGCUGGUUGCAACACUCUAAAAAAAAGUUGUCUAAGAGCGCAUCCAUGGCGACUGCUGCACCGUCAGCAACGAGGGGAAGAGGAGGCAAUGAAAAUCGUUCGAGUCGUAGCUCCACAGGACGCGGCUGCAGCAUGGGGAGUCCAAAAAUCUGUCACAAGCAACAUGCGCCUCGCCAUCCUCCUGCGUAGGAGAGAGAAGAAAAAGGAAUAAGAGGAAGAAGAAAGGAAACGGGAGAAAGAAAAAAGAAACGAUUGGUGGUGGGCUGAGGCAAUUAGUCAAACGAGGGGCACGCGGGGCCGCAGGAUACAGCGCAAUCGAACGAAGCACGCGCGUCCGGCCGAAGACUCGGCCGGACUGCCGGCUGGAAACGUUUCCCUAAUCCAAAGGCUUUGUCUGAAUGACAAGUCGUCUAGGUUACCGGCUAACUAGAAAAAAGAUAAAUAUGCUAGAGAAUUUCAUAAUAAUUAGAAAUAUCUAGCCUUUAAUUAUGUAAAUCAGAAAAUCACAACCGUAGGAUUUACUUUAAAGGUAAAUUUCUCUAAAUUCCCACCAUUGCCAGUAUGUAGAAACAUGUGCUGCUUCAAUUCUCCCAUAAUCACCAAUCAAUCAACAACACAAAACAUACCUCAGUUAAAAAAAACUGAACAAAAAAAAGAAAAAAAGAAGAAAGGACAAGAUACACGCAUGUACACGACAGCCUUGGCUUGAAACACAUCAGUAGAUCAAGUGUCCGCCUCCCUUACACAGAAUAAAUUCUAGGGAAGAAAAUAAUAGUGCAACCUAACCUUAUACGUACUAUUCUAUCCUCACGUCCCAUGAGGUUUACUAGCCUACCGCCGCCGCAUCAUGCCAUCCUCUCCUUUCAGCUCCCAUGCUCUCCAGCAUCCUCCUUGCCGCGCCACUACUCGCCUAGGAAUAUUGCUGCUCAGACCGCGGAGCUUAACCUGCUUCUUCUUCAGCAAAUAUGGAACUGCUUUAGGAUCCUUCUCACAUCAGCACGUAUGGGCCUCAUUAUACUGCAGCUCCUGGACCUCCUACAAUUGGUUGGCUAUGGCCAGUUGAUCGAUGUGCUGAAGUCUAGGUCUGUUUGCUGGCACAUAUGCUUUGGAAAUAGGCCACUAUGUUUGUACUUCAAAAUUGUUUCGGUAUUCUUGAGUGGUACAUCCUUUUAAGUGCCAGUUUUUUAUGUUAAUUCGACAACACUUAACCUAGCCUUUCAUGUUCACGUACUAAAUACAGGAGCAAGUAAAAAAAACAGACCACCUAAUUGCUCUGCAAGUUCUACAUAGGAAAAUUUGUCAUGUUCUACGAUCGCACCAUCCCACCCUUCUCUCUUGGUAUGGGCGCCAAUUGAGGGAUUGAUAAAACUGAAAUGAAGACGUCACAGGGCUGGAAGUACCGCUAGCCUGGUUUGCACUGCAACCUACCCAACGCCAUCAGAAACUAGCAACUGAGGCAGGUGUUGAUCGAUUCUCUCAAAUUGCUCUCAUGUAAGUACUACCCCUUGCAUGUGCGUACAUACCUUUGUUGCAUUCUCAAACAGAUAGAACAUGUAUGAUCGGUGCAUGGCUAUUUUUAGGUAUAGCGACUGCACAACUUCUUCAACUCCAUAUGAUGCUAGUGUAUUGCAUCGAAAGAAUCAACGGAUUGCUAGAGAUCAACUGAGGUAUUCUCAUAUUAUUGGCUCGCUUAUGUAUUUGACGACUGCCACGAGGCCUAACAUCUCGUUUGCUGUUAGCAAGCUGAGUCGGUUUGUGUAAAAACCAGGAGAUGAUCAUUGCCAUGCGCUUGAGAGAGUUAUGCGCUAUUUGAAAGGCACCGCGAGCAAUGGGAUUCACUACACCGGGUAUCCAAGGGUACUGGAGGGUUAUAGUGACUCAAACUGGAUAUCUGAUGCUAAUGAGAUUAAGGCCACAAGUGGUUAUGUUUUUACACUUGGUGGUGGCACUGUUUCUUGGAAGUCCUGCAAACAGACCAUCUUAAUGAGGUCAACUAUGGAAGCGGAACUCACAGCAUUAGAAACUACCACUGUUGAAGCAGAGUGGCUUCGUGAGUUCUUGAUGGACUUACCUAUAGUUGAAAAACCAAUACCCCCUAUCCCUAUGAACUGUGAUAAUCAAACUGUGAUUGUCAAGAUAAACAGUUCUAAGGACAAUAUGAAGUCCUCAAGGCAUGUGAAGAGGAGACUGAAAUCUGUCAGAAAAUUGAGGAACUCCGAAGUUAUUACGUUGGAUUAUAUCAAAACGUCGAAAAAUUUGGCUGAUCCCUUCACAAAGGGUCUAUCACGUAAUGUGAUAGAUAAUGCAUCGAUGGAGAUGGGUCUGAGACCCACCGCAUGAGUUGUCCAUAGUGGUAACCCACUCUAUGUGAUCGGAGAUCCCGUGAAGUAGAAGUGGGAGACAAGUUGUUGGUCAGCUGGGAGGAGAGUAUCCCUAUAUUACCUAUCCCACUCCCUGAAGAUGCAAUACUCUCCUAAUCUGCAUGGCAGGUUGAUACUUACCUUAAUGUGUUCCAAGUGGCUUAUUCGGGUAAGUAGAAAUGUUGUCCUGCAGAACAUCUUCUGAGGAACACACCUAUAUGAAUUUGACUGUUAACAUUGUAGUCUGUGAGAAUUGGGUGUUCUCUAAUAAAUUCAUGAAAAGGCCCUGGAGUAUGACGUAUACGCUCCACCCGCGGGGAAGCCUUGCGGCAGCCUAGUAUCGGUCAAGAAUUUGUGUGAAACUAGUCUCGCAGAAAAUUUGUAGUUCAAGGCAUAGUCCACUAUUUAAGUUGUGAUCUAGUGUAGCAUAAAUCUCUAAGUGGAAGUUCAACUUCAUAGUCUCCACUAAGCACCGGUAUAUAAACAAUGUUUUGGAACUAAAUGAUGAGAUGUUCCAAUGAGUCUUUGUGGGGGAAUUGUUGGAAUUUUGCUAGUACGCCUUUGGCCCAAAGCCCAACUAAAAUUAUGAAAUUUUCUUGGCCCAUUCAUGCAUACAUGUGAGUGGAGUGAGUGAGACUAAAGUAUAGUCCCACCCCGGAAGUUGAGAGAGAGCACCUCUUUAUAAGGUAAGCUCUUCUACCACUUGUAUGAGCAUGAGAAUAGGAGACCUACACACGCGCUCCUCCUUGCUCGCCACGCCACGCCUCGUCACGACGCGCUGCAGGUUGCGGGAUUGAGCGGAGCCGAGGACAGAGCUAUGCACGUUGUCUAUUUUUUGCUACCCGGGAAAAAUUAAUGAGUCAUUAAUUAAUAAUUAAUGGACGCGUUAAUAACUGAACCGUUUCCGAUUCUUUUGGAUCGUGACGACUCGGACAUGGGGUUUACUCCCACGACCUACCCGGCCCGCACUAUAUAGUCAGUCAGACGUCUACCCUAGCCGCCGCCGCUUCGUAUGGUUUCUCACCACCAUUCCAGAUCAUUGCGCCGCAAAGCAAGUCUUCUCCAUACCUCCUUUCGGCGUGCACUGGGAGAAGGAACAGCAGGCCUUCGGAACCCCGCCGCUCGUGAUCCUGUACGGGAGAGGGGCGAUCAGGUUUUUGGGGAGCGCACUCGCGCGACUGCUGGCAGCGACGACUUCGCGAAUGACGACUUCAUCCCGGACCUCGGCAACCUCAUCCUCGACGACAUGGGUGACAACGUCAACGCCGGCGGUGCUGCAGCCGCUGCACCGUAUGUUAUUCUAUCCUUCUUGUUCGAGAUCGUGGUAGAAUUCAGGUUUCUAGUAUGUGCCCUAGAUGUGAUCUGUUCAUCUACUCUGCUAGUUCGCAUGAUUAGUUUAAUCUCUGCUAUUGCUGUCAUGAUCUAUUUCCAAUUUAUUCGGAUUAAAUCUCGUAGUAAUUUGCUCAUUUUUCCAACAAUGCCAUCUGAUAGAUGAUGUAAUUCUCGUCAAGUUUGACGUUGUUGAGCUAAUUUACAAAAAAACCUCAUCAUUAUUGGAUGUCCUUAACAGCUCAAGAACAAGUUGGGGUCGAACUAAUGGAUUUUACACUUUUACAUUAAAGGUUUAGCUAAAGCUAGCAGGUGUUUUUAAACCUGAUUUUUUUCCUCCUAAAUUUCUUUGUAUUUUCUUAUUGACACUAUUUAUACAAUCAUCUGACAAAGAUUUGCUAAAGCUGCUUGUAGAUACGUUGAAACCUGAAAAGCUUCUUUGGUUUUCUCAUAGGUCUUAAUUCUUAUGUAAUACCAAGAUGCAUUGUGGUAGUGUACAUGUGUUAAAUUCGUGUUGUUAUUCACAAUUUGCGACAAAAUUUAGCUCACGCUACAUUUCAAUAUGUUGAAAUGUGAAAGCUCUUUUUCUUCUCCUUUCUACACCUUGCAUCGGAUUGCAUCCCUUUAGUUAUCCAACAUUUUGUACAACAUGUAGAGAUUAGGAAGUUCAUCAUAGUUUGUCUAUUUCGGUGCUAAUAAAUGUAUGAAAUCUGCAUUUCCAAGCUAUUAGGACAAGUAAAAAAUAAUAAUUUUACUAUAGGAUUCAAAAACAGCAGUUCUGAAGUGCACUUUAUUUAUUUGCGAAAGUGACCACAUUUUGUUUCAUUUUUCUAUAGACAAAUCUACUAAUACAUACUCACGAUAAAACUAUAAAAGUUCUAGUCCGCACAUUGGGCGGGCCACCCGGCUGGUUCGUCUAAAGAAAACAAAAUGAGUCUGGAAUUUGAAUUAAAUUGAAGUAUUUUCUUGGACUUUCAAAUUGAGUAUAGUUAAAGUAGUAAGGACUAUCCACAUCCUUGGCUUGCCCCUAAUCAAUUAUUUCCAGAGAAGCAUUCAAUUCAUCAAUCAAUUACAUUGAUUUUAGUGGCUGGUACUUCUCCUGAACAUCAGUAUAUUCACCGUGGCCACUCCAAAUCGGCAAGAAUGAGGUACCAGUGCUCUGGAGCAGUGCAAGCUAAUUGCUUCUCAUGUGAAGGGGUGCGGGCGCGGGAGAGGUAUUUCUGGUGGGCCAAGGGACUAAGAAGCGACCGUGGCAGCGGUACAGACGCCCGCAAAGCCCCAUAGUUUGUUUUUGAUUUACAGGAAAAUUGCACAUCCAUACUGGCCUGGGGAAUAUAGGACCGUAUUGGAUGGAAAACCAUGUCCGGAUGGUUGCGAGCGGUUUGAGGGUUAGCUUUUGUAACACCCGGUUAGUUAUGCUACAGCAAUUCCCUGCUAAUGAUGUCACGUCACCACGAUUACUGUUGUUAACCUCACAAUGAUUGAAUCCCAUUCAAAUUCAAAUUUAAAAUAAAGGCAAACAUCAAAAGUUUUCAAACAUGAAAACUAAAAUCUUUGAGAGGUGACAAAUAAUGCAUAAGUAAUUAUGGUGGAGAAACCACACUUUAAUUAAAUGUUAAAAUACUCUAAAAUGAAAAAAACAGUGGCUUAAACUAUUAUUUAAAUGCUUUUAAAAUAGUAAAAAUCUUCUAACUAAAUUAUUUGGGUACCAAACUUUUGGUGGCAGUGGUAUAUUUAGUAGAACUAAUUUAGAUGCUAAUUAUAUAAUUUACAAAAUUAGAAUAAAUUGAAAAAUAGGAUAAAACGGAAAAGGAAAGACAAAACAAAUAAAAGCAAAAAGGGGGCAACCCCUCGCUGGGCCUCGGCCUAGCUGGCCACUAGGCGAGCUAGGCUGGCCCCGCUGCCUCCCUUAACCCCCACACUCCUCAUCGAACCCAAGCCCGAUCGCCCCACUUCCCCACACCCCCUCGCCAGCCUCCCCACCCCUUGAUCCCAUCUGGAUCGGCGAGUGUAUUGCCCCCAUCGACCCCGUUGCCAUCGCUAGAUCGCCCGCCGACGUCGCCAGGCCUCCUCCCCGCCGCACGUCUUUGGCUCGCCUCUCCUCUCGCUCCUCUUCCCCGGCCCGAUCUUGAUCGUGAACGAGCAAUGAGCUUGAAGCCCCCCUUCACCGGCGCCAUCACCGUGCGCCACCACCACCGCCUGAAGACCUCACCGUCGCUGAACCUUGCGUCGCCUCCUCGUAUCCCUCCCCUACUCACGUCCUCAAGCCAGGCCGAGCCCCUUCUCGGCAACGCUGUGAGACGCCCCCGUUUCCCUCCUCUUUCCACCGCGUUCACCACGCCGCCCGCCAUGCCCCUCGCCGUGCGCAUGCCCACCACCGCACCAGCCCCCGCUCCGCGCACGACCCUACCCGCGCCCGCGACAUGAUCCCCUUUUCCGCCCUAUCUUCCUGCGCUCGCCGCGGUCCCGAUGCUCCCCCGCGCCUUCUUUCAGGGGCGCCGACUGCCCCUGUCCCGCUGCUCGCCGCCGUGCCUCGCCACCGCUCUACUGCUGCGUUACUACUGUGCUGCGGCCGCCGCCUCUUCCUGCUGCUCCGCCAGCGCCGAAGCUCCCAGUUGGCUCCACCACUGCUCACUUUAAACCGCCGGCCUAAAUGGCCUAACCCCGGCUAAUGAACCCCCACUAACCCACUGACACCGGGACCCACAUUCCCUAAUUAACCAUUUAAUAAAUUAAAACUCUUAAAUUAACAUUAGUGUAUGACAUGUGCGUCCCCUGUUAAUUAAUAAUUUUGCUGCUAGUUUUAUUAGUUUCUGUUUUUCUGCAUAUUUCUUUUGUAUUUGAACACGCUUUAUACAGUAAUAUUUAGCGUAUCAUACACAUACAAAUGUAAUCAUAGCAUAUACAUACAAAUAGUCUCAUCAAAUCAUGUCAUCAUCAUAAUCAUCAUCCAUCACAAAGUGGUCUCUCGUCAUCAUCUCGAAAAUAGCGAUACAAGUCUCGAUUACUUGCAACUACAUCGUCAUCCAUCUAAAUAAUGAUAUACGCGAGAAGAGCUAUUACUAUGAGUACGAGCGGAACUAUGCAGUACAUGAGGCUGUAUCCCUCUCUCGCAUUAGCGUGAACCUAAACUAACUACUGGCUGUUGCUCGGAAACCGGAAACCGGUACACCUAGGCUUGACACUCCGGCCACUCGUCGUAUACUCCUGGCGUAGAACUUCUUCUCCAUCGAUGAUCUAUGUGAAGGAAAUAUGCCCUAGAGGCAAUAAUAAAGUUAUUAUUUAUUUCCUUAUAUCAUGAUAAAUCGUGAUGGGAAUGGGCCGGGUCGGCCCGCUGGGUCACUGACUCGGCCCGAAAUCUCGAGGCCAAUGGGCCAGGGAGGUUGGCCUCGAAUCACAAAACGGGUCAGUGGAGCCGGCCCCGUGUGACCCGAUGGACCAGAUGGGUCGACCCAGCGCUGCCCUAGUCCUCCAUCUAUGCCGCCGCCCCCCACGAUCUCUGUAGCCGCUCCCGAUGAUUUCUUCCGCCGCCGGCCAUCUUUGCCGCCCCUGGCAUCCCCCGACCUUCUCUAUCGGCCGCUCCCGACCUGCUGCCGCCGCCGGCUGCCCCUGAACAUCUUUGCUGGCCUGCUGCCGCCGGCGUUCCUCCCGCAUCUCGUUCGUCGUCUUGGUCGCCGUCGAGCUCGCUGACCUGCGGUCCCGUCCACCAUCUACCUCGCCAUUCCGGUCGCCGUCCUCAUCGUCAUCAUCACGCAGGUGAGACUCUUGCCGGCUUCCUCCCUGUCCCAGCGCAGCUGCAAUGACUGGUCUAGUUUAGGUUCUUGGUCUUGCUGGCACUCUCUGCGUUGUCUGCAAUUGUUUCAGUAGUUGGAGCUUGGAAGAAAUAGUCAACACUCAAAAAUAGACUGUUUGAUUGUUCAGCAUGGGACUUGUUUGAUUGUUCUCAAGAAGAAAUAGUGCUUCAGUUGAGCUCCUGUGUAGCUGCAGUUUAGCAUUCAACAACAGUUUUCUUUUUUGUGCAGCAUGCCACUUUCUUUUUUGUGCAGCAGCUUAGCUGCAGUUUAGCCUUUCGGUCCUCUGAUCCGAGGAAAAGUAAUUAGUGUUACUUCCUGUUGUUGGUUACUAAAUAAACCAGAAAUAGUUGUCCUGUGAAACAAUUUUACUCUGUUUUUUUGUUGAAUCGGCAAAUUUUACUCUGCUGGUAGGAUGGAGUAGUGCAUAUGUUGAUGAUGCUCACGAAAAACCUUCCUGGAGUAGUGCAUAUGUCCAACUGUGAGUUUCUUCUAUUCCUCGAAUGGCCGUUUGGUGUGGUGUUCUCCUAAUUUGUUGCCUGACAAGCUAGGUGUUGUGGGCGUGCUGCAUAAGAAGUAACAAUGGUUAGAAGAUGUAGUUAAUGCUUAGUUUUUUAUGUGAUAUAGGGUCAUGUGACUUCUUUUUCUUGGGCUAGCUGCCAGGUUGAGUUUGCGUAUAUGCAUAUCAGUGUAGCUGAUCCAUCGACAAGUCCAGCAUUUUUUAGUGUCAGUUCAGGGGAUGCUUUACUGGCAGCGAUUUCUGUAGUGUUGCUCAAUGGGAUGCUUUGCCGACAGUGAUUAGACCGUAAACUAAACUAUCCGGUUUCUUAUCUGCAUGCAUCUGCUGUUGAUUUUGAAAGUUAAUGCUCUCUAAUGUUCAUAUAUUUCCCUCUGAUUAGAAAAAUGGAAGAGGAGGAAGGGGACCAUGAGGCAUACCAAAGUGGUGGUUCAUCGUUGAUAUCCGGUGCGAUAAUGAGAAGGGCUCAACCACCCCCAGGGGUGUCUCCUUCUUCGAUAGACAUCUGUAGAGCUUAUCAUGGUGAGUAUUGUUAAUCUUUCUUUUUAUAGGGAUGCAAAUUAAUGGUUGCUAAAAUAAAAAAUACUCAUAAUUGUAAUGUUAACACUCGUGUCCUUUGCUCAGCAGGACGUUCGCAAGACACUCGUAUGGUUGAUUUUGAAGAAGAUGAGGCUGAUGAAGAAGAUGUUGACUAUGAAGAAGCAGAGGAAGGAGAAGAAGAUGAGGAUGAUGAAGAAGAAGAAGAAGAUGAUGAUGAUGAAGAAGAAGAAGAAGAGGGAGAUAAUGUGGAUGAAGAGGGAGAGGUUGAGAUCAUUGACAUGGGAUCGUUUUCUGAACCGGGAAGAAAGUUUUUGUCGAAAGUGUGGAAAGAAUAUGAGCCUAUCCGUGUUGAUGGCAUUGUUGUAGCUGCUGAGUGCAAACACUGUGCAAGGAAUAUUUGUGCUGAGCGUAAACAUGGAACAAGUUCAUUGCGCAAACAUUUGAAGAGAUGCAGGGAAAGGAAGAAGGUUCUUAGAGUUUCUGGACAGCUGAGUGCUUCUAUCGUGAGUCCUGAUGGAGUUGCAAUGGGGCUUUGGACCUUUAAUCAGGCAUUAGCACGCCGAGAGCUGAUGAGGAUGAUAGUGUUGCAUGAAUUGGCAUUCUCAUUGGUGGAGUACGAUGGAUUUAGAAGAUUUGUCUCUAGUUUAAAUCCUAGCUUCAAGAUGAUAUGCAGAAAAACUGUGAAGGAGGACUGCAUGAAAGCAUUUAAGGAAGAGAAGAGAAUUUUGCAAAGGAUGUUCCAAAACUCCAAAUCCAAGAUUUCUUUGACUACGGACCUAUGGACAUCAAAUCAGACAGUGGGGUACAUUUGCAUCACAGCUCACUUCAUUGAUGAGGAGUGGAAGCAGCAGAAGAGGAUAGUGAAAUUUGCAGCUAUGGAGACGCCGCACACAGGAGCUGCAAUGUUCAACGUCAUGGUGAAUUUCAUAAGAGAGUGGAACAUUGAAGAUAAUCUCUUUGCUGUGACGCUAGACAAUGCAUCGAACAAUGGUGCAAUGAUGAAGCUAUUGAAGGCACAUCUCCUGCUUAAGAAGAUGUUACCUGGUGGUGGCAAGUUGUUUCACCAACGUUGUGCCGCCCAUGUCAUAAAUCUGAUAUGUCAAGCAGGAUUGAACUUCCUUGGUCCAGUGAUCAACAUGAUACGUGAAACUGUGAAAUAUAUUCGAAGCUCACCAAGUCGAAAGGAAAAAUUUCAAGAAAUUGUUGAGCAACAUGGUGUAUCAUGUAGGAGAACUCCAAUUCUUGAUGUUCCAACUCGUUGGAACUCAACCUACAUGAUGAUUGAUAUAGCAAAAGAGUAUCGUGGAGUGUUUGACUCUUUGGCCAUUCAAGAUAAACAAUAUACCUUCAAGCCAUCUUUUGAGGAUUGGGAAAAUGCUGAAGAUGUUUGCAGGCUACUGAAGGUAUUUUAUGAAGCCACUAAUGUGAUAUCCGGCACAAAAUAUCCAACUGCUAACUUGUAUUUCCAUGAAAUGUGGAAAGUGAAGCUGACCUUAGAGCAACAACAUUAUGAAGAGGAUUCUGAGAUGGGCACAACGGUCAAAUAUAUGAAGAGAAAAUUUAGAAGGUAUUGGAAGAUGACAUGGUUGAGCCUUUGUAUUCCAGUGAUUUUGGACCCACAAUUCAAGUUGAAAUAUGUUGAUUUCCGAUUUGGCCUAGAGUUUGGGAACGAAGUUGCAGCAAUGAUUGCUAAAAUAAAAAAUGUGUUCCAAGGGUUGUUCAAGGAAUACCUCCAAUUGAAUGACAAUGGAUCAGAUCCCAUGUCACAAGGAGGUGAUGAUGACAUGGCUGUAAGUGGUGAAGAUCCUAUGGCUGAUUGGGUCCAACAUGUCACCCUCACUGCUCGAUCAACAAAUUUGGAUUAUACCGAACUUGAUUCGUACUUGUCAAAGGUACCCAUCCGCCGAAGUGAUCAAUUCAAUAUCCUUACAUGGUGGCAGACGAACUCCAGUGAAUACCCAACGCUGAGUCGCAUGGCAGCUGAUAUCUUGGCGGCUCCUUCCUCUGCGGUGGCAUCCGAGUCCGCCUUCAGCACAGGGAAGAGAGUCCUAUCAGAUUUUCGAAGUCGAAUGACCGCAACGACACUUGAAGCUCUUGUUUGUUUACAAGAUUGGAUAAGGGCCAACGGUAAAGCCAUACGACACAAGUUUCUUCUUUGUUUCUUAUUAAUGCUUCAAGUUUACAAGUUUCUUUUUUUUCUGCAGCUAAUACUCAACGUAGCUUGGCUUCAGUUCAUGACAUUAUAAUGGACUUACAAGGUAUGAGAAAUCUUCUGAUGUAUAUAGUGCCAUGUAUAUGAAGUACACUUAGUAUGAAGUCUGCUUUUUAUUUAGGGAUUUCAUAUCUACAGUUUGUUCCAGGGAACUAUUUGCAAGAUGCAACCCAAACAUGUAGAUGAGUAUAUAGAGUGUUUUACACACAGAACUAGUGCUUUUAUUUUUGGUUUCCCCAAGUUGUAGUUGAUCUCUAAUAUAUAUUUCUUUUUUCUCUCAGAUAUGAAUGUGUAGUUUAGAUUCAUUUUUUUAAUCGCCAAACUAUAUUAAAAAUAUGCAUUGCUAACUACAGUAACUUGAUUAGAAUAUGUUGCGGAGUGGAUGACAGGUAGUGUAUAAUGGAUAUUUAGAAGUGUAUUUUCUUGCAAACCUGAUCAUGAAUUGGUUUUCUGGAACACGCCUUUGCUACUAAGAAUAUUCCUCUGUUCAUAAAUAUAUUAUUUAGUUUUUUUGUGGAUAAAUAUACUAUUUAGUUGAUGUGCACAGAAUUACUCUUGUAACAUUUCUUUGCAAAUACAGAUAUCGAGGACUGAUGCUUGUUGGAGCAAUUGAUGUUAAAGCUCAAGCAGAUGGUGAAGAAGAUAUGUCAGCUUUCUCUAUAACCUACUGGAUGUGAAAAGAUUAGCAUGUUGAACUUGUAAUAUUUUGAUCUUGCAUGAGUCUGUUGGAUUGAGGUCAUUAGCUUGACGUUCUUUGAAAUCUGUAAUCUUUUGGUCUUGUUCGAAUCUGUUGGAUUGAGGUCUUUUGCUUGAUGCUCUUUGAAACAUGUAAUCUCAUGAUCUUGCCAUUCUAGAAACAUUUGCUAAAUUCUGGGUCGGCCUCAUGUACCCAAUGGGUCAAUGGGGCCACAAAAUUCUGAUGAAAUGGGCCGGCCCGUGGCCUCACAUUUUGACCUUGGGGCCACGGGGCCGGGGCCGGGGCCAGGGCCGGGUCGGCCCAUUCCCAUUCUGAAUGAUAAAUGUUUAUUAUUCAUGCUAGAAUUGUAUUAACCGGAAACAUAAUACAUGUGUGAAUACAUAGACAAACAGAGUGUCACUAGUAUGCCUCUACUAGACUAGCUCGUUAAUCAAAGAUGGUUAAGUUUCCUAACCAUAAACAAAGAGUCGUUAUUUGAUUAACGAGGUCACAUCAUUAGUUGAAUGAUCUGAUUGACAUGACCCAUUCCAUUAGCUUAGCACCCGAUCGUUUAGUAUGUUGCUAUUGCUUUCUUCAUGUCUUAUACAUGUUCCUAUGACUAUGAGAUUAUGCAACUCCCGUUUGCCGGAGGAACACUUUGUGUGCUACCAAACGUCACAACGUAACUGGGUGAUUAUAAAGGAGCUCUACAGGUGUCUCCAAUGGUAGAUGUUGGGUUGGCGUAUUUCGAGAAUAGGAUUUGACACUCCGAUUGUCGGAGAGGUAUCUCUGGGCCCUCUCGGUAAUGCACAUUACACAAGCCUUGCAAGCAUUGCAACUAAUGAGUUAGUUGCGGGAUGAUGUAUUACAGAACGAGUAAAGAUACUUGCCGGUAACGAGAUUGAACUAGGUAUUGGAUACCGACGAUCGAAUCUCGGGAAAGUAACAUACCGAUGACAAAGGGAACAACGUAUGUUGUUAUGCGGUCUGACCGAUAAAGAUCUUCGUAGAAUAUGCAGGAGCCAAUAUGGGCAUCCAGGUCCCUCUAUUGGUUAUUGACCAGAGACGUGUCCUGGUCAUGUCUACAUUGUUCUCGAACUGUAGGGUCCGCACGCUUAACGUUACGAUGACAGUUAUUAUGAGUUUAUGCAUUUUGAUGUACCGAAGGUAGUUCGGAGUCCCGGAUGUGAUCACGGACAUGACGAGGAGUCUCGAAAUUGUCACACCCUAGCUAGUUUAUGCAUUAGAGUGUGCAUCAUGUUUACCUUCAUCAGAAAUUGAAAUGGGGAGAGCAGAACCCCCAGCACCCCCCCCCUGAAAUCAACGAGGGUUUACUAAAAAUAAAUUCAAUGAACCUGAAAUGCCCUUGAAAUAUGUUCACCCUCUUUGCCUUGGGUUAGAACCCUUGGGAAAAAUGGUGCAUAUAAUUUUAGGUCAACAAAAGGGGCAUUGACUUAAUUCAUAAAUAUUUGAAUUUGGGCAUUUAAAAUACUAUUAUAUAAUUCAAAUGCUCAAAUAAUGUUGGAACUAUUUUUGGGCCACUGAAAUAUUUCAGAAAGUGUCCAUAAAUAUUUUCAGGAUUUUAUAAAAUGAUUUAGUAUCUGAACUAAAUCAAAACAGAAUAACAGAAAUAGAAAAACAAAAAAAAAUAAAGAGGGAAAGACCAUGGGCCACUUACCUGGCCCAGCGCCAGGCCACUAGCGGCCCAGCCCACCAGGCCGAUGCCAGUCGUCCCCUAGCUCCUGCCAGGAGGACGAAGGGCGUGUGCCCGCGGUGCGCCAGCACGCACACGGCCACCGACGGCCACCUCCUGCUUCGGCCGCCUCCCCGACGUCGCUUUGGACGCCACGCAUCCCCCCCUGACCCCUCGCUCACUCUCUUUCAUCCUCAUCCCCUCCUCUGCUCUCUCUCCCGCGCAACCGCCAUGAGCCCGAGAGCGCCGACGAGGACCACCACGGCCACCGCCUACCCCUCGCUUCCCUGACCAGCUUAGAGGCUCCGCCUCGACCCCGUCUUCCUUCUCACCGAACCACGCCCCGCCGGAAGCCCUGCGUCAUCAAAUUCAAGCUCUUCUUCAAGCUUCGGCACCGACGAUCGCCGCCGUCGAUUCGCUUGCUCCAGUGCCUCCCCGAGCUUGCCGAGGCCACCGCUGCAACUGCUGUGAGCUCCUGUGUCGUUUCCCCCUCCCCCCUGGCUCGAUUUCUUCUUCUAACACCGAUGCCCGUCAGAACCGAGAGCUCUUCGCCGCCGGCCAUGCCGCCACCGUGACCACAGCCGUGCAAGCUCACUCCCGAGCACGGCAACGUGCUCCACACCUCACCAAGAGCACGUGGAACCCAUCAGUUUCCCCUCCCGUGCACCACAACGCCGAUCCGCUCAACUCCCGAACUCCGGCCGCCGCGCAAGUUGCCGCCGCCGUCGUUUUAGGCCACUAGGGCUGCUGCCGUGUGCACAGAUAGAUGCGGGCGAGUCCCAGCUCCGCGUAGAUGCCCUCCGCUGGCCAUUUGGUCGCCGGAGGAGGAUUUCCGAGCCCCUCCGCCGUCUCUGGCCUUGCCGGCGACGAGCCGGGGUCAACUCCGGCGUGUUUUGACCCCGGGUCGGCUGGGUUGACUCCCCCCUGACUCACUGACGUGUGGGCCCAGGCGCCUGCCUAAUUACCAUUAGUUAAUUAGAGUUAAUAAAAAUUAGCUAAUUAGUGAGCCACUGACAUGCGGGCCCCGCCCGGCUAACCAAGUUAGUUAGGGUUAACUAACUUAGUUAGUUGAUUGUGUCACUGACCAGUGGACCCCACUGGUCAUGUUUGACCUGGAGGCGCCAGUUGACCUGCUGACAUCAGGGUGAUGUCAUGCUGACGCAAUAACUCUUUUUCUGGAUUUAAUUUUAUAUAGAAAAUUCCAGAAAAUUGCCUAAACUUCAAAAAUUCAUAGAAAUUCAACCAUAACUCCAAAUGAGACAAAUUAUAUAUGAAAAAUUAUCAGAAAAAUUCAAGGAAUCCAUCUGUACCAUUUUCAUGCAUGUUUGAACAAUGCUUGUCCUCUGUUUUGGACAAAACAAAUAAAGGGCAUUUAAAUAAUCAUAUAUGGGGUUGGAAUUUGAAUCUUGUACUCAAACCAACUCCAUUUAAAUCAUAGCUAGUUGCAUAAGCUCAAGACACAUCCAUAUUGCCAUGUCAUAGCAUGCAUCAUAUUGUUGCAUAUCAUCAUGUGUUGAUUGUGCUCGGUUGUGUUCUUCGUGGUAGGUUCUGCCUCCGAGGAUAUUCACGAGUAUCCAACUGAAGGGCAGUAUCCCGUUACCACUCCAUCAGGCAAGCAACCAUUGAUCAUUCCGAUACAACCCAUGUUCUCGCUCCUACUCUUGUUUACUGCAUUAAGACAACACGAUUCAAACUGCCGUGUGCUACGGUAGUUGAACCCUUAUCCUCUGCAUGACCUGUCAUUGCCACAGUAACUAGAUGAAACCCACUAGCAUGUGUAGGAGUUGAUUGAGCCAUGUUUUGUGAUUCCUACCUUGCUAUGCCUGCUAUGCUUAGAGUUGUGUCAGGUCUGGUUCAUCUGGGGAAUGGGCUAGAGUGAAAUGCUUGUGCCAGUAAAUUGUGGGAUGUGUUGAACAUGUUUUGGUAAAGGUAUCGAUGAGAGGCCAUGUAGGAGUACAUGGUGGGUUGUUUCAUUGAAGCCGUCCCUAAGAACUGAGUUCUGUAUGCGUGAAUUAAGAUUCAGCUACUACCACACAUUGGGCCCUGAAAUAUGACCCCGCUCGACUUACCGACCCCUCUCGCCUCAGUCCAGGAGUUGCAACUAGUUUCUGGUGUUUGUAGGAUAUGUGUUGGCGGCCGUGCGUAGCGCUGACCCUAGGGGUGGGCUAUGUUGCGGUAGAUACACCGUGGCACGGUGUACUGAGUCACCCGUUUGGUGUCUCGGGAACCCUGUUCACAUCGUUCGGGGCCGUUGAGGACACCCCGGCCGGAUUUCCUUGCGGAUGGAACCUGAAUAGGCGAUGACCCUGGACUAGAGACUCGUGAGGUUAGUCAGGUCGUGGUCUACACCCACGUCGGUUUUCGCUUGAAGUCUGCCGAGCACAUUUCGUGUGCAGACGCUAAGUGGUGGAAACAUGUGUGACGAAGUACACCCCUGCAGGGUAUAAAACUAUUCGAAUAGCCGUGUCCGCGGUAAAGGACUACUUGGUUGCAUAUACAGUUCAUAGACAAGUUAAUGGAUACUACUAAAAGACUCAAGAUAAGUGUGAGUACCGAGGAUGGCUCCCUCGCAGGAUACGAGGGAGGAUCCACGGUGGAGUAUUGUGAUGGUGAGUAGUGGACUCGUGUGCAAAAACUAUUUUGCUAAAAGAUUCCGUAGGAUAGCUUAGCCAAGAGUCAAAGCUGGUUUGCUGCAUAAACCCCACCACCUUCUUGAGAAUGAGCAUGUACAGUAGGUUCUGAUGUAAGACUUGCUGAGUACCUUUGUACUCAUGUUUGCUUAUUUAUUGUUUUCAGACGACAACACUGCCCCCUCCGAUGGGUUUUACGUAGACCUUGACGUCGACGAGUGACUAGCCACCCAGGUGGUGAUCCAGGCCAUGGAGGGCCCUAUGUAGAUAGACAGGCUUCGAGAAGCCUUCUUUCUUUCUAGAGUCUGUACCCAGACUAGUUGCUUCCGCAUGUGCUUGUAUGACUGUAUGACUUGAGUGUCGGGUCAUGUGACCCCUACCUGUAUGGAUAUGUUAUGUAUGGCUCCCUGGAGCCUUUAAAUAAAGUACCUGAGUUGUAGAGUUUUGUUGUGAUGCCAUGUUGUAUGUACUCAUAUCGAGCAUAUUGUAUGUAUGAUUGAAAUGCUUGGUAUGAGUGGGAUCCGACAAUCUAGUUGUUUGUCCUUCGCAGCCUUUCUUAUGGGGAAAUGUAGUCUAGUGCUCCUCGAGCCAUAGUAGUCCGCUACAGCCCGGUUCAGCGGAGUCCUACUAGCCCAGCACUACUGUUCAGGACACUUGACUAGCCGGCAUGUGUUUCACUUCGGGGAAAUGUCACGCGGUGAUCUCCGGAGUCCUGUCUAGCCUGCUACAGCCCGGGAUCCCCCGGAGUCCUGUUAGCCCAGUGCUACAGCCCGGAAUCACUCGUUGAUGACCGACAUGUUCGUUGUGAUUCAUGUAUGCCUGUCUCCAUAGGUCUGUGCCGCUUUGGGUUCACGACUAGCCAUGUCGGCCCGGGUUCUCGGUCAUAUGGAUGCUAGCGACAUUGUCAUAUACGCGAGCCAAAAGGCGCAAACGGUCCCGGGCCAUGGUAAGGCGACACCCGUGGGAUACCGUGAGUGAGGCCGCAAAGUGAUAUGAGGUGUUACCGGCUAGAUCGAUGUGGCUUAGAAUCGGGGUCCUGACAGCGUUGGCAUCAGAGCCGGACUGCCUAUAGGUUCGUUCAGCCAAACUGGUCGAUGUCGAGUCUAGAAAUGCUUUAGUUAUAUGUAAGGGAAUUGAUUGUGGGAGGGAACGUAAGGUUCUUUUACUCCUUUACCCUAUGCUUCUGAUCUGAGUCAUUCUCUUCUCAUUCAACGUGGGUUAAGGACUAGGCUCUCUUCUUCUAUCAGGUUCACGUGUUACUAAUCCGUAGUAGUUCAUAGGAUUAUUGCUACGAGUUCCAGUCCAGUUUCUACUAUUUUAGUACGUUGCUAUUUGAAUCAGAACCUUGAUAUGAUGCUGUUGAGCGGUAUUGUGAACUGUUGUGGAUGUCUCAAAUCUUUUUCUGAGCAUUUACAACCGCUAUGCUGCCCAAUUUUCCCUAGGAAUUCUGAUGUCUUUGUCUUGUGGUUGUGCUUUCAGAUGGCCAACCAUUCUCAAAAUCAAGUGGUUCGCCUGACUAGGUGCCUCGACGUGCCCGGUCAUACUGCUAUGUUGGUCCGGGUCAUGAUCGAGACAGGAUACCGUUGGUAUCCCGAAUACACUGUUGAAGAGCAGUUCCGCGACUUUAAUCAAAGCCAGUAUUUAUGCACCGUCAGGAUAUUUCCUUCCUAUCCUGGAUCUACCGAGCCCCUUCACUGUUCCUAUGGACUCGGAGUUACCAUUGAGAUGGCUGUGCAGGAUGCUGCCUAUUUCAUGAUGACCAUCUUGCGAGUCCGGACUGGCCUGCUUCGGAACACUGACUUCCGUUACAUGCCAGCUUCACUUCCGGGAGCGCAGGGGUAUCUUCAGGCUAUCUAUGCUGACUCCACUCAGGAGGACUCAUUAACUCGUACCACCGCUGAGAUGCUCGAAGAUAUGGACCGAGAGAAUCGGGCCUUGAGGCUGGAGCUCUUUAAUACCCGUGCUGAUCAUUGGGCCACAUUGACUCGGUUUGCACCCGCGGUGCAAGCGGGAUGUAUGGAUACCAGGGAUCUGUAUCCUGUGAGAGCAGCUCUGCCAGACAUGGUGGAUUGGCGUGAUGUGGGAGGCAUCACCCCACCCCUUGGUCACCGCAGGCCACCGUUUGUGGGUCCAAGACCUUAUCCUAGCCCCUAUGGUCCACAGGCUCCUCAGGACCGUCUGUUUCCGGAUGAUCACGUUGAACUUCCAGGCUAUGGAGGUGACUUCUAUGAGGACUACUACGGAGCUAUCUGAGUUAGUAGUAGUACCACUAGUAUUGUAGUAGUUGUAUCUCCACUGUCCUGUGUGACUUGUGGAAUACGACUUGGUGUGUAAUCGAUUCCGGAGGUGUAGACAAAUAAUGUAUAGGGACUCGGAAUGCCUCCGAUGAGAUGUAACGUCUACCUUCAUAGUUGUACUGUAGCAUGGGCUUGUACUAAACUAUGUAUGACGAGUAUGACCGUUGGUGUAUAUAUGGCAGUUUUAUAUUACCAUGGCAUACGAAUGAGCAUCUCUGCAUUCCGCGUUAUCCUUUACAUUCUGCACUUCCCUGUUAAGUUUGAGCCAUCCUUGUCUAAACCGUUGUCUUGUUUCCUCCUAGGAUGGUCAACACCCGCGGAAACCCUGCUGCCCCGGAGCAGGGGGAAGCCAAUGCAGCUAGAGGUGAAAAUUUGCCUCACCCGCCUUCCCUGGCCGAAGUGAUGCUGGAGGCGGAAAGGAACAAGCGUGAGACCAACCGCCUGCUGGAGCGGAUUGAGCAGAACACUGCACGCCACCCACGAAAUGACUUGGUGUCAAUCAACGACUUUAUCAAGCUGUACCCACCAAAGUUUAACCAUUCCGUCGAGCCCCUCGACGCGGAUGAUUGGCUUCGCAGCAUCACCCACAAGCUACGUUCUGCCAACGUAGCUGAAGCCGACAAGGUUACCUAUGCUGCUUAUCAUCUUGAGGGCCCCGCUAGCCAUUGGUGGGAAAACUACGAAGCUAUGCGCCCGGUCGGCCAAAUCACUACCUGGGCUGAGUUCAGCGAGGCUUUCCGUGAGCAUCACAUUCCGGAAGGUCUCAUGGAUCGCAAGAGGGAGGAGUUCUGUAACUUCACCCAAGGAAGGCUGACUGUGGAUGCAUAUAGCCGAGAAUUUGGGAACCUGGCACGCUAUGCUCCUGAAGAGGUUUCUACUGACGCCAAGAAGCAGGGAAGGUUCCGUAAGGGACUUAGCCCUGAGCUUCGCUGCGAUCUCCGUCCGCACGAGUGCACAUCCUUCCAGAAGCUGGUCAAUAAAGCUAUCAGUGCUGAGACAGGCCAGACUGAUUAUGACGCUUCACGCAAGCACUCUCGUGAUUUUGGGUCUUCAUCCGGCUCUGGAGCUCAGAAGCGCCGGGUGUGGAUUCCAAGCACCGCACUGCCAGCCAGAUUCACCCCGAGGCCAUCCUUUGAGGCGCCUCAUCCCAACCAGCAAUUUGCACCGCCCAAGCCCUAUGGUGGCCCCGCUGCUAAUGUUGCUCCACGCCCCACUAUGGUAACAUGCUUCAUGUGUGGAGAACCGGGUCACUAUAGUCGAGAGUGUCCCCAGAACAACCCCAAUCAAGCUGGAAAGUCCGUUGGCCGUGGUAAGCCCGCGGGAAAGACUUUCUAUGCCAAGCCGGCCACUACUGCACGUGGCCAUGUAAACUACGUCUCAGCCGAAGAGGCUCAUGAGGAUCCCAACGUCGUCCUUGGUACGCUCCUUGUUAACUGCCAUCCGGCAUCUGUUCUUUUCGAUACUGGAGCAUCUCAUUCAUUCAUAUCCGAGAAUUAUGCUCGGUCGCAUAACACGACAUUCUGUGACAUGCCCACUUCCAUGGUAAUUCAAACUCCGGGUUCCAAAUGGCAAACUUCUAGGGUAAGCCAUGGGAACGAAAUUCUUGUCGAUAGGCUUGUUUUCCUUGCAUCUUUAAUAGCUCUCAAGUCCUCCGACAUAAACAUCAUCUUGGGUAUGGACUGGAUGUCGGCUCAUUAUGCCAAGAUCGAUUGUGCCACUAGAACCGUUCAACUUAUUCAUCCCUCAGGCAAGACAGUUAAUGUCUUAACUCGAGUGGCCAAGCGCCAACUUUACUCUCUCAAUGCCAACCCUCUUCCAGACCUUGAGGACGUUCCGGUAGUCCGAGACUUCCCGGAUGUGUUUCCGGAAGAACUGCCAGGUGUUCCACCUGACCGGGAUGUCGAGUUUGUGAUAGACCUUGUUCCAGGAACCGUUCCAAUUGCUAGAAGACCCUACAAGAUGGCACCCUUAGAACUAGCCGAGCUUAAGAACCAACUCGAUGAGUCCUUGAACAAAGGGUUCAUCCGUCCUAGCUCCUCUCCUUGGGCUUGCCCCGUCCUCUUCGUCAAGAAGAAGGAUGGAACGGAUCGAAUGGUUGUGGAUUACCGACCUGUCAAUCUGGUCACCAUCAAGAACAAAUACCCGCUUCCCAGGAUCAACGACCUGUAUGAUCAGCUCACUGGAUCCUCAGUCUUCUCCAAGAUGGAUUUGAGGCUGGGCUACCAUCAAAUCAAAAUCAGAAACGGGGACAUUCCCAAAACGGCCUUUGUUACUCGUUAUGGCCAAUACGGGUACACCGUCAUGUCCUUCGGUUUAACCAAUGCCCCGGCCACUUUCUCCUGGUUAAUGAACUCGGUUUUCAUGGAGUACUUGGACAAAUUCGUUGUAGUAUACCUCGAUGACAUACUCAUCUACUCCAAGAAUGAAGAGGAACAUGCCGAACAUCUAAGGCUGGUAUUGAUGAAACUUCGAGAGCAUCGCCUUUAUGCCAAAUUCUCCAAGUGUGAAUUUUGGUUGUCAGAAGUGACCUAUCUAGGCCAUGUAAUCUCUGGUAAGGGUAUUGCUGUCAAUCCCGAGCGAGUUCAAGCCGUCCUUGAUUGGACUCCACCUGAAACGGUCAAGCAAGUUCGGAGUUUCCUUGGCCUAGCGAGCUAUUGCCGCCGCUUCGUCGAGAAUUUCUCCAAGGUUGCUAAACCUCUAACUGAACUCCUCAAGAAAGAUAAAAAGUUCGAGUGGACUCCGCAGUGCGAGUUCAGUUUUCAGGAAUUGAAAAGACGCCUGACAUCUGCUCCCGUACUGGUACCACCAGAUUUCUCCAAGGACUUUAUUAUCUAUUGCGACGCCUCGCGACAAGGACUAGGUUGCAUACUCAUGCAAGAUCGUCAGGUAAUUGCCUAUGCUUCAUGGCAAUUACACCCACAUGAGGAAAAUUAUCCCACACAUGAUCUAGAGCUUGCAGCUGUAGUCCAUGCACUCAAAACCUCGCGACAUUACCUCCUCGGUAAUCGUUGCGAGAUCUUCACCGAUCACCAAAGCUUGAAAUAUAUCUUCACCCAACCAGAUUUGAAUCUCAGGCAAAGACGUUGGGUCGAGUUGAUCUCGGAUUACGACUUAGGAAUAACUUACACCCCUGGCAAAGCCAAUGUCAUGGCCGAUCCGCUAAGUCGUAAGUCCUACUGUAACAACCUGCUGUUACAACAAAGUCAACCACUUCUCCAUGAGGAAUUUCGCAAGCUUAAUCUUCACAUUGUUCCUCAAGGAUUCUUGUCUACUCUGGUGGCGAAACCUACCCUUAUGGAUCAAAUCAUAGCUGCCCAAAAGCGUGAUAAGGGCAUAUCCCGGAUUAAGGAAAACAUUGCUAGCGGAGUAGCUAAAUGUUUUUCCAUGGAUGAGCAAGGUGCUGUCUUCUUUGAGAACCGCCUGGUGGUUCCCAAGAACCAACAUCUACGCCAGAUGAUCCUUAAGGAAGCUCAUGAAUCCCCUCUCACCAUUCAUCCCAGUAGUACUAAAAUGUAUCAAGACUUACGCCAGAGGUUUUGGUGGACUAGGAUGAAGAGAGAAAUCGCUCAAUACAUUGCUAAUUGCGACGUUUGUCGUCGUGUUAAAGCAGAGCAUCAACGGCCUGCUGGCACCCUUCAACCUUUGGCUAUUCCUGAAUGGAAAUGGGACAAAAUCAGUAUGGAUUUCAUCACUGGGUUUCCCAGGACCAAGAGGGGAAAUAAUGCCAUCUUCGUCGUGAUCGACCGUCUUUCCAAAGUAGCCCAUUUUCUACCUGUUCGUGAGAGUAUCACCGCUAGCCAGCUAGCUGACCUAUACAUCUCCCGAAUAGUGUCUCUUCAUGGUGUCCCAUUGGAAAUUAACUCAGACCGUGGAAGUCUCUUCACCUCUCGAUUUUGGGAAAGUUUCCAAAAUGCUAUGGGAACUCAUCUCUCCUUUAGCACCGCCUUCCAUCCUCAAUCAAGUGGUCAAGUAGAGCGAGUAAAUCAAAUUCUGGAAGAUAUGCUCCGAGCUUCUGUUAUCUCGUUCGGAAUGAGUUGGGAAAAAUGCCUUCCAUUCGCGGAGUUUGCUUAUAACAAUAGCUAUCAAGCUAGUUUGGGCAAGGCUCCCUUCGAAGUUCUCUAUGGACGAAAAUGUCGAACGCCUCUUAACUGGUCAGAAACCGGGGAAAGGCAACUCUUUGGCCCGGAUAUGAUUCAGGAAGCAGAAGAGCAGGUUCGCGUUAUUCGUGAGAAAUUGAAAACGGCCCAAUCUCGCCAAAAGAGUCAAUAUGAUCGUAAGCAUAAGCCAAUGACAUUUGAAAUUGACGAGAAAGCUUAUCUUCGGGUUACCCCGUUAAAGGGAACCCAUCGCUUCGGUAUCAAAGGCAAAUUGGCUCCUCGUUACAUUGGACCCUUUCGCAUUCUUGCCAAACGAGGAGAAGCUGCCUACCAAUUGGAACUACCUCCGCAUCUUUCCAGAGUUCACGACGUCUUCCACGUUUCGCAACUCAGGCGUUGCUUCGCGGAUCCUAUCCGUGGAGUGGACCACGAAACGCUUGAUUUACAAGAUAACCUCUCUUAUCGGGAAUACCCCGUUCGUAUCCUUGAUCAAGCCGAGCGUACCACUCGACGUCAUAAUAUCAAGUUUCUCAAGGUUCAAUGGUCACACCAUUCCGAGGAAGAAGCCACUUGGGAAAGGGAGGAUCGUCUUCGACUCGAGUACCCCGCCUUCUUCCCAGAUGAUCCUAAAUCUCGGGACGAGAUUCUAUUGAGUGGGGGUGAGUUGUCACACCCUAGCUAGUUUAUGCAUUAGAGUGUGCAUCAUGUUUACCUUCAUCAGAAAUUGAAAUGGGGAAAGCAGAACCCCCAGCACCCCCCCUGAAAUCAACUAGGGUUUACUAAAAAUAAAUUCAAUGAACCUGAAAUGCCCUUCAAAUAUGUUCACCCUCUUUGCCUUGGGUUAGAACCCUUGGGAAAAAUGGUGCAUAUAAUUUUAGGUCAACAAAAGGGGCAUUGACUUAAUUCAUAAAUAUUUGAAUUUGGGCAUUUAAAAUACUAUUAUAUAAUUCAAAUGCUCAAAUAAUGUUGGAACUAUUUUUGGGCCACUGAAAUAUUUCAGAAAGUGUCCAUAAAUAUUUUCAGGAUUUUAUAAAAUGAUUUAGUAUUUGAACUAAAUCAAAACAGAAUAACAGAAAUAGAAAAACACAAAAAAAAAUAAAGAGGGAAAGACCAUGGGCCACUUACCUGGCCCAGCGCCAGGCCACCAGCGGCCCAGCCCACCAGGCCGAUGCCAGUCGUCCCCUAGCUCCUGCCAGGAGGACGAAGGGCGUGUGCCCGCGGUGCGCCAGCACGCGCACGGCCACCGACGGCCACCUCCUGCUUCGGCCGCCUCCCCGACGUCGCUUUGGACGCCACGCAUCCCCCCCUGACCCCUCGCUCACUCUCUUCCAUCCUCAUCCCCUCCUCUGCUCUCUCUCCCGCGCAACCGCCAUGAGCCCGAGAGCGCCGACGAGGACCACCACGGCCACCGCCUCCCCCUCGCUUCCCUGACCAGCUUGGAGGCUCCGCCUCGACCCCGUCUUCCUUCUCACCGAACCACGCCCCGCCGGAAGCCCUGCAUCGUCGAAUUCAAGCUCUUCUUCAAGCUUUGGCACCGACGAUCGCCGUCGUCGAUUCGCUUGCUCCAGUGCCUCCCCGAGCUUGCCGAGGCCACCGCUGCAACUGCUGUGAGCUCCUGUGUCAUUUCCCCCUCUCCCCUGGCUCGAUUUCUUCUUCUAACACCGAUGCCCGUCGGAACCGAGAGCUCUUCGCCGCCGGCCAUGCCGCCACCGUGACCACAACCGUGCAAGCUCACUCCCGAGCACGGCAACGUGCUCCACACCUCACCAGGAGCACGUGGAACCCAUCAGUUUCCCCUCCCGUGCACCACAACGCCGAUCCGCUCAACUCCCGAACUCCGGCUGCCGCGCAAGUUGCCGCCGCCGUCGUUUUAGGCCACUAGGGCUGCUGCCGUGUGCACAGAUAGAUGCGAGCGAGUCCCAGCUCCGCGUAGAUGCCCUCCACUGGCCAUUUGGUCGCCGGAGGAGGAUUUCCGAGCCCCUCCGCCGUCUCUGGCCUUGCCGGCGACGAGCCGGGGUCAACUCCGGCGUGUUUUGACCCCGGGUCGGCUGGGUUGACUCCCCCCGGACUCACUGACGUGUGGGCCCAGGCGCCUGCCUAAUUACCGUUAGUUAAUUAGAGUUAAUAAAAAUUAGCUAAUUAGUGAGCCACUGACAUGCGGGCCCCGCCCGGCUAACCAAGUUAGUUAGGGUUAACUAACUUAGUUAGUUGAUUGUGUCACUGACCAGUGGACCCCACUGGUCAGGUUUGACAUGGAGGCGCCAGUUGACCUGCUGACAUCAGGGUGAUGUCAUGCUGACGCAAUAACUCUUUUUCUGGAUUUAAUUUUAUAUAGAAAAUUCCAGAAAAUUGCCUAAACUUCAAAAAUUCAUAGAAAUUCAACCAUAACUCCAAAUGAGACAAAUUAUAUAUGAAAAAUUAUCAGAAAAAUUCAAGGAAUCCAUCUGUACCAUUUUCAUGCAUGUUUGAACAAUGCUUGUCCUCUGUUUUGGACAAAACAAAUAAAGGGCAUUUAAAUAAUCAUAUAUGGGGUUGGAAUUUGAAUCUUGUACUCAAACCAACUCCAUUUAAAUCAUAGCUAGUUGUAUAAGCUCAAGACACAUCCAUAUUGCCAUGUCAUAGCAUGCAUCAUAUUGUUGCAUAUCGUCAUGUGUUGAUUGUGCUCGGUUGUGUUCUUCGUGGUAGGUUCUGCCUCCGAGGAUAUUCACGAGUAUCCAACUGAAGGGCAGUAUCCCGUUACCACUCCAUCAGGCAAGCAAGCAUUGAUCAUUCCGAUACAACCCAUGUUCUCGCUCCUGCUCUUGUUUACUGCAUUAAGACAACACGAUUCAAACUGCCGUGUGCUACGGUAGUUGAACCCUUAUCCUCUGCAUGACCUGUCAUUGCCACAGUAACUAGAUGAAACCCACUAGCAUGUGUAGGAGUUGAUUGAGCCAUGUUUUGUGAUUCCUACCUUGCUAUGCCUGCUAUGCUUAGAGUUGUGUCAGGUCUGGUUCAUCUGGGGAAUGGGCUAGAGUGAAAUGCUUGUGCCAGUAAAUUGUGGGAUGUGUUGAACAUGUUUUGGUAAAGGUAUCGAUGAGAGGCCAUGUAGGAGUACAUGGUGGGUUGUUUCAUUGAAGCCGUCCCUAAGAACUGAGUUCUGUAUGCGUGAAUUAAGAUUCAGCUACUACCACACAUUGGGCCCUGAAAUAUGACCCCGCUCGACUUACCGACCCCUCUCGCCUCAGUCCAGGAGUUGCAACUAGUUUCUGGUGUUUGUAGGAUAUGUGUUGGCGGCCGUGCGUAGCGCUGACCCUAGGGGUGGGCUAUGUUGCGGUAGAUACACUGUGGCACGGUGUACCGAGUCACCCGUUUGGUGUCUCGGGAACCCUGUUCACAUCGUUCGGGGCCGUUGAGGACACCCCGGCCGGAUUUCCUUGCGGAUGGAACCUGAAUAGGCGAUGACCCUGGACUAGAGACUUGUGAGGUUAGUCAGGUCGUGGUCUACACCCACGUCGGUUUUCGCUUGAAGUCUGCCGAGCACAUUUCGUGUGCAGACGCUAAGAGGUGGAAACAUGUGUGACGAAGUACACCCGUGCAGGGUAUAAAACUAUUCGAAUAGCCGUGUCCGCAGUAAAGGACUACUUGGUUGCAUAUACAGUUCAUAGACAAGUUAAUGGAUACUACUAAAAGACUCAAGAUAAGUGUGAGUACCGAGGAUGGCUCCCUCAUGUGACCCCUACCUGUAUGGAUAUGUUAUGUAUGGCUCCCUGGAGCCUUUAAAUAAAGUACCUGAGUUGUAGAGUUUUGUUGUGAUGCCAUGUUGUAUGUACUCAUAUCGAGCAUAUUGUAUGUAUGAUUGAAAUGCUUGGUAUGAGUGGGAUCCGACAAUCUAGUUGUUUGUCCUUCGCAGCCUUUCUUAUGGGGAAAUGUAGUCUAGUGCUCCUCGAGCCAGAGUAGUCCGCUACAGCCCGGUUCACCGGAGUCCUGCUAGCCCAGCACUACUGUUCAGGACACUUGACUGGCCGGCAUGUGUUUCACUUCGUCCCUAUGUCUGUCCCUUCGGGGAAAUUUCACGCGGUGAUCUCCGGAGUCCUGUCUAGCCUGCUACAGCCCGGGAUCCCCCGGAGUCCUGUUAGCCCAGUGCUACAGCCUGGAAUCACUCCUUGAUGACCGACAUGUUCGUUGUGAUUCAUGUAUGCCUGUCUCCAUAGGUCUGUGCCGCUUUGGGUUCACGACUAGCCAUGUCGGCCCGGGUUCUCGGUCAUAUGGAUGCUAGCGACAUUGUCAUAUACGCGAGCCAAAAGGCGCAAACGGUCCCGGGCCAUGGUAAGGCGACACCCGUGGGAUACCGUGCGUGAGGCCGCAAAUUGAUAUGAGGUGUUACCGGCUAGAUCGAUGUGGCUUAGAAUCGGGGUCCUGACAGAAAUGGUCGAGACAUAAAGAUUGAUAUAUUGGAAGCCUAUAUUUGGAUAUCGGAAGUGUUCCGGGUAAAAUCGAGAUUUUGCCAGAUUACCGGGAGGUUACCAGAACCCCCCGGGAGCCAUAUGGGCCUUAUUGGGCUUUAGUGGAAAGGUGAAAAGGGCUGCCAUGGUGGGCUGCACGCCUCCCCCCUCCCCUAGUCCUAUUAGGACUAGGAGAGGUGGCCGGCCACCUCUCUCUCUCUUUCCCCCUUGGGAGUCCUAUUUGGAAUAGGAUUGGGGGGGAGUCCUACUCACGGUAGGAGUAGGACUCCUCCUGCACCCUCCUCUUUGCCGGCCAGCCCCUCCCCCUUGGAUCCUUUAUAUACAGGGGCAGGGGGCACCUCUAGACACACAAGUUGAUCAUUGAGAUCGUUCCUUCGCCGUGUGCGGUGCCCCCUGCCACCAUAUUCCACCUCGAUCAUAUCGUUGUAGAGCUUAGGCGAAGCCCUGUGUCGGUAGAACAUCAAGAUCGUCACCAUGCCGUCGUGCUGAUGGAACUCCUCCACGAAGCUUUGCUGGAUCGGAGCCCGGGGAUCGUGAUCGAGCUGUACGUGUGCUAAGAACUCGGAGGUGCCGGAGUAACGGUGCUUGGAUCGGUCGGAUCGGGAAGAAGACGUACGACUACUUCCUCUACGUUGUGUCAACGCUUCCGUUGCGAUCUACAAGGGUACGUAGAUUAGACUCUCCCCCUCGUUGCUAUGCAUCACCAUGAUCUUGCGUGUGCGUAGGAAAAUUUUGAAAUUACUACGUUCCCCAACACUAUGCACCUGCAUCGUCACAUGAGUCGAUGAUAUGCAACAUAUAUAGUUGAGCAUCAGAAAGAGAUAGACUUGGCAAAAAUAGAAGCAACAUAUCAUAAGCAUAAAUAACAAAGUUCAUCGUACCCAAAAUGCCCUAACUAGAGUGAUCUUCGGUAGUCAAGGAGGAAGGUUUAAUUACAUCACAAAUAAUGUUUCGUCGUGCAUAACUCAAAGUUCCGUCAUACAGAAGGUAUGAACUAAACGGACACAUUGUCAUAUUUCGAAAAUCACUCCAACAUGGCGUGCCAUCCAUCCAAGUCAAGGAGAUAGUGCCCGAGCUUAGUGAAAGGCUUCAGGUCGAGACGCUGAGCGGCUACGCGUGUUCGGACUCUUCCCAUGACAUUUGUCCUUCUUCAUAGAACAUCCCUGUUUUUUCGACGACCUCCAUCAUGAUGAUUUGGGCAAGUUCGCACUGGAAGUGAUAUAACUCAUCUUGAAGUCGAUGAUCCUCGAUAUCUUCUAAGUUCUUUGCCCAUUGCAGAAUAUGGGCAUGGCUGAAUUUAGGUGACAUGCAAAGGUUCUGGUGAUCCUGUCUGUACUCCAUCAUGUGGUGUAGGACAUAGAACCCAUCAUCAAGAGAAUCACUCGGUUGCUGGAUGCAGCUGAAGUCGGUCUUAUGGGCCUGCCGUCCCUUUUCUUCUUGUCCUUGACCUCUCCACCCCGUGCAUCGUAGUAAAACAUAGCACUAUCGAGAACAAACUUGAUGUGGGUGUAAUCCUUUUUGUUAAUGUUCUUCGACGAGUCCACAAUAUCGGGGGUAGAGGAUGAUGAGGACGGCGCGCCUGCCGUUGCGCAAAAUAAGUACACCUCAAAUGAAUUAAACUCCAUCGUUCAAAUGAAUGAUUGAAAUCGAAGGAAGGAUAUCUGCGCGGAUGACUUACACGGGAUGAUAAGGCACGAGAAUCGCCUCCUUGUCCUUAUUGGCAAGCAUGAAAUUGACGAUGUAUUCCUCGUGUAUUCAUGGUGCUUUGCGCGGACUCCCAAGACGCCCUCGUGCAUGAAGUACGGGUCAGCGACAUAGAUAUGAGGUAUCUGCUCAACCCCGAUGAGGUAGUUCAUGUGCAAGGCAUAAAGGCGGACAAACAUAAAAUCCAGCUUCUUUAAGUGAAACAUGUUGAAGAUGUAAUCAGAUCGAAGGAAAAACUUCUUCGAGGGGAAUGUGUCGACGUACGACAAUUGCCCGGCACGUUAACCACGUAGAGAGGGUAUCCUGGAUUUUUCGAGGCGAUGAGGCCUUUCUCUAUCCGCAACACGUCGUCAUGAAGUCUCCUUAGAUCGCCGGAUCUGGCCCCUAGCGCUGCUUUCGGUAGGAUUGGUUCACCAGGAUACGCCAUUUUGCCGCUCCGGGGACAUCUAUACGGUCUUGAACCCGAGGCUGCUGAGGCGGCUGGAUCAUAGAAGCAGCUUUGUUGGCUUUCCUCAGUGUAUUCCUAGGCUUCUUUGCUACAGGAAGGUCAUCUAUGAUAUGUUCAGCCUCCAGAGGCGGCAAUUCAGGCACCGACUCAUGACGCUCAAACCCUGAGUAGGCGCCAGUAUUGAGAUACUGUUGAGUGCCAUUGUUGUCCUCAUCUAUGGCGGUGUCACCAGCGACAAAUGGAGCCUCUUCCUCACCCCGUUCGCUAUCACCCAGCACGACAGCCGGCGCUAAUUGGGUAGGUGGGGUGUUGAUGUUCAUACCUAACUGCGUGCUCGUGUGUGUGCUCCCGGCCGUCUCCAAACAAAGUAGACUCUUUGGCCACAACAGGACCCACCCAUUGCAAUCACCAAUCCCCUGCGGGAUCUCGUCGUCAUUCCCCCUAGUACCGGAGGAGCCAAAUUCUCCUGGCCUGGUUUGACACUGGCCACGGAAACUUUGUAGACGUCCGAGGGGAUCGGUCGGCCGUGGAACAAUGGUUCCUUAGGCUUCAUUAUCGUCACCUUCCCCACGUCCACCUCCUGGUAGCGGAUGUUGUACAAUAUGGUGCACGGGGUUACAUUGGCCUGCAAAGACAUUUCUGCGAUGUGAGAUAUCCGACAGGCAACAAAAAAUGGGAGAUUAUACAUUUAUUGAAGAGGGCUGGUGUGACAGAUAUAGUGAGGGCGUCGAGCUCAUCCAAAGAUGAAGCACCGCUGAGCACGUCCGGUGUCGGAGCCGGUGCGGGAGCAGGUGCAGGUGCUGGUGCAACGCUAGUCGAGCUGCUCCCGAAGAAGUCAGCAAGGGGAAAGUCCGCUGCAUUUUUUUUCUGGAUUUUGCGUGCUCGAAUUGAAAACGGCCGAAACCAAGACAGUAGACAUAUCUGCAACCACCUGUUUUGCGGCAGCUAUCGCUGUUGCGACUGUCUCAGAUGAUUUCUUCUCAAUCGGAAUCUAAACCUUCUGGCUGAUGUUUUCUUCAGUUAACCUCCGUCUUUCCUUUCGCUCCUCCGUGGUCUCACGGUAGUACUUCUUCCACGUGGCGCCGUCUACGACACCGUCCACGCGUCCAUACGACGGCCGAUUCUCCACCAGGAGUCCUUUCAAUAUGUUCAAUACCCGGUUGAAUGGAGUCUACCACUUGGGCCUCGCCAACGCCUCAGACGGCGAGUCACUUUCGGCUGCAAUCUUGUGCUGCUCUCUCUUCAAAAGGAACAAGGAUCGUUUACAAAUAUGACUAAACGUGCAGUCGAAUUGAUCAGAAACUAAAAUUACCAGCAGUCUCGUGAACUCCGUCGUGAUCGGGUCCGUCUUAAAAACCUUCUUGACUGAGUCCCAAUGGUGCCGUGCCCCGAGGACGUCACGCUCCUGCGGGACGGUGAAGUCCGCCAAGGGGUCUGGGAUGCCCAGACGUUCGCGUUCCGCGUCCUCCUUGGCCCAUAUGGACCUCUUCCCGCCGUAACCACGGCUUCCGAGGUGGUGGCGCCCCAUGUUCCUUUGUUGAAGCCCUUUCAUGUACUUCGACUUUUUUUUGGCAGCUUCGGCCUCGCAAGCCGCCUUGAAUUUUUCAAAGUGCUCUCCCGUGAUUGUCGGAUUAUCCUUUACAAUCUCGGAGUAUGGUUCCUUUUUGUCGACAAUCCGAUGUUUCAACCUUGUUUUCCAGGUGGCCAACGUGUCGCUAAACUUGGUCAUGGCGUGUUUGUUUAUCUUCUUCAUUGCCGGGUCCUUAUUUGGAUAUUUAUAAUCCUUUUCAUUCCGGCCCGGGAACAACAAUAUCUGGUGCAGCUUCUUUAGGAGGGAGGACCUCAUAUUAUCUAUCUUCUGUAGUUUCCCAUGGUUGAUCGUGGCAGUUAUCCGUACGAUGCAGCCUAUUUGAUUGCCGUAGCACGAUCGCGCUUCCUUGGGCGCUAUUGUCUGAAAAAUACGGUCGUCCAUCUCCGUGACCACCAGUCUAGUUGUCAUGAGCUGGUUUGGGCGCCGUGGCUUCUUAGCUUUCGGUUCUAGAUCAGCUCCGCUAGUCUCGGCGCCGGUCUCAGUCUCAUCGCCGGUCUGCAUGUCGGUAUCAGUCCCCGAUGCGACAGGUCGGCCCAGCAACAACAUUCGUUGAUCGUCGGCAAGGCUCAAAAAUUCAUCUGCCGCCAGGUAGACGUGUCGCAAUCACCAGAACCCUAUCCUUCAUCAUUGCUAGCCAUGUUUCCUACGAUUAUAUCUAGUCAAUUAAUUCUAGACCUAAUAAAAUGAAUAAUGACAUAAAACAGGCCAAUGUUUUGCAGGAUUACAACUCAACCCAUUGCAGAUUAGAAAACAAUCCCGUGUGAAUGCACAGGCUGACGACUAGUAUAUAUAAAGCUUAAUGGUGCCUAAGAAAGCUCGCACAAUUUUACAGUGGCUAUGGAAAUGUGUUGCCAAACUUUGACAUAAGAUUUUCGUUUGGCAUCCAGAGUUGCAAAACGCUUGUGUUGUCCUUAAUCCAUGGCCACUCUAAUUUUUCCGGCUGGGCCUUCCCUGUGGUAUCGCGGCAAGGCUUGCGUGUGUAUAUGUUUCCUUUAACUACCACUAGCACAUAUGCCCGUGCGUGCGUUGCAACGGGAGAGAUAAUGGCGUAUCCACCAAUAUAUCUAACAGCAUGACCCAACAAUAUCCGAAUGAUGUCACCCGAUGACGGCAGGAAGGCACGCACAGAGGUCUAGUAAAAACUCAUAUCAAUUGUAAGGGCAUGGUUAAUUCGCGUGAAUUCAGGGGUGUGAGAUUAGUUAGUGUUGGUCCCACAAUUGAAUUCGGGGGGUGAUUAGUUAGUGUGGGCCCACCCUCGAAUUCACGGGGGGAGACAAAAUAAUUAGGGUGAGGAGAGAUUUACGGGGCUUGGUCCCCAGAUGCGUUGUGGCAGUCAUUAUUCGAGCAUUGCAAUGCUCGCACGUGACGAGCUCUUUUUCCAAUUGUAUAUUAAGAAGCAUGCUACAGAUACAAUGUUUUUGAUACGUUUUUUGUACAAUGAUCCUGAUCUUAAAGGGCCACCUAAUUUUUAUAUCUUAAAGGCAUUAUUUGUAAGUUGUCGUGAAAAAAAUCUCGCUAAAAGGGUUGUGUUAGACCAUCUUCAGUACAUUAGAAAUAACGAAUUAUAAUUCCUUGGCAUUUGAAGAAACAAUCGCUACUUAUUUACACAUACAAUUCUUUUGGUACGAUUUUGAAAUCUUGAAGGCAUUAUUUGUAAGUUGAAGCAAUUUUGAAAUCUCACUAAAAGGUCUGUUAGACCCUCUAGAGCUUUAGAAAUAACUAAUUAUAAUUUUGCAAAAAAAAGAAAUAACUAAUUAUAAUUCCUUAAGCAUCUGACCGAAACGACCCCGAAUUAUUGUCUGGGUAGUAAUUCCUUUGCAACAUUAUUCUCUCCUUUUUUGAAGGAGCUCUUGCCUGGGUAGUAAUUCCUAUUUGCAAGGUUAUUCUCUCCUUCAUUUUUACAGGAGCUCUCCUUCCUUAUACUAAUUGGUCAUUAUCCUCUCCUUCCUUUUUCUUUUUGCCAAACUCUCUUUCCAUACUUAUGCCGCUAACCACGCCACUCUUUUUCCUUAUUUAUGCCCUUUGAUCACGCCACACAUCUCAUGAAAUCUAAGCCAUAUCACCCAUCUUUUUUCCUUAUUCUCAAAGGCGCUUUCCUCACAAACAGUAGUUCUCUAGGAUGCUUAACGAUUUUGAAACAGAAACAUAUAUAAAUCGGUAGAACGGGUUGUCAAGCAGCGAGGUGGUACUAGUUUAUAAAGAAACAAAUUAACCUUUUCUUUUUGUGUAAUGAUGCCUUGGUUCGGCUGGUUGCUGCCUUUGCCCUUGAUGUGCAGCGUUGGGAAAAGGAUGGGCGAAGUGGACGAACCAAAAACGGACAAAAUUACGGUAGUAAGAAGCGAUAGCCCAUUUAUUAGUAGGUAUAGAUAUAGAUGUCGAGGAUGAGGAUUUACUGCACACAAGUGCGGGGGCACUCAGGUCCUGGUGCCGGCCUUUUAUUUUGGCUUCCGAUUUUCAAACUUCUAUAUCUUUUAAACGAAAAGUUCAAUUUAAGUUACGUUUUCAUAUUCGUGCUUCUCGCGGCCAGCGCUUUCAAAUAAGAUCCAUUUUGCAUACAUUUUGGCUGCUUUUGGAAACAUUGCUAAGUUUCAUUGUUUGAAACUUAGUACGAGCGACCGAUAAAAUUUAAUUAUUUUGUGUCUACGACCAACAGGAGAAAUUGCUUAAAAUUACAUCUUUGAAACUGGUCAUUUUUUUACUGUGUCCUACUUCACGAAUCACGAGGCAAAUCAAGUAGGCGGCAUGCCCUGGCCGGUGAGUGCCAUUGCACUUACUUGCCCCAGCGAUUUUCCGCGUGCAUUGUAGAAUUCUUUCUCCGAGUCCUGUGAAUUAAAGAUGGUGCAGACAAAAGUAUAUCCUAUAUGCGUACAUGUGCAUGAUCAGAACAUGUUUUUACGUGCGUCUACUAUAAAUCAUGACCAUUUUUAACACAAAUCAUGACCAUUCAUGAUUAGUGAAUCAUACUGUCUUAACUUAUGUGAAAUCAUGUGGAGUAAUAUAAUAUAAUACAAUAGAUAGACAGAUCCAUGUUGUAUUAUUUUUUGUUUACAAAAAAAUCUGUAAUUACACAUUUUGAUUUAUGCAUUUGUUUACAAAAAAACAGUAACAUUUCAUGGUGGAAAGUUUGUAUUGUUUCAUACUGAACACCAAUGUUUUCCUGUAAAAGAAAAUAAUGCCUACGCAUAUGCUUUUAUAUUAUUAUUAUUCUUUCAAACUUAUUCAUAUAGUAUUUUUGAUUGUGCAACCAUAAUUUUUAUUAUCUCUCUCGUUCCACUACAUGCUCUUACUCAAUGAUUUUCUUUAUAAUGGGUGUUUUUAUUAACUCAAAAUAUAGCAUCAAGCGGAUACAGAACAUACUGAGCCACACCCGGUCUCUGCAUAACUAAGAUGCACACAGCCAAAAGCGGAAGUCUGACAAAAAUAAGAUAAGAAAAUCGACAUAUCGACAACAGUGAGUCAUAUAGUUCCGACACUAUGCCUCUGUCGAAGGAGGGGGUGGAGCGAUCUAGAGAUUAUGCUGCCUUCCAUGUUGAGUAAACACCUCCCUGGCCACUUGUUCCAACUGCAUAGACGCCGCCACGAAUAACGGUUGGUACUCUGUUCGGUGUAGCAUACACCAUGUAGGAAGUGAGUGCUCACUCCUAGUUACUGAAUUAUGUACACACUAGUAGAAAAAGGCCCAUUUGUCCCGGUUCGUAAGGCCCAUUUGUCCCAGUUGGGGAACCGGGACUAAAGGGUCGGUACUAAAGCCCUACACCUUUAGUCCCGGUUCUUACACCAACCGAGACAGAUGGGGCUCCACGUGGCCGUUGCGGCUUACCGUGGCAGGUGGGCCUUUUGUCCCGGUUGGUAGCACCAACCGGGACCAAUAAGCUACCACGCGUCAGCAUUUGAGGGGCUANNNNNNNNNNNNNNNNNNNNNNNNNNNNNNNNNNNNNNNNNNNNNNNNNNNNNNNNNNNNNNNNNNNNNNNNNNNNNNNNNNNNNNNNNNNNNNNNNNNNNNNNNNNNNNNNNNNNNNNNNNNNNNNNNNNNNNNNNNNNNNNNNNNNNNNNNNNNNNNNNNNNNNNNNNNNNNNNNNNNNNNNNNNNNNNNNNNNNNNNNNNNNNNNNNNNNNNNNNNNNNNNNNNNNNNNNNNNNNNNNNNNNNNNNNNNNNNNNNNNNNNNNNNNNNNNNNNNNNNNNNNNNNNNNNNNNNNNNNNNNNNNNNNNNNNNNNNNNNNNNNNNNNNNNNNNNNNNNNNNNNNNNNNNNNNNNNNNGGUUAAUUUUGGAGGGUUUCAUAUAUUGUGUUAGGUAGCUAAUUAAUUAAUACAGAGAAGUGUCAUCUCUUAUCUCCGUGCUUGGUCGACGCUACGUACUAUACGUACAGAGAGGCCCUCGACACGCUAGCCAGUAAGCAAAUGAAGGAAACCAUUAAGUACAGAAGUUCGUCAUGAACAUAUGCAUACAAACUAAGUGAUAUCGACCUCUCCUUCUCUGAGAGAUAGGUCGAACAACAAGUUUCCGUAUAUCUAUCCGGCGCUACUAGCUACAUAUAUACAAUAUUAAGAUCUCUUACAAUAUAAUCCCCUAAUUAUAUAUGAACUCAGCUUUCAGAUGGUAUUCUCCGGCUUUAUUGAUGACGUGGUCAAGAAAGAAUCCCUCCAAUUCCUCUUGAAUUGCUUUGAUGCGAUCUUCUGGUAGGAGUUCAUCCCGCAUCUGCCACAUCUAAUUUGAAGAAGGGGGUCAAUCACUAGUAGAAUAACAGCCAUUUGUCCUGGUUCGUAAGGCUCAUUCGUCCUGGUUGGGGAACCGAGACUAAAGGGUCGUUACUAAAGCCCUACACCUUUAGUCCCGGUUCUUACACCAACUGGGACAGAUGGGCCUCCACGUGGCCGCUGCGGCGAGCCCAGGCAGGAGGUCCUUUGGUCCCGGUUAGUGGCACUGAUACUUCUCCAACGUAUCUAUAAUUUUUGAUUGCUCCAUGCUAUUAUGUUAUCUAUUUUGGAUGUUAAUGGGCUUUAUUUUACACCUUUAUAUCAUUUUUGGGACUAACCUACUAAUCGGAGGCCCAGCCCAAAUUGUUGUUUUUUUGCCUAUUUUAGGUUUUCGAAGAAAAGGAAUAUCAAACGAAGUCCAAACGGAAUGAAACCUUCGGGAACGUGAUUUUCUCAACGAACAUGAUCCAGGAGACUUGAAGUGUGCGCCAAGAAAGAAGGGAGGAAGGCAAGAGGCAGGGGGCACGCCUACCCCCCUUGGGCGUGCCCUCCACCCUCGUGGGCCCUCCGCUGCUCCAUCGACGUACUUCUUCCUCCUAUAUAUAUCCACGUACCCCUCGAACAUCCAGGAGCACCACGAAAACCUAAUUCCACCGCCGCAACCUUCUGUACCCGAGAGAUCCCAUCUUGGGGCCUUUUCCGGAGGUCCACCGGAGGGGGCAUCGAUCACGGAGGUCCUCUACAUCAACUCCAUGGCCUAUCCAGUGAUGUGUGAGUAGUUCACUUCAGACCUACGGGUCCAUAGUUAUUAGCUAGAUGGCUUCUUCUCUCUCUUUGGAUCUCGAUACAAAGUUCUUUUCGAUUUUCUUGGAGAUCUAUUUGAUGUAACCUUAUUUUGCGGUGUGUUUGUCGAGAUCCGAUGAAUUAUGGGUUUAUGACCCAGAUUAUCUAUGAACAAUAUUUGAUUCUCCUCUAAAUUCUUUUAUGUAUGAUUGGUUUAUCUUUGCAAGUCUCUUCGAAUUAUCAGUUUGUUUUGGCCUACUAGAUUGAUCUUUCUUGCAAUGGGAGAAGUGCUUAGCUUUGGGUUCAAUCUUGCGGUGUUUGAUCCUAGUGACAGAAAGGGAACCGAUACGUAUUGUAUUGUUGCCAUCGAGGAUAAAAAGAUGGGGUUUAUAUCAUAUCGCAUGAGUUUAUCCCUCUACAUCAUGUCAUCUUCCUUAAAGCAUUACUCUGUUCUCUUGAACUUAAUACUCUAGAUGUGUGCUGGAUUGCGGUCGAUGUGUGGAGUAAUAGUAGUAGAUGCAGAAUCGUUUCGGUCUACUUGUCUCGGACGUGAUGCCUAUAUACAUGAUCAUACCUAGAUAUUCUCAUAACUAUGCUCAAUUCUGUACAAUAUGGUGCACGCGGUUACAUCGGCCUGCAAAGACAUUUCUGCGAUGUGAGACAUCCGAAAAGCAACGAAAACGGGAGAUUAUACAUUUAUUGAAGAGGGCCGGAGUGACAGAUACCGUGAGGGUCUCGAGCUCAGCCAAAGACAAAGGACAGAUGAGCACGGCCUAUGUCGGAGCCAGUGCGGGAGCCGGUGCGGGAGCAGGUGCAGGUGCAGGUGCUGGUGCAAUGCUAGUCGAGCUGCUCCUAAAGAAGUCAACAAUGGGAAAGUCCGCUACAUUUUUUCUGGAUUUUGCGUGCUCCAAUUGAAUACAGCUGGAACCAAGACAGUAGACAUAUCUGUUGGAAAUAUGCCCGAGAGCCAAUAAUAAAUUGGUUAUUAUUAUAUUUCCUUGUUCAUGAUAAUCGUUUAUUAUCCAUGCUAGAAUUGUAUUGAUAGGAAACUCAGAUACAUGUGUGGAUACAUAGACAACACCAUGUCCCUAGUAAGCCUCUAGUUGACUAGCUCGUUGAUCAAUAGAUGCUUACGGUUUCCUGACCAUGGACAUUGGAUGUCGUUGAUAACGGGAUCACAUCAUUAGGAGAAUGAUGUGAUGGACAAGACCCAAUCCAUAUCUAGCACAAGAUCGUGUAGUUCGUAUGCUAAAGCUUUUCUAAUGUCAAGUAUCAUUUCCUUAGACCAUGAGAUUGUGCAACUCCCGGAUACAGUAGGAGUGCUUUGGGUGUGCCAAACAUCACAACGUAACUGGGUGGCUAUAAAGGUGCACUACGGGUAUCUCUAAAAGUGUCUGUUGGGUUGGCACGAAUCGAGACUAGGAUUUGUCACUCCGUGUAAAUGGAGAGGUAUCUCUGGGCCCACUCAGUAGGACAUCAUCAUAAUGAGCACAAUGUGAUCAAGGAGUUGAUCAAGGGAUGAUGUCUUACGGAACGAGUAAAGAGACUUGCCGGUAAUGAGAUUGAACAAGGUAUCGGGAUACCGACGAUCAAAUCUCGGGCAAGUAUCGUACCGAUAGACAAAGAGAAUUGUAUACGGGAUUGAUUGAAUCCUUGACAUCGUGGUUCAUCCGAUGAGAUCAUUGUGGAGCAUGUGGGAGCCAACAUGGGUAUCCAGAUCCCGCUAUUGGUUAUUGACCGGAGAGUUGUCUUGGCCAUGUCUGCAUGACUCCUGAGCUCGUAGGGUCUACACACUUAAGGUUCGAUGACGCUAGGGUUAUAGGGAAAGUAUGUACGCGGUUACCGAAUGUUGUUCGGAGUCCCAGAUGAGAUCCCAGACAUCACGAGGAGUUCUGGAAUGGUCCGGAGGUAAAGAUUUAUAUAUGGGAAGUUCCGUUUUGGUCACCGGAAAUGUUUCGGGUGCUAUCGGUAACGUACCGGGACCACCGGGAGGGUCCCAGGGGUCCAUCAGGUGGGGCCACCAGCCCCGGAGGCCUACAUGGGCCAAUAGUGGGAAGGGACCAGCCCCUAGGUGGGCUGGGGCGCCUCCCGACAAGGCCCAAGUCGCCUCCAAGAGGGGAAGGGGGCAAACCCUAGGGCAGAUGGGCCCCAAGGCCCACCCUAGGUGCGCCUCCCCCUCUCCCCCUUGUAGCCGCCACCCUAGAUGGGAUCUAGGGCUGCCGCACCCCUUGGGGUGGGAACCCUAGAGGGGGCGCAGCCCCCUCCCCUCCCCCUAUAUAUACUUGAGGUAUGGGGGCUGCCCAACAUACGAUUUGAUCUCUCUCUUGGCGCAGCCCUACCCCUCUCCCUCCUCGUCUCUCAUAGUGCUUGGCGAAGCCCUGCUGGAGUUCCGCGCUCCUCCACCACCACUACCACGUCGUCGUGCUGCUGCUGGACGGACUCUUCCCAACCUCUCCUUCUCCCCUUGCUGGAUCAAGGCGUGGGAGACGUCACCGGGCUGCAGAUGUGUUGAACGCGGAGGCGCCGUGGUUCGGCGCUUAGAUCGGAAUCAACCGAGAUCUGAAUCGCUACGAGUACGGCUCCUUCAUCCGCGUUCUUGCAACGCUUCCGCUUAGCGAUCUACAAGGGUAUGUAGGUGCACUACCCUUCCCUUCGUUGCUAGGUUACUCCAUAGAUUGAUCUUGGUGAUGCGUAGAAAAUUUUAAAUUUCUGCUACGAUCCACAACAGUGGCAUCAUGAGCUAGGUCUAUGCGUAGUUUCUAUGCACGAGUAGAACAUAAAACAGUUGUGGGCGUCAAUAUUGUCAAUUACUUGCCGUUAGUAGUCUUAUCUUGAUUCGGCGGCAUCGUGGGAUGAAGCGGCCCGGACUGACCCUACACGUACGCUUACGUGAGACUUGUUCCACUGACUGACAUGCACUAGUUGCAUAAGGUGGCUAGUGGGUGUCUGUCUUUCCCACUUUAGUCAGAUCGGAUUCGAUGAAAAGGGUCCUUAUGAAGGGUAAAUAAAAAUUGGCAUACCACGUUGUCGUUUUGGCGUAGGUAAGAAAUGUUCUUGCUAGAAACCUAUAGGAGCCACGUAAAAACUUGCAACAACAAUUUGAGGACCUCUAACUUGUUUUUGCAGCAUGUGCCGUGUGAUGUGAUAUGGCCAAAAGGAUGUGAUGAAUGAUAUAUGUGAUGUAUGAGAUUGAUCAUGUUCUUGUAAUAGGAAUCACGACUUGCAUGUCGAUGAGUAUGACAACCGGCAGGAGCCAUAGGAGUUGUCUUUAUUUAUUUAUGACCUGCGUGUCAACAUAAACGUCAUGUAAUUACUUUACUUUAUUGCUAAAGCGUUAGCCAUAGUAAUGGAAGUAAUAGAUGACAAGACAACUUCAAGAAGACACGAUGAUGGAGAUCAUGAUGAUGGAGAUCAUGGUGUCAAGCCCGUGACAACGAUGAUCAUGGAGCCCCAAAGAUGGAGAUCAUAAGGAGCAAAAUGAUAUUGGCCAUAUCAUGUCACUAUUUGAUUGCAUGUGAUGUUUAUCAUGUUUUACCUCUUAUUUUCUUAGAACGACGGUAGCUUAAAUAAGAUGAUACCUCGCAAUAAUUUCAAGAAAGUGUUUCCCCUAACUGUGCACCGUUGCGAAGAUUCGUUGUUUUGAAGCACCACGUGAUGAUCGGGUGUGAUAUAUUCUAACGUUCAAAUACAACAGGUGUAAGCCAGAUUUACACACACAAUACACUUAGGUUGACUUGAUGAGCCUAGCAUUUACAGACAUGGCCUCGGAACACGGUAGACCGAAAGGUCGAGCAUGAGUCGUAUAGAAGAUACGAUCAACAUGAAGAUGUUCACCGAUGUUGACUAGUCCGUCUCACGUGAUGAUCGGCCACGGCCUAGUUGACUCGGAUCAUGUUUCACAUAGAUGACUAGAGGGAUGUCUAUCUGAGUGGGAGUUCAUUAAAUAAUUUGAUUAGAUGAACUUAAUUAUCAUGAACAUAGUCCAAAUUGUCUUUGCAAAUAUGUUGUGGAUAAAUAGCUCACGCUUUAGCUCCCUGUUUUAAUAUGUUCCUAGAGAAAAGACUAACUGGAAAGAUAUUGUAAGCAUUAACGCUGACUAGGUCUGUUGCCUGAGGAGUGUCCUCACUGCUACACAGAAGGCUUAUGUCUUUGAUGCACCGCUCGGUGUGCCAACCCCUCCGGCGUCGUCUGUGGAUGUUGUGAACACCCGACAGACACAUCCUGAUGACUACUUGAAAGUUUAGUGCACCAUACUUUACGGCUUAGAAUCGGGAUUCCAAUGACGUUUUGAACGCCAUAAGACAUAUGAGAUGUUCCAAGAGCUGAAAUUGGGAUUUCAGGCUCAUGCCCGUGUUGAGAGGUAUGGACCUCUGACAAGUGCUUUUGCCAACAAGAUGGAGUAGAAUAGCUCAGCUAGAGAGCAUGUGCUCGGAAUGUCUGGGUGCUACAAUCACUUAAAUCAAGUGGGAGUUAAGCUUCCAGAUAAGAUAGUGAUUGAUAGAGUUCUCUAGCCACUAUCACUAAGAUACUAGAUCUUCGUGAUGAACUAUGACAUGCAAGGGAUGGAGUUGAUCCCGGAGCUGUUCACGGUGCUUAAGAUCGCAAAAGGUAGAAAUCAAGAAGGAGCAUCAAGUGUUGAUGGUUUAACAAGACCACUAGUUUCAAGAAGGGCAAGGGCUAGAAGGGAAACUUCAUGAAUGGCAAACCAGUUACCAAUCAAGUGAAGGAACCCAAGGUUGAACCCAAACCCGAGACAAAGUGCUUCUAUUGUAAGGGGAACAGUCACUGGUAGCGGAACUACCCCAAAUACAUGGUAGAUAAGAAGGAUGGCAACUUCAACAAAGUAUAUACAUGUUAUUAAUGUGUACCUCACCAGUACUCUUGGUAGCACCUGGGUAUUGGAUACCGGUUCAGUUGCUAUUAUUGGUGACUUGAAGCAAAAGCUACGGACUAAACGGAGACUGGCUAAGGGCGAGGUGACGUUGUGUGGUGGAAGUGUUUCCAAAGUUGAUAAGAUCACCAUCGCAUGCUCCAUCUGCCUUUGGGAUUAGUAUUGAACCUAGAUAAAUGUUAUCAGGUGUCUACGUUGAGGAUGAAUAUGAUUAGAUCAUGUUCAUUGCAAUACGGUUAUUCAUUUAAGAUAGAGAAUAAUGGUUAUUCUGUUUACAUGAAUAAUACCUUUCAUGGUCAUGCACCCUAUGUGAAUGGUUCAUUGAAUCUCGGUCGUGGUAAUACAGAUGUUCACGCCAAAAGAUGUAGAGUUAACAAUGAUAGUACCACUUUCUUGUGGAACUGCCGCUUAGGUCAUAUUGGCAUAAGAUGCAUGAAGAAACUCCAUGUCGAUGGAUGUUUGGAGUCAAUUGAUUUUGAAUCGCUUGACACAUGCGAGCCAUGAUUCAUGGGCAGGAUGACUAAGACCCCGUUUUCAGGUAAAAUAAAACGGGCAAGUGACUUCUUGGAAAUCAUACAUGCUGAUGCAUGUGUUCCAAUCAGAAUUGAAGCGUGCGGUGGAUAUCGCUAUUUUCUCAUCUUCACUGACGAUUUGAGUAGAUAUAGGUAUAUUUACUUAAUGAAGCACAAGUCUGAAACAUUUGAAAAGUUCAAGCGAUUUUAGAGUGAAGUUAAGAACCAUCAUAUAUAAUAAGAAGAUCAAAUUCCUACGAUCUGAUCGAUGAGAAUUUCUGAGUUAUGAGUUGGGCAAUCACUUAAGACAUUGUGGAAUUGUUUCAUAGUUGAAGCCACCUGGAACAACACAGGGUAAUGGUGUGUCCGGACGUCGUAAUCGAACCUUAUGAGAUAUGGUGCGAUCUAUGAUGUCCCUUACCGAUCUACCAUUUUCAUUUUGAGGAUAUGCGUUAGAGAAAGCUGCAUUCACUUUUGAUAGGACACCAUCUAAGUCCGUUGAGAUGACGUCGUAUGAAUAUGGUUUGGCAAGAAACCAAAAUUGUCGUUUCUUAAUGUUUGGGGCUGCGAUGCUUAAGGCUUCAGGCGGAGAAGAUCGAACCCAAAAGAGGACAAACACAUCUUCAUAGGAUACCCAAAGGUGACAGUUUGGUAUACCUUCUAUCUCCAAUCUGAGGGCAAGUUGUUUGUCGCUAAGAAUGGUUCCUUUCUCGAGAAGGAGUUUCUCUCGAAAGAAUUGAGUGGGAAGAAGAUAGAACUUGAUGAGGUUGUCGAACCUUUGUUUCAACCAGAGAGUGAUGCAACACAGAAAGAUGUUUUCUGUGGCACCUACGUCUGUUGAAGAGGAAGUUAAUGAUAGUGAUCAUGAAGCUUCGGAUCAAGUUGCUAUCGAACCUCAUAGGUCGACCAGGAUAUGUACUACUCCUGAGUGGUACGGUAAUCCUGUCUUAGAUAUCAUGUUGUUAGACAACAAUGAACCCAUGAGCUAUGGAGAAGCGAUGGUGGGCCCGUAUUCCGACAAAUGGUUAGAAGCCAUGAAAUCCGAGAUAGGCUCCAUGUAUCAGAACAAAGUAUGGACUUUGGUGGACUUGCCCGAUGAUCGGCGAGCCAUUGAGAUAAAUGGAUCUUUAAGAAGAAGACGGACGUGGGCGGUAAUGUUACCAUCUAUGAAGCUCGACUUGUGGGAAAGAGUCUUUUCACAAGUUCAAGGAGUUGACUACGAUGAGAAUUUCUCACCCGUAGCGAUGCUUAAGUCCGUCGGAAUCAUGUUAGCAUUAGCUGUAUUUUUCGAUUAUGAAAUCUGACAGAUGGAUCUCAAAACAAGUUUUCUUACCAGUUUUCGUAAGAAAAAGUUGUAUGUGAUACAAUAAAAGGUUUUGUCGAUCCUAAGGAUGCUAAAAGGUAUGCUGGCUCCAGCAAUCCUUCUAUGGACUAGAGCAAGCAUCUCGAAGUUGGAAUAUAUGCUUUGAUGGAGUGAUCAAAGCUUUUAGGUUUAUACAAUGUUUGCUAGAAACUUGUAUUUACAAGAAAGUGAGUGGGAGAACUACAACAUUUCUGAUAAGUAUAUGUGGAUGACAUAUUGCUGAUUCAAAAUAAUGUAGAAUUUCUGGAAAGCAUAAACGGUUGUUUGAAGAGUGAUUUUCAAAGGCAGACCUGGAUAAAGCUGCUUACAAAUUGGGCAUCAAGAUCUGUAGAAAUAGAUCAAGACGCCUGAUGAUACUUUCAAAGAACGCACACCUUGACAUGUUUUUGAAGGAGUUCAAAAUAGAUCAGGCAAAGAAGGGGUUCUUACCUGUGUUGUAAGGUGUGAAGUUGAGUAAGACUUGAAAGCUUGACCACGACAGAAGAAAGAGGAAGGAUGAAGGUCAUCCCCUAUGCUUUUGUCAUAGGCUCUAUACGGUAUGCCAUGCUGAGUACCACACCAGAUGAGUGCCUUGCCACAUGUCUGGCAAGAGGGUACAAAGGUGAUCUAGGAGUGGAUCACCAGAUAGCGGUCAAAAUUGUCCUUAGAGGAAUAAGGAAAUGUUUCUCAGUUACGGAGCUGAUAAAGAGUUCGACAUAAAGAGUUACGUCGAUACAUGCUUAAACACCAAUCCGGAUAGCUCUGAGUAGAGAUACCAGAUACGUAUAAUGGAGCAACAAUUUGGAAUAGCUCCAAGUGGAACGUGGUAGCAGCAUCUACGAUAUGACAUAAAGUUUUGGGAAAUACAUAGGGAUCUGAAUAUUACAGACCCGUUGACUACAACCUCUCUCACAAGCAUAACAUGAUCAAACCCAGAACUCAUUGAGUGUUAAUCGCAUAGUGAUGUGAACUAGAUUAUUGAAUCUAGUAAACUCUUUAGAUGUUGGUCACAUGGCGAUGUGACCAGUGAGUGUUAAUCACAUGGCGAUGUGAACUAGAUUAUUGACUCUAGUGCAAGUGGGAGACUGUUGGAAAUAUGCCCUAGAGCUAAUAAUAAAUUGGUUAUUAUUAUAUUUCCUUGUUCAUGAUAAUCGUUUAUUAUCCAUGCUAGAAUUGUAUUGAUAGGAAACUCAGAUACAUGUGUGGAUACAUAGACAACACCAUGUCCCUAGUAAGCCUCUAGUUGACUAGCUCGUUGAUCAAUAGAUGGUUACGCUUUCCUGACCAUGGACAUUGGAUGUCGUUGAUAACGGGAUCACAUCAUUAGGAGAAUGACGUGAUGGACAAGACCUAAUCCUAAGCCUAGAACAAGAUCAUGUAGUUCGUAUGCUAAAGCUUUUCUAAUGUCAAGUAUCAUUUCCUUAGACCAUGAGAUUGUGCAACUCCCAGAUACAGUAGGAGUGCUUUGGGUGUGCCAAACGUGACAACGUAACGGGGUGGCUAUAAAGGUGCACUACGGGUAUCUCUGAAAGUGUCUGUUGGGUUGGCAUGAACCGAGACUGGGAUUUGUCACUCCGUGUAAACGGAGAGGUAUAUCUGGGCCCACUCGGUAGGACAUCAUCAUAAUGUGCACACUGUGAUCAAGGAGUUGAUCACGGGAUGAUGUAUUACGGAACGAGUAAAGAGACUUGCCGGUAACGAGAUUGAACAAGCUAUCGGGAUACCGACGAUCGAAUCUCGGGCAAGUAUCAUACCGAUAGACAAAGGGAAUUGUAUACGGGAUUGAUUGAAUCCUUGACAUCAUGGUUAAUCUGAUGAGAUCAUCGUGGAGCAUGUGGGAGCCAACAUGGGUAUCCAGAUCCCGCUGUUGGUUAUUGACCGGAGAGUUGUCUCGGCCAUGUCUACAUGACUCCCGAGCCCGUAGGGUCUACACACUUAAGGUUCGAUGACGCUAGGGUUAUAGGGAAAGUAUGUACACGGUUACAGAAUGUUGUUCGGAGUCUUGGAUGAGAUCCCGGACGUCACGAGGAGUUCCAGAAUGGUCCAGUGGUAAAGAUUUAUAUAUGGGAAGUCCCGUUUUGGUCACCGGAAAGGUUUCGGGUGCUAUCGGUAACGUACCGGGACCACCGGGAGGGUCCCAGGGGUCCAUCAGGUGGGGCCACCAGCCCCGGAGGCCUACAUGGGCCAAUAGUGGGAAGGGACCAGCCCCUAGGCGGGCUGGGGCGCCUCCCACCAAGGCCCAAGGCGCCUCCAAGAGGGGAAGGGGGCAAACCCUAGGGCAGAUGGGCCCCAAGGCCCACCCUAGGUGCGCCUCCCCCUCUCCCCCUUGUAGCCGCCACCCUAUAUGGGAUCUAGGGCUGCCGCACCCCUUGGGGUGGGAACCCUAGAGGGGGCGCAGCCCCCUCCCCUCCCCCUAUAUAUACUCGAGGUAUGGGGGCUGCCCAACAUAUGAUUUGAUCUCUCUCUUGGCGCAGCCCUACCUCUCUCCCUCCUCGUCUCUCAUAGUGCAUGGCGAAGCCCUGCUGGAGUUCCGCACUCCUCCACCACCACCACACCGUCGUUCUGCUGCUGGACGGAGUCUUCCCAACCUCUCCUUCUCCCCUUGCUGGAUCAAGGUGUGGGAGACGUCACCGGGCUGCACGUGUGUUGAACGCGGAGGCGUCGUGGUUCGGCGCUUAGAUCGGAAUUAACCGCGAUCUAAAUCGCUACGAGUACGGCUCCUUCAUCCGUGUUCUUGCAACGCUUCCGCUUAGAGAUCUACAAGGGUAUGUAGAUGCACUCCCCUUCCCUUUGUUGCUAGAUUACUACAUAGAUUGAUCUUGGUGAUGCGUAGAAAAUUUUAAAUUUCUGCUACGAUCCCCAACAAUAUCUGCAACCACCUGUUUUGCGGCAGCUACUGCUGUCGCGAAUGUCUUAGAUGAUUUCUUCUCAACCGCAAUCUCAACCUUCUUGUCGAUGUUUUCUUCAGUUAACCUCCAUCUUUCCUUUCUCUCCUCCGUGGUCUCACAGUAGUACUUCUUCCACGUGGCCCCGUCUCCGACACCGUGAACGCGUCCAUACGACGACCUAGUCUCCACCGGCAGUCCUUUCAAUAUGUUCAAUGCCCGGGUGAAUGGAGUGUCCCACUUGGGCCUCGCCAACGCCUCAGACGGUGAGUCGCUUUCAGCCACAAUCAUGUGCUUCUCUCUCUACAAAAGGAACAAGGAUCAUUUACAAAUAUGACUAAACGUGCAGUCGAAUUGAUCAGAAACUAAAAUUACCAGCAGUCUCAUGAACUCCGUCGUGAUCGGGUCCGUCUUGAAAACCUUCUUGACCGAGUUCGAAUGGUGUCGUGCCCUGAGGACGUCAUGCUCCUAUGGGACGGUGAAGUCCGCCAAGGGGUCUAGGAUGCCAGACUUUCGUGUUCCGUGUCCUGCUUGGCCCAUAUGGACCUCUUCCUGCCGUAACCACGGCUUCUGAGGUGGUGGCGCCCCAUGUUCCUUUGUUGAAGCCCCUUCAUGUACUUUGACUUUGUUUUGGCGGCUUCGGCCUCGCAAGCCGCCUUUAAUAUUUCAAAGUGCUCUCCCGUGAUUGUCGGAUUAUCCUUUACAAUCUCGGAGUAGGGUUGAUACGUCUCCAACGUAUCUAUUAUUUUUGAUUGCUCCAUGCUAUAUUAUCUACAGUUUUGGACAUUAUUGGGCUUUAUUAUCUACUUUUAUAUUAUUUUUGGGACUAACCUAUUAACCAGAGGUCCAGCCCAGAAUUGCUGUUUUUUUGCCUGUUUUAGGGUUUCGAAGAAAAGGAAUAUCAAACGGAGUCCAAACGGAAUGAAGCCUUCGGGAAUGAGAUUUUCUCAACGAACAAGACCCGGGAGACUUGGACCCUACGUCAAGACAAAANNNNNNNNNNNNNNNNNNNNNNNNNNNNNNNNNNNNNNNNNNNNNNNNNNNNNNNNNNNNNNNNNNNNNNNNNNNNNNNNNNNNNNNNNNNNNNNNNNNNNNNNNNNNNNNNNNNNNNNNNNNNNNNNNNNNNNNNNNNNNNNNNNNNNNNNNNNNNNNNNNNNNNNNNNNNNNNNNNNNNNNNNNNNNNNNNNNNNNNNCACCGACGUACUUCUUCCUCCUAUAUAUACCUACGUACCCCCAAACGAUCAUAUACGGAGCCAAAACCCUAAUUCCACCGCCGCAACUUUCUGUAUCCAUGAGAUCCCAUCUUGGCGCCUGUUCCGGAGCUCCGCCGGAGGGGGCAUCGAUCACGGAGGGCUUCUACAUCAACAGCAUAGCCUCUCCGAUGAAGUGUGAGUAGUUGACCUCAGACCUACGGGUCCAUAAUUAUUACCUAGAUGGCUUCUUCUCUCUUUUUGGAUCUCAAUACAAUGUUCUCCCCCUCUCUUGUGGAGAACUAUUCGAUGUAAUAUUCUUUUUGCGGUGUGUUUAUUGAGAUCGAUGAAUUGUGGGUUUAUGAUCAAGUCUAUCUAUGAAUAAUAUUUGAAUCUUCUCUGAAUUCUUUAAUGUAUGAUUGUUUAUCUUUGCAAGUCUCUUCGAAUUAUCAGUUUGGUUUGGCCUACUAGAUUGAUCUUUCUUACAAUGGGAGAAGUGCUUAGCUUUGGGUUCAAUCUUGCGGUGUCCUUUCCCAGUGACAGUAGGGGCAGCAAGGCAUGUAUUGUAUUGUUGCCAUCGAGGACAACAAGAUGGGGUUUUCAUCAUAUUGCAUUAUUCUAUCCCUCUACAUCAUGUCAUCUAGCUUAAGGCGUCACUCUGUUUUUAACUUAAUACUCUAGAUGCAUGCUGGAUAGCGGUCGAUGAGUGGAGUAAUAGUAGUAGAUGCAGGCAGGAGUCGGUCUACUUGUCUCGGACGUGAUGCCUAUAUACAUGAUCAUACCUAGAUAUUCUCAUAAAUAUGCUCAAUUCUGUCAAUUGCUCAACAGUAAUUUGUUCACCCACCAUAGAAUAAUUAUACUCUCAAGAGAAGCUACUAGUGAAACCUAUGGCCCCCGGGUCUAUCUUUAUCAUAUUAAUCUCCUACUACUUAGUUAUUUCCUUUGCUUUUUCCUUUGUAUUUCCUUUGCUUUUUUCCUUUGCCUUUAUUUUACUUUUCAUCUUUAUCACAAAAAUACCAAACAUAUUAUCUUUAUCAUAUCUAUCAGAUCUCACUCUCGUAAGUGGCCUUGUAGGGAUUGACAACCCCUAUUCGUGUUGGUUGUGAGGAUUUAUUUGUUUUGUGCAAUUACGAGGGACUCGCGCGUAGCCUCCUACUGGAUUGAUACCUUCGUUCUCAAAAACUGAGGGAAAUACUUACGCUACUUUGCUGCAUCAUCCCUUCCUCUUCGGGGAAAACCAACGCAGUGCUCAAGAGGUAGCAAGAAGGAUUUCUGGUGCCGUUGCCGGGGAGGUCUACGCAAAAGUGAACAUACCAAGUACCCAUCACAUACCCUUAUCUCCCGCAUUACAUUAUUUUCCAUUUGCCUCUCGUUUUCACCUCCCCCACUUCACCCUUGCUGUUUUAUUCGCCCUCUCUCUCUAUCCGCCCUCUCUUUCUCUAUUUGCCUCUUUUUUCCCGCUUGCUUUCUGUUUGCUUGUGUGUUAGUUGCUUGCUUGUCACGAUGGCUCAAGAUAAUACUAAAUUAUGUGACUUCACAAUGGCGAAAGCCUGGUUUUCGUCUUUGGCUAAAAAUAGUAUUGAUUCAUGGAAUAAGUGCAAAGAUGCUUUUAUCUCUAAGUAUUUUCCUCCUGCUAAGAUCAUCUCUCUUAGAAACGAUAUAAUGAAUUUUAAGCAACUUGAUCAUGAACAUGUUGCACAAGCUUGGGAGAGAAUGAAACUAAUGGUACAUAAUUGCCCUGCCCAUGAUUUAAAUUUGUGGAUGAUUAUACAAAAUCUUUAUGCCGGAUUGAAUUUUGCUUCUAGAAAUCUUUUAGAUUCAGCCGCGGGAGGCACUUUUAUGGAAAUCACUUUAGGAGAAACUCCUAGAUAAUAUUAUGGUCAAUUAUUCUCAACGGCAUACUGAAAGAUCUAAUAAUAAAAUGGUGCAUGCGAUAGAAGAAAUUAAUGUUUUGAGUGGAAAGAUGGAUGAACUUCUGAAAUUAUUUGCUAAUAAGAGUGUUUCUUCUGAUCCUAAUGAUAUGCCCUUGUCUAAUUUGAUUGGGAAUAAUAAUGAAUCUAUGGAUGUGGAUUUUGUUGGUAGGAACAAUUUUGGUGACAACGCGUAUAGAGGAAAUUUCAACCCUAGGCUUUAUCCUAGUAAUCUCUCUAAUAAUGAUGGUAAUUCCUACAACAAUUCUUAUGGAAAUUAUAAUAAGAUUCCCUCUGAUUUUGAAUCUAAUAUUAAAGAAUUUAUUACUUUGCAAAAGAAUUUCAAUGCCUAGAUUGAAGAAAAAUUGCUUAAGAUUGAUGAUUUGGCUAGGAACGUUGAUAGAAUUACUCUUGAUGUUGAUUCUUUGAAACUUAGAACUAUUCCACCUAAGCAUGAUGUCAAUGAGUCUCUCAAAGCCAUGAGAAUUUCCAUUGAUGAGUGCAAAGAAAGAACCGCUAGGAUGCGUGCUAAGAAAGAUGCCUUUAUAAGAGCGUGUUCUUCUCGUUCCUAUGAAAAUAAUGAUGAAGAUCUAACAGUUAUUGAUGUGUUCCCUAUUAAAUCUUUGUUUUGCAAUAUGAAUCUUGAUAAUGAUGGGACUGAAUAUGAUCCACCUUUACCUAUCAGGCGUUCCAAGAAUUCAGAAUUUGUUGAUCUUGAUGCUAAAAUUGAUAAAGGUGGGAUUGAAGAAAUUAAAACCCUUGAUGUUGCUAAACCCACUAUUAUGGAUUUCAAGGAAUUUAACUAUGAAAAUUGCUCUUUUAUUGAUUGUAUAUCCUUGUUACAAUCCAUGCUAAAUUCUCCUCAUGCUUAUAGUCAAAAUAAAGCGUUUACUAAACAUAUCGUUGAUGCCUUGAUGCAAUCUUAUGAAGAAAAACUUGAAUUGGAAGUUUAUAUCCCUAGAAAGCUUUAUGAUGAGUGGGAAUCAACUAUUAAAAUUAAAAUUAAAUAUCAUGAAUGCUAUGCUUUAUGUGAUUUAGGUGCUAGUGUUUCCAUGAUUCCAAAGACUUUGUGUGAUUUGUUAGGUUUCCGUGAUUUUGAUGAUUGCUCUUUAAACUUGCGCCUUGCGGAUUCCACUAUUAAGAAACCUAUGGGAAGAAUUAAUGAUGUUCUUAUUGAUGCAAAUAGGAAUUAUGUGCCUGUAGAUUUUAUUGUUCUUGACAUAGAUUGCAAUCUUUCAUGUCCUAUUAUUCUUGGUAGACCUUUCCUUAGAACGAUUGGUGCAAUUAUUGAUAUGAAGGAAGGAAAUAUUAGAUUCCAAUUUCCAUUAAGGAAAGUCAUGGAACACUUUACUAGAAAGUAAAUUAAAUUAACUUAGGAAUCUAUUAUGAUAGCCACUUAUGGAUUGCCUACCAAAGAUGGCAAUACCUAGAUCUAUCCUUGCUUGUUAUGCCUAGCUAGGGGCAUUAAACGAUAGCGCUUGUUGGGAGGCAACCCAAUUUUGUUUUUAUUCCUUGAUUUUUGCUCCUGUUUAGUAAUAAAUAAUUUAUCUAGCCUCUGUUUCGGUUGUGUUCUUUGUGUUUAAUUACUGUUUGUGCCAAGUAGAACCGUUAGGAAGACUUGGGGAAAGUCUUGUUACACUUGCUGUAAAAAACAGAAACUUCAGCGCUCACGAGAACUGCUGCCAUUUUUAUUUGGAAGUGCUAUUUAGUUAAUUAUUUCUGCAGAUGAUUAAUACAUAAAUUCCUCACGUCCAGCAAUUUAUUUUAGAAUUUUUGGAGUUCCAGCUCUUGAGCUAGCUACAGAUUACUACAGACUAUUCUGUUUUUGAAAGAUUCUGUUUUUUCGUGUGUUGUUUGCUUAUUUUGAUGAACCUAUGGCUAGUAAAAUAGUUUAUAAACCAUAGAGAAGUUGGAAUACAGUAGGUAUAACACCAAUAUAAAUAAAUAAUGAGUUCAUUAUAGUACCUUCAAGUGGUCUUUUAUUUUCUUUCGCUAACGGAGCUCACGAGAUUUUCUACUUUAAGUUUUGUGUUGUGAAGUUUUCAAGUUUUGGGUAAAGAUUUGGUGGAUUAUGGAACAAGGAGUGACAAGAGCCUAAGCUUGGGGAUGCCCAUGGCACCCCCAAGAUAAUCUAAGUACACAUAAAAGCCAAAGCUUGGGGAUGCCCCGGAAGUCAUCCCCUCUUUCGUCUACUUCUAUCGGUAACUUUACUUGGAGCUAUAUUUUUAUUUGCCACAUGAUAUGUGUUUUGCUUGGAGCGUCUUGUAUUAUUUGACUUGUCAGGACCCCGAUUCCAAGCCACAUCGAUCUAGACGGUAACACCUCAUAUCACUUUGCAGCCUCACGCACGAUAUUCCACGGGUGUCGCAUUACCAUGGCCUGGGACCGUUUGCGCCUUUUGGCUCACGUAUAUGAUAGUGUCGCUAGCAUCCAUAUGACAGAGAACCCGGGCCGACAUGGCUAGUCGUGAACCCAAAGCGGCACAGACCUAUGGAGACAGGCAUACAUGAAUCACAUCGAGCAUGUCGGUCAUCAGCGAGUGAUUCCGGGCUUUAGCACUGGGCUAACAGGACUCCGGGGAACCCGGGCUGUAGCAGGCUAGGCAGGACUCCGGAAGUCACCGCGUGACAUUUCCCCGAAGAGACAGACAUAGGAACAAAGUGAAUCACAUGCUGGCCAGUCAAGUGUCCUGAGCAGUAGUGCUAGGCUAGCAGGACUCUGGUGAACCGGGCUGUAGCGGACUACUAUGGCUCGAGGAACACUAGACUACAUUUCCCCAUAAGAAAGGCUGCCAAGGAUAAACAACUAGAUUUUCGGAUCCCACUCAUACCAAGCAUUUCAAUCAUACACACAAUAUGCCCGAUAUGAGUACAUACAACAUGGCAUCACAACAAAACUCUACAAAUCAAGUACUUUAUUUAAAGGCUCCAGAGAGCCAUACAUAACAUGUUCAUACAGAUAGGGGUCACAUGACCCGACACUCAAGUCAUACAAUCAUACAAGCACAUGCGGAAGCAACCGGUCUGAGUACGGACACUAGAAAGAAAGAAGGCUCCUCGAGGCCUGUUUAUCUACAUAGGGCCCUCCAUGGCCAGGAUCACCACCUGGGUGGCUAGUCACUCGUCGACGUCAAGGUCUACAUAGAACCCAUCGGAGGGGGCGGUGUUGUCGUCUGAAAACAGUAAUUAAGCAAACAUGAGUACAAAGGUACUCAGCAAGUCUUACAACAGAACCUACUAUACAUGCUUAUUCUCAAGAAGGUGGUGGGGAUAUUGCAGCAAGCCAGCUUUGACUCUUGGCUAAACUAUCCUAUGGAACUUCUCUAGUAAAAUAGUUUUCGCACACGAGUCCACUACUCACCAACACAAUACUCCACCGGGGAUCCUCCCUCGUCAUCCUACGAGAGGGCCAUCCUCGGUACUCACACUUAUCUUGAGUCUUUUAGUAGUAUCCAUUUACUUGUCUACGAACUGUAUAGGCAACCAAGUAGUCCUUUACCGCGGACGCGGCUAUUCGAAUAGUUUUAUACCCUGCAGGGGUGUACUUCGUCAUGCACGCUUUCACCACUUAUCGCCGUUUACACGACAUGUACUCGGCAACCUUCAAGCGGAAGCCCAGUGAGGGUGUCGGCCACGGCCUACCUAAACACUUAAGUCUCUAGUCCAGGUUUAUCGCCUAUCCAGGUUCCAUCCGCAGGGAGUCCGGCCGAGGUUUCCACAUACGGCCCGAACGAUGUGAACAGGGUCCCGAGACGCCAAUCGGGCACCCGGCAUACCCGGCCACGGUGUAUCUACCGCAACAUAGCCCACCCCUAGGGUCAGCACUACGCACGGCCGCCAACACAUAACCUACAAGCACCAGAAACUAUUUGCAACUCCUGGACAGAGUACUAGGGUGAUUAAGAAGCCGAGAGGGUCAAUUAAGGAUCCCAAUGCAUGGUAGUAGCUGAAUCUUAAAUCGCACAUACAGAUCUCAGUUCUUUGGGACGGUCUCAAUGAAACAACCCACCAUGUACUCCUACAUGGCCUCUCAUCGAUACCUUUACCAAAACAUGUUCAACACAUUCCUCAUAUUACCGACAUAAUCAUAUCACUCUAGCCCAUCACCCAGAUGAACCAGACCUGACACAACUCUAAGCAUAGCAGGCAUAGCAAGGUAGGAAUCACAGACAUGGCUCAAUCAACUCCUACACAUGCUAGUGGGUUUCAUCUAGUUACUGCGGCAAUGACAGAUCAUGUAGAGGAUAAGGGUUCAACUACCGUAGCACACAGUAGUUUGAAUCGCGUUGUCUUAAUCCAGUAAACAAGAGCAAAGGCGAGAACAUGGGUUGUAUCGGAAUGAUCAAUGGGUUGCUUGCCUGAUGGAGUGGUAGCGGGAUACUGCCCUUCAGUUGGAUACUCGUGAAUAUCCUCGGAGGCAGAACCUACCACGAAGAACACAUCGGAACACAAUCAACACAUGACGAUAUGCAACAAUAUGAUGCAUGCUAUGACAUGGCUAUGGUGUUGGCCUAAUGCAAGCUAAAAUAGAAAGGGAUGAACUCAUUUGAAUCAAAGAUUCAAAUAUUAGCUCAUUAAACAUGGCCUUAAUAGUGGAUUUCCUUAUUCUGCUUAAACAGCAAGGUAAACUUGUUUUUUCAUGCAUGAAACCAUUACAUAUGGAUAGAUUGAAUUUUUCUGAUAAAUUUUUCAUAUAUAAAUUAUUUCAUUUGGAGUUACGGUUGAAUUUCUAUGAUUUUUAGAAGUUUUAAACAUUUUCUGGAAUUUCCUGAAUAAAGAUAAAUCCAGAAAAUGCAUUACUGCAUCAGCAUUGCGUCAUGCUGACCUCAGCAGGUCAAAGGCGCCAGCCCAGGUCAAACCUGACUGGUGGGCCCCUUCUGUCAGUCUCUGAGUUAAAUAACAGGAUUAGAUUAACACUAAUUAGCUGUCAGUGGGGCCUGGGCCCACAUGUCAGUGACUGAUUAAAAUAAAAUUAGUUAAAACUAAUCCUAGAUUAGUUAGCAGACCGGCCCCACCUGUCAUAGACUCAGGGGGGUCUACCUGGGCCCACCCAGGGUCAAACUGGGUCAAACUCACCGGCGUUGAGCAGCCGGCGAGGCCCGAGACGGUGGCGCAGCUCGGAAAACGCCUAUAGGGCAUGAGGGAGGCCGUUCUUGGGCUCGUUGGAGAGCUCUUGCAAUCGCGCAUCUAGUGGUGGUGGUGGCCGAGCCUACGGUGGCCGGAGACGACGACGGCGAGCUCCAAGGCGGCGGCCGGAGUUCGGCCAUGUGCGGGGUGUGGGCUGCGGUGUGCAAACGUGGAAACUGAGGCGCUAGCGAGGCACUACGCGAUGCGGCAAGCAUGUUGCGUAGCACGGGAUGACCAAAUGGUCGCCGAAGCGGCACCGGCGACAAGCUCGAGCGGAGACGAGCUUCGGCCAUGGUGGAACUAUGGCCUAGAGGGUGCAAACGCGUGGAAAAGAAGAGGGGAAAGGUGGGGGAGCUCACAGGGAGGUCGAUGAGCAGCUCAGCGGGCUUGGGGGCGACCGGAGUGAGGCGAAUCGAUGAGCGGUGUCCGGUGGGUACCGAGGUUGAAGACGAUCCGAUGGCGGCGAUGCAGGGCCUCCGGCGAUGCGUGGCUCGGUGGGGAGGGCGAGGGCGUCACGGCAGAGCUUCUGGACAGGUCUGAGAGGCGAGAGGGUGACGGAGGGCGUGACUACGGCGGUGAGAGGGCGACGGGUGCGUCGGCCAUCGCGGGAGAGGGAGAGGGAGACGCGGUGGAGAGUGAGAGAGGAUGAGAGGGGGACGUGGGGGUCGCGUGGCAUUCCCUAGACGUCUCCCGGUGUCGGCGGAAGCAGGAGGUGGCCGGCGUGUGGCCGCGGGCGUCGGCCACGCGCUCCGCGUCCUUCUGGCACGAGGAGGACGACGACUGGCAGCGCCAGUAGGCUGGGCCGAGCCAGGUGGGCUGGCCAGCACAGGUAAGGCCCAGGUGGGCUUCUCCCUCUCUUUUUUUAAUUUGUUUCUGUUUUCUAUUUAACUGUAACUGUUGGGCUUUAUUUAAAAUACUAAAACAUUUCCAAAAAUCCUGAAAAUAAUUGUGGGCUCUAUUUGGAUUAUUUCCAACAGCAAACAUUUAUUUCCAGAAUUAUUUGAGCAUCUAAAUUAUUUAAUAGCAUUUAAAUGUCCAAAUUCAAAUACUUAUGAUUUAAAUCAAUGACCUUCUGUUGACCAAGAAAAAUUGUGCACCAAUUUUGCCAGAGGUUCUAACCCAAGACAAAGAGGGUGAACUUUUUAGAAGGGCAUUUCAGGUUCAUUGAAAAUAAUUUUAGUAAACCCUAGUUGUUUCCAGGGGGGUGUUGGGGGUUUGUGCCUUCCCCAACUCAAAUUUAAGAGGAAUUUAAACAUGAUGCACAUUCUAAUGCUUGAACUAGCUAGGGUGUGACAACUCACCCCCAGUCAAAAGAAUCUCGUCCUGAGAUUUAGGAUCCUCUGGAAAGAAGGUGGGGUACUCGAGUCGAAGACGAUCCUCCCUUUCCCAAGUGGCUUCUUUCUCGGAAUGGUGUGACCAUUGAACCUUGAGAAACUUGAUAUUAUGACGUCGAGUGGUACGCUCGGCUUGAUCAAGGAGACGAACGGGAUAUUAUCGUUAAGAGAGAUUAUCUUGUAGAUCAAGCGUUUUGUGGUCCACUCCACGAAUAGGAUCCGCGAAGCAACGCCUGAGUUGUGAAACGUGGAAGACAUCAUGAACUCUGGAAAGAUGCGGAGGUAGUUCCAAUUGGUAGGCAACUUCUCCUCGUUUGGCAAGAAUGCGAAAGGGUCCAAUGUAACGAGGAGCCAAUUUGCCUUUGAUACCGAAACGAUGGGUUCCUUUUAAUGGGGUAACCCGAAGGUAAGCCUUCUCGUCGACUUCAUAAGUCAUAGGCUUAUGUUUACGAUCAUAUUGACUCUUUUGACGAGAUUGGGCUGUUUUCAAUUUCUCACGAAUAACGCGAACCUGCUCUUCCGCUUCCUGAAUCAUAUCCGGUCCAAAGAGUUGUCUUUCCCCGGUUACUGACCAGUUAAGAGGCGUUCGACAUUUUCGUCCAUAGAGAACUUCGAAAGGAGCUUUGCCCAAGCUAGCUUGAUAACUAUUAUUAUAAGGAAACUCCGCGAAUGGGAGGCAUUUCUCCCAACUCAUUCCGAACAAGAUAACAUAAGCUCGGAGCAUAUCUUCCAGAAUUUGAUUGACUUGCUCUACUUGACAACUUGAUUGAGGAUGGAAGGCUGUACUAAAAGAGAGACGAGUUCCCAUAGCAUUUUGGAAACUUUCCCAAAAUCGAGAGGUGAAGAGACUCCCACGGUCUGAGUUAAUUUCCAAUGGGACACCAUGGAGAGACACUAUUCGGGAGAUGUAUAAAUCGGCUAGCUGGAUAGCAGUGAUAUUCUCACGAACAGGUAGGAAAUGGGCUACUUUGGAAAGACGGUCGAUCACGACGAAGAUGGCAUUAUUCCCUCUCUUGGUCCUGGGAAACCCAGUAAUGAAAUCCAUACUGAUUUUAUCCAAUUACCAUUCAGGAAUAGCCAAAGGUUGAAGGGUGCCAGCAGGCCGUUGAUGCUCUGCUUUAACACGACGACAGACGUUGCAGCUAGCAAUGUAUUGAGCGAUUUAUCUCUUCAUCCUAGUCCACCAAAACCUGUGGCGUAGGUCUUGAUACAUUUUAGUGCUACCGGGAUGAAUGGUGAGAGGGGAUUCAUGAGCUUCCUUAAGGAUCAAUUGGCGUAGAUGUUGUUUCUUGGGAACCACCAAACGAUUCUCAAAGAAGACAGCACCCCGCUUAUCCAUGAAAAAACAUUUAGCAACUCCACUAGUAAUGUUUUCCUUAAUCCGGGAUAUGCCCUUAUCAUACCACUGGGCGGUUAUGAUCUGAUCCAUAAGGUUAGGUUUCGCCACCAGGGUGGAUAGGAAUCCUCGAGGAACAAUGUGAAGAUUAAGCUUACGGAAUUCCUCAUGCAGAAGUGGUUGACUUUGUUGUAACAUCGGGUUGUUACAAUAGUAUUACGGCUUAGCGCAUCAGCCAUGACAUUGGCUUUGCAUGGGGUGUAGGUUAUUCCUAAGUCGUUAUCCAAGAUCAACUCAACCCAACGUCUUUGCCUGAGAUUCAAAUCUGGUUGGGUGAAGAUAUAUUUCAAGCUUUGGUGAUCGGUGAAGAUCUCGCAACGAUUACCGAGGAGGUAAUGUCGCCAAGUUUUAAGUGCAUGGACUACAGCUGCCAGCUCUAGAUCAUGUGUGGGAUAAUUUUCCUCAUGUGGGUGUAAUUGCCGUGAAGCGUAGGCAAUUACCUGAUGAUCUUGCAUGAGUAUGCAACCUAGUCCUUGUCGCGAGGCGUCGCAAUAGAUAAUAAAGUCCUUGGAGAAAUCCGGUGGUACCAGUACGGGAGAAGAUGUCAGGCGUCUUUUCAGUUCCUGAAAGUUGAACUCGCACUGUGGAGUCCACUCAAACUUUUUAUCUUUCUUGAGGAGUUCAGUUAGAGGUUUAGCAACCUUGGAUAAAUUCUCGACGAAGCGGCGGCAAUAGCUCGCUAAGCCAAGGAAGCUCCGAACUUGCUUGACCGUCUCAGGUGGAGUCCAAUCAAGGACGGCUUGAACUCGCUCGGGAUUGACGGCAAUACCCUUACCAGAGAUUACAUGGCCUAAAUAGGUUACUUCUGGCAACCAAAAUCGACACUUGGAGAACUUGGCAUAAAGGCGAUGCUCUCGAAGUUUCAUCAAUACCAGCCUUAGAUGUUCGGCAUGUUCCUCUUCAUUCUUGGAGUAGAUGAGUAUGUCAUCGAGGUAUACUACGACGAAUUUAUCCAAGUACUCCAUGAAAACCGAGUUCAUUAACCGGGAGAAGGUAGCCGGGGCAUUGGUUAAACCGAAGGACAUAACGGUGUACUCGUAUUGGCCAUAACGAGUAACAAAGGUCGUUUUGGGAAUGUCCCCGUUUCUGAUUUUGAUUUGAUGGUAGCCCAACCUCAAAUCCAUCUUGGAAAAGACUGAGGAUCCAGCGAGCUGAUCAUACAGAUCAUUGAUCCUGGGAAGCGUGUAUUUGUUCUUGAUGGUGACCAAGUUGACAGGUCGGUAAUCCACAACCAUUCGAUCUGUUCCAUCCUUCUUCUUGACGAAGAGGAUGGGGCAAGCCCAAGGAGAGGAACUAGGACGGAUGAAACCCUUUUUCAAGGACUCAUCGAGUUGGUUCUUAAGCUCGGCUAGUUCUAAGGGUGCCAUCUUGUAGGGUCUUCUAGAAAUUGGAACGGUUCUUGGAACAAGGUCUAUCACAAACUCGACAUCCCUGUCAGGUGGAACACCUGGCAGUUCUUCUGGAAAGACAUCCGGAAAGUCUCGGACUACCGGAACAUCCUCAAGGUCUAGAAGGGGGUUGAUAUUUAGGGAGUAAAGUUGGCGCUUGGCCACUCGAGUUAAGACAUUAACUGUCUUGCCCGAUGGGUAAGUUGAACGGUUCUAGUGGCACAGUCAAUCUUAGCAUAAUGAGCUGACUUCCAGUCCAUACCUAAGAUGAUGUUUAUGUCCGAGGACUUGAGAGCUAUUAAGGCUGCAAGGAAGACAAGUCUAUCGACAAGAAUUCGUUCCCAUGGCUUACUCUAGAAGUUUGCCAUCUAGAGCCAGGGGUUUGAAUUUCCAUGGUAGAGGGCAUGUCACAGAAUGUGGUGUUGUGCAAUCGAGCAUAGUUCUCGGAUAUGAAUGAAUGAGAUGCUCCAGUAUUGAAAAGAACAGAUGCCGGAUGGCAGUUAACAAGGAGCGUACUAAGGACGACGUUGGGAUCCUCAUGAGCCUCCUCGGCUGAAACAUAGUUGACAUGGCCACGUGCAGUGGUGGCCGGCUUGGCGUAGAAUGUUUUUCCGACGGGCUUACCACGGCCAACGGACUUUCCAGUUUGAUUGGGGUUGUUGUUCUGGGGACACUCUCGGCUAUAGUGACUCGGCUCUCCACACUUAAAGCAUGUCACCACAUUGGGGCGUGGAGCAGCAUUAGCAGCGGGGCCACCAUAGGGCUUGGGCGGUGCAAAUUGCUGGUUGGGACGUGGUACCUCAAAGGAUGGCCUCGGGAUGAACCUGGGUGGCAGUGCCGUGCUUGGAAUCCACACCCGGCGCUUCUCAGCUCCAGAGCCAGAUGAAGAGCCAAAAUCACGGGAGUGCUUGCGUGAAGCGUCAUAAUCAGUCUGGCUUGUCUCAGCACUGAUGGCUUUAUUGACCAACUUCUGAAAGGAGGUGCACUCGUGCAGAUGAAGAUCGCGGCGAAGCUCAGGGCUAAGUCCCUUGCGGAACCUUGCCUGCUUCUUAGCAUCAGUAGAUACCUCUUCGGGGGCAUAACGUGCCAGAUUCCCAAAUUCACGACUGUAAGCAUCCAUAGUCAGUCUUCCUUGGGUGAAGUUGAAUAACUCCUCCCUCUUGCGAUCCAUGAGACCUUCCAGAAUGUGAUGCUCACGGAAAACCUCACUGAAUUCAGCCCAAGUAGUGAUUUGGCCGACUGGGCGCAUAGCUUCGAAGUUUUCCCACCAAAGGCUAGCAGGGCCUUCGAGGUGAUAGGCAGCAUAAGUAACCUUCUCGGCUUCGGCUACGUUGGCAGAACGUAGCUUGUGGGUGAUGCUGCGAAGCCAGUCAUCCGCGUCGAGGGGCUCGACGGAAUGGUUAAACUUUGGUGGGUACAGCUUGAUAAAGUCAUUGAUUGACACCAAGUCAUUUUGCGGGUGGCGUGAAGUGUUUUGCUCAAUCCGCUCCAGCAGGCGGUUGGUCUCACGCUUGUUUCUUUCCGCCUCCAGCAUUACUUCAGCCAAAGAAGGCAUGUGAGGCAGAUUUUCACCUCUAGCAGCACUGGCUUCCCCCUGCUCCGGGGCUGCAGGGUUGCUGCGGGUGUUGACCAUCCUAGGAGAAAACAAGACAACGGUUUAGACAAGGAUGGCUCAAACUUAGCAAGGAAGUGCAUAAUGUAAUGGAUAACACGGAAUGCAGAGAUGUUCAUCCGUAUGUCAUGGUAAUAUAAAACUGCAAUAUAUAUACCAACGGUCAUACACAUCAUACAUAGUUUAGUACAAGCCCAGGCUACAGUACAACUAUGAUGAAAGACGUUACAUCUCAUCGGAGGCAUUCCAAGAUCCUAUACAUUAUUGUCUACACCUCCGGAAUUGAUUACACGCAAAGUCAUAUUCCACAAGUCACGCAGGACAGUGGAGAUACAACUACUACAAUACUAGUGGUACUACUAUGUCACGACCGGUUUUCCAAUAAAAAUAUUUAUUGAGAAACCAAUCUUUUGAGUCCAGUAUGAGGGAAAUCCUCCUCACUGGUAGACAAAAUUCUUGAUACAAUAAGCCAGUAGCAAAGAAUAUAUUACAAGGUUGAGCUAGGGCUGCUCAACAAUUUAUAACAAGCGCGCCAACAAUUAUAUAUAAUGGCGGAUAUACCACAAUGGUGUGGUGGCAUACUACUGACUCGGGGAUAAAGUGAUGGUGGAAUAACACAGUGGGGAGUGUGAUAACAUGACUCUCAAACUGGCAUCUCAUCGAGCGUCGAGGUGAGGCUCGAUGAAUUUUAUUCGGGUUGCGGAAGCGAAUAUAAUACAUUGACCGAAUCCAGGGUCGCACGAGACUGAUUGGGACUCCUCUAGGCGUCGGACUCGCUAUCGAACUAUUCAUCCAUGAGAUCGCCUUCGUCAGCAUCUGGCCAAAUCAACAAGCCAGUGAGUACUUUGAUAGUACUCGCAAGACAGUUUGGACUUAAGAUAUAACAAAUGCAUGCAUGAAUGCGUCAUGAUUAAUUCACCAAAUGUGCAUUCCAAAAAUUAGCAUAACAAAGCAAGUAAAAGGGAAACGGCGGUAGUCCGCCUGAAAUCCCAACAAAAGCAUAAAUGAAAACCGAUCGGGUGUCUGAAGCGAUGCCUCGAAAGGUGAACAAAUAAAUAAAGGAGAAAGUCAUGCCACAGUCGGGCGUCUUCACGACACCACAUAAAGGGCUUUGAAAGAAAUGCCACAGUCGGACGUCGGGGCGACAUCACAGAAAGGGCUUUAAAAGAAAUGCCACAGUCGGACGUCGGGGCGACAUCACAGAAAGGGCUUUAAAAAAAUGCCACAGUCAGAANNNNNNNNNNNNNNNNNNNNNNNNNNNNNNNNNNNNNNNNNNNNNNNNNNNNNNNNNNNNNNNNNNNNNNNNNNNNNNNNNNNNNNNNNNNNNNNNNNNNNNNNNNNNNNNNNNNNNNNNNNNNNNNNNNNNNNNNNNNNNNNNNNNNNNNNNNNNNNNNNNNNNNNNNNNNNNNNNNNNNNNNNNNNNNNNNNNNNNNNNNNNNNNNNNNNNNNNNNNNNNNNNNNNNNNNNNNNNNNNNNNCGGACGUCGGGGCGACAUCACAAAAAGGGCUUUAAAAGAAAUGCCACAGUCGGAUGUCGGGGCGACAUCACAAAAAGGGCUUUAAAAGAAAUGCCACAGUCGGACGUCGGGGUAACAUCACAGAAAGGGCUUUAAAAGAAAUGCCACAGUCGGACUUCGGGGCGACAUCACAGAAAGGGCUGUAAAAGAAAUGCCACAGUCGGACGUCGGAGCGACAUCGCAGAAAGGGUUUUAUUCACAAGUAAAUAAUAAUCAUAAUAAAUAUUCAAUUCAUGAUAAUAAACAGGUUAGUCCAUCCACAGGAAUAACAUUUAGCCGGGCUUAGCACUCAUGGGAUUCACCGGAGUCUCUGUCAUCAAACUGAUACUGUUAGGCCAAGAUGAUACGAAUUUGGACAUGGAAUAGAUGAUUCAAGGAAUGUAUGACUCUGCAGAGUUUGUACAAAAUUUUUUCCCACAGCCAACGGAUUUCCGUAGUCACGAGGGACUAGUUCCGUUUACGGUUUUUCGGAAGAAAACACAGCUAACCAAUACACACCCAUCCUACCUCUCGAUGCCAGGACUCACCCUAGACAUCGUCCAAGAAAAACUUUUGAGACGGGGAGAUCACAAUCUCGAAUAGCAUGGGAUCAAAUUUAUAUAUGCGCGCUCUAAGGGGUGCCCCCCUCUCGGUCCCAACCGGAAACACCCAUGCCCCCUGACCGGAUGACUGGCUUUAAUCCAGGGCCAUGGAACCAUCAUCCUGGCCUCUCCUUUUGGUGUGUACCAGGAAAGCGGUUUGCAACUUACUAAGCCAUAUUCCUUGCGAAAAACAUGUGGUAGUACAGGGAAGGAAAUGGGAGGAACUGGACUGGUACGGUUUGACCCUGAAGUCAUAUAGUCUGGCAUAAGACUGGCAUGCUACAACACUGCCAUCUUACCCAUCCUCAUGCCAACACAUGGCCAUUCAUACUCACAUCCAUCCACUUAUGGAUCAUCGAACUCACUUACCUCAACAUUUCAUAAAAAAAAUAACGUUCAUCGGUAUGCUCAUCAACAUGCCAUGAAACUAACUAAAUGCAAAACAUGCCAAGACACUCAUCAUAUCAAAAGUUCAAACAUGCUUGCCUGGUUCAGAGUAGUCGGAGCCUAGCUCGGUGAAGUUCGCGGCUCCGUCACCUCCUUCGGUAUCUAUGGUAUAAAGAAAAUAUAUGCGCUAUCGUAAAUUCCAAGAGGUGCACAGAAAGUAUUCCAAAUAUUUUUCAAAUAAAUAUGAUAAAAAACUAGACAAAAAUCUGAAGAGGACAGGAAAAGAAUCACUCAAAAAUUCCUUUCUGUUAAAAAGUUAUAAGGGUUUUAAUCCAAGGACUUAUCUGUAAUGAAACAGAAAGUUUCCAGGGGCUAGUUUAUAAAAACAGAAAACGCUUCGGCAGAAACUACGCCAGCCCAGAGGGAAGGCGCAUUUGGCAGAAGGCGUUUUCAGAAAACGAUUCGCUUAGACAGGAUAGAGAGGCUGACAGCGGGUCCCGCCCGUCAGGUUUAAACUUUCAAACGGGGGGGGGGGCAGAUUUCGCCGGUGCCCGAGAGCCGCGGUGGUCGCCGGCGGCGAUCCACGGCCAGGCAGGGUGAUCGGAGAUUACCAACGUGCUCACCGUGUCCUUCCGCAAUGGUGGGUGGUGGUGUUGGUCGCCGGUGAGCACCACGUCGACGCAGAGCUUGGUCGGGAAGGUUUAGGGAGUUGGGCGUCAUCGCGAAGUUGCACCGGUUCCAUUUAGGUGCUAAGCGAGCUUGGAUUGGGGUGCUAAGGGCGAAGUCGACGGAACGGGGCGGCGCGGGCCCGUCGGCGGCAGGGAGCAUGUUUCGUGCUUGCCGGGCCGCAGUGAUGGUGCCACGGGCGUGCGCUGGCAUGCAUGAGGACAUGCGGAGAGCCAGGGAGCUUUGGGUGGCGCCGAACGGCGUUCUGCCGUGGUGUGCCUUCUGUCGGCCGCCACAGGAGGUCCCGACGCCGCAGAAGACGCCGGCGAGGGCGGGCCAGCGCGCCACUGACGCCAGGAAAGCUCCAAGCACGCGUGUGAAGCUCCGGACAAGAGGGAGGGGCUGCGAGCAUCGAGCCAAAGGCACUGUGAGCAUAUGCCUGAAACUCUGAAGAAAACGACACUGUAAAACUGAAUUUUACUGAACUUUUCUGAAAAAUGCAAAGAACAGUGCAGCUCAGGUGAUCGACAGAAUGUUUUUGGCAUCUAGGGAUUUUUCCUUGAGCUAAAACUUGGUGGAGUGGCCUCUCAUUGCUCCAGUAGGCUGCCUGAAUUUUGGUGGAAUUUUUUUGGAGAAGUGUAGAUAUGAAUUUCACCAAAUUUGGCAAAUCUGGUCCAAACUUGCAGUGAGUGAAAUUGAAAUAUUUGAAAAGAAUAAGAGUGGAUCAAGAUGGUUCUAGGUUGUGGGUACUAAAGACAAUCCAGGGAAGUUGGUUUGGGAUAAAAACUCAAAGGCAAAGUGAUACUUGCUUUGAAAAUCACUUAAGCUCAAAAUAAAUGGCAGAAAUGUUUUGGGGGAUAAAAUAAUUGAAAUAAAAUCCAAAACUUGUUUGGACUUGUUGAGACAGAGAAUUUAGAUUGUUCAAAGGUGGAGGGAUGGAUUUUGAGAGGAUUUACUAUAGGAGACAUGGUAAAACCAUGGGUGUUUUCAAAAAGAAAGAAGUCCCAAAACUCCUAGGGUUUCCUUUUUUUUGAAAAAAAUAAGUUUGAGAGGGUAACAACCAGAAGGAAAAGCUCCCAAAAACUUCAACACCAAAUUUGAAAAGGGAAAAGAAAAUCCUUGACAAAGGAAAGGAAGUUUUUAAGAGGAAGGAUUUCUGGAAAAGAAAUUUUUAAAAAACCCUCUUUUAAAAUCCAACAAGGUUUUGAUAAAAACCAAAUUAAAAUUUUGGAGUGUCACAGCACUUACCCCCUUAGGAAAAAUCUCGUCCCCGAGAUUUCAGCUGAUCCUUAAAUAAGCGAGGAUGCUCUGUCCGAAGAAAAUCCUCUCUUUCCCAAGUUGUUUCACUGUCGGUGUGAUUGCUCCACUGGACUUUGAAAAACUUGAUGGUCUUCUGUCGGGUCCUCCUUUCAGACUCCUCUAAUAUUCUUACAGGACGUUCCCGAUAAGUGAGGUCUGGCUGCACGUCGAUGUUCUCAUGGGAUACUUGUUUCUCUGGGUUGCUUACGCACUUCCUCAAUUGCGAGACGUGGAACACGUCGUGGACAUCGGAUAAUUCCUCGGGUAAGUCUAGCUGGUAGGCUACCGUGCCUCUUCGUGCCCUUAUACAGAAAGGUCCGAUGAAUCUUGGUGCUAGCUUCCCUUCAAUCUUGAACCAUUGCAAUCCGCUCAUAGGGAUACUCUUAGGUAUACGAACUCACCGGGUUCGAAGCUGACCCCACGAUGUUUCUGAUCGUAAUAACUCUUCUGUCGACUUUGAGCAGUCUUAAGUCGGUCUCUGAUUAGUUUGACUUUUUCCUCGGCUUCUCUGAGCAUGUCUGGUCCGAAGAUGCGGCUGUCUCCGGUCUCUGACCAAUUUAACGGGGUACGACAUCUUCGUCCGUAUAAGGCCUCAAAUGGUGCCAUUUGCAGGCUGGCCUGGUAGCUAUUGUUGUACGCGAACUCGGCGUAUGGCAGGCUUUCUUCCCAACUAUUUUCAUAGGUGAGGACACAUGCUCUCAGCAUGUCUUCUAAAACCUGGUUUACGCGUUCUGUUUGCCCAUCGGUCUGUGGGUGGUAUGCGGUACUGAAGGCUAGUUGGGUUCCCAGAGCCUGUUGUAAAUGCUCCCAAAAGCUCGAGACGAACUGAGUGCCUCUGUCGGACAUUAUAGUCUUCGGGACACCGUGCAGACAAACUAUGCGGGAAAGAUAAAUCCUGGCAAGCCUCUGAGUGGUGUGGGUCGUCUUUAUUGGAAUAAAGUGUGCCACUUUGGUUAACCUAUCAGUGAUGACCCAUAUGGCAUCAUUCCCGUGUCGUGACCGAGGUAGUCCGACAAUGAAAUCCAUCCCUAUUUCAUCCCAUUUCCACUCAGGUAUUUUGUUCGGUUGCAGUAGUCCGGCUGGUCUCUGAUGCUCAGCUUUUAUGCGUUGACAUGAGUCGCAGCGCGCAAUGAAGGUGGCUAUGUCCCUCUUCAUACUGUGCCACCAAAAUCUUUCCUGAAUAUCUUUAUACGUUUUGGUUCCUCCAGGGUGGAUCGAGUACGAGGCGGUGUGGGCUUCAGCUAAAAUUUGCUAUUUAAGGUCUUCUAUGUUUGGCACGCAGAGUCUGUCUCCGUACCAUAAUAUUCCUUCAUUGUCUAUGACUAAUUCCGAGGCUUUGCCCAUACUCACCUUUCUUUUGAUGCCUUCGAUGCUGGGGUGACCGGGCUGAGCUCCUUUAAUUUCCCCCACAAGGUCGGGUUGUAUUUCCAAGUUUGAUAUGGUGCCUUCUGCUACCAUCAUCAAGUUGAGCUUGGCAAAUUCUUGUUGGAAUUCGGGCCUCAAUCUGUGCAAAUUGUUGUCGUCGGAGCUGGGAUUCCGACUAAGAGCAUCGGCCACUACAUUUGCUUUUCCUGGAUGGUAAUGGAUACCAACAUCAUAAUCCUUUACCAAUUCCAACCAACGUCGUUGCCGUAAGUUUAGUUCUGGCUGUGUGAAAAUAUAUUUGAGGCUUUUGUGAUCCGUAUAUAUUUCACAUCGAUUCCCAAGUAAGAAAUGCCUCCAUUCCUUGAGUGCAUGAAUAACUGCUGCCAUUUCUAAGUCAUGAGUGGGAUAAUUUUCCUCAUGCUUACGAAGUUGCCUUGAAGCGUAGGCGACAACCUUGCCUUCCUGCAUCAACACGCAUCCGAGGCCCUUUCUGGACGCGUCACAAUAUACUUCAAAAUUCUUGUGUAUGUUGGGUACAAUUAAUACCGGUGAUGUCGUUAAUUUCCGUUUUAGCUCUUGGAAACUUUUCUCGCAGGCUUCUUUCCAUUCAAACUUCUUGUCUUUCUUGAGUAACUGUGUCAUAGGCUUGGCUAUGGUGGAGAACACUUCAAUAAAACUGUGGUAAUAUCCUAACAUUCCCAAGAAACUUCGUAUGUCCGUUACGCUGGCUAGUGACAUCCAGCCAAGUAUGGCCUUGACUUUCUCUGGGUCCACUGCGAUACCGUCUUGGGUCAGUACGUGGCCUAGAAAGCCUACUUUUCUUAGCCAAAAUUCGCACUUGCUGAACUUGGCAUACAAUUGGUGUUUUCUGAGCUCUCCUAGCACAAUCUUGAGAUGUUCUGCGUGCUCUUCUGGUGUCUUGGAGUAUACCAGAAUAUCGUCGAUGAAUACCACGACGAACUUGUCCAUAAACUUCAUAAAUACUUUGUUCAUGAGGUGAACAAAAUAUGCGGGGGCGUUAGUUAAUCCAAAUGGCAUCACUGUGAACUCGUACAGUCCAUAUCUGGAGGUGAAGGCUGUUUUGGGAAUAUCUUCUGUUCGCACCUUUAAUUGAUGGUAUCCUGACCUUAAGUCAAUUUUUGAGAAUACCUUGGCCUGAGCGAGUUGAUCAAACAAAUCGUUUAUCCUUGGCAUCGGGUAUUUGUUCUUGACUGUGACCAUGUUAAGUGCUCGAUAGUCAAUACACAAUCUCAGUGUUCCAUCCUUCUUUUGGCAAAUAAAAUUGGUGAUCCCCAAGGUGAGGAGCUGGCUCGAAUGUAUCCUUUGUCUAGCAAUUCCCUUAUUUGUUUCUUCAACUCAACUAAUUUGGAUGGUGCCAUUCGGUACGGUUUCUUGUAUAUGGGGGUGGUUCCUAGUGCGAGCUCAAUGCUGAACUCUAUCUCUCGGUCUGGUGGCAUGCCUGGUUGCUCUUCAGGGAAUACGUCUGGAAAUUCACACACUACUGGAACCUUGUUUAGCUCAGAAAUGUCCACCUUAUUCAAUCUCGGUUGGCAGGGUAUUUUUCCUUCCUUGGCUGAUACUCUUAUUGUCUUCCCUUGGUGGUGUGUGAGAAUUACGGUCCUGUUGAAACAGUCGAUAAACCCCUUGUUGGUGGUUAGCCAAUCCAUCCCUAGGAUGACAUCCAGUCCUUUAUUUUCCAACACAAUAAGAUUUGCGUGAAACUCCAAUCCUUCGAACUCAAUGACCACAUUCUGACACUAAUUCUGAGUAACUUGCUGAAUCCCAGGGGACUUGAUGAUCAUGGAUUUCUCCAAAGGAAGCAUCGAAAAAUUAUUUUGCAAAGCAAAACUUUUCAAAAUGAAAGAGUGAGAAGCUCCAGAAUCAAACAAAACCGUUGCAGGUAUUGUGUUGACAGGAAACGUACCGAGUACGAUAUCCGGAGCAUUUUGUGCCUCCUCUUUGGUUACGUGGUUCAGAUGAUCCUUCCUGUGGUUGUUGUUGGGAUUGAAAUUGUUUCGCUUGGGCACUGAAUUACUGCCGCCGUUGUUCGGCUUUGGGGUUGAGUUCCUUGGCUUGGGGCACUGUUUGGCAUAGUGCCCUUCUUCUCCACAAGUGUAACAAGUAACGCCGGGGCGAUAUGUGAACUCCUUGUCCCUUGCAUGAAAAUUCUUGAUUGGGAGUGAGACGUUGGAUGAGGAUUUGUGCGUCCCACCCUUUUUGAAAUCUGUCUUGCUCCGGUGAUUGCGAGCAAGGUUAGUCUGGUCCCUUUUUCGCUUGCGGAUAUCUUCCAGACUGCGUCUCUCAUUCUCCAGAGUAAUGGCUUUGUCCACCAGUGUUUUAAAAUCAGGAAAAGUGUGCACGACCAGUUGGCAUUUAAGCGCGGGCACCAUACCGUCAAGGAAUUUCUCCAUCUUCUUGCUUUCAGUCAUACGCUCUUCAUUGGCGUAGCGGGACAAUAGAGUAAAUUGACUGUUGUAAUCUGACACUGUCAUGUUCCUUUGCUUGAGGUCGUCGAACUCUCUCUUCUUGAUUUUCAUAAUACUCUUAGGAAUGUGUGCACCACGGAAACCUUCCUUGAAAUCAUCCCAGGUUAUGUCAUUUUCAUUGGGAUGCAUGUGCAGAAAAUUCUCCCACCACGAUGCGGCUGCUCCUGUGAGAUAGUGCGGAGUAUACAGUGCUUUUUCGGGGUCUGAACAUUUUGCAAUAUCUCUAAGCCAGUCCUCGGCUUCAAGAGGUUUGUCAGUGUGAGAAAAUGUUUGGGGACGUGUCUUCUGAAGCUUAGAUAACUUGGAUUGCUGCUGAUACUGUCCAUGGUGAUUCCCCAUGUUGAUGACUUGGUUCAUCAUUUCACGAUGUUGUUGCUGACUUUGUUCAUAUAGGCGGCACAUUUGGGAAAGUGUCGUUUCACUGUCCUGUUGACUCGACUGCCCUUGUGUGAAAUUGUUGCCUGGUUGAGUGUCAUAAUUUUCCUCUGGUGGAGUAGGCAUGGAGCGAGUCCAAGGACGAGACAUUUUUCACUAUGGGGAUAUAAUUUGCAAAACUCAUAAGAAAAGCGAAAAUGGUCGCAAAAACAAAUCCAAAAUUGCACAAGGAUGGCAAAUAAUUUAAAUGACCAAGAUCACUUAAGAAAACAAAUCGAAUUGCGCACGGAGAAGGACUGCUCAUUACAUAUCUUACACGCGGGCGAUAAUUAUACAAUACAUCACUCAGGAUAUGUGUACAUAAUCCUGACAUGUUAUUUAGGCUAGUGCACUUCUCUAGUUCCUACAUGAUGCGCAAACAAGCUACUCCUCACAACCUAUGUACAUAUCUUACAAAGCGGUACAUCGCAUGACGGGCAAGCGCACUCAGCCGGAAAUGUUGACGAUCUCCUUGGCCCUGCCAAGGGUGAGGCGCAGUGAGGCUGGGGACUCGACCUCCUCCUCACUAAUAGGCUCCAGACGUGAAGAGCUGCGUCGGGUAGAUGGAGCGGGUGCCAGGGGCGGAGCAACACGAAUAGGAGUAGGCACAACGGGUGGUGCAGUGCGCGCUGGAGUGGGCGCAAUGGCCUGGUUGAACUCCUAAGUGGUAGGCGGGCGACGAGUAGGUGCAAAAGAUGCUGAUGACAAGACCAAAGUCAGUGGCGGUGCGGCGGGUAGGAGCUCCCUCCUAUUGGUGGCACAGCCAUGGAUUGAGUCCAUGCGGGCAGCUACGAAGUCGUCCACCAGGUUGUCGAAGGCUGCCUCCAGAGCCCGGAGAUACUCAAUAAGCAUCUCAAAAGCCUCAUCUUGUUCUCCUCUGGGGCAGGAGAAUGCGUAGUGACAGGUGUAAGGCACAUGGCAUGGAAGAUAGCGGUAGCGACGAGUCUUCAUCGCGGGAAGGACAUCCCUGAGGCGAGCUAUCGCCUCACGGGCUGCCAUCUGCAUAGCAUGCCUCUCCGUAGGCAUGGCUCUUCCCACGAACCGGAAGCGGCGUAACUCACCACGCCCUCCCCUGAACUGCACCGUGACCUGGUGCAUGGUCAGAUUGUCGCUGACCUUGUGCUGGUAGAGUGUGAAGACUAGGCGCACAGACAGCCCCAUCGCGACCUGAACGAUGAAGGAGAGAAGCUUGACGAACCCAUUGGGCACGUUGGCGAAGGUUUGAGACUCGCAGCUGUUGUCGGCCAUCUACAAAAGUAGGCAAAAUUCCUGCAUGGUCAGAUCAUAAAUUUAUGCUGACUGUCAGAAAAUGACUACCAUUGCAAAAAUAUAAAUUAGCUCUAUUAUGCUAAUAACGAAUUAGCGAUCGCACCUAGUGGCUUCCUACGGUCAGCCUGACUCUGAUACCAAGCUUGUCACGACCGGUUUUCCAAUAAAAAUAUUUAUUGAGAAACCAAUCUUUUGAGUCCAGUAUGAGGGAAAUCCUCCUCACUGGUAGACAAAAUUCUUGAUACAAUAAGCCAGUAGCAAAGAAUAUAUUACAAGGUUGAGCUAGGGCUGCUCAACAAUUUAUAACAAGCGCGCCAACAAUUAUACAUAAUGGCGGAUAUAACACAAUGGUGUGGUGGCAUACUACUGACUCGGGGAUAAAGUGAUGGUGGAAUAACACAGUGGGGAGUGUGAUAACAUGACUCUCAAACUGGCAUCUCAUCGAGCGUCGAGGUGAGGCUCGAUGAAUUUUAUUCGGGUUGCGGAAGCGAAUAUAAUACAGUGACCGAAUCCAGGGUCGCACGAGACUGAGUGGGACUCCUCUAGGCGUCGGACUCGCUAUCGAACUCUUCAUCCAUGAGAUCGCCUUCGUCAGCAUCUGGCCAAAUCAACAAGCCAGUGAGUACUUCAACAGUACUCGCAAGACAGUUCGGACGUAAUAUAUAACAAAUGCAUGCAUGAAUGCGUCAUGAUUAAUUCACCAAAUGUGCAUUCCAAAAAUUAGCAUAACGAAGCAAGUAAAAGGGAAACGGCGGUAGUCCGCCUGAAAUCCCAACAAAAGCAUAAAUGAAAACCGAUCGGGUGUCUGAAGCGACGCCUCGAAAGGGUGAACAAAUAAAUAAAGGAGAAAAUCAUGCCACAGUCGGGCGUCUUUGCGACACCACAUAAAGGGCUUUAAAAGAAAUGCCACAGUCGGACGUCGGGGCGACAUCACAGAAAGGGCUUUAAAAGAAAUGCCACAGUCGGACGUCGGGGCGACAUCACAGAAAGGGCUUUAAAAAAAUGCCACANNNNNNNNNNNNNNNNNNNNNNNNNNNNNNNNNNNNNNNNNNNNNNNNNNNNNNNNNNNNNNNNNNNNNNNNNNNNNNNNNNNNNNNNNNNNNNNNNNNNNNNNNNNNNNNNNNNNNNNNNNNNNNNNNNNNNNNNNAACCGAUCGGGUGUCUGAAGUGACGCCUCGAAAGGUGAACAAAUAAAUAAAGGAGAAAAUCAUGCCACAGUCGGGCGUCUUAGCGACACCACAUAAAGGGCUUUAAAAAAAAUGCCACAGUCGGACGUCGGGGCGACAUCACAGAAAGGGCUUUAAAAGAAAUGCCACAGUCGGACGUCGGGGCGACAUCACAGAAAGGGCUUUAAAAGAAAUGCCACAGUCGGACGUCGGGGCGACAUCACAGAAAGGGCUUUAUUCACAAGUAAAUAAUACUCAUAAUAAAUAUUCAAUUCAUGAUAAUAAACANNNNNNNNNNNNNNNNNNNNNNNNNNNNNNNNNNNNNNNNNNNNNNNNNNNNNNNNNNNNNNNNNNNNNNNNNNNNNNNNNNNNNNNNNNNNNNNNNNNNNNNNNNNNNNNNNNNNNNNNNCAGAAAGGGCUUUAAAAAAAUGCCACAGUCAGACGUCGGGGCGACAUCACAGAAAGGGCUUUAAAAGAAAUGCCACAGUCAGACGUCGGGGCGACAUCACAAAAAGGGCUUUAAAAGAAAUGCCAUAGUCGGACGUUGGGGCGACAUCACAGAAAGGGCUUUAAAAGAAAUGCCACAGUCGGACGUCGGAGCGACAUCGCAGAAAGGGCUUUUAUUCACAAGUAGAUAAUACUCAUAAUAAAUAUUCAAUUCAUGAUAAUAAACAGGUUAGUCCAUCCACAGGAAUAACAUUUAGCCGGGCUUAGCACUCAUGGGAUUCACCGGAGUCUCUGUCAUCAAACUGAUACUGUUAGGCCAAGAUGAUACGAAUUUGGACAUGGAAUAGAUGAUUCAAGGAAUGUAUGACUCUGCAGAGUUUGUACAAAUUUUUUUCCCACAGCCAACGGAUUUCUGUAGUCACGAGGGACUAGUUCCGUUUACGGUUUUUUGGAAGAAAACACAGCUAACCAGUACACACCCAUCCUACCUCUCGAUGCCAGGACUCAGCCUAGACAUCGUCCAAGAAAAACUUUUGAGAUGGGGAGAUCACAAUCUCGAAUAGCAUGGGAUCAAAUUUAUAUACGCGCGCUCUAAGGGGUGCCCCCCUCUCGGUCCCAACCGGAAACACCCAUGCCCCCUGACCGGAUGACUGGCUUUAAUCCAGGGCCAUGGAACCAUCAUCCCGGCCUCUCCUUUUGGUGUGUACCAGGAAAGCGGUUUGCAACUUACUAAGCCAUAUUCCUUGCGGAAAACAUGUGGUAGUACAGGGAAGGAAAUGGGAGGAACUGGACCGGUAGAGUUUGACCCUGAAGUCAUAUAGUCUGGCAUAAGACUGGCAUGCUACAACACUGCCAUCUUACCCAUCCUCAUGCCAACACAUGGCCAUUCAUAAUCACAUCCAUCCACUUAUGGAUCAUCGAACUCACUUACCUCAACAUUUCAUAAAAAAAUAACGUUCAUCGGUAUGCUCAUCAACAUGCCAUGAAACUAACUAAAUGCAAAACAUGCCAAGACACUCAUCAUAUCAAAAGUUCAAACAUGCUUGCGUGGUUCAGAGUAGUUGGACCCUAGCUCGGUGAAGUUCGCGGCUCUGUCACCUCCUUCGGUAUCUACGGUAUAAAGAAAAUAUAUGCGCUAUCGUAAAUACCAAGAGGUGCACAGAAAGUAUUCCAAAUAUUUUUCAAAUAAAUAUGAUAAAAAACUAGACAAAAAUCUGAAGAGGACAGGAAAAGAAUCACUCAAAAAUUCCUUUCUGUUAAAAAGUUAUAAGGGUGUGAAUCCAAGGACUUAUCUGUAAUGAAACAGAAAGUUUCCAGGGGCUAGUUUAUAAAAACAGAAAAUGCUUCGGCAGAAACUACGCCAGCCCAGAGGGAAGGCGCAUUUGGCAGAAGGCGUUUUCAGAAAACGAUUCGCUUAGACAGGAUAGAGAGGCUGAUAGCGGGUCCCGCCCGUCAGGUUUAAACUUUCAGACGGGGGUGGCAGAUAUCGCCGGUGCCCGAGAGCCGCGGUGGUCGCCGGCGGCGAUCCACGGCCAGGCAGGGUGAUCGGAGAUUACCAACGUGCUCACCGUGUCCUUCCGCAACGGUGGGUGGUGGUGUUGGUCGCCGGCGAGCACUACGUUGACGGCGGUCUUGACUCCGGCGGACGAUGGUUCGGGCGUUGAUGGAUCUCGCCGAGGAGGGCUGCAAGGAUCAAAUUGAGGUGGGGGUUAGAGCACUAGGUGUAAGAGAAGGCUACGGAUGAGGUUUGGGCGCCGGAGAUGGCCUCACCGGAGUGAAUCGAGGUGGAGGCCGAGGCGGAGCGAGGCGGCCGGAGUUGGGGAAGGAGACCUCCUCGAGGUCCUCCUGGUGGCUUGGCAGGGUCCUGGAGAGGUGCAGUGAAGGUGUGGGUCUCGUGAGCGAGCUCGGGGUCCUUUUUAUAGGCGAGCCGAGGCGGUGGCCGUGAAUGGGGAUCUCCGGCGAAGGUUACGGCGGCGCAGAGCUUGGUCGGGAAGGUUUAGGGAGUUGGGCGUCAUCGCGGAGUUCCACCAGUUCCAUUUAGGUGCUAAGUGAGCUUGGAUUGGGGUGCUAAGGGCGAGCUCGAUGGAACAUGGCGGCGCGGGCCCGUCGGCGGCAGGGAGCACGUUCCGUGCUUGCCGGGCCGCGGUGAUGGUGCCACGGGCGUGCGCUGGCAUGCAUGAGGCCACGCGGAGAGCCAAGGAGCUUUGGGCGGCACCGAACGGCGUUCUGCCGUGGUGUGCCUUCUGUCGGCCGCCACAGGAGGUCCCGACGCCGCAGAACACGCCGGCGAGGGCGGGCCAGCGCGCCACCGACGCCAGGAAAGCUCCAAGCACGCGUGUGAAGCUCCGGACAAGAGGGAGGGGCUGCGAGCAUCGAGCCAAAGGCACUGUGAGCAUGUGCCUGAAACUCUGAAGAAAACGACACUGUAAAACUGAAUUUUACUCAACUUUUCUAAAAAAUGCAAAGAACAGUGCAGCUCAGGUGUUCGACAGAAUGUUUUUGGCAUCUAGGGAUUUUUCCUUGAGCUAAAACUUGGUGGAGUGGCCUCUCAUUGCUCCAGUAGGCUGCCUGAAUUUUGGUGGAUUUUUUUUUGGAGAAGUGUAGAUAUGAAUUUCACCAAAUUUGGCAAAUCUGGUCCAACUUGCAGUGAGUGAAAUUUGAAAUAUUUGAAAAGAAGAAGAGUGGAUCAAGAUGGUUCUAGGUUGUGGGUACUAAAGACAAUCCAGGGAAGUUGGUUUGGGGUAAAAACUCAAAGGCAAAGUGAUACUUGCUUUGAAAAUCACUUAAGCUCAAAAUAAAUGGCAGAAAUGUUUUGGGGGAUAAAAUAAUUGAAAUAAAAUCCAAAACUUGUUUGGACUUGUUGAGACAGAGAAUUUAGAUUGUUCAAAGGUGGAGGGAUGGAUUUUGAGAGGAUUUACUAUAGGAGACAUGGUAAAACCAUGGGUGUUUUCAAAAAGAAAGAAGUCCCAAAACUCCUAGGGUUUCCUUUUUUUUGAAAAAAAUAAGUUUGAUAGGGUAACAACCAGAAGGAAAAGCUCCCAAAAACUUCAACACCAAAUUUGAAAAGGGAAAAGAAAAUCCUUGUCAAAGGAAAGGAAGUUUUUAAGAGGAAGGAUUUCUGGAAAAGAAAUUUUUAAAAAAACCCUCUUUUAAAAUCCAACAAGGUUUUGAUAAAAACCAAAUUAAAAUUUUGGAGUGUCACAACCUACUAACUCAGAUAGCUCCAUAGUAGUCCUCAUAGAAGUCACCUCCAUAGCCUGGAAGUUCAACGUGACCAUCCGGGAACAGACGGUCUUGAGGAGCCUGUGGACCAUAGGGGCUAGGAUGGGGUCUUGGACCAACAAACGGUGGCCUGCGGGGACCACGGGGUGGGGUGAUGCCUCCCACAUCACGCCAAUCCACCACGUCUGGCAAAGCAGACCUCACAGGAUACAGAUAUCUUGUAUACAUACAUCCAGCUUGCACCGCAGGUGCAAACCGAGUCAAUGUGGCCCAAUGAUCAGCACGGGUAUUAAAAAGCUCCAGCCUCAAGGCCCGAUUCUCUCGGUCCUUAUCUUCGAGCAUCUCGGCAGUGGUACGAGUUAAUGAAUCCUCCCGAGUGGAGUCAGCAUAGAUAGCCUGAAGAUACCGUUGCGCUCCCGGAAGUGAAGCUAGCAUGUAUCGGAAGUCGGUGUUCCGAAGCAGGCCAGUCCGGACUCGCAUGAUGGUCAUCAUGGAAUAGGCAGCAUCCUGCACAGCCAUCUCAACAGUAACCCCGACUCUCGGAAUAACUGACGGUGCAGAAAUACUGGCUUUGAUUAAAGUCUCGGAAUUGCUCUUCGACGGUGUAUUCGGGAUACCAACGGUAACCCGUCUCGAUCAUGACCCGGACUAACAUAGCAGUAUGACCGGGCACGUCGAGGCACCGGGUCAGGCGAACCACUUGGUUUUGAGCACGGUUGGGCAUUUUAAAGCACAACCACAAUGCGAAGACAUCAGAAUUUCUAGGGAAAAUUGGACCGCAUAACAGCUGUAAAUGCUCAGAAAAAGAUUUGAGACAUCCACAACAGUUCGCAAUACCACUCAACAACAUCAUAUCAAGGUUCUGAUCCAAAUAGCAACAUACUAAAAAUAGUAGAAACUGAACUGGGCUUGUAACAACAAUCCUAUAAGCUACUACGGAUUGGUAACACGUGAACCUGAUAGAAGAAGAGAGCCUAGUCCUUAACCCAUGUUGAAUGAGAAGGGAAUGACUCAGAUAAGAGGCAUAGGGUAAAGGAGUAAAAGAGCCUUAUGUUCCCUCCCACAAUCAAUUCCCCUACAUAUAACUAAAGCAUUUCUAGACUCGGCAUCGACCAGUUUGGCUCAACGAACCUACAGGCAGUCCAGCUCUGAUGCCAAAGCUGUCAGGACCCCGAUUUCAAGCCACAUCGAUCUAGCCGGUAACACCUCAUAUCACUUUGCGGCCUCACGCACGAUAUUCCACGGGUGUCGCCUUACCAUGGCCCGGGACCGUUUGUGCCUUUUGGCUCACGUAUAUGAUAGUGUCGCUAGCAUCCGUAUGACAGAGAACCCGGGCCGACAUGGCUAGUCGUGAACCCAAAGCGGCACAGACCUAUGGAGACAGGCAUACAUGAAUCACAUCGAGCAUGUCGGUCAUCAGCGAGUGAUUCCGGGCUGUAGCACUGGGCUAACAGGACUCCGGGGAACUCGGGCUGUAGCAGGCUAGGCAGGACUCCGGAAGUCACCGUGUGACAUUUCCCCGAAGGGACAGACAUAGGAACGAAGUGAAUCACAUGCCGGCCAGUCAAGUGUCCUGAGCAGUAGUGCUGGGCUAGCAGGACUCCGCUGAACCGGGCUGUAGCGGACUACUAUGGCUCGAGGAACACUAGACUACAUUUCCCCAUAAGAAAGGCUGCAAAGGAUAAACAACUAGAUUGUGGGAUCCCACUCAUACCAAGCAUUUCAAUCAUACACACAAUAUGCCCGAUAUGAGUACAUACAACAUGGCAUCACAACAAAACUCUACAACUCAAGUACUUUAUUUAAAGGCUCCAGAGAGCCAUACAUAACAUGUUCAUAUAGAUAGGGGUCACAUGACCCGACACUCAAGUCAUACAAUCAUACAAGCACAUGCGGAAGCAACGGGUCUUGAAAGUGCGUUAUAUCGGCUAGGGGGGGGGGUGAAUAGGCGAUUUUUAUGGAAGUCUUCAAAACGUGGAAGUUAUGAAGACAAACAGAGUGAACAAGCCUAUCACUAUGCAGCGGAAGUUAGAUUACACAACGCAAGCCAUGGUCAAGUAUACAAUAUAGUGAAAGCACAGUGACAAAUAGCUUCAGUGUAAUGAGGAUCAGGUUGGAAGAAGUUAUGAAGCCAAACAGAUCAUACAGUCAAGUUGUGAAGACAGAAGAUAAAGCAAGCAUGCAAUAGCUUCACAAUGUGUACUGGUAAGUAAAGGGAGGCGAAGAUGAAACCAGUGACACGUUGAAGACAAUGAUAUGUUGGACCAGUUCCAGUUGCUGUGACAACUGUACGUCUGGUUGGAGCGGCUAGGUAUUUAAACAAAAGGACACACAGUCCCGGACACCCAGUCCUGAACACGCAGCUCAGGACACCCAGUCCUCACCGUUUUCUCCUUGAGCUAAGGUCACACAGACCCCGCCCAAUCACUCUGGUAAGUCUUCAAGGUAGACUCCCAAACCUUCACAGACUUUGUUCACCGGCAAUCCACAAUUCCUCUUGGAUGCUCAGAACGCGACGCCUAACUGUCUGGAGGAUGCACAGUCCUCAAGUGUAAUAAGUCUUCAGAUCACUCAGACAAGAAGACUUAAGUGAUGCCCAAUUACUCUGGCUCUGGGUGGUUAGGGCUUUUCUCCUCACUAAGGAUUUUCUCUCAAUGGCUUCGAGGUGGGUUGCUCUCAAACGACAAAAGCCGUGCACUGAAAUCUGAGCAGCCAACCGUUUAUGGUUGUAGGGGUGGACUAUUUAUAGCCGCUUGGCAACCCUGACCUGAUUUGUCCGAAAUGACCCUGGGUCACUAAGGAACUGACACGUGUACUAACGGUCGGAUUUUGAACUCUCACGGCAACUUUACUUGGGCUGCAAGUAAAGCUGACUUUUCUGACUCUGGACAAGAUUUUCUCUCAUUGUCUUCACUCGAAGACAUAGGAUUUGAAUUAGGCAUCAUUUCAGUCAUCCUGACUGGUUCUCUUGGACCCCACUUAACAGUACGGUGGUUCCUAUGACACAACAUGAAUAAAGUAAAACUACAAAGGAUCUAAGUCUUCGAGUUCCAAAGGCUUCAUGGGGAGUCUUCAUAUGUCAUUGUCUUCGACAUGAAUGUCUUCAUGAACCACCAUUGUCUUCAAUGUCUUCGUACAUUUUUCGGGGUCAUCUCUGGUAACUAAACCGAAUCAAUGAGGGACUUCUACCUGUGUUAUCCUGCAAUUCUCACAAACACAUUAGUCCCUCAACUAGGUUUGUCGUCAAUACUCCAAAACCAACUAGGGGUGGCACUAGAUGCACUUACAAUCUCCCCCUUUUUGGUGAUUGAUGACAAACUAGUUGAAGUUUUCAACGGGGAAUAUAAUUUGUGAAAUUGUAAAGGAAUUGUCUUCAUAAGCUGCAAGGGCUCCCCCUGAGGAUGUGCAUAUAAGUGAUUUGCUUUUGGAACGCGAAUGCACAUAGCAGGUUGUAUUUGUGGGAAUCCACUUCAACUUAUGAUGACAAUCCAUCAUGCAUGUAAACAUAUAAGAAGAUAAUGAUAUGCAUAAUGAAAAAUGGACGCCUGCGAAAUGAUAUAAGUGCGGAAAUUAUCGUCGUACAUGCGGAAUUUAUCUUCGCAAAAACACAGUGGCAAACAUAGUAGCAGACGACCAUCAAGUUUAAGUGUUACAACUCAAAGAACCAAAUGUAGCAAAACGAGAGUUGUAAGCACGAAGCAAAAUAUAAUAAAGCACCAGCCCUUAUUAUUGACCCGCUUGAAGACUAUAAACAUCAUAUGCUUCUCCCCCUUUUGUCAGUGAUGACCAAAAAGGUUUGAAGGCAUAGAGUUUUCUACGUGUUCCCAGGCGCAGCAGGGUCGAUGGAGGCGUUUGGUGGAGCUGGCGAGCUUGGUGCAGUGAUGAUGCGCGCUGAAGAAGGUGGUGGUGAUGUAGCAUCGUCUUCUUCCUCAAUGAUUUUUCCAGUCACUAUGGCAGCAGAGGAAGAGAACUCUGAUUCUUCAAGCGACGGAGUUCCACGCAACACAGCUCUUCUGGGGGGUGUGGAGUCAAACUUGAAUCUCUCUUUGAAGCCAUCCUCUUGCAGUUCAGCUUCAGUGCACAUCAUUGUGAGGCCUUUCCAAGUGCGGCGACAGGUUUCAUGUGCGACAAAGGCAUUCUUGGUGGCCAGAUUCCUGAUGCGAUUGACUUCUUGCAUGAUACUGCGCAUCUGCCUUUUGAGCCAGUCGUGAUGCCUAUCUUGCUUUUGGUGCAGAGCCACAAGAAGUUCACGGUCAGUGAGUGUACGAGCGCGUUUCUUGGGUCUCUGUGCAGCUGUGCUGUCAGUGGCUUCAGUUGAUGCAGGGGCACGCGUGGUGCCAGCCAUUGGAUAGACUCUGGAAAUGGCUUCAACACCUUCAUCAUGCUGAGUGAAGCUCUGGUGUUCUACAUUCUGAAGACUUAAUGGCUGCUUGGCAGGCUCAGGAUAAAUCGCUUCAGCAGAGGUGUCCACAUCAGGUAAGAAGAUUCUGUGGUUGCGGGCAGAGUGUUGAUAGGAUAUGGUAGAGUGGAGCUUGAUGAGCCUCAUAACCCAUGGAGCAUAAAUCUUCAGACCAAAGAGAUCUGAGCCAAACGCUGCUAGUUGACGUAUAAAGAGAUCCUGGGCAUUGAAGCAUUUGCCAUGCAGGAUGCAGAAGAUGAGAGUCUUCAUGGCACCUUCAACCUUGGCAUAUCGAGAGUGCCCCUUAAUGGGCCAUAGAGUCCGCCUGAUGAUGUGAUAGAUAGUUCUAGGCAGGUACUCUAAGUCUUCAACGAAGAACUCGGUUGGGUAAGGUGCGUCAGGAGGCAAUGGCUUCAUCAUUGAGAGCAUCUGACUCAUAUUUGGCUCAGGUCGCUGAAAUAUGCUCUCAACUGCUUCAGCAUGGAGUUGGCAGCCUUCUUCGAAGAGUUCGCCUGGAGUGGGUAGGCCGGUGAGCUCAAUGAUAUCAAAUGCAUUGGCUUCAUGAUGGACGUUGCCGGUCAUCCACUCCAGGACCCAAGUCUUUGGAUCUUUGUUGUAGCCUUUGAUGUGCAGUGUGGCAUAGAACUGGAGCAGAAGCUCUUCAUUCCAGUGCUCUUCAUCCGUGACAAACGGCAGCAGGCCAACUUGCUUGAAGCAGUCCAGUGCUUCUUCCAGACCAGGCAGACCAGCAAUAGCUUCAACCUCAAGGCGCUGGUGUGGAAAGAUACGGCCUUGGUUGUAGAGGACGCAGAAGUAGUAGCUGCGCUGUGGGUAGCUCCAGAACCUAUCUAACACAAUCCGUUCCCUUGAGUAAGGGUUCUUGGAGCGGUUGAAGAAGGUGUUACCUGCCCUGAAGCUAUUGACAUUAAAGGAGCCAGGAGCGGUGGCAGGACCUGGGAACCUUGGCAGUCGUGGGAUUGGCUUCUGUACCUGGGGCCUGUGCGCAACAUGAUAGUUGAACUGUGGACCGGCAGCAGACUCAGGCACAGAAGGGUCAGAGGCAGAAGCUUCAGUAUCUCUUGAAGCUGUUGGUUGGUCGGGCUCCACAAAUGCUUCAGUAUUGGGUGUGGCAGCCGCAGUGGUGUCAGCCUCAUCACGUGUAGUGAGAGGGAUGGAUUCAGGUACGUUCUCCUUGAGAACUUCUUCUUGUUGGUGUGGGGGAGAUGGAGCUUGAGGUUCUUCAUGCUCUUCUUCAUGUUCUUCGGCUGAUGCAGCCGGAAUGUCGUCAGCAGUCUGAGCCCUUGGCCCUUUGCGAAGCCUACGGAAUGCAGGCAACGCCGGUGGAGUUGCAGUGGGCUGGGGCUCAUCCUCUUCCUCCUGCGGGCGAUCUGCCCAUGAUGCAUCUUGGGUGAUUGGCGUCAAGGGACGACCAAUGCUGAUCAUUUCACUCGUUUCGAGCUGAGGAAGGACUGCAUCACCUUGCACAUUGUCUUGGAGACCAAUGUCUUCAGCAGCGUUGGAGUCGGCUGCUGGAAUGUCUUCAGCAUGCGGAGCCUUUGUGAGAGCAGGCUCAUGCACGGUCAGCUGACGAUCUUCAUGAGGAAAGCAAACGGAGAGGGGUUCGACUAUCAAGGGCUCUGUGGGAGCAGCCCGAGACUUCUUGUUCUUGCGCUUCUUGAUGGUGGGGUCUAAAGGAGAGGCUUCAGGGUGUUUCCUCUUCCUUGCUUCAGCUUCGGCUGUCCUUGUCUUCUUAACCUAUGAAGCGGUUGAGCGGUGCUUUGGCUUCGAGCCAGGCUUGGCAGUGGGGAAGACAAUCGGAACAGCUUCUUGUCGUGGGGCCUCUUGUUCAGCCACAGUGGGCUUCUUCUUUUUCUUAGCGGCCAUCCUGGGGUCGAUGCUGGGACGCCCAAGCGCCUUUCGCUUCUCGGACUCAUUGUAGGCCUGCACACAGAGAUCAGCCAAAUUCUUCAUGCGCUCACGUGAACCCUGAGCCUCUGCACGUUUCUGCAUAAAGUUUUCCUUCAACUCGUGCAGCAUGACUUUGAAGUCUUUGACUUCUUGGACGCUGAGCGUGGCCAUGUUCUGCUUGAACUGAGCCUUUUCAAAAUCUAUCUUCUGCUUCAGUUCCACUAUGCGCUGGGCAAUUGCGAGUUCUGAAGCAAUAGCUCCUUGGAAGGCUACGCUGAGGCCAAUGGGCAGCUGCAGAUCAUGGAAGCUGAUGUUGGGUGUAUCAAACCACUCAUCAAUGAAGUUGUGGAUGAUUGCUGCAUCGAACAAAGGCAGAUUGUUGAAGAUUUCAGCCUCCUCCUUGCUCUUGAUUAGCUGCUCAAGAGCGUCAUCGGCAAGAUCGUCGUCACUUGACAGAUCAAUGGCCUCGCAGCGCAGAACGGCUGCGGCAGUGAGCUCUUUGUCAGUAUGUGGCUGAUGCUUCUUGGCUUCUUGGGGCUUGGAGACUCGUGAUAAGUCUUCAGACUGCACACUUGCUUCAGGAGGUGCAGUGGCCAAUGGCUUCGCUCUGGAGAUCUUGGGAGAAGCGGCUGGCUUGGAAGCUUUUGGCUUCUUCUUCAUCUGCUUCGGCUCCGGGGCAGCAGGAGCGUCAUCAGACUCAGUGUCUACUGGAGGGUCGUUCACGGCAGUCCCUUGGACUAGAAUGCGAGUGAUGAGGCCUUUGAGAUUGGCAUACGGCCCGAUGACAUUGGGAUUUGCAUCGCGUGUGCCAUCCGCCCUUGGCUUAGAGGGACCAGGGUUGAAGUCCAGUCCAAACUCCUUCUUGUUUUGCUUCGCAGAGUUCUGAGCAAAUUGGAAGUUGCGCUUGAAGAGAUUGUCAUCGCGACACCAGAGAAGUGAUGACGGAUGUGCCUCAGCUGGCUGUGGUCCUCUGACCAUGCAUGGAUAGAAGCCUUGAGCAAUGGCUUCGUCUCUGGACCGGGGUACGAGAUUUUUGUACAAGACAUCUCCCCAUGGCCUCUGGAUGGCGCACUUCUCUGCAUAUUCCUUGGCGACGAAGCGGUAUUGGAACCACUGCUCUGCCCAAUAUCUUCGAAUCCAUUGGAUUCGUGUCUAGCGCUGACCAUAGCUCUCUUCAGGAUCAGUUUGGUACAUUUCUGCCAAAUCUUCAGGCAGAUCUUUAGACGUUUCACCACGUCUCUGUCUGCCUCCCUUCCUUGCUGGUUUUUCUGUUGCCAUGAAGCUUAACUUGGAAGGCUUCAAGAGAUUCAAAGUCUUCAAAGGCUUCCUUUUGCUUGACCAACAGGAACUUGCUUCGGGUGAAUUGAUGUGACGCUGUAGGAACUCUGCAAAUGAAUGCAGACUAUGAGAACCAAAAGAUUCUCCCACGGACAUGUACCUGUGACAGCAUUAAGGUGCGAGGGAAGGGGAAGAGGUCAUAUGCAUUCUCAAAAGAUUUUGAAGAUAAAUCAGUUUAGAAGAUAUUGACCUCAUCAUGCGAAGACAUUCACUUUAUAGAAAAGAAGUUGGUUCCAGAUUUGUACGAACCCAUAGAUCAGUACAAGUGAGGAAUCUAACUACUUCAUGAAGAACAAGUGAAUAUACUAGGCACGUUAUGAGAUACAGAUGAGAGGGAUUAAACUUUUGUGAAUGGAAACCUCUUUUGGCAGAAAGUGAUGGAGCUAUAGGAUCAAAAGAGGCUGUAAAAAGACUUGUUAUUUACCAGACUUGGAACUGCUAGACGAGGUGAGAGUUGAGGCCGAGCAGUUCGAUCCUCCGUGCCCUAACUUGGCGACGGAAGACACCUAGGGCGACGGCGGAGAGACUGAUGUCCGCUGUCGGCGUGAGAACGGCAUCGGAGAGGUUGCGGCAGUGAAGCACUUCGUCGCCGGCGUCGUUGAGAGUUAGCGGUGGCGCUAGGGUUUGUGCGAGGGUGGAAGAAGAGAUAAUGACCGCAGUGAAACGUGUAUUUAUAGGGAUAUGGGCGGCACUGCGCUAUUACUCAGGUGCCCCUGGCGAUUCGCAUCUGAUCAGUACGUGGCCAGCAUGCGGAAUUGUGGGGGCAGUUUCACCCCACGCACGCCUGGUUUGUCGGAAGCCGUUCCUACUUCUCUGGAUUUCUUGUUGAUGAAAAAACAUUAAAAUCUGUUUUAAAGUUUGUCUCUGUGUCUUCUUCUGACAAGGAUGCAGUGAAGACAUUCGACAGUUUCAAUAGAAUGCAUAGACUUGGAGAGAUAGAGUUUGAGGUAGGAAGCAUGGAGAGGUUAGGGUCCGAUCACAUUCACUUAGUUCAAAAGAUUCAAACAAGAAGACAUAGCUAUAAGUGAAUGCUGUAGAGGACAGAACACCAGUACAUAUAUAAUCAACAUAGUGAAGAUAAUCAUGAAGACAUGUUGAGAUUGAAGCUAAACCAAAUGUGAAGACAUAGCAAAUGUAAUGCCAUGAGUGAAACACUUCAAGCAGAAAAAUUUGGUGGUGGCGCUACCCACCGUAUAGGAAGUAUUGGACCCAGACACGGCGCACAAUUAUCGUGGCGCUCCGAGGUCAAAUUCCACGUUAAUGUGUUCACACUUAGAAUGUAUGUCUUCAUUGAUUGAAGAUAUACGUUACUUCGUGUGUUGCACAUCUAAGUCAUCAUCAUGCAUAAGUGUUAGGAUGUGUGCCUGAUCACAGGACAUUUGAGGAUUCCAAGAUAUUUAGCUCACACCGUAACUUGCAAAAUCUCUUCUCAUCCAAGGGCUUGGUGAAGAUAUCUGCCAAUUGCUCUUUAGUGUUGACGUGUAUGAUAUCAAUGUCUUCCUUUGCAACAUGAUCUCUGAGAAAAUGAUGACGAAUUUCAAUGUGCUUUGUCUUCGAGUGCUGAACUGGGUUGUUGGCGAUCUUGAUGGCACUUUCGUUGUCGCAGUAAAGUGGCACUUGCUUCAGAUGAAUGCCAUAAUCCUUGAGGGUUUGCUUCAUCCAUAGAAGCUGAGCGCAGCAGGAUCCAGCAGCAAUGUAUUCAGAUUCAGCAGUGGAGAGAGAUACACAGUUCUGCUUCUUUGAAGACCAACAGACAAGUGAUCGCCCAGAAAGUGACAUGUGCCUGAUGUGGACUUCCGAUCAACCUUGUCACCAGCGUAAUCAGCGUCCGAAAAUCCAACCAGAUCAAACUCUGAGCCCUUUGGAUACCAUGACCCUAGAGUUGGGGUGUGAGCCAAAUAUCGAAGAAUUCGCUUCACAGCUAAGUGAUGCGACUCCUUUGGUGCCGCUUGAAACCGAGCACACAUGUAAACACUAAGCAUAAUAUCUGGCCUAGAUGCACAUAAAUAAAGCAAAGAACCAAUCAUGGAGCGGUAUACCUUUUGAUCGAACUCUUUACCAUUGUCGUCAGGACCCAGAUGAUGUUUGGCUGGCAUUGGUGUUGUGAAGCCUUUGCAGUCUUGCAUACCGAACUUCUUCAGGCAGUCUUUGAGAUAUUUCUCUUGAGAUAUGAAGAUGCCAUUGCGUUGUUGCCGUAUCUGAAGACCGAGGAAGAAUUUCAGCUCCCCCAUCAUAGACAUCUGAUAUUGCUCUUGCAUCAUAUAUCCGAACUCCUCACUGUACUUCUGAUUGGUGCAGCCGAAGAUAAUGUCAUCCACGUAUAUUUGGCACACAAACAGUUCACCAUCAUAUGUCUUUGUGAAGAGAGUGGGAUCCAGGGAACCAGGUAUGAAGCCUUUGCUCUUCAGGAAGUAUUUGAGUGUAUCAUACCAGGCCCGAGGGGCUUGUUUGAGGCCAUAUAGUGCCUUUUUGAGCUUGUACACCAUGUCAGGAUGUUUUGGAUCUUCAAACCCAGGUGGUUGUGCAACAUACACUUCUUCUUCAAUUUUGCCAUUGAGGAAGGCACUUUUUACAUCCAUUUGAUACAGGAUUAUGUUGUGAUGAUUUGCAUAGGCCAGCAGUAUACGGAUGGCUUCAAGUCUGGCAACAGGAGCAAAUGUUUCAUCGAAGUCAAUGCCUUCGAGUUGAGUAUAUCCUUGAGCAACGAAACGAGCCUUGUUUCUGACGACUUGGCCAUGCUCAUCUUGCUUGUUGCGGUAUAUCCAUUUGGUGCCUAUUAUGUUAUGCUUCCAUGGAUCAGGACGCUUAACCAACUCCCAUACAUUGUUCAGCUCAAAUUGUUGAAGCGCUUCUUGCAUAGCUUGAAUCCAUUCAGGUUCCAUAAAGGCUUCAUCAAUUUUCCUGGGUUCUGUCAUUGAAACGAAUGCGAAGUGUCCGCAGAAGUUUGCCAGUUGAGUUGCCCUUGAAUGAGUCAGUGGACCAGGUGCAUUGAUGCUAUCAAUUAUUCUGCAAUCUGCACUUCAUUGGCAACAUGAGGAUGUAGGGGUCGAAGACUUUGCUCUUGCUGAUCUACGUUGUCAUGGGGAGGAAUGUCUUCAGGCUGAGCGUUGUCUUCAUGUGGAUCAGGUGCUGAGAUGAUAAGUUCUUCUUCAGGACGAGCUUCAGAAGGUAUAAUUUCUCCAGUUCCCAUUAGCUUGAUUGAUUCACUGGCUGGAACUUCAUCUAGCACAUCUGGUAGUUGCUCUCUUUGUGACCCAUUGGUCUCAUCGAACCGCACAUCCACUGUUUCAACCACUUUGUAGUGGAAGAGAUUGGAGACUCUGUAGGAGUGCGAAUCCUUUCCAUAUCCAAGCAUGAAGCCCUCAUGUGCUUUUGGAGCAAAUUUUUAGGUGUGGUGAGGGUCCUUGAUCCAGCAUCUUGAUCCAAAUACUCUAAAGUACCUUACAUUUGGCUUCUUGCCAGUCAGAAGUUCAUAAGAUGUCUUGUUCAGCAGCUUGUGAAGAUAUACACGGUUGAUAGUAUGGCAUGCAGUGUCAAUGGCUUCAGUCCAGAAUUUUCUUGGUGUCUUGUACUCAUCUAACAUUGUUCUGGCCAUCUCAAUGAGUGUUCUGUUCUUGUGUUCGACGAUGCCAUUCUGUUGUGGCGUGUAUGGAGCUGAGAAUUCAUGAGUGAUGCCCAAUGUAUCAAGAUAUGUGUCAAGGCCGGUGUUCUUGAAUUCUGUGCCAUUGUCACUUCUGAUGUGCUUUAUCUUGGCGCCAUAAUUGUUCAUUGCCCGAUUUGCGAAGCGUCUGAAGACAUCCUGCACUUCAGUCUUGUAAAGGAUUAUGUGCACCCAAGUAUAUCUAGAGUAAUCAUCAACAAUGACGAAGCCAUAGAGGCAAGCAGUAGUGGAGAAAGUUGAGUAGUGAGUGGGACCGAAGAGAUCCAUGUGAAGCAGUUCGAAGGGUUGAGUAGUGGUCAUGAUUUUCUUCGAAGGAUGUUUUGCCCUUGUCAUCUUCCCAGCUUCACAGGCACCGCAUAAGUGAUCUUUCUUGAACUUGACGCCCUCGAUGCCUAUGACAUGCUUCUUCUUCGCAAGGGUGUGGAGGUUCCUCAUGCCAGCAUGCCCAAGUCUUCGAUGCCAAAGCCAGCAUUCUGAAGCCUUUGCGAGAAGACAAACUGCAAGCUGUGGCCCUGCUGAGAAAUCUACCACGUACAAAUCAUCUUUUCGAUACCCUUCAAACUCUAGAGACUUGUCAGAUUCCAUUAGUACCAGACAACGAUAUUUUCCAAAGAUUACAAUCAUGUUUAAAUCGCAAAGCAUUGAGACAGACAUUAAGUUGAAGCCAAGGGACUCAACAAACAUGACUUUAUCCAUGUGUUGAUCCUUUGAGAUUGCAACUCUACCUAGACCCAGUACCUUACUUUUACCAGUGUCAGCGAAUGUGAUGUGGCUCUUGUCAGAUGGACGUAAGGUUGAGUCCAUAAAGAGACUUCUUUUGCCAGUCAUGUGAUUUGUACACCCAUUGUCAAUAAUCCAUUCUGAAGACUCUGAAGUCACUGGUGUCGUACCCUACAGUGCAGUUAGGGGGAUAGGCUUCACGAAGAGUGUUGUGAAGCAAAAACAUUUGACGAACCAGUGGAUUAUGAAAACUUAGAUCCAGGUUAGGACAAGUAGGGAGAGUAGCAUGCGAUUCAGGUAUGAAAUACAUAGUGAUGCCAUUCGGGCAUUUGAUCUUGCGCCCACAAGAUUUUUAAGGUCCCCAGCAAUAGCAUCAGAAGAUUUUGGUUUUGUGCUGGAGACCUUUCCCUGCAAAAGAGAGUUAAGCUUUCUUAACCACCCACAUCUUCAAGGGUGGCUUAGAAGCAAACAGUCUAGCAGGUGGGCAAUAGUACUCAUAAGAAUAGGCAGAAUAGUUUUUGGUCAUAUGAGAAUGACGGUUUGAAGAACCGCUCUCAUAUGCCUGAGCAUGGUUUCCCUGCAAAACAUUUGUGUUAGUGCGACUCAAAUGAGUCCUCUGCCUGUAUGAAGCCUUUGGACCAUAUAUGAAGCCUUUGGUCCGAGGUUUGUCUUCUUCAUGUGAGGUGUCAUGAGGACAUUCACAGGAAGAUUCUCAAGACACGUUUUUGGAACCCAGAUCUUCUUCAUAGGCGGUCCAUUCCUGCAGUUAGUACCAAUGUACCUGGCAAAUACUUCACCAUUCUGAUUCCUGAACAGUUUAUAGUUUGCAUCAAAGGAUUCAUCAAUGAUAAUUGGAUUAGCACAAGUGAAGCCAGAUAGAUUGGAUGGAUCUGCUGAGGAUUCCUUUGCAGCAACCCAUGUGGUUUUGGGGUACUGCUCAGGUUUCCAGUAAGAGCCAUCUGCAUUAAUUUUCCUCACGAACCCAACACCCUCCUUCCUAGGGUUUUGGUUCAGAAUCUGCUUCUUGAGGACAUCACAUAAUGUCUGAUGUCCUUUGAGACUUUUGUACAUCCCUGUUUCAAGCAAUGUCUUCAACCUAGCAUUUUCAUCAGCAAUAGCAGUGGUAUCCUCAGUAGAGGGGUUAGUUACCACUUCAACAGUUGCAACAGCAGUAGCAGUGGAACAUUCAGCAACAGAAAUAGCAUUAUCACAAUCAAUGCAUUUAAGGCAUGGUGGUUCAAAUCCUUCCUGAACAGAACUGAUCUGUUCGGCUCGAAGUGACUCGUUUUCCUUUUGAAGAUCUUCAUGAUCCGUUUUUCAAGAUGUUGCUUCUUUUGAAGAUAAUCAUAGGAAAGCUUUUCAUGAGUAGUUGAGAGAGUCUCAAGACGAUCUUCGAGUUCCUGAUACUUAACAUGAAGAUUUUUUAUGUCUUCAAUUAAGGAUUCAGAACGAGUCAUUUCAGCACCCAACAGAUCAUCGCUUCUGUCUAACAGUUUUUGAAUAUGUUCCAUGGCCUUUUGUUGUUCAGUUGCAAUUUUAGCAAGUGUUUUGUAACUGGGUUUUGAAUCACAAUCAGAGUCAUCGUCACUAGAUGUUUGAUAGUGAGUAGUGCGUGUGUUUACCUUGGCACCACGUGCCAUGAAGCAGUAGGUAGGAGUAGAGUCGUCCUUGUCAUUUGCAUCGGUGAUGGUGAUGGAGUCAUUGUCUUCAGUGUUGAAGAUGGACUUGGCGACGUAGGCUGUAGCCAGACUCGCAAUGCCUGAAUCAGACUCCUCCUCAGACUCCACCUCUGCCUCCUCAGAAGCGGACUCCUCCUCUGAAUCCAUUUCCUUGCCAACAAACGCACGAGCCUUGCCAGAUGAACUCUUCUUGUGUGAUGAAGACUUUGAGGAAGACUUGGACGAAGACUUUGAGUAUUUCUUUGUCUUCUUAUCGUCAGAGUCAUAUUCCAUGCUCUAAUUCUUCUUUCUGUUCUCAUUGUCCCACUGUGGACACUCAGAGAUGAAGUGUCCAGUUUUCUUGCACUUGUGACAUGUUUUCUUCUUGUAGUCAUGCGCAGAAGCUUCAUCAUUCCUUGAGCUUGAUCGUGAAGACUUUCUGAAGCCUUUCUUCUUGGUGAAUUUCUGGAACUUCUUCACUAGCAUUGCAAGUUCCCUUCCAAUGUCUUCAGGAUCAUCAGAACUGCUGUCAGAUUCUUCUUCAGAUGAGGACACAGCUUUUGCCUUCAAGGCACGAGUUCGCCCAUAGUUUGGACCGUAGAUAUCUCUUUUCUCAGAAAGCUGAAACUCAUGUGUGUUGAGCCUCUCAAGUAUGUCAGACGGAUCGAGUGUCUUGAAGUCUGGAUGUCAAAUGAACUGUCAAGUGAUCUUAGCAGCGUCUUAACGAUUUCAUGUUUGGUGAUCUCAGUGGCGCCGAGGGCUUGAAGCUCAUUUGUGAUGUCAGUGAGCCGGUCAAAUGUGUGAUGGACAUUCUCAUUGUCAUUUCGCUUGAAGCGGUUGAAGAGAUUGCGAAGAACACUGAUUCUCUGAUCUCUCUGGGUUGAGAUGCCUUCAUUGACCUUGGAGAGCCAGUCCCAAACCAGCUUGGAUGUCUUCAAGGCACUCACACGGCCGUACUGUCCCUUGGUCAGAUGACCACAGAUAAUAUUCUUGGCAGUGGAGUCCAGUUGAGUGAACUUCUUGACAUCAGCCGCAGUGACACCUUCUCCAGCCUUGGGAACGCCGUUUUUGACGACAUACCAUAGGUGGACGUCAAUGGCUUCAAGAUGCAUGCGCAUCUUAUUCUUCCAGUAGGGAUAUUCAGUUCCAUCGAAGACGGGGCACGCAGCGGAGACUUUAAUUAUCCCUGCAGUCGACAUAGCUAAAACUUUAGGUGGUUAAACCAAAUCACACAGAACAAGGGAGCACCUUGCUCUGAUACCAAUUGAAAGUGCGUUAUAUCGGCUAGGGGGUGAAUAGGUGAUUUUAAUGAAAGUCUUCAAAACGUGGAAGUUAUGAAGACAAACAGAGUGAACAAGCCUAUCACUAUGCAGCGGAAGUUAGAUUACACAACGCAAGCCAUGGUCAAGUAUACAAUAUAGUGAAAGCACGGUGACAAAUAGCUUCAGUGUAAUGAGGAUCAGGUUGGAAGAAGUUAUGAAGCCAAACAGAUCAUACAGUCAAGUUGUGAGGACAGAAGAUAAAGCAAGCAUGCAAUAGCUUCACAAUGUGUACUGGUAAGUAAAGGGAGGCGAAGAUGAAACCAGUGACACGUUGAAGAGAAUGAUAUGUUGGACCAGUUCCAGUUGCUGUGACAACUAUACGUCUGGUUGGAGCGGCUAGGUAUUUAAACCAAAGGACACACAGUCCCGGACACCCAGUCCUGAACACGCAGCUCAGGACACCCAGUCCUCACCGUUUUCUCCUUGAGCUAAGGUCACACAGACCCCGCCCAAUCACUCUGGUAAGUCUUCAAGGUAGACUCCCAAACCUUCACAGACUUCGUUCACCGGCAAUCCACAAUUCCUCUUGGAUGCUCAGAACGCGACGCCUAACCGUCUGGAGGAUGCACAGUCCUCAAGUGUAAUAAGUCUUCAGAUCACUCAGACAAGAAGACUUAAGUGAUGCCCAAUUACUCUGGCUCUGGGUGGUUAGGGCUUUUCUCCUCACUAAGGAUUUUCUCUCAAAGGCUUAGAGGUGGGUUGCUCUCAAACGACAAAAGCAGUGCACUGAAAUCUGAGCAGCCAACCGUUUAUGGUUGUAGGGGUGGACUAUUUAUAGCCGCUUGGCAACCCUGACCUGAUUUGUCCGAAAUGACCCUGUGUCACUAAGGAACUGACACGUGUACUAACGGUCGGAUUUUGAACUCUCACGGCAACUUUACUUGGGCUGCAAGUAAAGCUGACUUGUCUGACUCUGGACAAGAUUUUCUCUCAUUGUCUUCACUCGAAGACAUAGGAUUUGAAUUAGGCAUCACUUCAGUCAUCCUGACUGGUUCUCUUGGACCCCACUUAACAGUACGGUGGUUCCUAUGACACAACAUGAAUAAAGUAAAACUACGAAGGAUCUAAGUCUUCGAGUUCCAAAGGCUUCAUGGGGAGUCUUCAUAUGUCAUUGUCUUCGACAUGAAUGUCUUCAUGAACCACCAUUGUCUUCAAUGUCUUCGUACAUUUUUAGGGGUCAUCUCUGGUAACUAAACCGAAUCAAUGAGGGACUUCUACUAGUGUUAUCCUGCAAUUCUCACAAACACAUUAGUCCCUCAACUAGGUUUGUCUUCAAUACUCCAAAACCAACUAGGGGUGGCACUAGAUGCACUUACAGGUCUGGGUACAGACACUAGAAAGAAAGAAGGCUCCUCGAGGCCUGUCUAUCUACAUAGGGCCCUCCAUGGCCAGGAUCACCACCUGGGUGGCUAGUCACUCAUCGAAGUCAAGGUCUACAUAGAACCCAUCGGAGGGGGCGGUGUUGUCGUCUGAAAACAGUAAUUAAGCAAACAUGAGUACAAAGGUACUCAGCAAGUCUUACAACAGAACCUACUAUACAUGCUUAUUCUCAAGAAGGCGGUGGGGAUAUUGCAGCAAGCCAGCUUUGACUCUUGGCUAAACUAUCCUACGGAACUUCUCUAGUAAAAUAGUUUUCGCACACGAGUCCACUACUCACCAACACAAUACUCCAACGGGGAUCCUCCCUCAUCAUCCUACGAGAGGGCCAUCCUCGGUACUCACACUUAUCUUGAGUCUUUUAGUAGUAUCCAUUUACUUGUCUAUGAACUGUAUAGGCAACUAAGUAGUCCUUUACCGCGGACGCGGCUAUUCGAAUAGUUUUAUACCCUGCAGGGGUGUACUUCGUCAUACACGCUUUCACCACUUAUCGCCGUUUACACGACAUGUACUCGGCAACCUUCAAGCGGAAGCCCAGCGAGGGUGUCGGCCACGGCCUACCUAAACACUUAAGUCUCUAGUCCUGCUUUAUCGCCUAUCCAAGUUCCAUCCGCAGGGAUUCCGGCCGAGGUUUCCACAUACGGCCCCGAACGAUGUGAACAGGAUCCCGAGACGCCAAACGGGUGCCCGGCAUACCCGGCCACGGUGUAUCUACCACAACAUAGCCCACCCCUAGGGUCAGCGCUACGCACGGCCGCCAACACAUAACCUACAAACACCAGAAACUAUUUGCAACUCCUGGAGAGAGUACUAGGGUGAUUAAGAAGCCGAUAGGGUCAAUUAAGGAUCCCAAUGCAUGGUAGUAGCUGAAUCUUAAAUCAUACAUACAGAUCUGAGUUCUUAGGGACGGUCUCAAUGAAACAACCCACCAUGUACUCCUACAUGGCCUCUCAUCGAUACCUUUACCAAAACAUGUUCAACACAUUCCUCAUAUUACCGACAUAAUCAUAUCACUCUAGCCCAUCACCCUGAUGAACCAGACCUGACACAACUCUAAGCAUAGCAGGCAUACCAAGGUACAAAUCACAUACAUGGCUCAAUCAACUCCUACACAUGCUAGUGGGUUUCAUCUAGUUACUGUGGCAAUGAAAGGUCAUGCAGAGGAUAAGGGUUCAACUACCGUAGCACACAGCAGUUUGAAUCGCGUUAUCUUAAUGCAGUAAACAAGAGUAGAGGCGAGAAUAUGGGUUGUAUCGGAAUGAUCAAUGGGUUGCUUGCCUGAUGGAGUGGUAGUGGGAUACUGCCCUUCAGUUGGAUACUCGUGAAUAUCCUCGGAGGCAGAACCUACCACGAAGAACACAUCGGAACACAAUCAAUACAUGACGAUAUGCAACAAUAUGAUGCAUGCUAUGACAUGGCAAUAUGAAUGUGUCUUGGCCUAAUGCAAGCUAAAAUAGAAAGGGAUGAACUCAUUUGAAUCAAAGAUACAAAUAUUAUCUCAUUAAACAUGGCCUUAAUAUUGCAUUUACUUAUUCUGCUUAAACAGAAAGGUAAACUUGUUUUGUCAUGCAUGAAACCAUUACAGGUGGAUAGAUUGAAUUUUUCUGAUAAUUUUUCAUAUAUAAAUUAUUUCAUUUGGAGUUACAGUUGAAUUUCUAUGAUUUUUAGAAUUUUUAAACAUUACUGCGUCAGCAUUGCGUCAUGCUGACCUCAGCAGGUCAAAGGCGCCAGCCCAGGUCAAACCUGACUGGAGGGCCCCUUCUGUCAGUCUCUUAAUUAAAUAACAGGACUAGAUUAACACUAAUUAGCUGUCAGUGGGGCCUGGGCCCACAUGUCAGUGACUGAUUAAAAUAAAAUUAGUUAAAACUAAUCCUAGAUUAGUUAGCAGACCAGCCCCACCUAUCAUAGACUCAGGGGGGGUCUACCUGGGCCCACCCAGGGUCAAACUAGGUCAAACUCGCCGGCGUUGAGCCGCCGGCGAGGCCCGAGACGGUGGCGCAGCUCGGAAAACGCCUAUAGGGCACGAGCGAGGCCGUUCUUGGGCUCGUUGGAGAGCUCUUGCAGUCGCGCAUCUAGUGGUGGUGGUGGCGGGCCUACGGUGGCCGGAGACGACGACGGCGAGCUCCAAGGCAGCGGCCGGAGUUCGGCCAUGUGCGGGGUGUGGGCUGCGGCGUGCAAACUUGGAAACUGAGGCGCUAGCGAGGCACUACGCGAUGCGGCAAGCACGUUGCGUAGCACGGGAUGACCAAAUGGUCGCCGGAGCGGCGCCAGCGACAAGCUCGAGCAGAGACGAGCUUCGGCCAUGGUGGAACUAUGGCCUAGAGGGUGCAAACGCAUGGAAAAGAAGAGGGGAAAGGUGGCGGACCUCACGGGGAGGUCGAUGAGUAGCUCAGUGGGCUCGGGGGUGACCGGAGCGAGGCGAAUCGAUGAGCGGCGUCCGGCGGGUACCGAGGUUGAAGACGAUCCGAUGGCGGCGAUGCAGGGCCUCCGGCGAUGCGUGGGGAGGGCGAGGGCGUCACGGCGGAGCUUCUGGACAGGUCAGAGAGGCGAGGGGGUGACAGAGGGCGCGACUACGGCGGUGAGACGGCGACGGGUGCAUCGGCCAUCGCGGGAGAGGGAGAGGGGGACGUGGGGGAGAGUGAGAGAGGAUGAGAGGGGGACAUGUGGGUCGCGUGGCAUUCCCUGGACGUCUCCCGGCGUCGGCGAAAGCAGGAGGUGGCCGACGUGUGGCCGCGGGCGCCGGCCACGCGCUCCGCGUCCUUCUGGCGCGAGGAGGACGACGACGGGCAGCGCCAGUAGGCUAGGCCGAGCCCGGUGGGCUGGCCAGCACAGGUAAGGCCCAGGUGGGCUUCUCCCUCUCUUUUUUUAAUUUGUUUCUGUUUUCUAUUUAACUGUAACUGUUGGGCUUUAUUUAAAAUACUAAAAUAUUUCCAGAAAUCCUGAAAAUAAUUGUGGGCUCUGCUUGGAUUAUGUCCAACAGCAAACAUUUAUUUCCAGAAUUAUUUGAGCAUUUAAAUUAUUUAAUAGCAUUUAAAUGCCCAAAUUCAAAUACUUAUGAUUUAAAUCAAUGACCUUCUAUUGACCUAGAAAAAUUGUGCAUCAAUUUUGCCAGAGGUUCUAACCCAAGACAAAGAGGGUGAACUUUUUAGAAGGGCAUUUCAGGUUCAUUGAAAAUAAUUUUAGUAAACCCUAGUUGUUUCCAGGGGGUGUUGGGGGUUUCUCCCUUCCCCAAUUCAAAUUUAAGAGGAAUUUAAACAUGAUGGAGAUUCUAAUGCUUGAACUAGCUAGGGUGUGACAUGACUCUUUAUUUGUUAGUUUACCAUAAUCAUCCUUGCUGUACACACCUUUUGAGAGGGCCAUACAUGAUUUGGAAUUUGUUAGAAUACUCUAUGUGCUUCGCUUAUAUCUUUUGAGUUAUAUAGUUUUGCUCUAGUACUUCACUUAUAUCUUUUAGAGCACGGUGGUGGAUUUGUUUUAUAAAAACUAUUGAUCUCUCAUGCUUCACUUACAUUAUUUUGAGAUGCUUAAUAGCAUGGUAAUUUGCUUAAAAUCUUAAUAUGCUAGGUAUUCAAAGUUAGUAAAAUUUUCUUAAGAGUGUUUUGAAUACUAAGAGAAGUUUGAUGCUUGAUGAUUGUUUUGAGAUAUGGAGGUAAUAAUAUCACAGUCAUGCUAGUUGAGUAGUUGUGAAAUUGAGAAAUACUUGUGUUGAAAUUUGCACGUAUGGUAAACGUUGUGUAACAAAUUUGAAACAUGAGGCGUUAUUUGAUUGUCUUCCUUAUGAGUGGCGGUCGGGGACGAGCGAUGGUCUUUUCCUACCAAUCCAUCCCCCUAGGAGCAUGCGCGUAGUACCUAGGUUUUUGAUGACUUGUAGAUUUUUGCAAUAAGUAUGUGAGUUCUUUAUGACUAAUGUUGAGUCCAUGAAUUAUACGCACUCUGACCCUUCCAUCCUUGCUAGCCUCUUAGGUACCAUGCAUUGCCCUUUCCCACAUUGAGUGUUGGAGCAAACUUCGCCGGUGCAUCCAAACCCCGUGAUAUGAUAUGCUCUUUCACACAUAAACCUCCUUAUAUCUUCCUCAAAACAGCCACCAUACCUACCUAUUAUGGCAUUUCCAUAGCCAUUCCGACAUAUAUUGACAUGCAACUUUCCACCAUUCCGUUCAUCAUGACACAUUCAUCAUUGUCAUAUUGCUUAGCAUAAUCAUGUAGUUGACAUAGUAUUUGUGGCAAGGCCACCGUUCAUAAUUCUUUCAUACAUGUCACUAUUGGUCCAUUGCAUAUCCCAGUACACCGCCGGAGGCAUUCAUAUAGAGUCAUACUUUGUUCUAGUAUCGAGUAGAAAUUAUUGAGUUGUAAAUAAAUAGAAGUGUGAUGAUCAUCAUUAAUAGAGCAUGGUCCCAAAAAUAUAAAAAAGGAAGGGCCAAAAAAAGGCCAAAUAAAAAAAUGUAAAAAAGGGGGGCAAUGCUACUAUCCUUUUUUCCACACUUGUGAUUCAAAGUAGCACCGUAAUCUUCAUGAUAGAGAGUAUCUUGAUUUGUCAUUUUCAUCUACUAGUGGGAAUUUUUCAUUAUAGAACUUGGCCUGUAUAUUCCAACAAUGGGCCUCCUCAAGUUCCCUAGGUCUUCGUGAGCAAGCAAGUUGGAUGCACACCCACUUAGUUUCUUUUGUUGAGCUUUCAUACAUUUAUAGCUCUAGUGCAUCUGUUGCAUGGCAAUCCCUACUCCUUGCAUUAACAUCAAUCGAUGGGCAUCUCCAUAGCCCAUUGAUUAGCCUCGUUGAUGUGAGACUUUAUCCUUUUUGUCUUCUCCACAUAACUCCAGUCAUUAUAUUCUAUUCCACCCAUAGUGUUAUGUCCAUGGCAUGCAAUCAUAUAUUGCGUGAAAGUUUAUAGGUUUGAGAUCACUAAAGUAUGAAACAAUUGCUUGGCUUCUCAUCGGGGUUGUGCAUGAUGAGAGCAUUCUUGUGUGACCAAAAUGAAGCAUGAUUAAACUAUAUGAUUUUGUAGGGAUGAACUUUCUUUGGCCAUGUUAUUUUGAGAAGACAUAAUUGCUCAGUUAGUAUGCUUGAAGUAUUAUUAUUUUUAUGUCAAUAUGAACUUUUGUCUUGAAUCUUUCGGAUCUGAAUAUUCAUACCACAAUUAAGAAGAUUUACAUUAAAAUCAUGCCAACUAGCACUCUGCAUCAAAAAUUCUGUUUUUAUCAUUUACCUACUCAAGGACGAGCAGUAAUUAAGCUUGGGGAUGCUUGAUACGUCUCCAACGUAUCUAUAAUUUUUGAUUGCUCCAUGCUAUAUUAUCUACUGUUUUGGACAAUAUUGGGCUUUGUUAUCCACUUUUAUAUUAUUUUUGGGACUAACCUAUUAACCAGAGGCCCAGCCCAGAAUUGUUGUUUUUUGCCUGUUUUAGGGUUUCGAAGAAAAGGAAUAUCAAACGGAGUCCAAACGGAAUGAAACCUUCGGGNNNNNNNNNNNNNNNNNNNNNNNNNNNNNNNNNNNNNNNNNNNNNNNNNNNNNNNNNNNNNNNNNNNNNNNNNNNNNNNNNNNNNNNNNNNNNNNNNNNNNNNNNNNNNNNNNNNNNNNNNNNNNNNNNNNNNNNNNNNNNNNNNNNNNNNNNNNNNNNNNNNNNNNNNNNNNNNNNNNNNNNNNNNNNNNNNNNNNNNNNNNNNNNNNNNNNNNNNNNNNNNNNNNNNNNNNNNNNNNNNNNNNNNNNNNNNNNNNNNNNNNNNNNNNNNNNNNNNNNNNNNNNNNNNNNNNNNNNNNNNNNNNNNNNNNNNNNNNNNNNNNNNNNNNNNNNNNNNNNNNNNNNNNNNNNNNNNNNUGUUGCUCCACCGACGUACUCCUUCCUCCUAUAUAUACCUACGUAUCCCCAAACGACCAUGUACGGAGACAAAACCCUAAUUCCACCGCCGAAACUUUCUGUAUCCACGAGAUUCCAUCUUGGCGCCUGUUCCGGAGCUCCGCCGGAGGGGGCAUCGAUUAUGGAGGGCUUCUACAUCAACACCAUAGCCUCUCCGAUGAAGUGUGCGUAGUUGACCUCAGACCUACGGGUCCAUAGUUAUUACCUAGAUGGCUUCUUCUCUCUUUUUGGAUCUCAAUACAAUGUUCUUCCCCUCUCUUGUGGAGAACUAUUCGAUGUAAUCUUCUUUUUGCGGUGUGUUUGUUGAGACCGAUGAAUUGUGGGUUUAUGAUCAAGUCUAUCUAUGAAUAAUAUUUGAAUCUUCUCUGAAAUAUUUUAUGUAUGAUUGGUUAUCUUUGCAAGUCUCUUCGAAUUAUCAGUUUGGUUUGGCCUACUAGAUUGAUCUUUCUUGCAAUGGGAGAAGUGCUUAGCUUUGGGUUCAAUCUUGCGGUGUCCUUUCCCAGUGACAGUAGGGGCAGCAAGGCACGUAUUGUAUUGUUGGCAUCGAGGACAACAAGAUGGGGUUUUCAUCAUAUUUUAUGAGUCUUUCCCACUACAUCAUGUCAUCUUACUUAAGGCGUUAAUCUGUAUUUAACUUAAUACUCUAGAUGCAUGCUGGAUAGCGGUCGAUGAGUGGAGUAGUAGUAGUAGAUGCAGGCAGGAGUCGGUCUACUUGUCUUGGACGUGAUGCCUAUAUACAUGAUCAUACCUAGAUAAUCUCAUAACUAUGCUCAAUUCUGUCAAUUGCUCAAUAGUAAUUUGUUCACCCACCGUAGAAUACUUAUGCUCUCGAGAGAAGCCACUAGUGAAACUUAUGGCCCCCGGGUCUAUCUUUAUCAUAUUAAUCUCCUACUACUUAGUUAUUUCCUAUGCUUUUUUACUUUGCCUUUAUUUUACUUUGCAUCUUUAACACAAAAAUACAAAAAAAUUAUCUUUAUCAUAUCUACCAAAUCUCACUCUCGUAAGUGGCCGUGUAGGGAUUGACAACCCCUAUUCGCGUUGGUUGCGAGGAUUUAUUUGUUUUGUGCAGGUACGAGGGACUGGCGCAUAGCCUCCUACUGGAUUGAUACCUUGGUUCUCAAAACCUGAGGGAAAUACAUACACUACUUUGCUGCAUCAUCCCUCACUCUUCGGGGAAAACCAACGCAGUGCUCAAGAGGUAGCAAGGGUUCCUUUUUGUCGACGAUCUGAUGUUUCAACCUUGUUUUCCAGGCGGCCAACGCGUCGCUAAACUUGGUCAUGGCGUGUUUUUUUAUCUUCUUCAUUGCCAGGUCCUUAUCUGGAUCUUUAUUAUCCUUUUCAUUACGGUCCGGGAACAAGAAUAUCUGGUGCAGCCUCUUUAGGAGGGAGGGCCUCAUAUUAUCUAUCUUCUGUAGUUUCCCAUCGUUGAUCGUGGCAGUUGUCCAUACAAUGCAACCUAUUUGAUUGCCGUAGCACGAUCGCGCUUCCUCAGGCGCUAUUGUCUCAAAAAUACCGUCGUCCAACUCCGUGACCACCAGUCUAGUACUCAGGAGCUGGUUUGGGCGCCGUGGCCUCUUUGCUUUCGGUUCUAGACCAACUCCGCUAGUCUCGGCGCCGGUCUCAGUCUCAUCGCCGGUCUGCAUGUCGGUAUCAGUCCCCGAUGCGACAACACAGUCGCUGCAACAUGGGUAAGGGAGACCUCCGCGCGUUUGUACAUAGGCACAGGGUGAAUCCCGGUGAGAGAUGGCCAUUGGCGCAUGCAAGUAGACGACGACGUCCCCGACGAAGAGCAGCCGGCCAGCUCGCCUCACUCUCCUUUGAUUAGAAAUGAAAGAUUGGGAAGAAGCAGACUGGAGCCUGCAGGGAAAGGAUAAGGUGACGAUGCAGUCUCCACUCGUUCGGGGCGACACACGUACUGAAUGUAUGAGAAACGUGACGUGGCAGAGACCCCAAGAUACUCCCUCCAUUUAUUUUUAGUCUGCAUAUAAAGUUUGGUCAAAGUCAAGAUUUGUAAAUUUUAACUAACUUUAUAAUAAAAAAAUAUCAACAUUCACAAUAUGAAAUCAAUAUUACCAGAUGUGUCAUGAAAUGUAUUUCCAUACUAUAUAGUUUUGGUAUUGUAGAUGUUCAUAUUUUUUAUAUAAAUGGGAAGUAGAGGCACUCUUGCAUAUAAUGAAGUUUAUAAUAUAUGUGCUUAUAUUGUACUACAAUUGUUUGAAUAGCUUAGCAUAUGUUCAGAUGUAUGAUAUCUGUAAUUUAAGCGCUUGAAUUUUACAUAUAAAUAUUUAUUAAUAAAUAUGUACCCCUAUAAUAGCUAGGCCGUGCAUUUGCACGGGUAGAUGACUAGUGAUUACAAUCUUGUUUGUGUGCAAGUCAAGCUUAUCUAGUUUACACGUAACAACUUGUAGAACGUUACAAAAUUUAUGCUUGCUAAUAACUUCUAGAACACUACAACACUUGACAUGUAAAAGGAAUUUGACGAGUCAUGGCCUACUAAAGCAAGUUACAUUACUAGUCUUAUCUAUCUUAACAGACCACACAAGAUUACAAACUAAGUACCGUGACAGCCAUGCUUAUCUAGUUUAUGCGUAACAAUUUGCAGAAAAUUACAAACUUAGUUUCAGAAAAAUAGGCAAUCUAGAUUAGUGUUUGAGCUGUAAAGUGAAUAAGAUGAGUCAUGCAUGUUAUCACACCUUUUUGGUGGUGGAAUGAUAGUGCAACAACAAGGAACUUUAAUGACCAGUCCAAGAAUACACUUGUAAGUAGUGCUACCAAACAGAACAUACCAAAUGAUGAUUUUUAGAAGCAUCCAAGCACUUUCCACACAAACAAAUGCCAAUUGUGAAAGAGAUCAUUCCAUGGCAGCUAUAAAUAGCCCCAUAGCAUGACGAUCAUCCUUCCUCAUCCAUCAUUCUUAUUAGUAGAGCGCAUCAUUUAAGCCAAGCAAGCUGUGGUCAAUACAAAUCCACCAUGAAGACCUUUCUCAUCCUUGCCCUCCUUGCUAUCGUGGCGACCACCGCCACAACUGCAGUUAGAGUUCCAGUGCCACAAUUGCAGCCACAACAUCCAUCUCAGCAACAGCCACAAGAGCAAGUUCCAUUGGUACAACAACAACAAUUUCUAGGGCAGCAACAACCAUUUCCACCACAACAACCAUAUCCACAGCCGCAACCAUUUCCAUCACAACAACCAUAUCUGCAACUACAACCAUUUCCGCAGCCGCAACUACCAUAUUCGCAGCCACAACCAUUUCGACCACAACAACCAUAUCCACAACCGCAACCACAGUAUUCGCAACCACAACAACCAAUUUCACAGCAGCAGCAGCAGCAGCAACAACAACAACAACAACAACAACAACAAAUCCUUCAACAAAUUUUGCAACAACAACUGAUUCCAUGCAUGGAUGUUGUAUUGCAGCAACACAACAUAGCGCAUGGAAGAUCACAAGUUUUGCAACAAAGUACUUACCAGCUGUUACAAGAAUUGUGUUGUCAGCACCUAUGGCAGAUCCCUGAGCAGUCGCAGUGCCAGGCCAUCCACAAUGUUGUUCAUGCUAUUAUUCUGCAUCAACAACAAAAACCACAACAACAACCAUCGAGCCAGGUCUCCUUCCAACAGCCUCUGCAACAAUAUCCAUUAGGCCAGGGCUCCUUCCGGCCAUCUCAGCAAAACCCACAGGCCCGGGGCUCUGUCCAGCCUCAACAACUGCCCCAGUUCGAGGAAAUAAGGAACCUAGCGCUACAGACGCUACCCGCAAUGUGCAAUGUCUACAUCCCUCCAUAUUGCACCAUCGCGCCAUUUGGCAUCUUCGGUACUAACUGAGAAGAAAAUAACUCUAGUACUAGAUAUAUGAAACACCGUUUUCUCAGUCCAUGGUUUGGUCGUUGUAGCGGUGAAAAAAUAAUGUGACAUGCACUAUCAGGUAAGAACCCGAACUAUACUAGUUCAAACUUGGGAAUAAAAGACAAACACAGGUCUUGUCUACAUAUUUAUGUUGCAUCUAUUUAUAUAUUAAAAGUAAUAUAAGGUGAACCAGGAGCAAGGUAAAUAUGCUAGAAAAUUGCACGUUAAUUAGAAAUUACUAGCCCUCGAUCUGAUAAAUCUUAACGAACAUAUAUAAUGCUCUGGGCCUCCAACGACUGUACGUGACACAUCUGAACGAACAUAUGUUAAAGAAAAUAUAUUUGGUAAAUGGUGGGCUUCUUUAAAAAGAGAACUCACGUACAUGCACCAACUAAGAAAAACACAUACAUGUAAACGGGAAAAGGAUGAGAUUUUCUCACGUACGUGCUCCCUGGCUCCACCCCGUUGAAAAAAUAUACAUCUGGAGGCCACUUUGUUUCCUCAUCAAAAAAACUUACGUUAAAAAGAUUGCAUGCAUCCCAGGGAAAAUAGUCAAGAAGAAGUCGGACUUUUCCUUACAAAAACAAGGAACGUGUUAAGUUGACUUCAAAGAAAAAAGGAACAUGUUAAGUUAAAAAAAAACAAGAAACCUGUUAAGUUAGAAAAAAAACAAGGAACGUGUUGUCCAAGGAAAGAGGAAGAAGAAAGUUGGUUUCAGUGAGUCAUGUGAAUUGUAGAAGAAAUAGGUAAACAAGGCUAGCUCCCCUGGGGGUUGUCAUAUUACAAUCAUUUGUAUUACUUUCCUACCAAUCCUGAACUAGCUAUGACCCUUAUAGCGAGCCUCACUUUACCGUUUCAGAUAGAAACAUAUGGCAGUACUGUACGUACUCGAGAGAAGUUGCUCCCUUCCAUGACAAGGACUAGUUAAGUUUCACUAUCUCCUUUCUCAACUCACUAUAUCCCAGCGGCGGAUUAAUAUAUAUACGUUGAAAAGCAAGGGGAUAAAUUGAACGAAAUGAAGAGCAAUCCAGAAUCCUAUUUUGUAUAUGUGUCAAAUCUUACAAAAAAAAAAGAAUACACACACGUACGUUCAUGCACUUGGAAAAUAGAAAAAAAAGGAACAUCACGUAUGUAUACACUUCGGAAACUCAUUACAUGACCAUGUCUGAUAUACUCCUCUAAUGCUUCAUAUUAGUGCCUAAUAAUUUAUAUUUAAAAUUCAAUUUACUGAUCAAAUAUCCCCACUGUUUAAAUUUUAAUUUGGCACAUUGUUUGGCUAUAGUAUGAACCUAAAUUUCCUCUUAUUAUUAUAUAUCAUGGUAAUAAUCCAAAGGCGACUAAUCUGCGCCGGCGCACCGGCGCAAUCAAUUCCGCUGGACACAGCGCGGCCGUUUGAUUAGAUUGCAUUUAACCGUCAGAUCUGGAAUCGUUUUCUUUCCAAUUAAACAGAUUCAACCAAACAGCAGAGGGGAAAACAAAGCAGCGCCGCCGCCAACACUAGCCAUGGACGACCGAUGUAGCAAAACCUUGAAGAACCGCCGCCGGUCGCCACCCUCGCUGCUGGUCGCCGCCCUCGCCGUCGGUCACCGCCGGUCGCCGCCCUCGCCGCACUCGUGGUUGCAGGCUUGCAUCUCCGCCUCCGGGGGACAUGGCCGCAUGUCCGGUAGCGCCGGCCGCCGGCCGGUGCACCUGUCGUUGUGGUCGCGCUGUACCUCGCCGUGUGCCCUCCCGUGGCUCUUGCUGGUUCCAACAAAAAACGAUACCGGUUGUAGCAAAAAAAUAUCGCUUCCAGCAAAAAAGCUUACCGCUACAGCCCGCCAUCGUCAUUGUAGCAAAAAUGUUAACCCGAUGUAGCUUCUGUGGUUGCCGACUGCAGCAAAAAAUGACAUGGUUGUAGCAAAACACAAAAGAAAAACGCCGGCCGGCCUCUGUGUAUGGUGGUAACAAACCCCAUAGCCGGUGGUAGCGAAAAACUUCAUAGUGCGCAGCAAAAAAAUGUUGUCACCCGUCGUCGAGGUUGCAUCAUCUUCAUGAAUUAUGUCGCAAAAAAACGUUGUCGCCGGUAGUAGCAAAUGAAGCCGCCGGUAGUAGCAAAACAAGACACUGGUUCCAGCCAAAAAAAAUCAGCGACAGAACCUUUGGUUGGUUCCAACAAAAAAACUUGUCGGUCGUAACAUCCCUCGCCGCCGGAUGUAGCAUCUCCCGGGGCUGGUUGCAACACUCCAUAAAAAAAAGUUGUCUAUGAGCGCAUCCAUGGUGACUGCUGCACCGUCAGCAACGAGGGGAAGAGGAGGCAAUGAAAAUCGUUCGAGUCAUAGCUCCACAGGACGCGGCUGCAGCAUGGGGAGUCCAAAAAUCUGUCACAAGCAACAUGCGCCUCGCCAUCCUCCUGCGCAGGAGAGAGAAGAAAAAGGAAUAAGAGGAAGAAGAAAGAAAACGGGAGAAAGAAAAAAGAAACGAUUGGUGGUUGGCUCAGGCAAUUAGUCAAGCGAGGGGCACGCGGGGCGCAGGAUACAGCGCAAUCGAACGAAGCGCGCGCGUCCGGCGAAGACUCGGCCGGACUGCCGGCUGGAAACGUUUCCCUAAUCCAAAGGCUUUAUCUGAAUGACAACUCGUCUGGGUUACCGGCUAACUAGAAAAAAGAUAAAUAUGCUAGAGAAUUUCAUAAUAAUUAGAAAUAUCUAGCCUUUAAUUAUGUAAAUCAGAAAAUCACAACCGUUGGAUUUACUUUAAAGGUAAAUUUCUCUAAAUUCCCACCAUUGCCAGUAUGUAGAAACAUGUGCUGCUUCAAUUCUCCCAUAAUCACCAAUCAAUCAACAACACAAAACAUACCUCAGUUAAAAAAACUGAACAAAAAAAAAGAAAAAAGAAGAAAGGACAAGAUACACGCAUGUACACGACAGCCUUGGCUUGAAACACAUCAGUAGAUCAAGUGUCCGCCUCCCUUACACAGAAUAAACUCAUAGGGAAGAAAAUAAUUGUGCAACCUAACCUUAUACGUACUAUUCUAUCCUCACGUCCCAUGAGGUUUACUAGCCUACCGCCGCCGCAUCAUGCCAUCCCCUCCUUUCAGCUCCCAUGCUUUCCAGCACCCUCAUUGCCGCGCCACUACUUGCCUAGGGAUAUUGCUGCUCAGACCGUGGAGCUUAACCUGCUUCUUCUUCAGCAAAUAUGGUACUGCUUUAGGAUCCUUCUCACAUCAGCACGUAUGGGCCUCAUUAUACUGCAGCUCCUGGACCUCCUACAAUUGGUUGGCUAUGGCCAGUUGAUCGAUGUGCCGAAGUCCAGGUCUGUUUGCUGGCACAUAUGCUUUGGAAAUAGGCCACUAUGUUUGUACUUCAAAAUUGUUUCUGUAUUCUUGAGUGGUACAUCCUUUUAAGCGCCAGUUUUUUAUGUCAAUUCAUGCUGACAACACUUAACCUAGCCUUUCAUCUUCACGUACUAAAUACAGGAGCAAGUAAAAACAACAGACCACCUAAUUGCUCUGCAUGUACUACAUAGGAAAAUUUGUCAUGUUCUACGAUCGCACCAUCCCACACUUCUCUCUUGGUAUGGGCGCCAAUUGAGGGAUUGAUAAAACUGAAACGAAGACGUCACGGGGCUGGAAGUACCGCUAGCCUGGUUUGCACUGCAACCUACUCAACGCCAUCAGAAACUAGCAACUGAGGCAGUUGUUGAUCGAUUCUCUCAAAUUGCUCUCAUGUAAGUACUACCCCUUGCAUGUGCGUACAUACCUUUGUUCCAUUCUCAAACAGAUAGAACAUUUAUGAUCGGUGCAUGGCUAUUUUUCAUCACAUGACAUCCAGAUAACAAGCAUGAAAGGACUACAUUGGAGAUCAAAAAAUAUUGGUUCCUGGCUAGAGGACCACUACCUAUGGACUUGUCUCCAUAGAAUUUGUUCCCAAGAUGUUAUUUUAAUUAACCUCUUUAGCUUUCUUCCAUUGCAAACGGUGAUGUGCAUCUUGGUAUAUACGUGACCAUCUUGCACAUGUAUACACAAGAGGCUCAGACGGAGGUGCUGGAUUCUGGACGAGGGAAUAUGAAGCAGCAGUGAGCGAAGAGUAAAUAAUGGUGGGAGUACCGAUUGGUGUUAUGAAGAAAAAUGCCAUCCAAAGAUUGAUUAGUGUCAUGGAAGAUUAAUUUCUGAAUGCGAAUAUAUAUGUUACAUUGGUUUGGAUCUUUUUGAGAUAAUUGCACAUAAAUUAGGUUCUUUCUUAUUUCAUAUGUAUACCUUAUUUCAGUAAAAGUUCACAACGAACUUAGUAGGACAAAUAUAAUUUUGUUUGUUCUUUCUGUUGUCCGCCACCAAAGCUCAAUUUGAACUCUCUAGAAAUGGACAAUGAUUUAUGCAUUCUAUAUCUUCUUGAUUCAUUAGCCAUGACAAGGAAAUAAAAGGAUUGACUGAUAUAGCAUAACUUUGGAACGAUCUGUUCGUAGAGGUUACUACAAAUUAGAGUAGUGUCUGCUGGAAUUUUGCCAGUAGGUCUUUGGCCCAAAGCCCAACUAAAAUUCUGAAAUUCUCUUGGCUCAUUUAUGCACACAUGUGAGUUGAGUGAGUGAGACUAAAGUUUAGUCCCACCCCGGAGUUGAGAGAGAGUUGCACCUCUUUAUAAGGUGAGCUCUUCUACCACUUGUAUGAGCAUGAGAAGAGGAGACCUACACGCGCGCUCCUCCUCCUCGCUCGCCACGCCUCGCCGCGCCGCGCCGCGGGUUGCGGGAUUGAGCCGAGCCGAGGACGUUGUCUAUAUUUUUGCUGCUCGGGAAAAAUUAAUGAGUCAUUAAUUAAUAAUUAAUGGACGCAUUAAUUACUGAACCGUUUCCGAUUUUUUUGGAUCGUGACGAAUCGGACGCGGGGUUUACUCCCAGGACCUACCCGGCCCGCACUAUAUAGUCAGGCAGACGUCUACCCUAGCCGCCGCCGCUUCAUAUGGUUUCUCACCAUCGUUACAGAUCAUUGCGCCACCAAGCAAGUUUUCUCCAUCCCUCCUUUCGGCGUGCACCGGGAGAAGGGAUAGCAGACCUCCGGAACCCCGCCUCUCGUGAUCCUGUACGGGAGAGGGGCGAUCAGGCUUUUGGGGAGCACACUCGCACUACUGUUGGCAGCGACGACUUCGCAAACGAGGACUUCUUCCCCGACCUCGGCAACCUCAUCCUCGACGACAUGGGCGACAACGUCAACGCCGGCGGUGCUACACCCACUGCACCGUAUGUUAUUCUCUCCUUCUUGUUCGAGGUCGUGGUAGAAUUCAAAGUAUAUGUGCCCUAGAUGUGAUCUGUUCAUCUACUAUGGUAGUUCGCAUGAUUAGUUUAAUCUCUGCUAUUGCUGUCAUGAUCUAUUUCCUAUUUAUUCGGAUUAAAUCUCGUAGUAAUUUGCUCAUUUUUCCAACAAUCCAAAAACCUGAUUAAUGGAAAUUUACUCCGAGUGGUUUUGCUGCGCAUCUGAAAGCCGCUUGCCUUUAAGGGGGCGCAAUAUAAGAGGUGGCUCACAAGAGUAGUCUACUGGUUUCAGAUCAUGGGCUGCUAUGACGCCACCAAGGGCAAGCCUGAGGGCGAUCUUAAUCCAGCACAGCUGGAUGCUAUGACAACGGCAAGAACACGUGGGCUACGCUCGAGGCCAAGUUUGGUGCCUCGGACGCCGGCAGCGAGUUGUACGUCAUGGAGCAAUUCUAUGACUCCAAGAUGACUGAUGAGCGCCCUGUUGUACAGCAGGCUCAUGAGAUACAGUUGCUCGCAAAAGAACUUGAGUACUUCAUGUUGGGGAACGUAGUAAUUUCAAAAAAAUUCCUACGCACACGCAAGAUCAUGGUGAUGCAUAGCAACGAGGGGGAGAGUCUGAUCUACGUACCCUUGUAGAUCGCAACGGAAGUGUUGACACAGCGUAGAGGAAGUAGUCGUACGUCUUCUUCCCGAUCCGACCGAUCCAAGCACCGUUACUCCGGCACCUCCGAGUUCUUAGCACACGUUCAGCUCGAUGACGAUCCCCGGGCUCCGAUCCAGCAAAGCUUCGGGGAGGAGUUCCGUCAGCACGACGGCGUGGUGACGAUCUUGAUGUUCUACCGACGCAGGGCUUCACCUAAGCACUACAACGGUAUGAUCGAGGUGGAAUAUGGUGGCAGGGGGCACCGCACACGGCUAAGGAACGAUCUCAAUGAUCAACUUGUGUGUCUAGAGGUGCCCCCUGCCCCCGUAUAUAAAGGUUGCCAGGGGGAGGGCUGGCCGGCCAAGCUAUGGAGGCGCAGGAGGAGUCCUACUCCUACCGGGAGUAGGACUCCCCCCAAUCCUAUUCCUAAUAGGACUCCCAAGUGGAAAGAGAGGGAGAGAGGUGGCCGGCCACCUCUCCUAGUCCUAAUAGGACUAGGGGAGGGGGGAGGCGUGCAGCCCACCUUGGGCUGCCCCUUUCACCUUGCCACUAAGGCCCAAUAAGGCCCAUUUGGUUCCCGGGGGGUUCCGGUAACCUCCCGGUACUCCGGUAAAAUCCCGAUUUCUCCCGAAACACUUCCGAUGUCCAAACAUAGGCUUCCAAUAUAUCAAUCUUGAUGUCUCGACCAUUUCGAGACUCCUCAUGAUGUCCGCGAUCACAUCCGGGACUCCGAACAACCUUCGGUACAUCAAAAUGCAUAAACUCAUAAUAACUGUCAUCGUAACGUUAAGCGUGCGGACCCUACGGUUCGAGAACAAUGUAGACAUGACCGAGACACGUCUCCGGUCAAUAACCAAUAGCGGGACCUGGAUGCCCAUAUUGGCUCCUACAUAUUCUACGAAGAUCUUUAUCGGUCAGACCGCAUAACAACAUACGUUGUUCCCUUUGUCAUCGGUAUGUUACUUGCCCGAGAUUCGAUCAUCGGUAUCCAAUACCUAGUUCAAUCUCGUUACCGGCAAGUCUCUUUACUCGUUCUGUAAUACAUCAUCCCGCAACUAACUCAUUAGUUGCAAUGCUUGCAAGGGUUGUAUAAUGUGCAUUACCGAGAGGGCCCAGAGGUACCUCUCCGACAAUCGGAGUGACAAAUCCUAUUCUCGAAAUACGCCAACCCAACAUCUACCAUUGGAAACACCUGUAGUACUCCUUUAUAAUCACCCAGUUACGUUGUGACGUUUGGUAGCACCCAAAGUGUUCCUCCGGCAAACGGGAGUUGCAUAAUCUCAUAGUCAUAGGAACAUGUAUAAGUCAUGAAGAAAGCAAUAGCAACAUACUAAACGAUCGGGUGCUAAGCUAAAGGAAUGGGUCAUGUCAAUCAGAUCAUUCAUCUAAUGAUGUGAUCCCAUUAAUCAAAUAACAACUCUUUGUCCAUGGUUCGGAAACAUAACCAUCUUUGAUUAACGAGCUAGUCAAGUAGAGGCAUACUAGUGACACUCUGUUUGUCUAUGUAUUCACACAUGUAUUAUGUUUCCGGUUAAUACAAUUCUAGCAUGAAUAAUAAAUAUUUAUCAUGAUAUAAGGAAAUAAAUAAUAACUUUAUUAUUGCCUCUAGGGCAUAUUUCCUUCAGUCUCCCACUUGCACUAGAGUCAAUAAUCUAGAUCACAUCACCAUGUGAUUAACAUCGAUAGUUCACAUCAUCAUGUGAUUAACACCCAUAGUUCACAUCGCCAUGUGACCAACACCCAAAGGGUUUACUAGAUUCAGUAAUCUAGUUCACAUUGCUAUGUGAUUAACACCCAAAGAGUACUAAGGUGUGAUCAUGUUUUGCUUGUGAGAGAAUCUUAGUCAACGGGUCUGCCACAUUCAGAUCCACAUGUAUUUUGCAAAUUUCUAUGUCAACAAUGCUCUGCAUGGAGCUACUUUAGCUAAUUGCUCCCACUUUCAAUAUGUAUCUAGACCGAGACUUAGAGUCAUCUAGAUUAGUGUCAAAACUUGCAUCGGCGUAACCCUUUACGACGAAUCUUUUUAUCACGUCCAUAAUCGAGAAACAUAUCCUUAUUUCACUAAGGAUAAUUCUGACCGAUGUCCAGUGAUCUACUCCUAGAUCACUAUUGUACUCCCUUGCCAAAUCAGUGCCGGGUAUACAAUAGAUUUGGUAUACAGCAUGUCAUACUUUAUAGAACCUAUGGCCAAGGCAUAGGGAAUGACUUUCAUUCUCUUUCUAUCUUCUGCCGUGGUUGGGCUUUGAGUCUUACUCAACUUCACACCUUAUAAUACAGGCAAGAACUCUUUCUUUGACUGCUCCAUUUUGAACUACUUCAAAAUCUUGUCAAGGUAUGUACUCAUUGAAAAAACUUAUCAAGCGUCUUGAUCUAUCUCUAUAGAUCUUGAAGCUCAAUAUGUAAGCAGCUUCACCGAAGUCUUUCUUUGAAAAACUCCUUUCAAACACUCCUUUAUGCUUUAUAGAAUAAUUCUACAUUAUUUCCGAUUAACAAUAUGUCAUUCACAUAUACUUAUCAGAAAUGUUGUAGUGCUACCACUCACUUUCUUGUAAAUACAGGCUUCACCGCAAGUCUGUAUAAAACUAUAUGCUUUGAUCAACUCAUCAAAGCAUAUAUUCCAACUCCGAGAUGCUUGCACCAGUCCACAGAUGGAUCGCUGGAGCUUGCACAUUUUGUUAGCACCUUUCGGAUUGACAAAACCUUCUGUUGCAUCAUGUACAACUCUUCUUUAAUAAAUCCAUUAAGGAAUGCAGUUUUGUUUAUCCCUUUGCCAGAUUUCAUAAAAUGCGGCAAUUACUAACAUGAUUCGGACAGACUCAAGCAUAGAUACGAGUGAGAAGCUCUCAUCGUAGUCAUCACCUUGAACUUGUCGAAAAACUUUUGCGACAAUUCUAGCUUUGUAGAUAGUAACACUACUAUCAGCGUCCGUCUUCCUCUUGAAGAUCCAUUUAUUCUCAAUUGCUUGCCGAUCAUCGGGCAAGUCAACCAAAGUCCAAACUUUGUUCUCAUACAUGGAUCAUAUCUCAGAUUUCAUGGCCUCAAACCAUUUCGCGGAAUCUGGGCUCAUCAUCGCUUCCUCAUAGUUCGUAGGUUCGUCAUGGUCAAGUAACAUGACCUCCAGAACAGAAUUACCGUACCACUCUGGUGCGGAUCUCACUCUAGUUUACCUACGAGAUUCCGUAGUAACUUGAUCUGAAGUUACAUGAUCAUCAUCAUUAGCUUCCUCACUAAUUUGUGUAGUAGUCACAAGAACAGAUUUUUGUGAUGAACUACUUUCCAAUAAGGUAGAAGGUACAAUUACCUUAUCAAGUUUUCUACUUUCCUCCCACUUACUUCUUUCAAGAGAAACUCCUUCUCUAGAAAGGAUCCAUUAUAAGCAACGAAUGUCUUGCCUUAGGAUCUGUGAUAGAAGGUGUACCCAACAGUCUCCUUUGGGUAUCCUAUGAAGACAUAUUUCUCCGAUUUGGGUUUGAGCUUAUCAGGAUGAAACUUUUUCUCAUAAGCAUCGCAACCCCAAACUUCAAGAAACGACAACUUUGGUUUCGUGCCAAACCAUAGUUCAUAAGGCGUCGUCUCGACGGAUAUAGAUGGUGCCCCUUUUUUUAACGUGAAUGCAGCUGUCUCUAAUGCAUGACCCCAAAAACGAUAGUGGUAAAUCGGUAAGAAACAUCAUAGAUUGCACUAUAUCCAAUAAAGUACGGUUAUGGCGUUCGGACACACCAUUAUGCUGUGGUGUUCCAGGUGGCGUGAGUAGUGAAACUAUUUCACAUUGUUUUAACUGAAGACCAAACUUGUAACUGAAAUACUCUUUUCCACGAUCAGAUCGUAGAAACUUUAUUUUCUUGUUACGAUGAUUUUCCACUUCACUCUGAAAUUCUUUGAACUUUUCAAAUGUUUCCGACUUAUGUUUUAUCAAAUAGAUAUACUCAUAUCUGCUCAAAUCAUCUGUGAAGAUCAGAAAAUAAUGAUACCUAUCGCGAGCCUCAAUAUUCAUCGGACCACAUACAUCAGUAUGUAUGAUUUCCAACAAAUCUGUUGCUCGCUCCAUUGUUCAGAAGAACAAAGUCUUAGUCAUCUUGCCCAAAAGGCAUGGUUCGCAAGCAUCAAGUGAUUCCGAAAGCCCAUCAGCAUGGAGCGCUUUAUACCAAUAUGACCUAAACGGCAGUGCCACAAAUAAGUUGCACUAUCAUUAUUAACUCUGCAUCCUUUGGUUUCAAUAUUAUGAAUAUGUGUAUCACUACGAUCGAGAUCCAACGAACUUGUUUCAUUGGGUGUAUGACCAUCGAAGGUUUUAUUCAUGUAAACAGAACAACAAUUAUUCUCUGACUUUAAUGAAUAACCGUAUUGCAAUAAAUAUGAUCAAAUCAUAUUCAUGCUCAACGCAAAAACCAAAUAACACUUAUUUAAGUUCAACACUAAUCCCGAAAGUAUAGGGGAGUGUGCGAUGAUGAUCAUAUCAAUCUUGGAACUACUUCCAACACACAUCGUCACUUCACCCUUAACUAGUCUCUAUUUAUUCUGCAACUCCUGUUUUGAGUUACUACUCUUAGCAACUGAACCAAUAUCAAAUACUAAGGGGUUGCUAUAAACACUAGUAAAGCACACAUCAAUAACAUGUAUAUCAAAUAUACUUUUGUUCACUUUGCCAUCCUUCUUAUCCGCCAAUCACUUGGGGUAGUUCCGCUUCUAGUGACCAGUCCCUUUGCAGUAGAAGCACUUAGUCUCAGGCUUAGGAUCAGACUUGGGCCUCUUCACUUGAGCAGCAACUUGCUUGCCGUUCUUCUUGAAGUUCCCCUUCUUCCCUUUGCCCUUUUCUUGAAACUAGUGGUCUUGUCAACCAUCAACACUUGAUGUUUUUCUUGAUUUCUACCUUCGUUUAUUUCAGCAUCACGAAGAGCUUGGGAGUUGUUUCUGUUAUCCCUUGCAUAUUAUAGUUCAUCACGAAGUUCUACUAACUUGGUGAUGGUGACUAGAGAAUUCUGUCAAUCACUAUCUUAUCUGGAAGAUUAACUCCCACUUGAUUCAAGCGAUUUUAGUACCCAGACAAUCUGAGCACAUGCUCACUAGUUGAGCGAUUCUCCUCCAUCUUUUAGCCAUAGAACUUGCUGGAAACUUCAUAUCUCUCAACUCGGGUAUUUGCUUGAAAUAUUAACUUCAACUCUUGGAACAUCUCAUAUGGUCUAUGACGUUCAAAACGUCUUUGAAGUCCCGAUUCUAAGCCAUUAAGCAUGGUGCACUAAACUAUCAAGUAGUCAUCAUAUUGAGCUAGCCAAACGUUCAUAACGUCUGCAUCUGCUCCUGCAAUAGGUUUGUCACCUAGCGGUGCAUCAAGGACAUAAUUCUUCUGUGCAGCAAUGAGGAUAAAACUCAGAUCACGGAUCCAAUCCGCAUCAUUGCUACUAACAUCUUUCAACACAAUUUUCUCUAGGAACAUAUCAAAAUAAACACAGGGAAGCAACAACGCGAGCUAUUGAUCUAUAACAUGAUUUACAAAAUACUACCAGGACUAAGUUCAUGAUAAAUUUAAGCUCAAUUAAUCAUGUUACUUAAGAACUCCCACUUAGAUAGACAUCCCUCUAAUCCUCUAAGUGAUCACGUGAUCCAAAUCAACUAAACCAUAACCGAUCAUCACGUGAAAUGGAUUAGUUUUCAAUGGUGAACAUCAUUAUGUUGAUGAUAUCUACUAUAUGAUUCACGCUCGACCUUUCGGUCUCCGUGUUCCGAGGCCAUAUCUUUAUAUGCUAGGCUCGUCAAGUUUAACCUGAGUAUUCUGCGUGUGCAAAACUGGCUUGCACCAGUUGUAGAUGGACGUAGAGCUUAUCACACCCGAUCAUCACGUGGUGUCUGGGCACGACGAACUUUGGCAACGGUGCAUACUCAGGGAGAACACUUCUUGAUAAUUUAGUGAGAGAUCAUCUUAUAAUGCUACCGUCAAUCAAAGCAAGAUAAGAUGCAUAAAAAGAUAAACAUCACAUGCAAUCAAUAUAAGUGAUAUGAUAUGGCCAUCAUCAUCUUGUGCUUGUGAUCUCCAUCUCCGAAGCACCGUCAUGAUCACCAUCGUCACCGGCGCGACACCUUGAUCUCCAUCGUAGCAUCGUUGUCGUCUCGCCAAUCUUAUGCUUCCACGACUAUCGCUACCGCUUAGUGAUAAAGUAAAGCAUUACAUCGCGAUUGCAUUGCAUACAAUAAAGCGACAACCAUAUGGCUCCUGCCAGUUGCCGAUAACUCGGUUACAAAACAUGAUCAUCUCAUACAAUAAAAUUUAGCAUCAUGCCUUGACCAUAUCACAUCACAACAUGCCCUGCAAAAACAAGUUAGACGUCCUCUACUUUGUUGUUGCAAGUUUUACGUGGCUGCUACGGGCUUAAGCAAGAACUCAUCUCACCUACGCAUCAAAACCACAACGAUAGUUUGUCAAAUAGAUUCCGUUUUAACCUUCUCAAGGACCGGGCGUAGCCACACUUGGUUCAACUAAAGUUGGAGAGACAGUCGCCCGCAAGCCAUCUAUGUGCAAAGCACGUCGAGGGAACCGGUCUCGCGUAAGCGUACGCGUAAGGUUGGUCCGGGUCGUCUCGUCCAACAAUACCGCCGAACCAAAGUAUGACAUGCUGGUAGGCAGUAUGACUUGUAUCGCCCACAACUCACUUGUGUUCUACUCGUGCAAAUAAUAUCAAACCAUAAAACCUAGGCUCGGAUGCCACUGUUGGGGAACGUAGUAAUUUCAAAAAAUUUCCUACGCACACGCAAGAUCAUGGUGAUGCAUAGCAACGAGGGGGAGAGUCUGAUCUACGUACCCUUGUAGAUCGCAACGGAAGCGUUGACACAACGUAGAGGAAGUAGUCGUACGUCUUCUUCCCGAUCCGACCGAUCCAUGCACCGUUACUCCGGCACCUCUGAGUUCUUAGCACACGUUCAGCUCGAUGACGAUCCCCGGGCUCCGAUCCAGCAAAGCUUCGGGGAGGAGUUCCGUCAGCAUGACAGCGUGGUGACGAUCUUGAUGUUCUACCGACGCAGGGCUUCGGCUAAGCACUACAACGGUAUGGUCGAGGUGGAAUAUGGUGGCAGGGGGCACUGGACACGGCUAAGGAACGAUCUCAAUGAUCAACUUGUGUGUCUAGAGGUGCCCCUACCCUCGUAUAUAAAGGUUGCCAGGGGAGGGCUGGCCGGCCAAGCUAUGGAGGCGCAGGAGGAGUCAAACUCCUACCGGGAGUAGGACUCCCCCCCCCCAAUCUUAUUCCUAAUAGGACUCCCAAGGGGAAAGAGAGGGAGAGAGGUGGCCGGCCACCUCUCCUAGUCCUAAUAGGACUAGGGGAGGGGGGAGGCGCGCAGGCCACCUUGGGCUGCCCCUUUCACCUUUCCACUAAGGCCCAAUAAGGCCCAUUUGGUUCCCGGGGGUUCCGGUAACCUCCCGGUACUCCGGUAAAAUCCCGAUUUCUCCCGGAACACUUCCGAUGUCCAAACAUAGGCUUCCAAUAUAUCAAUCUUUAUGUAUCGACCAUUUCGAGACUCCCCGUCAUGUCCAGGAUCACAUCCGGGACUCCGAACAACCUUCGGUACAUCAAAAUGCAUAAACUCAUAAUAACUGUCAUCGUAACGUUAAGCGUGCGGACCCUACGGUUCGAGAACAAUGUAGACAUGACCGAGACACGUCUCCGGUCAAUAACCAAUAGCGGGACCUAGAUGCCCAUAUUGGCUCCUACAUAUUCUACGAAGAUCUUUAUCGGUCAGACCGCAUAACAACAUACGUUGUUCCCUUUGUCAUCGGUAUGUUACUUGCCUGAGAUUCGAUCGUCGGUAUCCAAUACCUAGUUCAAUCUCGUUACCGGCAAGUCUCUUUACUCAUUCUGUAAUACAUCAUCUCGCAACUAACUCAUUAGUUGCAAUGCUUGCAAGGCUUGUAUAAUGUGCAUUACCGAGAGGGCCCAGAGGUACCUCUCCGACAAUCGGAGUGACAAAUCCUAUUCUCGAAAUACGCCAACCCAACAUCUACCAUUGGAAACACCUGUAGUACUCCUUUAUAAUCACCCAGUUACAUUGUGAUGUUUGGUAGCACCCAAAGUGUUCCUCCGGCAAACGGGAGUUGCAUAAUCUCAUAGUCAUAGGAACAUGUAUAAGUCAUGAAGAAAGCAAUAGCAACAUACUAAACGAUCGGGUGCUAAGCUAAUGGAAUGGGUCAUGUCAAUCAGAUCAUUCAUCUAAUGAUGUGAUCCCAUUAAUCAAAUAACAACACUUUGUCCAUGGUUAGGAAACAUAACCAUCUUUGAUUAACGAGCUAGUCAAGUAGAGGCAUACUAGUGACACUCUGUUUGUCUAUGUAUUCACACAUGUAUUAUGUUUCUGGUUAAUACAAUUCUAGCAUGAAUAAUAAAUAUUUAUCAUGAUAUAAGGAAAUAAAUAAUAACUUUAUUAUUGCCUGUAGGGCAUAUUUCCUUCACUUCAAGUGUGUGUUGCCGAACAAAUUUGUUGCCGGAGGCAUCAUUGCCAAGCUUCCACCUUCGUGGAACAAUUUUGCUACUUCCCUGAAACACAAGAGACAGGAGUUUUUCGUUGCGGAUCUCAUUGGUACUCUUGAUGUUGAAGAGAAGGCGAGAGCAAAGGAUACACGUGCUCGAGUUGCUGAGGGAGGUUCUAGUGCCCACAUGGUACAGAAGAAGAUCUUCCAGCCCAACAAGUUCAAAAACAACAAGAACAAAACUUAGGGCAAAGGCAAGUUUGAUACAAAGAACAAGCCAUCACAUUCUACCAACUUCAAGAAGAACUCUCAUAAGAAGGGGAAGGGACUUUGCCAUGUCUGCGGUGAUCCUAAUCACUGGGCUCCGAAGUGUCCUAACCGCUUUGAGGAGCGCGAACAUGAGAAGAGCGGCAAGUCUGCUAAUGUUGUCAUCGGUGAUACUGAUAUGAAGGAAUCAGGGUACGGUAUUUUUCCUACCAUCCUUUCAGUAUUCCAAAUCCCUGAUUGGUUAAUUGACAUCGGUGCCAAUGUACAUGUUUGUGCUGAUGCCUCCAUGUUUUCUUCUUACCAGGCCACUUGGACUUCUCCUGUGCUGAUGGGGAACGGGUCACAUGCCAUCGUUCGAGGUGUUGGUGCGGUCAAUCUGAAGUUUACUUCGGGGAAGACCGUGCGUCUGAAGAACGUUCAUCAUGAGCCGUCCAUCAAUAAAAAUCUCGUUAGCGGUUCCCGUUUAUGUCGAGAUGGUUUUAAGUUGGUUUUCGAAUCCAAUAAAGUUAUAAUUUCUAAGUAUGGACAAUUUGUUGGAAAAGGCUAUGAGAGCGGAGGCUUGUUUCGCCUGUCUUUGUCAGAUAUUUGCACUAAAGUUAUUAAUAAUGUUUGCCACAACAAUGAGUCUGAUAUUUGGCAUUCACGACUUUGUCACAUUAACUUUGGUUGCAUGACCCGGCUAGCCAAUAUGAAUUUAAUUCCGAAAUCUCUACUGUCAAAGGCUCUAAGUGCCAAGUAUGUGUGAAAGCUAAGCAACCUCGCAAAUCCCAUAAGACUGCAGAGGCGACAGACUUGGCGCCACUAGAGCUUAUACAUUCUGAUAUUUGUGAGAUGAAUGGCGUGUGGACAAAAGGUGGAAAGAGAUACUUCAUGACGUUGAUUGAUGACUCCACUAGAUAUUGUUAUGUGUAUCUUAUGAAAUCAAAAGAUGAGGCUUUGGCUUUCUUCAAAAACUAUAAAGCUGAGGCAGAGAACCAACUUGAUCGAAAAAUUAAACGGCUUAGGUCCGAUCAUGGUGGAGAGUAUUUUUCCAAUGAAUUUGAUCUAUUUUGUGCGGAACAUGGUAUAAUCCAUGAGAGGAUGCCUCCCUACUCACCCCAGUCAGAUGCGGUAGCCGAAAGAAAGAACCAAACUCUAACUGAUAUGGUUAACACCAUGUUAGACACUUCGGGUCUAUCCAAGGAAUGGUGGGGGGAGGCGCUAAUGACUGCGUGUCAUGUCCUAAACCGAGUUCCCACAAAGCAUAAGACCAUGACUCCAUUUGAGGAAUGUUAAAGGAAAAGGUUGAAACUCUCUUACCUACGUACUUGGGGUUGUUUGGCGAAAGUCAAUAUACCAAUUCCCAAGAAGCGCAAGCUUGGACCAAAAACCGUGGGUUGUGUUCUUCUUGGGUAUGCUUUUCAUAGCAUCGGCUAUAGAUUUUUGAUAAUAAAAUCUGAGGUAUCCGACAUGCAUGUUGGUACGAUUAUGGAGUCGAAUGAUGCAACUUUCUUUGAGGACAUAUUUCCUAUGAAGGAUAUGUUGAGUUCAUCAAAUCAGGAGACACCUACUCCACCUAGUGAGGAAUUCACUGUAAUUCCUGAACCCACCAUUGCGAUGGAACACAUAGAGAAUCCUGUUGAGGGUGACAAUGGAACUCCUGUGAGGAGUAAGAGACAUAGGACUACAAAGUCCUUUGGUGAUGAUUUCAUUGUGUACCUCGUGGAUGACACACCCAGGACUAUUUCAGAAGCCUGUGCAUCUCUUGAUGCUGACUACUGGAAGGAAGCUGUACAUAGCGAGAUGGAUUCCAUCUUAGGUAACAGAACCUGGGAGAUCACUGACCGUCCUUAUGGGUGAAAACCUGUAGGAUGUAAGUGGGUGUUCAAGAAGAAGCUUAGACCUGAUGGUACGAUUGAAAAGUACAAGGCACGGCUUGUGGCCAAGGGUUAUACCCAGAAAGAAGGUGAAGACUUCUUUGAUACUUACUCACCCGUGGCUAGAAUGACCACAAUUUGGGUGCUACUAUCACUUGUUGCCUCACAUGGUCUUCUCGUUCAUCAAAUGGACGUUAAGACAGCUUUCCUCAAUGGAGAGUUGAAGGAGGAAAUUUACAUGGAUCAGCCAGAUGGUUUUGUAGUACCUGGUUAGUAAGGAAAGUUGUGCAAGUUAUUAAAGUCUUUAUAUGGCCUUAAACAAGCUCCUAAAGAGUGGCAUGAGUAGUUUGAAAGAACAUUAACUGCUGCCGGCUUUGUAGUAAACGAUGGUGACAAGUGCGUGUACUAUCGCUAUGGUGGUGGCGAAGGAGUUAUUCUUUGUCUGUAUGUCGACGACAUAUUGAUCUUUGGAACGAAACUUGAUUUAAUCAAGGAGGUUAAGGAUUUCUUAUCUCGCUAUUUUGAGAUGAAGGAUCUAGGAGUAGUUGAUGUUAUCUUAAACAUCAAGCUGUUGAGAGAUGAGAAUGAUGGGAUCACACUGCUUCAGUCUCACUAUGUGGAAAAGGUCUUGAGUCGUUUUGGGUAUAGCGACUGCACACCUUCUCCAACUACAUAUGAUGCUAGCAUGUUGCAUCGAAAGAAUCGACGGAUUGCUAGAGAUCAACUGAGGUAUUCUCAUAUUAUUGGCUCGCUUAUGAUUUGGCGAGUGCCACGAGGCCAAACAUCUCGUUUGCUGUUAGCAAGCUGAGUCGAUUUGUGUCAAAACUAGGAGAUGAUUAUUGGCAUGCGCUUGAGAGAGUUAUGCGCUAUUUGAAAGGCACCGCGAGCUAUGGGAUUCACUACACCGGGUAUCCAAGGGUACUGGAGGGUUAUAGUGACUCAAACUGGAUAUCUGAUGCUAAUGAGAUUAAGGCCACAAGUGGUUAUGUUUUUACACUUGGUGGUGGCGCUGUUUCUUGGAAGUCCUGCAAGCAGACCAUCUUAAUGAGGUCAACUAUGGAAGCAGAACUCACAACAUUAGAAACUGCUACUGUUGAAGCAGUGUGGCUUCGUGAGCUCUUGAUGGACUUUCCUAUGGUUGAAAAACCAAUACCCCCUAUCCCAAUGAACUGUGAUAAUCAAACUGUGAUCGUCAAGAUAAACAGUUCUAAGGACAAUAUGAAGUCCUCAAGGCAUGUGAAGAGGAGACUGAAAUCUGUUAGAAAAUUGAGGAACUCCGGAGUUAUUACGUUGGAUUAUAUCCAAACGUCAAAAAAAUUGGCAGAUCCCUUCACAAAGGGUCUAUCACGUAAUGUGAUAGAUAAUGCAUCGAUGGAGAUGGGUUUGAGACCCACCGCAUGAGUUGUCCAUAGUGGUAACCCACUCUUUGUGAUCGGAGAUCCCGUGAAGUAGAAGUGGGAGACAAGCUGUUGGUCAGCUGGGAGGAGAGUAUCCCUAUAUUACCUGUCCCACUCCAUGAAGAUGCAACACUCUCCUAAUCUGCAUGGCAGGUUGAUACUUAUCUUAAUGUGUUCCAAGUGGCUUAUUCGGGUAAGCAGAGAUGUUGUCCUGCGGAACAUCUUCUGAGGAACACACCUAUAUGAAUUUGAUUGUUAACGUCGCAGUCUGUGAGAAUUGGGUGUUCUCUAAUAAAUUCAUGAAAAGGCCCUGGAGUAUGACGUAUAAGCUCCACCCGCAGGGAAGCCUUGCGGCAGCCCAGUAUCGGUCAAGAAUUUGUGUGAAACUAGUCUCGCAGAAAAUUUGUAGUUCAAGGCAUAGUCCACUAUUCAAGUUGUGAUCUAGUGUAGCAUAAAUCUCUAAGUGGAAGUUCAACUUCAAAGUCUCCACUAAGCCCCGGUAUAUAAACAAUGUUUUGGAACUAAAUGAUGAGAUGUGCCAAUGAGACUUUGUGGGGGAUUGUUGGAAUUUUGCUAGUAUGCCUUUGGCCCAAAGCCCAACUAAAAUUCUGAAAUUCUCUUCGCCCAUUCAUGCACACAUGUGAGUGGAGUGAGUGAGACUAAAGUUUAGUCCCACCCCGGAAGUUGAGAGAGAGCACCUCUUUAUAAGGUGAGCUCUUCUACCACUUGUAUGAGCAUGAGAGUAGGAGACCUACACACGCGCUGCUCCUCCUCGCUCACCACGCCACGCCUGGUCACGACGCGCCGCGGGUUGCGGGAUUGAGCCGAGCCGAGGUCAGAGCUAUGCACGUUGUCUAUUUUUUGCUACCCCGGAAAAUUAAUGAGUCAUUAAUUAAUAAUUAAUGGACGUGUUAAUUACUAAACCGUUUCCGAUUCUUUUGGAUCAUGACGACUCGGACGUGGGGUUUACUCCCACGACCUACCAGGCCCGCACUAUAUAGUCCGGCAGACGUGUACCCUAGCUGUCGCCGCUUCGUAUGGUUUCUCACCACCGUUCCAGAUCAUUGCGUCGCCAAGCAAGUCUUCUCCAUCCCUCCUUUCGGCGUGCACCGGGAGAAGGGACAGCAGGCCUCCGGAACCCCGCCUCUCGUGAUCCUGUAUGGGAGAGGGGCGAUCAGGUUUUUGGGGAGCGCACUCGCGCGACUUCUGGCAGCGACGACUUCGCGAAUGACGACUUCUUCCCUGACCUCGGCAACCUCAUCCUCGACGACAUGGGCGACAACGUCAACGCCGGCGGUCCUGCACCCGCUGCACCGUAUGUUAUUCUAUCCUUCUUGUUCGAGAUCGUGGUAGAAUUCAGGUUUCUAGUAUAUGCCCUAGAUGUGAUCUGUUCAUCUACUAUGCUAGUUCGCAUGAUUAGUUUAAUCUCUGCUAUUGCUGUCAUGAUCUAUUUCCUAUUUAUUCGGAUUAAAUCUCGUAGUAAUUUGCUCAUUUUUCCAAUAGUACCAUCUAAUAGAUGAUGUAAAUCUCCUCUAGUUUGACGUUGUUGAGCUAAUUUACAAAAAAAAAACCUCAUCAUUAUUGGACGUCCUUAACAGCUCAAGAACAAGUUGGGGUCGAACUAAUGGAUUUUACACUUUUACAUUAAAGGUUUAGCUAAAGCUAGCAGGUGUUUUUAAACCUGAAUUUUUUUUUCCUCCUGAAUUUCUUUGUAUUUUCUUAUUGACACUAUUUAUACAAUCAUCUGACAAAGAUUAGCUAAAGAUGUUUGUAGAUACGUUGAAACCUGAAAAGCUUCUUUGGUUAUCCUUUUAAUAGUUCUACGUUUAAUUUCUCAUAGGUCAUAAUUCUUAUGUAAUACCAAGAUGCAUUGUGGUAGUGUACAUGUGUUCAAUUCAGGUUGUUAUUCACAAUUUGCGACAAAAUUUAGCUCACGCUACAUUUAAAUAUGUUGAAAUGUGAAUGCUCUUUUUCUUCUCCUUUCUACACCUUGCAUCGGAUUGCAUCCCUUUAGUUAUCCAACAUUUUGUACAACAUGUAGAGAUUAGGAAGUUCAUCAUAGUUUGUCUAUUUCCGUGCUAAUAAAUGUAUGAAAUCUGCAUUUCCAAGCUACUAGGACAAGUAAAAAAUAAUAAUUUUACUAUAGGAUUCAAAAACAGCAGUUCUGAAGUGCACUUUAUUUAUUUUUGAAAGUGAUCACAUUUUGUUUCAUUUUUCUAUAGACAAAUCUACUAAUACAUACUCACGAUAAAACUAUAAAAAUUCUAGUCCGCACAUUGGGCGGGCCACCCGGCUAGUUAGUCUAAAGAUAACAAAAUGAGUCUGGAAUUUGAAUUAAAUUGAAGUAUUUUCUUGGACUUUCAAAUUAAGUUUUAUUAAAGUAGUAAGGACUAUCCACAUCCUUGGCUUGCCCCUGAUCAAUUAUUUCCAGAGAAGCAUUCGAUUCAUCAAUCAAUUACAUUGAUUUUAGUGGCUGGUACUUCUCCUCAACAUCAGUAUAUUCACCGUGGCCACUCCAAAUCGGCAAGAAUGAGGUACCAGUGCUCUGCAGCAGUGCAAGCUAAUUGCUUCUCAUGUGAAGGGGUGCGGGCGCAGGAGAGGUAUUUCUGGUGGGCCAAGGGACUAAGAAGCGACUGUGGCAGCGGUAUAGAUGCCCGCAAAGCCCCAUAGUUUGUUUUUCGUUUACAGGAAAAAUGCACAUCCAUACCAACCUUGGGAAUAUAGGACCGUAUUGGAUGGAAAACCAUGUCCGGAUGGUUGCGAGCGGUUUGAGGGUUAGCUUUUGUAACGCCCGGUUAGUUAUGCUAUAGCAAUUCCCUGCUAAUGAUGUCACGUCACCACGAUUACUAUUGUUAACCUCACAAUGAUUCAAUCCCCUUCAAAUUCAAAUUUAAAAUAAAGGUAAACAUCAAAAGUUUUCAAACAUUAAAACUAAAAUCUUUGAGAGGUGACAAAUAAUGCAUAAGUAAUUAUGGUGGAGAAACCACACUUUAAUCAAAUGUUUAAAUACUCUAAAAUGAAAAAAACAGUUGCUUAAACUAUUAUUUAAAUGCUUUUAAAAUAGUAAAAAUCUUCUAACUAAAUUAUUUGGGUACCAAACUUUUGGUGGCAGUGGUAUAUUUAGUAGAAUUAAUUUAGAUGCUAAUUAUAUAAUUUACAAAAUUAGAGUAAAUUGAAAAAUAGGAUAAAACGGAAAAGGAAAGACAAAACAAAUAAAAGCAAAAGGGGCCAACCCCUCGCUGGGCCUCGACCUAGCUGCCACUAGGCUAGCUAGGCUGGCCCCGGCGCCUCCCUUAACCCCCCCCCCCACUCCCCAUCGAACCCAAGCCCGAUCGCCCCACUUCCCCCACACCCCCUCGCCAGCCUCCCCACCUCUUGAUCCCAUCUGGAUCGGGGAGGGUAUUGCCCCCAUCGACCCCGUUGCCGUCGCCGGAUUGCCCGCCGAUGUCGCCAGGCCUCCUCCCCGCCGCCCGUCUCCGGCUCGCCUCCCCUCUCGCUCCUCUUCCCCGACCCGAUCUAGAUCGUGAACGAGCAAUGAGCUCGAAGCCCCCUUCACCGGCGCCAUCACCGUGCGCCACCACCACCGCCUGAGGACCUCACCGUCGCCGAAUCUAGCGUCGCCUCCUCGUAUCCCUCCCCUACUCGCGUCCUCAAGCCAGGACGAGCCCCUUCUCGGCAACGCUGUGAGACGCCCCCGUUUCCCUCCUCUUUCCACCGCGUUCAUCGCGCCGCCCGCCGUGCCCCUCGCCGUGCGCACGCCCACCACCGCACCAGCCCCCGCUCCGCGCACGACCCUACCCGCGCCCGCGCCAUGAUCCCCUUUUCCGCCCUACCUUCCUGCGCUCGCCGCGGUCCCGAUGCUCCCCCGCGCCCUCUUUCGGGGGCGCCGACCUCCCCUGUCCCGCUGCUCGGCGCCGUGCCUCGCAAUCGCUCUACUGCUAAGUUACUACUGCGCUGCGGCCGUCGCCUCUUCCUUCUGCUCCGCUAGCGCCGAAGCUCCCGAUUGGCUCCACCACUUCUCACGUUAAACCGCCGGCCUAAAUGGCCUAACCCCGGGCUAAUGAACCCCCACUAACCCACUGACACCGGGACCCACAUUCCCUAAUUAACCAUUUAAUAAAUUAAAACUCUUAAAUUAACAUUAGUGUAUGACAUGUGCGUCCCCUAUUAAUUAAUAAUUUUACUGCUAGUUUUCUUAGUUUCUGUUUUUCUGCAUAUUUCUUUUGUAUUUGAACAGGCUUUAUACAAUAAUAUUUAGCGUCUCAUACACAUACAAAUGUAAUUAUAGCAUAUACAUACAAAUAGUCUCAUCAAAUCAUGUGAUCAUCAUAAUCAUCAUCCAUCACAAAGUGAUCUCUCGUCAUCAUCUCGAAAAUAGCGAUACUAGUCUCGAUUACUUGCAACUACAUCGUCAUCCAUCUAAACAAUGAUAUACGCGAGAAGAGCUAUCACUAUGAGUGAGAGCGGAACUAUGCAGUACAUGAGUUUGUAUCCCUCUCUCACAUUAGCGUGAACCUAAACUAACUACUGGCUGUUGCUCGGAAACCGGAAAACGGUACACCUGGGCCUGACACUCCGGCCACUCGUCGUAUACUCCUGGCGUAGCACUUCUUCGCCAUCGAUGAUCUAUGCACCUGCAUCGUCACAUGAGUCGAUGAUAUGCAACAUAUAUAGUUGAGCAACAGAAAGAGACAGACGUGGCAAAAGUAGAAGCAACAUAUCAUAAGCAUAAAUAACAAAGCUCAUCGUACGCAAAAUGCCCUAACUAGAGUGAUCUGCGCUAGUCAAGGAGGACGGUUUAAUUACAUCACAAAUAAUGUUUCGUCGUGCAUUACUCAAAGUUCCGUCAUACAGAAAGUAUGAACUAAAUGGACACAUUGUCAUAUUUCGAAAAUCACUCCCACAUGUCGUGCCAUCCAUCCAAGUCAAGGAGAUAGUGCCCGAGCUUAGUGAAAGGCUUUAGGUCAAGAUGCUGAGUGGCUACGCGUGUUCGGACGUCUUCCCACGACAUUUGUCCUUCUUCAUAGAACAUCCCUGUUUUUUCGACGACCUCCUUCAUCACUAGAAGAAAAAGGGCCUGUUGUCCCGGUUCUGGAACCGGGACUAAAGGGUCGGUACUAAUGCCCUGUCCCUUUAGUCCCGGUUCAAUCCAGAACCGGGACAGAUGGGCCUCCACGUGGCCUGUGCGCGGAGCCCAGGCAGGAGACCCUUUGGUCCCGGUUGGUGGCACCAACCGGGAACAAUAGGCAUCCACGCGUCAGCAUUUCUGUGGUUGGGGUUUUUGUUNNNNNNNNNNNNNNNNNNNNNNNNNNNNNNNNNNNNNNNNNNNNNNNNNNNNNNNNNNNNNNNNNNNNNNNNNNNNNNNNNNNNNNNNNNNNNNNNNNNNNNNNNNNNNNNNNNNNNNNNNNNNNNNNNNNNNNNNNNNNNNNNNNNNNNNNNNNNNNNNNNNNNNNNNNNNNNNNNNNNNNNNNNNNNNNNNNNNNUGGUGUUUCAUAUAUUGUGUUAGCUAGCUAUAAUUAAUAGAGAAAAGUGUCCUCUCUUAUGUCCGUGCUUGGUCGACGCUACGUACUAUACAUACGUAUAGAGAGGACUAGACACGCUAGCUAGCUAGUAAGCAAACGAAGGAAACAGAAGAUCGUCAUGAACAUAUAUGCAUACAGGACUAGACACGCUAGCUAGCUAGUAACCAAACGAAGUUCAACUAGUAAUGGCGCACCACUCCCACGGUGCGCCAUUAGUAGUUUUGAAAAAAAUUAAUUUUUUUUUUUACUAAUGGCGCACUGUGGAUGUGGUGCGCCAUUAGUAUUUGGACACUAAUGGCGUACCAACACAUGGUGCGCCAUUAGUAUAUAGUAAUGGCGCACCACAGGUCUGGUGCGCCAUUAGUGUCAAUUCCAUCUAUAGCCCUUUUCCUAGUAGUGUUAGGGACGGUCUCAAUGAAACAACCCACCAUGUACUCCUGCAUGGCCUCUCAUCGAUACCUUUACCGAAACAUGUGCAACACAUUCCUCAUAUUACCGACAUAAUCAUAUCACCCUAGCCCAUCACCCAGAUGAACCAGACCUGACACAACUAUAAGCAUAGCAGGCAUAGCAAGGUAGGAAUCACAUACAUGGCUCAAUCAACUCCUACACAUGCUAGUGGGUUUCAUCUAGUUACUGUGGCAAUGACAGGUCAUGGAGAGGAUAAGGGUUCAACUACCGUAGCACACAGCAGUUUGAAUGGCGUUGUCUUAAUGCAGUAAACAAGAGCAGAGGCGAGAACAUGGGUUGUAUCGGAAUGAUCAAUGGGUUGCUUGACUGAUGGAGUGGUAGUGGGAUACUACCCUUCAGUUGGAUACUCGUGAAUAUCCUCGGAGGCAGAACCUACCACGAAGAACACAUCGGAACACAAUCAACACAUGACGAUAUGCAACACUAUGAUGCAUGCUAUGACAUGGCAUUAUGAAUGUGUCUUGGCCUAAUGCAAGCUAAAAUAGAAAGGGAUGAACUCAUUUGAAUCAAAGAUUCAAAUAUUAGCUCAUUAAACAUGGCCUUAGUAGUGCAUUUCCUUAUUCUGCUUAAACAGCAAGGUAAACUUGUUUUGUCAUACAUGAAACCAUUACAGAUGGAUGUAUUGAAUUUUUCUGAUAAUUUUUCAUAUAUAAAUUAUUUCAUUUGGAGUUACGGUUGAAUUUCUAUGAUUUUUAGAAGUUUUAAACAUUUUCUGGAAUUUCCUGAAUAAAAAUAAAUCCAGAAAAUGCAUUACUGCGUCAGUAUUGCAUCAUGCUGACCUCAGCAGGUCAAAGGCGCCAGCCCAGGUCAAAACUGACUGGUGGGCCCCUUCUGUCAGUCUCUCAGUUAAAUAAUAGGAUUAGAUUAACACUAAUUAGCUGUCAGUGGGGCCUGGGCCCACAUGUCACUGACUGAUUAAAAUAAAAUUAGUUAAAACUAAUCCUUGAUUAGUUAGCAGACCGGCCCCUCCUGUCAUAGACUCAGGGGGGUCUACCUGGGCCCACCCAGGGUCAAACUGGGUCAAACUCGCCGGCGUUGAGCCGCCGGCGAGACCCGAGACGGUGGCGCAGCUCGGAAAACGCCUACAGGGCACGAGCGAGGCCGUUCUUGGGCUCGUUGGAGAGCUCUUGCAGCCGCGCAUCUAGUGGUGGUGGGGGCCGGAGACGACGACGGCGAGCUCCAAGGCGGCGGCUGGAGUUCGGCCAUGUGCGGGGUGUGGGCUGUGGCGUGCAAACGUGGAAACUGAAGCGCUAGCGAGGCACUACGCGAUGCGGCAAGCACGUUGCAUAGCACGGGAUGAUCCAAUGGUCGCCGGAGCGGCGCCGGCGACAAGCUCGAGCCGAGACGAGCUUCGGCCAUGGUGGAACUAUGGCCUAGAGGGUGCAAACGCGUGGAAAAGAAGAGGGGAAAGGUGGCGGAGCUCACAGGGAGGUCGAUGAGCAGCUCAAUGGGCUCGGGGGUCACCGGAGUGAGGCGAAUCGAUGAGCGGCGUCCGGCGGGUACCGAGGUUGAAGACGAUCCGAUGGCGGCGAUGCAGGGACUCCGGCGAUGCGUGGCUCAGUGGGGAGGGCGAGGGCGUCACAGCGGAGCUUCUGGACAGGUCAGAGAGGCGAGGGGGUGACGGAGGGCGCGACUACGGCGGUGAGACGGCGACGGGUGCGUCGGCCAUUGCGGGAGAGGGAGAGGGAGACAAGUGGGAGAGUGAGAGAGGAUGAGAGGGGGACGUGGGGGUCGCGUGGCAUUCCCUGGACGUCUCCCAGCAUCGGCGGAAGCAGGAGGUGGCCGGCGUGUGGCCGCGGGCGCCGGCCACGCGCUCCACGUCCUUCUGGCGUGAGGAGGACGACGACUGGCAGCGCCAGUAGGCUGGGCCGAGCCAGGGGGCUGGCCAGCACAGGUAAGGCCCAGGUGGGCAUCUCCCUCUUUUUUUUAAUUUGUUUCUGUUUUCUAUUUAACUGUAACUGUUGGGCUUUAUUUAAAAUACUAAAACAUUUCCAAAAAUCCUGAAAAUAAUUGUGGGCUCUGUUUGGAUUAUUUCCAACAGCAGACAUUUAUUUCCAGAAUUAUUUGAGCAUUUAAAUGCCCAAAUUCAAAUACUUAUGAUUUAAAUCAAUGACCUUCUAUUGACCUCGAAAAGUUGUGCACCAAUUUUGCCAGAGGUUCUAACCCAAGACAAAGAGGGUGAACUUUUUAGAAGGGCAUUUCAGGUUCAUUGAAAAUAAUUUUAGUAAUCCCUAGUUGUUUCCAGGGGGGUGUUGGGGGUUUCUGCCUUCCCCAAUUCAAAUUUAAGAGGAAUUUAAACAUGAUGCACAUUCUAAUGCUUGAUCUAGCUAGGGUGUGACAACUCACCCCCACUCAAAAGAAUCUCAUCCCGAGAUUUAGGAUCCUCUGGAAAGAAGGUGGGGUACUCGAGUCGAAGACGAUCCUCCCUUUCCCAAGUGGCUUCUUUCUCGGAAUGGUGUGACCAUUGAACCAUGAGAAACUUGAUAUUAUGACGUCGAGUAGUAUGCUCGGCUUGAUCAAGGAUACGAACGGGAUAUUCCUGAUAAGAGAGGUUAUCUUGUAGAUCAAGCGUUUCGUGGUCCACUCCACGGAUAGGAUCCGCGAAGCAACGCCUGAGUUGUGAAACGUGGAAGACAUCAGGAACUCUGGAAAGAUGCGGAGGUAGUUCCAAUUGGUAGGCAACUUCUCCUUGUUUGGCAAGAAUGCGAACGGGUCCAAUGUAACGAGGAGCCAAUUUGCCUUUGAUACCGAAACGAUGGGUUCCUUUUAACGGGGUAACCCGAAGGUAAGCCUUCUCAUCGACUUCAUAAGUCAUAGAGUUAUGUUUAUGAUCAUAUUGACUCUUUUCACGAGAUUGGGCUGUUUUCAAUUUCUCACGAAUAACGCGAACCUGCUCUUCCGCUUCCUGAAUCAUAUCCGGGCCAAAGAGUUGUCUUUCCCUGGUUUCUGACCAGUUAAGGGGUGUUCGAUAUUUUCGUCCAUAGAGAACUUUGAAAGGAGCUUUGCCCAAGCUAGCUUGAUAACUAUUGUUAUAAGCAAACUCUGCGAAUGGGAGGCAUUUCUCCCAACUCAUUCUGAAUGAGAUAACAGAAGCUCAGAGCAUAUGUUCCAGAAUUUGAUUGACUCGCUCUACUUGACCACUUGACUGAGGAUGGAAGGCGGUACUAAAAGAGAGACGAGUUCCCAUAGCAUUUUGGAAACUUUCCCAAAAUCGAGAGGUGAAGAGACUCCCACGCUCUGAGUUAUUUUCCAAUGGGACACCAUGGAGAGACACUAUUCGGGAGAUGUAUAAAUCGGCUAGCUGGCUAGCAGUGAUACUCUCACGAACAGGUAGGAAAUGGGCUACUUUGGAAAGACGGUCGAUGAUGACGAAGAUGGCAUUAUUCCCUCUCUUGGUCCUGGGAAACCCAGUAAUGAAAUCCAUACUGAUUUUAUCCCAUUUCCAUUCAGGAAUAGCCAAAGGUUGAAGGGUGCCAGUAGGCCGUUGAUGCUCUGCUUUAACACGAAUACAGACGUCACAGCUAGCAAUGUAUCGAGCAAUUUCUCUCUUCAUCCUAGUACACCAAAACCUCUCGCGUAGGUCUUGAUACAUUUUUGUGCUACCGGGAUGAAUGGUGAGAGGGGAUUCAUGAGCUUCCUUAAGGAUCAAUUGGCGUAGAUGUUGUUUCUUGGGAACCACCAAACGGUUCUCAAAGAAGACAGCACCCCGCUUAUCCAUGGAAAAACAUUUAGCAACUCCGCUAGCAAUGUUUUCCUUAAUCCGGGAUAUGCCCUUAUCAUACCGCUGGGCAGUUAUGAUCUGAUCCAUAAGGUUAGGUUUCGCCACCAGGGUGGAUAGGAAUCCUCGAGGAACAAUGUGAAGAUUAAGCUUACGGAAUUCCUCAUGGAGAAGUGGUUGACUUUGUUGUAACAUCAGGUUGUUACAACAGGAUUUACGGCUUAGCGCAGCAGCCAUGACAUUGGCUUUGCCCGGUGUGUAGGUUAUUCCUAAGUCGUAAUCCGAGAUCAACUCAACCCAACGUCUUUGCCUGAGAUUCAAAUCUGGUUGGGUGAAGAUAUAUUUCAAGCUUUGGUGAUCGGUGAAGAUCUCGCAACGAUUACCGAGGAGGUAAUGUCGCGAAGUUUUAAGUGCAUGGACUACAGCUACCAGCUCUAGAUCAUAUGUGGGAUAAUUUUCCUCAUGUGGGUGUAAUUGCCAUGAAGCGUAGGCAAUUACCUGAGGAUCUUGCAUGAGUAUGCAACCUAGUCCUUGUCGCAGAUGUCAGGCGUCUUUUCAGUUCCUGAAAGCUGAACUCGCACUGUGGAGUCCACUCGAACUUUUUAUCUUUCUUGAGGAGUUCAAUUAGAGGUUUAGCAACCUUGGAGAAACUCUCGCCGAAGCGGCGGCAAUAGCUCGCUAAGCCAAGGAAGCUCCAAACUUGCUUGACCGUCUCAGGUGGAGUCCAAUCAAGGACCGCUUGAACUCGCUCGGGAUUGACGGCAAUACCCUUACCAGAGAUUACAUGGCCUAGAUAGGUUACUUCUGGCAACCAAAAUUCACACUUGGAGAACUUGGCAUAAAGGCGAUGCUCUCGAAGUUUCAUCAAUACCAGCCUUAGAUGUUCGGCAUGUUCCUCUUCAUUCUUGGAGUAGAUGAGUAUGUCAUCGAGGUAUACUACGACGAAUUUAUCCAAGUACUCCAUGAAAACCGAGUUCAUUAACCGGGAGAAGGUAGCCGGGGCAUUGGUUAAACCGAAGGACAUAACGGUGUACUCGUAUUGGCCAUAACGAGUAACAAAGGCCGUUUUGGGAAUGUCCCCGUUUCUGAUUUAGAUUUGAUGGUAGCCCAACCUCAAAUCCAUCUUGGAAAAGACUGAGGAUCCAGCGAGCUGAUCAUACAGAUCGUUGAUCCUGGGAAGUGGGUAUUUGUUCUUGAUGGUGACAAAGUUGACAGGUCGGUAAUCCACAACCAUUCGAUCUGUUCCAUCCUUCUUCUUGACGAAGAGGAUGGGGCAAGCCCAAGGAGAGGAACUAGGACGGAUGAAACCCUUUUUCAAGGACUCAUCGAGUUGGUUCUUAAGCUCGGCUAGUUCUAAGGGUGCCAUCUUGUAGGGUCUUCUAGAAAUUGGAACGGUUCCUGGAACAAGGUCUAUCACAAACUCGACAUCCCUGUCAGGUGGAACACCUGGCAGUUCUUCUGGAAAGACAUCCGGAAAGUCUCGGACUACCGGAACAUCCUCAAGGUCUGGAAGGGGGUUGGCAUUUAGGGAGUAAAGUUGGCGCUUGGCCACUCGAGUUAAGACAUUAACUGUCUUGCCCAAUGGGUGAGUAAGUUGAACGGUUCUAGUGGCACAGUCAAGCUUAGCAUAAUGAGCUGACAUCCACUCCAUACCUAAGAUGAUGUUUAUGUCCGAGGACUUGAGAGCUAUUAAGGAUACAAGGAAGACAAGUCUAUCGACAAGAAUUUCGUUCCCAUGGCUUACUCUAGAAGUUUGCCAUCUAGAGCUAGGGGUUUGAAUUUCCAUGGUAGAGGGCAUGUCACAGAAUGUCGUGUUGUGCAAUCGAGCAUAGUUCUCGGAUAUGAAUGGAUGAGAUGCUCUAGUAUCGAAAAGAACAGAUGUCGGAUGGCAGUUAACAAGGAGCGUACCAAGGACGAGGUUGGGAUCCUCAUGAGCCUCCUCGGCUGAAACAUAGUUGACAUGGCCACGUGCAGUGGUGGCUGGCUUGGCGUAGAAUGUUUUCCCCGCGGGCUUACCACGGCCAACGGACUUUCCAGUUUGAUUGGGGUUGUUGUUCUGGGGACACUCUCGGCUAUAGUGACCCGGCUCUCCACACUUAAAGCAUGUCACCACAUUGGGGCGUGGAGCAGCAUUAGCAGUAGGGCCACCAUAGGGCUUGGGCGGUGCAAAUUGCUGGUUGGGACGUGGUGCCUCAAAGGAUGGCCUCGGGAUGAACCUGGGUGGCAGUGCCGUGCUUGGAAUCCACACCCGGCGCUUCUGAGCUCUAGAGCCGGAUGAAGAGCCAAAAUCACGGGAGUGCUUGCAUGAAGCGUCAUAAUCAGUCUGGCCUUUCUCAGCACUGAUGGCUUUAUUGACCAACUUCUGAAAGGAGGUGCACUCGGGCAGACGAAGAUCGCGGUGAAGCUCAGGGCUAAGUCCCUUGCGGAACCUUGCCUGCUUCUUAGCAUCAAUAGAUACCUCUUUAGGGGCAUAACGUGCCAGAUUCCGAAAUUCACGACCGUAAGCAUCCACAGUCAGUCUUCCUUGGGUGAAGUUGCAGAACUCCUCCCUCUUGCGAUCCAUGAGACCUUCCAGAAUGUGAUGCUCACCGAAAGCCUCACAGAAUUCAGCCCAAGUAGUGAUUUGGCCGACCGGGCGCAUAGCUUCGAAGUUUUCCCACCAAAGGCUAGCAGGGCCUUCGAGGUGAUAGGCAGCAUAAGUAACCUUGUCGGCUGCGGCUGCGUUGGCAGAACGUAGCUUGUGGGUGAUGCUGUGAAGCCAGUCAUCCACAUCGAGGUACUCGACGGAAUGGUUAAACUUUGGUGGGUAUAGCUUGAUAAAGUCAUUGAUUGACACCAAUCAUUUCGUGGGUGGCGUGCAGUGUUCUGCUCAAUCCGCUCCAACAGGCGGUUGGUCUGACGCUUCUUUAUUUCCGCCUCCAGCAUUACUUCGGCCAGAGAAGGCGGGUGAGGCAGAUUUUCACCUCUAGCAGCACUGGCUUCCCCCUGCUCCAGGGCAGCAGGGUUGCUGCGGGUGUUGACCAUCCUAGGAGAAAACAAGACAACGGUUUAGACAAGGAUGUCUCAAAUUAGCAAGGAUGUGCAGAAUGUAAUGGAUAACACGGAAUGCAGAGAUGUUCAUCCGUAUGUCAUGGUAAUAUAAAACUGCCAUAUAUAUACCAACGGUCAUACACAUCAUACAUAGUUUAGUACAAGCCCAGGCUACAAUACAACUAUGAUGAAAGACGUUACAUCUCAUCGGAGGCAUUCCAAGCUCCUAUACAUUAUUGUCUACACCUCCAAAAUUGAUUACACGCAAAGUCAUAUUCCAAAAGUCACGCAGGACAGUGGAGAUACAGCUACUACAAUACUAGUGGUACUACUACUAACUCAGACAGCUCCGUAGUAGUCCUCAUAGAAGUCACCUCCAUAGCCUGGAAGUUCAACGGGACCAUCCGGGAACAGACGGUCCUGAGGAGCCUGUGGACCAUAGGGGCUAGGAUGGUGUCUUGGACCAACAAACGGUGGCCUGCGGGAACCACGGGGUGGGGUGAUGCCUCCCACAUCACGCCAAUCCACCACGUCUGGCAAAGCAGACCUCACAGGAUACAGAUCCCUUGUAUCCAUACAUCUAGCUUGCACCGCAGGUGCAAACCGAGCCAAUGUGGCCCAAUGAUCAGCACGGGUAUUAAAAAGCUCCAGCCUCAAGGCCCGAUUCUCUCGGUCCUUAUCUUCGAGCAUCUCAGCAGUGGUACGAGUUAAUGAAUCCUCCUGAGUGGAGACAGCAUAGAUAGCCUGAAGAUACCCUUGCGCUCCCGGAAGUGAAGCUGGCAUGUAUCGGAAGUCGGUGUUCCGAAGCAGGCCAGUCCGGACUCGCAUGAUGGUCAUCAUGUAAUAGGCAGCAUCCUGCACAGCAAUCUCAACAGUAACCCCGAGUCCAUAGGAAUAGUGAAGGGGCUCGGUAGAUCCAGGAUAAGAAGGAAAUAUCCUGACAGUGCAGAAAUACUGGCUUUGAUUAAAGUCUCGGAAUUGCUCUUCGACGGUGUAUUCGAGAUACCAACGGUAACCCGUCUCGAUCAUGACCCGGACUAACAUAGCAGUAUGACCGGGCACGUCGAGCCACCGGGUUAGGCGAACCACUUGGUUUUGAGCACGGUUGGCCAUCUGAAAGCACAACCACAAUGCAAAGACAUCAGAAUUUCUAGGGAAAAUUGGACAGCAUAACAGCUGUAAAUGCUCAGAAAAAGAUUUGAGACAUCCACAACAGUUCGCAAUACCACUCAAUAACAUCAUAUCAAGGUUCUGAUCCAAAUAGCAACAUACUAAAAAUAGUAGAAACUGAACUGGGGCUUGUAACAACAAUCCUAUAAGCUACUACGGAUUAGUAACACGUGAACCUGAUAGAAGAAGAGAGCCUAGUCCUUAACCCACGUUGAAUGAGAAGGGAAUGACUCAGAUAAGAGGCAUAGGGUAAAGGAGUAAAAGAGACUUACGUUCCCUCCCACAAUCAAUUCCCCUACAUAUAACUAAAGCAUUUCCAGACUCGACAUCGACCAGUUUGGCUCAACGAACCUACAAGCAGUCUGGCUCUGAUGCCAACGCUGUCAGGACCCCGAUUCCAAGCCACAUCGAUCUAGCCGGUAACACCUCAUAUCACUUUGCGGCCUCACGCACGAUAUUCCACGGGUGUCGCCUUACCAUGGCCCGGGACCGUUUGCGCCUUUUGGCUCACGUAUAUGAUAGUGUUGUUAGCAUCCAUAUGACAGAGAACCUGGGCCGACAUGGCUAGUCGUGAACCCAAAGCGGCACAGACCUAUGGAGACAGGCAUACAUGAAUCACAUCGAGCAUGUCGGUCAUCAGCGAGUGAUUCCGGGCUGUAGCACUGGGCUAACAGGACUCCGGGGAACCCGGGCUGUAGCAGGCUAGGCAGGACUCCGGAAGUCACCGCGUGACAUUUCCCCGAAGGGACAGACAUAGGAACGAAGUGAAUCACAUGCCGGCCAUUCAAGUGUCCUAAGUAGUAGUGCUGGGCUAGCAGGACUCCGGUGAACCAGGCUGUAGCGGACUACUAUGGCUCGAGGAACACUAGACUACAUUUCCCCAUAAGGAAGGCUGCCAAGGAUAAACAACUAGAUUGUUGGAUCCCACUCAUACCAAGCAUUUCAAUCAUACACACAAUAUGCCCGAUAUGAGUACAUACAACAUGGCAUCACAACAAAACUCUACAACUCAAGUACUUUAUUUAAAUGCUCCAGAGAGCCAUACAUAACAUGUUCAUACAGAUAGGGGUCACAUGACCCGACACUCAAGUCAUACAAUCAUACAAGCACAUGCGGAAGCAACCGGUCUGAGUACAGACACUAGAAAGAAAGAAGGCUCCUCGAGGCCUGUCUAUCUACAUAGGGCCCUCCAUGGCCAGGAUCACCACCUGGGUGGCUAGUCACUCGUCGAUGUCAAGGUCUACAUAGAACCCAUAGGAGGGGGCGGUGUUGUCGUCUGAAAACGGUAAUUAAGCAAACAUGAGUACAAAGGUACUCAGCAAGUCUUACAACAGAACCUACUAUACAUGCUUAUUCUCAAGAAGGUGGUGGGGAUAUUGCAGCAAGCCAGCUUUGACUCUUGGCUAAACUAUCCUACGGAACAUCUCUAGUAAAAUAGUUUUCGCACACGAGUCCACUACUCACCAACACAAUACUCCACCGGGGAUCCUCCCUCGUCAUCCUAUGAGAGGGUGUCGGGGGUGUCUGAUCCCUCGCACACCUAUGGGGAUCAGCGGACCGAGCCCCUUUUGGUUCGGUAGGGGGCGGUGGAUGCACAAAGAGUAGAUCGAGGCGAAACACAUGAGCGAGACAAUCGAUUUACCCAGGUUCGGGCCACACGGAUGCGUAAAACCCUACUCCUGCUUUGGUGGUUGUAUUGAGUUUUUUCUCGGGAGCAGCUGGCGAGACCGAGCGUGAGAAUGGCUGUCCCCCCCCUGUUGCGCAUGGGCCUCCUUUUAUAUGUCUAAGGGGUCACCGACACGUGGCAACAGAGGUAAGGGUAAAAAUGUAAAAGGGGUGGUAGUUGGCUCCACCGCCUACAUGUCGCAUCCUACCUAACUCUGACGGCAGGGGACAAGGGCAUUAAAUGCCCGUCUGUGUCACCUUGACGGCCCAGAGAGGGACCACUAGGAACGCCACCGUUUGCCACGACGGUUCCUUGUCAGCGUCUGCUUGCCAUUGCAUGCCCCCGGCUGCACAGCCUCCCGCCACGUACGCCAGGAAUGGCCCCAGGGCGACACGUUGGUGGGUGAGCUGGAGCGCGGGCUGCGGGGUAGUGGCUUGCCGCGGCAAGUGCCUUGCCGCGGGUGUUGUCUUGUCACGUCCGGGAGCUUGCCGCUCACCGGGUCUUGUCGGGGCACGCGGUGCGCCGCAGCGAGUCUCUUGAGAUGCUUUGGUUGUCUUCCCGGCAAGCUCCUCUUGCCGGGGUCUCGUCUCCUUCCCGGCAAGCUCCUCUUGCCGGGGCCUUGUUCCCUUCCCGGCAAGCUCCUCUUGCCGGGGCCUUGUUUGGAUCUUGGAUACUUUGUUCUUGAAUGGCUCCAGAGGAACCAUGGAGGGUCUUGGCGGUCGCCCGGCAAGCCUUGCCGCGGGUCGCUGCGACUACCCAUGCACAAGUUCGGGGUACUAAGGUACCCGUACUUUAGCACACCGACAGGAGCCCCCAGGCCUGGGCCAUACACGGUGCCGAGCGCUGUUGGGCCAGGCCCAAAACAGUGCAAGGGCACGCGCGGCCUGGGUCACGCCAUAACUGAUUCCGUAUCCACCGCGCUCUCCCCAAACGGCACGCGUCAAACGCGGCAUCGUGGGAGAGAUCGUGGGCGGUUUUCGAGGUGCCCACUCCCCACGAUCACGGGGUGGGGAGAGACCGCCCCAUCCGUCGCCUCGGUUCUGCACGCCUGCCACGCGGUUCCCGUGCACUUGGGGUCGCGGGCGGCGGAAGCGGGAAACGGGGCCGUCGUGGGUCGAGGGAGUGGGUCGGCCCCGGCUCCCCGCGUCUUGAUUCGCUGAGCGGGGCGGCCGAGCCCCCACCUUGCUCCUUUAUAAAGAGCGGGAGGGGAGGACGGGAGCCUGCAUCCUCCCAUCUUCUCCUUCCUUCAGCUCCUGCUCCCCUCCCCCCAUUCGCCAUGGAGAGAGGGAACCCUGGUCCUUCGUCAGUGGCGGCAAGGGUUGCCGCCAGGCAGCGCAUCCCUCCCUCUCCCGCACCCGUGGCGGCGGAGCCAGCCAUAAGGGGAAGAGGGAGGGGGCGAAGUCGUGGACGAGGCCGUGGCGCUCGGGGAAGAGGUGGGCGAGGCGGCGCGUCGGCUUCGCCUCCGCCGGCGGCUCUUCUUCCCGCGGUGGCCCAUGCCGGGGACGACCCUUGCGAGUUAUUCGUCAGGCUGCGCCGGGCGCCCCGCCGUCGCCUCUGACUCCCGGAUCCGUUUGCGGAAGUGGUGGAGUUGGACCCGCCCGAGACGCUGAGGCUGCAGAUGAGGGCUGUGGGAUCAGCGGCACGCGGGUCCGCGCCGAAUUCCCAGCCCCCGGCGUGAUUUAUCUUGGCCGAGGGUGGAAGACGUUCGCCCGCAUCCACAGCUUGACACCGGGGCUGACCCUCCACUUCAAGUUGGUGGAGGGUGAUCUCCUCUCCGUCAAGGUCUUCGGGUGCUUCAGCGUCCGGGCCCGGUGCUGCGUGGAAAGCUCCUCCGAUAGCGAAGGCUCCUCCUCGAGCAAGAGUGACGAGGAGGGAACGACAGCGGCGACGAGGGGAGCGGGCGGCAGGAUGGCGGGUCCGACUAGGUGUCGGGCGCCGCUCCGCGCGGCACCAGCAACCCCAUCAUCCGGGUCGCCGGCUCCUUGAACUCCCCGGGGGCGUCUCCUUGGGCGGCUGGCGUAGGGAGGCUGCGAAAGAGGAAGAGGGCAGGCGGCAAGGCCGUCAGGUCGGAGUACGAUGGCGUGGUGCCCUCGACAGCGUGCUGACGUCCUGCCGCCUCGUCUUCGAGCCCCCCUUCCGGCGCUGCCAUCACCAUCCAGCCUUGAAGGCCCCCGGGAUGUUCUCUUGGUGUCUUCUGGCACCCGUAGUUCCCCUAGGCACUCCUUUUGCCCUUCUCGCCUCCUUGACCUACCUCCUGAAAAGAGGGGCAGGAAAGAGAUUACGGGCAUCUUAUCUUUUUGAUUUGUAAGCCCUCGGGCCUUAGUUGCAUCUAAAACUUGUAAUCCUCUCUUUCAUGUUUUCCAUUCUCCAUGUACUGUACCUGCGUGGAAUGUUUUAAUGAAAAGGGGAUGCUUGCCAGGUUACUCGUCUCGCGGGUAGAACCCAUGCCAAGGAGCAAAUCCUUGGUAUCUCACAGAUAGACACUCCCUCCCCAGCAACAGGCCCUGCCACAUACCCACGUCGCUCGACCUUUCUCACGCUCUUGACGGAGGCAGAGACGAGGCGGGUGCGGCCCCUCGUUUCAUCCCUUUCCCGCCGCGACUGCGACCAAAGCUUGGCCCUGGGGCCCCAGGGACCAAAGCUAAGGGAGCACGGUGGCUUUCGGGAAGAAGCGAGGUUUUGUAUUCCCAGUCCAAAAGAGAAUGCACGAAGAGGGAUGAAAGACUUAUCUGAGACUGCAGCCCCCGGCAACUCUGGCUUGCCGUGGGGUGAACCUUGGUACUUGCAGCCUCCAGCAACUCUGGCUUGCCGGGGUUCGGAUGCCGGCACGUCCUUCUUCUCCCUUUCGUCCUCACGCGGUCCGACAAGGAUAUGCAAGCCCUGCGAACCAAAGGAAACAAAGGAAGGACAAAGGGACGCACACUAGACCUCUAAGUUAGGGGUUAGCUGCUGUUAGGCACUAUCAACCCUAACCGAGGACUCGACUCGACCUAGCAUGCAUGCUGUAACUCUGGGCGCCAGCGCUUCAUUAUCUUGUGCUCAAGGUCUGUGCCUGGCUUUGUACAAAGGAUUACAUGCAACAGCGUCAAGACUUGUACAAAAGGGUGGUUGCCGGACAGGGUCCGACAACCGCGCCUUACGGGUAAAACUUACAAAGAAGCUUGAUAUUCCAGGAGUUGCUCACUAGUACGCCAUCUUCGGUCUCCAGGCGGACAGUGCCAGGCCUGGUGACUCGUUUCACCCGGUAAGGGCCUUCCCACUUCGGCGUCAACUUGUUGGAAUUCUUGGCGGACUGAACGCGCCGAAGAACAAGGUCGCCUUCCUCGAGGCUCCUAGCAUUAACUUUGCGGCUAUGAUAGCGGCGCAAAGCUUGCUGGUAGCGAGCGGCUCGCACAGCAGCCUGGAGACGAUCUUCCUCAAGGAGCAGCGCGUCAUCUUGCCGCAGCUGCUCUUGCUCAAGCUCAUCAUAGCACUCGAGGUGACCCGUAUACGAGUUCCAUGGGGAUAACUGCCUCCGCUCCAUAGACUAGAGCGAAGGGUGUCUGCCCGGUGGCUCGAUUUGGCGUCGUCCUGAUCGACCAAAGAACCACCGGCAGCUCCUUGAUCCAGUUGCGUCCGCGCUUGUGCAGCCUGUCAAAUGUUCUGGUCUUGAGCCCGUGCAGCACUUCAGCAUUCGCCCUCUUAGCUUGGCCGUUGCUUCUCGGGUGAGCGACAGAAGCAAAGCAGAACUUGGCGCCAAGAUCUUGGACGUACUGCAUGAAGGCGCGGCUUGUAAAUUGUGUACCGUUGUCGGUGAUUAUCCUGUUAGGGAUUCCGAAACGGCAAACAAUCGACCUGAAGAAUUUGAUCGCGGACUGCGCCGUCACCUUCCUCACUGGUUCCACUUCCGGCCACUUUGUGAACUUGUCGAUUGCAACGUACAAGUACUCAAAGCCCCCGACGGAUCGGGGGAAGGGGCCGAGGAUAUCGAGCCCCCAGACCGAAAAUGGCCAGGAUAAAGGGAUCGUCUGGAGAGCUUGAGCUGGCUGGUGUAUCUGCUUGGAAUGGAACUGGCACGCUUCACACUUGGUUACUUGUGCAGUUGCAUCCUGGAGGGCUGUCGGCUAGAAGAAGCCUUGUCGGAAUGCUUUUCCGACAAGAGCUCUUGCGCCAAUGUGGUGACCACAUAUGCCUCCAUGUAUCUCUGCCAACAGCUUCUGUCCAUCUUCCCGAGGAAUACACUUCAAUUUCACACCGUUGAGUCUUCUUCUGCACAGUGUGUUGUCAACAAACUGGUACAUACUGGACUGCCGGGCUACUCUUUCUGCUUCUUCUGGUUCCUCGGGAAGCUCUCCUGUCUGAAGGAAACGGACGGUCUGCUACGCCCAUGUUGGAGCCUGUGGCUCGACAACAAGGACUAAAGGCACAUCUGCUGCUGUGGGAACGCCUACUUCUACGGCAGGAGCCUGCGACUCUGCCGGAGCUUGACAUUCCCCGACAAGCUUGCCGGAGCAGAGCUUGCCGGGAGUGUCUGCUGCAAUGGAACAAACCCUGGGGCUUGCCGGAGUAGACUGCUCCUCAGCACUCUUGGCGUCGAUCUUGGGGACCUUCUUGGCGGCGUCUUCGGGGAGCUUUGCCGGGAGAUAGUCACCAGAGAUCAACUUCCUCUUCUUGCUCUGUCCACUUGAUGGUGCCACGGAUGGCUGAGUUAGCUUGAGCACAAAGGUCCCUGGUUCCACAGGUAACUUAAGUGCUGCGCACUUUGACAGGCGAUCGGCAAUGUCAUUCUCAGCUCUUGGAACAUGUUCCAUUUGCAGGCUGUCAAAGCGCUCUUCCAGCUUCCUCACUUCAUCAACGUAAGCUUCUAUCAAUGGACUUUGGUAAUCUUUGUUCACUUGGCGGACGACAAGCUGCGAGUCACCCCUAACAAUGAGCUUCUUAAUCCCAAGUUCUGCCGCGAUCCUGAGACCGGCAAGCAAGCCUUCUUACUCUGCAGUAUUGUUUGUCGCUUGCUCCUUGGGAAAGUGCAUCUGGACUAUGUACUUGAGGUGCUCCCUGGUGGGUGCGACAAGCAGUACACCAGCACCGGCGCCUUGCAGCGAGAAAGCACCGUGAAAGUACAUGAGCCACUCUUUGCUUGCUUCCUUGGCGGGGAUGCUCGUCUCCGGAAUUUCUUCGUCUGGAGUUGGCGUCCACUCUGCUAUUAACUCUGCCAAUGCUCCGCUCUGGAUUGUUGAUGUACUCUCAAACUUGAGGCCAAAGCUUGACAGUUCCAGUGCCCACUCGACAAUCCUGAAUGUUGCUUCUGGAUUUUGCAAUAUCCUUUUCAGCGGAAAGCGAGUGACAACUGUGAUCUCGUGUGCUUGGAAGUAAUGACGUAGCUUUCUCGAGGCCAUGAGGAGGCCGAAAAGCAGCUUCUGCACACUAGAGUACCUUGACCUAGCCCCCUGUAAAAGGGAGCUGACAAAGUAAACUGGGUGCUGCACCAUUUUCUUCUGUAUCUCCUCUUGUAUCUGCGCAGAUCCUUGGUUGUCGGGACCAGAGCUUGUCGGGGAAGCCCCCUGCUUGUCGCUGGAUGUGCUUGCCGCGGCCGCUGGCUCGUCGUCGGCCUCCCUUUCCGCUACUAACGCAGCACUAACCACUUGAUUGGUUGCCGCUAUGUACAGGAGCAACUUCUCUUGUGGUUUAGGCGCGACAAGUGUUCGGGUGGACGACAGGUAUCUCUUCAAGUCUUGCAGCGCAGCCUCCGCUUCCGGAGUCCAUCUCAUUGGACCUGCCUUUUUCAAAAUUUGAAAAAGGGCAGGGCGCGCUCAGCAGACCAAGGGAUAAACCUGCUAAGAGCAGCUACGCAGCCGGCAAGCUUCCGUACAUCCGUGACGCGCUUUGGUGCUUCGAUCUGCUCAAUGGCCCUGAUCUUGUCGGGGUUGGCUUCGAUUCCCCGCUGAGACACGAAGAACCCGAGAAGCUUGCCGAAAGGGACUCCAAACACACACUUCUCGGGGUUGAGCUUGAGGUUGAUCUUGCGCAGAUAUGCAAAAGUCUCUUCUAAGCCUUGGAUCAGAGUUGCCCUGUCUUUGCUUUUGACCACUAUAUCAUCCAUGUAAGCUUCUACAUUUCUGUGUAUCUAUGGCUUCAAAGCAAUAUGGACUACUCUGGCAAAUGUUGAACCAGCAUUCUUUAAUCCGAAAGGCAUCCGUACGAAACAGUACGUGCCACAUCGAGUAAUGAAUGCGGUUUUCUCCUCAUCCUCUUCCGCCAUGAAGAUCUAAUGGUAUCCUGAGUAUGCAUCAAGAAAUGAAAGCAACUCACAUCCGGCCGUGGAGUCAACAAUCUGGUCAAUGCGCGGCAAGGGAAAUGGAUCUUUUGGACAAGCUUUAUUAACAUCAGUAAAGUCAAUACAAAGCCUCCAUUUCCCAUUCGCCUUGCGCACUACAACCGGAUUGGCCAACCACAUGGGAUGGAGCACCCCUCUAACGAGGCCUGCUGCUUCCAAUUUCUUGAUUUCUUCGGCUAUGAAUUCUUGGCGCUCCACCGCCUGUUUCCUGACCUUCUGCUUGACGGGCCGCGCAUGAGGACAAACUGCAAGGUGGUGCUCAAUUACCUCCCUGGGAACACCGGGGAUGUCAGACGGUUGCCAUGCAAACACGUCGACAUUCGCCCGCGGGAAAGUAACGAGUGCGCUUUCCUAUUUAGGGUCAAGCGUGGCACUGAUGGUGAAGGUACCACCAGUGCCGUCCUCCUUGGCGGGCACCUUCUUGGUAAGUGGUGGAGCGGCCAUCGUCUUCUUACUCUUGCAGCCGGAGCUCGAUGGUGCGUCCUCGACGGCAGCGCAGCACUCCGAAGAGGUGCGCCUGCCGGAGUAGGCAUCAGAGCACUCGCCGGGCUUGGUCUUCUUCUUGCCGGUGGAGCUCGAUGGUGCGUCCUCGACGGUAGCGCAGCACUCCGAAGAGGCGCGCUUGCUGGAGUGGGUACUAGAGCUCUUGCCGGACUUGGUCUUCUUCCCCCUGGGAGCUUCAGCGGCAAGUGUCUCGCGGUCUGUCGCGGCGGCAGCUUCCCGGUAGAUCUUGUCGGCGCAGAUAAGGGCGUCCUUCUUGUCGCCAGGGACAGAGAUGACGCUUAUCGGGCCCGGCAUCUUGAGCAUGUUGUAGGCAUAGUGAUAGGCUGCCAUUAACUUGGCGAGCGCGGGACGGCCAAGUAUCCCAUUGUAGGGCAAUGGGAAAUCGGCAACGUCGAAGGUGACCCUCUCAGUCCUGAAGUUCAUCUCACUGCCGAAUGUCACCGGCAGCGCGACUUUUCCCUUCGGCUUGCUCCUUCCCGGGUUAAUUCCUUGGAAUGUACCGGUUUCUUCGAGCUCACUGUCUGGGAUCUGGAGUUUCUGGAGCACAGCGGAGGAGAUCAGAUUCAGGCCGGCCCCGCCGUCAACUAGCAUCUUGGUGACCUUGAGGUUGCGGAUUGUUGGGGAAACCAACAACGGCAAGCACCCGACCGCAGUCGUGCGAUCAGGGUGGUCCUCAAUGUCAAAGAUGAUCGGCGUGCUGGACCACUUCAGAAGCUUGCGUGAUUCGACAGGUGGCUCUGCCGCAUUAACUUCCCGGAGCCACUGUUUGAGUUGGCGGUGGGAAGUGUGCAGAGAAGCGCCACCGUCAACACACAAGACUUCUGUAGCCUUCUGAAACUCCUGCUCGCUGUUCUCAACAUCAUCCAUGUCUUCGUCGUCGUCUUCGUCUUCGUCCUUAUCGCGGCCGCGAGGAGGUCUGUCUCCUUGCCGCUGCUUGGCCUUGCCACGGCUCCCUCCCGGGCCAGCGCGGUUCUUGCCGGCUUCUCCAUCGCCUCCUUGGGCUCUCUCCUUGUCGCGCCGCUCGUACUCACCUCUUUGUUGCUGGACAAGCUGCUCGACCCUCUUGCAGUUCUGGAGAUCAUGGCCCUUGGUGCGGUGGAUCUUGCAGUACUGCUUGUCGGAGCUGCCCUGCUUGUCGGCGGCCGCCACAGCCUGGCAGUUGGUACACGCGGCAACCUCUUUGCCGGAGCUGACAACUUUGGCUUGCUUGGCGGGGCCGUCAUCGCUGGACUGCUCAACGACCAGUACCUCUUUGCCGCUCUUCUUCUUGUUGGGCCUCCGGUUUUUGCUUGCCGGGGCGGCAUCCUCACUGUCAGAUAUCCCUGCUCUAGCAUCCUCUCCGGGGAGUUUCCUCCCUUCUUCAGCGCGUGCGCACUUGUCGGCCAGGGCGUACAGCUCGCUGACGUCCUUGAUCCUGCUCAUCGCCAUCUCCUCCCGCAUCCUGCAAUUACGCAUGUUCUGAUGGAACGCGCUGAUAACCGCGGUAGGGUGGAUGUCUGGGAUGUUGCGCUGCACGCGGCUGAAUCUCUGGAUAUACUUGCGCAAAGGUUCUCCUUCCUUCUGGGCAAGCAGGUGGAGGUCACUCUCUUGGCCGUGUGGUUUGUGGCCGCCUGUAAAGGCGCCGACAAACUGGUGGCACAAAUCCGCCCAAGAGGAUAUGGAGUUGUCCGGCAAGUGCAUGAGCUAGGAUCUGACUUCGGGCUUGAGCACGAGCGGGAAGUAGUUGGCAAGGACCUUGUCGUCUCGUCCCCGGCAGCUUGCACCGCAAUGGUGUAGAUGCUGAGGAACUCCGACGGGUGUGACUUGCCGUCGUACUUCUCCGGCACGUCUGGCUUGAAAUGCUUCUGGUUGGGCCACUGGACUUGCCGCAGCUCAUGGGUGAACGCGGGACAACCCGCCGCGUACGGCAAGUUACCUGGCUCUCCGGGUGCAUGCAUGUCAACAGAGGGCCCAGCGCACAGGUCAGAUUGACGCCGCGCUUCCCUUCGGCGCUCGAUGCAUGUUCAAGUGUCUUCUUGCUGUCUCUGAUGAAGAACUUGGCGUUGAUCGCGGUGAGCUCGCGGAUCUGACGACGCGGUGGAGUAGCCGUCGAGGUGGAUCCGGUGAGUCGGCGAUCUCGGCCUUCGGGGCGGAGAGUGCACAGUGGUUGCACCCUCACCGGUCUUGUCGCCACCGGCUCGCGCCUGGCUGACUUGCCGCGGCAGCGAUGCGCUCUGCUGCCGUGGGUUGUCACCAUUGGCGCAGCCGAUGAUGCUCUGAAUAGUGGCCCUCCAGUCAUCGAUCUUCUCUAGUGCUGGAGGGUAGUCUAGGAGCAGCUGGGCACGCGCCAACGGUUCCGUCGGAGUGGUGGGCGGCGGCAGCGAACGGUGCGAGGAGCGAGAUAUGCUCGGACUCCUAACCACGUUAGAAGGAGCAACAUCCCGUCCAAGCGACCGCGCCGCGCUCGCGCCAGCACGUUGGCGUGCCUGCUGAUCCUGAGCACUUCGGGAUCCGCCAGCUUGAUCUUGGCCCAGCAGGCGUAUGGUACAGUGGGUACCAUGACGCUACUGGUCCCGCGCCUCCUGGGAUGGGCGCGGUGCGUGUACGGACACCGAGGUCUCGGAGUGCGCGCGGUCGUCGUGGGAGGCGACCGCGCUACCGACGUGCGCCGCAGCCAGGCACUUGGACCUGGCAGUGCCAUGAGUCUCCCCGUCGGCGCCCGCCCUUCCGCCGGCGCCUACUUCACCCGCCGUUCGCUCCGGCGAUGGCGGGCUCGACGCGGACGGAGCGGCUACCUCCGAAGCCUUCUUCUUCGGCGGCAUGUUGAUGAAGACGAUGAAGAUUCGGCUCGCGCGAACGCCGGAUCAGGUUCGCACUACCUCGACGCACCCCCUACCUGGCGCGCCAAAGAUGUCGGGGGUGUCUGAUCCCUCGCACACCUAUGGGGAUCGGCGGACCAAGCCCAUUUUGGUUCGAUAGGGGGCGGUGGAUGCACAAAGAGCAGAUCAAGGCGAAACACACGAGCAAGACGAUUGAUUUACCCAGGUUCGGGCCGCACGGAUGCGUAAAACCCUACUCCUGCUUUGGUGGUUGUAUUGAGUUUUUGCUCGGGAGCGGCGAGUGCUACAGUACACUCAAGCAGCUGGCGAGACCGAGCGUGAGAAUGGCUGUCCCCCUCCCCCUGUUGCGCAUGGGCCUCCUUUUAUAUGUCUAAGGGGUCACCGAUACGUAGCAACAGAGGUAAGGGUAAAAAUGUAAAAGGGGUGGUAGUUGGCUCCACCGCCUACAUGUCGCAUCCUACCUAACUCUGAUGGCAGGGGACAAGGGCAUUAAAUGCCCGUCUGUGUCACCUUGACGGCCCAGAGAGGGACCGCUAGGAACGCCACUGUUUGCCACAACGGUUCCUUGUCAGCGUCUGCUUGCCACCGCAUGCCCCCGGCUGCACAGCCUCCCGCCACGUACGCCAGGAAUGGCCCCAGGGUGACACGUUGGUGCGUGAGCUGGAGCGCGGGCUGCGGGGUAGUGGCUUGCCGCGGUAAGUGCCUUGCCGCGGGUGUUGUCUUGUCGCGUUCGGGAGCUUGCCGCUCACUGGGUCUUGUCGGGGCGUGCGGUGCGCCGCAGCGAGUCUCUUGAGAUGCUUUGGUUGUCUUCCCGGCAAGCUCCUCUUGCCGGGGUCUCGUCUCCUUCCCGACAAGCUCCUCUUACCGGGGCCUUGUUCCCUUCCCGGCAAGCUCCUCUUGCAGGGGCCUUGUUUUUCUCUUGGAUACUUUGUACUUGAAUGGCUCCAGAGGAACCAUGGAGGGUCUUGGCGGUCGCCCGGCAAGCCUUGCCGCGGGUCGCUGCGACUGCCCGUGCACAAGUUCGGGGUACUAAGGUACCCCUACUUUAGUACACCAACAGAGGGCCAUCCUCGGUACUCACACUUAUCUUGAGUAUUUAGUAGUAUCCAUUUACUUGUCUAUGAACUGUAUAGGCAACCAAGUAGUCCUUUACCGCGGACGUGGCUAUUCGAAUAGUUUUAUACCCUGCAGGGGUGUACUUCGUCAUACACGCUUUCACCACUUAUCGCCGUUUACACGACAUGUACUCGGCAACCUUCAAGCGGAAGCCCAGCGAGGGUGUCGGCCACGGCCUACCUAAACACUUAAGUCUCUAGUCCAGGUUUAUCGCCUAUCCAGGUUCCAUCGGCAGGGAGUGCGGCCGAGGUUUCCACAUACGGCCCCGAACGAUGUGAACAGGGUUCCGAGAUGCCAAACGGGCGCCCGGCAUACCCGGCCAGGUGUAUCUACCGCAACAUAGCCCACCCCUAGGGUCAGCGCUACGCACGGCCGCCAACACAUAACCUACAAACCCAGAAACUAUAUGCAACUCCUGGACAGAGUACAAGGGUGAUUAAGAAGCCGAGAGGGUCAAUUAAGGAUCCCAAUGCGUGGUAGUAGCUGAAUCUUAAAUCAACAUACAGAUCUCAGUUCUUAGGGACGGUCUCAAUGAAACAACCCACCAUGUACUCCUACAUGGCCUCUCAUCGAUACCUUUACCAAAACAUGUUCAACACAUUCCUCAUAUUACCGACAUAAUCAUAUCACCCUAGCCCAUCACCCAGAUGAACCAGACCUGACACAACUCUAAGCAUAGCAGGCAUAGCAAGGUAGGAAUCACAUACAUGGCUCAAUCAAAUCAUACACAUGCUAGUGGGUUUCAUCUAGUUAUUGUGGCAAUGACAGGCCAUGUAGAGGAUAAGGGUUCAACUACCGUAGCACACAACAGUUUGAAUCGCGUUGUCUUAAUGAAGUAAACAAGAGCAGAGGCGAGAACAUGGGUUGUAUCGGAAUGAUCAAUGGGUUGCUUGCUUGAUGGAGUGGUAGUGGGAUACUGCCCUUCAGUUGGAUACUCGUGAAUAUCCUCGGAGGUAGAACCUACCACGAAGAACACAUCGGAACACAAUCAACACAUGACGAUAUGCAACAAUAUGAUGCAUGCUAUGACGUGUCUUGGCCUAAUGCAAGCUAAAAUAGAAAGGGAUGAACUCAUUUGAAUCAAAGAUUCAAAUAUUAGCUCACUAAACAUGGCCUUAGUAGUGCAUUUCCUUAUUCUGCUUAAACAGCAAGGUAAACUUGUUUUGUCAUGCAUGAAACCAUUACAGAUGGAUAGAUUGAAUUUUUCUGAUAAUUUUUCAUAUAUAAAUUAUUUCAUUUGGAGUUACGGUUGAAUUUCUAUGAUUUCUAGAAGUUUUAAACAUUUUCUGGAAAUUCCUGAAUAAAAAUAAAUCCAGAAAAUGCAUUACUACGUCAGCAUUGCGUCAUGCUGGCCUCGGCAGGUCAAAGGCGCCAGCCCAGGUCAAACCUGACUGGUGGGCCCCUUCUGUCAGUCUCUCAGUUAAAUAACAGGAUUAGAUUAACACUAAUUAGCUGUCAGUGGGGCCUGGGCCCACAUGUCAGUGACUAAUUAAAAUCAAAUUAGUUAAAACUAAACCUAGAUUAGUUAGCAGACUGGCCCCACCUGUCAUAGACUCAGGGGGGGUCUACCUGGGCCCACCCAGGGUCAAACUCGCCGGCGUUGAGCCGCCGGCGAGACCCGAGACGGUGGCGCAGCUCGAAAAACGCCUACAGGGCACGAGCGAGGCCGUUCAUGGGCUCGUUGGAGAGCUCUUGCAGUCGCGCAUCUAGUGGUGGUGGUGGCCGGGCCUACGGUGGCCGGAGACGACGACGGCGAGCUCCAAGGCGGCGGCCGGAGUUCGGCCAUGUGCGGGGUGUGGGCUGUGGCGUGCAAACGUGGAAACUGAGGCACUAGCGAGGCACUACGCGAUGCGGCAAGCACGUUGCGUAGCACGGGAUGACCAAAUGGUCGCCGGAGCGGCGCCGGCGACAAGCUCGAGCGGAGACGAGCUUCGGCCAUGGUGGCACUAUGGCCUAGAGGGUGCAAACGCGUGGAAAAGAAGAGGGGAAAGGUGGCGGAGCUCACAGGCAGGUCGAUGAGCAGCUCAGUGGGCUCGGGGGCGACCGGAGUGAGGCGAAUCGAUGAGCGGCGUCCGGCGGGUACCGAGGUUGAAGACAAUCCGAUGGCGGCGAUGCAGGGCCUCCGGCGAUGCGUGGCUCGGUGGGGAGGGCGGGGGCGUCACGGCGCAGCUUCUGGACAGGUCAGAGAGGCGAGGGGGUGACGGAGGGCGCGACUACGGCGGUGAGACGGCGAUUAGAAAGAAAGAUUUGGUUCACUCGUACGUGAAAAAAGGAACAAGCGCUUGAUGCCUUCCUUUGCAUCGAUGCCAGACGCGGUGCUGGGAAUCGACAAGAUAACCGCCAAUCUACCAGGAUUAAAUUCCUAGCGCCUCCUUCUAGCGCCUCCCACUGAAAAUGCCCUAACGAUUUUUGAGGGAUUUUUUUACUGUGUCCUACUUCACGAAUCACGAGGCAAAUCAAGUAGGCGGCAUGGCCUGGCCGGUGAGUGCCAUUGCACUUACUUGCCCCAGCAAUUUUCCGCGUGCAUUGUAGAAUUCUUUCUCCGAGUCCUGUGAAUUAAAGAUGGUGCAGACAAAAGUAUAUCCUGUAUGCGUACAUGUGCAUGAUCAGAACAUGUUUUUACGUGCGUCUACUAUAAAUCAUGACCAUUUUUAACACAAAUCAUGACCAUUCAUGAUUAGUGAAUCAUACUGUCUUAACUUAUGUGAAAUCAUGUGGAGUAAUAUAAUAUAAUAUAAUAGAUAGAUAGAUCCAUGUUGUAUUAUUUUUUGUUUACAAAAAAUAUCUGUCAUUACACAUUUUGAUUUAUGCAUUUGUUUACAAAAAAAACAGUAACAUUUCAUGGUGGAAAGUUUGUAUUGUUUCAUACUGAACACCAAUGUUUUCCUGUAAAAGAAAAUAAUGCCUACGCAUAUGCUUUUAUAUUAUUAUUAUUCUUUCAAACUUAUUCAUACAGUAUUUUUGAUUGUGCAACCAUAAUUUUUAUUGUCUCUCUCGUUCCACUACAUGCUCUUACUCAAUGAUUUUUUUUAUAACGGGUGUUUUUAUUAACUCAAAAUAUAGUAUCAAGCGGAUACAAAACAUAAUGAGCCACACCUGGUCUCUGCAUAACUAAGAUGCAUACAGCUAAAAGCAGAUGUCUGACAAAAAUAAGAUAAGAAAAUCGACAUAUCGACAACAGUGAGUCAUAUAGUUCCGACACUAUGCCUCUGUUGAAGGACGGGGUGGAGCGAUCUGAAGAUUAUGCUGCCCUCCAUGUUGAGUAAAUACCUCCCUGGCCACUUGUUCCAACCGCAUAGACGCCGCCACGAAUAAUGGUCGGUACUCUGUUCGGUGUAGCAUACACCAUGUAGGAAGUGAGUGCUCACUUCUAGUUACUAAAUUAUGUACACACUAAUAGAAAAAGGGCCAUUUGUCCCGGUUCGUAAGGCCCAUUUGUCCCAGUUGGGGAACCGGGACUAAAGGGUCGGUACUAAAGCCCUACACAUUUAGUCCCGGUUCUUACACCAUCCGAGACAGAUGGGGCUCCACGUGGCCGCUACAGCUUGCCGUGGCAGGGGGGCCUUUUGUCCCGGUUGGUAGCACCAACCGGGACCAAUAAGCUACCACGCGUCAGCAUUUGAGGGCUAGGUUUUUUGUUUUUUUUCNNNNNNNNNNNNNNNNNNNNNNNNNNNNNNNNNNNNNNNNNNNNNNNNNNNNNNNNNNNNNNNNNNNNNNNNNNNNNNNNNNNNNNNNNNNNNNNNNNNNNNNNNNNNNNNNNNNNNNNNNNNNNNNNNNNNNNNNNNNNNNNNNNNNNNNNNNNNNNNNNNNNNNNNNNNNNNNNNNNNNNNNNNNNNNNNNNNNNNNNNNNNNNNNNNNNNNNNNNNNNNNNNNNNNNNNNNNNNNNNNNNNNNNNNNNNNNNNNNNNNNNNNNNNNNNNNNNNNNNNNNNNNNNNNNNNNNNNNNNNNNNNNNNNNCAAAUGAAGUAAACCAUUAAGUACAGAAGUUCGUCAUGAACAUAUGCAUACAAACAUAAGUGAUAUCGACCUCUCCUUCUCCGACAGAUAGGUCGAACAACAAGUUUCCGUAUAUCUAUCCGGCGCUACUAGCUACAUAUAUACAAUAUUAAGAUCUCUUACAAUAUAAUCCCCUAAUUAUAAAUGAACUCAGCUUCGAGAUGGUAUUCUCCGGCUUUAUUGAUGACGUGGUCAAGAAAGAAUCCCUCCAAUUCCUCUUGAAUUGCUUUGAUGCGAUCUUGUGGUAGGAGUUCAUCCCGCAUCUGCCACAUCUAAUUUGAAGAAGGGGGUCAAUCACCAGUAGAAUAACAGCCAUUUGUCCUGGUUCAUAAGGUUAAUUUGUCCCGGUUGGGGAACCGAGACUAAAGGGUCGUUACUAAAGCCCUACACCUUUAGUCCUGGUUCUUACACCAACUGGGACAGAUGGGCCUCCAUGUGGCUGCUGCGGCGAGCCCAGGCCGGAGGUCCUUUGGUCCCGGUUAGUGGCACUGAUACGUCUCCAACGUAUCUAUAAUUUUUGAUUGCUCCAUGCUAUUAUGUUAUCUAUUUUGGAUGUUAAUGGGCUUUAUUUUACACCUUUAUAUCAUUUUUGGGACUAACCUACUAAUCGGAGGCCCAACCCAAAUUGCUGUUUUCUGCCUAUUUUAGGUUUUCGAAGAAAAGGAAUAUCAAACGGAGUCCAAACGGAAUGAAACCUUCGAGAACGUGAUUUUCUCAACGAACAUGAUUCAGGAGACUUGGAGUGUGCGCCAAGAAACAAGGGAGGAAGGCACGAGGCAGGGGGGGCGCGGCUACCCUCUUGGGCACGCCCUCCACCCUCGUGGGCCCUCCGCUGCUCCACCGACGUACUUCUUCCUCCUAUAUAUAUCCACGUACCCCCAAACAUCCAGGAGCACCACGAAAACCUAAUUCCACCGCUGCAACCUUCUGUACCCAAGAGAACCCAUCUUGGGGCCUUUUCUGGAGGUCCACCGGAGGGGGCAUCGAUCAGGGAGGGCCUCUACAUCAACUCCAUGGCCUCUCCGGUAAUGUGUGAGUAGUUUACUUCAGACCUACGGGUCUAUAGUUAUUAGCUAGAUGGCUUCUUCUUCUCUCUUUGGAUCUCAAUAAAAAGUUCUCCUCGAUUUUCUUGGAGAUCUAUUCGAUGUAACCUUCUUUUGCAGUGUGUUUGUCGAGAUCCGAUGAAUUGUGGGUUUAUGAUCCAGAUUAUCUAUGAACAAUAUUUGAUUCUCCUAUGAAUUCUAUUAUGUAUGACUGGUUUAUCUUUGCAAGUCUCUUCGAAUUAUCAGUUCGGUUUGGCCUACUAGAUUGAUUUCUUGCAAUGGGAGAAGUGCUUAGCUUUGGGUUCAAUCUUGUGGUGUUUGAUCCCAGUGACAGAAAGGGAACCAAUACGUAUUGUAUUGUUGCCAUCGAGGAUAAAAAGAUGGGGUUUAUAUCAUAUCGCAUGAGUUUAUCCCUCUACAUCAUGUCAUCUUCCUUAAAGCAUUACUAUGUUCUCUUGAACUUAAUACUCUAGAUGCAUGCUAGAUAGCGGUCCAUGUGUCGAGUAAUAGUAGUAGAUGCAGAAUCGUUUCGGUCUACUUGUCUAGGACGUGAUGCCUAUAUACAUGAUCAUACCUAGAUAUUCUCAUAACUAUGCUCAAUUCUGUACAAUAUGGUGCACGGGGUUACAUCGGCCUGUAAAGACAUUUAUGCGAUGUGAGACAUCCGAAAAGCAACGAAAACGGGAGAUUAUACAUUUAUUGAAGAGGGCCGGUGUGACAGAUACCGUGAGGGCGUCGAGCUCAGCCAAAGACGACGGACAGCUGAGCACGGCCUGUGUCAGAGCCGGUGCGGGAGCAAGUGCAGGUGCAGGUGCUGGUGCAACGCUAGUCGAGCUGCUCCUGAAGAAGUCAACAAUGGGAAAGUCCGCUGCAUUUUUUCUGCAUUUUGCGUGCUCCAAUUGAAAAUGGCUGGAACCAAGACAGUAGACAUAUCUGCAACCACCUGUUUUCCAGCAGCUACCGCUGUCGCGACUGUCUCAGAUGAUUUCUUCUCAACCGCAAUCUCAACCUUCUUGUCGAUGUUUUAUUCGGUUAACCUCCAUCUUUCCUUUCUCUCCUCUGUGGUCUCACGGUAGUACUUCUUCCACGUGGCCCCGUCUCCGACACCGUGAACGCGUCCAUACGACGACCGAGUCUCCACCGGGAGUCCUUUCAAUAUGUUCAAUGCCCGGUUGAAUGGAGUGUCCCACUUGGGCCUUGCCAAUGCCUCAGACGGCGAGUCGCUUUCGGCCGCAAUCUUGUGCUGCUCUCUUUACAAAAGGAACACGGAUCAUUUACAAAUAUGACUAAACGUGCAGUCAAAUUGAUCAGAAACUAAAAUUACCGGCAGUCUCAUGAACUCCGUCGUGAUCGGGUCCGUCUUGAAAACCUUCUUGACUUAGUCCCAAUGGUGCCGUGCCUUGAGGACGUCAUCCUCCUACGGGAUGGUGAAGUCCGCCAAGGGGUCUGGGAUGCCAGAUUUUCGCAUUCCGUGUCCUCCUUGGCCCAUAUGGACCUCUUCCUGCCGUAACCACUGCUUCCGAGGUGGUGGCGCCCCAUGUUCCUUUGUGGAAGCCCCUUCAUGUACUUCGACUUUGUUUUGGCAGCUUCGGCCUCGCAAGCCGCCUUGAAUAUUUCAAAGUGCUCUCCCAUGAUUGUCAGAUUAUCCUUUACAAUCUCGGAGUAGGGUUGAUACGUCUCCAACGUAUCUAUUAUUUUUGAUUGCUCCAUGCUAUAUUAUCUCCUAUUUUGGACAAUAUUGGGCUUUAUAAUCGACUUUUAUAUUAUUUUUGGGACUAACCUAUUAACCGGAGGCCCAGCCUAGAAUUGUUGUCUUUUGCCUGUUUUAGGGUUUCGAAGAAAAGGAAUAUCAAACGGAGUCCAAACGGAAUGAAACCUUCGGGAACGUGAUUUUCUGAACGAACAAGACCCAGGAGACUUGGACCCUAUGUCAAGACACAAAAGAGGAGGACACGAGGUAGGGGGCGCACCUACCCCCCCCCCCCCCUCGAGGCACGCCCUCCACCCUCGUGGGGCCCCUGUUGCUCCACCGAUGUACUCCUUCCUCCUAUAUAUACCUACGUACCCCCAAACGAUCAGAUACAGAGCCAAAACCCUAAUUCCACUACCGCAACUUUCUGUAUCCACGUGAUCCCAUCUUGGGGCCUGUUCCGGAGCUCCGCCAGAGGGGGCAUCGAUCACGGUGGGCUUCUACAUCAACACCAUAGCCUCUCCGAUGAAGUGUGAGUAGUUCACCUCAGACGUACGGGUCCAUAGUUAUUACCUAGAUGGCUUCUUCUCUCUUUUUGGAUCUCAAUACAAUGUUCUCCCCCUCUCUUGUGGAGAACUAUUCGAUGUAAUCUUCUUUUUGCGGUGUGUUUAUUGAGACCGAUGAAUUGUGGGUUUAUGAUGAAGUCUAUCUAUGAAUAAUAUUUGAAUCUUCUCUGAAUUCUUUUAUGUAUGAUUGUUUAUCUUUGCAAGUCUCUUUGAAUUAUCAGUUUGGUUUGGCCUACUAGAUUGAUCUUUCUUACAAUGGGAGAAGUACUUAGCUUCGGGUUCAAUCUUGCGGUGUCCUUUCCCAAUGACAGUAGGGGCAGCAAGGCAUGUAUUGUAUUGUUGCCAUCGAGGACAACAAGAUGGGGUUUUCAUCAUAUUGCAUGAGUCUAUCCCUCUACAUCAUGUCAUCUUGCUUAAGGCGUUACUCUGUUUUUAACUUAAUACUCUAGAUGCAUGCUGGAUAGCGGUCGAUGAGUGGAGUAAUAGUAGUAGAUGCAGGGAGGAGUCGGUCUACUUGUCUCAAACGUGAUGCCUAUAUACAUGAUCAUACCUAGAUAUUCUCAUAACUAUGCUCAAUUCUGUCAAUUGCUCAACAGUAAUUUGUUCACCCACCAUAGAAUAAUUAUGCUCUUGAGAGAAGCCACUAGUGAAACCUAUGGCCCCUGGGUCUAUCUUUAUCAUAUUAAUCUCCUAUUACUUAGUUAUUUCCUUUGCUUUUUCCUUUGCCUUUAUUUUACUUUUCAUCUUUAUCACAAAAAUACCAAACAUAUUAUCUUUAUCAUACCUAUCAGAUCUCACUCUCGUAAGUGGCUGUGUAGGGAUUGACAACCCCUAUUCGCGUUGGUUGCGAGGAUUUAUUUCUUUUGUGCAAGUACGAGGGACUCGCGCGUAGCCUCCUACUGGAUUGAUACCUUGGUUCUCAAAAACUGAGGGAAAUACUUACGCUACUUUGCUGCAUCAUCCCUUCCUCUUCGGGGAAAACCAACGUAGUUCUCAAGAGCUGGCAAGAUGGAUUUCUGGCGCCGUUGCCGCGGAGGUCUACGCAAAAGUCAACAUACCAAGUACCCAUCACAUACCCUUAUCUCCCUCAUUACAUUAUUUGCCAUUUGCUUCUCGUUUUCCUCUUCCCCACUUCACCCUUGCCUUUUUAUUCGCCCUCUCUCUCUAUCCUCCCUCUCUUUCUCUAUUUGCCUCUUUUUCCCUACUUGCUUUCUGUUUGCUUGUGUGUUAGUUGCUUGCUUGUCACGAUGGCUCAAGAUAAUACUAAAUUACGUGACUUCACCAAUACCAACAACAAUGAUUUUAUUAGCACUCCGAUUUCUCCUCUUACCGAUGCUGAAUCUUGAGAAAUUAAUACUGCUUUGCUGAAUCUUGUCAUGAAAGAUCUGUUUUCCUGCCUUCCUAGUGAAGAUGCCGCUACCCACAUAAAUAGAUUCGUUGAUUUGUGUGACAUGCAAAAGAAGAAAGGUGUGGAUAAUGAUAUUGUUAAAUUGAAGCUAUUUCCUUUUUCGCUUAGAGAUCGUGCUAAAGCUUGGUUUUCGUCUUUGCCUAAAAAUAGUAUUGAUUCAUGGAAUAAGUGCAAAGAUGCUUUUAUCUCUAAGUAUUUUCCUCCUGCUAAGAUCAUCUCUCUUAGAAAUGAUAUUAUGAAUUUUAAGCAACUUGAUCAUGAACAUGUUGCACAAGCUUGGGAGAGAAUGAAACUAAUGAUACGUAAUUGACCUGCCCAUGGUUUAAAUUUGUGGAUGAUUAUACCAAAUUUUUAUGCCGGAUUGAACUUUGCUUCUAGAAAUCUUUUAGAUUAGGCCGCAGGAGGCACUAUUAUGGAAAUCACUUUAGGAGAAGCUACUAAACUCCUAGAUAAUAUUAUGGUUAAUUAUUCUCAACGGCAUACCGAAAGUUCUACUAAUAAAAAGGUGCAUGCGAUAGAAGAAAUUAAUGUUUUGAGUGGAAAGAUGGAUGAACUUCUGAAAUUAUUUGCUAAUAAGAGUAUUUCUUCUGAUCCUAAUGAUAUGCCCUUGUCUACUUUGAUUGAGAAUAAUAAUGAAUCUAUGGAUGUGGAUUUUGUUGGUAGGAACAAUUUUGGUAACAACGCGUAUAGAGGAAAUUUCAACCCUAGGCCUUAUCCUAGUAAUCUCUCUAAUAAUUAUGGUAAUUCCUACAGCAAUUCUUAUGGAAAUUAUAAUAAGAUGCAUACUGAUUUUGAAUCUAAUAUUAGAGAAUUUAUUACUUUGCAAAAGAAUUUCAAUGCUUUGAUUGAAGAAAAAUUGCUUAAGAUUGAUGAUUUGGCUAGGAACAUUGAUAGAAUUACUCUUGAUGUUGAUUCUUUGAAACUUAGAUCUAUUCCACCUAAGCAUGAUGUCAAUGAGUCUCUCAAAGCCAUGAGAAUUUCCAUUGAUGAGUGCAAAGAAAGAACCACUAGGAUGCGUGCUAAGAAAGAUGCCUUUAUAAGAGCGUGUUCUUCUAGUUCCUAUGAAAAUAAUGAUGAAGAUCAAAAAGUUAUUGAUGUGCUCCCUAUUAAAUCUUUGUUUUGCAAUACGAAUCUUGAUAAUCAUGGGACUGAAUAUGAUCCACCUUUACCUAGAAGGCGUUCCAAGAAUUCAGAAUUUGUUGAUCUUGAUGGUAAAACUGAUAAAGGUGGGAUUGAAGAAAUUAAAACCCUAGAUGUUGCUAAACCCACUAUUAUGGAUUUCAAGGAACUUAACUAUCAAAACUGCCCUUUGAUUGAUUGUAUAUCCUUGUUACAAUCCGUGCUAAAUUCUCCUCAUGCUUAUAGUCAAAAUAAAGCAUUUACUAAACAUAUCGUUGAUGCCUUGAUGCAAUCUUAUGAAGAAAAACUUGAAUUGGAAGUUUCUAUCCCUAUAAAGCUUUAUGAUGAGUGGGAACCAACUAUUAAAAUUAAAAUUAAAUAUCAUGAAUGCUAUGCUUUAUGUGAUUUUGUGUGCUAGUGUUUCCACGAUUCCAAAGACUUUGUGUGAUUUGUUAGGUUUCCAUGAUUUUGAUGAUUGCUCUUUAAACUUGCACCUUGCGGAUUCCACUAUUAAGAAACCUAUGGGAAGAAUUAAUGAUGUUCUUAUUGUUGCAAAUAGCAAUUAUGUUCCCGUAGAUUUUAUUGUUCUUGACAUAGAUUGCAAUCUUUCAUGUCCUAUUAUUCUUGGUAGACCUUUCCUUAGAACGACUGGUGCAAUUAUUGAUAUGAAGGAAGGAAAUAUUAGAUUCCAAUUUCCAUUAAGGAAAGGCAUGGAACACUUUCCUAGAAAGUAAAUUAAAUUACCUUAUGAAUCUAUUAUGAUAGCCACUUAUGGAUUGCCUACCAAAGAUGGCAAUACCUAGAUCUAUCCUUGCUUGUUAUGCCUAGCUAGGGGCGUUAAACGAUAGCGCUUGUAGGGAGGCAACCCAAUUUUAUUUUUACUCCUUGAUUUUUGCUCCUGUUUAGUAAUAAAUAAUUUAUAUAGCCUCUGUUUUGCUUGUGUUCUUUGUGUUUAAUUAGUGUUUGUGCCAAGUAGAACCGUUAGGAAGACUUGGGGAAAGUCAUGUUACACUUGCUGUAAAAAACUGAAACUUCAGCGCUCACGAGAACUGCUGCCGUUUUUAUUUGGAAAGUGCUAUUUAGUUAAUUAUUUUUUCAGAUAAAUUCCUCACAUCCAGAAAUUUAUUUUAGAAUUUUUGGGGUUCCAGCUCUUGAGCUAGCUACAGAGUACUACCGACUGUUCUGUUUUUGAAAGAUUCUGUUUUUCGUGUGUUGUUUGCUUAUUUUGAUGAAGCUAUGGCUAGUAAAAUAUUUUAUAAACCAUAGAGAAGUUGGAAUACAGUAGGUAUAACACCAAUAUAAAUAAAUAAUGAGUUCAUUACAGUACCUUGAAGUGGUCUUUUAUUUUCUUUCGCUAACGGAGCUCAUGAGAUAUUCUACUUUAAGUUUUGUGUUGUGAAGUUUUCAAGUUUUGGGUAAAGAUUUGAUGCAUUAUGGAACAAGGAGUGACAAGAGCCUAAGCUUGGGGAUGCCCAUGGCACCCCCAAGAUAAUCUAAGUACACCUAAAAGCCAAAGCUUGGGGAUGCGCCGGAAGUCAUCCCCUCUUUCAUCUACUUCUAUCGGUAACUUUACUUGGAGCUAUAUUUUUAUUCGCCACAUGAUAUGUGUUUUGCUUGGAGCGUCUUGUAUUAUUUGAGUCUUUAUUUGUUAGUUUACCACAAUCAUCCUUGCUGUACACACCUUUUGAGAGAGUCAUACAUGACUUGGAAUUUGUUAGAAUACACUAUGUGUUUCGCUUAUAUCUUUUGAGUUAUAUAGUUUUGCUCUAGUACUUCACUUCUAUCGUUUAGAGCACGGUGGUGGAUUUGUUUUAUAGAAACUAUUGAUCUCUCAUGCUUCACUUAGAUUAUUUUGAGAUUCUUAAUAGCAUGUUAAUUUGCUUAAAAUCCUAAUAUGCUAGGUAUUCAAAGUUAGUAAAAUUUUCUUAAGAGUGUUUUGAAUACUAAGAGAAGUUUGAUGCUUGAUGAUUGUUUUGAGAUAUGGAGGUAAUAAUAUCAAAGUCAUUCUACUUGAGUAGUUGUGAAAUUGAGAAAUACUAGUGUUGAAGUUUGCAUGUCCCGUAGCACGCACGUAUGGUAAACGUUGUGUAACAAAUUUGAAACAUGAGGUGUUAUUUGAUUGUCUUCCUUGUGAGUGGCGGUCGGGGACAAGCUAUGGUCUUUUCCUACCAAUCUAUCCCCCUAGGAGCAUGCGCGUAGUACCAAGGUUUUUGAUGACUUGUAGAUUUUUGCAGUAAGUAUGUGAGUUCUUUAUGACCAAUGUUGAGUCCUUGAAUUAUACGCACUCUCACCCUUCCAUCCUUGCUAGCCUCUUCGGUACCGUGCAUUGCCCUUUCCCACAUUGAGAGUUGGAGCAAACUUCGCCAGUGCAUCCAAACCCCGUGAUAUGAUACGCUCUUUAACACAUAAACCUCCUUAUAUCUUCCUCAAAAUAGCCACCAUACCUACCUAGUAUGGCAUUUCCAUAGCCAUUCCGACAUAUAUUGCCAUGCAACUUUCCACCAUUCCGUUCAUCAUGACACAUUCAUCAUUGUCAUAUUGCUUAGCAUAAUCAUGUUGUUGACAUAGUAUUUGUGGCAAGGCCACCGUUCAUAAUUCUUUCAUACAUGUCACUCUUGGUCCAUUGCAUGUCCCGGUACACCGCCGGAGGCAUUCAUAUAGAGUCCUACUUUGUUCUAGUAUCGAGUAGUAAUUAUUGAUUCGUAAAUAAAUAGAAGUGUGAUGAUCAUCAUUAAUAGAGCAUGGUCCCAAAAAGAAAAAAAGGAAGUGCCAAAAAAGGCCAAAUAAAAAAAUAUAAAAAAGGGGGGCAAUGCUACUAUCCUUUUUUUCCACACUUGUGCUUCAAAGUAGCACCGUAAUCUUCAAGAUAGAGAGUCUCUUGAUUUGUCACUUUCAUAUACUAGUGGGAAUUUUUCAUUAUAGAACUUGGCUUGUAUAUUCCAAUAAUGGGCCUCCUCAAGUGCCCUAGGUCUUCGUGAGCAAGCAAGUUGGAUGCACACCCACUUAGUUUCUUUUGUUGAGCUCUCAUACAUUUAUAGCUCUAGUGCAUCCGUUGCAUGGCAAUCCCUACUCAUUGCAUUAACAUCAAUUAAUGGGCAUCUCCAUAGCCCAUUGAUUAGCCUCGUUGAUGUGAGACUUUCUCCUUUUUGUCUUCUCCACAUAACCCCACUCAUUAUAUUCUAUUCCACCCAUAGUGUUAUGUCCAUGGCUUGCAAUCAUAUAUUGCAUGAAAGUUUAUAGGUUUGAGAUCACUAAAGUAUGAAACAAUUGCUUGGCUUGUCAUCGGGGUUGUGCAUGAUGAGAGCAUUCUUGUGUGACGAAAAUGAAGCAUGACUAAACUAUAUGAUUUUGUAGGGCUGAACUUUCUUUGGCCGUGUUAUUUUGAGAAGACAUAAUUGCUCAGUUAGUAUGCUUGAAGUAUUAUAAUUUUAUGUCAAUAUGAACUUUUGUCUUGAAUGUUUCAGAUCUGAAUAUUCAUACCACAAUUAAAAAGAAUUACAUUAAAAUCAUGCCAUGUAGCACUCCGCAUCAAAAAUUCUGUUUUUAUCAUUUACCUACUCGAGGACGAGCAGGAAUUAAGCUUGGUGAUGCUUGAUACGUCUCCAACGUAUCUAUAAUUUUUGAUUGCUCCAUGUAUAUUAUCUAUUGUUUUGGACAAUAUUGGGCUUUAUUAUCCACUUUUAUAUUAUUUUUGGGACUAACCUAUUAACCGGAGGCCCAGCCCAGAAUUGUUGUUUUUUGCCUGUUUUAGGGUUUCGAAGAAAAGGAAUAUCAAACGGAGUCCAAACGGAAUGAAACCUUCGGGAACGUGAUUUUCUCAACGAACAAGACCUAGGAGACUUGGACCCUCCAUCAAGACAUAAAAGAGGAGGCCACGAGGUAGGGGGCGUGCCUACCCCCCCCCCCCCCGGCGCGCCCUCCACCCUCGUGGGCCCCCCUGUUGCUCCACCGACGUACUCCUUCCUCCUAUAUAUACCUACUAUUGGGGAACGUAGCAGAAUUUUAAAAUUUUCUAUGCAAGAUCAAUCUAUGGAGUCAUCUAGCAACGAGGGAGAGAGGAGUGCAUCUACAUACCCUUGUAGAUCGCGCGCGGAAGCGUUCAAGAGAACGGGGUUGAUGGAGUCGUACUCGUCGUGAUCCAAAUCACCGAUGACCAAGUGCCGAACGGAUAGCACCUCCGCGUUCAACACACGUACGGUUGGGAAGACGUCUCCUCCUUCUUGAUCCAGCAAGGGGGAAGGAGAGGUUGAUGAAGAUCCAGCAGCACGAUGGCAUGGUGGUGGAUGCAGCAGGAUCCCGGCAGGGCUUCGCCAAGUGCAAGCGGGGAGGAGAGGUGUUACGGAAGGAGAGGGAGGCGCCAAGAGAAAGGGUGCGGCUACCCUCCCUCCCCCCCUCUUUAUAUAGGGGCCUUGGGGGGCGCCGGCCCUAGGAGAUGGAUCUCCAAGGGGGGCGAAGGCCAAGGGGUGGCUUCCCCCCCAAGCCAAGUGGGGGGCGCCCCCACCCCUAGGGUUUCCCAACCCUAGGUGCAGGGGAGGCCCAAGGGGGGCGCACCAGCCCACUAGGGGCUGGUUCUGCUCCCAAUUCAGCCCAUGGGGCCCUCCGGGAUGGGUGGCCCCACCCGGUGGACCCCCGGGACCCUUCCGGUGGUCCUGGUACUAUACCGGUGACCCCCGAAACCUUUCCGAUGGCCGAAACUGUACUUCCUAUAUAUAAAUCUUUACCUCCGGACCAUUCCGGAACUCCUCGUGAUGUCCGGGAUCUCCUCCGGGACUCCGAACAUAUCCUGGGUUACUACAUACUAAUAUCUCUACAACCCUAGCGUCACCGAACCUUAAGUGUGUAGACCCUACGGGUUCGGGAGACAUGCAGACAUGACCGAGACGCCUCUCCGGUCAAUAACCAACAGCGGGAUCUGGAUACCCAUGUUGGCUUCCACAUGCUCCAUGAUGAUCUCAUCGGAUGAACCACGAUGUCGAGGAUUCAAUCAAUCUGUAUACAAUUCCCUCUGUCAAUCGGUAGGUUACUUGCCCGAGACUCGAUCGUCGGUAUCCCAAUACCUCGUUCAAUCUCGUUACCAGCAAGUCACUUUACUCGUGCCGUAAUGCAUGAUCCCAUGAUCAACCACUUGGUCACAAUGAGCUCAUUAUGAUGAUGCAUUACCGAGUGGGCCCAGAGAUACCUCUCCGUCAUACGGAGUGACAAAUCCCAGUCUCGAUUCGUGCCAACCCAACAGACACUUUCAGAGAUACCUGUAAUGUUCCUUUAUAGUCACCCAGUUACGUUGUGACAUUUGGCACACCCAAGGCACUCCUACGGUAUCCGGGAGUUGCCCAAUCUCAUGGUCUAAGGAAAUGAUACUUGACAUUCGGAAAAGCUACAGCAAACGAACUACACGAUCUUUGAGCUAUGCUUAGGAUUGGGUCUUGUCCAUCACAUCAUUCUCCUAAUGAUGUGAACCCGUUAUCAAUAACAUCCAAUGUCCAUAGUCAGGAAACCAUGACUAUCUUUUGAUCAACGAGCUAGUCAACUAGAGGCUCACUAGGGACGUGUUGUCUUCUAUGUAUUCACACAUGUAUUACGAUUUCCGGAUAACACAAUUAUAGCAUGAACAAUAGACAAUUAUCAUGAACAAAGAAAUAUAAUAAUAACCAUUUUAUUAUUGCCUCUAGGGCAUAUUUCCAACAGUCUCCCACUUGCACUAGAGUCAAUGUCUAGUUACAUUGUGAUGAAUCGAACACCCUUGAAGUUCUGGAGUUGAUCAUAUUUUUCUCUAGGGAGAGGUUUAGUCAAUGGAUCUGCCACAUUCAGGUCCGUAUGUACUUUACAAAUCUCUAUGUCUCCAUUUUGAACAACUUCACGAAUGGAGUUGAAGUGACGCUUGAUAUGCCUGGUCUUCCUGUGAAACCUGGGCUCCUUGGCAAGUGCAAUAGCUCCAGUGUUGUCACAGAAUAGAGUCAUCGGGCACGGUGCAUUGGGUAUGACUCCUAGGUCGGUAAUGAACUCCUUCACCCAGACUGCUUCUUGUCCUGCCUCCGAGGCUACCAUGUACUCCGCUUCACAUGUAGAUCCCGCCACAACGCUUUGCUUGCAACUCCACCAGCUUAUUGCCCCACCAUUCAAAAUAUACACGUAUCCGGUUUCCGACUUAGAGUCAUCCAGAUCUGUGUCGAAGCUAGCAUCGACGUAACCCUUUACGACGAGCUCUUCGUCACCUACAUAAACGAGAAACAUAUCCUUACUCCUUUUUAGGUACUUGAGGAUAUUCUUGACCGCUGUCCAUGUUAGGGAACGUUGUAAUUUCAAAAAAAUUCCUACGCACACGCAAGAUCAUGGUGAUGCAUAGCAACGAGGGGAGAGUCUGAUCUACGUACCCUUGUAGAUCGCAACGGAAGCGUUGACACAACGUAGGGGAAGUAGUCGUACGUCUUCUUCCCGAUCCGACCGAUCCAAGCACCAUUACUCCGGCACCUCCGAGUUCUUAGCACACGUUCAGCUCGAUGACGAUCCUCGGGCUCCGAUCCAGCAAAGUGUCGAGGAAGAGUUCCGUCAGCACGACGGCGUGGCGACAAUCUUAAUGUACUACCGACGCAGGGCUUCGCCUAAGCACUACAACAGUAUGAUCGAGGUGGAAUUUGGUGGCAGGGGGCACCGAACACGGCUAAGGAACGAUCUCAAUGAUCAACUUGUGUGUCUAGAGGUGCCCCCUGCCCCCGUAUAUAAAGGUUGCCAGGGGGUGGGCUGGCCGGCCAAAGGAGGAGGGCGCAGGAGGAGUCCUACUCCUACCGGGAGUAGGACUCCCCCCCCCAAUCCUAUUCCUAAUAGGACUCCUCGAGAGAGAGAGAGGGAGAAGGGGGCCGGCCACCUCUCCUAGUCCUAAUAGGACUAGGGGAGGGGGGAGGCGCGCAGCCCACCUUGGGCUGCCCCUUUCGCCUUUCCACUAAGGCCCAAUAAGGCCCAUUUGGUUCCCGGGGGGUUCCGGUAACCUCCCUAUACUCCGGUAAAAUUCCCGAUUUCACCCGGAACACUUCCGAUGUCCAAACAUAGGCUUCCAAUAUAUCAAUCUUUAUGUCUCGACCAUUUCGAGACUCCUCGUCAUGUCCGUGAUCACAUCCGGGACUCCGAACAACCUUCGGUACAUCAAAAUGCAUAAACUCAUAAUAACUGUCAUCGUAACGUUAAGCGUGCGGACCCUACGGUUCGAGAACAAUGUAGACAUGACCGAGACACGUCUCCGGUCAAUAACCAAUAGCGGGACCUGGAUGCCCAUAUUUGCUCCUACAUAUUCUACAAAGAUCUUUAUCGGUCAGACCGCAUAACAACAUACGUUGUUCCCUUUGUCAUCGGUAUGUUACUUGCCCGAGAUUCGAUCGUCGGUAUCCAAUACCUAGUUCAAUCUCGUUACUGGCAAGUCUAUUUACUCGUUCCGUAAUACAUCAUCUCACAACUAACAUCUUAGUUAUAAUGCUUGCAAGGCUUCUGUGAUGUGUCUUACCGAGAGGGCCCAGAGAUACCUCUCCGACAAUCGGAGUGACAAACCCUAAUCUCGAAAUACGCCAACCCAACAUCUACCAUUGGAGACACCUGUAGUACUCCUCUAUAAUCACCCAGUUAUGUUGUGACGUUUGGUAGUACCCUAAGUGUUCCUCCGGCAAACGGGAGUUGCAUAAUCUCAUAGUCAUAGGAACAUGUAUAAGUCAUGAAGAAAGCAAUAGCAACAUACUAAACGAUUGGGUGCUAAGCUAAUGAAAUGGGUCAUGUCAAUCAGAUCAUUCAACUAAUGAUGUGACCUCGUUAAUCAAAUAACAACUCUUUGUUCAUGGUUAGGAAACGUAACCAUCUUUGAUUAACGAGCUAGUCAAGUAAAGGCAUACUAGUGACACUCUGUUUGUCUAUGUAUUCACACAUGUAUUAUGUUUCCGGUUAAUACAAUUCUAGCAUGAAUAAUAAACAUUUAUCAUGAUAUAAGGAAAUAAAUAAUAACUUUAUUAUUGCCUCUAGGGCAUAUUUCCUUCAGUCUCCCACUUGCACUAGAGUCAAUUAUCUAGAUUACACAGUAAUGAUUCUAACACCCAUGGAGCCUUGGUGCUGAUCAUGUUUUGCUCAUGGAAGAUGCUUAGUCAACGGGUCUGCAACAUACAGAUCCGUAUGUAUCUUGCAAAUCUCUAUGUCUCCCACCUGGACUAGAUCCCGGAUGGAGUUGAAGCGUCUCUUGAUGUGUUUGGUCCUUUUGUGUAAUCUGGAUUCCUUUGCUAAAGCAAUUGCACCAGUAUUGUCACAAAAGAUUUUCAUUGGACCCGAUGCACUAGGUAUGACACCUAGAUCGGAUAUGAACUCCUUCAUCCAGACUCCUUCGUUCGCUGCUUCCGAAGCAGCUAUGUACUCCGCUUCACAUGUAGAUCCCGCUACGACGCUUGUUUAGAACUGCACCAAUUGACAGCUCCACCGUUUAAAGUAAACACCUAUCCGAUUUGCAAUUUAGAAUCGUCCGGAUCAGUGUCAAAGCUUGCAUCAACGUAACCUCUUACGGUGAGCUCUUUGUCACCUCCAUAUACGAGAAACAUAUCCUUAGUCCUUUUCAGGUACUUCAGGAUGUUCUUGACCGUUGUCCAGUGAUCCACUCCUGGAUUACUUUGGUACCUCCCUGCUAAACUUAUAGCAAGGCACACAUCAGGUCUGGUACACAGCAUUGCAUACAUGAUAGAGCCUAUGGCUGAAGCAUAGGGAACAUCUUUCAUUUUCUCUCUAUCUUCUGCAGUGGUCGGGCAUUGAGUCUGACUCAACUUCACACCUUGUAACACAGGCAAGAACCCUUUCUUUGCUUGAUCCAUUUUGAACUAAUUCAAAAUCUUGUCAAGGUAUGUGCUUUGUGAAAGUCCAAUUAAGCGUCUUGAUCUAUCUCUAUAGAUCUUUAUGCCUAAUAUGUAAGCGGCUUCCCCGAGGUCUUUCAUCGAAAAACUUUUAUUCAAGUAUCCCUUUAUGCUAUCCAGAAAUUCUAUAUCAUUUCCAAUCAGCAAUAUGUCAUCCACAUAUAAUAUCAGAAAUGCUACAGAGCUCCCACUCACUUUCUUGUAAAUACAGGCUUCUCCAAAAGUCUGUAUAAAGCCAAAUGCUUUGAUCACACUAUCAAAGCGUUUAUUCAAACUCCGAGAGGCUUGCACCAGUCCAUAAAUGGAUCGCUGGAGCUUGCACACUUUGUUAGCUCCCUUUGGAUCGAUAAAACCUUCUGGUUGCAUCAUAUACAACUCUUCUUCCAGAAAUCCAUUCAGGAAUGCAGUUUUGACAUCCAUCUGCCAAAUUUCAUAAUCAUAAAAUGCGGCAAUUGCUAACAUGAUUCUGACAGACUUAAGCAUCGCUACGGGUGAGAAGGUCUCAUCGUAGUCAACCCCUUGAACUUGUCGAAAAACUUUUGCGACAAGUCGAGCUUUAUAGACAGUAAUAUUACCGUCAGCGUCAGUCUUUUUCUUGAAGAUCCAUUUAUUCUCAUUUGCUUGCCGAUCAUCAGGCAAGUCAACCAAAGUCCAUACUUUGUUCUCAUAUAUGGAUCCCAUCUCAGAUUUCAUGGCUUCAAGCCACUUUGCGGAAUCUGGGCUCACCAUCGCUUCUUCAUAGUUCGUAGGUUCAUCAUGAUCUAGUAGCAUGACUUCCAGAAUUGGAUUACCGUACCACUCUAGUGCGGAUCUCACUCUGGUUGAUCUAUGUGGUUCAGUAGUAUCUUGUCCUAAAGUUUCAUGAUCAUCAUCAUUAGCUUCCUCACUAAUUGGUAUAGGUGUCGCAGAAACAGUUUUCUGUGAUGUACUAUUUUCCAAUAAGGGAGCAGGUACAGUUACCUCGUCAAGUUCUACUUUCCUCCCACUCACUUCUUUCGAGAGAAACUCCUUCUCUAGAAAUGAUCCAUUCUUAGCAACGAAUGUCUUGCCUUCGGAUCUGUGAUAGAAGGUGUACCCAACAGUCUCCUUUGGGUAUCCUAUGAAGACACAUUUCUCCGCUUUGGGUUCGAGCUUAUCAGGUUGAAGCUUUUUCACAUAAGCAUCGCAGCCCCAAACUUUAAGAAACGACAACUUUGGUUUCUUGCCAACACUACAGGAAUCGGCUACUUUGCCAUGUGCCACGGCGGACGGCAAAGGCCCGAACGGCGGACGGCAAAGGCCUUUGCCGUCAGCGGCGGACGGCAAAAGGCUCCGGCAAAGUAGGCUUCGGUAAACAGGUUCUUUGCCGUCUACUAUUGACGGCAAAGUCUUUGCCGUCUGCGGCGGACGGCAAAGAGAGAGCAGCAGACGGCAAAGACGGCGGACGGCAAUAAUUGCGCUGUCAGUCCGUUAAGUGGCUAACGGAAGGCCUUUGCCGUCCGCCGCUGACGGCAAAAUUUCUAGGGUCUUUGCCGUCCGCCGUAUGAUGUCAUCUACACGUCACUACGUGGCAGGUUCUUUGCCGUCUGCCACUGACGGCAAAGUCUUUGCUGUCUGCCACUGUAGGCAAACUGACCAAAUGGGUCAGCUCCCAGGAAGCACAGGUGGACGCCACGUGGCUUCUUUGCCAUCCGCGGCAGACGGCAAAGAGCCCGUUGCCGUCGGUGGUAGACGGCAAAGAGCCUGCAUAUUGGCUCUUUUUUCUGUUUUUUCAUAUACCCAACCAUUUUCACAGCAAAUAGAUGAUACAUAUAUAUUUUUCACAUGGCAAGUUCACAGCAAACAUAUGAGAUAUCCAACACAUAUAAUUGCAUCAUACAUGCAUAGUUCCAUCAACCAUACAUAGCAAGUUCGACAUACAUGCAUCCAACCAUACAUAUUACAAUAGUGUCAUCCUACCAUACAUGCAUAGUUCAUAGAUACAAAGGAAACAUAGUUCAUCCAAACAAGCACUCCAUCUAUGCAAGCUUCCGUGAAGUGAAUGAAUUCUGCAAAAUGGGAAAUAAGAAAGUUAGAAGAAGAAGAUUGGAAGAAGAAGAAGUAGAAGAAGAAUAUAUAUAUAUAUAUGACAUUUAUGCGCUAAUUUAGGUGAAAUUGAUCAUUUGUGAGCUAACUUAGGUGAAAUGGAUCGUUUAUGAGCUAACCUAGGUGCAAUGGAUCGCUUAUGAGCAAACUUAAGUAAAAUGCAUCAUUUUAGAGGUAACCUAGGUAAGAUGGAUCAUUUUGGAGCUAACCUAGGUAAAAUGGGUCAUUUUAGAGCUAACUUCGGUAGAAUGGAUCAUUUAUGAGCUAGGUAAGGUUAAAUGGAUCAUUUUAGAACUAACUUAGGUAAAAUGGAUCGUUUAUGAGCUAACUUAGGUAAAAUGGAUCGUUUUUGAGCUAACUAAGGUGAAAUGAAUCGUUUUUGAGCUAACUAAGGUGAAGGGCAUCAUUUUUGAGCUAACUAAGGUGAAAUGGAUCGUUUUUGAGCUAACUAAGGUGAAAUGAAUCGUUUUUGAGCUAACUAAGGUAAAAUGGAUCGUUUUUGAGCUAACUUAGGUGAAAUGGAUCGUUUUUGAGCAAACUUAGGUGAAAUGGNNNNNNNNNNNNNNNNNNNNNNNNNNNNNNNNNNNNNNNNNNNNNNNNNNNNNNNNNNNNNNNNNNNNNNNNNNNNNNNNNNNNNNNNNNNNNNNNNNNNNNNNNNNNNNNNNNNNNNNNNNNNNNNNNNNNNNNNNNNNNNNNNNNNNNNNNNNNNNNNNNNNNNNNNNNNNNNNNNNNNNNNNNNNNNNNNNNNNNNNNNNNNNNNNNNNNNGGAUCGUUUUUGAGCUAACUAAGGUGAAAUGGAUCAUUUUUUAGCUAACUAAGGUGAAAUGGAUCGUUUUUGAGCAAACUUAGGUGAAAUGGAUCAUUUAAGAGCUAAUUUAGGUGAAAUGGAUUGUUUUUGAGCUAACUAAGGUGAAAUGGAUCGUUUUUGAGCAAACUUAGGUGAAAUGGAUCAUUUAAGAGCUAAUUUAGGUGAAAUGGAUCGUUUUUGAGCAAACUUAGGUGAAAUGGAUCAUUUAAGAGCUAAUUUAGGUGAAAUGGAUCGUUUUUAGCUAACUUAGGUGAAAUGGAUCGUUUAGGAGCUACUCUAGGUAAAUUGGGUCAUUUUAGAGCUAACUUGGAUAAACUAGAUCACUUAUAAGCUAACCUAGGUAAGAUGGGUCAUUUUGGAGCUAACUUAGGUAAAAUGGAUCGUCUAUGAGCUAACUAAGCUAAUUAUGCAAUUUUUGACAUAAGUAAGCUAAGUAUAGAUUGUUUUAGAGCUAACUUAGGUAAAAUGGAUGGUUUUGGAGGUCAGUAAGCUUAUUUAGUCAUUUUGGAGGAGAAGAAGCUAAGUCUACGUCAUUAUGGUAAGCAUUGGAGGAAAUAAAGCUAAGUCUAGGUCUUUAUGCAUGUGUUAAGCAAAACACUAGAUAAACUUACCAAGAUCCAGGAGGUGUAGGAGUGGGGUGGCUCGUGUCGGUAGCUGGAGAAGGAUCGUGCGAUGCUUGUCUGGAGUUACGCUGCACCAAAGAUCAUUUCCAAUGUCUUGUUAGCAUGAUGACACUCAAAUGUUAAGACUAGUAAGUAAUGUCCAUUCAAAUAAAACUCACCGUGGUCCCAGGAGCAAUCACUGGCAUCGGCGGAGCGGUCUGACCUGUCUUCUCGCACACAGACUGCACAUUUGGUUUUGACGACUCAGUCAUACUAGUUAGUAAUGAGACAAACACUACAUGAAUGUUUUGGCUAAUCUGCAGAUGAAACUUACCACAAGGAGCUCGUACAUGGCCCUUGCCUGCAUGUCAUUCCGUGCCCUCUCCUCCUCCACCAUCUUUGUCGUCCUCUCCUCCAACUCCCGCUGCCUCUCCGCCGCCUCCGCCAGAAGUUUCUCCGUUCUAUCUCUCUCACUCUGUAUGGCAGCCUGCAACACCACUCACAUGACAAUUUGUAAUCAUUGAUGGAAGCGCACACAAUGUAAUGGAGAAAGAUAACUGAGUAUGUAUCACUAACCUUGAUGGCGACUUGCACUGGCCGUUCACGAGGCCUUAUCUUAGGAGCGGAGCUCGACUGGCGCGCCUUGAUCUCCGAGAGAGUGCUAGGACAACGGAUAAGUCCAUCUCCAAUGGCUAUGGAGCCAUGGGACCUCCCGUCACCAGAUAUCAUCAACAGCUCUGGAUCAAUGGGACCCUGGCUCGGGUUAAAGUCCUCCCCUUUCCUCGCCUUCCCCUCAUCUCUAUAUCUCACGAGCUUGUUGUGGGAGGAGAUGUUGGUGAAGUUGUUUGCAUCAUCGAGGUCAGACUGAGAGAAAGCCUUGACUUUCUUGAAAGAGGCAGUGUGGGCCAUGGCAUACAGGUCGUACACCUCUGGCACCUUAUCCGCCUUAUUAUAGCAUGCCUGAAAGAGAGAAACAAUGAAAAUUAGUAAUUAAAGGGCUCAAGCUAGCAUGAUGAAUGAAUUGCAUGAAUCAUGAAGCAAACCACAUACCCAGUUGCGCCCGAACUGAUAUAAGUUGGAGCUGCCUUGAUGGUGUGGCACACCUUCCAUUUUUGCACGUUUGUCCUUGGCCUCCUUGUGGGGGGCUAGCCAUCGUUGUGAGCACCACUCAUCGACCAACACCUCCCAACAAUCCAUCCGAUCCGCACACCAUCUCGGAGGCGCCUAAGUUAGCAAAUAGAAACUUGAGCGCUACGGCUAAGAAUUACUAAAUGAAGGAACUUAAGUAGAGAAGGCCUUGAGAAUUACCUUCAUGUAAUGCUCCUUACUCAGGAACUUAUCGCAGCAUGCCGGCUUGGUCUUCUUGAUACCACGCAAGGCGUAGUAGUCUCGAACAGCCUGCACCCGAGCCUCGUGCCGUAAGUUCUGGAGUAGGCGCUUGCAGACGUUCUCGAUAACAUGUGCCGCGUCCUCCUCGUAUCCCUCCUCACACCUGUAGAAUGUCUGCAAUCAAAUGAGACAAUGUUGAUUAGUACAAUUAAUAACUAGCUAGUUGAAGAUUUUUAAAUGUGUAAAGGAGAAAUUACCCAGAACUUUCUGAUCACCAUGUCUGCCCUCGUGUCACACACGACACCGUCGAUAAUCUCAUUUGGCAGGGCCGGGGCAGCCACGUAGUGCUCCCAGCUCAAUCCAAGCUCUGGAAGCCGACCCUCACCAGGCAACGUGACAAACCCCGGGAAGUUUUGCCGGCAAAGAACUCCAAGGACGGAGUUGGGCCGGCGGACACUAUGAUGGUGGUCCCAACCCCUGCAGCAUGACAAGGCCAACGCAUUAGUUAUUUGAAAAAAUGUGAAUGCACAAGGUACAAAAAUAUUAAAUGCACUUACGUACCUCUCCCCAUCAGGGAAAAUCAACCACCUCUGCUCGCGGGUCACCGGCACGGACGGGAGCCGUGUAGCACCACGCUGGUAGACGGUGCCCCCCUCCUCCUCAAGAUCAGUCGGCUCCCCGCCAUCAUCAGCAUGACCACUCGGCUCCUUGGGCUGAUCCGGCCAGGUACCCCAUCCGGACGUGUGCUCCUCCGGGGUCAUGUGGGCCGAACUCUCGUGGGCUGAAGACCCGUGGACCGGAGGCUCAUGGACCGGAGUUCGUGUAGCCUCCUCCUCGGACGAGUCCACCCUAGCAGUCACGUGCUUGGGUGAAACGGUUGGGGGUGGCGGCGAGGAAGGCACCGUAGCAGUCACCCUACCUCCUCUCCCAGGACCACGUGCCCCACCUCCUCUCUUCCUACCUCGUCCCCUGCUGGGCACCAUGGUCGACGAAGAAGGGCCCGGCGGUGUGGCCAUACUGUCCAGCAACGCUCGGCGGAGAGGUGCGUCUGGAAUGGAAGACCUCAGACCACGCUCCCGACCAGUGCCCACCAUCUUUCAACACCUGCCAUGACAAACAGUAAAUGAAAUUAGUACAACAUAAAAAAGGACCGACAUGAAUAAUAAUAUGUGUAUCACUUAAGUGUAUCAUCAUCAAGUACAACAUAAAAAAAUGUAAUACCGGACACUACUAAUAAUCUCGAUCAGUAUCAUCAAUAAAUGCAUAAUCAUCAUCAUCACUAUAAUCAAUGACGGGCUCAUAGGGUUCAUUGGCAUCAACAUGUGCAAGGCCACCUUGACGUAAUCGGUCAAGCAUUGACAGGUCAUCCGCAGCAGUAACCUCUUCUUGUUCCGGCUCUUCUUGUUCCUCCUCUGGGGUGAUGUCGGAUUCAUUGUCGCUGUCUACUUCAAUGUUUUGGGGUGAAGUAUAGCGGUUCUUGAAACGCUUUUUGGAAAGACGUGUCUCUUGGAAGAAUUCUCCUUCAUAUGUGUCUGGGUUAAUGUGAGGUUCAUAAUCCUCUUCCUUUGCGGGAGAAAGUCUAGCACGUGGCGGCACUUCAUAAACGACAUCCCAACCUUUCAGAUUUGGAUUAGUUUGGCAGGCCCACGGUAGAUAGAAUACUUGGGUCGCCUGUUGAGCCAUAAUAUAGACAUCAAGAACAUCUAAACGAGUGCUUUGGUUGAUUUCAACUAGCCCUACAUGUUCAUGAGUCCUUCUAGUCUCGUUUGGCUGAAACCAAUAACAUUUGAAGACUACGACAUUUUGUGGGUUUUCACCAUAGAACAGAAGUUCAUAAAUUGCUUCAACUCUCCCAUAAUACUCGGUACCUCCUUUGCCGAUAGCAGAUACACAACAAUUUGUUGACUUUGGGUCCGCCAUAGAUAGCUCUUUGCCAUAGGUACGAAAGCGAUACCCGUUGAUGUCGUACUUGUCAAAUGAACGGACCUUAUAGUCAAAACCAUUAGCGACUUGUCUCAAUUCGGCGUCCAUAGAGUCUGGAUUAGCCUACAGGUUUAAUAUGAAAGGAUUGUUGCAUUAUGCACAAAUUAGCGAAUGAAAUGAAAUUGUCUAAUAGAAAUUACCGUUUGUUUGAACCAAGAGAUGAAACCGGGAUAGCCACCUCCUUGCUUUGCGAGAAGCUCAUACUCUUCGACAGAAUCCUUUUGGAUCUCCGCUCCAUACGAGAAUAUGGUGACGUAUCGACUGUAUGACAUAUCCAGGAAUAAGAGUAGUUCAAAGGAAAUAGAAGUUGCGAAACAAUGUAUCGAGAACUUACUCGAUGUACGGCCGCACUUCUAUCAGGUUGUUGAAGAUAUACAAUGAAAUGGUCCGCCAUUCUUUGUUAUCCAAAGAUACUGGAUGUGAAACACCAGCUGGUGCGAGAUUCCCUUUGAAUAGGCUGAGGUUGGAUCCACCCUUUUUAGGCUCGUCAGCAUUGUACCGAGGCUUCGGAUUAUGCAAAUGACGAUUUUUGGCUUCGUAGUGCGCUGUUACGAAGUUUGCCACCUCCUCUGUGAUGAAUGCCUCAGCCAUCGAUGCUUCAAUUCUACGUUUAUUUUUACAUUUUUCUCGAAGCGUGUUCUGCAUCCUCUCAGUUGGGUAGCACCAACGAUUUUGCACGGGCCCCCCCAAUCUUGCCUCGGUCGGGAGAUGCAAAAUCAAAUGCUGCAUUGGAUUAAAGAAGCCCGGUGGAAAGAUUUUCUCUAACUUGUAGAUCAACUCCGGCGCCAACUCUUCCAUUUCUUCUAGCACGCCAGGAGAUAGUUAUUUCGCACAAAGAACACGGAAGAAAUAGCUGAGUUCUGCCAGUACUAGCCAUUCAUCCUCAGGGAUGAAGCCACGCAACAUCACCGGCAUUACCCGCUCAAUCCAUAUUUGCUCCCCUCUUUAGAUUCGCUGCAUACCCAUCGGGGAACAUCAACUGCUGUUGCACCCACAAGAGAAUUUCCCUCAUAGCUGGCCUUCCAAGAUUGAACCAUGCCUUUGGCUUCGUCUAGUUCUGCUUUCCUUUCGGUUCUUUCAUGUUUUGUAACGGCCUAUCACAUAGCGCCUCCAGAUCGACUCUAGCCUUAGUAUUAUCCUUUGACUUCCCAUCCAUGCCGAACAAUGUACCAAAAAGUGCCUCGGUGAUAUUCUUCUCAGUGUGCAUCACGUCGAUGUUGUGUGGGCAAAGGAGGUCUUUGAAGUAAGGCAGAUCCCAUAAGCAUGUUUUGUGAGUCCACGCAUGCUUAGUAUUAUACCCCUUGAAGUACCCUGGACAUUGUGGAUCUGGCUCGAGAGCGUUUAACUGAUCCAGGGUCUGUUGGCCUGUCAAUGCAGGUGGUGCAGAGUUUUUGACAACUCUACCCCUGAUGAAGUUCUUCUUGUCUUCCCUGAACUUAUGGCGAGGAUCCAGGAACUGUCUAUGCAUGUCGAAGCAAGAAAACUUGCGACCGGCCUGAAGCCAACGAAACUCAAGAGCUCCCUGGCAUGUGGGGCACGGGAACCUUCCAUGCACACACCAGCCAAUGAAUAGCGCAUACGCCGGCAAGUCAUGCGUCGAGUACAUGUACUAGACACGCAUUAUGAAGUUCCGUUUGCUAAAGGCAUCGUAUGUCUUGAACCCAUUAUCCCAAGCUUCUUGCAAUUCGUCCUUAAGCGGCUGCAUGUACACAUUCAUAUUUUUGCCCGGAUAGUUGGGUCCUGGAAAUAUCAACGUUAGGAAAAUGUUCUUUCUUUGCAUAAUCUGUGCGGGGGGGAGAUUGAGUGGAAAGACAAAUACGGGCCAACAACUGUAUUGGGCUGCCAUCAUACCAAACACACUGAACCCAUCCGUGCUGAUGCCGACUCGAGAAUGCCUCGGAUCUGCCGCUUUGUCAGCAUGUAAUUCAUCAAACUUUUUCCACGCAACACCAUCCGAUGUGUGUACCAUCAUCAGAUUCCCAUCUGCAUCUAGUGCGGUUCUUUUGCCUGUUUUGUGCCAUGUCAUCUGUCUGGCCGUCUCUUUGACCAUGAAAAGACGUUGAAGUCUUGGUACAAUUGGCAUAUACCGAAGAACACUAACGGGGAUUUUGGUCUGUGUCUUCUCACCCAUACCGUUGUCUACCACAAUAUACCUGGAAGACUUGCAAAUGGGACAAUAGUUCAAGUCCGCAUAGUCAAGCCUAAAUAAGGCACAUCCUUUCUCACAGGCAUGUAUCUUCUCAUAGGGCAUCUUCAGUGCAUGGAGGAUUUUGUCCGACUGGUACAGGUUUGCAGGCAUUACAUGUCCUUUGGGUAGAAAGCGUCCAAAUACUGUCAUAAUUGCGUCAUAGCAUUCUCUACCCAAGUUGAACUGAGCCUUCAGAGCCAUUACUUGUGAGAUGGCAUCCAACUGACAAAGCUCAGUGUGCUCGCGGAGCGGACGUUUCGAAGACUCCAACAUUUCAUUGAAGGCCUUUGCAGAUUCCUCCAUCUCCUCGUCCGAAUCCCGAGCAUCAUCAUAGUCUUGCACCAUGUUUUCCAUCCCGGUACCAUGCUCGUCGGUGCGACGACGAUCCACCUCAGCUCGGUCACGUUGGGCAGACUCACCAUGAAAUGUCCAGACCGUAUAAUCGGGCGUAAAACCACUCUUCUGCAGGUGUUUGCCCAUUUCAGCCUCUCUCUUCUUUUCCCAAUUGCCGCACCGGAAAUAGGGGCACCAGGUUUUCUUUUGGCCAUUUGCAAAUGCGGCUUGCACAAACCCCUUAGUUUUUGUGAACCAUUCAGCGCUCCAUUUGUUCUGACCAGUGUGACCGGUAUACAUCCAAGCACGGUCACUCAUCUUGACUUUCAGAGCUACUGGACACACAACAAUUAUAUAUGUAAUUCACCAUGUAUAUAUUCAUCAGUUGAUCUACUGUGUCAAUUUUAUUACGUCCAUGCAACCUACACUCUAAUAGGUAAUGAUAGGUCCUAAUCCCACCCGUGUAUGUGUAGAUUGGGUUCAUUUUCCCAUGCUAUGCUCCGGAUCCGACGCAAAAUUUCGGCAGCACCUCCCCGUUAUUCUCCUGAUACACGUCUCUGCAAUAAACAGAGAGGAUGUGUACCCGGAGAACAACAGGGGAGGCACUGACGAAAUAUAUGCGUCGGAUCCGGAGCAAAGCAUAUGGGAAAACGAACCCAAUCUACACAUACUCGGGCUGUCCAUGGAUAGCGUUGGACAAUUCGAAAGAAUCAAGGUUAUAAAUAUGCAAAUGCAUGCAUAUUUAUAAAUAUGACGCUUUCGAAUGGGAGACACAUAUUGGUUACGCAUACUGAUGAUUCAAGACACAUAUAUAGCUAGCUAUCAAGUUUCAUCGGAAUAGAUCAAAUAAUUAAUGGGGGAGGAGGACUUGUCAUUUGUGCUCACCCACGAACGAAGGGCAGAGCUCGUCAAACGCACGGCGAGGUCGUCGAACACCAAACCUCGCAGCGAUGAAACAACUGCACAUUUAAAACUACACGAUCAACACAAUUAUAUAUGAUGUUUUUCAUAACUAAAUCGAAAAAUAUAUAACCUAACUAAUAAUUCACAAAUAUAUGACCCCGUCGGCCUCUGGAAGGCCGAAGAACACCUUAAUUUUCGGGAGGUGUCGGUGGUCGGGGUGCCCUGUCGGUGUCGGGGUGCCGUGUCGGGGUCGGGGUCUCGGGGUCGGGGUGUCGGGUCGGGGUGCCNNNNNNNNNNNNNNNNNNNNNNNNNNNNNNNNNNNNNNNNNNNNNNNNNNNNNNNNNNNNNNNNNNNNNNNNNNNNNNNNNNNNNNNNNNNNNNNNNNNNNNNNNNNNNNNNNNNNNNNNNNNNNNNNNNNNNNNNNNNNNNNNNNNNNNNNNNNNNNNNNNNNNNNNNNNNNNNNNNNNNNNNNNNNNNNNNNNNNNNNNNNNNNNNNNNNNNNNNNNNNNNNNNNNNNNNNNNNNNNNNNNNNNNNNNNNNNNNNNNNNNNNNNNNNNNNNNNNNNNNNNNNNNNNNNNNNNNNNNNNNNNNNNNNNNNNNNNNNNNNNNNNNNNNNNNNNNNNNNNNNNNNNNNNNNNNNNNNNNNNNNNNNNNNNNNNNNNNNNNNNNNNNNNNNNNNNNNNNNNNNNNNNNNNNNNNNNNNNNNNNNNNNNNNNNNNNNNNNNNNNNNNNNNNNNNNNNNNNNNNNNNNNNNNNNNNNNNNNNNNNNNNNNNNNNNNNNNNNNNNNNNNNNNNNNNNNNNNNNNNNNNNNNNNNNNNNNNNNNNNNNNNNNNNNNNNNNNNNNNNNNNNNNNNNNNNNNNNNNNNNNNNNNNNNNNNNNNNNNNNNNNNNNNNNNNNNNNNNNNNNNNNNNNNNNNNNNNNNNNNNNNNNNNNNNNNNNNNNNNNNNNNNNNNNNNNNNNNNNNNNNNNNNNNNNNNNNNNNNNNNNNNNNNNNNNNNNNNNNNNNNNNNNNNNNNNNNNNNNNNNNNNNNNNNNNNNNNNNNNNNNNNNNNNNNNNNNNNNNNNNNNNNNNNNNNNNNNNNNNNNNNNNNNNNNNNNNNNNNNNNNNNNNNNNNNNNNNNNNNNNNNNNNNNNNNNNNNNNNNNNNNNNNNNNNNNNNNNNNNNNNNNNNNNNNNNNNNNNNNNNNNNNNNNNNNNNNNNNNNNNNNNNNNNNNNNNNNNNNNNNNNNNNNNNNNNNNNACUAAAUCUAAACCUAAAACAAAACUAAAACUAAACCUAAAACUAAAACUAAAACUAAAUCUAAACUAAAACUAAAAAGGAAAAAAACAGAAAAAAAAUAGAAAAAAGGAGGUUGGGGCUCACCUUCUGCAGCGCCGGUGGAGGAGGGGGCGGGGCGGUGGAGGAGCUGGCUGGGGCGCGGGGCGGCCUGGGGCGGCGCGGGGCCGGGCCCGAUGCGGUGGGGCGCGGGGCGGCGGUGCGUGCGGACCCUAUGGUUCGAGAACAAUGUAGACAUGACCGAGACACGUCUCCGGUCAAUAACCAAUAGCGGGACCUGGAUGCCCAUAUUGGCUCCUACAUAUUCUACGAAGAUCUUUAUCGGUCAGACCGCAUAAUAACAUACGUUGUUCCCUUUGUCAUCGGUAUGUUACUUGCCCGAGAUUCGAUUGUCGGUAUCCAAUACCUAGUUCAAUCUCGUUACUGGCAAGUCUCUUUACUCGUUCCAUAAUACAUCAUCUCACAACUAACAUCUUAGUUAUAAUGCUUGCAAGGCUUAUGUGAUGUGUCUUACCAAGAGGGCCCAGAGAUACCUCUCCGACAAUCGGAGUGACAAACCCUAAUCUCGAAAUACGCCAACCCAACAUCUACCAUUGGAGACACCUGUAGUACUCCUUUAUAAUCACCCAGUUACGUUGUGACGUUUGGUAGUACCCAAAGUGUUCCUCCGGCAAACGGGAGUUGCAUAAUCUCAUAGUCAUAGGAACAUGUAUAAGUCAUGAAGAAAGCAAUAGCAACAUACUAAACGAUCGGGGGCUAAGAUAAUGAAAUGGGUCAUGUCAAUCAGAUCAUUCAACUAAUGAUGUGACCUCGUAAAUCAAAUAACAACUCUUUGUUCAUGGUUAGGAAACAUAACCAUCUUUGAUUAACGAGCUAGUCAAGUAAAGGCAUACUAGUGACACUCUGUUUGUCUAUGUAUUCACACAUGUAUUAUGUUUCCGGUUAAUACAAUUCUAGCAUGAAUAAUAAACAUUUAUCAUGAUAUAAGGAAAUAAAUAAUAACUUUAUUAUUGCAUCUAGGGCAUAUUUCCUUCAGUCCAGUGUUCCAUGCCGGGAUUACUUUGGUACCUUCCUACCAAACUUACGGCAAGGUUUACAUCAGGUCUGGUACACAGCAUAGCAUACAAGAUAGACCCUAUGGCCGAGGCAUAGGGGACGACACUCAUAUUUUCUCUAUCUUCUACCGUGGUCGUGCAUUGAGCCGUGCUCAAUCUCGUACCUUGCAAUAUAGGCAAGAACCCCUUCUUUUACUGAUCCAUUUUGAACUUCUUCAAUAUCUUGUCAAGGUACGUACUCUGUGGAAGACCAAUGAGGCGUCUCGAUCUAUCUCUAUAGAUCUUGAUGCCUAAUAUAUAAGCAGCUUCUCCAAGAUCCUUCAUUGAAAAACACUUGUUCAAGUAGGCCUUUAUGCUUUCCCAGAAUUCUAUAUCAUUUCCCAUCAACAAUAUGUCAUCCACAUCCAAUAUGGGAAAUUCUACAAAGCUCCCACUCAGUUCUUGUAAAUGCAGGCUUCUCCAUAAGUCUGCGUAAACCCAAACGCUUUGAUCAUCUCAUCAAAAUGAAUGUUCCAACUCCGAGAUGCUUGCACCAGCCCAUAAAUCGAGCGUUGGAGCUUGUACACCUUGUCAGCAUUCUUAGGAUCGACAAAACCUUCUGGCUGCAUCAUAUACAAUUCUUCCUUAAGGAAACCAUCAAGGACUGUUGUUUUGACGUCCAUUUGCCAUAUCUCAUAAUCAUAGAAUGCGGCAAUUGCUAACAUGAUUCGGACGGACUUCAGCUUCGCUACGGGUGAGAAAGUCUCAUCAUAGUCAACCCCUUGUACUUGCCGAUAACCCUUAGCGACAAGCCGAGCUUUAUAGAUGGUCACAUUACCAUCCGCGUCUGUCUUCUUCUUAAAGAUCCAUUUAUUUUCUAUGGCUCGCCGACCAUCGGGCAAGUCAGUCAAAGUCCAUACUUUGUUUUCAUACAUGGAUCUUAUCUCGGAUUUCAUGGCUUCCAGCCAUUUCUCGGAAUCCGGGCCCGCCAUUGCUUCUUCAUAGUUCGAAGGUUCACCGUUGUCUAACAACAUGAUUUCCAAGACAGGGUUGCCGUACCACUCUGGUGCGGGACGUGUCCCCGUGGACCUACGAAGUUCAGUAGCAACUUGAUCUGAAGUUUCAUGAUCAUCAUCAUCAACUUCCUCUCUAGUCGGUGCAGGCACCUUAGGAACAUUUUCUUGAGCUGCGCCACUUACCGGUUCAAGAGGUAAUACUUCAUCAAGUUCUACUUUCCUCCCACUUAUUUCUUUCGAGAGAAACUCUUUCUCUAGAAAGGACCCAUUCUUGGCAACAAAGAUCUUGCCUUCGGAUCCGAGGUAGAAGGUAUACCCAAUAGUUUCUUUAGGGUAUCCUAUGAAGACGCAUUUUUCCGAUUUGGGUUCGAGCUUUUCAGGUUGAAGUUUCCUGACAUAAGCAUCGCAUCCCCAAAGUUUUAGAAAUGACAUCUUAGGUGUCUUCCCAAACCAUAAUUCAUACGGCGUCGUCUCAACGGAUUUCGACGUAGCCCUAUUUAAAGUGAAUGCGGCAGUCUCUAAAGCAUAGCCCCAAAAUGACAGCGGUAAAUCAGUAAGAGACAUCAUAGAUCAUACCAUAUCUAAUAGAGUGCGAUUAUGACGUUCGGACACACCAUUACGCUGAGGUGUUCCAGGCGGCGUGAGUUGUGAAACUAUUCCACAUUUUCUUAAGUGUGUGCCAAAUUCGUGACUCAAGUAUUCUCCCCCACGAUCUGAUCGCAAGAACUUGAUUUGCCUGUCAUGUUGAUUCUCAACCUCACUUUGAAAUUCCUUGAACUUUUCAAAGGUCUCAGACUUGUGUUUCAUUAAGUAGACAUACCCAUAUCUACUCAAGUCAUCAGUGAGGGUGAGAACAUAACGAUAGCCACCACGAGCCUCAACACUCAUUGGACCGCACACAUCAGUAUGUAUGAUUUCCAAUAAGUUGGUUGCUCGCUCCAUUGUUCUUGAGAAAGGAGUCUUGGUCAUUUUACCCAUGAGGCAUGGUUCGCACGUGUCAAAUGAUUCGUAAUCAAGAGACUUUAAAAGUCCAUCUGCAUGGAGCUUCUUCAUGCGUUUGACACCUAUGUGACCAAGGCGGCAAUGCCACAUGUGGGACUAUCAUUAUCAACCUUACAUCUUUUGCUAUUCACACUAUGAAUAUGUGUAACAUUAUGCUCGAGAUUCAUUAAGAAUAAACCAUUCACCAAUGGAGCAUGACCAUAAAACAUAUCUCUCAUAUAAAUAGAACAACCAUUAUUCUCGGAUUUAAAUGAGUAGCCAUCUCAAAUUAAACGAGAUCCUGAGACAAUGUUCAUGCUCAAAGCUGGCACUAAAUAACAAUUAUUGAGGUUUAAAACUAAUCCCGUAGGCAAAUGUAGAGGCAGCGUGCCGACGGCGAUCACAUCGACCUUGGAACCAUUCCCGACGCGAAUCGUCACCUCGUACUUCGCCAGUCUCCGUUUAUUCCGCAGCUCCCGCUUUGAGUUACAAAUGUGAGCAACUGCACCGGUAUCAAAUACCCAGGAGCUACUACGAGUACUGGUAAGGUACACAUCAAUUACAUGUAUAUCACAUAUACCUUUAGUGUUGCCGGCCUUCUUGUCCGCUAAGUAUUUGGGGCAGUUCUGCUUCCAGUGACCACUUCCCUUGCAAUAAAAACACUCAGUCUCGAGCUUGGGUCCAUUCUUUGGCUUCUUCCCGGCAACUUGCUUAGCGGGCGCGGCAACUCCCUUGCCGUCCUUCUUGAAUUCUUCUUACCCUUGCCUUUCUUGAACUUAGUGGUUUUAUUCACCAUCAACACUUGAUGUUCCUUUUUGAUUUCCACCUCUGCUGAUUUCAGCAUUGAAUAUACCUCAGGAAUGGUCUUUUCCGUCCCCUGCAUAUUGAAGUUGAUCACAAAGCUCUUGUAGCUUGGUGGAAGCGACUGAAUGAUUCUGUCAAUGACCGCGUCAUUCGGGAGAUUAACUCCCACCUGAGUCAAGCGGUUAUGCAACCCAGACAUUUUGAUUAUGUGCUCACUGACAGAUCUAUUUUCCUCCAUAUUACAGCUGAAGAACUUGUCGGAGACUUCAUAUCUCUCGACCCGGGCAUGAGCUUGAAAAACCAUUUUCAGCUCUUCGAACAACUCAUAUGCUCCGUGUCUCUCAAAAUGCUUUUGGAGCCCCGGUUCUAAGCUGUAAAGCAUGCCGCACUGAACGAGGGAGUAAUCAUCAGCACGUAACUGCCAAGCGUUCAUAAUGUCUUGGUUCUCUGGGACAGGUGUGUCACCUAACGGUGCUUCUAGGACAUAAUCUUUCUUGGCAGCUAUGAGGAUGAUCCUCAGGUUCUGGACCCAGUCCGUAUAGUUGCUGCCAUCGUCUUUCAGCUUGGUUUUCUCCAGGAACGCGUUGAAAUUGAGGACAACGUGGGCCAUUUGAUCUACAAGACAUAUUGUAAAGAUUUUAGACUAAGUUCAUGAUAAUUAAGUUCAUCUAAUCAAAUUAUACAAUGAACUCCCACUCAGAUAGACAUCCCUCCAGUCAUCUAAGUGAAACAUGAUCCGAGUUAACUAGGCUGUGUCGGAUCAUCACGUGAGACGGACUAGUCAACAUCGGUGAACAUCUUCAUGUUGAUCGUAUCUUCUAGACGACUCAUGCUCGACCUUUUAGUCUUCUAUGUUCCGAGGCCAUGUCUGUACAUGCUAGGCUCGUCAAGUAAACCUAAGUGUAUUGCGUGUGUAAGUCUGGCUUACACCCGUUGUAUUCGAACGUUAGAAUCUAUCACACUCGAUCAUCACGUGGUGCUUCGAAACAACGAACCUUCACAAUGGUGCACAGUUAGGGGGAACAGUUUCUUGAAAUUAUUUCGAGGGAUCAUCUUAUUGAAGCUACCGUCGUUCUAAGCAAAUAAGAUGUAAAACAUGAUAAACAUCACAUGCAAUCAAAUAGUGACAUGAUAUGGCCAAUAUCAUUUUCUCCUUUUGAUCUCCAUCUUCGGGGGUCCAUGAUCAUCAUUGUCACUGGCAUGACACCAUGAUCUCCAUCAUCAUGUCUUCUUGAAGUUGUCUCGUCAUCUAUUACUUCUACUACUAUGGCUAACGCUUUAGCAAUAAAGUAAAGUAAUUACAUGACGUUUAUGUUGACACGCAGGUCAUAAAAAAUAAAGACAACUCCUAUGGCUCCUGCCGGUUGUCAUACUCAUCGACAUGCAAGUCGUGAUUCCUAUUACAAGAACAUGAUCAAUCUCAUACAUCACAUAUAUCAUUCAUCACAUCCUUUUGGCCAUAUCACAUCACACGACACAUGCUGCAAAAACAAGUUAGACGUCCUCUAAUUGUUGUUGCAAGUUUAUACAUGGCUGCUAUAGGUUUCUAGCAAGAACGUCUCUUACCUAUGGCAAAACCACAACGUGAUAUGCCACUUUCUAUUUACCCUUCAUAAGGACCCUUUUCAUCGAAUCCGAUCUGACUAAAGUGGGAGAGACAGACACCCGCCAGCCACCUUAUGCAACUAGUGCAUGUCAAUCGGUGGAACCAGUCUCACAUAAGCGUACGUGUAAGGUCGGUCCGGGCCGCUUCAUCCCAUGAUGCCACCGAAUCAAGAUAAGACUAGUAACGGCAAGCAAAGUGACAAUAUCCACGCCCACAACUGCUUUGUGUUCUACUCGUGCAUAGAAACUACGCAUAGACCUAGCUCAUGAUGCCACUGUUGGGGAAUGUAGCAGAAUUUUAAAAUUUUCUAUGCAUCACCAAGAUCAAUCUAUGGAGUCAUCUAGCAAUGAGGGAGAGAGGAGUGCAUCUACAUACCCUUGUAGAUCGCGCGCGGAAGUGUUCAAGAGAACGGGGUUGAUGGAAUCGUACUCGUCGUGAUCCAAAUCACCGAUGACCAAGUGCCUAACGGACAGCACCUCCGCGUUCAACACACGUCCUUUUGGGAAGACGUCUCCUCCUUCUUGAUCCAGCAAGGGGGAAGGAGAGGUUGAUGAAGAUCCAGCAGCACCACGACGUGGUGGUGGAUGCAACAGGAUCCCGGCAGGGCUUCACCAAGCGGAAGCGGGGAGGAGAGGUGUUACGGAGGGAGAGAGAGGCGCCAAGAGCAAGGUUGCGGCUGCCCUCCCUCCCCCCCUCUUUAUAUAGGGGCCAUGGGGGGGCGCCGGCCCUAGGAGAUGGAUCUCCAAGGGGGGCGAAGGCCAAGGGGUGGCUCCCCCCCCCCCAAGCCAAGUGGGGGGCGCCCCCACCCCUAGGGUUUCCCAACCCUAGGCGCAGGGGAGGCCCAAGGGGGGCGGACCAGCCCACUAGCGGCUGGUUCCCCUCCCAAUUCAUCCCAUGGGGCCCUCCGGGAUGGGUGGCCCCACCCGGUGGACCCCCGGGACCCUUUCGGUGGUCCCGGUACAAUACUGGUGACCCCCGAAACCUUCCCGAUGGCCGAAACUGUACUUCCUAUAUAUAAAUCUUUACCUCCAGACCAUUCCGGAACUCCUCGUGACGCCCGGGAUCUCAUCCGGGACUCCGAACAACUUUCGGGUUACUAUAUACUAAUAUCUCUACAACCCUAGCGUCACUGAACCUUAAGUGUGUAGACCCUACGGGUUUCGGAGACAUGCAGACAUGACUGAGACGCCUCUCCAGUCAAUAACCAACAGCGGGAUCUGGAUACCCAUGUUGGCUCCCACAUGCUCCAUGAUGAUCUCAUCAGAUGAACCACGAUGUCGAGCAUUCAAUCAAUCUGUAUACAAUUCCCUUUGUCAAUCAGUACGUUACUUGCCCGAGACUCGAUCAUCGGUAUCCCAAUACCUUGUUCAAUCUUGUUACCGGCAAGUCACUUUACUCAUACCAUAAUGCAUGAUCCCGUCAUCAACCACUUGGUCACAUGAGCUCAUUAUGAUGAUGCAUUACCGAGUGGGCCCAGAGAUACCUCUCCAUCAUACGGAGUGACAAAUCCCAGUCUCGAUUCAUGCCAACCCAAUAGUCACUUUCAGAGAUACCUGUAAUGUAACUUUAUAGUCACCCAGUUACGUUGUGACGUUUGGCACACCCAAGGCACUCCUACGAUAUCUGGGAGUUUUGUUGGAAAUAUGCCCUAGAGGCAAUAAUAAAAGCAUUAUUAUUAUAUUUCCUUGUUCAUGAUAAUUGUCUUUAUUCAUGCUAUAAUUGUGUUAUCCGGAAAUCGUAAUACAUGUGUGAAUAACAGACACCAACAUGUCCCUAGUAAGCCUCUAGUUAACUAGCUCGUUGAUCAACAGAUAGUCAUGGUUUCCUGACUAUGGACAUUGGAUGUCAUUGAUAACGAGCUCACAUCAUUAGGAGAAUGAUGUGAUGGACAAGACCCAAUCAUAAACAUAGCAUAAAGAUCGUGUAGUUCGUUUGCUAGAGUUUUUCCAAUGUCAAGUAUACUUUCCUUAGACCAUGAGAUCGUGUAACUCCCGGAUACCGUAAGAGUGCUUUGGGUGUACCAAACAUCACAACGUAACUGGGUGACUAUAAAGGUAUACUACGGGUAUCUCCAAAAGUGUCUGUUGGGUUGACACGGAUCAAGACUGGGAUUUGUCACUCCGUAUGACGGAGAGGUAUCACUGGGCCCACUCAGUAAUGCAUCAUCAUAAUGAGCUCAAAGUGACCAAGUGUCUGGUCACGGGAUCAUGCAUUACGGUACGAGUAAAGUGACUUGCCGGUAACGAGAUUGAACGAGGUAUUGGGAUACCGACAAUCGAAUCUCGGGCAAGUAACAUACCGAUUGGCAAAGGGAAUUGUAUACGGGGUUGCCUGAAUCCUCGAUAUCGUGGUUCAUCCGAUGAGAUCAUCGUGGAGCAUGUGGGAGCCAACAUGGGUAUCCAGAUCCCGCUGUUGGUUAUUGACCGAAGAGUCGUCUCGGUCAUGUCUGUCUGUCUCCCGAACCCGUAGGGUCUACACACUUAAGGUUCGGUGAUGCUAGGGUUGUAGGAAUAUGUAUAUGCAGUAACCCGAAUGUUGUUCGGAGUCCCGGAUGAGAUCCCGGACGUCACGAGGAGUUCCGUAAUGGUCCGGAGGUAAAGAAUUAUAUAUGGGAAGUGCUAUUUCGGCCAUCGGGACAAGUUUUGGGGUCACCGGUAUUGUACCGGGACCACCGGAAGGGUCCCGGGGGUCCACCGGGUGGGGCCACCUAUCUCGGAGGGCCCCAUGGGCUGAAGUGGGAAGGGACCCAGCCCAAAGUGGGCUGGGGUGCCUCUCCCCUAGGGCCCAUGCGGCUAGGGUUUGGGGGAAACCCUAAAAGGGGGCGCCCCCUUGCUUGGGGGGCAAGCCCCCCACCCCUUGGCCGCCGCCCCCCCCUCCCCCUAGGAAAAUAGAUCUCCUAGGGCCGGCGCCCCCCCCCCUUGGCCCUCCUAUAUAUAGUGGGGGAGGGAGGGCUAUUCUCUCAUGCCUUUGGUUGCCUCCCUCUCCCUCUCCGACACCUCCUCCUCCUCCAUAGUGCUUGGCGAAGCCCUGACGGAGUUCUGCAGCUCCACCAUCACCACGCCGUCGGUCUGCUGCUGGAGCCAUCUUCCUCAACCUCUUCUUCCCUCUUGCUGGAUCAAGAAGAAGGAGACGUUACGCUAACCGUACGUGUGUUGAACGCGGAGGUGCCGUCCGUUCGGCGCUAGGAUCUCUGGUGAUUUGAAUCACGUCGUGUACGACUACUUCAUCCACGUUCUUUGAACGCUUCCGCUCGCGAUCUACAAAGGUAUGUAGAUGCAUCCGAUGACUCGUUGCUAGAUGAACUCAUAGAUAGAUCUUGGUGAAACCGUAGGAAAUUUUUUGUUUUCUGCAACGUUCCCCAACAGUGGUAUCAGAGCUAGGUCUAUGCGUAGUUCUUCUUGCGCGAGUAGAACACAAUUUGUUGUGGGCGUAGAUGUUGUCAACUUUCUUGCCGCUACUAGUCUUAUCUUGCUUCGACGGUAUUGUGGGAUGAAGCGGCCCGGACCAACCUUACACGUAUGCUCACGUGAGACAGGUUCCACCGACAAACAUGCACUAGUUGCAUAAGGUGGCUAGCGGGUGCCUGUCUCUCCUACUUUAGUUGGAGCGGAUUCGAUGAGAAGGGUCCUUAUGAAGGGUAAAUAGAAGUUGAAAAAUCACGUUGUGGCUUUCACGUAGGUUAGAAAACGUUCUUGCUAGAACCCUACUUCAGCCACGUAAAACUUGCAACAACAAUUAGAGGAUGUCUAACUUGUUUUUGCAGCAAGUGCUUUGUGAUAUGAUAUGGCCAAAGUUGUGAUGAAUAAUACAUAUGUGAUGUAUGAGAUGUUCGUGCUAUUGUAAUAGGAAUCACGACUUGCAUGUCGAUGAGUAUGACAACCGGCAGGAGCCAUAGGAGUUGUCUUUAUUCUUUUAUAUGACCUGCGUGUCAUUGAGAAACGCCAUGUAAAUUACUUUACUUUAUUGCUAAACACGUUAGCCUUAGUAGUAGAAGUAAUAGUUGGCGAGCAACUUCAUGGAGACACGAUGAUGGAGAUCAUGAUGAUGGAGAUCAUGGUGUCAUGCCGGUGACAAGAUGAUCAUGGAGCUCCAAGAUGGAGAUCAAAGGAGCUAUGUGAUAUUGGCCAUAUCAUGUCACUAUUAUUAUUUGAUUGCAUUUGAUGUUUAUCAUGUUUUGCAUCUUGUUUACUUAGAACGACGGUAGUGAAUAAGAUGAUCCCUCAUAAUAAUUUCAAGCAAGUGUUCCCCCUAACUGUGCACCGUUGCGACAGUUCAUUGCUUCAAUGCACCACGUGAUGAUCGGGUGUUUGAUUCAAACGUUCACAUACAACGGGUGUAAGACAGAUUUACACAUGCAAACACUUAGGUUGACUUGACGAGCCUAGCAUGUGUAUAGACAUGGCCUCGGAACACAGAAGACCAAAAGGUCGAGCAUGAGUCGUAUAGAAGAUACGAUCAACAUGAAGAUGUUCAUCGAUGUUGACUAGUCCGUCUCACGUGAUGAUCGGACACGGCCUAGUUGACUCGGAUCAUGUUAUACUUAGAUGACUAGAAGAGGGAUGUCUAUCUAAGUGGGAGUUCAUUCAAUAAUUUGAUUAGAUGAACUUAAUUAUCAUGAACUUAGUCUAAAAUCUUUGCAAUAUGUCUUGUAGAUCAAAUGGCCAACGUAGUCCUCAACUUCAACGCGUUCCUAGAGAAAACCAAACUGAAAGAUGAUGGCAGUAACUAUACGGAAUGGGUCUGGAACCUGAGGAUUAUCCUCAUAGCUGCCAAGAAAGAUUAUGUCCUACAAGCACCGCUAGGUGAAGCUCCCGUCCCAUGGAACCAAGAUGUUAUGAACGCUUGGCAGACACGUGCUGAUGACUACUCCCUCGUUCAGUGCGGCAUGCUUUACAGUUUAGAGCCGGGGCUCCAAAAGCGUUUUGAGAGACAUAGAGCAUAUGAGAUGUUCGAAGAGCUGAAAAUGGUGUUUCAAGCUCAUGCCCGGGUCGAGAGAUAUGAGGUCUCCGACAAAUUCUUCAGUUGUAAGAUGGAGGAAAAUAGUUCUGUCAGUGAGCACAUACUCACUAUGUCUGGGUUACAUAAUCGCUUGACUCAGCUGGGAGUUAAUCUCCUGGAUGAUGCGGUCAUUGACAGAAUCCUCCAGUCGCUUCCACCAAGCUACAAGAGCUUUGUGAUGAACUUCAAUAUGCAGGGGAUGGAAAAGACCAUUCCUGAGGUAUUUACAAUGCUGAAAUCAGCAGAGGUAGAAGUCAAGAAGGAACAUCAAGUGUUGAUGGUCAAUAAAACCACUAAGUUCAAGAAGGGCAAGGGUAAAAAGAACUUCAAGAAGGACGGCAAGGGAGUUGCCGCGCCCGGCAAGCAAGCUGCCGGGAAGAAGCCAAAGAAUGGUCCCAAGCCCGAGACUGAGUGCUUUUAUUAUAAGGGAAGCGGUCACUGGAAGCGGAACUGCCCCAAAUACUUAGCGGACAAGAAGGCCGGCAAAACAAAAGGUAUAUGUGAUAUACAUGUAAUUGAUGUGUACCUUACCAGUACCCGUAGUAGCUCCUGGGUAUUUGAUACUGGUGUAGUUGCUCACAUUUGUAACUCAAAGCAGGGGCUGCGGAAUAAGCGGAGACUGGCGAAGGACGAGGUGACGAUGCGCGUCGGGAAUGGUUCCAAGGUCAAUGUAAUCGCCGUCGGCACGUUACCUCUAUAUUUACCUUCGGGAUUAGUUGUAAACCUUAAUAAUUGUUAUUUAGUACCAGCUUUGAGCAUGAACAUUGUAUUGGGAUCUCGUUUAAUUCAAGAUGGCUACUCAUUUAAAUCCGAGAAUAAUGGUUGUUCUAUUUAUAUGAGAGAUAUGUUUUAUGGUCAUGCUCCUAUGGUGAAUGGUUUAUUCUUAAUGAAUCUCGAGCGUAAUGCUACACAUAUUCAUAGUGUGAGUACCAAAAGAUGUAAGGUUGAUAAUGAUAGUCCCACAUACUUGUGGCACUGCCGCCUUGGUCACAUAGGUGUCAAACGCAUGAAGAAGCUCCAUGCAGAUGGACUUUUAGAGUCUCUUGAUUAUGAAUCAUUUGACACGUGCGAACCAUGCCUCGUGGGUAAAAUGACCAAGACUCCGUUCUCAGGAACAAUGGAGCGAGCAACCAACUUAUUGGAAAUCAUACAUACUGAUGUGUGCGGUCCAAUGAGCGUUGAGGCUCGCGGUGGCUAUCGUUAUGUUCUCACCCUCACUGAUGACUUGAGUAGAUAUGGGUAUGUCUACUUAAUGAAACACAAGUCUGAAACCUUUGAAAAGUUCAAGGAAUUUCAGAGUGAGGUUGAGAAUCAACGUGACAGGAAAAUCAAGGUUCUACGAUCAGAUCAUGGAUGCGAAUACUUGAGUCACGAAUUUGGCACACACUUAAGAAAAUGUGGAAUAGUUUCACAACUCACGCCGCCUGGAACACCUCAGCGUAACGGUGUGUCCGAACGUCGUAAUCGCACUCUAUUAGAUAUGGUACGAUCUAUGAUGUCUCUUACCGAUUUACCACUAUCUUUUUGGGGCUAUGCUUUAGAGACUGCCGCAUUCACUUUAAAUAGGGCUCCGUCGAAAUCCGUUGAGACGACACCGUUUGAAUUAUGGUUUGGGAAGAAACCUAAGCUGUCGUUUCUAAAAGUUUGGGGAUGCGAUGCUUAUGUCAAGAAACUUCAACCUGAAAAGCUCGAACCCAAGUCGGAAAAAUGCGUCUUCAUAGGAUACCCUAAAGAAACUGUUGGGUAUACCUUCUACCUCAGAUCCGAAGGCAAGAUUUUUGUUGCCAGGAAUGGAUGCUUUCUAGAGAAGGAGUUUCUCUCGAAAGAAGUAAGUGGGAGGAAAGUAGAACUUGAUGAAGUGUUACCUCUUGAACCGGAAAAUGGCGCAACUCAAGAAAAUGUUCAUGAGGUGCCUGCACCGACUAGAGAGGAGGUUAAUGAUGAUGAUCAUGAAACUUCUGAUCAAGUUGCUACUGAACUUCGAAGGUCCAUAAGGACACGUUCCGCACCAGAGUGGUACGGCAACCCUGUCUUGGAAAUCAUGUUGUUAGGCAACGGUGAACCUUCGAACUAUGAAGAAGCGAUGGCGGGCCCGGAUUCCGACAAAUGGCUAGAAGCCAUGAAAUCCGAGAUAGGAUCCAUGUAUGAAAAUGAAGUAUGGACUUUGACUGACUUGCCCGUUGAACGGCGAGCCAUAGAAAAUAAAUGGAUCUUUAAGAAGAAGACAGACGCGGAUGGUAAUGUGACCAUCUAUAAAGCUCGGCUUGUCGCUAAGGGUUAUCGACAAGUUCAAGGGGUUGACUACGAUGAGACUUUCUCACCGGUAGCGAAGCUGAAGUCCGUCCGAAUCAUGUUAGCAUUUGCCGCAUUCUACGAUUAUGAGAUAUGGCAAAUGGAUGUCAAAACGGCAUUAAUUAAUGGUUUCCUUAAGGAAGAAUUGUAUAUGAUGCAGCCGGAAGGUUUUGUCGAUCCUAAGAAUGCUGACAAGGUGUGCAAGCUCCAACGCUCGAUUUAUGGGCUGGUGCAAGCAUCUCGGAGUUGGAACAUUCGCUUUGAUGAGAUGAUCAAAGUGUUUGGGUUUACUCAGACUUAUGGAGAGGCCUGCGUUUACAAGAAAGUGAGUGGGAGCUCUGUAGCAUUUCUCAUAUUAUAUGUAGAUGACAUACUUUUGAUGGGAAAUGAUAUAGAACUCUUGGACAGCAUCAAGGCCUACUUGAAUAAGAGUUUUUCAAUGAAGGACCUUGGAGAAGCUGCUUAUAUAUUAGGCAUCCAGAUCUAUAGAGAUAGAUCAAGAUGCCUCAUAGGUCUUUCACAAAGCACAUACCUUGAUAAGAUAUUGAAGAAGUUCAAUAUGGAUCAAUCUAAGAAGGGGUUCUUGCCUGUGUUACAAGGUAUGAAAUUGAGCUCAGCUCAAUGUCCGACCAUGGCAGAAGAUAUAGAAGAGAUGAGUGUCAUCCCCUAUGCCUCAGCCAUAGGUUCUAUUAUGUAUGCCAUGCUGUAUACCAGACCUGAUGUAAACCUUGCCGUAAGUUUGGUAGGAAGGUACCAAAGUAAUCCCGGCAAGGAACACUGGACAGCGGUCAAGAAUAUCCUGAAGUACCUAAAAAGGACUAAGGAAAUGUUUCUCGUUUAUGGAGGUGACGAAGAGCUCGUCGUAAAGGGUUACGUCAACGCUAGCUUCGACACAGAUCUGGAUGACUCUAAGUCACAAACCGGAUACGUGUAUAUUUUGAAUGGUGGGGCAGUAAGCUGGUGCAGUUGCAAGCAGAGCGUCGUGGCGGGAUCUACAUGUGAAGCGGAGUACAUGGCAGCCUCGGAGGCAGCACAUGAAGCAAUUUGGGUGAAGGAGUUCAUCACCGACCUAGGAGUCAUACCCAAUGCGUCGGGGCUGAUCAAGCUCUUCUUUGACAACACUGGAGCUAUUGCACUUGCCAAGGAGCCCAGGUUUCACAAGAAGACAAGGCACAUCAAGCGUCGCUUCAACUCCAUUCGUGAAAAUGUUCAAGAUGGAGACAUAGAUAUUUGUGAAGUACAUACGGACCUGAAUGUAGCAGAUCCGUUGACUAAACCUCUCCCUAGAGCAAAACAUGAUCAACACCAGAAUUCCAUGGGUGUUCGAUUCAUCACAAUGUAACUAGAUUAUUGACUCUAGUGCAAGUGGGAGACUGUUGGAAAUAUGCCCUAGAGGCAAUAAUAAAAGCAUUGUUAUUAUAUUUCCUUGUUCAUGAUAAUUGUCUUUAUUCAUGCUAUAAUUGUGUUAUCCGGAAAUCGUAAUACAUGUGUGAAUAACAGACACCAACAUGUCCCUAGUAAGCCUCUAGUUAACUAGUUCGUUGAUCAACAGAUAGUCAUGGUUUCUUGACUAUGGACAUUGGAUGUCAUUGAUAACGAGAUCACAUCAUUAGGAGAAUGAUGUGAUGGACAAGACCCAAUCAUAAACAUAGCAUAAAGAUCGUGUAGUUCGUUUGCUAGAGUUUUUCCAAUGUCAAGUAUCCUUUCCUUAGACCAUGAGAUCGUGUAACUCCCGGAUACCGUAAGAGUGCUUUGGGUGUACCAAACGUCACAACGUAACUGGGUGACUAUAAAGGUAUACUACGGGUAUCUCCGAAAGUGUCUGUUGGGUUGACACGGAUCUAGACUGGGAUUUGUCACUCCGUAUGACGGAGAGGUAUCACUGGGCCCACUCGGUAAUGCAUCAUCAUAAUGAGCUCAAAGUGACCAAGUGUCUGGUCACGGGAUCAUGCAUUACGGUACGAGUAAAGUGACUUGCCGGUAACGAGAUUGAAUGAGGUAUUGGGAUAACGACGAUCGAAUCUCGGGCAAGUAACAUAUCGAUUGGCAAAGGGAAUUGUAUACGGGGUUGCUUGAAUCCUCGACAUCGUGGUUCAUCCAAUGAGAUCAUCGUGGAGCAUGUGGGAGCCAACAUGGGUAUCCAGAUCCCGUUGUUGGUUAUUGACCGGAGAGUCGUCUCGGUUAUGUCUGCCUGUCUCCCGAACCCGUAGGGUCUACACACUUAAGGUUCAGUGACGCUAGGGUUGUAGGAAUAUGUAUAUGCAGUAACCCGAAUGUUGUUCGGAGUCCCGGAUGAGAUCCCGGACGUCACGAGGAGUUCCGGAAUGGUCCGGAGGUAAAGAAUUAUAUAUGGGAAGUGGUAUUUCGGCCAUCGGGACAAGUUUCGGGGUCACCGGUAUUGUACCGGGACCACCGGAAGGGUCCCGGGGGUCCACCGGGUGGGGCCACCUAUCCCGGAGGGCCCCUUGGGCUGAAGUGGGAAGGGACCCAGCCCAAAGUGGGCUGGGGCGCCUCUCCCCUAGGGCCCAUGCGGCUAGGGUUUGGGGGAAACCCUAAAAGGGGGCGCCCCCUUGCUUGGGGGGCAAGCCCCCCACCCCUUGGCCGCCGCCGCCCCCCCCCCCUAGGAGAAUAGAUCUCCUAGGGCCGGCGCCCCCCCCCUUGGCCCUCCUAUAUAUAGUGGGGGAGGGAGGGCUAUUCUCUCACGCCUUUGGUUGCCUCCCUCUCCCUCUCCAACACCUCCUCCUCCUCCAUAGUGCUUGGCGAAGCCCUGACGGAGUUCUGCAGCUCCACCAUCACCACGCCGUCGUGCUGCUGCUGGAGCCAUCUUCCUCAACCUCUUCUUCCCUCUUGCUGGAUCAAGAAGAAGGAGACGUUACGCUAACCGUACGUGUGUUGAACGCGGAGGUGCCGUCCGUUCGGCGCUAGGAUCUCCGGUGAUUUGAAUCACGUCGUGUACGACUACUUCAUCCACGUUCUUUGAACACUUCCGCUCGCGAUCUACAAAGGUAUGUAGAUGCAUCCGAUGACUCGUUGCUAGAUGAACUCAUAGAUAGAUCUUGGGGAAACUGUAGGAAAAUUUUCUGCAACGUUCCCCAACAAGUUUCACAAUCUCAUGGUCUAAGGAAAUGAUACUUGACAUUCGGAAAAGCUACAGCAGAUGAACUACACGACCUUUGAGCUAUGCUUAGGAUUGGGUCUUGUCCAUCACAUCAUUCUCCUAAUGAUGUGAUACCGUUAUGAAUGACAUCCAAUGUCCAUAGUCAGGAAACCAUGACUAUCUUUUGAUCAACAAGCUAGUCAACUAGAGGCUCACUAGGGACGUGUUGUGGUCUAUGUAUUCACACAUGUAUUACGAUUUCCGGAUAACACAAUUAUAGCAUGAACAAUAGACAAUUAUCAUGAACAAAGAAAUAUAAUAAUAACCAUUUUAUUAUUGCCUCUAGGGCAUAUUUCCAACACCUACGUACCCCCAAACGAUCAUAUACGGAGCCAAAACCCUAAUUCCACCGCCGCAACUUUCUGUAUCCACGAGAUCCCAUCUUGGGGCCUGUUCCGGAGCUCCGCCAGAGGGGGCAUCGAUCACGGAGGGCUUCUACAUCAACACCAUAGCCUCUCCGAUGAAGUGUGAGUAGUUCACCUCAGACCUACGGUUCCAUAGUUAUUAGCUAGAUGGCUUCUUCUCUCUUUUUGGAUCUCAAUACAAUGUUCUCCCCCUCUCUUGUGGAGAACUAUUCGAUGUAAUCUUCUUUUUGCGGUGUGUUUGUUGAGACCGAUGAAUUGUGGGUUUAUGAUCAAGUCUAUCUAUGAAUAAUAUUUGAAUCUUCUCUGAAUUCUUUUAUGUAUGAUAGGUUAUCUUUGAAAGUCUUUUCGAAUUAUCAGUUUGGUUUGGCCUACUAGAUUGAUCUUUCUUGCAAUGGGAGAAGUGCUUAGCUUUGGGUUCAAUCUUGCGGUGUCCUUUCCCAGUGACAGUAGGGGCAGCAUGGCACGUAUUAUAUUGUUGCCAUCGAGGACAACAAGAUGGAGUUUUCAUCAUAUUGCAUGAGUCUAUCCCUCUACAUCAUGUCAUCUUGCUUAAGGCCUUAAUCUGUUUUUAACUUAAUACUCUAGAUGCUUGCUGGAUAGCGGUCGAUUAGUGGAGUAAUAGUAGUAGAUGCAGGCAGGAGUCGGUCUACUUGUCUCGGACAUGAUGCCUAUAUAUAUGAUCAUACCUAGAUAUUCUCAAAACUAUGCUCAAUUCUGUCAAUUGCUCAACAAUAAUUUGUUCACCCACCGUAGAAUACUUAUGCUCUCGAGAGAAGCCACUAGUGAAACCUAUGGCCCCCGGGUCUAUCUUUAUCAUAUUAAUCUCCUACUACUUAGUUAUUUCCUUUGCUUUUUACUUUGCCUUUAUUUUACUUCGCAUCUUUAUCACAAAAAUACGAAAAAAAUUAUCUUUAUCAUAUCUAUCAAAUCUCACCCUCGUAAGUGGCCGUUUAGGGAUUGACAACCCCUAUUCGCGUCGGUUGUGAGGAUUUAUUUGUUUUGUGCAGGUACAAGGGACUCGCGCGUAGCCUCCUACUGGAUUGAUACCUUGGUUCUCAAAACCUAUUUGAUUGCCGUAGCACGAUCGCGCUUCCUCGGGCGCUAUUGUCUCAAAAAUACCGUCGUCCAUCUCCGUGACCUCCAGUCUACUACUCAUGAGCUGGUUUGGGCGCCGUGGCCUCUUUGCUUUCGGUUCUAGACCAGCUCCGCUAGUCUCGGCGCCUGUCUCAGUCUCAUCGCCGAUCUGCAUGUCGGUAUCAGUCCCCGAUGCGACAUCACAGUUGCUGCAACAUGGGAAAGGGAGACCACGUCAGUGCUGGGGGGUCUGAAAAUCGGAACACACUUUCGCGCGUUGCGGGCCGCCUCUCAGACAGCUACUGGGGAGGCGGCGGAGUACCUGGGUGCGCGGCGAAUCCCCGGGAACUCGGUGACCAACUUCCUUCCCGUGUGGCGCAUGGAGACGACGGCGACCCCGGCGAAGAGCAGCUUAGCCGCGAGCUGCACAGCCUCGUCCACCUCCUAAGUUGGGACCUCCGUGCGAGCGUUGCGGGGCCGCCACUCGGAUGGCUUCUGGAAGGCGGUUGUACAUGGGCACAUGGUGAAUCCCGGCGAGAGCUUGCCAUUGGCGCGCUCAAGUAGACGACGACGUCCUCGACGAAGAGCAGCCCGGCCAGCUCGCCUCACUAUCGUUUGAUUAGAAAUGAAAGAUUGGGAAGAAGCAGACUUGAGCCUGCAGGGAAAGGAUAAGGUGACGAUGCAGUCUCCACUCGUUCGGGGCGACACUCGUACUGAAUGUAUGAGAAAUCUGACGUGGCAGAGACCCCAAGAUACUCCCUCCAUUUAUUUUUAGUCUGCAUAUAAAGUUUGGUCAAAGUCAAGAUUUGUAAAUUUUAACUAACUUUAUAAUAAAAAAAUAUCAACAUUCACAAUAUGAAAUCAAUAUUACCAGAUGCGUCAUGAAAUGUAUUUCCAUACUAUAUAGUUUUGGUAUUGUAGAUGUUCAUAUUUUUUUAUAUAUAUGGGAAGUAGAGGCACUCUUCUAUACUAUAUUCAGAUGUAUGAUAUCUGUUAUUUAAGCGCUUGAAUUUUACAUACGAAUAUUUAUUAUUAAAUAUGUACCCCUACAAUAGCUAGGCCGUGCAGUUGCACGGGUAGAUGACUAGUGAUUACAAUCUUGUUUGUGUGCAAGUCAAGCUUAUCUAGUUUACACGUAACAACUUGUAGAACAUUACAAAAUUUAUGCUUGCUAAUAACUUUUAGAACACUACAACACUUGACAUGUAAAAGGAAUUUGACUGAGUCAUGGCCUACUAAAGCAAGUUACAUUACUAGUCUUAUCUAUCUUAACAGACCACACAAGAUUACAAACUAAGUACCGUGACAGCCAUGCUUAUCUAGUUUAUGCGUAACAAUUUGCAGAAAAUUACAAACUUAGUUUCAGAAAGAUAGGCAAUCUAGAUUAGUGUUUGAGCUGUAAAGUGAAUAAGAUGAGUCAUGCAUGUUAUCACACCUUUUUGGUGGUCGAAUGAUAGUGCAACAACAAGGAACUUUAAUGACCAGUCCAAGAAUACACUUGUAAGUAGUGCCACCAAACAGAACAUACCAAAUGAUCAUUCCAUGGCAGCUAUAAAUAGCCCCAUAGCAUGACGAUCAUCCUUCCUCAUCCAUCAUUCUCAUAAGUAGAGCACAUCAUUUAAGCCAAGCAAGUUGUGGUCAAUACAAAUCCACCAUGAAGACCUUUCUCAUCCUUGCCCUCCUUGCUAUCGUGGCGACCACCGCCACAACCGCAGUUAGAGUUCCAGUGCCACAAUUGCAGCCACAAAAUCCAUCUCAGCAACAGCCACAAGAGCAAGUUCCAUUGGUACAACAACAACAAUUUCUAGGGCAGCAACAAACAUUUCCACCACAACAACCAUAUCCACAGCUGCAACCAUUUCCAUCACAACAACCAUAUCUACAGCUGCAACCAUUUCCGCAGCCGCAACUACCAUAUUCGCAGCCACAACCAUUUCGACCACAACAACCAUAUCCACAACCGCAACCACAGUAUUCGCAACCACAACAACCAAUUUCACAGCAUCAACAGCAGCAGCAGCAACAACAACAACAACAACAACAACAACAAAUCCUUCAACAAAUUUUGCAACAACAACUGAUUCCAUGCAUGGAUGUUGUAUUGCAGCAACACAACAUAGCGCAAGGAAGAUCACAAGUUUUGCAACAAAGUACUUACCAGCUGUUGCAAGAAUUGUGUUGUCAGCACCUAUGGCAGAUCCCUGAGCAGUCGCAGUGCCAGGCCAUCCACAAUGUUGUUCAUGCUAUUAUUCUGCAUCAACAACAACAAAAACAACAACAACAACAACAACAACAACCAUCGAGCCAGGUCUCCUUCCAACAGCCUCAGCAACAAUAUCCAUUAGGCUAGGGCUCCUUCCGGCCAUCUCAGCAAAACCCACAGGCCCAGGGCUCUGUCCAGCCUCAACAACUGCCCCAGUUCGAGGAAAUAAGGAACCUAGCGCUACAGACACUACCUGCAAUUUGCAAUGUCUACAUCCCUCCAUAUUGCACCAUCGCGCCAUUUGGCAUCUUCGGUACUAACUGAGAAGAAAAUAACUCUAGUACUAGAUAUAUGAAACACCGUUUUCUCAGUC